UUGCGUGUGGGGCCAAUAUAUAAUUGCGGCUGGUAUGCUUAUGAAAGCACGGAGCGCUCCGUGUUUCCACUUUAUUUUCGAUGUUCGGACUUUCGAAUCGACUAUCGGCUCCGUUAGAUUUGAUCUAAAGUAUUUGAAGUAUCUAGAAAAUAAAUUUUGCGAUUUUUUGAUAUCAUUUGUCUAGUGAUCGAAGUGGCUCAAAAUCAACGGUUGAAAAUAAAAAUCUUACAAAAUAUGAUGAUAUGAUAUUAAAAUUUUAUAUCAAAGUUAUUGAUCUUGUUUUAUAUGGUAUAAAGAAUUUUCUAUCAAAAUUUCAUGCGAUUUGGAUAUUUCUACACCGUUAAACUUGCAACCGGCUCACCACGGCCAUUAAAAUUAUUAAUUUUGAGCCCCUUCGAUCACUAGGCAAAUGAUAUCGAAAAAUCACAAAAUUUAUUUUCUAGGUACUUCAAAUACUCUAGAUCAACUCUAAUGGAGCCGAUCGUCGAUUCGAAAGUCCGAACAUCGAAAACAAAGUGGAAGCACGAAGGGCUCCGUGCUUCUAUAAGCAUACCAGCCUACUAUAUAUAUAUAUAUAUAAUUGAGCUCCUAUGCUUUUAAAAGUACCAAGUUAUUGGUGCUUGUAAAUUUUUAGCCCUUGGAUUAAGGAAUGUGUGGUUAAGAUGAUAUGGGCCCCUUAGGGUUAAGUGGAUGGUUGGUUGAAUAGUAUAAUCUAACGGGGUGAAAAUGAUUAAAGGCGUAGAUCUAACAGUAAAAAAUUUACAAGUACUAAAUACUUGGUACUUUUACAAGUACCAUAGCCAGACUCUAUAUAUAUAUAUAUAUAUAUAUAUAUAUAUAUAAAAUAUUUUAUAUGUAUGUUUGCAAUCAUGCAUAGAUAAGUAUCCCUUUGGCGUGUGGAACAUGAGGCCAAAUACCGAGUCCCCCAACUCGAUUUUAAUCCGAUAUGUCCGUAUAGUUUUACUGUGGGACGACUAGGACGGUUGUACCAAAACUACUUAAUGAAAGUGUUAUGGAUUCAUCGAGUCAGUACCUAGCGCAAUUAAUUAGCUAGUUGAUGACUAGUAUUGGCAUUUUUAAGUUUGAAAUCUAGCUUGUUGAGUUUAUUUUUAAAAUAUAUAAAAAGAUUAAACGAGGUGGCUUGCUACAACAGAUCCUAAUAGCUAGUUGGAUUCUGGCCCGAGCUCAAAUCCGAAUCCAAUAAGUUUUUUAUAAGCGAACUAAAUAAAUAAAAGCUUCUUUAAUAAAAGUAAAUUAUUUUGGCACGCGUAACUCGUUGACUCAAAACUUCGCACCAUGUUCUUCUUCCUAGCUAAAGUACUGUUGAGUACUGUCGAAUAAUAUAUUGUGCCAUUUAGAAGUUGUCACGCAUGGAUCCAACACUCACAUCAACUAUGUGCAUAUAUACAUCAAAAUACUAUUGCAUUUUUGAAAGGAUUAAUUAUCGCGGACCCUCGAGCUUUACUAUAACCAAAGUAGCCAUUGCUUUCGCCAUGUCGCCAUAUCGGUACCUACGAGUAGAAACAUACAUACACCGCGUAGAACGUCUCAACGAAGAAAAUUUCACGAAUUUGGUCCUUUUUCUUUUCUAAUCGAAGAAAAUCUUCACUCGCUUACGGCUAUUUUAUGUACGCAUGACAAGCAUCGAUAAAAAUAUAAAAAUGUUUUCAAAAUAUCAUUAUAAUUUCUCGUUUUGAGACAAAAAUAAUAUGUCAUCCGUUUUGUUCGUUUCUAAAGUCGUCGUUGCUUUCGCCAUGUCGGUACAUAUGAAUAGGAACAUCGACAGGUUAAAAGUCGCAACAAAGAGAACUAUGUCAAUUCAGUCCUUUUCCUUUCAUAGUCAGAGAUCAUCUUUUUCCUUUCAUAUUAAUGGAAGAAAAUCUUCCUUCUUUUAUAAUUAGAGAAAAUCUUUUCCAGCGCAAAUAUUUUUUGUAUAAAUAACAAUAAUUAAUAAAAAAAAAUUUAUACUGCCCUGAAAUAUAGAGAUAUAAUAAUAAUUUUAAAAUAUUAUUUUAAUAUAAAAUUAUAAUAUUGUCCGUAAUAAAAUACUCCGGUAUUUUAUAUGACACAAUAGAAUUGAUUUGAAUAUAUAUUUACUAUGUGGUAGCCGGGUAGACCUAUGAAAUGAACAAUUUUUAUAUUUUUAUAGUUAUUUCAUGCGGAAAUAACAAAAUCGAAGUGUGCAUACAAGUAUAAGACAUAAUAAAAUUUUUAAAAUAUUAUUUCAAUAUAAAAUUAUAUUAUUGUUGAAUCUUAAUAUCUUACACCAUACAAUGGAAUAUAGUUAUUUCAUGCGGAAAUAACAAAAUCCAAGUAGAAGUCUCUGUAUAUCUUGCAUACAAAGUAUAAGACAUAAUAAUUUUUUUAAAAGUAUUAUUUCGAUAUAAAAUUAUACUAUUGUUGAAUCUUGUUAUCUUAUACCAAAUCCUGUGCCACUUGCUCUAGGGACGGCCGGUACCAUACGAUGGAAUUGGCUCCAAAUGCAUCUUAUAUGGUAUAAUUGUUAAAAGGAAGUCUUUUUUAUUGACAAUUAGGUGAUAUUUGAUUGCAUGUAAAAGAGGUCAGCUGAAAAUAUUUUUCGAUCUAAAAAUUAUUUUUUAAAAACAUUUUUAUUGAAAAAAGUAGUUUAUAUGUUUUUUAGAAGCAUUCUCUCGAUUUUUCAAUAUAUAGAGAAUAAAUCAAGGAGCGAAAUUAAUCUCUCCCCUACUCUCUUUAAUUACUACGACUCUUCCAGCAAACUAAAUGUGCAUGCUUCAAAAACUUUUUUGGUUUCUGCUGAACCAAUAAACCAACAAAUAAUUUCUUUAAUUCUAAGAAGUUUUUUUUUUUAAAAAAAAAAUCUAAAAAUUAUUGAGCAUAUUCCAUGAUAGGCUUUGUGGCAUAAUUAGAUCUUAAUCAUACACAGAAAAAUAAAAGUUUAAACACCACAAAUAUUUUAGCUUGAUAUAUAUUUGAUCAAAGCCCACACUUCGUAACCAAGUUUGUAUAAAUUAAAUAUAAUUUUUUGAAAAUCUAGUUCAAUUCAUUAAAAUUGAAUUGAAAUAUUAAUUCCAAAUAUAAAUGGGGUGUACGUUUAGAUUGAUGUAACUAUAGUUUGGCUGAAAAUCAAGUUUGACUUCCGAACAUAACGCUGGAAAGUUGUAGGCAAGAUUUUGAGUCCUUCUGUGAAAGAUUGACUUCCGAGUACUUCAAAAAUUUAAUUCCACACCGACCUGCUACAUUUUUUUGGUACCAUAAUAAUGGAUGAUAAAACUAAUAUUUGUACUCUCAUUAACUUAAUUUACACUCGAAUUGCAACUUCACUAUCCCAUUGCUCCUUAAACCUAACCUACUGUUUGCAAUCCACUUUUCUUCUGUACGAAUUCCACAGAUAUUGCGCGUGCCAUAGGAGAAAUGCUACUUGUAUUGCUCAUUCAUAUAUAAAGUUCUUCUUUAAUUAUUUCAAACUUUUGUCGUACCACAUAUAUAUAUUUGCAUAGAUGAUUCGAACCUUUCAUUUUCUCUCCAUUUUAAUGGAAGAAAGAACUGCACCACGUGCGUGAGUGGUUUGAGUUGCACUAAUAAUAAGCGUACGUAUUCACCACUAGUUUCACGAAAGAAAUGAAAAGAGAAAAACUAAACCAUAUCAAAUUGCUUUUGUUGAUUGAUCUCACGAUGAUCUUUGAUUAGAUUCCAUGAAAUUGCCAAUACAUUGGGGAAAGAUUUUCUACUCACUUCUACUUAAUUGAUCUCUCAAAGCUCCUUUUUACAAACUACUCAAAAGUGCUUCUGAAUUAUUAUCCUGGAAUGCACCCGACAACUUUUUUGAGGGUCACAAAGUUGCCACUCAAAAAACAUGAAGGUUCCAAGAGCCCCGCUGUAGUUGUUGUUUGCUUGCUGAGUGUUAAAUGUGGAUUCCACGAUUAAUUCCUAAGACAUUCUCCCACGUAUCCUUCGCACCUUUUUGUUUUCCUUUUUUUCGUGGAUACUUCCCUACUAGCAAAGAGUUAGUCCCUAUAAAGUUUAAUUUUUUUAUAUUAUUUUUAUAAAAGUCUAGCUUCAUAUUUGUUCCUCUGAUUUGUUAUCGUUAGAUAACUAUUUAUUUUUAACAGCAGUAAGUGAAAUGUCUAUUUUUAUCAUCACAAAUAUAUUUUUCUGAAAGCUCCAGCUACUAUAAUCGUGUAGAAAGGUUUUCCCAAAAAAAUUUCAAUUGCCACCUUCUUCCUCUUUAAAACCUGACUUAAUUCGCCAUUGUUGCAACAUCUUCUCUCAUUCUUUUUCUCCUAAUUUUUUUCUUUUGAGCAAAAUAAGAAAAAAUUAUAGAAAAAAUUGAAUGAAAACACAACACGGAUUGGACAUUGGCGAAGCAACAAAUAUAAUGAGGAUGGAUAAAUUCUAGUUACGGAUUCGAAACUAGCAUGAAUUAAGGAGAGAGAGAAAGAGGAAGAAGAAGAAAAGCUCUUAUUGCUAGUGCUUUGAUUGAGAGAAGAUAUAAUAUAAGAGGUGUGAAAAUAUCAAUUUACCUCAUUAACUAACUAGAAUUAAAUAUUCAUCUAUUUUUAACUAAAUUUUUCUAAUAGAUUCUAAUGUUAGAAGCAUAUUGAAAAAUAUUAGGGCUUUUAUAGAAAUAACAUAAAAAUUUUGAACUUUGUAGGAAAAUAUAUUUACAAUUUGUUAUAUUAAAGGGAGCUGUAUGCAAUUAAACAAUAAAAAUAUUGCUCUACAAUUUAGCAGCAUUCGAAUUGUUUUUUUAUAUCAGAAUGUAUUUUAUCAUUGUCUCAAAUAAAUUCAAAAUUUUAAAUAUGUAAUUGGUAAUAUUUGAUUGCAAAAUUUUACUAAAAUGAGUUGGCAUAUAUAUAUAUAUAUAUAUAUAGAGUGAGGCUAUUAUGCUAUCGGAAGCACGGAGCCUUCCGUGCUUCCACCUCAUUUUCGAUGUUGCGAUUUUCGAAUCGUCGAUCGGCUCCGUUAAACUUGAUCUAGAGUAUUUGAAGUAUCUUAGAAAAUAAAUUUUAUGAUUUUACGAAUCAUUUGCCUAGUGAACGAAGGAGUGCUCUAAAAUCAAACGGCUGAAAAUAAAAUCUUACAAAUGUGUAAUAUACAUUUAAAUUUUAAAUCUAAGAUAUUGAUCUUGUUUUAUAUAGUAUAAAGAAUUUUCUAAUCAAAAUUUCACGUGAUUUGGAUAUUUCUACACCGUUAAACUUUGCAACGGCUCAUUACGACCAUUGAAAUUGUUGAUUUUGAACCCAUUCGAUCACUAGGCAAAUAAUAUCGAAAAAAUAAUAAAAUUUAUUUUCUAGGUACUUCAAACAACUUGAUCAAGUUUAUACUAAAGACCAUCGCGAUUCGGAAAGUCCAACAUCCGAAACGAGUGAGAGCACGGAAGCUCGUGCUUGCUUCUGAAAGCAUAGUUACCUCCUCUAUAUAGUAUAUAUAUAUAUAUUAUAUAACAGAUCUACGAGAUAGAGAGAGAGAGAGAGAAGAGAGAGAGAGAUCUGAGCUUUCGGGAUUGACGGAAGGGGGGGAGAGAGAAGUUGAGAGAUUCUUGGAUUGUGGACUACUAUUAGUAGCAAAUUUAUUGUUAAAAAAAAAAAAUAAAAAGUAAUAAUUUAUAAAGACCUUGGAUCAACCUCUUUUGUAUUAUUUCUAACAUUGGAUUAAAUACUAUAUCCGAGUGGGACCACUCAACACUAGGGGAGACACUCAACUUCUAACGACUAAUAUCAUCAUGGACCCUAAUUUUCAUCAAGGUUUUUUAAAACUUGAUAGCAAAAGAUGGUUUUUACCCUAUUAAUUAGUAUUCAGCCUUAUAUUAUAUAUAUAUAUAUAUUAUUAUAUUAUAAUUUAUAUAUUAUAGAGAGAGAGAAGAAGAGAGUGAGAGAGGCCGACACCAAGACAGGAUAUGCAAUUAUCGUGCGAGAGAGACGGGAGGAGAGAGAGAGAGAGAGUUGUUGCUGUAUGCUUAUGUAUAAGCACGGAACGCCUCGUGCUUUCAAGUCGUUUUUCGAUGUUCGGACUUUCGAAUCGACGAUCUGACCGUUAGAGUUGAUUCUAGAGUAUUUGAAGUACCUAGAAAUAAAUUUUGCGAUUUUUCGAUAUAUUUGCCUAGUGAUCGAAGGGGUCAAAUCAAUAAUUUUAACGGCCGUGGUGAGCCGGUUGCAAGUUUAACGGUAUAGAAAUAUCAAAAUCUAUGAAAAUUUGAUAGAAAAAUUCUUUAUACAUAUAAAACAAGAUCAAUAACUUUGAUCUAAAAUUUUAAUGUCGUAUCAUCAUAUUUGUAAGAUUUUAUUUUCAGCCGUUGAUAUUUUGAGCCACUUCGAUCACUAGGCAAAAUGAUAUCAGAAAAAUCGCAAAAUUUAUUUUCUAGAUACUUCAAAUCACUCUAGAUCAAGUCUAACGGAGCGAUCGUCGAUUCGACAAGCCGAACAUCGAAAACAAAAUGGAAGAUGGAGCCCUCGGUGCUUCCAUAGGCAUCCUAGCCGCACUCUAUAUAUUGAUAUAUAUAUAUACUAUAUAUAUAAUUAUAUAUAUAUAUAGAGAGAGAGACGAGAGAGAGAAGGGACGAGAGUACGGAGGACGGAUGACGGAGAGUGGAGAAGAGAGAGAGAGUUGAGGCUAGAAUAUCUCAAUAGUACGCAAGAGAGGAGUUGUGCUUUUGAUUUUUAGCCAUGGAUGGAGAGAUGUAGGAUUGAGAUAAUGUAUAGGUGACGAAUAUGAUAGAAUAGUGUUUGACUCCAAAGUUCUAUUUAAUUAUGAAGAGUAGAUCCAAGAACUAGAAACCUAGAAGCCCAGUCAAAGGGUUGAUGCUAUCUAAAAGUAUAUACUGCUCAAUUAUAUAUUAUAUAUUAUAUAUAUAUUAUAUAUUAAUAUUAUUAUAUAUAUAUAUAUAUAUAUAUAUAUAUAUGAGCUAGGCUGGUAUACUAUCAGUAGCACGAAGGCCUCCGUGCUACCAAAUUGUUUUCAAUAAUGCAGCUUCCAAAUCGACGAUCUGCUCCGUUAGACUUGAUCUACACUAUUAAAAUAUUUGGAAACUAAAUUUCAUAACUUUUCAACAUCAUUUGGCUAGUGAUCAAAAUGUCUCAAAAUUGGCAAUUUUAAUGAUAUAUGUGAUGUAUUUGUAAAUUUAACGGUGUAAAACAAUCCAAAUCAGAUAAAAUUUUUAUAGAAAAUUCUUUUUACUAUUUAGAGUAAGAUCAGUACCUUUGAUUUUAAAUUCAAGUCGUCCAUCAUCAUUUUUUAUGAAAUUUUUAUUUUCAACCGUUCAUUUUUAGACUACUCGUUUGAUAGGUAAAUAAUAUCGAAAAAUUAUGAAAUUUAGUUUCCAAAUACUUUCAAUAGUGUAGAUCAAGUCUACGGAGCCGAUCGUNGCCCUAUUUGUUUUUUUUUUAGACUUUGAAAAAUUCUGAUAUAUUCAUUAACGGGGUUUUAUAUAUAUAUAUAUAUUGCCAACAAGGAUUGUCAAAUAAUUAUCUUAUAUUGAAAUCCUCAUAUAACUCUUUUUAAAUCUUACAAUUUGUACAUUAAAAUAUAAUCGUAAGAUUCGCCCUAUUUGUUUUUUUUUUUAGACUUUGAAAAAUUCUGAUGUAUACGUCAACGGGGUUAUAUAUAUAUAUAUAUAUAUAUAUAUCUCAAUCCGACCAUAUGAUAGCCAUCGUGCCUCCGAAAGCACGAUGGUUCAACAAAAGUUACUACGCUUAGAAUGCUAAUAUAAAAUUACAUGUUUAACAUUCUAAAUUUUUUUCAAUAUACUCCUAAAGUUAUAUUCUAUUAAUAAACUGUUAGGAACAACCGUUAUAUAUAUAUAUAUAUUUUGGGGCAAUUACUUAUAUAGUCUUAAAAAGUUUCAGAUUUUUUUUUUGUUUAUCCCGCUUAGAAUGCUAAUAUAAAAUUACAUGUUUAACAUUCUAAAUUUUUCUCAAUAUACUCCUAAAGUUAUAUUCUAUUAAUAAACUGUUAGGAACAACCGUUAUAUAUAUAAAAUCACUAAUUUGUACUUUUAAAUAUACCAUUUUAUCGUCAUUAUUUUUUUUAUUUAUUCUUAAGUUAGGGACAAAAGAGUUAUUUUUACUUUUUUUUUUUAACUUUGGUAGUAAUUUAAUCCUAAUUUAACUUGAGAUGAUUUAACAGGUACUAAGCGAGAUUUUUUUGAAUAAUAGAGAAAUAGAUGAGAGGUAUAUUUAAAAUAAAAAAAGGAGUAUAUAAGAUACUUAAGAAGUUAAUUUUGAAGGGUUUAUAGGUAACUAUCCCUAUAAUAUUAUUGUACAUCUUAAUAUUAGUAUCAUUUGCAACUUAAAAAAUAAAUAAAACAUUAGAUUAAAAAACCUCCAACUUUAGUACGUACGUAGUACUAUAAAAAUUAAUAAUUUUAUUCAAUUUUUAUGGUUGUAAUGUGUUGAAUUUAAUAAGCUUCAACAGCAAACUUAUGUCAGCAAAAUUUUAUAACUGAAUUUAAUAAUUAUUUAGUUUUUUUAAUAUAUUUGACUCAAGGACAAAGAAUACAAUAGAAUUAAUUAAUACAAUUUUUAAUUAGAAAAAACAACAGAGACAAAGACUAACAUACAUCUAUGCCUUUUGUAAUAUAUUUAGCCUAGAAUCUUACAUUCUUUUAGUUUUUCUGCAAUUGCACGUAUGAUUAAAACCGGACGAUCUCAUAUUUCCAAAGGAGUUGGUGCGUAGUUCAGAGAAACUCAAACAAUUGUUCCCGCAACAACCAAGCAAAGCCUAGUUUGAUUAUAUAGUAAAAUUUGUUUUAAUCUUUUCUUUCUAUAAGCCAUAAAUUACAGUCGCAAAUGCAGUUAAAAUAUAUUUCUUUCGUGGUAAUUAUAUCCGUAAUUUUAAAAUAUUGAAGGAGAAAAAAAAAUGUAACUAUUUCACUGCAUUAUCAAACUAGGCCUAAGACUAAAAUUAGAAAUGCUAAGGUGAAUGGCAAGUUAAUAAAAUAAAGAUCGAAGACUUAAUUUGAACUAACAGAUUAUUUAUUUUAUUUGCAUUAUAGUUGGAUACUUUUUUCACUGAUUUCUGUCGUGGUUGGCUACUCUACUCUUGUCAUAUGAGAAAUGGCAUAAGAGUGAAGUUGAAUUUUUAAAUUUAUGUAAAAAAUGUAUAAAAUUUAUCUGAAUUCUGGAUAAUUUUCAUUUGAUUAUUUAAUGUUUUAUAAUUUUAAUUUUACUAUCUAAUCUUUUAAUUUGUUUGAUUCAAGUCGGUCAAUAAAAUUUUAACUUUAAAUUUUGAAUGGAUCGUUUAUAUUUGCCGGUUUAAUUAGUUUAUUACGUAUAAUUCUCGCAACUAUAAAUUUAUUAAAAAUAAAUAAUUAGUUUAAAUUUUAAAUUAAAAUGUCGUUAACUAACUUAAAUCAACCAAAUUGAAACGUUGGAUAGUAAAAUUAAAUUUUAAAAGAUUUGAUAAAUCAAAAUGUUCCAUAAUUUAAUUAAGUUUCGUAUAUUUUUAUCUAAAAUAUAUUUUGCUAGUACUCCUUUCACCGUCGCUAGAUUUUGAAACUUAAUUUGAUCUCCUUCUUAAUUAGAAAAUAUAAUAUUCUUGAUAAACAUUAGGAACUUCCUAACCUUUCAGUAAGAAAAGAGAUUAUAACAACAUUAUAUUAAGAUUUCGUUAAAAAUUACGAAGAGAUUGUAUUUCAUACAGCACAAACAAUAUGACAAAAAAUUAAUAUAUUUAUUAUUGUACAUAAUAUCAUAUUCUAAUAAUGAGUUGGCUAUAAUUAUUUUCUACGAUCCUAUAAGAAAAUAAAAAAAAAAAAUCUCUGUACGCUUUUAUUCCAACCCUCUUUAGCCUAACAAUAUUUAGAGGGCAUUUGAAUUAAUGAAUCUGUAGAUUCAACGUAACUCAAGUGCAGUAGUACUUGAGUUUUUCUGAAGUAUGAUUAUUUUUAUGUUGUUUAUUUUGACGUAAUCCGUACAGUUUGAAAGUUAAAUUCAAUUACUUCUUAUGUUUGUUUUGAUGUAACUUGGUGCUGGUGAAAUUAAUUUUUUGAGUUUCAUUUUUAGUUUCGAUGUAAGUAAGUGAAUUUUAUUAUUUUUUAAAUAUAGUGGUAAAUUUAUCACUAUAAAAUUUAACCUAUUAUAUAAUUAUUUUUUUUAUUAUUUAAAGGUAAUCAUAAUUUAUUAUAAAUAAGGUAAUUUUAACUUAUUAUAAAGGAAGUAGAGUUUAGAUUUUACUAUUUAAUAAAUUUUUUAGAGGAGGUUUAGUGUGACAGAAGUCGAGUUCGACACUUUAGAGGAGAAAGUCGAGAAUGAGCAAAAUAGGAGUCUAACGUAACUUAAAUUAUAUUAUAUUUUUAAUUUAUAUUAAAAUAAAUAAUAAAAGUGAUGAAACUUAAGUUCCAUCACUCCACUUACGUGGAAACAAGCCGACCGCAGGUGAACCACAAUAAAACAUUUUUAAUUGUAGGAGAAAGUUCUAAACAUCCCACUAUAUUAUACCUACUAAAGCAUCGACAUAGUUAUUUUCUAAUCCAUUUAGUAUAUCUUAUGCUAUAACCUCCACCAUACAAAACUUAUUCUGCAGCAACUUUAUUGGCAACAAGUCAACGAAAUCAAAAUUUCAAAAGAUACAUUCUAAUUUAAACUUUAGCGUUUUUAGGCACAAAAUUGAGUGAAUCAGAAAACUACCAUUCCCGCCCUAUAAAACGCCCCGUUGGUCCCCCGUUCCAUUCAAACACAACCCCCCCUACCCCCACGGGCACACACCCUUCUCCUCUCCAUCCAACUCGAUCCUUUCUCUUCAUUAACUCCGCCCCUCUCCUCUGCUCUGCUCCCAUUUAGUACUUCACCAAACACUUUUUAACCUCUCCACACAAGCGAAAGAGGAAGGAGAGACCCGACAACAAUGGCCCCUCUCCCCGAGACCAACGGCGGCGGCGGCGGCGGUGGCGAGACCCUCUCCGACGCCUGGGACUACAAGGGCCGUCCCGCCGCGCGGUCCCGCACCGGCGGUUGGACCUGCGCCGCCACGAUUCUAGGUUCGGUAGAGCACUUGAUUUUUUCAAUUCAACACGCUUACUGUUGUAGCUGCUAACGAAAACCGGCCAUGAGAAGGUGUCGAGCUCUGCGAGAGGCUGACGACGCUGGGCAUCGCGGUGAACCUCGUGACUUACCUCACCGGGACUAUGCACCUCGGAAACGCCGUCUCGGCCAACGCCGUCACCAACUUCCUCGGGACCUCCUUCAUGCUCUGCCUCCUCGGCGGCUUCGUCGCCGACACCUACCUCGGCCGUUACCUCACCAUCGCCAUCUUCACCGCCGUCCAGGCGUCAGUAAGUAUCCUUUCUCAGGAAAAAAAAAAAAAAAAAACUAUCUCCGCAUCAAUUUUUAUCAUUAUAACCGAUCGUCUCUAAAGCAAGAGGCAAAAAGUUUGAUGAUUGGUAUUCAAGAUUUUAAGUUCGAAUUCUAGUUGAUUCACAUUUUCAACUAAAUUUAUUUCUAAAAUAAAAUAAAUCGAAACAGAUAGCGUGCUAUCUAUCUCUCAAUAAAAAAAUAAAAAUAAAAAUAAAAAUUAUCAUUAUACACAGGGAUUGAAAUAGUCCCCGGAUCCUCUCAAUUUCCACUAUUUGAUUGAUCGACGGUCGAAUUUUAAUAUUAAAAUCGUUCUUUUCGGUUUUAGCUGGGUUUGAUUUCUGACGCGCAGGGUGUUGAAUUGUUUGGUCUGAAUAUUUAAGGGGGUGACGAUACUGACGAUAUCGACGGCGGCGUCCGGGCUGCGGCCGCCGCGGUGCGCGGACCCGUCGGGCGCCUCGGCGGCCUGCGUGCGCGCGGACGGGGCGCAGCUCGGGGUGCUGUACCUGGGGCUGUACCUGACGGCGCUGGGCACCGGCGGGCUCAAGUCGAGCGUGUCGGGGUUCGGGUCGGACCAGUUCGACGAGGGCGACGGCGGCGAGAAGCGGCGGAUGAUGACGUUCUUCAGCUGGUUCUUCUUCUUCAUCAGCCUCGGCUCGCUGCUCGCCGUCACCGUGCUCGUCUACAUUCAAGACAACCUGGGCCGCCAGUGGGGUUACGGGAUCUGCGCCGUCGCAAUUCUCAUCGGCUUAGCCGUGUUCUUGUCGGGGACCCGGCGGUACCGGUUUAAGAAGCUGGUCGGGAGCCCGCUGACGCAGAUCGCCGCCGUGGUGGCGGCGGCGUGGCAUAAGAGGGGCCUGGAGUUGCCGUCCGAUCCGUCGAUGCUUUACGACGUAAACGAUGCGGCCGAGGCCGGAGAGAAGGCCAAGGCCAAGCAGAAGCAGCCCCACACCAAGCAAUACCGGUAAGCGCUUCCCACAUCCUCCCUCCUCCUCCUGCUGCUGCUAUUUUGAUAGUUUGUUAAAAUUUUUAGUAUUAAACAAAAUAUAUAAUAAAAAUAAAAUUACAAAUUUUUUAAAUUUAUUUUUGAGUGCACAGAUAGCAUAUUUUUUUUUUAACAAGUAUCUGGAUGCAUUAUUAUUAGUGUUAUUCUAGAAUGUUCCUGGUUGGGUCUAAUUAAGUAGUUUGUAGGUAUAUGCAGUAAAUAUGGUUUGGGAAGUUGAUGAUUGUUAGUUGCACCAAGCUUAAUUUGAUUUAUUCCAUACUUUCCUAUUAAAUGGGGAUAGAGUUUUACCCUUCCUGGAGCGCUGCUCGGAGCGCUCUAGAAUGUCAACAGCCCUAUAGCCUUGGAAAACCCUUGAGUGCGGAGCUCUCCCACGGCACCCGUGGGGAGCUCUAAUCCGUGAUCCGUCGUCACGUGUCACUUUUAUCUUUAUAUAAUAAUUAUAUUUUUUUUUUCAGUAUUUAAUUCUUUUUGUAGAUUUUGAUGUUAAAAAAAUCUAAAAGUCUAUUGAAUAGAGACAAAACUAAUACGCGACAGCAGUUUAAGGGUUCUUCAACGAGACGUUGUCGGAAAUCUUUCUGCUCAAGUUCUAUUCCAUAGGCUUGAGUUUGUAGUUACUAUGCGUGGAAUUGAAAAGUUAUGAAUUCGUGUCUCGGAGAGGGAAAAAAUUAAUAUGAAUAGAAUUGUACAAACCGGACAGGCUUUCGAUUAGGAAUGCGAAUGGAUCUGAAUUGGUAGAGCUCAUGUUUCGAUCCGUCCUAAAUAGAGUGAUAAGUAGAUGUCAACAUCAGAGAAAAUUAAGAAUAAUCCGUCCAUACUUUUCACACUAGCGUAGAGACAUCGAAUAGAAAUUUCCUUUGUAUUAUUCUACUCAGACUCCCUCACCGUACGCAUCUCACCAUUUCUUUUCCGAACUGGGACAAACAAGCUAGAGUAAAGCUCUAAAACGCUUUCAAAAUCUCGAAGUGACAAUUGCAUCUCUGCUCAACGCAAAAAAAAAGAAAAAAAAGAAAAAAAAAAAAGGGGGCUAUUGCAGGGGAUGCUUAGCUUGUUCAGACUAAGACCUUAUAAAUUACAAUCAUAUGAGACGCACACAAGCUGGAAAAUCAAUAUUGUCCCAAAAAUAGGAUACUCGUGGUCCCAGUAAAUAGGAUAAUACUCAAGUUGGAUAUUCUAAAAUCAUUAACUAGAACAAUUCUCUACAACGAAGCAACCAACUAUCCUUAAAUAAUUGCACUAAAUGCAUACAGAUAUAUAUAUAUAUAUAUAUAUAUAGAUAUGUACAUAGUCAAAAUUAAUUAUUAGCAUGGGUCGUAUAAAGUUGCCCUUUUCCUGUGACUGGUUAGCAGAAUCAGACGAAGAAAUUAUACUCGCAGGCCCCACACACAGCGUGUAUGUGUUGUACCCCGUGAGGGAUCAAUUAUGCAGGAAGGGUUGAUUUCAACCCACUCUAAUCCUUAUACUUAGAAAGUGAUGUUUUUUUAUUUUUUGAGAGAGACAGGUUUGCUAUCCGCUUCUUUUAUUUCAUUCAAAAAUAAAUUUAAUUAAUUAAGUUUAAAAUUUUAAAUAUCAACUAUCAAAUUUUUUAUCAUGACGAUCAAACUAAUUAAUUAGAAGUGAGAUUCUCAUAAGCUUUUCUGGAGGAUACUCGAUCUCCACUACCUUUUAACGUUGAAUUAACUCCUACCAAUUACCUUCCAUUGACUCUUGAUUAGAUGGCUUGACUUAGUUUUAGAAAUAUUAUCUGUUGAAAUGAUUGAAAAUUUUUUUUUUAUUUUCCUCUUAUUAUGCUUGCUUAGAAAUUGCGUGCUUUUUUUUACUCUUUUUUCUUUUCCUUUUCUUUUAAGAAAUUAACUUAUAGAUAUCGAUAACAUCUUUGGUGCGAUCUGAAUUUAGAAUUUGGAGUCCGAAAUAAAAUCCAUGAACCAAUAACAUUAGUUACUUAGGAAAAAAAAAAUUUGGACUGAAGCUGCAUGCAGCAUUGUGUCUUGUGAAUCACCAUGAGUUCACGUAGCGCAUAGAUAUCGCAGUCUCUGACAGUUUUUAGUUUAAGACCGAGAUUUUAUAGAAUUUUAGUUUGAGAAGAACAGUCAUGAAAGGAGCAUAACUUAAUGAUAUUCCCUGUACUCAGCUACAUUCAAAAGUAAACUUGGUGUAAAAAUUAUCUUAGCAGAACACUAAUUAUUCUUGGUUCAAGUUGAAGCUCAUAAUAAUAUAUUUAUCCUGGUGGGCGCCUCAUAGGUUUGUCAUGCGUGUACGAAAUUCGAUAUAAUUAAGCUCCACAUGGUUGUGAGUGAGAAGGUCUCCUCGUUAUUUAAUUUCCUCCUUCACCACUUUCAAAGCAAAUAUUAUUAUAUACUUUGCAUAGAUUCUCUGUUUAAGUGAUGAGGCUGGGUUCAAUGUGAACUGGGUACGAGCUGGUCACUUAUUAGAUAGUUGAUACCUCCCCAAAUAGAUUUUCCCCCCACCCCCCAAAAAGAGAAAAGGAAAAAAAAAAAGAUGUUGGUACAGAAAAUAAUAGUAAGUAAUGGUAUUUAAAGGUAUGGUUACCACCUAAAGAUGUUGGUACAGAAAAUAUUAAUUAUAGUAAUUGGUGGUAUUUAAAGGGGCGGGGGGGGUGUUAACAACAAAAUGUUUCCAUCACGUGAGGUGGGCGAUGGAGAAAACGCAUCACCAUAUGUACCUCAUUGAAAGGACAAGUAUUAUAUAUUGUUAGCCUUUUCUUUUUAAAAUAAAAUAUAUAUAAUCAGAUGCGGCUGCAAAAAGCAACGAUUCCAUUACUUAUCUUCUGAGAUUCGAACGCAAUGAUAUCACAUAGUAAGAAAUAACGAGUCUAAAACUGAUGUGGCUAUUAAUAAAAGUUAGGAAUAUAUAGUUUCGUAAAGUUUUCCGCAAACCUAUCAAAUAGCAAAUAUAUUAUUAUAAAAUUUAAUUUUUUAUAUUUAUUUUUUAAAAAAUUCAGUAAUAUUUAUAUUUGUCAUCUUGAUUUGUUAUCGUUAGAUUACUAUUUAUUUUUAAUAAAAAAUAAGUGAAAUGAUAUUCUUAUCAUCACAAAUAUAUAUGCAUGUCCAAAAACCCCAACAGUUAGGAUUAUAAAAAAAUAUUUUCUCAUAAAUUCCUAAUGGUUAUCUUCUUCCUUUAUUACUGAAAUGUUUAUAAUAUACGAGAAAUAAAAAUAUCAAUUUAUCUUAUUUGCCAAUCAUAAUUAAGUAUUUUAUCUAUAGUUAACUAUAUAUUUCUAACGGAUUCUAACAAUAGCGGUAUAUUUAAAAAUGUUAGGAUUUUUGUAGGAAUAAAUAUAAAAAAUUAAAAUUUGCAAGAAUAUAUUUACUAUUUGAUAUGUUUACAGUAGUUGUAUGCAAUUAUUUAUAAAAGUUAAUAGUUUUAUUUGCUCGUCUUACGUAAUCAAACUUGGUUAUUAUCUCAAAUUUUACGUACCUAUUUCUUACUUUAAAUUUAUAUAUAUAUUUUAAGCCUAGUUAGAUUAUUGAAUAAAAGGAGCGAGAAAAGUGAUUGCUAUAGUCAGGUUCUCGUUUUUGAUAAUUAGGAAAAUAGGGCGAGAAAAGUCUUCUCUAGAUAAUAGACAAUUAAACAAACUCGCAUAAAAAAAAUCACGAAAUAUAUAUAAAUAUAUAUUCUCUGUUUUUCACUAUCUUCUUAAUUUACUCAAUCAAAAUAGCCAAUGCCAUACGACAUUACGUAAUUGAUAAUUAAUCUGUGAUAAUGGUGUUUUGUAAAAGAGUUUUCUUUGGAGUAUAGAGCGUGAGAAAACGAGAGAAAAUUAUAUUUUGAAAUAAAGGUUUCAUUUGAGGAUGACUUAAAAGAGUAUCACAAGACUCGCACCACAAGAGUCUCGCCGAAUUUCUACACAGGGAGUCUAGAUCAAAACCUAACUGCGACCAUUUUCACCACCGAUACAAGUCAUUCAUAUUCUAUGAUUGUUUGAAAUAAUUGGUUUGAACGAUGCGCUAUCCAAUCAUUCUUGAAAAAUUAUUAAGAACAAAUACAAGGGAUCGACAAGUUGCAGCUUGUCUCUUAUCUUGCCUACCAGUACUAGCUAUCUUGGCUUUCACUUGUGUGGUCUCCACCGUGCAUGGUCCAUGAAACAGCUCGAAAAUUUUGUUUAUUUUCGGCGAAAGCACUGUCGUAACAGUUCUAAGAUUGUUCUUACUACUAGUAAUGUUACACUUACCGCACUACAAAUCCCGAAUUUUUGAAUUUGAUGAUGAUUCAAAACUUUUUGAAUUAUCGCUCUUUUCGUUUUACAUCAUUUUAGUAAGUAACAGGGUACAAUUUCCUGCGUUCGUCAUUUAUCCAUAGCUUUCGCGCAAAGAUCAUAUCUGAAUUUUAUGCCUAGCUAGGUUCUAGUAAUAACAGAAGACCUUCUCAACAACAUUUGAUCCGUGACUAGUGCUACAGUUCCUUGCUGAUCGUUUGUGCUGCACCAUAUAUACUUGCAGUUUCCUAGACCGGGCCGCGAUCAUCGAAGAUGACGCCUCGGCAGCCAAGACUCUGCCGGCCAACUGGCGGCUCUCGACCCUCACAGAUGUCGAAGAAGUAAAGCAAGUGGUCCGGAUGCUCCCUACAUGGGCCACCACCAUCAUGUUCUGGACCGUCUACGCCCAGAUGACCACGUUCUCCGUGUCACAGGCCACCACCAUGGACCGCCACAUCGGCCCGUCCUUUGAAAUCCCCGCGGGCUCCCUCACCGUAUUCUUCGUUGGCUCCAUCCUCCUAACGGUCCCCGUUUACGACCGCCUUGUCGUCCCGACCGUCCGCCGCUUGACCCACAAUCCCCACGGCCUCACCCCUCUCCAGCGCAUCUUCGUCGGUCUCGUCGUCUCCAUCAUCGCCAUGGUCGCUGCCGCCCUCACCGAGCGCAAGCGCCUCCAUGCCGUCCACGAAGGUACCUACGGACAUUACGUAACGAUUCAAACCGAUGCCUCUUUUUAUAGGAACGGUGUUUUAAUCAUUUAUAUUCAACAGGCGCCCCGACCUUGAGUGUGUUCUGGCUGGUCCCGCAAUUCUUUCUGGUGGGCGCCGGCGAGGCGUUCACUUACAUCGGCCAACUGGACUUCUUCCUAAGAGAGUGCCCGAAAGGGAUGAAGACGAUGAGCACGGGGCUGUUCCUCAGCACGCUAUCGCUCGGCUUCUUCCUCAGCUCGGCCCUGGUGAGCAUAGUUCACGCCGUGACUGGCGAGAGCGGUAAAGGCGCGUGGCUCGCCGAUAACCUCGACGACGGCAAGCUCUACAACUUCUAUUGGCUUCUCGCCGUCCUGAGCGUAAUAAAUCUCGGUUUCUUCUUGCUGUCGGCCAAGGGGUACAUCUACAAGGAGAAGCUGAUUGGGGCCGACGGCGCGGAAUUGGAGGAAGAUGCCUUUUGUCAUGCAUAAAUGUAAUCUUUAUCUUUAUGUGUGUCUUUCUCUACGUAAUUUUAACUAAUCAAGAGUAAUUCUAGCUGUAACGUAUCAUUGCCUUGUAGAAGUAGUUUGUGGUGUGAUCCGCUGUAAUCCGUUCAUAAAGUUAAAAUUUUGGGCGCGCAUGUUUUUUUCUUUUUUUUUGGUUUAUUAUUAUUUUCGUUGAUUGUUGAUCAAAAGAUGUGCCUUUUGGUUCAAUAACCGUGAAGGACAGUUACAAGUUACAACACACGCAAGAGUGUCAAAAUUGGGAACCGUCCCCCACCCACAUUUUGCAACUUUACAACCUUUUAACUAACUCCACUUCAAAUCCAACCAACAAUUGAAGGGGAUUAGCCAUGGAACGGCCUUUCACAGUGCUCGAGAAGAAAUUGGCCGAAUUGGAAUCUCAACUCACCGAACUACUCGUCGGCUCGGCCGACGACGAGAGCCCCGACGGGACGGCCUGCUGCCGGCAAAGUGCCUUCAAGGAGGCGCGCCCGCGAAUUGAGUUUCUCAAAACACUUCUUGCCGCCGAGAAGGAAUGCCAUCCUUGCGAGGGGCCGGUGCACCUCGCACACAUAGAGGAGAGGCUGGCGGCCGUUGAUGGCGCCUUUCGCAAGUGGGUCGAUUGCGUCGUCACCCCGGAAGUCGACUUCCGCGAGCUCUUGGUGUGUUCCUGCACCGAUGCUUGCUUUAGCGAGGAAGGGAUGGAAGAAGACGAUAGCGUGAGAGAGGAAGCCGAGUGUUUCGUUCCGCCGAUGAGCAAGGAUGUCGAGAUUUUAGAAUUAGGAGGAGGUGAGAGGGACGAGAGAGAAAGCGAAAAAGAAGAGAGGAAGCAUUGGGGGUUUUACUGCAGGCAUUUGGGUUUUCUCAGCAUUGCAGCAGCAGCAGCGGCGGCGGCGAUCGGUCAUAUAGCCAUGAAGUUUGGUAGUGUAGAAGAGGAUGUUUUUCUUGUCCCAACCUGAGAUAGUUUCCCUGAGUAGUUUUGAAUUCUAUUAAUCUUCGGAGUUAUUAUUUUGACUAAGGUAUCUGAAACUUUGUUACAGUGUAAAUCGUUUCUAUUCUCAGCGAAUGAAGUAACAAUGAAGAGAGUUGAUCUACAUCAGGUUUGGACUAUGCACCACACUUCCUAUUUUUCUUCUGAAAAACUUAGGAACCUUCUAAUCAGGAUAUUGAACAAAGAAAAUAACAGGAUUUUCAUCAGCAUCGUCUAGCAGGAAUAUGGAUAUUGCUGUAACUGAACGUAGAACAAUAGGAAGGAUUUAAAUUCUAUGCACUGCGGAUCAUUCAAAAGAAUUUCAUACACAAAAAAUCUGGAAAAAAAAAAAACUAGCAAUACACACAAACAAUCCUUUAAUUUGACAGCAAGAUUAAGCACAAAACCUAUUACUUUUCUGUUACUUUUUUCUAUUACUUCUUAUCUCUUCACUUCCUUCUCAAUAGAGGAGGAACAAUCUGGCUUCACAAAGAAAAGAAAAGAAAAAAAACAAAUGGGGGUAUACUUCCAGUGUAAUCUGUGUGUGUAAAUGCUGCUACAUUUUCUUUAUCAAGUACCCAAAGAGGAUGCCUAGCAUCAGCACAAUCACCACGAACGUGACAGAGUAACCUCGACGAACUCUUGCUCUUUCUUUUCUCAGCAGUCCCUGUAACAGAAGUUCACAAAAAUCCAAUGUUCAUGAAUUGUUAAAAAAUAAUAAUAAUACAAAAAAAAACAGAGGUUGAGGGGGAAAAAAGAAAAAAGGAACCAAAACAAAACAAAACAAAACAAAACAAGAGCUCUGUGACCGCCAACCCUAGUUUAUUAGAGCGCAAUCGUAGUAUAUCAAGAACAGUAAAAACAACGAAACAUGGAACUCCAAUAAAUUCUACUCAUUCUGGCAAUCAUUGGACUUUAAAUGUCUCCUGAAACAAAAACUUCGAAAAAAUGACAAUUUCAACCUACAUAAAAUUUCAAUCACUUAAUAGCACAGUGAUAUUAUAGCUACAAUAAAGGGCCAUUUUUUUCCACAUCGGGGACUCACAAGAGAAUAUACACAUAUGUAUUUAUUCUUAAUAUGAAAAGCCCAAUAAAAAAAGAACAAGCCAUCCAGAAAGUCUAAAAUCACAAAAUGAGAUUAUACUAAAUUUAUUAACAACCUUUCAUUUUGUAUCUGAAGAUAACUCUAGGAGAACGAAGGAUGAAAGAAGUUAAUCAUAGAAAAGUGAAUCAUACCAGCUGUUGCCGCAGUUUCUGAUUUUGCUCAAUGGCAUCUGCUUUCUCUUGUGUCAGCUUUGCUAUAAGCGGUAGUGCCUAGAGAAUCGAAAAGUUGGAAAAAUGUUAUUGCCAGGUAUAUCGACAUAUUUGUACCUAUACCCACAUGGAUAUUUUCGUGUGCAUUUAACACCAAACCUUCAGUAUAUUAGACAUCAAAGUUCUGUAAGAUAUAGCGGCAUGUCAUACAAAUCCUGUAGACUCCUAGUUUGGAUUAGAGAAGCAUCAUAUCAUGUAACUCCAUAGCUUACAACAGAUAUUUACUCAAUCAUUUGACAAGUUCGUCACGAAUAUUCACCUACUCAACUUAAAAUUCAUAAGGAGAAAAACAUCUCAGCAUCUAAUCUGUAGUACUCAACAGGUAUAUCUCCAAAUCUUGAUACAUCAGGUGAAACUCCUGACAUUAUUCAAUGGCUAUCAGUGGUUAAAGAUGCCUUCACAUAAUAUGCAUCCAUCACAUAUACUGAUCAUGCUAUCCGUAAAUGCAUUGAAAUAAUAAUAAUGGCUAUUAGAUUUACUGGAAUGGCAUGUAGCUAUUUACUCGAAAGUUGUCUUCCUAUGUUCCACUUUUAAUAACCCGUGACAGAUAAACAAAUGCUACAAUAAAGAUUGUGUGCGGCGGUACUAGAGAGGGUGGGUACUGUGGCGGUACCAUACUGAAAUCUUCCAAGCUGAAUCUUGCCAUAAUUCACAAAUAGGCAGCCACUAAAUGUCAUGACAAAGGUCUAAUGCUAACAUCAUUAUGUGAAUCAAACUAGCAUAAGCAAAACUGACACAAAGACAUUGCUUUACCUAAUCUAUAUUAUUUCUUAUGUUGUACAAUAAGUUUUGUAGAUGUAUGAGACCGCUAUGUUUCGCCUCCAACUGACAAAUUUAUUACUAUAAUAAAACCAAAAGCAUCGUAGAUGCAUGUAAGAAUUUCUUAAAAGGUACAACAAAUAUAAGAUCAAAUAUUCACCUCUGAAGUCUUUUCCACGGAGGCUCCUUCCUGGAACUUUACAGCCUGAAAUUAAAUAAAUAGACUUGAGUAUGCAUCCCAAGAACAAACAAAGAAGAAAGAAAAAGGAACUAACAAGUAUUACUGAAACUUUGUUCAGAAAACAAAUAUGAGAGAAAUAAGGUGGAAGCAGAACACAACAAAAACUACAUACACUAUCAAACAUGGAUGAACUUUGUGCCUCGUCUAACAUAGAUGAUGUCGGAGAAGAUUCUUCUUCCACUUCCUCCGGGACUGGCGACGGAGGAUUAGCAGGAAUAUAAACUACUCGCAGCUUAAACUCCUCGACAACCUUACCCGGUGCUUUAUUGAACUUAGGGGGAAAAAAAAAAAACAGAAAUGUUACACUGAAAAUACAUCAAAAUAAUGCAAAUCACUAUGAAGAGUAAAAUUACAGAAUAUAUAUCAAACCUACCAUCUCGGAGACGACCUCCCUGUUUGUUGCACCAUCCUCAGCCACAGCACUCUGCACAAGGAAUUUAUCUUUGCAAUGGUAGUCGGGCGGAAUUUCCUUCUGUGCUUGCAUUGUAACUGUCACGAAGAAAACAAGAAUCGAGAUCCAGCGAACAUACGUACGUAACUAAUCAAUGACCGUGCAAAACUUGAUCAAAUUGGAGAAUUGCGCUUUUAUAGUAUUAAAAAGAAUCUCACUGGUGACAUUGCAUGUAGUUCCGGGCGAAAUAAUUCCAUUGUUCGGGCGCACAGAAUACUUCUUUGGGUUAGUUGUUUUAAUCUGAAAAGAUAGCAUAUCGGCAUAUACGAAAUCGACAAUGAAAGAACAAAUUUAAGAAAUAUAGUUGUAAUUCUAAAGAGAGAAAGCUUACAGGAUAUUAAAUAGGAACCCCAAAAAAUAAAAAAAUCACCUUGAAAGCUACACACUGAUCGGUCUUGUUGGUCAGCUGCAUGCAACAAGAACUCUGCCUUCUGAGCUCAACUUCUCACGACGAACAGUUGGUGAUCAUAAUACACAAAUUUAUCAUCAGUAAAACUAGUUCAAGAUAUUCUAUAUAUAUAAUAUAAAACAAAAAAAACAAUUAGAGUUAAGGUGUAGGUAAUUUCCAAUUGAUUAAACAUGCCAUCUAAUAUCAUCUACAACAGAUCACAGCUCACAGAUCGAUUGGAUAACCAAUACCCAACAGAGAAAAGCAUCUAAAAUCUCUGAACCAACACCAAUCUCACCACUCCCACGAAUCCCCAAAUCCCAAAACCCGCCACAGCGCAUCAAAAUUUGAUCUUUUACCGAUUUCUAGAACUCAAUCCGCGACAUCAUGGCGAAAAAACAGAUGGGACAUCGACAAAUGCAUCAAAAAGGAAGACCUUUUUCACGACAACUUCAGGAAAAGGGGUGGGGGGGUGUGGGGGAGAAAUCGACUCACAAGGGAUCUUGAGCUCCGAGGGUUGGACUUUGAGAAGAGUAUUGCUCAUGAUCGCGAGACCGAAUUGCUUCUUUUAAUCGCGCAUAAACGGGGAAAGAAGCCGAAGAUCGACGCGACGACGAAGACGACGGGGAGAAAUGAUUCUUUCCUCUCUCUCAAUGUUUCGUGCUCGGUUGAGCAAAGAAUUAACUAAUAAUAAAUUAAUUAAUAAUCCGAUGGGGUGGGUGAUCAGCAAUCACACGACACACGGAGACGAGAGAAGGAGAGGGGCAGGAAAGGUACGAUGACUUCGCCUUUUCGCUUUCUUUUACUCUCUCCGUACUCGGAAUUCGCCGUUACGUGAUCAAAUUAUUCUUUUAUUAUAUAUAUUUGGAUAUAAGCUGUUCAUGGUUUGUUAAGCUUUUGCAGUAAAUAAAAACUCGAAUUACCGAUAGUAAAGAUAUUUGUUAAUGAUUAGUAUGGAAGAUCUCAAAUUUAUAAAGUCGGUUCUUACUUAAAAAAAAAAAAAAAAAAAAAAAAAAAAAACUCCAAUUAGGCCUCGGGCCAAAAAUAGAGCCCAAGGGGCCGAAAGUUACUAUUUUCCAUGGCCUUUGGGCGGGCCACAGUACAAUAUGUCUGAUAAUGGAAAAAAUUUGCACCUAAUAAAUUAAUAUUGUAACAUAAUAUAAUAAUAAUAAUAUAUUUGUGCAACAGAAGAAUUCAUGAUUGAAUCAUAAUCAAUUUUAUUUUAUGUUCUAAAACCAACUAUCCACGCCACAAGAUACACAAUUGCUGUUAGUAUUUUGGUAGCCUAACACUGCAAUUCCCUCAGCAGCUUUUUUUACUGUUGGUGGAACCUUUCUGGAUGAGAGAAUGGUUAGGCAGCCAGCCAGUCAUAAUCUAUAGUUCUAUACGGGAAAGACAUGAACUUUGUCAAUUCCGAGGAGAAUAAGCAAAAAUCACAAGCAACAACAGGUAUUAAACAAACAUUGGAGUAUGAAAUUAAGGAAGUUAUCAGAGGUGAUAUGCACCACAAUCUCAGGAAGAAAGUAUCUAAGUUAUCACCUUAUAUUUCCAUAGUAACGCCCUCUUUUUGCACAAACCAAUUUCGAUUUUGUUAUAUCCUUGACCAGAAGGAAAGUGUAGCAUCUAAACAAGGAACUACUCCCAGAAUGUCGCAAACGAUUAAUGGACCAACUACUGCAUGUAACACAUUGCUCAUGAACAAGAGUGACUAGGUAAAGUUGUAUAGCUUUGUGAAAUUAAUAAUGAGAGAGAGAGAGAGAGAGAGAGAGAGAGAGAGAGAGAGAGUACCAUCUGUAGCCUUAGCCUUUGAUACAAAUGCAGUUUCUAACCAUUGGUUUUCUCAUAUUCCAGUCUUUUACCAUUCAUUACAUUUACAAAUCGGUAGUAGUCCGGCAAUUGUCUUUCAAAACCUACUGCAGAUUUGUGCCAAAAUGUUACAAAAUUUUGCGCUUGAGGUUGUGGCGAGGCCACUAUUUUGAUCCUUAACCCUUGACAAGGGCAUGCCAUGGGCGUUGGAUGCUCGCAAACCAAAUACAAGAUUGGCCAUGAAACAAUUGCACUGAAAUAUGACACGCAGAAAUAAAGGAAACAUGAAAGGCAGGUUAUACCAGUGAGUGACGAAGAAUGAUAAAAGAACAACAAGCGAGAAAAAGGACGGCAAGAAAUCGAGACGGUUUUAUCAUCUAAACUCCAAUGUUAUCCUAAUAGGUUUCACUUCCCCUCCAAAUAAACAACAAAAUCACCCCGCACGGAAAAAAAUACUCUAAAGAGCAACAUGUCUACCAUACUAUGUGCAUCAGUCAAAGAAACCAAAAUACUAUCCUAGAAAAAAAAAAAAAUUAAAACUCCAAAAGUAAACUGAACUUUGGGCUCUUAGAAUUAUACCGGUGGAACAUGACACAGCUUAUAGGGGAAACUUUUGUAUGCUGACUAAAGAUUGAGUAAUGACCAAUGCAAGAAGUGUACAAUGGGCACAAGGCAUGAUGCUUAUAUUCAACUGAUGGUACCUUAUAACAUAAUUCCCCGAUAAAAAUGCGGUUAAUGCUGGACAAAAUAGAGCAAGAUUUUUCAACAUAAAGUUAUUCAAACCUUGGUUUUCUUUCGCCCUCGAAACCUGCAAAGGGAACUAGAGAACAACGCCGAAAAUUCUCCUACAUAGUUCUUCAUGUAACCGACAAUGAGAAAAAUAAAACUUCAUUCCAAGUAUCAGGUCAAGUACAAUGUUACAUUCAUAGGUCUCACUUUCCAUAUGUAGUACCUGCAAAAGCCUUUCGUCGACAAUUACAAGUAAAUUUAGUUGCUGAAAUCAAAAUACUCUAGAUUGAUUAUAUAACACUUGAAAUCCACAUUAGUCGUAUCUACAAGUUCAACUUAUCUUGAUUCUUAAAACUUACAAAAUUGACUUGAGCUUGAGAUUGCAUUGAGUUCAAAAGUCGGACUUCAACAUCAAAAUUAUGGCAAGCAUCCAAUAUCAAAAUUCUUCAAACCAAAAAAGUUUUCCCGACUUUCAGUUGUUAUUGAUUAAAGCAUCAAAUUAAGAUCCUUAAGAAGAAAGAGAAAGCAAUCGUCUUUCCCUAAUACUCGUAAUAAUCAAACACAUUGUUGCGAUUCUGAAAUUUGAAUAACAAAUUCAAAUUUCUGAUAAAGAAACAGAGUUAGAUUAAAUCAAUCGAAGUUACAAAGAAUUAUAAGACAAUUCUGGUAUUACGAUGUGUUUAUAUAUAAAUUUACCAGAAGAAAAUCUGAACCCAACAAUAAGGAGAGCUAGUAAAAACAAGUAAUUCCUCGAUCAAAGGAAGGAUCUAGAAAACCUCAUGGAACGGAAGGUGAUGAGAGCCUCUACGACGCCGAGGCACGCUCCGGCGAGGACGUCGAAGACGAAGUGCCUCCCUAGGAGGACCCGCGACGCCGACGUGGCCGCCGACCACAGGAAAACUAGCCGCACCACAAGCUCCGCCCCAUCGCCGGCGCCGCCGCCGCCGCGGAUCCAGCGGCGGAGGGAGGCGGAGGAGAGGUGGAGGAAGGAGGCGAUGAAGAAGACGCGGGAGGAGUGGCCGCUGGGGAAGGACCAGUGGUCGAGGGCGAAGGCGAGGGACAUGCCCUUGUUGUAGACGGGGCGGGGGCGGCGAACGAGGUGCUUGAGGAGGCCGACGAGGAGGAGGUCGAGGAGGGAGCCGAGGAGGAGGCCGAGGAGGAGGGAGAAGGCGACGGAGGAGGAGAGGGGGAGGAGGGCGAGCACGACCGGGAACCAGAAGCGGCCGUCGCCGGAGACCUCUAGGGCUUUGAGGAGGGAGCGGGGGACGGGGAGGAAGAGGGAGUGGACGCGGAGGGAGAGGGCGGUGUCGACCGCGACGAGGCGCCGGAGAAGGGAGGAGGAGGGCGACGCCGCUUCGGCGGCGGCGGCCAUGGAGGUGAGAGAUUUGGUGGUCAUCGCGUAUCUUUUCCGAGUUUCGCCCGUAGAACAAAAAAAAAAAAAAAAAAAUUAUAANNNNNNNAGAAAAAAAAAAAAAAAAAAAGGAGAUGGGGGAGACGAUACCUGGACUCUUGAGGGAAUCUCUCAGCCCGUGGGCCUCUUCUUCGGCCUAACUACGAGGAUGGGCCUCCUUCAAUUGAAAGCGUGGAUGGCAGUAACACAGAAUCAGUGAACUGAAUAUUCCUCUCUCGGGUUUUGCGCCGCACACGGUGUUUUUGAAUAUUCGUUCUUUCGCACCACCCUCUCUCUCUCUUAUCGUCCCAAAAAUCCCAAAAUUGUGAUCUUUUCUUUUUGGCUUUGUUCCCCGUUACCGUGCCGACGUGGCAAACUCCUUUACCUUUUACUUAAAUGUUGCAUUUUCUCAAUAUUAGUAUUCAUUGCAUUUUCGGUUGUUGUAUAUUUUACUACGAAAAGUGGGCAUCACUGCAAAAUUUUCUGCUAAAUAGACAACAUAUAUAUUGAAAUAGAAAAUAGUAGUAAGAUAAGAUAGGCAUUAAAUCAACUUUGUUAACAAUAUUGCAAAAAUAUGAGAUCCUUGACGCAGAUCAAUUAAUUUAUUAUUCCAGCUUUGUGACUAACUACCGAUCGAAAUAUUGGGCGCAGUGUCAAUUGAGGCUUCUUUGGUUUUAAUUCAAUGGAAUAUUUAUUUUGAUUUAAGAAGAGGCCAUUACUAAAUAGAACCAUCUUAUCCACCUUUAAUGGGUCGACCAUUCGUAAAGUUUUGAUAGAGAAAGAUAUAUUUCUUUCGUCCAUUUGGUUCAAGCGAAGGCCCUCCCAUGUUUAAGAUUAAUUAAGACUAGUAUGUAUCUUUAAUUAUUUUUAUGAUGUCACAUGCAUGUGAACUAUCAAGUAAAACGUUCUAUGAGUCAUUACAGUACUAUUUCAUCAAAUCAAAUGAGAACAAGCUAGCUUAUGGAAUUGCGACGUUAGUGUUUUGCUUCAACGCAAUUGUAGUCUUGUACUUGUUAGUUCACCUUUUGGACAAAAAGAAUUUAUUGUUUCAAAUCCUCAGUGGUCUCUACUCUGAAUCGAUGUUCCUGUAGCUGACAUAUGCAACUGCGGACAACAUGCAGGUUCCACUGUGAGAGGCGUUCUCGUUUAAUUAAGCUGAUGUAUCAUAUAUAAAUAUAAACAGUAAAAAAAAAUAAUAAAUUUUAUUUGAAUUUUUUUUUUAAUUUAAAAAUAAUUUAAACCUACACCCGACGCAGAGAAAGGACCACCACCUACUUCUAUUCCCUGAUCAGGAAACAGAUUCUUUAAAUCAAAUAUAUAAAUAUACGCAAAAAUAACACAACACGCGCACGCAAAAAUAACCCUACAAACAAACCCCUCUCUCCUUCCUCUCCUUGGAGCGUCCAUCCUCCUUUUGAGCUCUGCGCCACUAACGCCGUCAACCGCCGUUUCGCCGUGAAUGGCGAACGGUUGGGUCCGCUCCCUCCACUGCAAAUCUAACGCCGAACACGACGUCGUCGACCCCGCGUCGACCCCUUCGAAGAAGCAGCCCCUCCUCCCUUCGCUAUCGUGCGCCGCCUCCUCCCUCGCCAUAAAAGACGUCGUCCUCUUCUUCCCAAAAUACCCCUCCUCCAAGCCCCAAUCCGAGCCCAAGCCCAAGCCCAAGCCCAAGCCGACGCCGACGCCGACGCCGAGCCCGAGCUCGCCAAUGGCGGCGGGGGCGGGGGCGAUGGUGGAGCUCCCGGUGGGGCACUCGUCGCGGCGCGUGGUGGAGAUCAUAUUCGGGUCGACGUGGUCGACCGCCGCGGACCGGGCCGGGUUCUUGUUCCCGGGCGAGAUCGAGGCGGUGCUCCGGGUGCACAACCCGGCCCGGGCCGUGGCGCGGUUCGAGGAGUACCGGUCGGCGGUGCGGGCCAGCGCGGCCCGGUCCGGGGAGCCGCGGUGCGCGGCGGAUGGGAACGAGAUGAUGCGGUUCCACUGCGCCCCCUCGUGCGGCGGCGCUCCGGCGUACGGCGCCGCCGUGGCGGUGGCGGCGGCGGCGGGGAAGGGGAAGGGGAAGGGGAAGGGGAUACGGACGUUCGUAGGGAGCGGGGCGGCGCACGAUAGCGCGGGGGGAGGCCGGGGUCGGAGGGCGAUGGUGGUGAGCCGGGUCGUAGCGGGGCGGGUCCGGUCCGAGUCCGAGCCCGAGUCGGAGGGCGAGUCGGUGCGCGUCGGGAAAUGUGGCUUGGUCGUGUUCGACCCUCCCGCUAUUCUCCCUUGCUUCCUCAUCAUCUAUAAGAUCUAGUGUACAACCCUUCUAAUUCUGCACGUUAAAUUGAAAUUUAUUUUCUCUCUCUCUCUCUCUUUAAGCUAAAAAGGUAUAAAACUUAUCUAAACUAUAAACUAUUUUAAUUAGCUACUUAAUAUUUUAAAAUUUUAAAUUUAUUAUCAAAAUUUUUAAUUUAUUUGAUUUGAAUUAGUUAGCGGUAUUUUAAUUUCAAAAUUUGAUUGCGUUGUUUAUUUUUACAGAUUUUAUUAGUUAUAAGCUGUUGUUAAUACAUAUUUCCAGUUGUGUUUCCUACUAAGUUGAGUUUUUAUAUAAUAUAAUACAAAAGUCAAUUCUAAAUCCUUCAUUUUAUGAGGUUGUGGNGUAUAGAAGUAUUCAAAUCAGAUGACAUUUUGAUACAAAAUUCUUUAUACUAUCUACAACAAGAUUAAUAUUUCUGAUCGAAAAUUUUAGUACUAUAUCACCACUUUUUAUAGGAUUUUUAUUUUCAGCCGUUAAAAAUUGAUUGCUAGGUAAAUGAUAUCGAAAAAUCACAAAAAUUAUUUUCUAGAAACUUCAAAUACGCUAGAUCAAGUUUAACGGAGCCGAUCGUCGAUUCGGAAAUUCCAUCAUCGAAAAUGGCUCAGGAUCACGGAGGCCUCAGUGCUCCUGAGAGCACAUACUAUAUAUAUAUAUAUAUAUAUAUAUAUAUAUAUAAUUGAGCUAGAAUACUUUUACAAGUAUUACCCCCAUGAUGCUAUUAGGUUUUUAGCCAUUGGAUUUACUCUUUGAUUACUAAUAGCCCUUAGAUCAAACACUAUUCCACCUACCACCAUCUACCACCAUCAUCUCAACCUCACAUCUUUCCAUCCAAUGGCUAAAACCUCAAAAGCACCACUCACAUAAUACUUUUACAAGUAUUCUAGUUCAACUCAUAUAUAUAUAUAUACACACGUAACAGCAGCAUUUUGCCAUGACUAUGCAUGACACAUAUUUUGAAACGCUAUCAAAUCAAAAUGCUACAUUAUACUAGACUCAGUUUAUUUUUUGUUGGUAAAUACAUUCUCCAAGAUCUGUGUUGUUCUCUUCUUUAUUUCUUUCAUCGGAAAAUUUGUCUUAUUUCACUUAAGAUCAAAUUUUAACCUAAGUGAGGAAGACAAAUUAGGAGGACCCGAGCAGUGGCAUGCACUUGAGGACAGAUUUACAAGUUAUUUAGAUUUCAAUGCCCAUAUAUAUCACUCGAUAACAACAGCUCGAAAAUAUUCCACCAUGAGUUCAUACAAAGAUUUGUCCUAUUAUCUGAAAAUCUGUAGGCUUGCAAAAUGGUGCUAUAACUUAACCAUUUUAAACAUGUAACUUGGUGCAUCUUCCAAUUUGCCUUAUUACCAGCUCCGGGGGUUUGCAUGUGAUUUUGACAUGUUGGUUUUUUCGUCACGUGCAUCCUUUUAUAGCAUAUAAUAAGCACGAAGAAGCAUGCAAAAGAAUGCAGCAGUUUCUACUGGUCUUGUAUCACAAUGAAUAGCUGCAAAUUUGGUUCGUGGCCUCUCAUGGCCUCAUGGGGUCAUGGCUUUUAAAUUGGGUUUAUUAAACCUGCUGAUGAUGAUCAGAACAAUUCCCCGAAACAUGAGAGAGCAAUUCUACAACUCCACAAAUCAAGUUUUGUGUGUGUCGUCGUGUGCGUUAAUUAAGAUUCAGCCUUUUUGACUUGGCAUCUCAGUUUACAACUCACAACUUCUUCUCUCCUUUAUCAUUCAAACAAAUCAAAGAGCUCACCAUAAAGUAGAAUCACUUAUAGUAGCUUUAAGCUACCAUUAUAAGUGAUUCUUCUACUUAAAUUUAAGCAGGAAAAGAAAGAAAGGUGAAAAAGUGUACUGAACAAAAGGCUCCACCUUUUGAUAGCAGUAACACUUUAUUAACGUGCCGAUUAUUCCAUCAAAAGACCCAAUCAGUUCUACAUAUCUCUUAAAUAAUCAAUUGAUCCGAAACAAUUCGAAUUUUCACCAAGGAUUUCAAAUCCAAAUUUGGGCUUCUACCUGUGGCAGCAAUAAUUAAAUGGAAUGGUCCCUCAGCUGGGCAUGCACCCUCAUCGCAGAAUGGUCCACAUGGUUUCCCAUUCACAGAUGCUCCCGACCAUUGGACAAAGGGAUAAAUACGGAUUGAAUUGGAGAUCAUUAAGUAAUUAAGGACCCCUCUUUUAAAAAAGGCUAUUAAAGUAUAUGUGAUGAUUCAAAUGGAAUAGCAUUACUCAUAAGAAGAGAUGAUUAGGAAAAGCUCUUUGUGUUUUGAUAAAAAAUCUUUUUGUGUUCUGAUGUAAAAUCUCUUUUAGACGAGCAAUUACUUUUCGCUCAGAGAAAACAUUUAAGAGAGAAUAUUUUCCUUACAAGAAAAGCUACCAUGUGAGAAUACAAAGGCAUCCCCAUUAAUGUUUUCAGUAAGUACAAGCAACAAACUUAUUUACAUCCUAAUUAUGAAAAUGUUUUUCUUUUCUUGUUUGUGAGGCAAAAAAAAAAAAAAUCCUAAAAUGCUUUACCUCUGCAUUUAUUUCCUGGUGCAACUGUUUCCAAAACAUUUGCACCAAAGAUCGACAGCCACUUUUGGCAAUACUAGUAAAAAAAAAUGUUUUUUUGCAGCAUUUUAAGCUGCAUAGCUCACCAAUUAAAGCUUCGUAGACUCAUUUAACUGAUGGAACAGCAGAGCAUCAUUAGACAAAGCCAUUAGGAACACUGCAGAAUCCAAGAACAUUUACUCAUAUUUGCACAUUUGCACAGAAAAUGGUAAUAAAGCAGGUGCACAUGAGUAGCCUUUAUUUAAUACAAGGGAGGGGGGGAGCUGGGCUGGCUACCAAGCAAGAAUUUAUAGCACAGCCAAUAUGCAUGUUCUCAAAAGUUUCAAUAGAAACAUAAAUGAUUAAUAUUAAAAACCAAACAUUUUGCUGCAUAUUUGCUUUGUCGGACAUGAAUGCGUCGCAAUAUACAAUGAAAUGUCUAUAGAUUGCUCAGAAUAUUCAAGAAUUUAAUGGACAGUAGGACAUUGCCAAUAAUUUCUGAAAUAUAAAGGAAGCUACGACAACUACAUAAGAAAUACCACUCGUUACAUAACGUGAUCACUUAUUCUACGCUUAGACACUUCUUUUUGAAUUCAUCGAAUUUUGAUGAAUCCAAAUUUCUCGAUCAUGCUUAAUUUUAUCCUGUUGUGCUUGUCACUUUUAUGGUUACUAGAAGAAUUGCUUUUCAUGUCAUGUACUACUUUUACCUUCAGUUGUAAUAAAUACUACCUCAUGAUUUCUAUCCUCUAAUUGAUUUAAGGUGGCAACUGAACCUACCUUCACUUCUAAGGCACAUGGUCUACAGUAGAGCUAAGAUAUGCCCUAUACCUCCUACAAAGUAUUGGGUAACCUGAAUAGCCUUGUCCUCUCUCUUUCUUUAAAUAACAAGUGCCUGACACCACAUAGAAACAAUUGAAUGCCCAGUUACCUGCUAUCAAACUUACACCCAAUAGGGAUGAUAAUUGAUAUCCUGAGCUGGUGGAUCAGAAUGUGCUCCACUCACUUGCAAAAUGAAGGUCCCCCACUCUGUUACCAGCUACAUGAAGCACAAGGUUGGUUCUAUGUUUGGAACCAGUAUUUUUAAGACAUGCAAAAAAAACAUAAGACUGGAAAAUGUUCUAAUUCUGCAUUUGUACUCAAUAAGAUAUUCGGAAACAAAAUAACUACGAUAAGCAGAAGCAGGUUUGUUCCCACUAGUCAGCCAAAAUGAAACAACCUUAUUCUCCGAAAGAAAGUUGACAGAGACGACGAGAAUUGUAUAUUUUCAAAAAGAAUAGGCUGAUUUGGGACAAUCCACAACUUACUGCGCUUUCCGGCGAAAAGGGAUAGAAGCAGUUGUAGCUCACAUUUCUGCUCUCCUUCCAACGUAGGACAGCAUCAAAACAGUGUUUUCCUUUGUAAGAUUUUCAAACACCACUCCCGUAAGAUUCUUCUGCUGCUACAGCAUGUGUUUAUGAAGUCAGUUUUAUAAACUCUGCCGGCAAUAUAAUUAUCAAUCUAAUUCAAUAUACCAUACUCUGCAUUUAUUCAGUCAGAAACACUGUUCGGCAGACGCCAAAUCUAUGUGAAUGUUUUGGAUACAGUUCCUGCUGCUUGGCAAAAACAAAGAUUCAUUUUUCGUAUUAUAACAGCAAAUAUGCUAGUAUUCAUUACAACAAUUUAAUAUCACAUAACUCCAUACUACAACAUCGUAAUGAGCAUUACUUCCAUUUGUUAUGUUGGGAAAAAGAUAUUAAACAACCAACAGCUCGCGAAUAUGCAACCUUGAUUCCGCAAAAAUUAUGUUUAAAUACCACAUUACCAAGACCAGUUCAAAUGAAUGAUACGAGAGCAUCAGUCGGUUCUGUGAAUGGAUCGACUUACUGAGGGAAUAAAUAAGUAAAAUAGUACUCGUUCUUCAAAUCUUGCUUCCCGAUAUUGAUGAAAAGAAGAAUAGAAUAAAAAUGGCGAACAUAAUUAAUUGUCAGAAUAAGAAAUAACUAUCUCAUUGGAAUCCAAAAUAGAGCAUAGAUAUGUAGUUAAAGGAUAAAAAUGAAAACCCGAUGGCAGCAAAAUGAGAAGCUUUACUGCAACUAGAAAUAAUAGAUGCCGGUUUUGACUGCAACAUUGAACACGACCCUCUAAUGUACAAAUCGUACACUUGCGAACUCCUGCUCAGGUUCUCACCUGAAGAGGUUGUAGAUGGCCACCAUCAGCGGGACUCCACGAGUAUAUAUAAUGGCUUUCCAUUUAACCUUUCACGACCCUGCAAUAUUGUUGAAGAAGAAAUUGCAACAAAUAAAUACAAACAUUAUUCAGUAAUAAGAAAACCUAGGAAGGUAGAUGAAAAGGAGAAAUGUUGAAGUGUCAAGUCUUGUCGGUUGUUGUUAGUUUAGAACAUAAAACAAAUAAACACAAUAUUAUAUCAAACCAAAAUGAUCAAAUACUAGAAAAUAAUGUUUAAAUAGUUCCCUUUUUUUCAACCAAUAGAACGAAAAAAGUAACACAACUGUUGUAAAAAACAAGAAAGGAAUUAUCAUAUACAGUAAACACAAUAUAAUGAAAUUCAUAAGAUAUAUGAUAAAAGGACCACUACAGAUAUUAUUGCAAUUUGAAAGCGACAUCGUAAAACAAUAAAUGAGAAUACAUAAAUUAAAUUAGUUAAUAUUAUGUAACGAAAAAAAUUUGUUCCAUUCACAUUUAAUUCAAUAAUCAGUAGGAAAACCUGUUCCAGGUUUGUUCCAAGUCAGGUAAGGUAGGGUCUAAAUACAUCAAAGACGGGUCCAGACACAAAAUUUCACUGGAUCUGGUCAUUUGACACACACCAGGUAUUCAGAAUCAAAUAGUAACUUGUAUACACUGGCAUUUGCUGACCAGCUUGUUUGACGGCCCUCAAAACGCUCGGAAAUGAGUGCUCAGACCUUUUGCUGUAAAAUUCUAAGGCAGUAAGUCUGGAGGGAUCCUACUGUUUUUAAUCUUAUUCAAUCAAGUUGCUGAAAACAUUCAGCUGGCAAUAUUUUGCUUCAGGGAAAUAUAAUCAUAAUACACUACAAAAGACCAAUUCUGAUGAUGCUCUAUUUAACAGAAUAAGACAACAUCAUAGAAGUCCAUGGACAGGUAGAAAAAUAAUGGCAAAAAUGAAACCUAAUUUUUUUUUCUGGUCAUAUCUGGUCAUAUACAACAAUAUAAUGUAGAAGAUAUAGUGAAAAAAAAUAUGGAGGGAAACAGAAUUCAGUAACAUUCCAACUAGAUUCAGAAUGAUUUCAUUUCAAGAAAAAGGAGUAUAUAGUUGGUUGACAUAGAUAAAAGGAUGCUGACACUCGGUGGUAUUCUGAAUAUGAUUAUGUCAAUAAUUAACAAUGGCAAAGUAGAUUCACAAAAACAUCAAAAGACAAUUCACAGAAAAUCUCAACAGAAAGAAGAGGAUUAAAUAGACAAGUACAUGCUUGUGUGCCCCCAAAAAUAAUCAAUGAAAAUCAAAUAAUUAAACUGAAAAAGAAAUAAAUAAGUAAAAUUUGAAAUGCUAAGGGAAAUUUCAGGACAGCAUUGAAUAGAAGGGUCAGAUUAAAUAGAAAUAGGAUGUCAGACACACCUUCAGUUCUGGAAGUUCAAUAACGCAUGCACACUCAACCACUUCAGCCCCAGCACGCUCUGCAAGUAGAAAAUACAUGGGUUAAUUGUUUCACAAAGCAAAAUUAGCUAAAUGACAUUUCUCGAAAAAAAUCCAAAAAAAGAAAAGAAACGAAAAAGAACAUUAGUUAAAUGAUUUAAAAGGAAGCAAAAUGAUCAAGAAAAAACUAUGAUACUGAAUUAUAAUUCUUGUAUAAUAUCUAGUCCAAUUAGGACACGAUCCAAGAUCUUACAAUUCUUGUAUAACACUAAUUUCACAAUUUGAUUGCCGAGAUCUAUAACUAGUUCAGUUUAUCAGCUAGCUGAGAAACUUCGCAGUGUCAUUACCAAGUUUCUAAUUUUGACCAUAAGAAUUUUCAGGACAAAUACAACAUACCUAGUAAAUUUAUGGCAGCACAUAGAGUUCCUCCAGUUGCAACCAAGUCAUCAACAACCAAGGCACGUUCACCAGGUUUAACAGCACCGACAUGCAUUUCAAGACAAUCAGUUCCAUAUUCUAGAACAUACUCUUCGGAAAUUACUUCACCUGCAUUCACCAUAAUUAGUUGAUUCAACCUCUCUGAGAGCAGCAAGUUUUCAACUUCAUUAUAAAAUAGAAAUAAAAACUUAGUUCACACACAAGUAUUUUUUUUUUUUUUUAAAGAAAGAAUAAAAAAACACAUGCAAUACAAUAACUGCAGACAAACAUGUAGAUAUAUGUAAAAUCAGUCAUAUAUUCAAAUGCGAUCAAUCCAAAAUAUUGGUAGCCUGUGCAGGUAUACACAUUAAUGGAUGAGCUGAAGUGAAAAACAGAUAAUAAGCUAGUACUCAUUUGCCUGUUUUGGUAGAGAAAAUUUUAUCACAAAAAAGAAAACAAAUAAUGUUAAUUCUAGUCUUAUUACAGCUCAUCAAUAUCAUUAUAUUUACAUGUGGAUACUGAGAACUUGUAUGUCAUUUCAUUAAACUAGAUAAUAAUAGUUCAGUGUAUAAGGAAUCUACGGUACCUGGCAACUUUCUUGGCUUUCUUAAUGGGAUGAACUUCGCACCGAUAGCUAAUGCAAUAGGAGGACCAAAAAUGAAGCCCCUAGCCUCAAUUCCUAUCGGUUAAAAAGAAGAAAGAAAUAUCACGCAAUUGCUAUCUGAAAGUACACAAAAACAGGCAUUAAAACACAUCAAUCAACACCAAACUACACUAUAGGACAAUGAACAUACGAAGUUGGUCUAAUAGCUACAUUUUGAAGCAAUGAGAAAAAUAAUAAAUCUCAAAUCUGAAAUGUUUAUGUAGUACAAGUAACAUGAAUAUAAUCUACAUGACAAAGAAAUGCUCAAUAUCAUGGCCCAAAUAUCAAACUUCUUGUAUUUGUCUAACUACUACAAAGGAAUGUCCCAUGCUUUAGUUUGAGUUCCCCUUUGCCAUCUUUAACUUAAAAGUCCAUAUAUACUAAAAGAAAAUGCAAGGUGAGUUUCAAUAUGCAAGAAUGAAAUAAAAUUUCAAAUCAAUACUUUGAUCAUCUAAAUUAUUCACCAAACGAACAAUGACAAAAUUCACCUAGAACCUUUCAAAUAAAAUACAUUGUAUAUCUUCUAGAAUUCUUUGCUUGCAAGUGCACCCAAUAUAUGCACCCAAUAUAUAUAUAUAUAUAUAUAUANNNNNNNNNNNNNNNNNNNNNNNNNAAUGAUAUCGAAAAAUUAUAAAAAUUGUUUUAGAAAUUUUAAAUACUCUAAAUAAUGUUUAACGGUCGGAUCGUCGAUUUGAAAGCUCUAUCAUUGAAAAAUACUUAUGAGUACGAAUGCGAUGAUACUUCUAUGAUUACGAUCGUCUUCGACUCAUAAGUCGUUUCGAUGAUAGAGCUUCCGAAUCAUGUUCGUACGUUACACUUAUCUUAGAUAUUUAAACUCUAUAUGCAUUAAUAAUAUUUUUAUAUGAUUAUAUAUUGGCUAAAUUACAGAAAACUCCAGAAUAACCGCCUUUUUUACUGUCCCCCCUGACAUUAUAAAAACCUACACUUUGCCUCCUUGUAAAAUGAAAAAUAUGCACUUCACCCCCUACCGUUAGGCUCCGUAUAAAAUAUUUUUAUGCCGAAAAUACCUUCCGCUUCUCUUGUUGCUUCACCUCCUCCGCCUCGCCGCCUCCCGUCCUCCAUUGCCUUCGCUUCGCCCCAUAUCCCCUCGCCCUCCUCGCCGCCUCGCCUUCGCUCUGUUGCCUUUGCCUAACCUCUCAUCAACAUCCACCUCGAUUUUCUCCUACUAUCGUCGAAAUCGAGGCGGGGAGUGCAGGAGGGAGAAAGGAGCAUGUGGAGAAGGAAAUGAAGAGAAAUCUCGCGAAUUGAGUGGAAUCACGCGCCGAUUGAAGGGGCUGAGAAGAUGAGGAAAGAAACAAAAUGGCGAGGGCAAAAUGGUUAUUUACACAUCGUAAUUCUCUUGAAUAUUUUUUAUUUACAAAGGGCAAAGUGUAUAUUUUAAAUAUCAGAGAAAAAGUAAAAAAGCGGAUUAUUACGUAGAAGUUUUUAAUUUAACCUCAUAUUUAAAAUAGGGCAAUUCUGGAUGACGUGUGAUCCGUAUUUCUCCAAACGCCGGUCUAAGUUUUGUUUAUUUAUUAAUAUUUUCUGAAAAAAGGCCACGGGUUAAUUACUUAGUCCUCGAGGUGACUCCUCCCCCGCUACUAAUUUUUCCCUCCUCGCUUUUCUAACUCGCUUUCCUUUCUCGUGCAGAGCGCCUCCUUCUCCUCUCCCUCCCCUCUCCCUCUCCUCUCUCUCUCUCUCUCUAUAUAUAUUAUAUAUAUAAAAUAUAUCCUCUCCCCCCACUCCUCUCCGCUCGCUCGCUCUCGCGCUCGCUCUUGAGUCACGUUCGUUCUUGUUAGGUGAGAGUGAGAGAGAGAGGGGGGGAGAGUGGCCCAAUGGCGACAAGCGAGGACGAGAAGCAAGAGGCGAAAGAAGGACCCCGCCAUUGAAGGAUCGCACGCCUCCCAUCCGCGUCUCCCAAUUUCCCCAAACCAGUACUCACCAAAUUCCCCUUCCUCGAUCCCACGCACUCGCUCUCUCCUCGUCGACUUUGGUUUAUCUUUUCCUUCUCCUCCUGUAGAAAUAUGCUUCUUGUUUGUUUCUCUCGUAAAGUUCGAAUCCUGGUCUCGAUUUUUUUUUAUAAAUUUCUUUGAUGUUUUGGAUCAAACGAACCCUAGGGAUAUGUUCCAAGACAUCACCACCUUGCCCUCGAUCCGAAGCGUUCACGAAGCACGGUGGAUUUGUUCUGGAGCGCUACACUGGGAAGGACAUCUCCCGUCGUCGCGGGUAAAACCUCAUAAACCCUAAUUCGAUCUCUUCCAAUCAUUCUACCUGAAAAUUUCCCCUUUUCUUGAUUCAAUUUGUGUCGAUAUGAUGCGCGGCCGAUCGGGAAAAAGAAGCCCCACCAUUUUUUUUUUUUUUUUUGGGGUCUCCAGGCUCAUCAUUUCGAAAAUCGAGAAGCAGGGAACCCCUUUCUUUUUUUCGCUGUGGUUGGUUCUCCUUGUUGACUCCGUAGACCGCCUCAGUGGUUCGUAAUCAAUGACCAGCUGUGGCUUCUAUUAGGAUUCUGUUUGUUGUGGAGGUGGUGGCCUCGAACACUGGACAUUACUCGUUGUGCCCCCACUUUGAUGUAAAAUUCGUGAAAGCUUCGUUGCUGUUUGAUGACCUUUUAUUCUAUUUUUGUUCAUGUUCUUUUCCUCACCGUGUUUAGAUUUGGUAUACGUGACUGCGAUUCGGGUGUCGAAAAUCGCAAUUUAAUCGACCCUUGCUUCAAUCGUGGCAACUAACAAAAUGGGUCUAUGAAUUAUUAUCAAAUGGAUACAAUAUGGUGACAGCUAAUAUCAUUAUUCGUUUACCCAUCAGAAAAGCAGGAGAAAGACAGAUUCUUGAUUCAUAUUUUCUUAGAAAAAGAAGAGGGACCAAAGUUGCAUUUUAUGCGUGUUCGUGUUGUUUGUCUUUCCUGUUUUUGUUUUUAUUUACCUGGAAUUCUGUUGGACUGCUUGUCAGGAAAAGGGAAAAAGAUGGAUCUUUUUUUUUUUUUAACAUCUUAUAAUAGAAAAAUAGAGUGACAGAAAUUGCAACUUAAGCGUGUACUGCAUCGUUUAUCUUUCGUUGUUUAAUUUCUUGAUUUAAUUCGCUUACUUAUCUGGAAAUUGGGAAAAAUAUAUAUCUUUUUUAUACAUAAUUUGUUAAGAAAAUUAGAGUGACGAGAGAUGCAAUUUAGGCUGUGUUUUGCGUUGUUUAUCUUUUGUUGUUUUUGUUUCCCUCUAGUUCUAUAUGAUUGAAAGGUGUUUACUUAUGAAGAACCCACAAGAUUUGGAAAUUCGAUGUCUGCUUUCCUAUAUACAUAUAUCGAGAACAUAUAUUGUAUAAAAAUGUGAGGUCAGGUGUGGCUUAGAUGCUUUGACAAAGGAAGCGAUAGACUUUCUAUUUUGUUAUUGAUUUAUUAGUUUGCACGCACUGUUUUCACUUGAAAAAAAAAUGUUGUUACAUUCUAGCUGAUUGACAUUCCAUUUGUCCUGUCUUUGGUGCUUUUUGUGGCAUACUUUUAGCAUAUCUUGCUAUCACUAGCUUAUAACUAUAUGUUCAUCAUCAUGGUGUUUGAUAUCAUCAUCACUUAUAAGCCUUUGAUACUGUAUCUUUCUUGCUUUUUGGUGUUGAUUGCUUUUUGGAUUUCUUGGAAUGAACAUCACAUACUCAAAAGUCCUUGAAGUGCCUUUGCACACAAUUACAUUUAGCUGUAAUGAAGAUAUUAGGAAGUUAUUAUAAUGACAAAAUGCUCGUGGUUUUGACACCGAUUGCUUAUGUCAUACGCAGUGACAAUUAAAAUUGCAAUGAUUGCUAUAUUUUAUUUUAUCAUUCAUGUGACCUUUGAAAAUAUGUGAGACCUUGCUGUUACCCGUGAUUCAUGCUGAAGUUUCUAUGAAUAUAAGAUUGAGAUGGUCUACUUCGUUAAACAUAAAAGAACCUGUAGUGUAUAACUGCCUUUUCUGUCUGACUAACUUGACGAUGGCGAUAAGUCUCCGCUGCUGGUGACUGCUUGAAGCUGAUUCCCAUGAUUUUGUUUUUGUGUGUGCAUUAUUCAGUCCUUUUGACCUAAUUAAGUCUACACGUGUUGCCUACUAUUUUCAUUCUCAUUGUUGUGCAAGUUGAUUUUAAUUAGGACAGAUUACUGUCGAUUGCAGUUUCUUUCAGUUCUUCUGUAACUUUGAGAUCUUGUUGAAUUCUUGAUAUUGAGUAUUAAACAUAGUAGAGGUCCUUAUGGGUGUACAUAAACAUUUCAGUGGAAUGGAUCCGCAGUUUUAUGCAUUGCAGGUCUUAGGAGAUAGGAGAAGUUAAAUGCAAAUUAGAGGGAUGCUUUUGUUAUAUGAUUUCCUCCUGCACGCAUAUUUUGGGUAAUAUGGUUGAAUACCCUAAUUCAAGAAGUUGUGACCCUGGAUAUGCAGAAAAUGGUAAUUAUAGAGAUUUGUUAGGUUCAAUCCGGGAUAAUUGGAGGCAGGGUGAUUUUUCUGUGUUCAAAAUAUCAGAAUUAAAGUAGGCUAAGUUAACUGACUCUGAUGCAUGAGAGAUAGCAAGUGGAUAUGAGCAAAAAUAAUGGUCUUUGAACCAAAAAUACUGCCAUGUGCAUAUGGGAAAGAAAAAUUUAAUUAGGCCUUGUGGAGAGACUCAAAUACAUUUUCAAUAUCAAAUAACAAUGCUUUUCAGGAAAUUUUGUUUCCUAUUCAAUUGUUAUUAUAUAUAUAUAUAUAUAUAUAUAUAUAUAUAUUAUAUAUAUAUGCUGGAAUACUAUCAUAGCAUCAAGCUAUUGGUGCUAUUGAUUUUUUAGCCCUUGGAUUGAAGAAAUGGUGGUUAGGAUAUAGUGGACCUCCUAGGGUUAAGUGAUGGUUGGUUUGAAUAGUAGAAUCUAACGGGUAAAAAUAAUCAAAGAUUAAAUCUAACAGUAAAAACUCGAUAGCCCAAAUCCUUGUGUGCUAUUGAUAGUACCGCCAGCCGGACUAUAAUAUAUAAUAUAAUAUAUAUAUAUAUAUAAUAUAUAUAGGGUCCGCUACUAUACUAUUAUAGUACGAUCGCCCUCGUACUCAUAAGUUAUAUUUCGAUGAUAGAAGUUCUGAAUCGAUGAUCCACACCGUUAAACGUUAUUUACAGCAUUUAAAACUUUAGAAAAUCAAAUUUUAUAAUUUUCGACAUCAUUUAACCUUACAAUCAAGAGGUCCACAAAUUUUGACAAUUUUUAACGGCCGGUAUGGAUACUUGCUAAAUUUAACGGUGUAAAAGAAUCGAAAUUUCUAAAUUUUUUUAUAGAAAAUUCUAUCACUACAUAGAUAAAGAUCAAUAACUCGAGUCUUGAUUAAAGGAUCCGAUCAUCCUUUUUAGGACGUCGUUCGAUUUGACCGUUCAUUUAUGCCCACUUGAUGACUUUAUUAUAAUUUCGAAAUUUAUGAAAUUAUUUCUUAGAAGUUUCAAAUACUCUAGAUCAUAUUUAACGGAGUGACUCGUCGAUUCGGAAGCCCAUCAUUGAAACAACAUUUAUGAGUACAAGGACUCCAAUACUCAUAAAGUUAUAAGUAGCCACGGCCUAUAUAUAUAUUAUAUAAUAUAAUAUAUCUAUAUAAUAUAUUAUAAUAGAAUAUGCUACUAUACUAUCAAUAGUACCAACCUUGGUACUAUUGAGUUUUCGCCGUUGGAUGAAAGAAUGUGCGUUAGGAUGAUAGUGGUCCUCCAAGUUAAAUUGAUAUGGCCCUUAGGUUUGAGUGGGUGUUUGUGGUUUAAUAGUAAAUCUAACGGUGUGAAAUGAUCAAAAGGUAGAUCUAACGGUAGAAAAACUCAAUAGUACCAGGCUUUAAUACUAUCGAUAGUAUAGUAGCGGACUCUAUAUAUUAUAUAUAUAUAUUAUAGAAUUAGGCUACUAUAUAUCUACAGACACCGAGCUCCGGUACUAUAGUCUUGUUUUCGAUCUUAAGGGUGUUUCAAUUUAAUGAUCCACACUGUUAAAUAUGAUCUAGGGUAUAUGAAGUUCUUAGAAAUGAAAUUUAUUUUUUUCGACAUCGUUUACUUACUAAAUAAAUUAUGUCAAAAAUGGAUGGUGAAAUAGAAUAAUCUUUAAAAUUUGAGCAUAGGACUUUUAAAUUCAAGAUAAAGAAUGUUAACUUUGAUCUAGAUAGUUUAAGUAUUUUCUAUCAAAAUUUGAAGAAUUUAGAUUCUUCUACACCGUUAAACUCCAAACUCGCCAUAGUAUGGCCAUUGAAAAUGACAAUUUGAAAUGGUUUGAUCAUAAAGUAAACUAUGUCGAAAAAAUAUAAAGUUUUAUUUCUAAAAUUUUUAAAUACCCUAGAUCAGUUUGAAUGUGUUGGACGUUGAUUUGAACACCCUAAAUCGAAAACGAACUAUAGUACCGGAGCCCGGGCUUUAUAUAGUAUAGGAACUAGCUCUCUCUCUCUCUAUAUAUAUAUAUAUAUAGAUAUACGUAUACGUAUAUAAGUAUACUACGUAUACGUAUACGUAUAUAAGUAUAUACGUACAUAUACACGUACAUUAUGUAUAUAUAAUAUAUAUAACCAUAAUAUAUAUACUAUAUAUAUAUAAUAUUAUAUAUAUAUAUAUAUAAUAUAUAAUAUAUAUAUAUAUAUACUCUUACAUAAAUACAGUUUUUUCGGAACAUAUCGUUAUCUUUAUUAGAUGUUUGGGCCAAUUCAUGAGAGGUAGGUGUACAAAAUAAGUUGUUAUUGCAAGAUCAGGUGUUUCUAAAAGUACGUGUAUAUAUAUAUAUAUACACAUGUACGUGUAUAUGUACGUAUAUACUUAUAUACGUAUACGUAUACGUAUAUACUUAUAUACGUAUACGUAUAUCUAUAUAUAUAUAUAUAGAGAGAGAGAGAGCUAGUCUCCUAUACUAUAUAAAGCACCGGGGCUCCGGUACUAUAGUCUCGUUUUCGAUCUUAGGGUGUUCAAAUCAACGAUCCACACCAUUCAAACUGAUCUAGGGUAUUUAAAAUUUUUAGAAAUAAAACUUUAUAUUUUUUCGACAUAGUUUACUUUAUGAUCAAACCAUUUCAAAAUUGUCAAUUUUCAAUGGCUACUAUGGCGAGUUUGGAGUUUAACGGUGUAGAAGAAUCUAAAUUUCUUCAAAUUUUGAUAGAAAAUACUUUAAACUAUAUAGAUCAAAGUUAACAUUCUUGAUCUUGAAUUUAAAAGUCCUAUGCUCAAAUUUUAAAGAUUAUUCUAUUUCCACCAUCCAUUUUGACAUAAUUUAUUUAGUAAGUAAACGAUGUCGAAAAAAACUAAAAUUUCAUUUCUAAGAACUUCAUAUACCCUAGAUCAUAUUUAACAGUGUGGAUCAUUAAUUUGAACACCCUAAGAUCGAAAACAAGACUAUAGUACCGGAGCUCCGGUGCUGUAGAUAGUAUAGUAGCCUAAUUCUAUAUAUAUAUAUAUAUAUAUAUAGAGUCCGGCUACUAUACUAUCGAUAGUAUUAAGCCCUUGGUACUAUUGAGUUUUCUACCGUUAGAUCUACCCUUUGAUCAUUUCCACCCGUUAGAUUAUACUAUUAAACCAAACCACCCACUCAACCCUAAGGGGCCACUAUCAAUUUAACUGGAGACCACUAUCAUCCUAACCGCACAUUCUUUCAUCCAACGGCCGAAAACUCAAUAGUACCAAGGGCUUGGUACUAUUGAUAGUAUAGUAGCAUAAUUCUAUAUAUAUAUAUAUAACAAACAUGAUUCAGAUUGAAUAUUCAUGGUCUGGUUUGUUAGUAACUCUUUUAUUUUAUCUGACUUCUAGUUUUCCCCUACUAAAGAGAUUUUCUAGCUCUGCCCCUGUAUAUGUGAAACAAUAAAAAUAGGAGUAUUGUAGUGACAAUUUGAUCACCGGAAUAAAUCAAAGCCUUAGUGCCCGUUUGGUCUCGCUCCUGGAUAAUUUCUCACUCCAGUAUGCAGAAGCUUCCAAAAAGUAGUAGGCUAAAUACAAGUAUAAAGCUUUUGAGGUGAUGGAAAACUUAAAUUAAAGCUCCCUUUUGAAGCUUUUGUUUUUAUAGCAGAGAGAGUUGUUGAGGAGAUUUUGCUGGAAAAGCUAUUACGGUUUCUUUGAAUAGUUCUAAUCNUCUACUUGUCAUUCUUAACUGUCGGGAGAAUUAUCCCUUUAGCAAAGAAGGUGUCAAGAAAGACUUAUGAGUCUAUCAUAACGCCGCGAUAUCGACCGGGUUGUCACCUUUGUGUCGAGGGUGAAGGAUCUAAUCCCAACCCUCUUCCAUCGGAAAGUCCCUUCUAUCCAGUCCAUACCCCUGGAACAGGGUAUGACCUGGGAACCUACCUGCCGGCUGGGGUACUAUCGAUAGCACCAAGGAUUUGGUGCUAUAUCGAGUUUUUCACCGUUAGAUUUAACCCUUUGAUUAUUUUUACCCGUUAGAUUCUACUAUUCAACCAACCACUCACUUAACCUUAGGGGGUCCACAUCAUCCUAACCACCCAUUUCUCAAUCCAAGGGCUAAAAAAUCAAUAGCACCAAUAGCUUGGUGCUAUUGAUAAUAUUCCAGCCUAUAUAUAUAUAUAUAUAUAAACAAAUUGAAUAGGAAACAAAAUUUCCUGAAAAGCAUUGUAUUUGAUAUUUGGAAAAUGUAUUUGAGUCUCUCCCACAAGGCCUAAUUAAAUUUUUCUUUCCCAUAUGCACAUGGCAGUAUUUUUGGUUCAAAGAACCUUAUUUUUGCUCAUUCCCACUUGCUUUCUCUCAUGCAUCAGAGUCAGUUAACUUACCUACUUUAAAUUCUGAUAAUUUUGAACACAGAAAAAUCAACCCCUGCCCUCCCAAUUAUCCCGGAUCUGAACUAACAAAAUCUCUAUAACUUACCAUUUUCUGCAUAUCCAGGGUCACAACUUUCUUGAAUUAGGGUAUGUCAAGCCAUAAUUACCCUAAAAUAAUGCGUGCAGGAGAAAAUCAUAUAACAAAAGCAUCCCCUCUAAUUUGCAAUUUAACUUCUGCCCUAUCUCCUAAGACCUGCAAUGAUAAAACUGCGGAUCCCAAUUCCCACUGAAAUGUUCAUGUACACCCAUAAGGACCUCUACUAUGUUUAAGCUACUCAAUAUCAAGAAUUCAACAAGAUCUCAAAGUUACCAGAGAACUGAAAGAAACUGCAACUCGACAGGAAUCUGUCAUAAUUAAAAUCAACUUGCACAACAAUGAGAAUGAAAAUAGUAGGCAACACGUGUAGACUUAAUUAGGUCAAAAGGACUGAUUAAUGCACACACAAAAACAAAAUCAUGGGAAUCAGCUCCAAAGCAGUCACCAGCAGCGGAGACUUACUCGCCAUCGUCAAGUUAGUCAGGACAGAAAAGGCAGUUAUACACUACAGGUUCUUUUAUGUUUAAACCGAAGUAGACCAUCUCAAUCUUAUAUUCAUAGAAACUUCAGGCAUGAAUCACGGUAACAGCAAAGGUCUCACAUAUUUUCCAAGGUCACAUGAACAUGAUAAAAAUAAAUAUAGCAAUUCAUUGCAAUUUUAAUUGUCACUGCGUAUGACAUAAGCAUUCGGUUCAAAACCACCGAGCAUUUUGUCAUAUAUAAUACUUCCUAAUAUCUCAUUACAGCUAAAAUGUAAUUGUGCAAAGGCAUUCAAAGGACUUUUGAGUAUGUGAUGUUCAUUGCCAAGAAAGUCCAAACAAGCAAUCCAACACCAAAAAAGCAAGAAAGAUACAGUAUCAAAGGCUUAUAAGUGAUGAUGAUAUCAACACCCAUGAUGAUGACACAUUACUAGUUAUAAGCUAGUGAUAGCAAAUAUGCUAAAAAGUAUGCCACAAAAAGCACCAAAGCACAGGACAAAAUGAAAUGUCAAUCAGCUAAGAAAUGUAACAACAUUUUUUUUUCCCAAGUGAAAACAGUGCGUGCAAACUAAUAAACAAUAACAAAAUAAGAAAGUCUAUCCGCUUCCUCUUGUCACAAGCAUCUAAGCCACACCUGACCAUCACAUUUUUUAUACAAUAUAUGGUUCUGAUAUAUGUAUAUAGGAAAGCGACAUCGAAAUUCCAAACUCUUGUUGGGUUCUUCCAUAAGUAAACACCUUCAAUCAUAUAGAACUAGAGGGAAACAAAAACAACAAAAGAUAAACAACGCAAAACACGGCCUAAAUUGCAUCUCUCGUCACUCUAAUUUUCUAACAAAUUAUGUAUAAAAAAGAUCAUAUAUUUUUCCCAAUUUCCAGAUAAGUAAGCGAAUAUGAAACUCAAGGAAAAUUAAAACAACGAAAGAUAAACGAUGCAGUACACGCCUUAAGUUGCAAUUUCUGUCACUCCUAUUUUUCUAUUAUAAGAUGUUAAAAAAAAAAAAAAGAUCCCAUCUUUUUCCCCUUUUCCUGACAAGCAGUCCAACAGGAAUUCCAGGUAAAUAAAAACAAAAACAGGGAAAGACAAACAACACCGAACACGCCAUAAAAUGCAACUUUGGUCCCUCUUCUUUUUCUAAGAAAAUAUGAAUCCAAAGAUCCUGUCUUUUCUCCUGCUUUUCUGAUGGGUAAACGAAUAAUGAUCAUUAGCUGGUCACCACUAUUGUAUCCAUUUGAUAAUAAUUCAUAGCCCAUUUUGUUAGUUGCCACAGAUGAAGCCAAGGGUCGAUUAAAUGCGAUUUUCGACACCCGAAUCGCAGUCGUACCUACCAAAUCUAAACAGGUGAGGAAAAGAACAUGCAACAGAAAAAUAGAAUAAAAAGGUCCAUCAAACAGCAACGAAGCUUUCACGAAUUUUACAUCAAAGUGGGGGGACCAACGAGUAAUGUCAGUGUCGAGGCCACCACCUCCACACAAACAGAAUCCCUAAUAGAAGCCACAGCUGGUCCAUGAUUACGACCCCACUGAGGCGGUCUACGGAGUCAAACCAGGAGAACCAACCACAGCGAAAAAAAAGAAAGGGGGUUCCCCUGCUUCUCCGAUCGAAAUGAUGAGACUGGAGAACCCCAAAAAAAAAAAAAAAAAAAAUGGUGGGCUUCUUUUUCCCGAUCGGCCGCGCAAUCAUAUCGACACAAAUUGAAUCAAGAAAAGGGGAAAUUUUCAGGUAGAAUGAUUGGAAGAGAUCGAAUUUAGGGUUUUAUGAGGGUUUUACCCGCGACGACGGAGAUGUCCUUCCCAGUGUAGCGCUCCACGAACAAAUCCACCGUGUUCUUGAACGCCUUCGGAUCGAGGAGCAAGGUGGUGAUGUCUUGGAACAUGAUCCCUAGGGUUCGUUGAUCCAAAAACAUCAAAGAAUUAUUAAAAAAAAAAAAAUCGAGACCAGGAUUCGAAACUUUACGAGGAAACACCAAACAAGAAGCAAUUUCUACAGGAGGAGAAGGAAAAGAUAAACCAAACGUCGACGAGGAGAGAGCGAGUGCGUGGGAUCGAGGAGGGGGAAUUGGGUGCAGUACCUGGUUUGGGGAAAUUGGGGACGACGCGGAUGGAGGCGGCGAUCCCUUCAAUGCGGGGGUCCUUCUUCGCCUCUUGCUUCUCGUCCUCGCUUGUCGCCAUUGGAGCCACUCUCCCCCCCCUCUCUCUCUCACCUCUCACCCUAACAAGAACGAACGUCGACUCAAGAGCGAGCGAGCGAGCGAGCGAGCGAGAGAGGAGUGGGGGGGAGAGGGAUAUAUUUAUAUAUAUAUAUAUAUAUAGAGAGAGAGAGAGAGAGGAGAGGGAGAGGGAGAGGGAGAGGAGGAAGGAGGCGCUCUGCACGAGAAAAGGAAAGCGAGUUAGAAAAGCGAGGGAGGGAAAAAUUAAGUAGCGGGGGAGGAGUCACCUCGAGGACUAAGUAAUUAACCCCGUGGCUUUUUUCAGAAAAUAUUAAUUAAAUAAACAAAAACUUAGACCCGGCGUUUGGAGAAAUACGGAUCACCACGUCAUCCAAGAAUUGGCCCUAUUUUAAAUAUAUGAGGUUAAAUUACAAAAAACUUCUACGUAAUAAUCCGCUUUUUUACUUUUUCCCUCUGAUAUUUAAAAAUAUACACUUUGCCCCUUUGUAAAAUAAAAAAUAUUCACAGGAGAAUUACGAUGUGUAAAAUAACCAUUUUGCCCCUCGCCAUUUUCGUCUUCUUCCUCAUCUUCCUCAGCCGCCCCUUCAAUCGGCCGCGAUUUCCACCUCAAUUCGCCGAGAUUUCUCUUCAUUUCCUUCUCCACAUGCUCCCUUUCUCCUCCUGCACCCUCGCCGCCCUCGAUUUCGACGAUAGUAGGGAGAAAAUCGAGGUGGAUGUUGAUGGAGAGGUAGGCAAAGGCAACGAGAGAGAAGGCGAGGCGGCGGAGGAGGGCGAAGGGGAUAUGGGCGAGGGCGAGGCAAUGGAGGACGGCGAGGCGGCGAGGCGGAGGGAGGUGAAGCAACAAGGAAGAAGGCGAAAGGUAUUUUCGGCAUAAAAAAUAUUUUAUAACGGAGCCCUAACGGUAGGGGGUGAAGUGCAUAUUUUUCAUUUUACAAGGAGGCAAAGUGUAGGUUUUUAAAUGUCAGGGGGGGAAAGUAAAAAAGCGGGUUAUUACAUGGGAGUUUUCUGUAAUUUAGCCAAUAUAUAAUCAUAAAAAAUAUUAUUAAUGCACUAUAGAAGUUUUAAAUACUCUAGAUAAUGUGUAACAGUACGAACCAUUGAUUCGGAAGCUCUAUCAUCGAAAACGACUUAUGAGUACGAAGACGAUCGUACUCAUAAGAGUAUCAUCGCAUUCGUACUCAUAAGUAUUUUUCAAUGAUAGAGCUUUCAAAUCGACGAUCCAGACCGUUAAACAUUAUUUAGAGUAUUUAAAAUUUCUAAAAAUCAAAUUUUAUAAUUUUUCGAUAUCAUUUACCCUACGAUCAAUAACUCACAAAAUUGAUAAUUUUUAACAGCAGAUAUGUAAUACUUGCUAGUUUAACGGUGUAAAAGAAUCGAAAUAGCUUGAAUUUUUGAUAGAAAAUUCUAUUCAUUAUCUAGAUAAAUAUCAAUAAUCCCGAUCUUAAAUUGAAGGAUCUGAUCAACCAUUUUUAUAGGACAUCGUUUGAUUUUGACCGUUCAUUUUAUAUCCGCUUGAUAGACUUUAUAAUGAUUUCGAAAAAUUACGAAAUUUAUUUUUUAUAGAAGUUUCAAAUACUGUAGAUUAUGUUUAACAGUGUAAAUCAUCGAUUCGGAAGCCUCAAUAUUGAAAAUAAUUUAUGAGUACGAAGGAUUCUAUACUCAUAAGAGUAUAAUAGCCUACUAUAUAUAUAUAUAUAUAUAUAUAUAUAUAUAUAGAGAGAGAGAGAGAGAGAGAGAGAGAGAGAGAAUGGGUGGGGUAGAGAAUGGACAACGGUUCAGGGAAAAUUCCGCACCCUAUCCGUGAACAAGAAGUGUCACGGGGAUUCACUCGCCUGUACACGGCCUAAACACGGUUAUUAGCGGUCCAACUUUUUUUCAAAACCGGUCCAACUUUUUCCAAAAAUAGUAGUAGUAGUAGUGGGAGGAGGAGGAGCAGCAGUAGCAGCAGUGCUACUUUUAAUUUAUAAAAUUAAAUGGGCACUGACCGGUUUAGGUGUUGGACCGGACCAAGAUUUGAUCCGAGCCACAUCGAGCUCUGUGUCGCGUACAUCGUCGAUUGCCCGUGUGAGACCGAGUAGGUUCGGUUCCAUUGUCAACAUUAAUUGCUUUAUUUGAUUUAGAAAUUUCGAGCUCUCUUAUUAGUUUCAUGGUUUUCUAUUUUUGGUUUUGUUUUCAAAAAUAAAAAAAUGGUGUGGUGGGAUGAAUAUUGCAGUAACAAAAGAAAAUUAAACAUGUUUUCAAAACUAUAUAUUUUUAUAUAUUAAAAUAGUACCGUUGCUUUAUUCUAGUACUAAUUCUACCUGCUUAAACAAUUUAUACAAUCUUUGUUGGUAGCUAAUCUAAAAAUGUUUAAUCCGUACUAUAAAUUUAAUGUACCCCUUCUAACGAUAGAUUUAAUUUAAUUAAGUACAAUUUAGUCAUGUAGUUACACAGGCUAGUUGCCCAUCCGGUAAUAACACGUGACAGACGCGAAAAUUAAACUGUAGAUCGUGAAAAAGCUAGUUAUUACCGGCCAAGCCCAGCAGUUGAUAUUUUUGGAUCUUUAUUUUCAGAGCCGGAGUUCGAUUUUUACUAGUAAUUUCACGAAAAGAAUUCACCUAGCUAUAUGAGUAUUGAAAUAAUAUUUGUAUUAAAGUUCCAGAAAAAAGAUUUAUGAAGAAAAAAUAAAUAUAAAAGAAUAAAAAGAAAGAAAUUUAACUACAAACAUAAAGACUUGUUGAAAAGUAAAAAAAAAAAAAAAAGGUGCUCAUAAAAGAAUAUGAAAAAAAAAAAAUUUUUUUUUAGAGAUAGAUUGCAUAGAUUGCACGCUACCCGUUUCGUUUAUUUUAUUUAGAAAUACAUAUAACUAGAAAUGUGAAUCAACUAGGAUUCGAAUUUGGGUCUCGGAUGCCAACCACUAAACUCUUUGCCACUUGCUUUAGGAAUGGUCAGUAUAUGAAAAAAAAGGUUAAUUGAUAAAUUGCACAAGCCUUGAUCAAUUUUGACUCCAACUGAAAAAUGAAUUAUUUCUUAAAGCCUUUCUAUAGCCAAAUACAAAAUUUUAUUAUCACAGGCUAAAUUAUAAAACACGGAAAGAAAUUUCUAGAAUUAGCACACUUAGCCACAUUCUUUACAUUUCUAGUCGCAAUUGAAUCCAAUUUGAUCUAUGUUACUACCAUUGAUUUUAGAUUCGACAUGGGUCCAACCGAAUAAUACUACUAAGACUAAAAUUCAAAUCUCCGCCACUUUUCAAACAAUACUAGCAGCAAAAAAAAAAAAACUAAAAAUAAGAUAAUUGUAUUCAUCAUAAAAUAAAAAUUACAACACAAAUAGAAUAAAUAAUUAAAUAUUGUUAUCAUUACUUUGCUGCUGUGCUGUUUUAUUUUCGUCCAAAAAAUAUACAAAUAUAUAUAUAUAUAUAUAUAUUUUAAAAAAAUCUAGUCCUAUCAAAUGGAGGACCAGUGAGGUCACAAUGAGGACUGAGGAGUUAAAAAGAAAAAGCGGGUGUGUUCAGAAAUUCGAAAAGGUCAGGGGGGCCACCACAAAAAAAGCGCCUUGUCUUUUUCCCAAACGCUGGUGGAGUACGACCUCAAAGAUCCUCUGCUGACGCUACUCUCGGGCGGGAACAGGACCGAAUCCUCCAAUCCACAGAGCCUGAUCCGCUUCGGACGCCCCCACAAUUUAUGGGGUCGCAGUUUUCCCGGGCCCCGAUCCCACAGGAAAAUCUCACGCGCACGCUACGAUCCCGCCGAUGGAUAUAUAACUUAUUAUCAAUAAGCAGCAAAAUCAUGCUGGCACGCAACGUAUAAACAUAAGUCAUUCUCGAUAAACAGCGAAAUUUUUUCGCAUGCAAACAAAAUAGUCUUAAUACAAUUAUACAUUGCAUCAGAUGGUGCUCAUUGUUCAUUAAUUUCUUAAUUAGAUUUGCAGCUGAAAUGAACAGAUUAUUUAGUUGCUUUGUCUACCUGUAUACAAUUCUCUCAAUCCGAGAGCUGACGAAUAAUAAAGUUGAAGAUCUUAAGAUUUUAUUUGUUACUGUAUUUUUUUUCUUAUCUAAACUGAUAGCAUUCCUUUUAGCAUAGCAAAUUUUCAUUAAGAAAAAAAAAUUACUUUUUAGCAUUUGGUCAGAACUUAUUGCCGGUUAGUCAAUAAUAACGGAAGUGAAGAGGUUCUUUCGUCAAAAACAUCAAAUCAUACGUUACUUUUGGUUAUAAAAACCAAAAAAAAAAAAAAAAAAAAAAAAAAACCUCAAACAGAGCCUUAGAAAAAAAAAUAUAUUUCCCCUAAAAUUAUGUUUUUAUUAAUAUAUUAGAACGGUCCAUUGAGGACCAGGUCCAAACAAUAAUUUGGCUAGAAAGUGAGUGGGCCCACAAACGGAGCCCAUGAGCCAAUCGUGCAUUCUCUAGAUUUUAUCCUGAUCCUGGCGGGCCCACGUGCGGGGCCUGCUCACCCUACAAGCACCCACAUUACACGACCCGCGAUCCAUUCCCGGGAAAACCAACGACUCAUGUCGCGCCACGUGGAUUAUGCAAAAGGACGGCCCCGUGCGAUGCAAAUCGAUUUCUACGCAGCAUGCCGGACCAUUGGUAAACGCUGUCACUGUUAUUCCGUAUACAAUUUUUAAUUAUCAUAUUCUCUCUCAUCGAACACUGUUUUUUUCUCUUUUUUUUCCUUGAUUAAAUAUAAAAAUAUAUGAAUACUAUUUUUUAAUACAUUAAAAUUUUAAAUUAGAAUGGUUGUUUCACAUAGUAUUAGAUCAGAAGAUCUUAAAUUCGAAUCAUAUCAGCCUCCUAAUAUUAUUGUUAUUUUUUUUAUUUAAUUCAAGUUCACGUAAUGGGCCUUAUAAAAAAUUGCUUCAGCUUCAGCUUUAGCUUUUAGAUACCGCUUGGUUCGGGUAUAAACAAAAAAUAGCUAUUACAUGAAUAGAUACAAGUAUGAGAAUAAAAAAAAUAUCAUUUGGAUGAAAAUUGGAUUGUUUCCGGGGAUAAGAAAAAUAGUGUUUGGAUAAAUAAUAUGGAAUAAGAAAAAUAUUCGGUAGUUUUAUAUAGAAAAUGAAGAUGUUGGUGGAAAUAGUUAUAAUUGGUUAUUAUAGGUAACCGAGAAGUACGGUUCUCGAAUAAAAAAUUAGCGUUUGAGUAUAAAGGGGAAUAAGGGUCUAUCCCUAAUUCCCCAUUCCUAUCCCCUAAUCAAAUACUGCCUUAGAGUUAUUACAAUAUAAUAAUAGAUACUAGAUAAAUUUUCUACAGUAAAAGUUUUUUAAUUAAAUACUUUUUUGAAACAAAAAAGAAUCCCCUCUCAAGUCUCAAUUAAGAAGGGGAAAAUAUUAGAUUUUGAAAAUGAUUGAUGCAAUUGGGAGAUGAUGAGAUCACUCUCGAAGCUAAACCUCCACCAUAUAUAUAAUAAUGAUUAAUUGUCUUGUUAGGCAUCCACUAUUCAUUGCCAAGCAAUAACUGCUACAAAUGAUUGGAGUCUCACAACUUCAUGUUCUGGGAACGCAAAAGUUACACAAUUUAAGCAACAUUUGCUUUUCCUUUUUCCUUUUUUCUUUUUUUUUUCUUUUUUUUUUUGUUGGUGGUACUGUGAAAGUAAUAUUUUAUAAAUUAUUAUAUUUAAAAUCAGAAAGUUUAAUCGUCACUUCUAUAAUAAAAAUAUGGGUAAACCUCAAAUGCUGUUCAUGUGGUUUAGUACUCUAUGAUUUAAAAUGUAUCAAGUUAGUACCAUAUAGUUUCAUUUUUCUCUUUUAAUCAGCUCUUUCGUUAAUAUUUCGUUAAAUUAUAAACAAAAGAAUUUCAGAUACUCCAUCUAAGUUUAUCGAAUAUUUACUUUAGUACCCUUUAGUUUUAACAUUAUAUACACCCUUUUUAGUUUUUACUUUUAGGUUUCUAGCUCUUGGAUCUACUUCUUGAUUACUAAUAGUUUUUGGAUCAAAUAUUAUUCCACCUACCACCAUUAAUCCAACCUUUCAUUUUUCCAUCUAAAGAUUAAAAAUUCAAAAGUAUCAAUCUCUUGGUGCUUUUGAAAGUAUUCUAGCUCAACUCUCUCUCUCUCUCACUCUCUCUCUCUCUCUCUAUAUAUAUAUAUAUAAAAGAUGUGCACGUAGCAUCACUCCUUGUGAUAGAGUUCGCAGGUACAUUUCAACAUCUAAACAUUAUUGUUUCUUUUCCGUUUUCUUUUCUUUUUUCAUCCUUUUUGUGAGUACAUUUUCCGUGUAAAUAAGUUUAGUCUGUAGGUUUAUAAUUAUUCCAGAUCAAGCAAUAUAACCAAAUUUGCAUGCUAAUUAACCAAUCACCUUAUUAUGUUACCUUUGAUGUGGCCAAUUUAACAUGAGAGUUCAUAAUUAAUUUCAUUGAUGCAAACCUUUAUUGUGACACGUUAGAUUCAUUGAAUCCCGUAAAUUGUAGUUAGUAAAUUAUAAUCAAACUAAAUAAAUAUAUCUGUUGAUAUCAUAGCAGGAUUGAUUAAUAGCCUUACCAUUCUCUAAGUACAUAGUUUUCGUCAUAGCGAUGGUCAUUGUCUUGUUAGUUUGAUGACUCUAUGAUGGUGAAAUCUUGUUAAUUAAGCAUCUAACGGAGAUCCAACAACUCUAAUUAGUAGGUAAUCUUAGAGAAAAACAUAUCCUCAAAUUAUAUAAUUAAUGAUAUGAGAUAUAGAGGCAUAAUGAUUGGACCAAACAAGCUUUGACUAAUUUUGGCAUUUAAUUAAACGAUUAGAGUCAAUUAUUUCCCCCCUUCAUUUGCAUUUAAUAUAAAAGACCUUGUAAUCACACCGUCCAUAUCUUAAGCGGCAGCAACUAAUUACCAAGGAGUCUCUAUUGGUGAUCUUCAAAGUCCUAAUUAGCUACCUAUAUGCAAGAUUAGGAGUGGUGAUUUAAUUUGUUAAGUAAACAGAGUUUAAUAUAAUAAUAAAGCGAGAAGAAACUAUAUUCCUUCAAUCGCGAACUCGAACAUGCGGAGAGAAUAGUUUUGUCAAAUUAAAUACUUGCUUCCUCACCUUUUUUUUUUUUUUUUGGUGAGCAUGUAUUGAAGUCAAUGAUCUCGACCAACCAUAUUACACGUAAAUGAUCAUAUGAAAUUAAGAAAGAUAACUGGGCCAUAUCUUGUCUUCAGAAUACUUUAAGUUACUUAAAAUCAUAAGAAAUAAUUUAAUCUGGUUCUUUCUUGUCUUUUGUUUGUGGUGUAAUGAGAUACAGCUGAUCCGUGAAACAUUAAUUGUAAUAUGAGUAGUUCACUGACCACAUUUUAUAUUUCAUUAAGUACUAGCUAGGGCUUGUCAGAGAAGUUUAAAAAUAUUUUAAGUAGAUGGAAAAAAUUAACCUUAAACAUUGCUAGUUUUGGUCCUUUUGGAUAAGAUAAUGUUAUAUCUAAUCACUUUUGGCACAUGUGGCAAGGAUUAAUUAUCUGUUUUUUUUUUUUUGUAAUUAAUACAAGCUGGAUUAAUGUACCAACUAUGUUACACUGAACCAUGAAUUUUUGCGGCGAAAUACAUAAUCUCUUCAAAAAUAAAAUAUGAAAUGGCACCAUAAAAUGUGUAUGAUUAAUGAAACAUAUAUACAUGUUAAGACCGGAGCUCGCUCUCUAAAGAAUUUUUAUCUGUAAGUCAUUUCAGUAGAUUCUACAGUAGUCGAAACUAAAAAUAAAAUAUGGAUAAUUUAUUAGGGCUGAUUUUAUUAAUUGUGCAGUAUAAUGUGAUUUGAUACUUAUUAUCUGCAUAAUUUAGAAGAAGAAUUAUAUAUGGACCAUAUUACUAUAUAUGUUUCCAAUACUUCUUUUUUAUUGUAAAACUAGAAUUUCGAAUAUUAAAACGUUUUCCUUUCAGGCUUAAAAAUUAUUAUUUUUUAUUUCUAUUGAAGCCAAUAUUGCUUCAGAAUGUUUUCUUUACCAAAGAUUUUACUACGAGCUACUGCAUUUUUGAAACAAGAAAAAACCUGAAAACCACAUAAAUUCUUAAUUUUAAAUAUAAAUAAUAUUUUUGUAAUAGUGGAACUCCUAAUUAAGUCACUUAUUAAAACUUAAGAGUGGAACCAAGUAGUGAUGAUAUAUUUGGACAGGCACAAUUAAUUAAUCCAUCAUUUCAACAAAUCAAAUCAAAGUUUAACAGCAUCACAUCAAACACUUAUCCACUGCUCAGAAAGGUCGCGGGUCGCGGAUUGUAUACCCAAAAAUAAAAUAAAAAAGUUUUCAGCUCGCUCAGUUUAGCAACUCUUUUUUGUGUUUGCUUUGUUAAAUAAGAAAAAGACAUAAAAAUAUUGUCCAAUCGGCCUAAGUUUUUAAAAAUAAUAACUAUUUCUCAUUACUUAGCAUGAUAUCGAAAUAUAAAUUACCGAGUUCGAGUUAUAAGAUUAAUUAACAAAAUAUAGGUAUAUAUAUAAUCCAAAGUUUAAAUUUUGGAUCUUAAGGAUUGGAUCUGAUAUAUCAAUGUAUCAAAGUUGGCACCUGAGUUUUACAUUGAACAUUAGUUGUUAAUUAAUGGUUACACUCUAAUAUGCAUUUUGCUAUAAAUAACACCACACUUUAGAAGAAGGGAAAGUAAGGUUAUACGAGCACAAAAAGUACCAAGUAUAUAAUGUUGAUAGGGCUUUUUUUGCAAAUAGCCUCCUUAUAAUUUUCUUUUUUUAAAUUGGCCUUGUCAAAAAUUUAUUUGCAAAAAUGGCCCUGCUCCCGCCACGCAAGCGCCACGUCAGCGCCACGCGGGCGGGACUGGGCCAGAUGGUUAAGUUGAACACGGUGAACCAUUCACCGUGUUCAAUACAAAGUUUCUGUAUUGGACACGAUGAUUCACCGUAUCCAAUACAAAAUAGUUAAGAUCGAAAUAUUUGUAUUGGACACGGUGAACCAUUCACCGUGUCCAAUACAAAUAAUUGGACACGGUAUAUGGUUCACCGUGUCUAAUACAAAUACCUCCAACUUAUUCAUUGUUGGGAUAUUUGUAUUGGACACGGUGAAUCAUUCAUCGUGUCCAAUACAAAAAUUUUGUAUUGAACACGGUGAAUGGUUCACCGUGUUCAACUUAAACAUCUGGGCCCGCCCUGCCCGCGUGGCGCUGACGUGGCGCUGGCGUGGCAGGGGCAGGGCCAUUUUUGCAAAUAAUUUUUGGACGGAACUAUUUUUGCAAAUAAAAUUUAUUAGGGGGUUAUUUGCAACAAAAGCCCAUGUUGAUAACUGGUCAAUGCAUAUGAAGGGAUUAUUUUUACAAAUAGCUUCCUGACAAAUUUUUUUUUUAAUUAUUCCUAUCAAAAAUUUAUUUGCAAAAAUGACUCUGGCCCUGCCACGCAAGCGCCACGUAAGCGCCAUGCGGGCGGGGCUGGGCCAAGUGUUUAUNUUCACCGCGUCCAAUGCGUAUAUCCGGGACUAAAAUGGCUAAGUCCGGGUAUUUGUAUUGGAUACGGCGAACCAUUCACCGUGUCCAAUACAAAUACCUAAACUUUGUCAAGUCCGGAGUAUUUGUAUUGGACACGGUGAAUCAUUCAUCGUGUCCAAUAUAAAUAUUCCGGACUUAGCCAAAAAAUGGCUAAAUCCCGGAUAUACGCAUUGGACACGGCGAACCAUUCGCCGUAUUUGAACACGGUGAAUGGUUCACCGUGUUCAACUUAAACACCUGGCUCCAGACCCGCCCGCGUGACGCUGACGUGGCGCUUGCGUGACAGGGCUAAAGUCAUUUUUGCAAAUAAAUUUUUAAUAGGACUAAUUAAAAAAAAAAAAUUGUCAGGAGGCUAUUUGCAAAAAAAAAAAACCCAUAUAAAGUGUUAGCUAAAACACUUACUUUUUUUUUUUCUUUAAUAAUUAUGUACUUUUUAAAUUUUUAAACGUUCAUGGUACAAAGGGUGGUUCCUAUUAGCUCAUUUAUGUUCCAACUUCGCCAAAUUUAAGAUGCUCUCUCACAAACGUCAAACCUUCUAACGUGGAUCCACCUUGUUUUUUUAGCGGAUCCACCAUAUAUUAAUAAAGACAAUGACAAUGUGGUCAAUUAAUCAAAGUACGUACGGACCCAAACUAAUUAAACUGAUUAAUUUGUUCGGUCACCUCAACUAUUCAUAGUUUCGAACUUUUGGCCCGGUCGGUGUAUAUUUAAUGCGGUUGUGGCGAGAUGUGUAGGGUAAUGUUAUAUAGAAAAGCAAAAUAAUAUUUUUUAAUUAUAUUUUUGUGCCACACGUAAAACAAUUUAGAUUUAAUUUAGUAUUGAGACCUAUCUAACGCUAUUAGAUAAAAUGGAGUUGAAGAAAAAGUAUAUAUAGGUAUAUACUUCUGUGUUUUUCAAUGGGACCACAAAAAAUAUAUCGUAACCGACUCAUCGCGAUAUGCGGAACGCAAUAUUACUUACGAAAACAAACACGAUAUUUUUUCAAUGUACUUUCUCACGGCACGUAAUGCAAUCUCCCCGCAAUCCCAAACGAAGCCUUACUCGUAAUUCCAAACGGAGUUUUAGUCAUCAGUUUUUAAUUUUUUACGCACGCAUUUAAGAACCACCGUUAAUAUGUUUGAAUUUCAGACUCUUAUUCUUGCGUCAAAACAUAGUGAAUAGAAAUAUUAAAUAUAUAUAUGUUGUCUAUAACUUAAGUUGUUUUAAAAUAACAAUCAAUUUAUAUAUUAGUUAACACAUUAUCAGAUUAGAGAAAAACAGUAGUAUUUUAUAUUAUUUAAACCAUUGUUCUCCAAAAGCCACUUAUGCUACAAACAUCGUAAAUAACAUGUAAUCAUAUUUGUAGCAGUUAAAAUAAGCCAAUCAUUGCAAUUAAAAAGUAAAAUAAUAUGUUUAUAAACAAAUGGUCUUUUUUCUAUAUUUAGUAAUUAACAGCCUUCAGAUUAAUUCUAAACUAAUUUUUAUUAGAAUAACUUUUUGUUUAAUACGAUAUUAAGGCGCUAGUGUGCAGUUUCUCAAUUCUAAAAGAUCUUGAGUUUAAUUUCUGUAUCAUGCCAAAAUUGUUCCCGUUUUGAUUGCUAAAAUUAUUUUAUACUAUUUUAGAACAUACUUACUAUGUGUCUAAUAUUCAUAUUCUUUUACCGACCGUCUCUAGCGUAGGUGAUAAAAAAAACUUAAUAGUUGGUAUUUAAUUUAUUUUAAAAUUUUAGCUAAGUUUAUUUUUUUAAAAAUAAACAAAGUGGAAAAAAUAUUUGCAUUUUUUUAAAAUUGUCCCCAUCAUUACAAAUAUAGGAAUGAGCAAAAAUCAAAAGCACAAUGAUGCCUAAUUGUACGGCACAAAGUUGGAUCUAUUUAUUUGCAAUUAUAUUAAGAAAAAGGGCAAAUUAAUGAGCCGGACCGGACCACAUUGACGAGCUGACCCAAUCUACGGAUCGACUUGGCGAUUCUUAGCUCAGACCAUGUUUUAUUUUUAUUUUUUUAGUUUAUAAAAAUGAUAAAUAAUUUGAUGCUUUUUUUUUUUUUGAGAGAUAAUUUGAUGCUUAAUUUUAUAAAUAAUAAUAAUAAAAGAAUGAAUUAGCGUAUUUUACGUGUACUGGUGAGAAAAAUUAUUACUCAGUUGAAGAAAAGCACGGAGGCCUCAGAAAUAACACGCGAUCCAUACAAAUCCACUGAGAGUAGAGAAAAAUUAUUAAAUAAAUUAACUAAUUUUUUGGAGACGAAUAAUCUGGUCCGUCCCUUCGACCACCCAAAGGAGACAUCACUUUUUUAUUGAUGGGUGUAUUUAACGAACCGCUGAGAUUUAUUAAUGAGUGGGCUCCAUAAGAAGAAACAGUUUAGGAGACAGGUAUAAUAUUUAUUCAUUCAUUUAUUUAUUAAAAUUUUAGAUGCAUCAAAGCUCUUAUUUUUACGGUAACGUCGAUUCUUACAUCCAAGUAGCAGAAAAGCAACAACCGACAACAAAAAUGGCUAGCUGUUGCAUGCACGAUAAACUACAAAGAAAACGUGUUUAAUAAUAUAAAUAAAUAACCGACCGUCCCUAGAGCAAGUGAAAAAGAGUUUGGUGGUUGGUAUCCGAGGUUUCAAGUUUGAAUUCUUAAUUGAUUCAUAUUUCCAGUUAAGUUUAUUUCUAAAUGAAAUGAACGAAGCGGGUAGUAUGCUACCCAUCUCUCAAAAAAAUAAAUAAAUAAAUAAAUAUGUGCACAUAUAAAAUGUAUGAGUUUGAUUAGCUAAUUAAAUAAUGUGCCCAUAAAUAGUUUAAUAGUUUUUGUUUAUUAUUAUAGGGUUAUGGUGUGGCUUAGGGUUGGUCUAUGGUGAUGUCCACCUGUGUCUCCUUCCCCACCUCAAAAUAAUAAUAAUAAUAAUAAUAAUAACAAUAAUCAUAAUCAUCAUCAUCAUCAUCAUCAUUAGCUUGGUUAGUGUUUCACAGCCCUAGCUCGCAUGUAUGUAUUUAUAAUUUGCGAGGAUUUUGUUUUUAUUCAUAUUGUUUGGGUUUAAUUAGUUCCUUUCAUUCCAAGUUUUAUUGUGAAUCGUGAAUAUUUCAAUAUUUCUUGUAAAAAUGAAUAAUACCACACUAACAAAAGGAAUUUUUUUUUUUUUUAUAUAUAUAUGUUGUUUAAACUUGUAAAAGUGUAGAUAUAUGAUGCUUUAGCACACUUUCUCAGAAACAUUGAUUGUUCCUUCAAUGUUAUGAUUCCCCAGCACCGAAAUUCGGCAUUAAUUAAUAUUGACUUGACAAAACUCUCUGAACUACAAAGUUUCUUUUUUCAUUUGGUUUCAUCCUGAAGGAGCAUCUCAACAAGACAUCACUAGAUCUGCACUACUUAUCACGCACAUCUAAAAACUGCUAAUCAAUUCUAAGUCAUUUUCUAUUACAUUAACUUUUUAGAUGAAAAUAGUAUGGUAGCAGCAGGAUCAGCUCUACAGGGUAUUAGUUAGAACCAUUCUGAAACGCCUUGAUUUCGAAUUAUUUAAUCGCUUAUUUUAUAACUUUUUCGUGAUGAUACAUGCAAUGAGAGAGAAAGAGAGAGAGAUUUUGAAUGCAGAGAGAGAGAGAGAGUUAAUUAUGGUGACAAAAGAAAGAAAGAAGAAGAAAAAAGAAGUGUAGGCUCUAGCUAGACACAAGAAGAGGUAUAGAAUCAACAUUCAACAAUAAGAGAGGUUGGACUGGCAACACAGCCUGCGUGUUGUGCAGGGCCGAACAGGAAACUGUUGACCACUUAUUCACACGGUGUGUCUUCUCGAGAUUUCUAUUGAUAAUGACCUUAAAGUAUGCCCGGUCUAGAGAUUGGGGGGAUGACGUGAGCUCGGUCUAGGAUAGGUGGAUGACGAGGAUUGGAACGCAGUCGUAGAGUACUACGAUACACGGAUUGGUAGUUUACUGGUGGGUAAUUUGGGAGGUCAGGAACGGCGUCAUCUUUAGGAAGACCCAACCGGACCCCUUCUUUGCAGUUUACAUGAUUAAGCAGCUGACGAAUCUUUGAUAGCAAUUUCUACCAGGUAAUCGACGACACGCUUGUAGUCGGUAGGUUUUUGUUUUACUUUGUUUGUUUGUUUUGUUUUGUUUUUUUAUUUUCACCCCCUCCGAUACCUAUGUUGCCUCACCCCUGUAGGUUAGUUCAUCUUUGCAACGAAUGAAGCGGGUAGCGUAUUAUCUAUUUCUAAAAAAAUAAUAAUAAUGUGAUUGUGUACAGUAAUUAAAAGUGGGCCAGAGCAUAUAUAUAGAUUGAUUCGGGUCAAUAGUAACGGGACUGCAUAUAAUGAUGCCGACACGUCCACCCCAUGCAUUUAAUAUCACGACCCAGCUUUUCUGUGCCAUAAAAAGUGAUGAGAUUUUUACUGAUCAUUAAUUUCUUCGAGUACCGGUCCCCCUUCUUCUUCCUCCUGUGAGAGGAGAGACGAGACCUUUCAUUCCUUUUUGGCUCUUCAAUUCCUUUGGCCGCGUCAAUGGCGACACCUCAUGUGGUGACCAUCGUGGUACAACUAUAUAUAUAAUAAUAAUAAUUGUGACCACCUCGCCCCUUCAUGCACCCCCUCCCCCCAACCAUUAAAUUAAUUUUGUGCAUGCGCCAAAGGUUUAGAUCUUCUGAGGGGGCUCUCUAUCCUUAACCCUGUACAACCUCUGUGUCUACUUUGGAGCCUUUUGCCAAGAAAAUUAUUAUUAUUAAUUACUUCUGGUGCUUGAUAUGUAAUGUGGUCUUUAUAAGUUGCUGACACGGUGAAUAUACAUAAUGGUACUUUCGAAAUACAUAUAUACGUUACGUAAAAGUUAAACCUUUACCGUAGGCGCCUGUAAUGAUAGCUUAAGAUUUUUUUGAAGAACAAUGAUUGUUUCGCAAUUAUUGUACAAUCCACAAAAGCAGAUCAAUAGUCACAUAGAGCAAGUCCAUAAACAAUUGGGCUUAUAUUGGGCUAUGUGUGUUGGGCCACGAAGCAUUUAGUGCCGUAUAGAGCAUUGCGGGAUCUUAAAAAGGUUCACAAAAGACUAGCUAUGAAAAGGAAAAGAAAAUUGAAAACCAAAAGUGUACUGUUAAAGGCCUGCUUGGCCCGAUCUUCUCGCUCUGAAAUGGCUCAACAUACAUGAUUCUUUAAUCAACUACUCAACUACAAGGUUUACUAAAGGAGAUUAAAGAAAGUUCCAAUGUAGUCAUUAACAGUAAGCGCGGUAAGAGAUUACUACUUCUGUACAGAAUUAGCUUUAAUUAAACCACUCCAGUCAUUUACUUCUUAUGAAUGUGGAUUGCCUCAUCGCCGCCUCCGAAGAGUAUAGACCCUCGACCGCUUGGUUCCGACGGAGCCAAAUGGUUGUUCCGUGAAAUUGCUCCUCGACUUAUUCUUACCAAGCUCAUGCUCUAUAGUAUGCAAGUCUUCGCAAAUUUCAUGCCUUGAUAAGGAGACCAACCCUGGCAAAAUAUCCUUCUGGAAGUCUCUUAGGCCCCUUCCCCUCCUUAACUUAAACCCACAUAGAUCCUUUCGACUCUUGUUCUCGGUUUGUGUCGCGUGCAUGGAGAGCCCAUCAUCUUUAGUCUCUUGUAGAUUCAGUAUACUUCUCUCAAAAGAAUCAGCGGAAUACUCGGGAUCAUCAUUCUCUACAUCAUGUUCAAUAUCUCUGUUGUUUGGCGAGUAAUGUGCGUAACAUGUUGAAUUCUCUGAAGAGAUUAAAAGGAGUAUCUCUGCUGCACCGGGAAUUACAUCAUCCAAUUCUAAUUUCUCGGCUUGCUGUUGAUUCAUGUCAGCCGUCUGAUUGAAAUCAUUCACAGGUUGGUAUUCUCCACUCUCUGCUACCGCAUGGCUUGAUACAGUAUCCUCUUCACUUUCAUCAUGCUGUCUUUGAUUCUCUUCAAGAUGGCUAGGUAAGGUUAUUGGUAAGUUGGUGCUUCCAACAGAUGCAUGUAAGUUAUUCUCUUUUGUAUUAUUGCCAGGAAAUAUAGCCGAGUUUUGCCUAUGGCCCUCACUAUGUGCACGCGCUACCUUCUCAUUCAUUGAUUUACGCAAGUCCGACGUUGAAUGAACUCCGUUGGAGCCGCAGGAAGAUCCUUCUAGCAAGUUCUUAAAGCAUUUUUCUGAGCCCUCGGUGAAAAUUUCCUUAGAAUUUAACUGAUCUGUGAGAGAAGACUCUUUAGAGCAUUUUUUGUUCUCUGAUUCACAAUUUUCUGGGCAUGUGCCACUUGAAUCUUUCCAAACAUUUUCAGGAUGCAUAACCGAGGAACUUGUCGAUGGAGAAGGGAAUGGUUGCUUAGGAUCAAGCAGAACGUAGACCGGUUUGUCUUCUUCGUCUUGAGCAAUGUUGAGGUCAAUCUCCAAAGGUUUGCGGAAAGUAGCCUUUUGCUUCUCAGUCGACAGAUUGGCUGGAGGAAAACCUUUCCAUUCAUUUGAUCCUGGACAGGAAGGGAUUAAAAAAAAUCUCAGAAAAGAUAUGCCGCGGCAAUGAACAGUCGCAUUGAACUACUUAUCCCAUUUGUCAAAGUUUUCGAGGGAAAAACAAAAACAAAGAGGUUUCUUUUAACUUUCUGAAAAGCUCUAUUAAUUAAAGCUGCUUAAGGUGAAGCAUAAAGUAUUAUCCUCCAUAAUUUUAUGUUCUCCAUCAUCUUAAUGAUCAAGCAUCAGCUUUAGAGAAACCAAACAUUACUCGUAGAAUUAACUAUAGAGAACAUGAUCUAUUAUUGCUCUAUAGAAUACUUCGAUUAGUGAAACAUCUCGCAGGGCUAAACAUCCAGCAUAGAGCCAGGCAAGAUUACAGAAAAUACUGCAAUGCGAUUCAAUAGCUUAUCAAGUUGUGUAACAAAAGAAAACAUGCUUGGACAAGUAAUGCCAAGUAAAAUAAAGGCCAUCUAAAGGAAAAGUAAAGAAGCACACUCCUCUGUUGGAACGGCUCCGUACGCCAAGCAGUAAAUGGCUGUAUUAUAAGCAGCAAAUCGGAAGGAAAACAGGAUAAGUACAUUCAAUGUGGGCUUAGAAGAGUUGAGAUGUUGGGUAUGAAACUGAAUUUUGCACAUAUGCCACUAAAAAUAUGCUCCAAUGCUACGAAAACUACUCAGGAUCAUCGCGUGGACUCAGCGGCAAAGGAAUUCUCCAGAACCAAAUAUGGAAUGUCCUUACAAGUUCCCAAGUUAUAAAAAUGCGAUUUCGUCAUAAUUCUGCCGAUAAUUUGUGGUUUUCAGACAAAUAAUGAUGCAAAUAAACAUACUCUUAAUACUCAUACAAGCAGAUAACUUUGGAAGCAAUCAAAGAACUCACCAGGGGUAAAGUGGCAAGACUCAUGCUCUCUCCGCGGCUCACUGAAAUCUUCAAUCAAGUGAUCUUCCACCGGAACAGAAUCCGAAUCAUGCAAUUCUGUUCCGGUCGAAUUCAUGCGAGAUGUGCCGGCUCUCAACUCAGCAGCAAAGACAAACUCCGCCGCGUCAUUAGACCCCGAAACCGCAGGUUUUUCCAAAUCAAUCACAUUAUGAGAACAGAAGCUAAAUCCAACAGAAUUAGCCUUCGCCGGCGCAGAACCUGCAUCACUUUCAUUGCAAAAAGAACCCUCCUCUACUUGCGAAAAAUCGUUCGCAGGUACCCGAAGAUCAAUCAUUAUCUUGGGCUGGUUACCGAAUUGCUCUGCCCACACACCUUUACUCACUUCCAGUGUCGAACCCUCCUGCAAAAUGAUUCAUAUUCUAGUGAUAACAACUCCAAAAAUUCGACUCAAAAAGGGUGAUAAUUUCUCACCAUUAUCACAUCCGAUCCCUUCCAGGAAAGCUCGUGCAUCAGGUUCUUCUGGGUCCGGUACAAUCGAUGAAGCUCCCGUACCUAAAAUAAACCCCAAAAAAAUCAGUGAAAAAGAAAAGAAAAGAAAAGAAAAGAAAAGAAAAUUCUCUACAAAGAUUCAUGAAAGGAAACAGAGUAUACCUGUUUCUUAAAUAUAAUUUCAUGCUGAAGCAUUAUUCGCCUCAACCCAUCCUUGAUCGAAUCCUCAUACCCGAGGUCCAAAUCACCUCUCCUCAGCAUCGUCGUCGUCGUCGUCGUCGUCGACCUCGACCCCAUCUACACGAUCAACACAAGUAGUUCUUAUACAAAACGAAUCAACAAAAACUAAAAUAAUCAACACGAAAAUGAAAAGAAUCCAUACCUCGAGAGGAUGGAGAUCGAAGAGGAGCGUAUCUUAAUAUCUGUUUCUACAGCUCCUGUGGUGUGCAAUGUGUAAAAAAAAAAAAGAAAAAAAAAAGUAGAGAGAGAGAGUGUGUGUGUGUGUGUGGGGAAUAGUAUUGGGAUUGGGAUUGGGAUCGAUUCCUUUGUUUUUUUUUUUAAUUAUUAUUAUUAAUUAUUAUGCCAUUGCAUGGGUAAGGAGAGAGAAAGAGGAGAGAGAGAGGAUCCGAGCACGGGGCGAGGAGUCCGUUUUUGGUAAUAAAGGAGGAGAUUAGUACUGCACCAUUUCCUCUGCGUGUUUUGACCAAAUUGCCCCUGGGUUUUGCUACACAGUUUUUUUUUUAAAAAAAAUAAAAUUUUUUGUCCUGUCAUUAGCAAUAACUCAAUUUACUUUAAAUUUAAAUAAGUUCAAGCUUUUUUGGACAGAAAUUAAGUUACAAUUUAUGAGUAUUAAAAAUUACUUUGACUUUUGACCUUUUCAAUUUCAAAAAAAUUAAAUUUAAUUCUCAUAUUAGUCAUCUGUUUGGCAUGAAUUGUUCGGAUCAUAAAUGAAAAUUAAAUAUUCAGGAUAGUGAAGUCAAAAUAUCAUAAUAUAGAACAAGUACUAUCCAUACAGUUUACUCUGGCAACGUACAAUAGUUUUUUGCCUUCUAGGACAACUUCCCCGAAAUACCCCUGUCAUAUUCGUUUGAUCUUAUUUAAAAAAAGAAAAAAAAAAGAAAAAAAAAGAAAAGAAAAGUCUCUGGGGGAAAUCUCGGACCCAAAGAAACACCGAAAGAUAAGCUAAGUGGGGAUAAUGGGGGCCACAAAGAAAAGUAUGGUUAAAGAGAGGGGUUUAUAGUUAUUGCUCUAAGAUGAAAAGUCUAAUUAAAUAUUAUAUUCGACUUUUAAAUUAUUUGUUAGCUCGUAGAUAAAAUAUAGAAUUAAUUACGUAAUUCUGCGAAUAUAUCGAAUAACAGAUAUAUCUCUGUAAAGUUCAAAGCUCUACCAUUUUCAAAUAUACUCCUAUUGCUAAGAUCCGUUAGAAAAAUAUAAUUAAUCGUGAGUGAAAUAUUUUAUUCUCAUUAGUGAAUGGGUUAAAUUGACUUUUUAAUAUUUCUGUAUAAUUCUAAUAGUUGGAGCUUUUGAAAGGAUGUAUUUAUAAGAACAGAAAUAUCAUUUAACUUAACUACUGUUACAAAAUAAACAGCACUCUAAUAGUAAAAAAUCAGAGAGAUCAACUUUUAAUAUUAUUGAACUUUUGCAGGAAUAAAAAUAAACAAGUUAAACUUUGUAGAAAUAUAUUUACUAUUCAAUAUGUUUACAGCGAGCUGUAUGCAAUUAACCUCUAAAAUAUAAUAUCAUAUCAAAUCAUAAAAAUCAGAACCUUAAAAUUAAGGACCAAUAAAUUAAACUUUUUUCUUAUAAUCACAAUAAUAAAAAAAAAUCCUAAACCAUAAAAGUUAUCCUUGUUUAGAACAUUGAUAUACCUUUGCUUUGUUACCGGAGCGUCUGGAUUUGUUUCUUUUUGAUCAUUCGAUGCCUGCAGUUUUCUCGUCAAAAUCACUAGAAAUGCAUCGAUUCAAUGUGGGCACAUGCAGUACCAUUCGAUAGAAAUUCUGCUUCUACCUACUUCUUAAAGUGGGCACAUUAUUAUUAGAGUCCGACUGAGAUACUAUCGAUAACACCAAAAAUUUGAUGCUAUCGAGUUUUUCACCGUUAGAUUUAAUCUUUUGAUUAUUUUUAUCCGUUAAAUUAUACUAUUCAACCAACCACUUACUCAACAUUAUGGGGCCUACAUCAUCUUAACCAUAUAUUUCUUAAUUUAAGGGUUAAAAACUAAUAGCAUAAAUAAUUUAGUAUUAUUGAUAGUAUUCUAGUAUAGUUAUUAUUAUUAUUAUUAUUAUUAUUAUAUAGAAAAUUAAACUAGUCGAGAACUACUUUUUGGAAGGGUGGGUUUUAACAGGUGGAAUGCUUUGAGUAGUCUGUGGUCAACUUCUUUUCUGGGUGCCCACUUUUGGUCUAUUCUCCUGUGACAGCCACUUCGACUUGUGUUAGGUACUUAACUUUUGCUAGGCUUUUUUUAGGAAUUUCUAAAGAGAAAGCUACAUAAUGCAACCCAAUGAAUGAAUAAUGCUGCGCCAAUUAAAGUGCUUUACCUCCCAAAAACUAUAUAUAUAUAUACUAGCUUAUUUAUUAAGUUGCAUCAAGUGGUGAGAUUAUUUUUUUUUCAAAGAAAAAGAUAGUAUAUUGUCCAUUUCAUUCAUAAUUUGUAUGAAUGUUGAGCUACGACAAGGUCGAACAUAAUUCAGGUCGAUCUGGCCACGUUUAUUGGUCUCUAAGCUUUUGACACAAGUACAUAAUGCGAUUCACGAGUUGUAUUAUUUGAUUUGACAGUAGUUAAUUAGAUAAGAGAACAAAGACAAAUGCAAUUUGUUUUAUCCCUCUGAAUAUCGUAUAUAUGACUCUGUUUUUGGUAGACAUGAAGUUGUUUAAAUAGAAAAAUAAAUUAUUGAGAUGAUAAAUAUGAACUGUCUAAUCCUGUGAUUUUAUAAUUUGGCCAUGAAAUUAAAUAUCUAUACAUGUAGCAACAGUAUGUGGCUUCCCAAUUAGAGAUCUAUCAUCUAUCAUUGUAAAUGCGCCAAAACGCAAUUGGGGCGCAUUUAACCAUUUGAUGUAGCUUCACCAUCAACAUUUAGUUAUUUUUUGCCCCCCUAACAACUCUCAAUUGGUUACAAAACUAAGAAAUAAUAAGUCUUUGUGAAAUCGACAUUUUUAAAUGUUGCGCAAUUGUCAAUUCCCCGAAAAUGAUGCCAGAUUUAUAGCCAAAGCUAAAAAGAAAGGAUAUGGAAGAAUUACAAUAAUUGACACAUAAAGUGUGGCUCCCAUGUAGUGUUUUUUUUUUUUUUUUUUUUUUUUUUUUUUUUUUUUUNACCAAUGUUAUCUGAUAAUUGAAAUUAGUAAGAUGAAUUAAUAUUACUAACCAUUGUUUGAUCAGUUGAUACUUGACUUAUACCUUAAUUAUCUUGAGGCUAGAAUAUGAUCCUGGUUCGAGUUCAACUUCAAACGAGAAUGUUUGUAUCUCUCUAUGAACUAUAUCUCUCUAUGAACUAUAAACUACAUGAUCUUAAAAAAGAGAGAGGGGUAAGGAAAAAAAAAAAAAACCUCUUGAGUGUGAUUAACUAAUACAAUAAAUAAAUAGUCAUAUACUUAAUUAAAAAUAUAUAUGUAUUUUUCAGACAUAAAGAAUUAAGGGUUAAUUUCAUCCGUAACCCUCUAAAUUUCAGAAAUAUCAUAAAUAUCAUUAUAAAUUCUGUUAUAUUAUAAUUACUGUUUCAAAUACAUACUUUUUUUAAAUUUACUCUUGCGGUUAUACUAUGUCUCUUAGAUCACAUUAAUCUUAGUUAGGUAGUGGUCUAACACAAGUUAAAAUUUGAAAUGUCUAUUUUACCCAUGAAUUGAGAAGCUUUUGAAGGGUAUAUUAAUUAUAUGAUUUUUACUAUUUAGCCCAUAUCUUCUGUUUAUUAUUUAUUUAACAUCCAAACUAAUAUUGUUCACUGGUAUUCUUUAAUACUAUUUAGCUACUAACUUUUAUUCAUUAUUUAUUUUAGGGAAAACUUCAAAUACCCCACGUGGUUUCGCACUUUUUCACUUUAGUACCCUGUGAUUUCAAGUGUAUCAAGUUAGCAUCCUGUGGUUUGUGGUUUUGCACUUCUCACUUUAGUACUCUGCGGUUUCAAGUGUAUCAAGUUAGUACCUUGUGGUUUCGCACUUUCUCACUUUAGUAUCAUGUGGUUUAAUAUUUCGUUAAAUUAUAUACCCCAAAAUGGAUAAUAAAAAAAAAAAAAUUGAAACUACAUGGUACUAACUUGAUAUAAAAAUAAAAUCACAGAAUACUAACUUGAUACACUUGAAACCACCUGGUACUAAAGUAAGAAAGUGCGAAAUCAUAGAGGGGUAUUUGAAGUUUUCCCUUUAUUUUAUUAAAAUUUUAUUUAAUUUCAAUUGCUCUAUUAGGUAUUGCUCAUUAUAUUUUUUUAUUUUAACUUCUACGAAGUAAUUAAAUUAUUAAAUUUGUUGGAAUUAUCAAUGGAUUGAUAAAAUCUGCAAUUUUAUUGACAAAAAACAAUCCUAUUUCAAAGAACCAAAUAUUAAGAAAAUUUUGAUCAAAAUAGUUAAAUUAAAGGGGCCUAUUUUGUAACGUAUAAUAGUUAAGGGAAUUUUCAUAUAUUAACUUUUGAAAUUUUGUGAGGGUAUAAAUAAAAAUGAAUUGGAGGGUAAAUUUGGUAUUUUGAAUCCGUCAUAUCUAAACAUGACGGAAUAAUAGUUAUGAGGGCAUUUUUAAAAAUUUUUAUGCUUUUUGAGGGUAAAUAUGAAAUUUUAAUUUUUUUAAGGAAUAUUUAUGUUAUUAGAAUUAUUUGGAAGGAUAAGAAGGAAAUUUUUCCAAGAAUUAAAGAUUCUUCAAGCAUCGGAUUUAGAAAAAAUUAGAAACCCCAGAGUCCGAACCGUACGCUUUUAUUUACUAAUCUACCCCCGAAAAAUCGUCGGCUUCAGCGGGCACCUGGGAGGGGCAUUUGUGGAAUUAUGCGCACAUCCAGGGGAAAGGGGCCCUCGUGAUGCGUGCGGUGGGUUCCGCGUGUGGGGACCACUCCGAGGCUGCGGGCGAAUCCACGAGGUCAAAAGAAGUUAUACGGAGUCCUCAAUGUUGUACUCAAAAAGAUAACUAGCCCACGUGGCUCCAAACUAUUUGUUGGUCUAGUCCCCUGUCCUUUUUAUUGGUCUCUUUACACAGUCGUGUAGAUGAACGUGCAACGGAGACACGGAGUCACAACGUUGACCGUUGUGGAAAGGUGGAGAAUAAAGAAAAUAAUAAAUAAAGAGCUUAAUUCCGAGAAACUAUUGCCUGCACCGUGUCUAUGCACCGCACCUCCUAUUGAGCAAUUAAUUUUUUUAAAAUAAAAAAAAUAAUUCAACAUACUCUCCAUAACAAAACAUUAUGUAUUUUGAAAACACAUAUUACACCUUUUUUUUUUUUUUUUUUGUGAGAGAGGGUAGAGCCUGUAAAUUAUUUAAUUUUUUUUUACACUGCUAGUUAAAAUUUUAAAACUGAGAGUAGCGUUCUAUUGAAUCAGAUCUUUUAUCUGGUUUUGAUUUAUUGUUUAAUAUAUGAUGUAGAAAAAUGUUUGCGUAUCCUGUGAUUGUUUAGAAAAAGUUUUACGAGUUCAAAUAGCUAAUAUAAGUUUAAACAGCAAAAUCAAACUAUUAAUUGGAAUUCAUUUAUAUUGUUAUUUCGAAAGAUUACAGCGUGCAAUCAAAUCCAUGAUCAUUUAAUUAAAUUAACUUCUUUCUUAGCUAAGGACGAUUUUAGUUUGCGAAUAUUACUUUGUUACUAACUUAUUGAUUUAUUAAAUUUCAUAAUUACACUAUACUUGGUCCAAGUCUUCUAUGAGGAGUAUUAUGAUCAAUGAAAUCCACCAAAUAAGUUGCUCUAAGUUUAAAUUUUCAAUUUGAUUUUCUUUUAAGAAGGAAAUUGAGAUACGAGCUAAAAUAUAAAGAGCUUUUCGAAAGGAUUAAUAUAAAAAGCAUCCCUCAGGGACAAAUUAGAUCUGUUAAUUGUUUUUCUUUCGAUUACCGUAUUCUCAACUUUCAGUUCUUUCAAUUUAUAUUAUUCUAGUUAAUUAAGUUAAAAAUUGUAUCGAAUUUAAAAGUAAUUUUAUUAAAGUUUAUAAUUUCCAAUGCAUUAGCUUAUAAAUGCCGCAGAUUUUAAUAAUUAGUGAUAGUAAAAUAUAUAUGUAAGUAGAAAAAUAAUUAUUUUAUAGAAGAUAAUGAUUUUUUUUUUAACAGUGCACGAACAAUAAUUUAACUCUACGAGCAUGUAGACCGACCCUAGAGUAAGUAGCAAAAGGCUUGGUGGUUGGUAUCCGAGACUUAAGUUCGAAUCCUAGUUGAUUCACAUUUCCAGCUAAGUUUAUUUCUAAAUGAAAUAAACGAAGCCGGUAGCGUGUUACCUAUCCUCUCCAAAAAAGAAAAAGAGAAAAAAAAGAAAAAAAAAAAACGCCUCUACCAGGCAGUAUGUGAUUAUAUUGAAGAAAUAGUUUGAGAUUUGAUAUCGAAGCGUGUUCCUCAGAGCAAGGUGGGCAAACCGGGCUUGUGGUUGGUCAUCACAUAGACUCACCCCAGUUCGCAAUCUCUAUGUUGAUUCCAUAUUAUCAAAUACGUUACUCACAGACGAAUCUUGAAUUGAUUCAUAUUUUCAACUUCAAAUUAAUUUGCAAAUUGAAAAAAACUGAUAAUCCAUGCUACCCUAUUUUCUCAAAAUAACAAAAAAGACAUUUUUAAUAGAAAUAAUUUGGUCCUGCUCCCAAGCGAAUCAUGUUCAUCUCUAUUAUAAACUAAUUAAAUAAAGCUAUUAAUUCAUACAUCUUAUUAUAAUAAUCCAAAAUACUACUUAGUUAAUCGCUAAAUAAGACACAAGUUUUAGAUAUUUCAGGCAUGUGAUAAAUUGUAUGCAGAUACUGCAAGUUGUUUGAUUACAAUAAUAAUGGGCGGAUUCUUUAAGCACCCGUUGGGUUCAGAUUUAAUAUUCAUAAGUUGAGUUAUAUAAAACUUUAAAAUAUAAAUUAUUUAGCUAAAUUUUAAAAUAUUUAGAUAUAUGUAUUAAAUAUUAUUUUAAUUUAUAAUUUUAGAUAUAAUUAUAUCUAUUUUCUCUAAAAAACACUACAAUAGUUUUUUAAAAAUAUAGUCUAUUUACAAUAAUUUACAUAAAAAUAGUACAAUAAAUAUACAACGCUUAAGGCAACGAAAUUCAAAAAUCAUUAAUAAUAAAGUUUUAUUUUAAUUAAAUUUAUUUUUUAGUAUAGUGGCCCAAAUAACACUCUAAAAUAAGUAAGAGGUUAGCAAAAAAGAAAACAAAAAUCAAAAGAUAUGGAAUUUUUUUUUACAGUACACGAAACGUUUAAGUUUAACUGUACGAGGUGUGACCGCCCGUGAGUAGUGGAAAGGUUUGGUGGUUGAGUAUUCGAGAUAAGUUAAUCUAGUUGUUCAAGUUUCAGCUAAGUUUAUUUUAUGAAUAACGAAGGGGGUAGGCAUUGCUUACCUAUUCUUUCAAAAAAAGAAAAAGAAAAAAACAAACAAAAAAAAAAAAAAAAAAAAAAAAAAAAAAAAAAAAAAAAAAGAAGAAAAACGACCACUCUCGAGCAUGUAUGUUGUAUGUUGCAAUGGAGUUUGAAGAUUUUUAUUCGACUGUUCCUAGCGCAAUGGCCAAAGGCUUGGUGGGUUGGUAUCAAGACUCAAGUUCGAAUUUAGUUGAUUUCAUAUUUUCAAUGAGGUUACCCAAUGUUUCGAUACUUAUUUGAUUCAUAUUUCAACUAAAUUAUUUUAAAUGAAAUAAACUGAGUAGUAGGCAUGCUAUCCUAUUGCAAAAAAGCAAAAAAAGAUUUUAUAGAUUUUUGUUCCUUGUACGCAAGUUAUUUAAUAUUCUUUAAUAAAUAAUUAAUAAAUAUUAACUAUAUUUUUUUAAAUAAUUAACAAUAUAUGUUUGUUAAUUAAAUAAGAAGUUUUAUGAAUUUUCAAUUGUGAUAAUGUAUCAGAUAUGCAAGUUUUGAUUACAAAUUAUAAUGCUGAUCUUUUAACAGUUUCGGUUCAGAACUUGUAAUUAUUAAAUGGUUUGUGUUAGUUUAAUAAACUUUAAAUAAUAUAAUUAUUUAUGCAAUUUAAAUAUUUUAGCAUUAUAUUAUUAAAUAUUAAUUUUAAUUUUAAUAAUUAUUUAGUAUAUAAUAUCUCAUUUGUAUAAAAACAUACCAAUAAGUUUUUUUAAAAGUAUAUUAUUUUAAAUAAUUAAAAUAUAUAAUUAAAGUUAUAAGGCUAAGCAACAAUUCAAAUCUGAUUAAUAAUAAUUUUAAGUGUUUAUCUUUAAAUUUAUUUGUUUGUAUGGAUGGCAUAACACUCUAAAUAGAAGGUGUUAGAAUAGGAAACAAAAAAUCAAAAAGAUGGAGAGAUAAAGUGGGUUAGAAAUAAAUAAAUCGUUUAAAAUAUAAGAAUCUUCAUUGUAUAUUAAAAAUACAUAUUUUUGUUAUUUUAUCUUGUGUAGAUUUACAAAUAAAAAAAAGAAAAUUAACUAAAGUAAAUAUACUUAUCAUUUGUUGAUUCUCAAAUAAUUAUUAUUGUUAUAAUUAAAAUAUUAAAGUUAUAUUAAUAUAUAUUAUAUAUAUUAUCUUAAUAUACUAUAUAAUUUAUAUAUAUUAUUAUAUUAUAGCGGACUGCUUGUGUUUUCAGGAGCACGGAGCUCCGUGCUACUGAGCUGUUUCGUUAUGAGAAUUUCUGAAUCGAUGAUCGGGCUCAUUAGAUUUGUUAGAGUUUUGAAGUUUUGAAAUAUUUUGGGUUGCGAUUUUUGAUAUCAUUUAUACAAUCGAAAGGAUUUAAAUUAAUAAUUUUUAUGGGCCGAAAUAAACUUCCUAUAAAAGGUCCGUUGAUUAUAUAAUAAAUUUUCGAGUACUGGAUAAUAAUAUCAAAAAUUUAUUAUUUAUUCUUUCAAUCCUGCGGUAAAUAAUAUCAAAAAUAUAAAAAUUAUUUUUGAAACUUCAAUAUCCUAUAUCAAGUUUAACGAGCCGAAAUCGUUAUUCGAAAUUUUAAUCGAAAACGGCUCCGGAGUAGAGAAGCUCAAUGCUUCUCUCUCUGUGUCAUAUAUAGUAAUUAUUAUAUCUCAAGAUGGGAAGGAGAGCAGUGAAUCCCAGCGCGAUCAUCGGAGGUGAUGUCACCUCGUGACGCUGGUGCAAAAGGGGAUGUGAGCCCUAUUUUUUGGCACCUGUAUGGUUUUCUUUUUGUCUUUUUUUUUUUCGGCUCGCGCCUGCCAGAGCACGGCUGGCGCCGCGCCGUUCUCGCGCCACGCACGUGCGACCGCGCUAGAGCGAACGCGCUGGGAUGCCGCGCUCAGCGCUGCCCUCGGGCCCUCGGCGACGCCGCCAAGCGUCGGUAGGGAGUCAGGUUCACAAUUCUAGUUUACUAGUAUGUUAGAGAGCGCGCGAUGGCAACGGUAGAAUGAUAGGAAACAAAAUUUUAAUAAAUUUAUAUUCUUAAUUUAUUGAUGUAUUAAGAAGCUAUACAUAUUAAAUAAUUAAUUUGUAUGACUAAAUUUCAACUAUUAAAAAAAUAAAUUAUAGUUAGAAGUUUAUAUAUAUAUAUUUUAAAAUUAUCGAAAUACAGUAAGAGACAUAUAAUUUUAUCGUAUUAUGUGCACCUUAAACAUUCCAUUGUGAAAAAUAAAAAAGAGCUAACUCCAGCGCAGCUAAAUCAACUUAGUGGGCACUUAUAUGAGCCGCGACUUGAUUUUGCGAAACGAUACUUCUCGAAGGAGACAACGUUUUUCGCAUGCUCUUCUUCUUCUUCUUUGUCCUCAUCAUCUUCGUUAACACAAUAAGAGAGAGAGAGCUAGAUGAGUAUUGGGUGGAAAAUUAGAUGAUGAUAUUUUUUUUGCAUGAAAAAUAAGAGGCCAUGCAAAAGAGAGGGGGGUGGGGGAUUAAUGUAGGGGGGGUGGAUUGGUGUUGUAAAGCCCAUUUAUUUGUAGAAUAUAGUGCCUAUAAUUAAAUGUUGCAUUUUCGAUUAAUUAAUUUUAAUGAUUUCAAAGAAUUGGAAGGUGAAGGGUUUGUCGUUGAAAAGAAAUUUGAAGGAGAAGAAAUGACUAAUAUUGAAGAGAAAAAUAAGUAACACAUAAAUUAAAGAGCAUAUUAAUUACUUGUCAUUAAAUAGAGAGGAGGGGAGAGGAAAAGUCAAGAACAAAUAUGAGUUCAAAAAAAGGAUUAGUAAGGUCGAAAGAAAACUUGCCAUGUGAUAAAAAAUAUUGGGAAUUCAUUCCGGUCAAUAGAUAAAUAAAUAGCUUAUUUGGAAUUUUUUUGGAAUGACGAGACAUACGAGCCGUCCUCGCCUGUUCUUCUCCUCCGCGAUUCCGAUGCCCUCGUCCUACCUCUCCCCGCCGCUCCCCCCGCGGCCCCGGCCCCUCCGCCGCCUCCACCUCGCCGUCGUCGGCGCUGGCCCGGCCGGCCUCGCCGCCGCGCGCGAGCUCCGGCGCGAGGGCCAUGGCGUCGUCGUCUUCGAGCGCGGCACGUCCGUCGGCGGCACCUGGGUCUACUCCCCCGCCGCCGAGCCCGACCCCCUCGGCCUCGACCCCUCCCGCCCCCUCGUCUACACCAGCCUCUACGCCUCCCUCCGCACCAACCUCCCCCGCGAGUCCAUGGGCUUCCUCGACUACCCCUUCUCCUCCGCCGCCGCCGCCGCCGCCGACCCCCGCCGCUUCCCCGGCCACCAGGAGGUGCUCCGCUACCUCGAGCGCUUCGCCCGCCAAUUCGAUUUGUGCGAAUUGGUCAGGUUUGGGACCGAGGUGGUGCGGGUGGAGAGGGACGAGGGAGGGGGUUGGGAGGUGAGGUCGAGGAGGGUCGGCAAUGGCGAUGGGGGCGACGAGAGGGAGUUUUACGAUGGGGUUGUGGUGUGUAACGGGCAUUACACCGAGCCUCGGAUUGCGGAGAUUCCAGGUAUUAACUUCUCUCGUCCCAGUUUGUAACUAACAAUUUUCUUUUGAGGUGAAAUAGCGGAGGUCCCAAUUCGCGAUUCCUUGUUAUCAGUUUUCUAUAUAUUAUCGUUAUCUGAUCACUCUUAUUCUGUUGCUCCUAUGGUAUUUCUUUAUUUCUGAUCCCUUUUUAAUCAAAAUUAGUCAAAAACACUUUUCUGCAUGGAGCAUGAUCUUGUAACAAUCUAGAAAGUAAACUAAGAGCAUCUUAUUACUCUCCAGAAACAUUAGAAUUCACUGAAUGCGAGUUAACGAUUGAGCCAAUGCAGUUCUCGAACAUAGAACAUUAUAAUGUUUAAUAGGGAAUGUUAAUAAUUUACAAGUAGCUAAGAUUGGUGAUAAAAAGGGGGAUCUGUUUACAGCAUUUCAGUGUGGAUGAUAGAACUGUUAGCACCAAUAAAUUUGCACAAAGCAAUUAGUGUGGCAAUUUGAUCUGCUAAGCUGUCUAAAUUUUGGCUUGGAUGUAGGACAUUUGAAACUAACAAUGGAGGCAAUUGGUUUGCGGAUUCUGAAGGAAUUAGAUGUGGAUUUUCAAAAAUUGAGUACUAAGUUUUAGCGACGUUCGAGUUUCUCUUUUGUGGAAAUAUUAUAGAAGCAUGACAUGAAUCUUUGGAGCAGUAAUGGUCGACAUAUCAUCACUUCCGGAUGUUUUACAUGUUAUUUUGCAGGAAUUGAUGCUUGGCCCGGGAGGCAACUGCAUAGCCACAAUUACCGUGUCCCUGAGCCAUUUGUUGACCAAGUAUACAUUUCACUAACUUCCCUUAAAUUUAGUUGGUUUUUAUCAAUCAACUGAGUCUAGCGACGCAAGUGUUACAUAUCAUAAUCAUGCUUUCUGUUCUAAUGUGGACAAGCGGAAGUAGUACUAUGGCCUUAUUCUGUUCUCGUCAUUUGACAGGUCGUGGUUAUAAUUGGGAGCUCAGCUAGUGCAGUUGAUAUUUCGAGGGACAUCGCUAGAUUUGCCAAAGAAGUUCACAUUGCAAGUCGAUCGGCAGCCACUGGAACUCCCAUGAAGCAGCCUGGCUAUGACACUAUGUGGCUUCACUCUAUGGUAAAAGCUCUUUCUCACGGUGAGUGGGAAACCAAUAGAUUGUCCAUGAAAGGGAAAUCCAGGUCUUCAUUAAGGAAAAAAGUAUAUACAUAUACUGAUCUUAUGUUGUGUGAAUGUGUCACAGAUUAAGAGCACCCACAAAGAUGGCACUGUCGUAUUUGAAGAUGGCAGUUCAGUCAAGGUUGAUGUCAUUAUGCACUUUUUUUUUUCUUUUUACGGUGAAGCAUGUAUAACAAAUCUGUUUUCUUUUCUUGCUAGACCAGAAUCAACUAGUGGUAAGGAUUCUUCACUUUAUGCAUAAGGCUUGAUAUGUCAAAGGCACUUAUUUUAAAGUUGCUUAGAUUGUCACAAUGACGUUAACCAUAUUUUGACACUGCAUAUCUGUUCAUAUCUUGCAAGUUUUUUACUAUUAGACUCCACAUACUAAUUUAAAUUUUCACACUUAGUACACAAAUCAUUUGUUCGUUUCUUGAUUCUUAUUGUUUGUUCUUUUCUAUCAGAUAUAAAUAUCAUUUCCCUUUCCUCGAGAUGAACGGUAUAGUGACUGUUGAUGACAACCGUGUUGGACCACUCUACAAGCAUGUUUUCCCACCAGAGCUCGCCCCAUUCCUCUCCUUCAUUGGAAUACCAUGGAAGGUUCUAUUCGCUGGCAAUUAGGCUUUUCUUUUGCCCUUGAGAAUUUUAAUCAGUAGUCUUUAUUGCUUGAAAUCACUGUACUAACGCAUUCGUAAACUUGAUCCAGGUGAUUCCUUUCCCUAUGCUUGAACUUCAGAGCAAGUGGGUAGCAGGUAUUCUAUCAGGACGAAUAGAACUACCGACAAAAGAGGAAAUGUUGGCAGAUGUGAACGCCUUUUACUUAGAGAUGGAAGUUGCUGGAUGGCCUAAAAGAUACACGCAUAACUUUGCAAACAUUCAGGUGCCCUGAGUAUUUAAAAUCAUAGUUGAAUAACUUGACAAGCUAAUGCAAUACUUGAUACCUGCAUGGCCUGGAGCUGAAACUAGCUUCUCUACUCCAAUAAGAUGCAACUAGGCAAUUUGAUAACCUUAUUGUUUGGAGCUUUCGCUGUGGCCAGAAGCUGAAAUGAGCUUCUUAAUCUGAAAAUAGAAGUCACAAUUUAAGGCUUUUCUUCGGCUGCUUGUACAAGUCGUUGGGGAACUUGUCGAACAAGCUAUUGUGCUCAUUUAAGAGUUCUACUCAAACCUGCCCUAAUCUUGAUUGGGCUCUCUUUUGGCUAGAUAAUUUGGGAUACCUAGGGACUACAUUGUUUUUUUUUUUUUUGGGGCAAAAUUCAUGUAAUAAAGAAAUAUUAAUGAAUACAAAGAUAUUCCACUCUGUUGAAAGAACUUGUUUCAUCAUAAUUUGCAGUUCUUAACUCCCUUUUUUGAUUUUGUAGUUUGAGUAUGAUGAUUGGCUUGCAAAUCAAUGUGGAUGUCCACCGGUCGAAGAGUGGAGGAAGCAGAUGUACGCGGCAACAGGGAAAAACCGAGUUAGCCGCCCAGAGAACUACCGGGAUGUGUGGGAUGAUGAUGAUUUAGUCGCCCAAGCAAAUGAAGAUUUUCAAAAAAUUUUAUGACAAUCUUCCUUUUUCUGUUCCUCUUGAACUAUUUAUCUAUCUUUUAUCAGAUCUUAGCAUAAUUGGAUCGGACGGGUAUAAAUUUCGGAAAUAAGCUAUUGUAUCAAUACAUUUGUUUUAUCGGAGACAAUUGAAUAACACCGAUCUCGCUCCACUCGGUGGAGAAUUUGACCUGUGAAAUAAAACAGCUUUUUGUGUUUCUAUUAUUGUAAUAACGAUUUCACCGAGUUCAUUUCUUUUGGUCACUUCUCUGGCUUUUCCGUUGGAUUUCCAUAGCUCCUGCAGCUCAAACAAGAAAUAAUAAUCGAUUAUAUUAAUCCCGAAGUAGUCUGAGGAUAAUGAAAUUGCAUGGAGAACUAACAAUGUUUGUAUUGUAUGCAUCUUGCUAUUGCUUGGUAAUUAAGAUCACAUUGCAAAGGCUCUGGGUUGAUUCGUGAAUAUUCAUAUAUAUUGGAAAAGAGAAAAUCACCCCUUUAUUUUUCGUUCUAUACCUUUUUAAACUUCUUUUAGUUUAAAGUUCUUAUCCCUCUAUUCAAGUGAAUUAUAUAACAGAUCGAGCUGGUUCAUGAAUCGAAUGAAUCCAGCUAGCUUUGUUUAAUUCUCGAUUAAGAAAAUAAAUCACCAAACUCCACAUACUUAUCCAAUUUUGGCAACUGCGUUAGGGCUAAUUAUUUUCACUAUCGUCACCUUAUAAAAGACCAACUAAUGCCUCAGAUACAACCCACUGGAGCUAGCCACCUCCAUUAUUGGAAAAGCGACAAGCAAACAUGCAUAUUAAAGCAUUUCUUCGGAUUUGAUUCGAUCUUAGGGUUUUUUUUUUUUAAAAAAAAAAUAAUUUUACUUUAUUAUCAUUGUGUUACUUAAUUCCCUUAUAAGGCCUUGUUAUAAAAAGAACAACAGCUAACUUCAUACUUAUCCUAAUUAAGAUUAGGCUAAGACAAAGCAUAACCAACUAAAUUAUGUGCAAGAAAUUUUUUCCUACUUUCUCUGCACUAGUACGUAGUUUAGUGGUUAGAUAUUCAAUUUGGCCCCGGACUAAUACACAAAUAUUUAAAAAGGUAGGGUUCUGAUGUGACAAAGCCUACGAGCAAAAUUCCAAAAAAUGAAAAAAAAAGAAAAAGAAGGAAAAAACUGGGAGAUUAUUUGCAUGUGCCCAUGACUCCUCCAUGAGUUGGCAAUGACUGUGAGGGGAGUUUGACACGCACACCUAACGAUUGCGGACGUGGGCCAAUCGUUAAUUAAAAUUAUUAUUUCGAUAUUAUUAUUUAUUUAUUUUUAGAGAAAAGUGUUUCUAUAUUAUUUAUUAAUGAAUCUAAUUUUUAAGAACAAAAACCGCGCUUAAUAAAAGCAGGGGUUUAGAUGUAAAAAUCCCCAGCUCGGAUCUUUGCAGCUUUGUACUUUUUUUUUUUUUUUUUUUUUUUUUNNNNNNNNNNNNNNUUUUUUUUUUUUUUUUUUUUUUUUUUUUUGUCGUCUUCGAGUUUCGGAGCUCACCAGUGGAUCCGCUGGGGUCCACGUCAGCUCCGAGUCAAUCCAACGUCACUGCCACGUCGCUACGACACUGCGUCGCGGGUCCCACGCUAGAGCUGUUUGUUUGUUUGUUUGUUCGUUGGUCGCGCACGACCAGAGAGUGCCACGUCAGAGCCGUACGAAGCGGUCUCGCUUGGUGCGCCACUUCGAAAUGGAAGUACCGCUGACGUGGCACCAGGGCGGCGUCCAGGGCUCUGACGUCAUUGUGUUCGGUCUACCACAUCAUCAUGACCGUCCACGGAAUUUCAUUUGUAUUAAUUAAGGGAUAAUUGUCUAUAUAUCCCUUAAAACUUUGAAAAUAUCUUAUUUAUUUAUACUAUUUUUUUUCUUUCCAAUAUACAUCUUAUAGUUAUCACCCGUUAAGUUAAUUUAGGUUAAUUUGAGUUAAAUAUCUACCAUAAUUAAAAAAAAUUAAAAUACUAAUUUUGCCCUUAAUUUAAGGGCAAAUAAGAAAUGUUGGUGAUGAUAGAAAGGUAUAUUUGAAAAGGCCAAAGAGCAAAAUAUUUUUUGUACCUCUCAUUUAAGGGUAAAUAAAAAAAAUAGUUGAUUGUAGAAGAGUAUAUUUGAAAAGGNGGCAAUAUACAAAAUACACAUUUAGAAUUAGUGUCAGUGUUAACACAAAUUUAAUUAAUUUUUAGGCUAGAUUACAUUUUCUCUUCUUAAAUUAUAUAGUGUAUGACACUUUAGCUCUAAAUACUUGAUUUAUUAUAAUUUUCAGUUUAAACUUUUUGUGUUAUUGUUAUAGAUAUCUGUUCUAUAAUAUAAUGUAUAUUAGUUGAUUGAAUGGCGUAUGUAUUACUAGUGUGAUAAUAAUUAUAAUAUUACAUCAACACUAUGUCAGCAUCAUAUUAUUAUUCAGUAAAUAGAAGUACCCUAUAAAACUUAAUUGUAACAAUUAAAUGUUUGAAUUAUAAAGUACUAUCAAGCUCCUCAUAAUAGUUUGAAGGGCAAAAAAAAAAAAAAAAAGCAUAAGUUUUACGUAGAAAACUGGGGUUUUUUUGCAAAUAGCCCCCUGACAAUUUUUUUUUUUUAAAUUGGCCCUGUGUAAAAAUUAUUUGCAAAAAUGGCCCUGGUCCCGCCCCGUCAGCGCCACGUCAGCGCCACGCGGGCGGGGCUGGGCCAAGUGUUUAUAUUGAACACGGUGAACCAUUCACCGUGUUCAAUACAAAAAUCUUGUAUUGAACACGGUGAAUGAUUCACCGUGUUCAAUACAAACACCCACAACUUAGUCAUUUUUGGCUAAGUUGGAGGUAUUUGUAUUGGAUACGGUGAAUGAUUUACCGUGUCCAAUACAAAAUGGCUAAGUGGGAUAUAUUUGUAUUAGACACGGUGAAUGGUUCACCGUGUCCAAUACAAAAUGGCUAAAUGGGAUAUAUUUGUAUUGGACACGGUGAAUCAUUCACCGUUGAUUCACCGUGUCUAAUACAAAAAUUUUGUGUUGAACACGGUGAAUGGUUCACCGUGUCCAAUACAAACACCCAUAACUUAGCCAUUUUUGGCUAAGUCGGAUAUAUUUGUAUUGGACACGGUAAAUCAUUCACCGUAUCCAAUACAAAUAAUUGAACACGGUGAAUGAUUCACCGUGUCCAAUACAAACACCCACAACUUAGCCAUUUUUGGCUAAGUCGAAUGUAUUUGUAUUGGACACGGUGAACCAUUCACCGUGUCCAAUACAAAAAUCUUGUAUUGAACACGGUGAAUGAUUCACCGUGUUCAACUUAUACAAUUGGCCCAGCCCCGCCCGCGUGGCGCUGACGUGGCGCUGACGGGGCGGAGCCAGGGCCAUUUUUGCAAAUAAUUUUUACACAGGGCUAUUUUCGAAAAUAAAAUUUUUUAUGGGGCUCUUUGCAAAAAAAGCCCUAGAAAACUUGUUCUUUAUAUUGGGGUUCUAUGUUUAGUUCGGUUUUCUAGUUUUAUGUCGAUUUGUUUGUAAGUAAUGCUAAGUGCAUAUGCAUGGUCGCGUGUACGUGCGUAAUAUAAUAUAUAUAAAUAUAGUGGCGUUUGAUUCGGUUGGUGGGGGUUAGGUUCACGUGGGCUGCGUUGCGAUUAAUUCAUGGGUUCCACUUUGAUACAUUUUUAAAGAAAUAAAAGGCAAUAAUCGUACUCUAAUUAAGUGGCCGUUUAGCUGAAUAUUGUUGUAAAUAUAGUAUAAUUAAAAAUAUAUGCAGUUAAAAAUAUAACAGUUAUAAUUAUACAUAAUUUGUUCGGUUCUGUAUAGAUGCAAACUAUUGCAGUUGUAUUUCUUCUCUUUGAUAAUGUGAUGCUGAUAGUUGUAUUUAUGAAUCUUGUCAUAUCUUCAGAUAAAGUAGUGAGAUUAUUCUUUAUUUAUCAAAUUUAAUAAUUAUAAUUAAUUAAAACUUAUUAAGUUAACAUACACAAUCACAUUUCUAUAAAAAUUAAGGAAAAAAAACUAUUUUUUACAUUUUAAAUAAAAUUAAUAUUUUAAAAAAUUUAUUUCUUUGCAUAAAGCUUGUAUUGCCUAAAAACUUUUAUUAGUAUGAAUAUAUUUACAAAUAUUUUUAUUUUAUUCAUAUACAAGUAUAUAUAUAUUUUAAUUAACUAAUUAUUUAGCUAUUUAUUUAUUAUUGUUAAUUUGUAGAUGAUUCUAUUUCUCACCAACUGCUGUAGUUGGAAUUGCAGUCAAUUUGGAUAUAGUUCCAACUAUAAUAUUUGGACCUUCUUAUGUAGUUGUGCUUAGCUGCACCUGCACUAAACCAACACAAAAAUUAAAAUUACAUGCAUUUACAACUGCACUUUAGUUGCAAAUGUGUGCAACCAAACGAACCCUAAAAGUGCACAUUAGAAUUUGGGAGUUAUACUCUAUUCUCCUUAAAAUUAUACUGACUUAAUUAGGUUUAUAAUUAAGUCACACAUUUCAUGAGCGAUGAUGGGGUGCCGUUCGAAAAGGAUUCACGCAUUAAAAUAAUUAAAGAGAGAAAAACUUUUACUAAUUAAUAUAUAAAAUUAAUUACAAGCUAGCCAUCACCUGCUAUAUAUUUUCUUCUGUUCAUUUCAGAUCAUAGAUUGCUGAUUAUACGUGUACAGUAAAACUAUAAUUUAGAAGUUCAAAAUUACAUAAAAAGCGCGCAUGUUCUCUAUUAAACGGAGUAUCAUGCUGAACAUACCAUUUGUUUAUAUAGCUAAGGAAUUAUUCUUAUGUACUUCCUCCAUAAUCUCCAGAUAAUAUGUAUUAAUAUAGUACAAUUAAUAAUUUUACAAUAAAAAUAAUAUAUUAAAUAUAUAACAUAUUAUAUUUAUAUAAUUUAGUUUUAAUUUAAUUUAUAAUUUUAAUAAAUUUUGAAAUUAAAUAUUGGAAUAAUACUAUUCAAUCAAAAUUGUGGAAUUGUAAAUCUCUUGCUAUUUUAGAAUAGCCAGGAAUAGCAAAAUUUGACCGGAAUAAAAUAUCUUGGUCAAAGAUCAUUUUGUUUGGCGGAAUAGCGGGGAUAACUUUUGUUAUCCCCGCUUAUACCGCCAACCAAACAGGGCUUUACUGUAUAGAUUCUGGUUACAGAACUAAUUCUACACACGAUGUUUGAACUUUGAAGUCUAUAUUUGUCCCCUUUUUCUUUUUUUCGAAAAGUCUAAAUUUGUUCACUACUUUAAUGCAUGUUUAUUGCUCGGUCAUGUGUUAUUUCUUGGUCAGCGAUGCUUUGUGCGCUCAAAUUCCUAAGCUUAAUUUGUACUUAGCAAGGAGAGUCAUAAAAUCCCGCAAAGUUUGGAAAUUUUUAAUAUGUUUGUGUGUUGAUUUUCAAAGGUAGGUGAGAAGCAUACAAAUUAAGUAGGGUUUCUAAUGGAGGUUUUAACUUGCGAUUUUCGCCACUAAUCAGGUUCAUUUUUUUGUAUUAUUUGGUUCUCAUAUAGUUGGUUCUCAUUAGAAACAUGGUUUAUGGAAUUUGAGAGCGCACAACAAACUAAGGGCAUAUAUAAUUGUGCUUAUUCUAUGCUACAUUAUAUAUAGAAGAAGGUUACGUAAGUUAAGAGAGACAUGCAUUUAUACCGCAAAUAAUUAAACCAGCAAACUCCAUUAAGUCUAUGUAUGUUGUCAUGGCUGAUCUAAAACUUUGGCGCAUGACAAAAGCGAUGUAAUAAACAUAACAAAAAGUUAGCGUCGAAGGCUAAUUGAUUGAAACCGUGAAUCAAAAUUCGCAAUUUCUUUUGUCUAAGUUUUGCCAACUUUGCGAUUGUUACAAUUAAUCAUGUAUUAAAUUAUUCACAGUGUCCUCUUAAGUCGCACCUAAUGCCUAAUUUUUCGAACCUCUCCUCAAUUUUCUAAAUAUAUUUAUAACCUUACAAGGCUUUUUUAUUCCCCUCUUUUUUUUCCUUUUUUUUUUUAUAUUUUUCCCCUGAUUGGCCGAGCCGUCGCACUCCGAGAACUUGACAAUUUCACACGUGUGAGAGUUUCCACCGACAAUUGAACCUAGACCGCUCACUUGGCUUGGCCCCACGUGCCAAUUUCUUUUUUUUUUUCCUUUAAAGAACACUUUUUUUUCAUUCAUUUGUUUUACUCUUAGACUGUGUUUGGCACCGGAGAUAUUUCGAAACAAUACGGAAUAUUCCUAAAUUUGUAACUAAAUUGAAGAAGAAGAAUAGGGGGGAACGGGUUGUUCCGACUUCGGAUCAAAACUGGUUGUUCUUGAACAACCCGUUAAAAGUUAUUCGAUCCUACAAAAAUUGAGAACAAAUUUGUUCUUCUCUUUAUUUUAUUAGAUAAAUGAAUAUAUAAAUAUAUUAAUAUAAAUAUUAUUUUUAUGAUAAUAUAUUUAUAUUUAAAUUUUAUUAUAUAAUAUAAAUUAAUUAAAUUUGAUAUAUUAUUUAUUUUAUUAAGUUUUAUCAUUUAUAUAUUAAUAUUUAAUUAUUUUAUAUUAUAUUAAAUAUUAUAUAUGUAAAAUUAUUUUUUCAUGUAUUAUAUAUUUUUUAAUUUGUAUUGAAAUUUGUACUAUUAUUNUUUCUAAAUAUAUUUAUAACCUUACAAGGCUUUUUUAUUCCCCUCUUUUUUUUUCCCUUUUUUUUUUUUAUAUUUUUCCCCUGAUUGGCCGAGCCGUCGCACUCCGAGAAAUUGACAAUUUCACACGUGUAAGAGUUUCCACCGACAAUUGAACCUAGACCGCUCACUUGGCUUGGCCCCACGUGCCAAUUUUCUUUUUUUUUUUUUCUUUUAAAGAACACUUUUUUUCAUUCAUUUGUUUUACUCUUAGACUGUGUUUGGUACCGGAGAUAUUUCGAAACAAUACGGAAUAUUCCUAAAUUUGUAAGUAAAUGGAAGAAGAAUAGGGGGGGAACGGGUUGUUCCAACUUCGGAUCAAAACUGGUUGUUCUAGAACAACCCGUUAAAAGUUGUUUGAUCCUACAAAAAUUAAGAACAAAUUGGUUCUUCUCUUUAUUUUAUUAGAUAAAUAAAUAUAUAAAUACAUUAAUAUAAAUAUUAUUUUUAUGAUAAUAUAUUUAUAUUUAAAUUUUAUUGUAUAAUAUAAAUUAAUUAAAUUUGAUAUAUUAUUUAUUUUAUUAAUUUUUAUCAUUUAUAUAUUAAUAUUUUUAAUUUGUAUUGAAAUUUGUACUAUUAUUAAUUAAAAUUUAAGAAUGUCUUACUUUUAUUUUUAUUUAGCAAAUAUAUAUAUAUAUAUAUAAAAUUAUUAUUAUACCCUUAUUUAUAUUUUUCUCGAUCUUACUUGUUGCUAAUGUGCCAGGAAAAUUUUUUUAGAUCUUCGUAGGUAGUUGGUGGAGUGGAAACUGACAAGCAGGUACGUAACGCUUUGUCCCCUCAUUGGCCCACCUACUACAUAUAUUUAUCUUACUGUGAGGUAAUUAAUUAAAAACUCUAUGUACGUGACAUAUUUAAGCCUUAAUAAAUCCAUGCACGCACCACUUGUUAAUAUUCUAGUUCCCUUACGUGUAAAUACUUUGACUUUUAAUUAGCAAAGUGCAAUUAAUAAAAUUAAGUAGUAGAGUUUAUUGCAACUUAAAGGGUGGAAAAUGUCAAAAUCAAAGAGAGCUCUUCAGGCUCCGAGAAUGGCGGCGAGAGACUUGUUCGAUUGGUGGUUUGAAGUUUUUUUUUAAUUAUUUUUUUAUAGGUGUUAAUUUCUGCGUAAUUGCCUUGUAAUUAAUUUCACGAUUUGCAAUUAAAUUUAUGCAACAUUUACUUACAAAAUUCACUUUUGAAAUUUUGUUAGUGUAAUAUCAUAUUACACACGAGAUGGCAUGGUUUGGACCGAAAAAUUAUUAUUUUCUAUUAUUAGAUUAGCGGACUUUUUUUUUUGAGAAAUAAAUAGCACGUUAUCCGCUUUAUUCAUUAAGCAAAUAAAUUUAAAUAUAGUCUCGUAUAGAUUAGAGGACAUUAAUAUGAAAAUAUGAAUGAAGUAUUUAUUUAUUUAUUUAUUUAUUUUGCUCUUCGUACAAUUGAAUUAACUAUAUUAUUAAUUUACGAAAGUAAAUAAAAUAUUUUUUAUUAUACUCUUUUUGUUUGUAAUUCUAAAUUAUAUAUUUAAAUAAAUGCUUUAUCUAUAUAAUUUUUAAUUUUUUUCCUAAUAUAAAAUUACUCAUACAUUUUGAUUUACCUUUUUUUUCAAAAAAGAAAAAAAAACUCAAAUGCCACUAUUGUGGUUUCGCACUUUUUUACUUUAAUAAUCUAUGGUUUAAGUGUAUCAAGUUAGUAUUCUAUGAUUUCAUUUUUAUUUUUUCGUCAGUUUUUUAUUUAAUAUUUCGUUAAAUUAGAUACAAAAAACUUCAGAUAUUCCACCUAAAUUUAUCGAAUAUUCACUUUAGUACAUUUUAGUUUUAAUUUAUCACUAAUUAAACGAAAAAAUUAAUAAAAUUAAUAAUAAAAAAAAUAAAAGAAAAUUAAUGAGCACUAAAUUGAUAUACUUUAAAAUAUAAAAUAUUAAAAUAAAAAAUUGUGAAAUGACAGAAGUAAUAUUUAAAGUUGAAAAAAAAAAAAAAGUAGGGGUCACGAGCGUAACGAGAGGACGCAGCACACCGCACGUACAGCAUCACGGGAAGUAAACGACGCGUGCACGUGCCGGGUCAAACAGCGAAACCACCACGGCUUCCGCUUCUUCGAACUUUCCCCGCACUUUUGACCGCUCCACGGCCAGCUCAUCCGGGCCCCACGUGGGACCCGCUCAACUUUCCCAACUCCCCCUCCCCUCACCUGCUGCUAUUUUUUGUUUUUAAAGAAUUCCGGUGAGCGGUCCUAUAGCCCGGUUGCUGCGUUGAGGCGACCGCGCACCGGGUCGUCGCCCCCUUACGUGGCGGGCCCCGGUUCCAGCCCGUCGCCACGUGGCCCACGUCGCUGCCGCGACAGCAACAGGUGUUGCUCCGCUAUGCUAUCGAAGGGCGGGCCCCGCCUACGGUGGGACCGCCACGUGUCCGCGAGCUGGACACCGCCACCGACGGUUAGUUUUGAAAAAUUCUAGAAUGCAACGGGUAUAUUAAUGACGUGGCGUAACAAACCUAUCAAAUUAAUUCUUUUAAGAAUAUAUGUCCCAUCAUGAUUGUAAAAAAAUAUUUUUAUUGUACUUUUGUUUGAAAAGAAGGAAUGUGAUUGGCUUGUUAUUGAUGACGUGGUGCAAGUGUGACAGUGUAGAAUUCCUCGUUAGUUUUACGUGAAUCUGUUGCCUGCACGCGGUGUAUCCCAAAACGUCACAACUGCCACGAUAAGACAGUUUCCUGUAUCACACUUAUAUAUACACUAUAUUAAAAUAAAGUUAAUUUUUUAUAAUCAGAAUGGAACAAAUAAAUUCAAAAAAACUAUUUAAUUGAUUAAAAUAUUAUAUUGCUAAUAUAAUCGGUGCAUUCAAUUUUGUUUUUCCUAUCCAAGUUCAAUUAUUUUCUUUUGUACUAAGCAAAUGACAAUUAAAAUAUAAUAAAAGUUUAAUAUGUUAGAUAAAGUUACCAUCCACGCAAUAUAUAUAUAUAUAUAUAUAGAGAGAGAGAGAGAGAGAUUAAUAAUCUAUUAUAUACUUUAUUUAAAACUAUUACUAUUAAUAUAAAUGUAAUUUAUAUCUUUUAAAGGAGUAGUUUAUAAAAGAAAACUAUAUGACUCAAAAUUUUACUGCCAAUAUCUUAAAUAAUCUAUAAAUUAAUAAUGUUUAGAAUUUAUAAUUUUUGUUGUUAUAUUUAAUACACUUUUAGAUCUCAUACACCUCAUAAGUUAGAUUUUGAAUUUAAAAUUAGGAUUAAUAUUAUAUAUGUUCUUGCAAACAUAGUGAAUAAUAAAUAUAUCCCUAUAAAGUUCAACUUUAUUAUAUUGUCUCUACAAAAGUCCUGAUAUUUUCAAAUAUGUCAUUGCCGUUAGAAUCCGUUAGAAAAGUUAGUUAGCCAUAGAUUAAAUACUUAAUCCUAAUUAGUUUUUGAUAUUUUUAUUCCUUUAUAUUAUACUAGUAUGACUUUUGGAGGAAUAUAUUUGUGAUGACAAAAUUGAAAAUAUAAACGAUUUUCUAACGAUAACAAACCAGAGGGACAUAUUUGAACAUACGAAAGUUGAACUUUAUAAGAAUAUAUAUUUAUUAUUCAUUAUGUUUGCAGGAAAAUGUAUGAAAUUAACCCUUAAUAAAAUUAUAUAGUAUAUGACAUGUACUUGUAGACCCGGUGCAGGUAUAAUUUCCCUACGUAUACGUAAUCGUCACCUCCCCAUUUAAUUAGCUAGUAGGAAAAUACAACAACUACAAGUAGACUCUAUUAUUUGACUCUCGCAAGUUACGUGCCAAUUUUUGCGGUUCAGAUCAAGCCACGUAGAGUGGUCACACAAAUAAGUGAACAACCCGGUCGUUAAAAUUAGGGGUUGGGUACGAUUUUUAAAAAAUUAUAUUUCUCCUAAUUUAGAUUUUAUAAUUAUUUUAUAAUUAUUAUUUUUAGUUCGUAUUUCGGUAACAAACAGCCGAUUCCUUCGGGAACACGUCUCCUCCUCCGCCCCCACCCCGCCUCAAACUCUAUAAAUACGCGGCGUCGAACACCUGGUCUCUCUUCUUCUCUCUCCUCCAUUCCCUCCCUUCGCAACCCUAAUUCGCUCUCCUUCUCUCCCUCUUCGCCAAGAUUUUCUAGGGUUUGGCACGCCGACGUUUUCGUUCGCGUGCUACCUCCUCCUCCUUUUCUAGGGUUCGGAUUUUGAGGUAUUUGACUCGGCAUUGGGGAGAUCGGAGCUCGUGAGAUCUCAGAGCUCGAGCUUUCUCGAUCAGGUAAUGGAGGAUCCUCGUUUUGUUUAUUUUUUCCUCUUUUUUUUUUCUUUUUUUUUCUGAACGAUUACGAGAAGUGCAUUUAUUAAUCUAAUGCGUUACUCCUUGUUUCUUUCCAUUACUGCAUAUUUUCUUCAGUUUUUUUUUCGUGUCUUGUUUGGAUGGAUAAAACACAAAGACCAUCAUCGUCUCGUGUUUUGAUGAAUCUUCAAUUUGAUUUGCUUAAGCAAUGAUACGAAUGUUUCGUGUAGCUAACGUUCUUGGCUUUUAUUGCUAUUGAAGAUGAAUACAAAGAUUUUUUCGGAUAUUUCCGUUUAAUCUUUUCUUCUUUUAUUUGAUAUUUCUUGAGCUAAUUCGUGGUCGUCCCGUUCGGCUUUGGCUGCCCAUUGUUUUUAAUUUUCUGUCGACCGCCGCAGAAAAGAGAAGGGGGAGUCUCACCAACCCUAAUUCGGUCACUAUCCGAUUUUUCGGAUGUCCCACCUAAUAAGCCCUCUUUACAAUAAAAUUAUUACUAGAAAAUUGACAUUAUUGUCUUUGUGAUCUUUGGAUUCUAUUAUACAUGAAUAAGAGGUUCAUAAUCUUCGAUGUACUUUUUGUCGUGUUAUCUUUUUGGCUGGUUUACAGUGAUUUAAUGAUCAAAAAGGGUCUUUGUCUAUCUUUUUAGCAACUAAUAAUGAAACUUGGCUUUUACUUGUGUGGUCCGGGUACUACGGUUGACGCUUUUUGGUGGUCUUGGCCUCUUGGGCCAUGGUUUCCCUCUGUGUUUCUGGCGAAAUGUGGGGCAUGUGCAUGUACUUUGUCCCUUUUUUUUUUUCUGAAAUUGAUAAAACGAUUUCUUGUAUCAAUUUUUUCUUUCUUUUUUUUUAAAAGAAAAUUCGAUUGUUUUAAAAUAAAUUUGCGAUUGGUUUCUUUUUUUUCUUCCAAAAAAAAAAUAAUAUGUUGAAACUUUUAUUUUAUUUUAUUUUAUUUUUUUUGACCCCAUUAUUUUAUUGUUUUCCCGUUGACUCAAUUUUCACGGUAAAUAUAAAAUCAAGAUGCAAGUGGCACGCUCUCCAAACUGGAGUUGUCUUUUUAUUAUUGCUUAGAUUAUAGUGUUUACACUAUAUAUUUGCCUUUUCAGAGCGGCUAUUAUUAUUAUAUAAUAUUCGAAGCUGGUAGUUACAUAUUAUGAUGGACUGCUAAUGUAGAUUGACGAAUUUUUUAAUCUGUCAGUAUAGAGGUUGCACAUGGCUACUUACUAAAUCAAGAAUAAGUCCAAACUAUCUGAAUUUGGAGCACCGAAUAGAUCCGGUGAUCCGAAUUCAAGGAGGUGCGGGAUCAAGGGCCCCAUGGUUGGGGGCCCUUCAUUCAACAACUCCGUUAGAUUCUCUGAAUUUGAAAAUAAAAAAAACGGAAAGAAAAUGUAGCAUUGGAUUGGAAGAAAUAAUGAGAGGGCAAUGUUGGGAAAGGAGGGGGUUUAACAAUGCUGAUGCAUUAGGGAUUGCUAGAGGAUUCCAAUCAAGUUAAAUAAUUCUGUUGGGAUGGGAUUAUUCAACCUCACUCGAGAGCUAGGAUUCAUGAGAUCCGAUUCAUAUGCUCUCUUUCAACCCUACUACCUGAUGCAUCUCCUACCUGUUGUGAUCCUGGACGAUUUUGAGUCACUGAACCUUCUCUCUUCCUCCAGUGUUGUUAUCCCUACCAAUUUAAUCCAAUCGUUGAUGCCAAAGCAAGGCCAUAGUACUUCUGAUGGGAAGUUUGUAUAGGUGCUGAUUUCAUGUUUGUCCUACUGGGAAAGCUUAUUGAUACUGAGUUCUAUGGUGGUGCUGACAAAGCAUCACUAAUUUGCGUCGAAAAUGCUGAGAGGAUACUGUUGGAUCUUUUUCUAUGAGUCUGCCUUUUAGUCGAAAGUAGAUAUUUUCUUUCUCUUCUUUUCUUAGUAGCAGUAGGUUUUGGAAAGAUUUCACCUUUUUUCUUAUAAAUCAUUCGCCAGAAAGUGACAGUUUAUCGCACUUUUUUAUUUGAAAAAUACGUUGAGUUUUUAGCUAACCUAUUUUUGUUAUUAUCAUCCUACUGUUUUCUAGCUCACUGAUGAUGACCUCACAGCUAUAGUUCUUGUAGCAAAAUUUUAUACAGUUGAAUUAAUGUUGUUGUUCCUUGUUGCUAAUGCAGUGAAAAGAUCGUUUGAUCAAAGUCUCCCGAGUCUCAACAAAUUUCUGAUGCUUCCGUUCCAAAAUGUGUGAUCGUGUAGUAUAAAUGCUUUAUUGUGCUGGCAAUGACAAGGUAUGUCCAUACAUACUAAGUUGAUUUUCAAAAUAUUUCUCCUGGUUUGAUCUGUUCUGAUGCAACUUUGUCUUGUGAACAGUUCUCAGGAAGUGUUCUGUUGAUGGACUGCAUGCACAACUGCAGUGACAAGAAGACAUUGAAGAGGUGGUUCUUUAUUGACAAAAGGGUUGGGUAAUUAUACAAAGAAAAAGCUUGUUCAACCAUUACUGAGCUGAUUGUAAGAGACGAUAUCGAAACACACACGCAUAGAAUUGGAUCUAAUGGAUUUGAAGACGACCCAUAACUCCCCUGUUAUUACUGACCCUGUACCUGUAAGCAAGUCACGGCUAAGCUUGUCUUCGAAUCUGAUGCCGUAUUCACCGACAUCUGCUGGUUAUUCUUCUCCUAGUCUGUACAUCAAUAUCCCCAGAAGGAAACCGAUACCUGAUCUACUCGAUAAUGUCCGUGCUAAUUCUUGGCUCGAUGCCAUGAAGUCCUCCUCGCCUCCUCGCAAGAAGCUGAACAAGGAUUUUGGCUUAGAUAAUGAAUCUGAUGAGAUUGAUCAUCCCUAUCUUACUUGGAUGGUAAAUUCAUGAUUCUGUUAAUUCAAAAAUUUAGGGCUCUGGGGAAGUUAUUAUUGUAACAUAUUCUGAGUGUUUACCUAUGUUUGCAGAUCAAAUAUCCAUCAGCUUUAUCUUCGUUCGAGGAAAUCACUGCCUAUGCUAAAGGCAAGAAGAUAGUGUUGUUCAUGGAUUACGAUGGGACUCUAUCACCUAUUGUUGACAAUCCUGACAAUGCUUUCAUGUCGGCUUCGGUAAGUCUUGUUCGAAUUUCAUGUAGUUGGUUUGGACUUUCCACAAAUUUGACAUUUAAUCUUUUAUAAUUUUGAUUCUUAAUGUGCAUACCUUUUUCUAGAUGCGUGCUACUGUCAAAUAUGUUGCAAAGCAUUUCCCAGCUGCAAUUAUCAGUGGAAGGUCUCGAGAUAAGGUAUACAAUAUAACUAAUUGAUUUAAAUAGAUGCUUGAUCUGUUAUAUAAUAUCCGUUUCUGGUUGUCUGACCUUUCCCUCUACUGUUUUUUUCCCUUCCUUUUCAGGUUUUUGAAUUUGUAAAAUUAACUGAGCUAUAUUAUGCUGGUAGUCAUGGGAUGGACAUAAUGGGUCCGGUUAGAAAAUUGGAGUCCAUAGGCCAUCCAAACUGCAUUAGUUUGACUGACAAGCAGGUGAAUAGGGAUUUUUUUUCCUCUUCUGGUCGGAUCAAAUAAAAUAUUUUAUUUCCCUUUUUAGCCAUCUAUGUUUGUAUUCUUGUUUGUAAUCAUUUUGUCAUGGUUGUAGGACAAGGAAGUGAAUCUCUUCCAGCCUGCAAGCGAGUUUUUACCUAUGAUCGAUGAGGUAUGUACAAUUUAGUAAUGUUUGCAAGCUAAUACAAUGUUUUCCAACAGUGUUUCACUCAGUGUGCUCAUUAUUAUAUUCUGUGAGCAGGUUUUUAGAUCCCUCGUCGAGACUGUUAAAAGAAUUAAUGGUGCGACAGUUGAGAACAACAAGUUUUGUGUCUCUGUACAUUACCGUAACGUAGAUACAGAGGUAAAAAAAUUUUAGACCCAAUUUCUAUAUCAUAUGUUUGUUCAUUUUCAGGAGAAACUAUAUUGAUGGUGGACUAACUUAUAAUUAUCCUUUCUCCUAAUGAUUUGCUUUUAGAACUGGGAUCUGGUUGGGCAGGUGGUGACCGAGAUCGUAAAGGGAUACCCUCGUUUACGACUAACUCAUGGGCGGAAGGUAUGCCAAAACCAUUGUUUCUUUUACUUGGCUUAGUUUAUCCUUUUUCUUUUUUUUUCCCAUGUUGUUGGUUCAUUUUAUCUUUAUUAUGGCUGAUCUUGUGGUACAGGUUUUAGAGGUCCGUCCUGUGAUUGAUUGGAACAAAGGGAAGGCUGUCGAGUUUUUGAUGGAUUCACUCGGACUGAGCGAUUGUGAUGAUGUACUUCCGAUUUAUAUUGGGGAUGACCGUACCGAUGAAGAUGCUUUUAAGGUAACUUUGUGAAAAGCUAUAUUUGAAUGUUGGAGAAAGUUGAUUCCUACGUUCCCUUUUGCCAUCUUUGGAUAGGAUUUAUAAUAGUUCCUUAUCAUAUCUCAUCUCAGGUUUUGAGAAAGGCGAACCGGGGGUUUGGAAUUCUAGUAUCAUCUGUGCCAAAAGAAACUGCCGCGUUCUACUCUUUGAGAGACCCAUCUGAGGUAGAGCUCAUCUCUUCUAAUCACAAACAGCGACAAUUGCAUUUAUGUUUCUUUUAUGUUUUUGUUUCAUAAGCGACAAUAUUUCUCGAUUCGCUAUGCAGGUAAUGGAGUUUCUCAAGUCCCUGGGGAGAUGGAAGAAGCGCGCAUCAUUGCAAAAUGAGAGCAAUCAUCUAACUAUAACUAUUUAAUUACGGCUUUAUAUAGACUACUAGUGGUGACAGGUUGCUGACAAAUAAUAGCAAGACGCAAAGCAAAGGCACUGCAAUUUUGAGGCAAAAAUUCAGUGUUGUUAUUUUUCUUCUUCUUUUAACAAAAAAAAAAAAAGAAGAAUAUACUGCACUCUUUCCUUUCCUUUGCUAAUUCAUUUUGUUGUAAUUUCAAACUGUCAUCAUAUAUAUGGCGCUCAAUGUUUUUUUAUUCUUUUCUUUAUUUUUCUUUCAUACAUUUUUGUUUAUUCUUUGUGAAGAUCCUUUAUUGUUAAGUUGCUUAGCUUCGAGGUACUAGCUAGUUUACUAUUUCGUGCUUGGUCUUCCUGGUAUGGGGCUUGUAACAUGUCUUUCGAAUUGGACCUACUUCCGAAUCGGGAGUUUUAAUGCUGAGUUCAACUGGGCCUAAAUAUCCUUUUGUCUCCCUCUUUCUUUUCCGGGCAAACUUUUGUUUUUGUUUUUGCCCAACCCACUUCCUAUUGAUCGCUUAAGAUUUUCAUCACAUUAUCAAUAAUUAAUCAAUCAUAUUUCUUUAUUUAAAAAAAAAGAUAAAAUAAAUUUUUUUAAAAUAAUCAUGAUGAGAUGGGUGGAUUUAAAAAAAGUUAAACUUUCUACUGUUAAAAAUGGGCCACAAACUUUUCACCUAUUUACAUUCGUUUCCACUGCUGUAUAAAAACUGUGAUGUUCAAAUUAAGUUUCCGGUGUACAAAUCCUCUUUUGGCCCAUCGAAGAGUCCUCCAGAAAUAAGUCGCGACUUCUGGCCGGUGUCUGAUUGGGUUCAUAUAACUAUUUAUUUACUAAUGAUGAGCCAUCGCUUGGUCGGCAAUUCGGCAUCCGAGGUGGGGUUCGGGCCAUGUUUUGUGGUCGACCAAGUCACUGAAGUCCAAUGUCACGCUCCACAGACGGAACCGUUUCCAUCUUAUUAAACCCUACUGAUUCUUAAGCCCGUACUGUAGCGCUCACUCUCUUGCCACAGCGAUCUGCUCUUCCGCACACAAAAACGAACGAGAACGAAGAUUUCUAAGGCAGAAAAAAAAAAUAAAAAUGCAGAGCUUGAGAGCCUCCGCCUUGGCCCGGCGCGCGCGAUCCGCGGUUCGCUCGCUCUCCAACUGCAGGGCCCUCUCCUCCCACCUCAGCUCCUCCCCCGACGCCGACCACCUCCAAAACGAAGUCACCCUCUUCCCCUCUCUCUCUCUCUUUCUCUCUUUCUCUUACUUUUCUCUCCACACGUAUAUUUGUAAAGGCGUCGACCGGUUUCAGGUGCUGGUCGAAGGCAAAGCGAGCGCGCGAGCCGCGAUCCUCAACAGGCCCUCUUUCCUCAACGCUCUCACUACCAACAUGGUGCUCUACUCCGUUCCCCUUUUCUCCUUGGCCUUCGCCUUUGCCUUUUUCUUCUUGUUGUUGCUGUUGAUUUAUCAUGGGAAUGCGCUAAAGAUGUUCGAUGAUUUGUCCCUGCGAGGCUUUUAAUAUAGGCUGUGCGUUUGAAGAAGCUCUACGAGUCCUGGGAAGAUAAUCCCGACAUCGGUUUUGUCAUGAUGAAGGUAUAUGCCUUUUAUAACCGAGUCCACAGACGUGAAACUGUCGGUCGGAGCGCUUACAUGUGCUUUUCAUGUUUUGAAGGGCAGCGGCAGAGCAUUCUGUGCCGGCGGAGAUGUCGUCGCCCUCUAUCGAUUGAUCAACGAAGGUACGAGCUUAAAGCUCUUCUUUGUUCGAUUCGAAUACUACAUCCUACUUGGGACCACUCAGAAUAGAUAGUAGAUACAUAGAGAGAGCUUAGUAGCAAUUGGAGACGUAAAGAAGGUAAUGUUGAGGGUAAUGUUGAGGAUGCAAUUAGAGAAGAAAAGAGAACGAUAUUGGAAACAAUGGACUGAGAAGGUGAGAGGAAAAAUAAAUUAGAGGAAGAGAAGAAGAGAGGUAUAGCAGGAGAUGGAAAAAUUCCACCUUUUACUUAAACUGAUUACUCAUUAUUAUCGCAUUCAGGAAAACUGGAGGAGUGCAAGGAUUUCUUCAAGAACUUGUAUAUGUACAUAUACAUUUUAGGCACCUACUUGAAGCCACAUGUGAGUAUGACUUCGCAUUCGGUAACUUUUCAAUUAAGCAUAAUGGAGAGCGGCUUAUGGUUGAAAUUAGAAGAUCAUCAUUCUUAUAUGAUAUUUGAAGAAUGUUGGUGAUCUUUUAUUAUGUGUAUUCCUUCUUUCUACUUUUUCUUGUUUGACAAUUGUCGUCAUUGCUUGCCAUUGCUGCCGCUACCACCACCACCAUCACGCUACGACGACUUCCACGACACCACAGCCUCACUACCUUCGCCGCUGUUGUCUCAUUACCUUUGUCUCCUCCUGGAAUUGUUGAAGCCGCAAUCAUCCCUACCGCUGACUUUAUUACUACUUGUUGCCUCUGCCAUGACUAUCAUUUUUAUUUUCUACCCCAGUUAAGCAACAAACAUGUUGGAGACUCGAUCAUCCCAACUUCACUGCAAGCCCAUUCUAGUUCCCAUUUCCAAUCGUUGAUGAAUCAAAUAAAUGCAUCUUGUUGUUGCACUCUAGAAGCAUAGAACAAAUGAAAUCAUGCCUUACUUUGUCGAAGUGUCUUUCUAGAGUUAGUUCUUGCUUCAUUCUGGUGCUUUCGCCUUUCUAUGUUCACAAGUUUUCUUCAUAGACCAUUGGAGGGUUGUGCUAGUCCUAAUAGUCUGUUAGUCCUGCUUUCUUUUUCUAUAUUUACUCACCAAAUUUUGAACAUUGCUAUGCAAUUUCGUACUAAUCUUUUCUUUCAUUUACUUUUUUUAAUGACUAUUUUCUUUUAGUUAAAAGUCACUUUUCGUUUUGCCUUAAGCCCUUAACCUAUUCUUGGCUGUCAUUUCAAAGUGUUUCUGUUUUUUUUUUUUUUUUUCUUUCUUUUUUACUUUGUUCUACUUCUUGAAAUUGUAAAUUAUGCUUCAACAAAUUGCUAGACAUUAGGCAACUAGACCGUUCAAUUAAUCUUUGGUUUUAGUGCUGACUUUUGUCAUUUCAAAUAGGUGGCGAUUUUGGAUGGUAUCACCAUGGGUGGUGGUGGAGGAGUUUCAAUUCCUGGAACGUUUCGUGUAGCUACUGAUAAGACCGUAAGAUUCAUAGUUGUUUGCUAUUUCAAUGCUUGUCCCUGUCAAGUCAGUUUAUUCAUUUUAAGGCUGCUUUGUCCAUCUUAUGCUUGUGUCAACCUUCAUUAUCCUAACAUACUUACAUGUUUUUUUUUUUUUUUAAUUAUUCUUCCAUCCAGUUCUUUGCUACUCCAGAAAUCCAUAUUGGUUUCCAUCCUGAUGCUGGGGCUUCUUUUUACCUGUCACAUCUAACUGGUCAUGUAGGUAGGCUUGCGAGUUGAGAAAGAUUACACACAUUUUCAAAUUGUAUUUUGUCAGUUUUGAUUUAAUGUGUUACAGCAGUUAAUAUUCUGAACUUGUUGAAUAUAUGAUUGCGCAUUGUGUUGUGCAAAAUAAUAACUCCGAGUAUUAUCAGCAGCUUUUAUGCAGCAAUAGUGGUAUUCCUAAUGGUUUGGAAUCUUCUUUAUUCUGUGCGAUGUAAUGUAGUUUUUUGGUUUUGUAGCUGAUGAGUUUCAUACAUUUUUAAACCUCUUUCAUCUAUAAUUUUCAAUGUACAUGAAUAUGGUCCUUUCCAAGCAAAUUUACUCUGUAUAUAGGGGAAUAUUUGGCUCUGACCGGUGAAAGGCUUAAUGGGGUGGACAUGCUUGCUGUUGGUCUUGCUACCCACUAUGCAAUGAGUGCUGUAUGUAUUCAUGACCUUACUCCCUUAUUUUUUUUUGCUGGUAGCAUCGGCACUAGUAGUUUUCCUAGCGCUCAUUUAUGAUGAUAUUUUCUUCAACAGCAUCUAGAUCUAAUUGAUGAACGACUAGCAAAGUUGGUAACUGAUGAUCCUUCGGUUAUUGAUUCCUCUCUCGCACAAUACGGUGACAUUGUUUAUCCGGAUAAGAAGAGCAUUAUUCAUAGGUGACAUUCUUCUUACACAUCCUUAGCAGUUGAUUAUUGUGAGGGCAAUCAUUUCAUUCUUUUGUGCAUACUUGUACAAUAGUACUUUAUUAAUAUUUGUUUUGUAUUAUUUAGUUUAUGUUGAAAUCCCUUUUUCCUAUUUAAAAUUUUGGUCUCUCUCCUCUAUCCAUCCGCAUGAUGCAUUCUAUGUAUAGGAUAUUAUUUGGUAUUCUCACAAUUGAAAGAAGCUUUCGUUGUCUGACUUUUUAGUUGAUUUUGUAAUUUAUACAGUAGUAUAAUGUAAUAGUCUAGAAAUAAACUCUCAGCAAGUUGAUCCUUUAUUGCUCUCGUGCGUUCAGGCUGGAGGUAAUAGACAAAUGCUUUGGCCGUGAAACAGUCGAGGAAAUCGUGGAUGCUCUGGUAAGCCUUGCCCUUUUCUUUUCCUUGAUCACUGGGCACCGACCUCAACUUAAAAGACAACAAAAGAUAAAACCGACCAUCUGGAACUUUGUGAUAAUUCCUUUUAGGUUUAUUGUAACUGAAACAACAGAUACAGUUGAGUUCUCUCUUUAAAGUUCUAUCGCGUCACCAUCGCCCAUCUAAUCUCUUCAAUCACAAAUUAAUUAGGAAAUUGAGGCUGCUAGGACAAAUCAAGAUUGGUGUACUUCUGCUCUCAAGAAGCUCAAGGAAGCUUCUCCAUUGAGCUUGAAGGUUUCACUGCGAUCGGUAAGUCACGAGAGAACCUCUUAUUGCUUUAUUCGUACCUGUCUUUCUGACAUAGCUAUUGCGCAAUUUCAUAGAUCCGCGAAGGUAGAUUUCAGACUCUUGACGAAUGCCUUGUUCGGGAAUACCGAAUGUCUCUUCAUGGUAUCUCAAAGAAGGCCUCUCACGACUUUUCUGAGGUAUUAAAGCAUUAAUAUUUCCAAAAGGAUGUUUUACUAGCUUGUUUAGGGCUUUCUAAUUUGUCAUGGUUCCUUUAGGGUGUAAGAGCACGGUUAGUCGACAAGGAUUUGGCCCCUAAGGUAAUUAAUUAUAUUCGAUAUAAUUCUACUGUAUAAUUGCUAGUUUUGGGUUUUUUUUAAUGUAAAAACCUGCGAUUCUCGUAUGCAGUGGGAUCCUCCUACUCUGGAACACGUAUCAGAAGACAUGGUUGAUUAUUACUUCUCGCCUCUCGGAGAAUUCGAGCCUGAGCUAAAGCUACCUACGCACUUGCGAGAAGCUUUUAUCUAAUUUUGGAUACUUCAUGAAGUUUGUUUUAAUUUUUCUCUGAAAAUUUGCUAGACGUUGCGAAGAGCAUCAGAAGCUUUGUUUUUGCUAUGCACCACUGCAUUUAUUGGAGGCGUAGUUUUAUUAUAUCACACUCCUCAGAGUUUUACUGUAUCAUAUCCGCAUUUCGGAUGCUGGUGAAUUUAUCGAAUGAGGAUAUACGUUCUUGUUGGCGUCAGAUAAUUGCAAUAGCAAAUGCACCCUUGCAGUUGCCCUUUCCUUUUUCCCAUUCUUGUAAUUUCAAAAGGAAAGACUCAUUUUAUCUUUUUAUCUCUUUACAUUUUGAGAAAAUGUGAACUCGGACUGGAUAUUGUAUCGGGCUCUUGAUGGAAUGGGCCAAAGCUGGGAUUGAGCUACUUUUUGAUAUUAGAUGGGCCCUCUGGCCCAAUGGACCGCGCCCAACUCUAUAUAUUUAACCAAACUGCUUCAAAAGUGAUUUUGGCUUAAAUGCUGAUGUGUCUACUAACCAAAAAAAAAAAAAAAAAACCGUUUAGUGCCUUCUCAAAAAAAUAAAAUAAAAGAAAACACCCUCAGUUUGGAAAGAAGUAACAUCAAAACAUACCUCACGACCACCUCCCCCUACCCAAAAGAAUGAAAGGAAAAAAAAAAAAAAAAGGUCCAGUGAUAGUACCUCAAUAAAAGGAACUCUAGUAAUCCGAAUCCGACUCCAAAUCUGAAAUUCGAAUUUGAAUCCGACUCCAAAUCUGAAAUUCGAAUUUGAAUCUGAAUUUAACGAAUUUUAAAAUUCAUACCCAAAUCUGAACACGAUAAAAAAUUCGAAACCCGAACUCAUUAUAUCUCUUUUCACUAUUUUAGAAUAUAUUAUAUUAAAAUUUAAAUUUUAAAAUAUAAAUUUAAAUAUAGCAUUAAAUUUUUAUAUACAUACUAUAUAUAAUAAAUAUAAAAUAAAUUUAAGUUCAGGUCGGAUUCGGUUUCGAUUUCAAUUUUGAAUCAGGUAUAUAGUCAAAAUUUAUAUCCGUUGAAUUUUUAUUUUUAAUAUUUUAUAUUGGAUUCGAAACCAUGUUCGUUUACCAUGGAAUAAACCCGAUCUGGUCGGAAUUCGGGUUCGGAUACUUACCCAUUGAAAUCCCUAGGACUCUUCUCCUACUGGCACGUGCUUCACGCGUGACUUAGCCCUUAUUGGUUUGAGCAACGGGCUCGAAUGAAACCGAAUAGGCGAGGCCAACCUCUCUCUCGUCCCAGUCCUCUCCACUCCUCUCCUCUCCUCUCCCCGGUUUCCCUUCUUCAUCUCCCUUCUCCGAUCGCGCCUCUCGAAACCCCCAGAUCUCGGCGACGCACCUGAAUUCGCCGUCGACUCCGUUAGAUCUCAACCCUAAUUGCGUUUCGCCGAUCUCCUCAGAUCCCGAUCCCGGGUAACAAAAGGUAUCCACCCCGAUCCCCUCUCCGUAAGAUCUAUAAUAAAUCUUAAAUCGUAUCUCAUCUUCGUCGUCGUCGUCCUCCUCCAUUGUCGAUCCCCGCGUCUCCUCCUCAUCAGAUCUGUGUUCCUUCCUCCCAGAUCUCGGAGAUCCAAGGACGAGUAGGAGGAGGAAGAGGAAGAGGAAGAGGAAGAGGAAGAGGGAGUAGUGCAAGUAAAUAUCGAGGGAAGACGAAGAUGGAGAAGUCGUGCACGCUGGUGAUCCACUUCGACAAGGGGUCGCCGGCCAUGGCGAACGAGAUCAAGGAGGCGCUGGAAGGGAACGACGUGGCGGCGAAGAUCGAGGCGCUGAAGAGGGCGGUGAUGCUGCUGCUGAACGGGGAGACGCUGCCGCAGCUGUUCAUCACGAUCGUCCGGUACGUGCUCCCGUCGGAGGACCACACGAUCCAGAAGCUGCUGCUGCUGUACCUGGAGAUCGUGGACAAGAGGGACUCCCGCGGGCGCGUGCUGCCGGAGAUGAUCCUGAUCUGCCAGAACCUGCGCAACAACCUGCAGCACCCGAACGAGUACAUCCGCGGCGUGACCCUGCGGUUCCUGUGCCGGCUGUCGGAGUCGGAGCUGAUCGACCCCCUGGUGCCCUCCGUGCUGGCCAACCUGGAGCACCGCCACCCCUUCAUCCGCCGCAACGCGCUGCUGGCCGUCUCCGCCAUCUUCCGCCUCCCCAACGGCGAGCAGCUCCUCCCCGACGCCCCCGACCUCGUGGAGAAGGCGCUGGCGGCGGAGCAGGACCCGUCGGCCCGCCGCAACGCCUUCCUGAUGCUCUGCGCCUGCGCCCAGGAGCGGGCCGUGGCCUACCUGCUCUCCCACGCCGAGCAGGUCCCCGACUGGCCCGACCUCCUCCAGAUGGCCGCGCUCGACCUCGUCCGCAAGGUCUGCCGCUCGAACCGCGCCGACAAGGGCAAGUACAUCAAGAUCAUCAUCUCCCUCCUCGGCUCCCCCAACACCGCCGUCGUCUACGAGUGCGCCGGCACCCUCGUCUCCCUCUCCUCCGCCCCCACCGCCAUCCGCGCCGCCGCCAACACCUACUGCCAGCUCCUCGCCUCCCAGAGCGACAACAACGUCAAGCUCAUCGUCCUCGACCGCCUCAACGAGCUCCGCUCCUCCCACCGCGACAUCAUGGUCGAGGUCGUCAUGGACGUCCUCCGCGCCCUCUCCAGCCCCAACCUCGACAUCCGCCGCAAGACCCUCGACAUCGUGCUGGAGCUCAUCACCCCGCGCAACAUCGACGAGGUCGUCCUCACCCUCAAGAAGGAGGUCGUCAAGACCCAGAGCGGCGAGCUCGAGAAGAACGGCGACUACCGCCAGAUGCUCGUGCAGGCCAUCCACACCUGCGCCAUCAAGUUCCCCGAGGUCGCCGGCUCCGUCGUCCACCUCCUCAUGGACUUCCUCGGCGACAGCAACGUCGCCUCCGCCAUCGACGUGGUGCUCUUCGUCAGGGAGAUCAUCGAGACCAACCCCAAGCUCAGGGUGUCCAUGAUCCAGAGGCUGAUCGACACCUUCUACCAGAUCCGGGCUUCCCGCGUCUGCUCCUGCGCCCUUUGGAUCCUCGGAGAGUACUCCCUCUCUCUCUCCGAAGUGGAGAGCGCCAUUUCCACCAUCAAGCAGAGCCUCGGCGACCUCCCAUUUUACACCGCCGCUGAGGAGGGAGACGCGGCGGACUCCUCGAAAAAGCCACAGCCUGUGAGCUCCGCCGCGACUGUUUCAUCCAGGAGGCCGGUUAUUCUGGCGGAUGGGACGUAUGCUACUCAAAGUGCGGCCUCUGAGCUCGCCACUUCGGCUCCCAUAGUUGUUCCCGGCUUGUUGGCUUCGACUGCUAAUUUGAGGUCCUUAAUCCUGUCCGGCGACUUCUUUUUGGCGGCGGUCGCGGCGUGCACUCUCACUAAGCUUGUUCUGAGGCUGGAGGAGGUCCAGCCGUCGAAGGCCGAAGUGAACAAAGCUUGCACCGGUGCCCUACUGAUCAUGGUCUCGAUUCUGCAGCUGGGGCAGUCCUCGUAUCUUCCCCACCCGAUUGAUAACGAUUCUUUUGAUAGAAUUAUUCUGUGCAUAAGGCUGCUGUGCAAUACUGGGGACGAAGUUAGGAAGGUAUGGCUGCAGUCGUGCCGCCAGAGUUUUGCAAAGAUGCUUGCGGAGAAGCAGUUCCGGGAGACGGAGGAGAUCAAAGCCAAGGCCCAGAUUUCCCAUGCACAGCCGGAUGAUCUUAUUGAUUUCUACCAUCUGAAGAGCAGGAAGGUACGUGAAUAUUGCUGUUUUAAACAUAGCGAAACUGAUAGGAAAAUUUGUUUCUUGAUGCAUUUGUUACUUUGUCAUGAGUAUUAUGUUUAAGAUGUGCAAGUCUGUUGGAAUUAGUGAAUAACUCAUAUGUCAAAUGCUUACACUGGUUGCAAUUGUUACUAUUUCUUGAAUGCCGUAUUUAAGAAACACAUUUGUUAAAUGUAGGAGACUAUGAUCUAAAACAAUUCUAAGCCAUUGACUAUAGAACUUUAGGGAACAUUGUUUACUAAUAUAAAUAGUCUGCACGCUUUUACAUUAUUGAAAAGAACUGUGCAUUUGCUACAUGUCAGUGGCAAGCUUAUUUGAAAAGAACAACUAUAUGAAAGUGCAAACAGGGCCUUUUGGUACCGCAUAUGCGCUUUUGCUGAAAACCUGCAAGAAAGCGCUGAUACGAAUGUAGAUACAUUUUACAGAAUCUUGCUUGGUGUUUAUGAUGGGAAGAUGUAAUGAUAAUGAUAAUAGUCUUUGCUAGAAGGUUUUUUUUUCCGUUCCCUACAUGAGAAAAACUUCAUUGUGGUAAUUUUUGUCUGAAGAUUCCUUUUAAUUAUUGACGUAUAGCAUCAGCAUGAGAGCAUGUCAAAUGAACCGGCAGAUCUUUUAGAUGGGCAGACGUGUUAAAUAGUUGUAUGCUAAGUCGUUUUCAUACAUUUGUGUGGAGGAAUUUGACAAAUUGCUUAGCUGUCUACAUUUUUGAAUCUUUGCAUUUAGCUAGGUUAUGAAUUAUAUUACUCGUAAAAUGUACCUUGGCAUUCCUUGUUUACAGGGAAUGACCCAGCUUGAGUUGGAGGAUGAGGUCCAAGAUGACUUAAAACGUGCGACUGGAGAGUUCACAAAAGAUGGGGAUGAUGCAAAUAAACUGAACCGCAUUCUUCAACUGACUGGAUUUAGCGAUCCUGUCUAUGCUGAAGCAUACGUAACCGUUCAUCACUACGAUAUAGUCCUUGAUGUAACAGUCAUAAACCGUACAAAAGAAACACUUCAGAAUUUGUGCUUGGAAUUGGCCACCAUGGGAGAUCUCAAGCUCGUAGACCGUCCGCAGAAUUAUACACUAGCACCUGAGUCAAGCAAGCAAAUUCGGGCCAAUAUUAAGGUCUCUUCAACUGAAACUGGAGUAAUAUUUGGGAAUAUUGUUUAUGAGACUUCGAAUGUGCUUGAACGAACUGUUGUCGUCCUCAAUGAUAUUCACAUUGACAUCAUGGAUUAUAUCUCUCCUGGUAAUUGUGCUGAUGUUGCUUUUAGAAGUAUGUGGGCCGAAUUCGAGUGGGAAAACAAGGUACGCGAUUUUUACUUUAAUAUUACUUAAACUGGCUCUUAACUUUGAACAUACAAAUUUUCUCUCUAAAACAUACAGCUCUUGCAUAUUGUGUGUGCCAGCUUGUUGUGUCUUGUGUGUUGGUAAGCUUCACUCUUAAGCAUCUGCAUUUUAGCAUUACACCGGAAUUAGGAAGCAGCUUCUUAUUUUGAUAUUCCAUAUAUUCCAGCUUCUUCUUUGUUAAGCAAACAAUGUAAGCUAAUGGUUCAACGAGUAGUUCAUGUGCAUGUUGUUCUUUCUAUGUUCUUUGUAGUUUCUUAAAAAAAAUAAUAAUAAUAAUUGACUUUGUGCCAUUGUAAUGUUAAAAUAUUUAAUCUGGUUGAAGGUGACUGUUCUGUUAUAACUUAUAAGUUUGACUAAACUCUCCGUAUGCGAGAAAAUUAUCUCUACUAUAUAAUCUUAGCUCCAGUUCAUCUAUCCUUACUCUAAGACGUUUAUUAUGUCGGCUGUGAUGAACCUGUGAUUAGGAAUUUUUACCCAGAGGUCUUUUCCAGCGUGCCCUUCAAUUCUGCACUGGUUCAGUUCACAACUUUAGAUGUCUUGUGAUUUUUAUGUUCUUCUGAUUCUUUUGCUAUUACUUCACAAAAUAUGCUAUAUCCUCUUGCAAAUGCUUUGCAGUAAGCUGAUGUUUUGGCUGCAUUUUCAGGUUGCUGUGAACACUGUUAUUCAGGAUGAGAAGGAAUUCUUAGAUCACAUCAUCAAAUCUACAAACAUGAAGUGCCUCACUCCGCCGUAAGUUCUGACAUCACAGAUGAUACUUUAUUGAAUUUUCUGUCCUUAUUUAUCCCCUUCAAUCCAUCCAACUAAUACGUGUUCGUCAUGCUCUGUGAUGUAUUUCAUUGCAGUUCCGCGCUGGAUGGAGAAUGUGGGUAUCUUGCAGCCAAUCUCUACGCAAAGAGCGUGUUCGGGGAGGACGCAUUGGUGAACGUUAGUGUUGAGAAACAGGCCGAUGGGAAACUCAGUGGCUACAUUCGGAUUAGAAGCAAGACACAGGGUAUCGCGCUCAGCUUAGGAGACAAGAUCACUCUCAAACAGAAGGGAGGGAGUUAAGCUGCGUAUCUUCGCGCACAUCCUCCAUACUUUCUUUCCAACAUCUUUUUGGAGAUUAUUUCCAACAUCUUUUUGGAGAUUAUUUUGCCCCUUCCUUUUUAUAUAUGGAUUUUUUGAACUUGGCAAUUUUUCACUCUAUGCUGCAGAUAAUGUUGUUGUGGGUAGGUAAUGGUGCCAAUGGGGACAGAACCUCCCUCUUUUUUCUUUGUUUCGCAUUUAGAUCUGCUCAAUGUUUGCUAUACAUAUUUUAGGAACUUUGAUUUAUUUUUAUUCUUAAUAACGGUUUCUUCUCAAAUUGUUAGGAACUAUGAUUAAGCUACAUCGCAUUUCGUCAGAGUAGCUCUUGCUUUCGUAUUCGAAUUUGUCAUUUCUUGAUUUGUCAUUUCCUACAAAUGAUGAAGAUUUUAGCAGGAUCGACAACAUUGUAGUUCGUACAUCGCAUCAUUAUGUUUGCAACCUCUGUGUGUCAUGCAGUAGCACAUUCGUUUGCUUAACUACGAUUAUACGUGAAUAAUGUUUGUUUAGGCACUAGCUAAUCUGAUUGUCUGCUGGUGGUGAGUUUUAAAACUUUUGGGCUUUCAAAAGUAUAUAUAUAAAGACGGAUGCUUUGGACAAUGUAGUCUCCAACUAGGCCUUAAUCAGUUCACAGGCCUGCUAUUAUGCUAUGGGCCUCCUCUUACCAAUGUUGGAGCUUCGACCCUUUAAUUUAAGCUGUUACGCUGCAUAAUCUCCACUGUUGGAACUUUUGCCACGUUCCGGUAUAAAUUAAAUGAACCUUUAUAUAUAUAUAUAUAUAUAUAGCAGGGCUCCUCCGUGCUCCUGAGCCGUUUUCGAUGAUGGAAUUUUUGAAUCGACGAUCGGCUCCAUUAGACUUAAUCUAGCGCAUUUGAAGUUUUUAGAAAAUAAUUUUUGCGAUUUUUUGAUAUCAUUUACCUAAUGAUCGAAAAGAUUCAAAAUCUAUAAUUUUUAAUGAUUGAUAUCUGUCGUUUUCAAGUUUAACGGUGUAGAAGUAUUCAAAUCAGAUGAAAUUUUGAUAUCAAAUAUUUUUAUACUAUCUACAAACAAAUCAAUAUUUCUGAUCGAAAAUUUUAGUGCUAUAUCAUUUUUUAUAAGAAUUUUUAUUUUCAGCCGUUAAAAAUUAUUGAUUUUGAAUCAUUUCGAUUGCUAGGUAAAUGAUAUCGAAAAAUUGUAAAAAUUAUUUUCUAGAAACUUCAAAUACGCUAGAUCAAGUUUAACGGAGCCGAUCGUCGAUUUGGAAACUCCAUCAUCGAAAACGGCUUAGGAGCACGGAGGCCUCCGUGCUCUGAGAGCACAAGCAGUCCUGCUCUCUCUCUCUCUCCUCUCUCUCUCUCUAAUAUAUAAUAUAUAUAUAUAUAUACAGAGUUGAGCUAGAAUACUAUCGAUAGUAAACAUGCUUUUACUAUCGAUUUAUUUUCGAUGAUAGAGCUUCCAAUUGACGAUCGGCUCCGUUAAAUAUGAUCUAAACCAUUUAAACUAGCUAGAAAUCAAUUUCACGGCACUUCGAUAUUGUUCUUUUAUUCAUCAAGUGAACAAAAAAAUGAAUAGCUGAAAAUGAAUAUUCUUUAAAAAAUGAUGAUAGGAGUCUUGUAAUCAAGAUCAAGAGUAUAGAUCUUGUUUUAAAUAGUUUAAAGAAUUUUCUAACAAAAAUUCAAUUGAUUUGGAUAUUUUAUGCCGUUAAACGAGAAAACGCCUCUUAUCAACUAUUAAAAUUACAAAUUUUGAAACUUUUGAUCAUUAGGCAUAUAUGUCGAAACGAUUUGAAAUUUGAUUUCUAAACACUUCAAAUGGUAUAUAUCAUGUUCAACGGAGCCGAUCGUCAAUUUGGAAGCUCUAUCAUCGAAAAAAAAUAGGUAGUAAAACGGGUUGUUUACUAUCGAUAGUAUUCUAGCUCAACUCUCUCUAUAAAAUAUAUAGAGUGAGGCUACUAUUAGCGGAAGCACGGAGCCUUCCGUGCUUCAAGCUCGUUUCGAUGUUGCAACUUUUGAAUCGUCGAUCGGCUCCGUAAACUUGAUCUAGAGUAUUGAAGUAUCUAGAAAAUAAAUUUUAUAUAAUUUUACGAUAUCAUUUGCCUAGUGAACGAAAGGGCUCAAACAUACAACGGCUGAAAAUAAAAAUCUUACAAAAUGUAUAAUAUGACAUUAAAAUUUUAAAUUAAAGAUAUUGAAUCUUGUUUUAUAUAGUAAUAAAGAAUUUUCUAUCAAAAUUUCAACGGUGAUUUGGAUAUUUUCUACACUGUUAACACUUGCAAACGGCUCAUCACGGCCAUUGAAAUUUGUUGAUUUUGAGCCCAUUCGAUCACUAGCAAAUGAUAUCAAAAAAUAAUAAAAUUUAUUUUCUAGGUACUCCAAAAUACUCUAGAUCAAGUUUAACGGAAGCCGAUCGACGAUUCGAAAGUCGCACAAUCGAAAACGAGCUGGAAGCACGAAGGCUCCGUGUGCUUCCGAUAGCAUAGUAGCCUCACUUAUAUAUAUAAUAAUAUAUAUAAUGCGCUCUCUCACUUUGCCAGUUAUUUUAUUAAAAAUAACAACACAUCUAAAAGAAUAUUAUUAUAUAUGUAUAUAAGUAAAUAACAAAAGUUUUUUGAAAUAUACGAUACAAUAAAAUUGACCCGUACAAAUUUUACGCAGUAUAGCUGUUACGAUAUAUAUUUUCUUUAUACGGUAUGUACACGUCUAGUUGUCUUUUUGGCAUAAUACACACCAACCGCUCUUUUUUUUCUUUUUUUUUUUCCGUUUUUCCUUUAUGACCACUCUUUACUCCUCCAUUCCGUGUGCGUGUGUGUGUGCGUGUGUGUGUGUUACUGUUCUUGUCAACGUGACACCACAAAAGAACGGCACACAGUUUUACGAAUCAUUCCUUCUCAUCCGUAGUAGCACUUUAAACCUUCUUGAUAUGUCCAAAAGAUACUAGUAUACUGUACAGCAUCAAUCAUCAUUUCAUGCCACUAACUGGAAACAACAUCCUAGCACAGGUUAGUGCUGAUAACAAUUUGUCACCCUAUUUCAUGCCAAACUCAAAUUAUAAUUAAAAAAAAACUUCAAAUAUCACUCUUGUAGUUUUGCAUUUUCUUAUUUUAGUAUCUUAUGAUUUAAAGUGUAUCAUUUUCGUAUUUGUGUUUUAUUUUUCUCUUUUGUUAUCCACUCCAUUAUUUUUUUUCGUUAAAUCAAUAACAAAUGUAAAGAAAGAAUACUAAAGUAAAUAUUCGAUAAACUAUAGGUGGGGUAUCUGAAAUUUUUUGUAUAUGAUUUAGCGAAAAGUUAACGAAGUGAUUGACGAAAAGAGAAAAAUAAAACUAUAGCGUACUAAAUUGAUAUACUUUAAACUAUAUAAUACUAAAGUGAGAAAGUACGAAACCACAUGGGUGGUAUUUGAAAUUUACCCUAUAAUAAAAGAGAAAACUUGCCCCUUUUUAAACUGUUCAUUUUGCAGGGGAAAUAAAGAAGAGUAGCUUAGAGCUCACUUGAUAUUUUCUUUGCCCUCUUUUUUUUAAUAUUUACUAAAGCACAAAUUUUAUGUAGCAUAGUGUGUAAGUGGACGAUUAACCACUUAUAAUCUAUACUCUUUAUGGAUUUUGUUUGGCAGCAAAAAUUCAAAAACUAAUAAUAGUGAUAUAUUAGUGUUGAUACCCCUUAUAGGCUUGGAUAAUUAAUUUCAUUUGUAAACAUUUCAUGAAUCGUUUGAAAUAAAAAAUAUAUGCUAAAGAAAUUGAAUCUAGAGAUACACAGGACAUUUAGUCACGAAAACUGUGCUAUAGCUCGAAUAUUUGUAAAUAAAAUGCGAAUGAGAGAGAGAGAGAAAUUUGGCUAUGUGAUUUUAUAUGUGUGUAAACUCUAUCAAUAUAUCCACUAGUAUGGUCAUGGUAAAAUGAACAAAGUAGAAAAAUAUUAUACGAGUUAUAUAGUAGUGGUUGGCACCUCUCUUAAUUUUAUAUACAAGUUUCGUGCUGCAACCAAAGGUUACGUUCCCAAAGUAUUAAAUAUUUGACGUGGCUAAUUAGUAAUUAAUGUCCAUCAACAACGACUUUGUUAAUGAAAAGUAAUACAAUAUUACAACUGUUAACUACUAUUAAAAUCAGAUGCGCUGUGCCUCUUUCCACAUGAACCUUGUGGCUAUCGAAAGGUAUCAAUUUAGAACAAGCCCAUGAAGAGCACUGAUCUUAAAACUUAGAGACAUAUGUAUUAUCAAGAUGGGGCCCACAAUCUUCGCGAUAAAGCUCUUUGGCACAUCUUUUUAGCAAAUUAACGACAAGAUGUAAAGCAGCUUACACGAUCUGACUGAAACGUUAGUUUCUUAAACAACUUCUCUACUAUGAAAUGCACUACUAACUUUCGCUCUAGAAGUCGAACUGAAUUGAAUAGAUUUCUGAACAAACUAAUUAUAUACCAUUUAGAUUAUAUUCUUUUUUAAUCUCUCAUUAAAAAGCGAAUGCAUCAUUACUUUAAACCAAAAUCCCUAGCUUUUAAGUUCUAAAGAACAUCCAAUUAGUCUAAAUGGAUCUUUAGGAGUGAAAAAGGAGUCAAAAAAGUAUCUCCCAAAAUGGGCCACUUGGAUCAUGUUGCUCGCUAGGUUGAUCUUUUUGUCACUUAUGUAACGCAAAAUAUACCACAAAUUAAUACGAGAACUAAACCAUUUUCUCAAGUUGUUGUACACAUAAGUUAGAAUACAUUGUGGCCCAUCCACUAAAGUUGAUGUGAUGUGAUUUAGGUUAAACACGUUGGUGCCGCAUCCUUUCGCUUUUCCUUCAUUUUCACAGUUGCUUUGUUGAGUAGGUCUUCCACAAACCUAGAGAAGUGCCACACGAUUCACAUUGUAUUGGUUUGAAUACUCAGUUUUGGCUUUCCCAAAAAAAUCUCUUCUCUGUUUUGAGAAACUAAAUAACUAAGCUUAAAUAGUACUACCCACUAAUGUUUGACAAAGAUUAAAAAACACCUCGUAUUUAGAUAGUUUGAUGCGUUACUACUUAGUACUAAUAAUUUGAUACAUCGGAGAGACAUGUUCACACGCAAAACACCGUGAAAAUGCUCGAGCGAAGCCAAAGUCAUAGAAUAAUUAGAGACCAAAUUUUCGAUUCGUCAGAAAGAAAUAGAAAUAAUGAUAAUAAAAAUGACGUGGAGAGAAAGAAAAAGCUUAGUUAAUGCUCUACUUUACUAAUAAUUUCUUAUGCUACCAUCAAUCAGCACAAAUUAUCGAUUCAAGUAAACCCAAAUAAUUAUCCUUGGACUUAUCCUGGGUAACUUGCUGUGGCAUGCACUUCAACAAUGAUCUUCACACAUACAUACACAAACAAAAAGGGGAGAAAAAAAGAAAAAAAAAAAAGGGGACUUAUUCAGGGUUUCUAUGCUGUUGUCGUGUAUAUAUAACCCUUGUGAUAUAAUAAUUAAUUAGGAAUAACAAAACAAAUUUAUUCCACGCUAUGGAAUUAUUAAUAUGACAUGCAAUCAUCUGCACUGGACAUUAUAUAUCCUGUGACAUGUGCAUUUGCAAGUAGUUUAUUCCAAUUACUGGAAAAAGGGCGGAUGGAUAAAUUAAUUUUCGUAUUAUUAUUAUUGUUGUUGACUAAUUGGCACAGAAAUGUGAUGUUAAUUGAUGUAUUACCUAAUUACAUAGGAUUUGUGUGUAUAAAUUGAUAGAAUCUUCAGAAUUAAUAGGAAAAACUUCAAAAAACCCUCCUGUAGUUUCGCACUUUUUUAUUUUAGUCCUCUGUGGUUUAAAGUGUAUCAAGUUAGCACCCUGUGGUUUCUCACUUUAUCACUUUAGUAUCCUGUGGUUUAAAGUGUAUCAAGUUAGUACUCUGUGGUUUUAUUUUUGUAUCAAAUUAGUAUCCUGUGGUUUUAUUUUUGUAUCAAGUUAGUACCUUGUGGUUUAAAAACCACAUAGUAUUAGAGUGAUAAAGUGCGAAACCACAGAGUACUAAAGUGAUAAAGUGCGAAACCACAGGUUACUAACUUGAUACACUUUAAACCACAGGGUACUAAAGUGAAAAAGUGCAAAACCACAUGGUACUAACUUGAUGCAGGCUAAACCACAGGAUACUAAAGUGAAAAAAUAGUAAACGACAAGGAGGUAUUUGAAGUUUUCUCCAUAUUAAUAUGCUGAUAUAAAUAAUAAUAUACAAAUUAAGACAUUAUUUUGAGAUAUUCGUUGCGUUACUAAACAAGCUGGUACAUGCAUUUAUAGACUUUUGGCGUCGACAGUGAUUGGACACAUAUCUUAGAGGCGCGGAUGAUGACGACUCUCUGCCACCGUUUGGUUCGGGGUUAAGAAAAAAUAGCUAUUCCAGGAAUAGGGUUAAGUUUAGAAUUAAAAUGGUGUUAAAAUUUUUUUGUGUUUGGUUCGAGGUUGGAGUUAGUGUAGGAUAGUGAAAAAAAGUGUUUGGUUGGAGUAGGUGGGAUAAGAAGAUAAUGAUUGAUAAAAAAGAAAAAGGUGAGGGCUCGGAAUGCGUGCGGGGUUAAAGUUAGGAGGGGAAGUGAGGUUAAUGAUUGAUAAAGAAGAAAAAGGUGAGGGUUCGGGAUGCGUGCGGGGUUAAAGUUGGAAGGGGGAGUGGGGUUAGUAAACCCCACUAACCCGGUUUGGGGUGUAGUUUACUAACCCCACCCUUUAAGAGUGGUGUUUGGGUAUAAAUUGGGGGUUAAGGGGUUAUUCCACCCCUUAACCCCCAACCAAACGGUGGCUCUAUGUUUAUCCUCCGAGUGCUUGUUUGGUUCUCGCACAACUUCUUUCAAAAAAGAUAUUUUUUGAGUUUAAUUAUUUGAAUAUUCUAUCAUUAAUUUUAGUGGAGGUUCUUAUUUUUUGAAAAUAUACAAACACCCCUGAUAAGGUUGAGUAGCUAUCAUAUUAUCCCUGCAGAGUUCGACUCUGAUAAAUGACAUAUUAACAAAAAGAAAUAACUUACAAGGCAUAGCUUUAGUUGUUCAUCAUGCGUUAAAGGCAUAAAUUGUGUUGCAUAAUUAAUCUUACUUUUUUUUUUUGUGAAUAAAACAAGUGUUGUAAUCUCGCAAUCUCGCUAAGAACCAUUAGCUUAUUGAGCAAUGCUAUCUGUAUAUCCAAUAUACAUGUGUAAUUUUUUCAUCCUAGUCGUUCUCUCACAAAUUUAAAUUUACUUAUUCAUCUUAUCAAUCUUUUUUAAUACUGAUCGAAAAUAUAAAAAAAAAAGUUUUAAAAUUUUUGAACAAUUUUCCAACUUAAUUUUUUUAUAGUACUCCUACUAAUUAAAGAACCAUAAUUAUUAAUUAGUGUACUAGUUGUUUACAUGAUAUUAUUUGGUAGGAUAAUUGAGUAAUUAAAACAAGUUUAAUUAUAUCGUUCUUCGGCAUGAUAUUUCGUAGCAUUAAGAUUGAAUAAAACUUCCAUUAGAUUGCAAACCUAUCUCUAGUUGUAUUCAUAUUAAGCAAAAUUAUUCUUUUAUUUCGUUCGUUGGGAAAUAAUUGAGAAAGGUCCCCUUUGUGGAAUUUUUUAUUUUUUGACUCGUUCAAAAGAAAAGAAAAGAAAAGAAAAAACUAACAAUGGCUUCGUAAGUUAUUAUACAAUUGCCGUACAUUAUUAGGUUUUCCGUACAAUGAAAGGCCAUUUUGAUGAAAUUGAAGGGGCAAUAUAAAUGUGGAUCAAAGGGUCUCCAAGUACUUUGAGUUUGACCUCCGAAAUUGGUGAAAAGUCAACUGUCUCAAAAGGUUCUCUGAGUUUUACAAUAAAUUUUAGAUUUUUUGUUCCAAAAAUAAAUAAUUAUCCUGCUGUGAUCUAAUUUUAUUUUACUACUAUGUUACUAUUACUGGUGUACUAUUUUGAUUUUCGAAAAGAAUUAUGCUAUUCAAACGUUGCUAGCAUAAGAAUGAAUAAUCUCCUAAGUAAAAGAAAAAAAAAGUUGAAAAAUUUUUAUUGAAAUCAAUCUCGCUAGCUAUUAUCUUGGUAAAAUUGUAACACUUCACCAACCUGUUAAUUUAAUUAUUUUUUUAAGAAAAAGAUAAAGCAAUAGUCACAAGAGAGCAAAACGAUUCGAAACUUUUUGUUCAAUUUUUCUAAAAUCGUAUAAACAAAAGUUUUAAAUCACUGGGUGAUUUUAAUAAAAAAUAAGCUAAAUCACAUGGUUUAAUUAGACCCACCAAAAAAAGGGCAUAAAUGUAACUUGCGCUCACUAGUUGCUACUGGGGCCAAAGAAAUGAAAUGGUCGCAGCAUAUACCAACGAAUAGACUGGGCACGCGGCACCACCGCAAAAACACAAACACACACAGACACACCCCUGACAAGUCCAUUUUGGGACCACCGUGGGAGUGUUCUUCAUGCUCGCAAGUAAAAUUAUCCAAAAUAUCUGAUAUUUUAUAUCGGAUUUAGAUCCUAUCUGAACCCUAUCCGGAUUUGAAUCGGACUCGAUAAGAAAAUGAAUAGUACAUGUGUAAAAAAAAAAUUAUUCAUUGAAGUUUCGAGUAUGGAUCCGAAUACUUUAUAUCUAUAAACCGACUUGGAUCCGAUCCGAAUCCGAUAUUUUAAUGGGUAGGGUCCGAAAGAGUGUACAAAUUCGAACCUGAAUUCGGACGCGGACCUGGACCCAAACACGGUGAAAUACCCGAUGGUAAAUAAAAAAGAUUUGGAAUUGAGGAAUUAAUUUCAAUAGAACUUAUAGAUAAAAUGCCUAUGUAUAUUUGUAUCUUAGUGAAAUCCAAGUCGCUCUGUUUAUUCUUUUUUUAACCAUAGCCGCUCUAUGUAUUCCUUGAAUCUUUCUUUUGAACAAAUUUUAUCGAAUCGGGUGCAACUAAUUAGAAUGCGAAUUUUUUUUAUAGUGAGAAGUUUAUAAUUUAUCCAUAAAUUAUUUAAUAAAAUUUAUAAAAAAAAAAUACAUACGGGUACCAUACCCGAUCUAAAUCCGAUCCGUAUCUGAUCUUAAGUGGAUAGCAUACGAGUAGUUACUAUCCAUACCGCCUCAAAUAGAUCCGAUGGGUCUAUUAUUAACUUAAUUGCCUAGAAUCUGGACCCGAUCCGAAGUUAAAUGGGUAGGGUAUAUGUAUUUUUUUUUAUUCAUUUUUUUUUAGGGUUUGGAUACGAUAUAUCAACUCCUCAGAUCUGAUCCGGUUCACAGACAUCUUUGCUCGCCAUAUAUUAUAAAGUUGUGACUCAUAAAUUUGAUAGAUAUGAUCUAUAUUAUUUUUAAAAAAAUGUUAAUAAAUAACACUAAAAAAUUAUGGGUGGACAAAAAAUAAUUAUGAAAUUAACCCACUAAAAAAUUAAAUAAAUGUUUGAAAACUUGGAAGGUUACUUAAAAAAAAAAGAGAGAAGACUUUUUAUAUGGUUUGAGGGGGAACCUUAGGCAAAAUUAACCAUUUAUUAUAACAGAAAUAAUAAUUAGAAGAUUUAGAAAGCUUUAGAUUUGGCCAUGUACGAGCUGAGUCCUCGCACACCAAACCUAAACUUGAAUGUGGCGACUAUAUCGACCCAGAAGUGCUCAGUUUUCGCCGAGGAGCCGUGUUAUGUCUACUCGUUGGUUUGCUCGGUGGGCCUCCUCAUUCAACGGUCAGCGUCGACCGUCGAUUCAGCGAGCCUAUUUAGCACGCGGAAUGAACAUUUUUUUCUUUUUUCUUUUUUUUUUUUUCUUUCGCGGAGCUACCGAGUCUUUGGAUUUUGAGACCCGGUCCACAAACACUGAAACAGUUCUAUGAAAUGGGGCUCAUAAGAAUCUCAAAAAGAAGUGGCCUAGGGUUGUUCUUCUUUACACCCCAUUUACACUCCCAAUCAUCUGAUACCUCGCAAACUCUCGCGAUUUUACACACAAAAAAAAAAAAAAAAAAAAACCCAGCCAAAACGUAAAAUUUUUUUGAUAAACUUCUAUUUCCCUCUGUAUGAGUUAAAAAGUUAUAUAGUGAUGUGACAUUUUAAUAUUUCACAUCCAAUUAGAAUAGAAUUAUUAUUGGUAUAUGAAAUGACUCAAUAUUAAUAAUAAUAUUAAUAACUGGCCUUAAACAUUUGAACCGAUGAUUUAGGCCUAAUAAUAAUAAUAAUAAUAAUAACUGGUAUUAAGCAUUUUAAUAUUGCACUUACCUCUCUUUACACUGAGUUUUAUAUUUUUUUUGUAUUUUUUGCUAUUUUUCAGACCUACUUUGGUUAGUGUUCGCCCACCCUUAAGACGUCCGACGGAGUGGAAGGUAUUUGUUGUAUCGUAGGAAUGAUUGCUGAAACCUAGUAUGUGGAGUGACAAUCUCCGCUUUUAGAACAUUGCUUCGCACGUCCCACUCACAAGUCUCACCUAAUCAUUUUCUCUAUAAUAUUUUUCACGUAAUCCAUUUUAUAAUUUUUCAAAAACACAAUUAAAAUUAUUUUCUUUAAAUUAUUUAAAAAUAAAUUAUUCAAGCUAAAUAUAUAUUUAGAUAUUAUAUAAUUAUAUAUUUGUUGUUAUUUCAUCUUAUUUUUUUAUAAUAAAUAUUUUUACUACUAUUUUUUAACUUCCUCUACAUACAUAUAGAUUGAUCAUUUAAUUUAUUUAUUUUAUUUUUUAUAAUUAUUAUAUAUUAAAAUUUAUAUUAAAGUAUAUGUAUAAAAUUGUCUGGGAUGAAACGCGGUUCAACGCUAUUUAUUUAGAUAUAAAAUCCCGCUUAUAUAGCUAACGCCCGCACAUCCGUACACGAAAUAUCUCCCUUUUUAAAUCCUAUAAAAACAAAAUAAAUAUAAUAAUAAUAAUAAAUAAAUAAAUAAUAAUAAUAAUAAAUAAAUAAACUCCCUCCUCUCUCUUUUACCAGGAAUGAAAAAGCCACUCCUCCGAUCGACCCUAUUUACCCGUGUUGAAGAACAAAGACGCGCAACUCCCCUUUCUCUCUACUUUUUUUUUUUUUUUUUUUCGCUCGUUCCUUCCUCUAUAGUUCAUAUUAUUCUCUCUCCUCUCUCGCUCCGGUGAUCUUCUUCAGAUCUCCGGCAAUGGCAAGAGGCGGAGGCGGGAGGGGUCGGCCGGAGUAGCUCGCUCUUGGAGCCGUAGACGAGAUCUGGAGAAUGGGAGAGGGGGAUCGGCGGAGGAGAAGGAGAUCCGUACUCUGUUAGCACCACCGCUAGGGUUUCGACCACAGCAUCUGUCUCGUUUGGCCCCUUCUGUAUUCUUUUGAUCGGUCCCGGAUUCGUGGAAGAUGGAGUCGGGUGCGAGGGCCAGGGUUUUAGGGCUUUCGUGGAGAUCGGUGGUGUUGAUGGCGGCGGCGGUGGUGAUGGUGGUGUUUCCGGCGGCGUUGGCGGCGGAGGAGGGGCAGAGGAAGCACGCGUACGCGGCGAUGAUGUACAUGGGGACGCCGAGGGACUACGAGUUCUACGUGGCGACGCGGGUGAUGAUGAGAUCCCUCGCAAAGCUCGGCGUCGACGCCGACCUCGUCGUCAUCGCCUCCCUCGACGUCCCGAUCCGAUGGGUCCAAACCUUGUACGCCCCCUCUCCUUCUCCUCUCUCUUUCGCCCCUCAUCCUCGCCCUUGUUCAUGUCUCAAUCUUUUCUCACCCACCGAUGAUACAGAUCUUACAAUCUGACGUUUCCGUUCUAUUUCCGUGUUAAUUUGUUCGUUUCUUCUAUAUUUUCGCUAUUUUUAUCCUUAUUUUUUUGAAACGCUUGAAUUUGAGGAAGAUGAAGAAGAAGGAAAAACCAGGAGAUACCGCCAUGGAUGUUUUCUUCAUCGUUUUCCGAAAAUACCCUCGUUUUCGAUCGUCCUUGCUUGGAAUCCGCUGGGAUUUCCGGGGUAUUCGAGUCUUUCAAGUUUGUAAUUUUCUAAUUUUGGGUCGUGAGAUUACUUGAGAGCCGAAACAGAUGGUCACGAUGAUGGUUGUCCACUUCCGAGUCAAAAAAACUUUGACUUUUUCAACAUCUUUUGGAAAUCAGUACGAGUGGUUGAGCUGUUAAGAGAAGAAAUGUGGAGAUACCUUAGCGUUCUUAAGAGAGUUUUCCCUUGGCUCUUAGAUCUUUUUAUCCCUCCUUAGGCGGAUUUCCCUGCCCCAUAUUUUGGUGUACGGGGUUUGACUAUUUAUCAAUGGGGACUUUGUUAGGUUCUUCAAUGGUAGGUAUACUUGCUGCUGUAUCUGAGUUUCUUUUUUUUUCUUUCCCUGCGAGAAGAGAUGAUGAAUUUCAUAAUGGAAUUAAAUUAGGUUUCUUCAAAUCCGGUUAUAUAGAAUACUAGUUGAUUCCACAAAAUCUAAUGUUACUUUUCAUUGAUUGCCUAAACUAUAGGAUGACUGCAUAACUCUAACGCAUGUAUCCUGAUAAGAACUUUCGUUUUGUACAGUUGCAAAGAAUUAUAUUGCAAUGUUUGCUGUAUACUGAGAAAUUUUGAGACUUAAGUAUAUCGUCAUUUUGUGGUUCUCAUGUUCUCCAGUAUCUGGUUUCAUACUUAGAAACUGUUGGCCAGUGAAGUUUCUUAUGAACCAGAACUCCAUCAAUAUGUGAUCCCAUUAUCUAUUAUUUGCUAAGAAUGUGUUCUCUAUGUAUUAUGAAUUGUCUUCAUCUUUGUAAGCCAUGAUGAUUCCCUGAAUGCCUAUUUUAGACUGAAUUUCACAUUGACUAUGAUUGCUCUAGCUUUGCCUAAGUAGCACUAUAUUUCAAAUUCUCAUUUUGUAAUGUUUUGAUUGACCAACAGGAAAGAGGAGGAUGGGGUGAAGGUUGUUUCUGUGGAGAACUUGAAGAAUCCAUACGAGAAACAGGGCAAUUUCAACUCGCGGUUCAAGCUGACACUGAACAAGCUGUAUGCUUGGAGCUUGGUCGAAUAUGAUCGAGUUGUUAUGCUCGACUCUGAUAACCUUUUCAUCCAAAAAACUGAUGAGCUCUUCCAGUGUGGUCAAUUCUGUGCUGUUUUCAUCAACCCCUGCAUCUUCCACACUGGCCUCUUUGUCCUUCAGGUUCCACCACUUAACCUUUCUGCAUAUGAUAUUGUUCUAUAAUCAAUUUCUUCUUAGUUUUAGGAGCAUGGAUAUAACGGUCUGGUUCAGAAAUAAAUUUCUGUCUUGAUUGUACAAGUCAGUACAACAUGAAUUAUGGAUUCCUCACUUUGCUUAAUUCAUACCCUGUUUAAUCUUUUUGCCCCCCAUUCUUAACCAGUGUGCAAUAUCAAUUAAGUUUUAAGGUUUUUUUUUUGGGUGGGGGGUAGCGACAAAGUUCAAGUUAAAUACUGGUUUCAGCAUAUAGAUAUAGCAAAUGUUAUAUGAGGUGACCAUGUGUUGCUUGAAGUCUUCCAUUAACUUCAGUUGUGUUGCUUCCGUCCAACAUGCGCUUACCGCAUACUUCAACUAGAAGAUGGCUUGAAUGGCUGGAAAUGUGAGGUUACUGGUUGAUACUGGAUACAUGAGUAGGUGGGCUAUUUGUGGUGGACUAAGAGAUGAUUCAAGUUACUUUGGUUGUUAUUUUAAGCAAAUCUAGUUGUCUAGUUUCACAUGGCUACUUCAACAGUAAAAAUGAUAGGGUUCUGAAUUCUUUUCAAUCUUUUGGACUGGAACCAUGCGAUCCAGUUUUUGACAAUUUGUUUUCAUGAAUUGAUAGCAUGAACUCUGUAAUCUACUCUCUGUCUUCUUAAUCUGGUUUUAGCCUUUUUCUUGUGGAGUGAUGCUUAGCUAGACCUAGGAACUCAUUCAGCUACUUGUAAGAUCAUUUGGCUCAUAGUUAGUUAAUUCGGAUUCGGUAAAAAUUCGGUAUGGCUAUAAUUCGGAUAAAUUCGUUUUUUAAUUUUAAAUUCGUUGAAAAAUACGGCUAAAAACGGUUCAGUAAUUAUUCGGAUACGUGAUUUAUACGGAUAUUAUACGUUAACAAUUAAAAAUUCGGAAUCAAAAUUCGGCUAUAUAAUAAAUAAAAUUUAUAUAUUUAAAAAUAAUAAUAAAUAAUUACAAAUUUAUAUAUAAAAUAUUAUAUAAAUAUUUCUAUAUAAAAAUAAAUAAAAUAUAUAAUAAAUAUAUAUAUUUAUAAAUAAAAAUUAUAUAUAUAUAUAUAUAUAUAUAUAUAUAUAUAGUUAUAUAUAUAUAUAUAUGAGAGGGAGGUCCACUGUGGACCUCCCCCUCAUGGGGUCCACGAGGCUGAAAUAGCCUCGUGGACCGCACACCUCCCAAGUCCCAAAAGCCCCGAUGAAUCCUACUGUUCAUCUUCCACUUCUCUGGAGCCGGCCUCGGGCGAGGACAUGGAUCCGCCGCCGCGGCCCUCGCUCCCGGCGACGGCAAGGGCGGCGGAGGACGAUGACGACGCUAGCGGCGUCGACGCGAGCGGCGACGAUGCGAGCGGCGACGAGCGGCGACGACGCGACCCUCGGCAGCAAGUCCGCGACCGCGCGAUCGCGAUUUUUUGGGCGAAUUAUUCGCGAAUCGCGAAUAAUUCGCGAAUAAUGAUUUUUGAUGAAAAAACCGCGUAUUUUUUUGAAUUUUUCGGAAAAAUACGAAAUUCGUCGUUUAAUUCGCAUUUUGAAAAAUACACGAAUAAUUCGCGUAUUAAUCGCGAAUUUACUAUGUUUGGGCUGAGUAACUAGACAAUAGUUUUAUGAUAACCAUGGUUCUUCUAUCACUAUUUGCUUCAGAGUUUUCUGAUUAGAGUAAUCUCUUUUUAUUAUACUUGUGCAAAAAUUGUCAGAUACAUAAACAUAAGAUCUUCAACUUCUGAUAAUCUCUCGCCUUUUCUUUUUAAUAUAUUUAUGUAUCUUUUGCUUGCAGCCUUCAAUGGAUGCGUUUAAGAACAUGCUUCAUGAGCUAGAGAUUGAGCGUGAGAACCCAGAUGGUGCUGAUCAAGGUUUCCUAGCUAGUUACUUCCCAGAUUUGCUUGAUCAACCAAUGUUUCAUCCACCUGCCAAUGGUACCAAACUUGAUGGAAUUUAUCGUCUUCCUCUAGGGUAUCAGAUGGAUGCUUCUUACUACUGUGAGUUCAAUGGGCCUUUAUAUUCAUGUCUCUUUCCCUUAAUUUCCUUGUAUAAUUCUUUCUUUUCAUACUGUAUAGUGUAUUUUUCCUGCAUUUUGGUCCCUAGAUAUUUGUCUUCCCCUGCCUCCUCUCUCUUUCAUGACACUCUCCCAUCAUCCCUUUCAUCUUUUCUCAUAUCUCCUUCUGAAAGUAAUUUGUUUAUCCCCUUUAUCCAAAUGGUAUAUUCAAAGAAUUUUGGAGAUUUCGAGUUUUCUCAUGUUGAAGGUGAUCCUUUUUCUUACAAUCGUUCCAAUCUCGGUUUCAACUGUUCAACAUCUUGCGGACUGCUGGCCUUUUUCUUAUUUGGAAUAUGUUAGAGGAUAAAUAUAUAGUAGUGGUGGCGUAAUUUUGGUCCUUAGAAGUUGUGUCAGCAGCAUUUUGGCAGGUUAGAAAGAAUAAUUGGUAGAUGUCCUAAAGUUAGCUUGACAUCAGCUGACUAAUAUAAUAUGACAGACUUUAUACAAAAUGGAGAAAGUUUCUAAGGGUUUAUCUAAUAUUUUGGGACAUACGCUUGAUCUCAGGACACAGGGGACUGAUAUGGAAAGAACUUUUAACUGAAAGUUCUCUCCAGUUAUCAGAACACUGCUAUACUAUGCCUGAACUUCAACAAUUUAACACAUUUGGGAAUUUAUUUGUGUUAUCAUGUUAAUAGUUCUAUUGGCUUGUAUCUGUUGCAGAUCUAAAGCUUCGUUGGAAUAUUCCUUGUGGACCAAACAGUGUAAUCACAUUCCCUAGCGCACCAUGGCUCAAACCAUGGUAUUGGUGGUCUUGGCCUGUCUUACCUUUGGGGCUCUCAUGGCAUGAGCAACGCCGAAGGAAUCUUGGGUAAGCACAUAAUGAUAUGCUAGUAUUAACCUAAAUACCUCGUGGGGAGCACUAUCUUGCAAAUUUCGAAAUUAAACAGAUCCUUUCUUUUCAGCCUUGUUGGAAUAGAAGUCUGUCAAUAGAUUGUUAUAUGACACCCCACUAACUGCAGGUUUCAUUUCUUUUCAAUGGACCAAAUUGUUGCUAAAUAAUCCACAUUUUCCUUGAUGAAGGAUCAUGUGCAUGUGGGCCAAAGGUUCUUCUGUCUUUGGGCACUACUNNNNNNNNNNNNNNNNNNNNNNNNNNNNNNNNNNNNNNNNNNNNNNNNNNNNNNNNNNNNNNNNNNNNNNNNNNNNNNNNNNNNNNNNNNNNNNNNNNNNUAUAUAUAUAUAUAUAUAUAUAUAGAGGCUCUCACUUUGCCAGUUAUUUUAUGUAAAAAUAACAACAUCUAAAAAAAACUAUUAUAUAUGUAUAUAAGUACAAUAACAAAAGUUUUUUGAAAUAUACGAUACAAUAAAAUUGACCCGUACAAAUUUUACGCAGUAUAGCUGUUACGAUAUAUAUAUUUCUUUAUAUGGUAGUGUACACGUCUAGUUGCUUUUUGGCAUAAUACACACCAACCGCUCUUUUUUUUUUUUUUUUUUUUUUCCGUUUUUCCUUUAUGAUCAUCUCUUUACUCCUCCAUUCCGUGUGUGUGUGUGUGCGCGCGCGCGUGUGUGUUAGUUACGUGUUCUUGUCAACGUGACACCACAAAAGAACGGGCACAGUUUUACGAAUCAUUCCUUCUCAUCCGUAGUAGCACUUUAUACCUUCUUGAUACGUCCAAAAGAUACUAGUACUACUGUACAGCAUCAAUCUCAUUUCAUGCCACUAACUGGAAACAACAUCUCUAGCACAGGUUAGUGCCGGUAACAAUUUGUCACCCUACCGACCAUUUCUAGAGUAAGUGGCAAAAAAUUUGGUGAUCGGUAUCUGAGACUCAAGUUCGAAUCCGUUGAUUCAUAUUUACAGCUAAGUUUAUUUCUAAAUGAAAUAAAUAAAGUGGGUAGCGUGUCUACCUAUCUCUCAAAAAAAAAAAAAAAACAAUUUGUCACCCUAUUUCAUGCCAAACUCAAAUUAUAAUAAAGAAAAAACUCCAAAUACCACUCUUGUAGUUUUACAUUUUCUUAUUUUAGUAUCUUAUGAUUUAAAGUGUAUUAUUUUCGUAUUUUGUGGUUUUAUUUUUCUCUUUUUGUUAUCCACUCCAUUAUUUUUUUUCGUUAAAUCAGUAACAAAGUUAAAAGAAAGAAUACUAAAGUAAAUAUUCGAUAAACUAUAGGUGGGGUAUCUGAAAUUUUUUGUAUAUGAUUUAGCGAAAAGUUAACGAAGUGAUUGACGAAAAGAGAAAAAUAAAACUAUAGUGUACUUAAUUGAUAUACUUUAAAUCAUAUAAUACGAAAGUGAGAAAGUACGAAACCACAUGGGUGGUAUUUGAAAUUUACCCUAUAAUAAAAGAGAAAACUUGCCCCUUUUUAAACUGUUCAUUUUGCAGGGGAAAUAAAGAAGAGUAGCUUAGAGCUCACUUGAUAUUUUCUUUGCCCUCUUUUUUUUAAUAUUUACUAAAGCACAAAUUUUAUGUAGCAUAGUGUGUAAGUGGACGAUUAACCACUUAUAAUCUAUACUCUUUAUGGAUUUUGUUUGGCAGCAAAAAUUCAAAAACUAAUAAUAGUGAUAUAUUAGUGUUGAUACCCCUUAUAGGCUUGGAUAAUUAAUUUCAUCUGUAAAGAUUUCAUGAAUCGUUUGAAAUAAAAAAUAUAUGCUAAAGAAAUUGAAUCUAGAGAUACACAGGACAUUAGUCACGAAAACUGUGAUAUAGCUCGAAUAUUUGUAAAUAAAAUGCAAAUCAGAGAGAGAGAGAAAUUUGGCUAUGUGAUUUUAUAUGUGUGUAAACUCUAUCAAUAUAUCCACUAGUAUGGUCAUGGUAAAAUGAACAAAGUAGAAAAAUAUUAUACGAGUUAUAUAGUAGUGGUUGGCACCUCUCUUAAUUUUAUAUACAAGUUUCGUGCUGCAACCAAAGGUUACGUUCCCAAAGUAUUAAAUAUUUGACGUGGCUAAUUAGUAAUUAAUGUCCAUCAACAACGACUUUGUUAAUGAAAAGUAAUACAAUAUUACAACUGUUAACUACUAUUAAAAUCAGAUGCGCUGUGCCUCUUUCCACAUGAACCUUGUGGCUAUCGAAAGGUAUCAAUUUAGAACAAGCCCAUGAAGAGCACUGAUCUUAAAACUUAGAGACAUAUGUAUUAUCAAGAUGGGGCCCACAAUCUUCGCGAUAAAGCUCUUUGGCACAUCUUUUUAGCAAAUUAACGACAAGAUGUAAAGCAGCUUACACGAUCUGACUGAAACGUUAGUUUCUUAAACAACUUCUCUACUAUGAAAUGCACUACUAACUUUCGCUCUAGAAGUCGAACUGAAUUGAAUAGAUUUCUGAACAAACUAAUUAUAUACCAUUUAGAUUAUAUUCUUUUUUAAUCUCUCAUUAAAAAGCGAAUGUAUCAUUACUUUAAACCAAAAUCCCUAGCUUUUAAGUUCUAAAGAACAUCCAAUUAGUCUAAAUGGAUCUUUAGGAGUGAAAAAGGAGUCAAAAAAGUAUCUCCCAAAAUGGGCCACUUGGAUCAUGUUGCUCGCUAGGUUGAUCUUUUUGUCACUUAUGUAACGCAAAAUAUACCACAAAUUAAUACGAGAACUAAACCAUUUUCUCAAGUUGUUGUACACAUAAGUUACAAUACAUUGUGGCCCAUCCACUAAAGUUGAUGUGAUGUGAUUUAGGUUAAACACGUUGGUGCCGCAUCCUUUCGCUUUUCCUUCAUUUUCACAGUUGCUUUGUUGAGUAGGUCUUCCACAAACCUAGAGAAGUGCCACACGAUUCACAUUGUAUUGGUUUGAAUACUCAGUUUUGGCUUUCCCAAAAAAAUCUCUUCUCUGUUUUGAGAAACUAAAUAACUAAGCUUAAAUAGUACUACCCACUAAUGUUUGACAAAGAUUAAAAAACACCUCGUAUUUAGAUAGUUUGAUGCGUUACUACUUAGUACUAAUAAUUUGAUACAUCGGAGAGACAUGUUCACACGCAAAACACCGUGAAAAUGCUCGAGCGAAGCCAAAGUCAUAGAAUAAUUAGAGACCAAAUUUUCGAUUCGUCAGAAAGAAAUAGAAAUAAUGAUAAUAAAAAUGACGUGGAGAGAAAGAAAAAGCUUAGUUAAUGCUCUACUUUACUAAUAAUUUCUUAUGCUACCAUCAAUCAGCACAAAUUAUCGAUUCAAGUAAACCCAAAUAAUUAUCCUUGGACUUAUCCUGGGUAACUUGCUGUGGCAUGCACUUCAACAAUGAUCUUCACACAUACAUACACAAACAAAAAGGGGAGAAAAAAAGAAAAAAAAAAAAAGGGACUUAUUCAGGGUUUCUAUGCUGUUGUCGUGUAUAUAUAACCCUUGUGAUAUAAUAAUUAAUUAGGAAUAACAAAACAAAUUUAUUCCACGCUAUGGAAUUAUUAAUAUGACAUGCAAUCAUCUGCACUGGACAUUAUAUAUCCUGUGACAUGUGCAUUUGCAAGUAGUUUAUUCCAAUUACUGGAAAAAGGGCGGAUGGAUAAAUUAAUUUUCGUAUUAUUAUUAUUGUUGUUGACUAAUUGGCACAGAAAUGUGAUGUUAAUUGAUGUAUUACCUAAUUACAUAGGAUUUGUGUGUAUAAAUUGAUAGAAUCUUCAGAAUUAAUAGGGAAAACUUCAAAAAACCCUCAUGUAGUUUCGCACUUUUUUAUUUUAGUACUCUGUGGUUUAAAGUGUAGCACCCUGUGGUUUCUCACUUUAUCACUUUAGAGUGUAUCAAGUUAGUACUCUGUGGUUUUAUUUUUGUAUCAAAUUAGUACCCUGUGGUUUUAUUUUUGUAUCAAGUUAGUAUUCUGUGGUUUAAAAACCACAUGGUACUAGAGUGAUAAAGUGCGAAACCACAGAGUACUAAAGUGAUAAAGUGCGAAACCACAUGUUACUAACUUGAUACACUUUAAACCACAGGAUACUAAAGUGAAAAAGUGCAAAACUACAUAGUACUAACUUGAUGCAGGCUAAACCACAGGAUGCUAAAGUGAAAAAAUAGUAAACGACAAGGGGGUAUUUGAAGUUUUCUCCAUAUUAAUAUGCUGAUAUAUUAAUAAUAUACAAAUUAAGACAUUAUUUUGAGAUAUUCGUAGCGUUACUAAACAAGCUGGUACAUGCAUUUACAGACUUUUGGCGUCGACAGUGAUUGGACACAUCUAUAUCUAUCUUUGAAUUGAGAAACCAAAAAAUGUACGGCAGCCCUCCCAGCGCUCGCAGCGUACGGCGGCCCUCUGCGCGAUCGGCGUGGUCGGCGCGAGCUGUCCGCGAUCGGCUCGAUCGGCGCGAGGUCGGCGCGAGCGGUCCGCGAUCGGCGCGAUUGGCGCGAGCGGGCGGGCGGCAGGCCUCGGCGCGGGCCUGGUGCGGGCGAGCGGGCGCGAGCAGGGGCAGGUGGGCGAGCGGGCCUCUUCGCGAUCGGCGCGAUCGGCGCGAGCGGGGUGAGCGGGCGGCCGGCAGGCCUCGGCGCGGGCUGGCGAGGGGCAGGUGGACGAGCGGGCGCCGGCGCGGAUGGGGGGCGCGAGCUGGCGCGGGCGAUUAGGCAUCGGAGCGGAUGGCGCGGGCGAUUGGGCGUCGGCGUACAAAGGGUGUACGGCAGCAUCCUCUGCGAAGCUCGCGAGGGGGGCCGGGCGGGCGCCGCGCGAGCCGGCGCGGGGGGGCAAGCGGGCGUGGUGGGCGGGCGCGAGUCGGCGGCGCGAACAACGGGCUCGGGGCUCGAGCCGGUGCGGUGGGGUUGGGUGGAGCGGCGGGCGGGCGCGGAGCGAUGGCGCUCGCAGAGCGAGCCCGGCGCACGAGAGCGAGCCGGUGCGAGAGCCCGCCGCGAGCGUUUUUUUUUUUUUUUUUUUUUUUUUUUUUUUCUUUCCUUUUUCCCUAGCAGACCCACUCCUCUCUCUCUCUCUCUCUCUCUCUCUCCUCUCUCUCUCGUCUCCUCUCUCUCUCUGUUAUUUUUUUUCCCUUUUUCUUUUUUUUUUUACAAAGAAUUGUGAUCACAUAUAAAAAAAACUUACAAUUAAAAUUUUAAAUUUGCUUUUAAAUUUAAAAUUAAAUUUAAAUCUCUCUCUCUUAUUAACAAUUAAAAUUUAAAUUUGUUUUAUAAAUUAAAAUUAAAAUUAAAAUUUAAAUUAAAUAUUUUUUUUUUAAUGAUUGCGGCAUGCGAGCGCGACCGUGGGGCGAACCAGCCUGAAACGAUUUUUUUUUCUCUUUUUUUCCCCGUGUGACCCAAAAUUUAAAAUUUUCUAUAUAUCUUUGAAUUGUGGAUCCUAAAAUAAAAAUUACGAUUAAAAUUUUAAUUCGCUUUUAAAUUAGAAUUUAUAAAUAUUUUUAAAAUCGAAUAUUUUCUUAUCUAUAUCUAUAUCUAUAUUUAUAUUUAUAUAACUUUUAAAAAGAAUUGUGGAUCACAUAUAAAAGAAAAAAAAUUACAAUUAAAAUUUUAAAUUUGCUUUUAAAUUUAAAUUUAAAUUUAAAUCUCUCUCUCUUAUUACAAUUAAAAUUUUAAAUUUGCCUUUUAAAUUAAAAUUAAAAUUUAAAUUUUAAAUUGAAAAUUUUUUAUUUUAAUGGAUUGCGGGCGGGUGAGCGCGAACGUGCGCGGGCGCGGACGCGAGCCAGCCUGGAACGGUUUUUUUUUCUCUUUUUUUCUGUGUGACCCGCAAAAUUUAAAAGUUCUCUAUAUAUCUUUUGAAUCGUGGAUCCUAAAAAAAAAUUACGAUUAAAAUUUUAAUUUGCCUUUAAAUUAGAAUUUACAAUUAUUUUUAAAAUCGAAUAUUUUUUUAUCUAUAUCUAUAUCUAUAUUUAUAUAACUUAUAUAUAUUAUCUAUAUCUAUUUUUAAAUUGAGAAACCAACGAUGGGUACGGCAGCCCUCCCAGCGAUCUUCGCGAUCGGCGCGGGCGGUCCCAUCGGCGCAGGCGGUGGGCGUCGGCGCGACGUGACUUGCGCGGCGAGUGAGCGUUGGCGCGGGCGUCCGAUCAAGCGGAUCUGCGCGAGCGAGAUGGGGACGAGCUGAGCGCCGGCGAGUGCGUCGGCGCGGAUGCGAGCCGACGCGCCGCAGUCCUUUGAAUUGUGGGUUUGAGGCCUGGUUGUUGACCUACUUCUCUCACGCAUCUAAUCACUGAAGACAUCUUUCCCUUUUCCGCUCUUGCUCCUUUCACUGUCCACUCUCGCUCCUUAUUAUUUUAUCAUCCUCUUCCUUUGCUCUCGCACUUCGCUCUGCUCUCGCUCCUCAUUAAUGGCAGCCGGGUUGGUCGCGUCAUUGUGGGGGUCCGAUCUCGGUUAGGAUCGUCGGCGGCAUGGCGGGCGAGUUGUCGCGUCAUGCUGACGUCCUCGCUUCGCAGCCGGAAGGCGGUCUCUUCUAUCCCUUCUGCACCUUCCGUACGUGUUUUGGACGGGUGGCGGUCCCUUCUCUCCCCUCUGGAUCCUCCGUUGGUGUGUCAGCGGGCAUGGCGGGCGGGAUAGAUGCGUCAUGCUGAUGUCCUUCCCCGGCAUGGUGGGCGGCAUGGACGCGUCGUAUCCGUCACUCCUCUUCGUGUGGUUAUGUUGAUCCGAGGAGGUAGGUCGUCAGGUGGUAUCUUCCCUCCUCACUGCAUCCUCUGUACGGGCGUUAGCCGACAUGGCGGGCGGCAUGGACGCGUCGUAUCUUCCCUCCUCUGUUUCUGGUAAGUUGUGUCCUACCGAUGGUUCAAGCUCGAGUUGAGUUAGGGGUGGCGCAUCGUGCGUUGAUCCAGGUUAGUCGAUCGCAGUCAGGCCUACAGUACGCCCUGACUUCCUCCCCUUACCCCCCCUCAUGUCCUCCCUCCCUUCUUCCAUUUCCCCUGCGGCCUUUGUUCGAUUGCUUAUAAAUACAGGGAAUUUGUGGCUUUUCAUGUGGUUUUUCCUCUUCAGUUUUCUUCUUAUAUCCUGUACCCUCUAGCGUAUAUCCUCUAUUGCUUUGGGGUAAGGUUUUGGGUUCAGUGUUGUCGGCUUUCUAUCGAAGGGCUAAGAAAGGUGGGACUUUUGUUCGGAAGGCAUUUCAUUCCUGUGGGUUCUCUCGCACGGUGCUAACAAAAUUGCAGCAUUUGGUCGCUGAAGACUUUGUUGUUGUGGGUUAUGGUAUCGUAGCUGUAAUCUGGUUUUUGUUCAACUAUUUUGAUAUUUUUUUGGUUUUUAUCUGUUUUUCUGAUUUAUUUCUCCUUGCGUUUUGUUUUUUUGUGAACUGUUUUGCUGCAGUUAUGGCAUCGGUAGUUAUUACAGUAUGUUUUCGUGAAAUGUUACGCGAUGUCUGCCAAAAGUAUUCGCUCCCGUCUCCGAGGUAUGGUAUCCCAGUUGGAAGUGAUGGAUUGAUUAGUGUUUAUGUAGAAGUUGAGAUUUCUAGAGGUGACUCUGUUGCUGAAACUGUUAGAAUUUGGGGUAGUCCUUUCUCGGAUGCUGAUCAAUCUGAGGAGGAUGCCGCUCGGCGCGCUGUAGCCAAAUUGCGUGACGAGUAUGCUUUUGAGGUUAAAGAUGCAAAUUUGGAGGAUAAAAAAUUUUACGAGAAUUUAUAUGCUCGGCUUUCGGUAGACCAUACUGUGGUUUGUGAAAAAUAUAAGCGUCAAAAAACUGACUACAAUUUGUUAAAGGGUUAUUAUAAUGAUCUUAUGGCUGAGAAAGAGCUCUUACUUGCUGAGAGGCGUGAGCUCAUGGGAAAUAUAGAAAAGUGUUCUCAGGUCUUUCAGCGGCCUAGCAUUCGUGCCGUUCGCCCUGCGAGCAAUGAUGAGGGGUCUGGUGAAGAUCCGGCGACGCCCUCGGGUUAUAGGGAUUGAAGCUCUUUCGUUGUUACUUUAUUUUGGUGUUUCUCAGAGGUUUUGUGUUUGUAAUUAGGAAAAAAGCUCCUGUGGCUGCGUAGUAUGCUGGUUUAGUUCUUACCAAGGCUUUUCAAGAAGAACUUUGUUAAGUUUAUGUUGUGGGUUUUUGGUCUGUUGGAAACAAAAUAGUUCUUUCUGUACUGUAUUAUAAUGUUAUUACCUUUUGGGGUUUGAUUUGCUAUGUACAAAGCAGUUUCGGCUGCUUUUCUUAGGGCUUUAGGAAAUAGGGGUUAGGUAGUACUCUACUGGUUUAAUCCUAUAUGUAAGUUGUUGGUUUAAAGUUUGGUUUUAAAUGAUCAGUGGUACUGUAAAAAAAAAAGAGUUGUGCUCUUGGUUUGUAUGCCUUCAUUUCCUUUGAUGAUCAUAUACUAAAACAGUGUUGCAGGCUGGCCCUUCGGCAACUAUUGCAUGCAACCAAUUCGUUGGUACAUUGCAAAUUAGAUGGCCGUUGGGCAAUUGUUGCGCUGCGAAUGUUGUUGCAUAUUGGAUGGCUUAUUUUUGCAUUGGUGUUAUAAAAAUUGUAAUAAAUUUAGAGAUGUUGAAAACUGUUGGUAAUCUUUUGUUGUUACUUUGUUUUGGCAGUACUCAGAGAUUUUUUGGUUUGUACUUAGGAAAAUACUUCUGUGGUUGCAUAGUAUGCUGUUUUGAUUUCUAGCAAGGUUUUUCAAGCAAGAACUUUGUAAGUUUUAUGUUGGUACUUUGUUAUGGUCUUAGCUUUUUUGUUUUGAUUUCCUAUGUACUUGGUAGUUACGCCUGUUUUUCUUGAGGCUUUAGAAGAUAGCUCUUGCUCAGAUAUGGUUUUAUUGGUUUUAAAUGAUCAGCAGUUGUGAAAAAAAAAUGUCUUGCUCUUGGAAUGGAUGCCUCCUGUUUCAACCAUUGCAUUGUGAAUAUUGUAGCAUAUUGAAUGGCUUAAAAAUUUAGAGAUGUUUAAAAGUAUUGUCUAAAUGUGAUGGCAGGUGUAAGAUCUGAGUUUAACUAUUAGAAUACAAGUAGUAUAUUAGAAGUUUUGAAGCAUGGACUAUUGUUGUGCAUCUAAUUAGUUAUUGUCCUAUAUUGCAGAUUUUCCAAAAAAACAGUGAAAUUUAUUGUGCAUUUCUUUUAUCUUGAGCCUGUGUGUAAAGCCACUUUUAGCGCCCCCUCUAUUAUAGGUAUAACAUAUAUGUCCAGAUUUGUCGUAAACCUAUAUAAAAAAUAGAAACGGAUAAUUAUUAUGUUGUUUAUGACUAUUCUUUGCAUUCUAUUUCAAAUGAUAUUAUUUAAAAUGAUCUGAUAGCUAUAUUAAAAAGUAUGCUUUGUGCUACCUCUUCACAAAUCACAUGAUGCAUAGUAAAUGUCUAUUAUAUACAUGAAUGAGAUCACAAGGCCUGAGGCUGUGUUGUUUAUAAUUUAUAAUUUUACAAAAAUUGAGCUUUCUAGAAAGGCCAUACUGUUAUUGCCUAUCUAUAUUGAAGUUUGGGGAAUUAAGACUUGGUUGGUUUAGCUAGCUCUUUGCACUUGGUUGAAUAAUUAGUUUUUGUUCAAAUCUUGCUGAUGCUUUUUCUGUAGUACUUUACUCUUGGUUGUAUUCAUGAGGCUUUGAGUUUAGUUCUCAUUAGUUCUGAACAUGGGAAUUUUUUUUGCCUUUCGCUAUAUUAGCUUAUUGAUUUACUCUAUUUUUUUCCUAUGGUUCUUCUCAGUUUUCCAAAAUUUUUCCCUACGUGUCCUGUCUAAGGGCUUAAAAAUUACAUAUCAUGGUCUAUGGUGAAUGUGAGUAGGUUAAGCAUUCUAAGGUUCUAAUUAACAUUGUGCAAGUUGGCCAUCCUACUCUGUUUUGCGAUGACCAUUCUGUUUUCAUAUUUUAAUGGUUGGUUUAUGAUUAAUUCUUGCAUUCUUUUUCAAAAGAAACUAUUUCAUCUAAUUUGAUAUUUAUAUUAAAUUUUUUUUUUUUUUUAUCUCUUCAAAAAUUGUAUGCUGCAUAGUAAAUGGCUAUUAUUUUAAGUUUUAUAAUUGGGUUAUGUUUUGUGGUUUUUUUGUAUUUGUUUUCUUUUUUGGGCUAUGAUGGUUUUGCUCCGUCGAAAUAUUGUAAAUAUAAGGGUGUGGAAUAGUUAUAAGUAGUUGAUUGUAAAGGGUGUGGAGUACAGUUAUAAGGGUUUGGAAUAGUUGUAAGGAUGUGGGAUGGUUAUAAAUAGUGCGCAAUCUCUGGACGGCCUAUAAUGUAGAUAACCAGUUGUUACUAUUUAUUUGAUAUAUAGAUUAGAACUCUGCUUUGUACAAUUUUUUUCACAUAUGGAUAUAUAGGUUAGAACUCUGGAUGGUUCUAUUUCUCUCCAAUAUGGAUUAGAACUAUAUGUGGUGAUUGCUUAUUUUUUUGCCUGUGUGGUUUUUGGGUAUUUGUUUUCUUUUUCGGGCUGUGAUGGUUUUGUUGCUUUUAUCAUUAUAAGAUAUAGAUUAGAAUUCUGGUUGGUACUCUUUCUUUCAAAUAUGGAUUAGGACUGUAUGUGGUGACUGCUUUUUUUUUUUUCGCCCAUGUUAUUUUCCUGCAGCUUUGAGUUGGAACAUUUGUAGUUCAUUGUAUAUUUUCGUCCUUUGUAAAUAUAAGGGUGUGGGAUAGUUAUAAGUAGUGCGCAAUCUUUGGACCGCCUAUAAUUUAGGCAACCAGUUGGCACUAUUUAUUUAAUAUAUAGAUUAGACCUUUGGUUGGUGCUAUUUAUUUCGAGUAUGGAUAUAUAGAUUAGAAAUCUGGAUGGUGCUAUUUCUUUCAAAUAUGUAAUAGAACUAUAUGUGGUGGCUACUUUUUUUUUUUUGUCUGGGCUCUUUUCCUGCAUGUUGAACUUGGAACUUUUUUAGCAUUCAUUGGUGAUGGGAUUAAAUCUGAACCCGUAUAUUCCUUAUUCUACUCUUAGUAGAAACUGAUCUUUUUUUGUUCUACACUUAUUCCUGUGUGUUGAAAUUGGACCAUUUUUUGUCUUUUUUGCUUGAUAAACCCAGGUAGUGUACAAUCUUUGAAUUGCCUAUAAUGUACGCAACCAUUUAGCACUAUUUUUUUGAUAUGUAGAUCGGAAAUCCAGUGAGUGUUUUUUGUGGUAAAUUUUUCCGCAAUUUGAAGUUGGAUACAAAAUAUUGGUUAUUUUGUGAUGAGUAGGAAAUGGAUUUUUAAAUCGUAUACAAUUUUGCCAAUUAAAAUCGAGCAGGUUUCAUGGAGCAUUUGCUAUUUUAGUAUCACCAGGCGGAGGGUAAGUCCAGUAGAUCUUUUAUAUUCCUAUCAAGUACUUGCACUGGUACGUGGUUGUGUUGUUAAUAAGUUGGCCAGGAGGUAUAGUUUCUGGCAAAUUUGCAUGGUCUAGAUGGCCUAUAAUGUAGCCAACCAGUUGGUGUGUGGAAUAGUUAUAAGUAGUUGAUUGUAUAAGGGUGUGGAAUACAGUUAUAAGGGUUUGGAAUAGUUAUAAGGAUGUGGGAUGGUUAUAAAUAGUGCGCAAUCUCUGGCCGGCCUAUAAUGUAGACAACCAGUUGUUACUAUUUAUUUGAUAUAAGAUUAGAACUCUGCUUUGUACAAUUUUUCUCAGAUAUGGAUAUAUAGUUUAGAACUCUAGAUGGUUCUAUUUCUCUCCAAUACGGAGUAGAACUAUAUGUGAUGGUUGCUUAAUUUUUUCCCUGUGUGGUUUUUGGGUAUUUGUUUUCUUUUUCGAGCUAUGAUGGUUGUGCUCCUUUUAGCAUUAUAAGAUAUAGAUCCAAAUACGGAUUACGACUAUAUUUGGCAGCUGCUUAUUUAUUUUGCCUGUGUUAUUUUCGUGUAUAUUGAACUUGGAACAUUUUUAGCCUUCUUUGCUGUUAUUUUGGAUCCUAAACUUAUUCUGGUUUUGGGUUCUAAACUUAUAGUUGGAGUAUUUUUACCCUUUAUUGCUGAUUUUCUUCCUGAUUUUUAGCCUCUGUUGCUGAUUGUCGUAGGAAAAAAAUUUCUGAAAAUCUUUGCAACUACAAAAUGGUGAUGUAUGUGUGCUUUAACAUGUUUUCUGUUGAGUUUCUGUGUUAUUUUUUAUUUUAUAAUCGCCUUAUGUUUUGUGGAUUUUCUAUUUUUGUUUUCUUUUUCGGGCUAUGAUGCUUUUGUAACUUUGAUCGUCACAUGACACUAUUGGCCAUAUCUUUUUCUUCUGUUGUAAAAGUGAGGAUGUUCAGUGAUUAUACUUAGUGCGCAAUAUUUGGAUGGCCUAUUAUAUAGGCAACCAGUUGCCACUACUUAUUUGAGAUAUAGAUUAGAACUCCGGUCGGUACUUUUUAUGUCAAUAUGGAUUCGGACUAUAUGUGGUCCCCGCUUAUUUUUUUCCCAUCUGUGUUAUUUUCCUGCAGGUUGGACUUGGGAAAUUUUAGCCUUCAUUGCUGAUUAUAUCUGAGCCCGUAUAUUUAUUUCCCCCUUUUUUUUUCUCCUAAAUGGUUUUUUCGUUUUAAACUUAGGGACCUAGCCUGCAUAGUUUUUUUUUUUCCCCAAUUUUCUAUUUAGGUUAAUUUAUGCAUUUAAGUCACACAUACAAAAUGGUUAAUUUUUGCUUAUCAAUCAGUUUAAUUCCCUUUGAAAGAAUUAGGCAUAAUUGUUGAUCACACUAUUUCAGUACAGCUAUGUAUAAUUGCUUCAAGGCUUCAACAACGAUUUCGUUGAUGUGUUUAGUAAACUGAAAUCUUUUAGAGUUUAUGAUAUGAUGACAAGCUGGACUAAACUAAGACUUCUAUAACCCAGUGCCCGAAAUUUUCUCGAUGAAUUUCGAACUGGACUGAACUAAGAAUUCUAUAACCCAGUGUCCGAAAUGUUUUUGAUGGAUUUCGAACUAACUCAAAACCAGCCCUGUAGUUUUUGGUUUUAUACUUCUGCUGAUGUAUGUGUGCUUUACUAAUUUUGAUAUUUGGUUUGUUCAUUAUUUAGACUUUUAUAAUUGGGUUAUAUUUUGUGUUAUUUCUUUUAUGUUUUCUCUUUUGGGCUAUGAUGGUUUUGCUCCUUUUAUUGUGACAUGGCAGUAUCGGUCGUAUAUCCUUUCUGUGAAUGUAAGGGUGUGAAAUGAUUAUAAGUCGUGCUCAAUCUUUGGAUGGCCUAUAAUGUAGGCAACCAGUUGACGCGGUUUAUUUGAUAUAUAGGUUAGACCCCUGGUUGGUACUAUUUCUUUAAAAUAUGGAUUAGGUCUAUAUGCAGUACCUGCUUUUUUUUUUCACCUGUGUUCUUUUCCUGCAUAUUGAACUUGGAGCAUUUUUAGCCUUCAUUGCUGGUUAAAUCUGAGCCCAUUUAUUUCGUAUUCUGCUUUUAGUACAAACAGUUUUUUUUGGGUCCUACACUUAUUCGAAUUUUUUGUUCUAAGCUUAUAGGCGGAUCCUUUUUUAGCCUUCAUUUGUUUUAUAAUUGGGUUAUGUUUUGUCCUUUUUCAAUAUUUGUUUUUUGUUUUCUCUUUCGAACUAUGAUAGGUUUGUUCCUUUAACCGUGCUAUGGCAGUAUUGGUUGUAUAUUUUUCUUCUUUUUUGUAAAUGUAAGGGUGUCGCAUGGUUAUACGUAGUGCUCAAUCUUUGGAUGGCCUAUCAUGUAGCCAACCGGUUGGUGCUAUUUAUUUGAUAUAUAGGUUUGUUACUUCGCAGUAUUAUUAAUAACAAAUAUGAUAUAUACAUGCUUGAAUCAUAAUUUGAAUAACUCUUUGUCAACCAAUAAUUUCCCGAAGGAUUGAGUGUGCACAAUGAAUCAAUUUCAAGCCCAUUUUUUUCAUAUACAGAAGCAUAAUCGAUUCUUCGCUUUGUUACAGCCAUUGUUUUAUAUUGCAAGGAUAUACAUGCAACUGUUUAUAUAUAUAUAUAUAUAUAUAUAUAUAUAGAUAUAUAUAUAUAUAUAUAUAUCNNNNNNNNNNNNUAUAUGUAUAUAUAUAUAUAUAUGUAUAUGUAUAUAUAUAUAUAUAUAUAUAUAUAUAUAUAUAUAUAUAUAUAUAUAUAUAUAUAUGUAAGGCUCGACGAGGCAGGAGAGGAGGCUAAAGUACUUAGUCUCCUCUCUUGCCGCCACGGCUUUAUAUAUACAUAUAUACACAUAUAUAUACACAUAUGUUGUGUAUAUAUAUAUAUAUAUAUAUCCUUGCAAUAAACAGCAUUACCUGUAACAAAGCGAAGAAUGGGUGUGAUUUUGUAUAUGAAAAUUUUGACAAAGAGUCAUCCGAAACACGAUUCGUGUUAUAAUAUUUUAUAAACAGCACGUUUUUAAAUGAUAGCGGGGAAAAGUGAAGUGGAUUAUGAUAGGAGGUUUUUUCUAAUUUAGCCUGAAAUUUAUAUUUUUACAUAUAAAAGCAUAAGAUUUACAUUCAUAUGUUACAAGUACGGGUGCUUUUUUUAAAUGUCAGGCAUUUUUGGUUUGGGUUUGUUCAAUUAUUUGCACGUAUUGCUGGGAAUUCUUUAUAGGCGUUUUCGGUGUGGAGAGCUGGCGAUGUUUCCUGCAUGUAAGGAAUUUUUGGCGAAAUUUAUGUAGCAUAACUGUUUGGCAUGAAAAUGCAUAUUUUUUAAAAAAUCUUCUCCGGAUUUGGAAUUCAUCAAAUCAGUAGAAGUUGGAGCAGGUUGAAGUUGAAGCAUUUUUUACUCUUCAUUGUUGAUUAAAUCUGAGGGCAUAUAUUUCAUAUUCUGCUUUUAGUGCCCCUGCAGCUUAGAGUUUGAAUAUUUGUAGUUGAUUGUAUAUUUUUCUCCUUUGUAAAUAUGAGGGUGUUAAUUUUUACUUUAUUUUCUUAUGGGUUUCCCCAAGCAAGUGAUGUAACUACUUCUAUCUCUUAUUCUUAUAUCGUGCACCUUUGUCCACUGCAGUUAAUGCUGAAUUCAGUUUAUCGUGGUUGUUUUUUUGCCAUAUUGUUGGUGUUCCCGCCGUUUCUGCUUUUCUUACUUUUGCGUUUAUGGUGUUGUGAAGUUCUUCAAAUGUGGAGAGGCUUCGAAGUUUGCUCAGGAUUUGGCAUUCAAAGAUUCAUGUUUUCUUUCUGUUUUUGAACUGUGAGGAUUCUACUCUUCUUUGGUGGGGCAGUGUGAUUGCUAAUUAGUUCGUGCCUACGGAUGAAGCACUGUGUGGCUAACCAGUUGAUAAAAUUUAUUUACAGUGAAGGAUUGAAACAUUUACAUUGACUGGCUAUUUUGUUUUUUGCUAUAUUCUUUUUGGUGGCCAAUUUAAAUCGGGGAUCCUAAGUGGGUACGGCAGGGCCCUCCGCAAUUGCUGCGUGCAGGGCCGGGCAGGCGAGUGGGCGCCGGCGCGCGGGCGCGUGUGGGUUCAGUGGGGCCCACAGCGCGAGUGGGCAGCGCGCACCGGCGCGGGCGCAGGCGCAGGCGGGUGAGCAGGAGCGGGCACAGGUGGCGCGCGGGAGCGAGCCAGUGUGUAGAGGCUGUGCAGGGUGACUUUUUUUUCCCCCUUAUUUCCUGUGGGGCCCGCUCCUCUCUCUCUCUCUCUUUUUCUUUUUUUUCCCCUUUUUUUUGUGUAGGGUUUAGAGCCCGAAAAUUUUGAUGUAUAUUGUAUUUUUAGUUAUUGGAGAGGUUUUAAUAUUAGUAGAUGGUUUAUUCUAAGACCCAGAUUUUUUCCGCCUAUUCAGUUUAUAUUUAUUGGAGCAAGUUUAUGUUGCCAUUUUCUUAAUUAUGUGUAUAUAUAUUUUUUUACCAGCUAGGAGUUUGGUGGCUUAGAGGACCAAUACUACAUCUGUUUUCAAAUGUACGUAUAAUUUUUCUCUUUAUUAUUCUAUCAAAAAAUUAUAUUCUUUUCUGUUUAAGUACGCUUCUCCUUAUAUGUCCCUUUUAUCUAUCAGUAUUAAAAUAUGCAAAAAAUACUAAUUUAUGUCUCUUUGUCAUUUGUAGAUCGGUUGUUUACAAAGGGACGCAAAUAGGAACAGAACUAUAGUUGUUCACAAAGAAGUGCAGGUAUUUUUCCCAUCAAAAGCAUUGUGUUUGAUCUUUGUUUGUCACACUUAGUUAUCUUACAAACAAAUAUCGCUACCGGCUAUUUUAUUUGCAAGCAAGCCGUCUUUUUUAUUAUAUCUAUGUUUUUUUCCUUUUGCAGCUCAGCCUUUAGAGUCUUGGCGGAUUUAUGUUGCAGCUGUUUCCAAAAGUACGUAUGAUCCUUCUCGGUAUUUUUUUCCCGCAUAAAUAUUAUAAUUCAUACACGUCUGAUUGAACAUAAUAGUAAUAAUAAUAAUGGACAUUAAAAGUCAAAAGGAUUUGCCCUUUUUUUAGCUGGGAGACAAUUUUUGCAUUCUUAUAGCCUACUUCUAUUAAAUAUUGUUACAAAACAAAUUAGUUUAAAUAUUAAAACAAGUAAAAUAAAAUGAAAAUGGGCAAAAAAAAAAUGCAAGAAAAAAAAAAACAGGCAUCGUGUCAGGAAAAAAACUAAUGACUAAUGACUUAAGCUACCCUAAACCAUUGCGGUACAACUGUAAUUGUGUACCCUAAGCCAUUUGUGGUACAUCUGUAAUUAUGUACAUAAACAACAUAAAAACAAAAGAAGAUUUAACGUCCAUGUAUCGUGACUUUUAAAAUAGCUUGCUAUUNUUUUUUUUGUAGCUGCAUUAGAAAUAGACAGGUCAAUAUCUGCAGGAGUAAGCAAUCUAUAAUUGCAUUUAAAUGUAUGCAAUAAAUGAAAUAUAUUAGGGUCAUCCUUUCAACUUUUUUAUAAUAAAUAAACGGACCUAAAUUUUAAACACAAUUCAUCCAAGAAUUUAGAAUUUUUAUAAUUUACAGUAUUUAAAAAAUAAAAGAGUAAUGAAAUUCGUAGAAAAAAAAAAAGCUGAACGAAAAUGGCAUAAAAUUUCCUUCUACUUUUGAGUGUUCGGAAAGCAUUGCUCCUAUUAAAUCACACACUGUAAUAAAAAUAGUGCUGAAAAAGAAUCAAUACAUUUUUGCUUUUUAUUUGAGGAACCAUAUGUCGGCAUUCUUCCUGAAAGCAAUGAAUAUAUUCAUAUAUUCUAUUUCCUCCUAUUUUAACCACCAUUUAUUAUUUAAUAUAUGAUUACCUGCCAUCGAUCAAAAUAACUUUGAGGAAGGAAAAAAAAAACAAAAUACAAAAUGAACUCGAUCAGGUAUCGUGUUUCCAACAAAUAUUCGAUUUUUUCAGGGUUUUUUAGACAGGCCCUGUACUAAGCUUGAUACAAGGUUUCUUAAUAGAUCAUUGUGGCAAAAUAAAAAUAAAAAUACAGAUAUUUAAACGCAUCUUUUCGAACCGCAGAAUAACGAAAUGAAAUAUGCUAAACAAUAGAGGAUCAAUUAAAGUUUGGCCAUAAAAUAAUAUACCUAAUACUGAAUAAAUCUUAUCGAUCAUGAUUAGUCUUUUUACACUAUGCUAAUAAUGUUUAAGGUAAAUAUAAUAAUGCAAACACUUCUCAUUCGGCUAAAACCAAUAGAGCUCAUUAAUUCUUAGCAAUAAAAUGUAUAUAUAUCUCCAAUUUUGCUCAAUAAUUUUUCUAUGCGAAAAUAUAUAGAAAAUUGCAUGUUGGCUAUUAAUUUAUGUGCAUUCAAUUGUCCAUCUACCCACCUGUCUAUUUGUUUCAUGAACUUUUUUCUUUCUUGCGUAAAAUUGCAUGGAGACCCAUCAACUACGAGACGUUCUUAGAUAGGUCACCCAGCUUUAAUUUUUCUGCGUGGCUCUUCUUUAAUUUCCAAUAUUUUUAUUUAGGUUUUUGCAAUUAAUUAGGCGUAAAAAAAGUUUGUUACAUUUCAUGGCUCGAUUAGUUCUUACCAGUUAAUUAAAUAUAAUUUUAUUCAAUAUUUGAUGGAAUUAUCAAUCAGUUUAAUAAAUUCUUUUUUUGGCAAAAUUACUUGAUUCUAAAUAAUUAAAAGUUGAGACCAAUUUCAAUAAAAAACAAAACCAAGGAGGCUAAUUUAGAAUGACUAAUAGUCGACGAGUUCUGCAUAUAUAUAUAUAUGUGUGUGUGUGUGUGUGUGUGUGUGUGUGUAUAAUUUUUUAAUUGUUCUUCAUAUAUCCUUUGUAAAAGUGGAAGUAGAGGUGGUGUAUGUGAUCCAUUAAAUGUCGGCAAUAAUGGAUUGUUGACUCUCAACGUUUUCUAACAUUUAAAAUUUGCCAUUGAUUCAAAGAACAUUUAGUUAGUCAUGUUUUUCACUUACUAUAUCAUUAAUGUGUUGGUACCGCUGUAAUACGUAGGUUUGUAAUUCUUUUAUGAAAACUUUAAUAUCAUUUAUAUAGUUUCACACUUUCUCAUUUUAGGAUUUUAUGAUUUAAAAUGUAUUAAUUUAGUAUCCUGUGAUUUCAUUUUUAUUUCUUUAUUAUGGAUUUCACAAAUUUUUUUCGUUAAAUCAGUAACAAAGUUAAAAUUAAAGAGAACUACAGUGAAUAUUUGAUAAACUUAGAUAGAGUAUCUGAAUUUUUUUUUUUUAUAUAAUUUAACAAAAUAUUAACUAAAAAGCUGACGAAAAGAUAUAAAGGAACCACAGAACAUUAAUUUGAUACACUUUAAACCACAGAAUACUAAAAUAAGAAAAUGCGAAACCACGGGAGUGAUAUAUACUUGAAGCUAGCUUACCUUUUUUGUAUAUACAUACUCUGAUAUGUCACAUGAGUUUGUCAUACAAAGACAACAUUAUAAAAUAUAUGUAGUGGUGCAGAUUUAUUUGGCAUUAUAUUUUAUUAUGCAUUAUUUAGACAAUAGUCACCAUUGAGAAUAGUUGGUUGUUAUGCAAAAUGCUGCAUAGUAGGUUGAAGGCUCAAUACAUAUUCUGGACAUAUCAAAAAUUUAUAUUUUGCACUUCAUCAUUGUAUUAAAUAGUGAGUCUUUAUAAACUAAAAUGUGGUAUAAAAUAGUAAAUAUUUCGCUACCUUAUAUGGUCAUAAAUUUAAACUAUACACAACUAUAUAUACAAUCUUAAUUUCAAUGCCAAUACCCUUUGACCUUUAUAUUUCUUCUUUUUAUGUAGCUCUCAUGCUAAAUGUAAUGAUGAUUCAAAAUAAUUAAGCUUGGUUAUUAAAACUAAUAGAGUCCAUAAUUAUUAUACUUCUAUAUAUAUACAAUUUUUUACAAAUAUACCAGAAUAUUGGAGUGUAAAAUGGUGGUAAUGUGGAUAGGUUUAUAGGAUGUAAGUAAAAUUUUUUUUUUUUUAGUUUUCCUGGGUGACGUUCUUUCCUUUUUGUAACACCAUUUGAUUUUGAGGUUAUCUUUUCUGCUAUUUUAUACUAUUAAUAAGACAGAGGUAUCAUUAAAGGAUUUUGUGCUUCUUUUUGCUAGAGUUGAAUUCGGCAAUAGUAUUAUGGCAUUGUGUGCCGAAAAUCGGAAACUACGUAAGACUAUUCUUGACCGUCGUAGGCACAAUAGAGGAUUCUAUGCUUCAAACUCUUGUGCCGAUGUUGGUCAGCAUUCGGUUACAGGAUUAGAUAGUGAUAAUUAUGGACGGAGAAAAAGGAAGUAUUUAUCUGUAACAAACACAAAAGCGACUGUUAAUGUUAAUUCAGGUAUGCCUUUAUCAAUCGAAUUGACUAAAUUUGCUCAGCCAGUGCCGAUUGUUCGCUACAAUGAGCAGCAACAUUAUAUUGGUUUGCCUGAGCAUGAAUGUCAAUCAUGUGGAGCUCAAUUAUGGUAUGCAGAAAGAAUUCGCAAAUCACGCAAUGAACAAACUCCUCGGUUUUCAAUAUGUUGUCAGGAAGGUAAAGUUACUUUGCCAUUAUUGCAGUCGACCCCUGAGUUUCUUGAUACUUUAUUAGAUUAUGGAGUUUCAGGUAAGGCAAAGCAUUUUAGGCAGAACAUUCGCACCUAUAAUUCGAUGUUCGCUCUCACAUCAUUUGGGGCUAAGGUCGACAAUGACAUUAAUAGAAAGCCGGGCCCAUAUGUGUUUAAGAUUAGUGGACAAAAUUAUCACAGGAUGGGUUCGCUAUUGCCAAUGGAUGGGCAUCGUCCAAAAUUUGCUCAGUUGUACAUCUACGAUACUGAAAACGAAAUCGAUAAUAGAAUGCGAGCAUUUAACACUCAUGAUGAACUUCAGGAUAUUGACAGAAAUAUUGUUCACCAAUUAAUGGAAGUAUUCGAUUCUCACAAUGAAGUAGUAAAAGCAUUUAGAAUGGCACGGGACCGUUUCAGAGAGGCUGAUUACUUACCUAUUCGCUUGAGAUUAAUAGGAACCCGUCCUGAAAGUGGCUCACAAUAUAAUCCUCCAAUGUCUUCUGAGAUUGCUGGUCUAAUAAUUGGUGAUUUGGGUACUGCUGAUCGGCAACGAGACAUUAUAGUUGAGCAUAAGAUGGAGGGAUUGAAACGUAUUACUGAUCUACACCCAUCUUUCAUGGCUAUGCAGUACCCUAUUUUGUUUCCAUAUGGUGAGGACGGUUUCAGAUUAGGCAUAAAAUAUAACGAACACUCGCGUAGAAAAGUGGCAUGCAGAAAAAAUGUUACAAUGCGAGAAUUUUAUGCCUAUAGGAUACAAAAUAGAAUAUCCGAGGGAAAGACUCUAAUUAAAGGAGGUAAACUCUUCCAGCAAUAUUUGGUUGAUGCUUUUUCAUGUGUCGAAGAAGAACGCCUUGAUUAUAUUAGAAGAAACCAGGCUGACUUGCGUUCUGAAAUUUAUAAAGGUAUUAGAGAUGCUGUUGUUGCAGGUGAUGUUGACGGUAACAUAAUCGGUAAGAAAAUUAUCUUGCCAUCUAGCUUUACAGCAGGCCCUCGAUACAUGAUUCAAAAUUAUCAAGAUGCUAUUGCAAUAUGCAGACAUUGUGGCCAUCCUGAUCUGUUCAUUACAUUUACCUGUAAUACACAAUGGCGCGAGAUACAGAAUGCUUUACUAUUUAUUCCCGGCCAAAGGCCAGAAGAUCGGCCUGACAUAAUUAGCAGGGUUUUCAAAAUAAAGGUUGAUGCAUUAAUGGCAGAUAUUAAAAAUGGCACAUAUUUUGGGAUGCCUGCUGCUGGUAUGUUUGCUAAGAAUAUCUUGAAAGAAACAUGUUGAAAUUCUGAGAUGUUGUGUGCUUAUCUUUUUUCGUUAUUUAACUCAUUCCUUUUUUUUUCGACUAGAUUUGUAUACGAUAGAAUUUCAGAAAAGAGGCCUCCCACAUGUCCAUAUUUUGGUAUGGCUACAAGGAAAGCAUAGAUCGGUAACUCCUGCAGAUAUUGAUUUGUUUAUUUCUGCUGAAAUCCCUGAUAAAAAUACAUAUACGGAUGAAUAUCAGGCUGUUUCAAAAUUCAUGAUGCAUGGACCAUGUGGAUCAGCAAAUCCUCGAGCACCGUGUAUGGCAAAAGGUUAUUGCUCAAAAUAUUUUUCGAAAGAAUUUAGGCCGCACACAGUAAUGGAUGAGAAUGGAUUUGCUAUUUAUAAAAGAAGAAAUAAUGGAGAAUAUGUUACAAAAAAUGGAGUUGACCUUGAUAAUUGCUAUGUUGUUCCGCAUAACUUGCAGCUGGUUGUUAAAUACCAAGCACAUAUUAAUGUUGAAUGGUGUAAUAAGACAAGACUUAUUAAAUAUUUAUUUAAGUACAUCAAUAAAGGGCCAGAUAGAAUUAGAGCAAUAAUUGAAGAUGAUUCGUCGACUACCAACUCAACAUGCAGGCAGCAGGACAGAGAAGUUGAUGAAAUCAAGAAAUAUUUGGAUUGUAGGUAUUUAUCGGCAUAUGAAGCUGUUUGGAGAUUGUUUCAAUUUGAUAUACACUGCCGAGAUCCUACAGUUGAGCGACUAACCAUCCAUUUGCCGUUAAUGAAUAAUAUAGUGUAUCACGAGAUGCAAACUUUGGAUGAUAUUCUAAGGCGACCUGAUGUUACAAAAACAAUGUUCACUGAAUGGAUGGCAACCAAUCAGGUGUAUGAUGAUGCGCGUGAAUUAACUUACGUCGAAUUCCCAACUAAAUGGGUAUGGCAUUCCGACGACAAAAUUUGGACAAAACGUAAGAAAGGACAUCGAAUAGGAAGGAUAGUUUAUAUCCACCCAAAUUCUGGUGAGCUUUAUUUUUUGAGGAUGCUUUUAAACAAGGUAAAAGGUGCACGAAAUUAUACUGAAAUUAGAACCGUCAAUGGUAUCAUAUAUGAAACAUUUCGUGCUGCAUGCGAUGCUCUUGGAUUACUAGGUGAUGAUUUGGAAUGGCGUCAUCCAUUCGAAGAAGCAGCCUAUUGGUCUUCUGCCUCUGAUUUAAGGCAACUUUUUGUCACUAUUAUUAUGUUUUGUGAGGUUGCUGAUCCUGUUAAAUUGUGGAAUGAUUAUUGGGAAUCAAUGUCUGAUGAUAUAAUAUAUCGAGUUAAAAACCUUUUAGGGAUCAGUAGCCUUAAAAUGCCUGUCGCAGAAAUACAAAACUAUGUUUUAUAUGAGUUGGAGUUGUUGCUUAAUAAAAAUAGUAGCUCGCUUGUGCAAUUUAAACUUCCACUCCCCAAUAGGCUACUUAUGGAAGAUUCCAACAACAGGUUAUUACGAGAAGAACUAGAUUAUGAUUCGAAUGCUUUAAGAGCAGAACAUAUGGAAUUAUUUAAAGGCAUAAAUCGUGACCAAUUAAUAGUGUAUAGUGCUGUUUUAUCCUCUGUUUAUGAAGAAAGAGGCAAUUUGUUCUUCGUUUAUGGCCAUGGGGGAACAGGCAAAACGUAUUUGUGGCGAACAAUAAUUGCAAAACUGCGUUCUGAGGGAAGAAUUGUGCUGGCUGUUGCUUCAUCGGGAAUUGCUUCCUUAUUACUUCCUGGAGGGCGAACAGCACAUUCACGAUUUAAGAUACCUAUUAAGCUUGAUGAGUUCUCAACAUGUGAGAUAAAAAAGGGAACGCAACUUGCAAAAUUGCUUGCUCAUACAAGCUUAAUAAUCUGGGAUGAAGCUCCAAUGAACCACAGAAAUUGUUUUGAAGCUUUGGAUAAAUCGUUGCAAGAUAUUCUACAGACUGCCGAAGAAGUAGCAGAGGAAAAACUCUUUGGGGGAAAGACAGUAUUGCUUGGUGGCGAUUUCAGACAAAUACUUCCUGUUAUUGUUGGAGGAACAAGACGGGAUAUAGUUAAUGCAUCAAUUACUAAAUCAUAUAUAUGGCAGCACUGUAAACUAUAUCGCCUAACAACGAAUAUGCGGUUGCGUACAUGCCCGAAAAACACUGAAGAUAAAGCAGAUUUGGAAGCAUUUGCAAAAUGGACACUUGAUUUAGGUGAUGGAAAAAUAUCCGCUGUUAAGUUGGACAAUGAAGAAGAGCCUACUUGGAUUAAGAUACCUGAUGAUAUUCUCAUAAAAAAUAGCGGAAAUGGUGUCAGAGAUAUUGUUGCAUCAAUAUAUGAUAAUCUCGAGUAUAAUUAUAAUGAUGCAUUCUAUUUGAGAGACAGAGCUAUUAUCACACCUAUAAAUGAGACUGUUGAUGAAAUUAAUGCAUAUGUUCUGUCCUUAAUUAAAGGCGAAGAAAAGAUAUACACAAGUGCCGAUUCGAUUUGUAGCUCUUCCGUGAAUGCUGAAGAAGCGGAUCUGUUAUAUCCUGUUGAUUUAUUAAAUUCUUUAAAAUUCAGUGGAGUACCAGACCAUGAAUUAAAAUUGAAAGUAGGAGUUCCGAUAAUGUUGUUGCGCAACAUAAGUCAAAGUUCCGGACUUUGUAAUGGUACCCGUUUACUUAUUACUCAAUUAGCUCCAAGGAUUAUCGAAGCCCAAAUUUUUACAGGGAACCAUGCUGGCAAAAAAGUUUAUAUUCCACGCAUUGUGAUGCACGUAACAGAAACAAAAUGGCCAUUUGUUUUGAAACGAAGACAAUUCCCUGUUCGCGUCUGUUAUGGCAUGACAAUCAAUAAAAGUCAAGGACAGACUCUACAACGGGUUGGCAUUUAUCUACCGAAGCCAGUAUUCUCGCAUGGCCAACUUUAUGUUGCAGUUUCUCGAGUAACCUCACGUCAAGGCCUGCGCAUUUUAAUCGAUAACAAAGACGACGAAGUCGAAGGAUAUACAAGAAAUAUUGUUUUCUCUGAAAUUUUUGAGGACUUGGAUCUAUAAAUUCAUAGUCCAUUAUUCUGGUAUAAUGUAGCAUUUUAGAAAACUUGAAAGUAAAUGUUCCUUUUUUUUAUGUAUCAAGCUUCUUAUUUUGCAAAUCUAUAAUCAAUCUUACUGAUUUUAUUGUAUUUUCAUUGCAGAAAAUUAUUGCGGGAUGGAAUUUGUUCUUCUAAAAGACCUUGCUUUGGCACAGAAACACUGUAAAAUCAGAACCAGAGUUAGCAGAAUGUGGGAAACAACAACACCGUUGCUUAAAAAUAAUAUAUUGAGCUUGGACUACUUGCUUAUAGAUGAGGAGGUUAGUAUAAAUUUUGUUUCGACAAACUGUUAAAUAUAAGUUACUUUUGGUGCACUCAGUACAAACGCAUCUUUUAAAUUUUCCAGUCUUACUACAACCAUACAUGAAUUUUUGUAGGGAUAUGCAAUGCAAGCUACUGUUCGUAAAUAUGAUGUGGAACACUUUAGAUCAUUACUUUCUGAAGGUAAGGUAUACAUCUUUGAAAAUUUCAAUGUCGUGCCAAGCAGAAACAAUUAUAAAGUUGUCGAUCGGAAAUACAUGGUGCAAAUAAGUAAAUGGACGCAUGUAGUCAAAGCAAACAACGAUAUCGGCUCUAUUCCGCUCUACAGUUUUUACUUCAUCAAUUUUGGACAUGUUAAAGCCAAAAAGUGCAACGAUGCUUGCCUGAUAGGUAUUGUUAUUUUUCUUUACUAUUUAUAAAUUUAUUUACUAUUAACCAAAUAUUGAUUGCCUUACAUCUGAGUAAUAUAAUAAUAAUAAUAAUAACUCUUUAUGCAUUGUUUCAUUCCUCAGAUGUUCUAGGGAGUAUUACAGCUAUUGCUCCUGUUUCGCAUACGUAUGUUGCGCAAGACCUAACUGCAAUUAGGAAAUUAGAAAUUCGAGAUUUAGAGUAAGCUCUAAAUAAUGGCUUAAUUCUCUUAUAGCUUAGUUUUCUUUUCCCCACAAUAAUUUUUUCCUCCGUAUUUUUAUGGAUAUCUUAUAGUGAUCAAGUUUUGUCGGUCACGUUAUGGGACAAAUUUGCUCUCGAUUUUGAUGACAAUUUUCUCAAGCAAAAAGAGGCCGACGGUCCGGUUGCAAUUGUUUUAGCAAGUAUGACCGUACGGACAUAUCGAGGUAUACUAAAUGAAUUGUUAUAUUCUACCUUCCAAACUAUGCUAUUUUAAAUUUGGAUCUUUUCUAAUGUAUUUUUUUGUUUAUUAGAUCAUGUUUAUUUGUCAACAUGCUCAGCAUCAAGAUUAUACACUAAUUUAGAAAUUCCUGAAGUUUUAACGUUCAAGAAUAAUCUGCGCAGGUAAUAAAUAGUUUAUUAUGCUUCUUUAUUUGUCAUACUAAUAUUCAAAAUAUAAUACUAACAAUAUGGUUGUCUACAGCAAACAAACAUCACCUGUACCGAUUCACCGUAUGGAAUCUGCUGAUAAACCACUUCUUUCACCGCUCGAACAAAUGAACACAAAUCGGAAAACUAUUGCCGAACUAAUUACGCCAAACCUACUUGAGGUACAAGUACGGAAAUUAGUUUACUCUUCCUGCUAUUUGCUUUUGAUAUAUAAACGUUUCCAUUUUAUGUAGUAAAUAUAUGUGCAUCAACAGUUGAAAUAAAUACCUUCUGUAUUGUUCUAAAAUAUUAGGGCAUUAAAUAUACUUGCAACGCCAAAUUAGUAGCUGUUGACACAACAUAUGGUUGGUGGUAUAAAGCAUGUUAUGAUUGUAAAGGAGCAAUCAAGGAUUAUGGCGGUAAUUUUUGGUGUGGUCAAUGCGGGAGAAAUGAUCGUGCACCUAUACCAUGGUAAAAUUUUAAGAAAUAUUCGAUUACAUAUGAUACUUCAGAUUUUUUUUUUUGUUAUGGAAUUUAACAGUUAAAUAACUAAUAAAUUAGGUACAAACUAAAUGCUGUUGUUGAAGAUGAAACCGGAACUGCAAAUUUUACGAUAUUCGGCAAAGUCGCACAGGAUUUACUCCAUGUUCCUGCCCAACAAUUGGCAAUCAUAGCCAAUUCAGAUAGAUUUGUGUUGCCGCCUGUUGUGAAAAAUAUCAUUGGGCAAUCUUAUAUUUUUCAAAUAAUGCCAGAUAAUCGCAAAUCGAGUAUGAAUCUCAAGUCGUUUCGUGUCGCCAAAAUUUUCCCUCCUACCUUGGAAAUCAAAGGGAAAAAUAAGGAAUGCGAAAACAGUAUUCAGGAAAUUGAAGAAGAAAUUGUUGAGAGUACAAUUCCUGUUACACAGAUCGAUGACAUUGUCGAGGAAAUACACCCGACCCAGUUGCCGCAGAUAAUGUAAGAAAAAAUAGUAUUAGUUAUUAUAAUGGAUUUUAUAUACAUAUAUAUAUUGAUGUAUUUGUUUUUGCCUCAGAAGUUCGCAAUCAAAUGCAGAAGCAUUUAAACUAAGGAAAGGAAAAAGACCUUUUAGGUAUCAAUGUUUUUCCCUAUUUUCGUGUAACGAUUCUAACAUCUCUCGAGUUUUUUUCCCCUUCCGAUAAAAAAUAAUAUUUAUAUAUUUUUUCUCCAGUUGUGUGGACCAUUCUGGAUCAGAAGGUGAAGAAACAUGAGGUUCCUAAUGCUAAAUUGGUCCAGAAAGCUAUAUGGAGAGGUAAGAUGUUCUGAUGAAAGACCCGACUUUGGUACUUUUUUUUUAGCAGUCCUUAGAGGUUUUGGAUGUGUUUGUGAAGGAACUUUGUUAACUUUUGUGGAGGAAUGUUGUAGAAAACAUUCUGAAGAAACUUUGUUAACUUUUGUGGAGGAAUGUUGUAGAAAACAUUCUGAAGGAACUUUGUAGGUCUUUUUUUUAAGUUUUAUGUGUAUAAACUUUAUGCGUAUACUUUGUUGAAUGUCAUGUUAAAUAACCGUUCAAUGUAGAAAGGUUUUUUUUUUUCGUUACCUUGAUAAUCGCUAUAAGAAUGUGUUGCAUAACUAUCUGUUGUAAAAAUGCAGCUUUUUUUUACCCCUCACAGUGCAUGGGGCUUUCCUGCAUACAUGUGUACUAUGUUGUUUAUAUUGAUGGACAUUAUUGGGAUGUUGUGCCUCCUGUUUUAGCUAAAGGAAUGCAAAACUAUUUUCUAUUUGCUAUGUUACAUACCCAUUCAAUUGCAGUGAAAAUUCAGGAUUUUGUUUCCCUGAGUUUUCUUUGGUUUUGCAAUGCAUAAGGUUUUUCUGCGUGCAUGUGUAGUGCGAUGUCUAUAUUAAAUGGACGUUAUUGGAAUGUUGGGACUUAUGUUUUACCAAGAGGAGUCUUUAGUUUUGAUUCUAUAGUUUUUAAUUAUUCUUAAUUUCUUUUCUAAAUAAUUUUAAUAUACUUUAUAUUUUGUAGACUAUAUGUUUUUAUAUGUUGUAAAAUUUAUAUUUUUUAAAAAAAAUAUUCUUAAUUUGCAAAUAAUUCAAAUAUUACUUUCCCGCAGCAUAGCGCGGGUCCGUACCUAGUAUCUUUGAGGCGCGGAUGAUGACGACUCUCUAUGUUUAUCCUCCGAGUGCUUGUUUGGUUCUCGCACUUCUUUCAAAAAAGAUAUUUUUUGAGUUUAAUUGUUUGAAUAUUCUAUCAUUAAUUUUAGUGGAGGUUCUUAUUUUUUGAAAAUAUACAAACACCCCUGGUAAGGUUGAGUAGCUAUCAUAUUAUCCCUGCAGAGUUCGACUCUGAUAAAUGACAUAUUAACAAAAAGAAAUAACUUACAAGGCACUGCUUUAGUUGCUCAUCAUGCGUUAAAGGCAUAAAUUGUGUUGCAUAAUGUUACGAUAUAUUUUAUCUAUAUUAGGAUGUUACGAUAUAUUAGAAUAUUGUGUUUUAUUGCCUUAUAUAGAGUAGUAUCAUUGUCUUCUAUAGAGUAGGAUUAUAUAGUAUGUAAUCCUAGUUAUACUCUUACUAUAGUAGUCAUUGUUACUAUAGUAAGACAAUCUCUUGUACUAUAUAUAUUCAUUAAUACAACUCAAGAGGGUAUGCACUUUAGCCCUUCUUUCAUGGUAUCAGAGCGGGAACCCUAAUGUGGGGAUAUCGAUCCAUAGCUACCAUCCACCAUUAAUCUCACCUUUUUCUAUAGGUGUCUUUUCUUUUGGUUUUCUAUCUUCCCAAUACUGCUACAGUACUGCUACAGUAUCAUCGCUACAGUACUGGCGCUACAGUAACAGCGCUACAGUACUGGCGCUACAGUAACAGCGCUACAGUAACGGCGCUACAGUACCGCGCUACAGUACUAGCGCUACAGUAUUUCUGCUGCAGUAUUUUCAACCUUUCUGUAAUUUCUCUUUGCUCCUCUGGUGCCGCUCGGACUGUCCUACUGUUGGUUGCUCGUAUCACUCGGUUCCUUCCUUAGUGCGGUCGAUCUUAUUUGGUGAUAAGUGAUUCCUCUCAUGUGAUAGAAUUCAGGUUCUUUUUUUUUAUUCACAUCCGCUACAUUCCGAUUUAUCUUUCUUUCUUAUCUAGUGGUGGAACCUUAUCUUAAGGUAGUAAACAUGUCUUCUUCUACCUCAAAUUUGCCAAUUGUUAAUAUCAAAACUCUCAUACCACUAGAACUCACCGAUUCUACAUAUCUUGUGUGGAAAUAAGUCUUUCUUAAUGUUCUAGAAAGUUUUGACGUUACAAAACAUGUGGACGGAACUGGUGUUGUGCCUUCUCAGACUAUCGAUACUGCUGAUAAGAAGGAGGUUAUAAAUCCUGAAUAUGUGAGUUGGAAAAAGAACGAUACUACUAUACUUUCAUGGAUUAAUGCCACUUUAUCUCUUAGCAUAUUACAUAUGGUUGUUUCUAGCUCACCUAAAACUGCAUAUGAUGCUUGGAGAAUUAUUGAGGCAUAUUUUCUUGAUAAGACUGCUUCCACGGCUUUUUCUCUAAAAUCUGAAUUGCGGAGCAUCAAGAAAGGCUCAAUGAGCAUGAGUGAUUACAUGCAAAAGAUCAAGACGAUUGGUAAUGCUCUUCAGGCGAUUGGUGAAAUCGAGUCAGACCAUAAUUUGGUCAUGACUGUUCUUCUAGGGCUACCUGAGGAAUAUCGAGGUUUUGUUAGUGCUCUAAACACACACAGAAAUAAGCCAACUUUUGAACAACUUCGUCCACUCUUGAUGCAAGAAGAAACAGAAGUUCAGCGUCGCACUAGUGUGACUACGUCCUCUGCUAUUCCCACUAUUGACAGUGAAGCUCUUUAUGCCAAUCGUGGACGUGGUAAUCGUGGAGGCCGUGGAGGUAGAUAUCGUGGAGGCCGAGGACAACGUGGUAGACACUAUUCUGGUCGUGGAUCUCCUGAAAUCUACCCACAGUCUCAACCUAAUUAUCCUCAACAAUCUUACACUCCAAAUCAACAACCAUAUAUUCCGAAGUCCGGCAUACAAUGUCAGAUAUGUGGAAAGUUCAAUCAUUCUGCUCUUCAGUGCAGACAACGCUUCAAUCAUUCUUUCGCUGCUGAUGAAGUUCCUCAGACCUUUGCUGCUAUGAACCUUCACGAACCCGGUGAGGAAGUCUGGUAUCCGGAUACCGGAGCAUCAAAUCAUAUAACCGCAAACUCUGGUAUUCUCUCAUCUUCUAAACCUUAUAGUGGGCAUGAAAAAAUUCUUGUUGGUAAUGGAAAUUUACUUGAUAUUACUCAGACAGGUGAAACUCAAUUGAAUACAUCUUCUAACUCUUUUGCUCUAAAAAAUGUUCUUGUUGUUCCUACUAUUAAGAGAAAUUUACUUUCAGUGCGUAAAUUCUGUCAAGAUAAUAAUUCUCUUUUUGAAUUUGACUCUACUGGUUUCUCUGUGAAGGACAAGGAAACAGGGAAGGAGCUUCUUCGAUGUCCUAGCUCGGGAACAUCACUUUAUCCAAUUUCUUCUAGACUUGCAAGUGUAGGGAAUAAGCAACAACUAGCUCUUAUUGCAUCUAGAUUUAGUGGAGAUGUCUGGCAUAGACGGUUAGGUCAUCCUAGUCUUCCUGUUCUUUCUACAUUUAUUAAAAAUAAUAAAAUUGUUUCUGAUUCUGCACUGAAAUUAUCUGUCUGCAAUGCUUGUAAUAUGGGAAAACAUGUUAAACUCUCAUUUCAUGAUUCAGAAUCUCAAUCUGCUUUUCCUUUUCAUAUUGUUCAUUCUGAUGUUUGGCAAUCACCUGUGCCCUCGGUUUCUGGAUACAAAUAUUAUGUUAUUUUUAUCGACGAUUAUUCUAGAUUUUCCUGGCUUUAUCUUUUAAAAUUUAAACAUGAAGUUUUUGACAAAUUUUUCGAGUUCAAGAAGAUGGUUGAAAAUAUAUUUCAUAGCUCAAUAAAAAUUUUUCAAUCUGACAAUGGUACGGAAUUUGUAAAUGACAAGUUUUCUAGUUUUUGCUCACAAAAUGGAAUUAUUCACCGAUUUUCUUGUCCUUACACUCCUCAACAAAAUGGCCUUGCUGAGAGAAAACAUAGGCAUUUAUCUAACAUUGUUAGAAGUCUACUAUUCCAAGCUGGCUUGCCUCCUCGUUUUUGGGCUGAGGCCAUUCAAACUGCUGUUUUUCUUGUAAAUCGACUUCCGUCUCUUACUGUUUUAAAUGGGCGGUCACCAUAUGACAUUCUCCAUGGUUGUGCUUCUCCUGACUUGCAACUUAUCAGAGUCUUUGGAUGUUUGUGUUAUCCCGAUGUUCAGGACAUUGCAGAUCACAAGCUCUCUCCCCGAUCACUUCCUUGUAUUUUCUUGGGUCUUUCUGACAAACAUAAGGGCUUUCGCUGCCUCUAUCCGAGCACUGGUAAAGUUUUUAUUUCUCGCCAUGUUACUUUUGUUGAAACUGUUUUUCCUUACUCUUGUCUGUCCAAAUUUUCUUCCUCAUCUUCCCCCACUACCUCAAAUUUUCAAAUGUUUCAACAUUUUCUUUCUAAUCCUCCCUUAUUGGGCGAAAGUCCUUCCUCUCUUGAUGCCAUCUCUGGUUUUUCCUUCACACGCCUUUCUCCGGAUGUUAGUUCAAAUGCAUCUGUUUCACCAUCUGAGACUGUAUCGACUUUUCCUUCCACCUUGAAUCAUGAUGCCACACAGGUUAGUGAUGAACAUGCUGCCACUGUUGCUGGUCCACCUGAACUCCGAGUCUAUACCAGACGACACACCCUCCGACCUUCUGCUGCUACAGCUUUACCUUCUCCUGUUGAGUUGACGCCUUCCACAUCGGACAGGCCACCUUCACCUCAGCCUGCAGAGCCUUCCUUACCAAUCCGGACACACUCUAUGCUUACUCGAUCUAUGGCUAAGAAUUUUGCUGGGUCUACCUCCUUCCUAGCUUCUACACAUACUACUCUUCCUACUGAGCCUAUCACUUUUCAUGAAGCUUUUCAGGAUGCAGAUUGGCGUGCUGCCAUGGCUGAAGAAUUUGAUGCAUUACUCACCAAUGAUACUUGGGAGCUUGUUCCUGCUCCUCCUUCUGUCAAUCUUAUUGGCUGUAAAUGGGUCUACAAAGUCAAACAGAAGGCGGAUGGCUCUCUUGAGCGUCUCAAAGCUCGACUAGUGGCUCAGGGUUACAAACAACAACAAGGCAUUGAUUUUGAUGAGACUUUUUCUCCGGUUGUCAAGUCGACCACUAUUCGUACUGUUCUUUCAGUCGCUCUCUCCUCUGGAUGGUCUCUCCGACAACUUGAUGUGAAGAAUGCCUUUCUUCAUGGCACUCUCUCUGAGGAGGUUUAUAUGAAACAACCACCUGGCUUUGUGCAUCCUUCGCUUCCUAGUCACGUUUGCCGCCUACGUAAAGCGAUAUAUGGUCUCAAACAAGCUCCUCGGGCUUGGUUUCAGCGUUUCACUUCUUUUCUUUCUGAGAUUGGUUUUGUUGGCAGCACUGCUGAUCCCUCAAUGUUUGUUUGUCAUUCUUCCUCUGGCACUCUUGUUCUCCUCUUGUAUGUUGAUGAUAUUAUUGUCACCGGCAGUUCCUCAUCUCUUCUCGAUGCUCUUAUCGUUACUUUACAACGCGAAUUUGCCAUGAAGGAUCUCGGACCGCUGCAUUAUUUUUUGGGUAUUGAGGUUCAUCGCUCUCCAUCUGGUCUUCAUCUAUCUCAACAAAAAUAUGCGCAUCAAUUGCUUCAGCGACAUGGUUUUCUUGACAGUAAGCCCGUUUCUACUCCUCUUUCGCCAACAUCUCGUCUCUCUUCCCAUGAAGGGCAUCUUCUUGAGGAUCCAUACACUUAUCGUCAGAUCGUUGGUGCUCUCCAGUAUCUCACUUUCACCAGACCGGACAUUUCAUAUGCCGUCAACUCUGUUGCCCAGUAUCUUCAUGCACCUCGUGAACCACACAUGCAAGCGGUCAAACGUAUUCUGCGUUAUAUUCGGGGGACGCUGACUUAUGGCCUUCCUAUCUCUCGCUGUGACAAUCCUUCUCUUGUGGCCUUCGCUGAUGCUGAUUGGGCUGGUUGCCCCGAUACACGUCGCUCUACUUCUGGAUAUUGCAUUUUUCUUGGGCCAAAUCUUAUCUCCUGGUCCGCUAAGAAACAACCCACCAUUUCUCGUUCUAGUUCUGAAGCAGAGUAUCGUGCUGUAGCCUACACACUUGCUGAGACAGUCUGGAUUCGUCGUCUCCUUCGUGACCUUCGUGUUUUCUUAUGGCGCUCUAUCAGUAUUUAUUGCGAUAAUCUCAGCACCACCUACCUUGCGGCCAAUCCUGUUCUCCAUGCUCGCACGAAGCACAUUGAACUUGAUCAUCAAUUUUUGCGGGAAAAAGUUCAGUCUGGUGAUUUGGCCUUAAUUCAUAUCCCUUCUGACAAGCAACUUGCCGACAUUUUCACCAAGCCCCUGUCAUCCUCUCGGUUUUCGAUAUUGCGGCUCAAUCUUCGCAUCCGACCACCGGAUGCUUAGCUUGCGGGGGGAUGUUACGAUAUAUUUUAUCUAUAUUAGGAUGUUACGAUAUAUUAGGAUAUUGUGUUUUAUUGCCUUAUAUAGAGUAGUAUCAUUGCCUUCUAUAGAGUAGGAUUAUAUAGUAUGUAAUCCUAGUUAUACUCUUACUAUAGUAGUCAUUGUUACUAUAGUAAGACAAUCUCUUGUACUAUAUAUAUUCAUUAAUAUAACUCAAGAGGGUAUGCACUUUAGCCCUUCUUUCACAUAAUUAAUCUUACUUUUUUUUUUGGUGAAUAAAACAAGAGUUGUAAUCUCGCAAUCUCGCUAAGAACCAUUAGCUUAUUGAGCAAUGCUACCUGUAUAUCCAAUGUACAUGUGUAAUUUUUUCAUCCUAGUCGUUCUCUCACAAAUUUAAAUUUACUUAUUUAUCUUAUCAACCUUUUUUAAUACUGAUCGAAAAUAUAAAAAAAAAAGUUUUAAAAUUUUUGAACAAUUUUCCAACUUAAUUUUUUUAUAGUACUCCUACUAAUUAAAGAACCAUAAUUAUUAAUUAGUGUACUAGUUGUUUACAUGAUAUUAUUUGGUAGGAUAAUUGAGUAAUUAAAACAAGUUUAAUUAUAUCGUUCUUCGGCAUGAUAUUUCGUAGCAUUAAGAUUGAAUAAAACUUCCAUUAGAUUGCAAACCUAUCUCUAGUUGUAUUCAUAUUAAGCAAAAUUAUUCUUUUAUUUCGUUCGUUGGGAAAUAAUUGAGAAAGGUCCCCUUUGUGGAAUUUUUUAUUUUUUGACUCGUUCAAAAGAAAAAAAAAAAAAAAAAAAAAAAAAAAAAACUAACAAUGGCUUCGUAACUUAUUAUACAAUUGCCGUACAUUAUUAGGUUUCCCGUACAAUGAAAGGCCAUUUUGAUGAAAUUGAAGGGGCAAUAUAAAUGUGGAUCAAAGGGUCUCCAAGUUCUUUGAGUUUGACCUCCUAAAUUGGUGAAAAGUCAACUGUCUUAAAAGGUUCUCUGAGUUUUACAAUAAAUUUUAGAUUUUUUGUUCCAAAAUAAAUAAUUAUCCUGCUGUGAUCUAAUUUUAUUUUACUACUAUGUUACUAUUACUGGUGUACUAUUUUGAUUUUCGAAAAGAAUUAUGCUAUUCAAACGUUGCUAGCAUAAGAAUGAAUAAUCUCCUAAGUAAAAGAAAAAAAAAGUUGAAAAAUUUUUAUUGCAAUCAAUCUCGCUUGCUAUUAUCUUGGUAAAAUUGUAACACUUCACCAACCUGUUAAUUUAAUUAUUUUUUUAAGAAUAAGAUAAAGCAAUAGUCACAAGAGAGCAAAACGAUUCGAAACUUUUUGUUCAAUUUUUCUAAAACCGUAUAAACAAAAGUUUUAAAUCACUGGGUGAUUUUAAUAAAAAAUAAGCUAAAUCACAUGGUUUAAUUAGACCCACCAAAAAAAGGGCAUAAAUGUAACUUGCGCUCACUAGUUGCUACUGGGGCCAAAGAAAUGAAAUGGUCGCAGCAUAUACCAACAAAUAGACUCGGCACGCGGCACCACCGCAAAAACACAAACACACACAGACACACCCCUGACAAGUCCAUUUUGGGACCACCGUGGGAGUGUUCUUCAUGCUCGCAAGUAAAAUUGUCCAAAAUAUCUGAUAUUUUAUAUCGGAUUUAGAUCCUAUCUGAACCCUAUCCGGAUUUGAAUCGGACUCGAUAAGAAAAUGAAUAGUACAUGUGUAAAAAAAAAUUAUUCAUUGAAGUUUCGAGUAUGGAUCCGAAUACUUUAUAUCUAUAAACCGACUUGGAUCCGAUCCGAAUCCGAUAUUUUAAUGGGUAGGGUCCGAAAGAGUGUACAAAUUCGAACCUGAAUCCGGACCCGGACUUGGACACAAACACGGUGAAAUAUCCGAUAGUAAAUAAAAAAGAUUUGGAAUUGAGGAAUCAAUUUCAAUAGAACUUAUAGAUAAAAUGUCUAUGUAUAUUUGUAUCUUAGUGAAAUCCAAGUCGCUCUGUUUACUCUUUUUUUAACCAUAGCCGCUCUAUGUAUUCCUUGAAUCUUUCUUUUGAACAAAUUUUAUCGAACCGGGUGCAACUAAUUAAAAUGCGAAUUUUUUUUAUAGUGAGAAGUUUAUAAUUUAUCCAUAAAUUAUUUAAUAAAAUUUAUAAAAAAAAUAUAUACAUACGGGUACCAUACCCGAUCUAAAUCCGAUCCGUAUCUAAUCUUAAGUGGAUAGUAUACGAGUAGUUACUAUCCAUACCCCCUCAAAUAGAUCCGAUGGGUUUAUUAUUAACUUAAUUGCCUAAAAUCUGGACCCGAUCCGAAGUUAAAUGGGUAGGGUAUAAGUAUUUUUUUCUAUUCAUUUUUUUUUAGGGUUUGGAUACGAUAUAUCAACUCCUCAGAUCUGAUCCGGUCCACGGACAUCUUUGCUCGCCAUAUAUUAUAAAGUUGUGACUCAUAAAUUUGAUAGAUAUGAUCUAUAUUAUUUUAAAAAAAAAUGUUAAUAAAUAACACUAAAAAAUUAUGGGUGGACAAAAAAUAAUUAUGAAAUUAACCCACUAAAAGAUUAAAUAAAUGUUUGAAAACUUGGAAGGUUACUUAAAAAAAAAAGAGAGAAGACUUUUUAUAUGGUUUGAGGGGGAACCUUAGGCAAAAUUAACCCUUUAUUAUAACAGAAAUAAUAAUUAGAAGAUUUAGAAAGCUUUAGAUUUGGCCAUGUACGAGCUGAGUCCUCGCACACCUAACCUAAACUUGAAUGUGGCGACUAUAUCGACCCAGAAGUGCUCAGUUUUCGCCGAGGAGCCAUGUUAUGUUUACUGGUUGGUUUGCUCGGUGGGCCUCCUCAUUCAACGGUCAGCGUCGAUUCAGCGAGCCUAUGUAGCACGCGGAAUGAACAUUUUUUUCUUCUUUUUUUUUUUUCUUUCGCGGAGCUACCGAGUCUUUGGAUUUUGAGACCCGGUCCACAAACACUGAAACAGUUGUAUGAAAUGGGGCUCAUAAGAAUCUCAAAAAGAAGUGGCCUAGGGUUGUUCUUCUUUACACCCCAUUUACACUCCCAAUCAUCUGAUACCUCGCAAACUCUCGCGAUUUUACACACAAAAAAAAAAAAAAAAAAAAACCCAGCCAAAACGUAAAAUUUUUUUGAUAAACUUCUAUUUCCCUCUGUAUGAGUUAAAAUUUGUAUAGUGAUGUGACAUUUUAACAUUUUCACAUCAAAUUAGAAUAGAAUUAUUAUUGGUAUAUGAAAGGACUCAAUAUUAAUAAUAAUAUUAAUAACUGGUCUUAAACAUUUUGAACCGAUGAUUUAGGCCUAAUAAUAAUAAUAAUAAUAACUGGUAUUAAGUAUUUAAUAUUGCACUUACCUCUUUUUUACACUGAGUUUUAUAUUUUUUUUGUAUUUUUUGCUAAUUUUUCAGACCUACUUUGGUUAGUGUUGCCCCACCCUUAAGACGUGCCGACGGGGUGGAAGGUAUUUGUUGUAUCGGUAGGAGUGAUUGCUGAAGCCUCGUAUGUGGAGGGACAAUCUCGCCUCGCCUUUAGAACAUUGCUUUCGCACGUCUCCACUCACAAGUCUCACCUAAAUUAUUUUUCUCUAUAAUAUUUUUCACGUAAUCCAAUUUUAUAAUUUUUCAAAAACAAAAUUAAAAUUAUUUUCUUUUAAAAUUAUUUAAAAAAUAAAUUAUUCAAGCUAAAUAUAUAUUUAGAUAUUAUAUAAUUAUAUAUUUGUUGUUAUUUCAUCUUAUUUUUUUUAUAAUAAAUUAUUUUUUACUACUAUUUUUUUAACUCCUCUUACAUACAUAUAGAUUGACAUUUUAAUUUAUUUAUUUUUAUUUUUUAUAAUUAUUAUAUAUUAAAAUUUAUAUUAAAGUAUUGGUAUUAAAAUUGUCUGGGAUGAAACGCGGGUUCAACGCUAUUUAGAUAUAAAAUCCCGCUUAUAUAGCUAACGCCCGCACAUCACGUACACGAAAUAUCUCCCUUUUUUAAAUCCUAUAAAAACAAAAUAAAAAUAAAAAUAAAAAUAAUAAUAAUAAUAAUAAUAAUAAUAAUAAUAAGAUAACUCCUUCCUCUCUCUUUUACCAGGAUAGAAAAAGCCACUCCUCCGAUCGACCCUACUUUACCCGUGUUGAAGAACAAAGACGCGCAACUCCCCCUUUCUCUUUUAAUUUUUUGCUUAAAAUAGGCUUAAUAUCGGUAUGGCUUAAAAAUGGCUUAGGCUUAAUUGAUUGAUACUCGGGUUUACUAGAAUGUUCAUCGACUUACUCAAGGAUCCAGAUCGAUUCGUAGUGAGGUGUUCUUUUUCCGAUUUUGGUCUAAUUCUUCUGUCUCUCAUCUAAUGUCUCAAGUACGAUAGUUAAGUACUUUUGUUUAACAGUUUUUGACCUAGCGUACCAAGGUCAGGUUUUCUAACUUUUCUUAAGUCUUGGGAUAGUAAAAAUGACAACUUCAUCGGUACACUUUGAUCUGUUGAUCUAAACGAAUUUUAUUGUUGGUUUCAUUAAACUUAGUAGAGAAUCAGGUGGUGUUUAUCGGGUGGAUGAGUACAUAGGUCAUAGUUGGUCAUUGGAGUGUAAAGGUCGGUAAGUUCGGUAGAAGAUCAACUUCAUACGCCAUUCGCGUACAACCUACUUCAAUUACCUUCUGAAGUUUGUUGUGUACCAGUGGAGUAUAUUGUAAACGAUAUAGAUAUACGACUUUGGUCAUAAAUUGAACUUGAAACAGCGAUGGGGGGUGGGUUUUUUUUUUGGAAUUUUGAAUUAACUAUAACGUGUGACCAAUUCUUACCCCCCGUUUUUCUAAUUUGUCCCAUACUUAAUUCGUUUCACUCCUUAGGUAUUAAGUACAACAUGACUGAACAUGUUAGUUCUGUCUUUAAAUAAAGACUUGGUCUGGCAAUAUAGGUACGAGGAUUUUGAUUCUUCUUUAACUAAUAUCUUGUUAUAGUAUACGUCUUUCCAAUUCACCACCUUGGACUUCCUGUUUCUCCGGUCACACCUUCUACGUCCCCAACUACUUUUGUCGUGUCUUAACUGGUGUGACCUUCUCGAGUAGUCAAAAAACCUACUUUUCCAAUAGUCUCAGCUCGUAUUGUUGAGCUAGUAUAAGCUGGUUCGAGGUUCGUAUGUCGAACAAGUCACAGUCGAACUUGGCGCUCAACUUUAACGGGACAAAGAGCAUACCUAAGAAGUUCAAGAGGUGUCUUUGUUGGAAGUGAGGUAGGAGGAGAAAGGACAACCAGUUAGUUUUGUAAUGUUUUACUCUUAAACUUUAUAUCACGAUGAAUCCGUUUCGAUCUCGUUAGUAUCAGUUACACUUUAAGUCAGAUUUUAUCCGUAAGUCCCUUAGUAGUACCGAAUGUUUCUACUUCUGUUAAGUAUUAUGUAUCUCUUGUGUAAGAAUCGUUUAUUAUCUAUUACCCUAGUGUAUAACUACCUCAAGACCAAGUAUUCUUUGAAGUGACCGGUUGUCAAAGAUUCAUACUUUGGUCUAUGACCUCUUGUACUCUUGGUUUUUUACUGCUAUAUGAAUUCAGAGAUUUAAAGAGUCAUAUGUCGUUUGUAACGUUAUAUUAAGAAACGUUGACAUGUUUUGCUUUCAAGAAUAGUCGUAUGAACGCAAUCUCAAUACGUCAGUAGGAUAUCAAAUCCGUUAGUUACUUUUCAUUGUAAUCUAUAACACUUUAGUUGAUCAUAAGAUAUAUUGGCCUAAACUUCUUUGGAUUAAAUUAAGGUAAUACUUUAAGUAGUAGAGAAGAGCGUCCCUUUCUUUUUUUUUCUUUGAGUCUAUGUCGUCGUUCAUAUGGAUGGUAACUUCUUGGAUUGUUUCAGGGGUAACUAUUUAUCAGUUUGGGGCAUGUGGUUUUAUACCCCGUCCCUUUAGGCGGAUUCCUCCCUAUUUUUCUAGAUUCUCGGUUCCCUUUUGAGAGAAUUCUUGCGAUUCCAUAGAGGUGUAAAGAAGAGAAUUGUCGAGUUGGUGAGCAUGACUAAAGGUUUUCUACAACUUUUUCAGUUUCAAAAAAACUGAGCCUUCACCUGUUGGUAGUAGCACUGGUAGACAAAGCCGAGAGUUCAUUAGAGUGCUGGGUUUUAAUCUUUUAAUGUUUGAACUUUCUGAGCUUAUGGGGCCUUUAGGGUCGCCUAAGCUUCGUUCCUGCUAGCUUUUGCUCCCAUAAAAGCCUUUUGCUACUUCUUUUGUAGGUACCGCCAUAGAGGACCAAAAAGGAAGAAGAAGAAGUAGAAGGAGUUUAAGUUCGCAAAGUUUUUUUAUUCCUAUUUUUAUCGCUUUUAUAUCUUCUUUGCUUGUUUAAUUGUGCCUUUAUCUUGCCUUUGCAGUCUAACAUUCUAGACAUAGUAGCCACCCACUCUUUUCUAACUCUGUACUUGUUCCCGCUCCUACUCCCCGCUUUCUCUCUCCUCUUCCUCUCCCCCGCAUGUUCCAAACCUGGGUAGCCUAGCCCUGCAGCUCCCUCCGCUACUGCUGCUCCAGCCGCAGCUGCGGCUCGAAACGCUCCCUAGAGUAGUAGUGGGCGCAGCGGUGCAUCUUGAGCAUCAGGGAGCCGCAGGGGUACAUGUAGUAGCGGCGCAUGCGCACGAAGGAGACGGGGAGGAGGCGGCGGCGGAGGCGGCCUUUGUGGUGGUAGUGGUGGCGGCGGCGGUAGUUGUGGUGGCUAGAGGUGCUUUCGGGAUUUUGGGACCGGGAGCGUGGGCUGAGGUAGAAGGUGCUUAGGCCCUGGCUAGUUUUCUUAUGUCUUCCCCGGUUUGCUCUCGCUACGACACCAGCUUUGGGAUCGCCACCACGAUUGUCUCAUGCCUAGAGGAAGAGGAGGCGGCUAGGGGGAGAGGGUAAGAGGUCUAGAGCAGAUGCCGAGUUUCUCGCUCGAUGAGGCCGGCUGGGGAGGGCGGAGGCGGAGAACGGUAACGGCCUCUAGACUUCUUCUAGUGGCCUCUCUCUCUCCUCUCUCUUAUUAUACUUUAUAUCUCUCUCUUUUGCUCGCUUUUUUUUUUUUUUUUUUUCAUCUNAAAGGUUCUUCUGUCUUUGGGCACUACUUUAGUCCGACAGGCUGGACAGAUGAAGGGUUUUGCUUAGUUUUGGUCUGUCAUACGUUUUCCAUUUAAAUAUACAUACAUAUUAAUUAAUCAGAUCCUUGGCCCCAGCCAUGUUCUUACUGUCAGGACAGUUAGGAUUAAGCUCAUGCUAUUCAAAAUGGUGACAAGGGAACUAGUAUUUCGAUUGCUAUACUUGAAUAUAUAUAUUUGUCUAUGCAUGCAUUUGUGUCUACAGUACCAUAGUGCCAACAAAUGUAGUGCUACUGUCACUAUUGUAAUGAUUAAGAAUAAGCAAAGGACCGGGUCACAUUUGACAUAGUUCAGUAAUGGGUUUUCUGCGUACAUACCCUUGCAAAAUAUUCAAGUAGUGCCCUAUCAAGUUAUAAGCCUGUGAAAACCCCAUUCAUUGUAUUCAUGUCUCUGCCGGGGGUAUGUAUGCAAAAAGUUGUUUUCACAUGGGUGCCCCCUUGUGAGGUCACACAUGUAUACGAGCAAAGCUUGCAUUAUUUCGUAUGGUUUGUAUACAAGAUAAAGGCAAUAUAGUUAAUUUAUUACAAUCUUACCCCUCUUGGUUUCUUAUUUUUGCCGUUGAAAUACUUCAAACAGGUAUGGAUCAGAGCUACCGGUAAUCCUAAUCCAGGCUGUUCUAUACAUUGGGGUCAUGGCCGUCACCCGUCUAGCCCGCCCCAGCCUGUCGAAGCUAUGCUACAACCGCCGCCCUGAGAAGACCACUGCUUUCCUCCUCACCAUCCUCAAGCUGGCCGCUAUGUGGUCCAUGCUAGCCGCCUACACCGUCCCCUUCUUCCUCAUCCCCUGCACCGUCCACCCGCUCUUCGGCUGGUCCCUUUAUUUACUCGGCUCGUUUGCCCUCUCUUCCAUAGUGAUCAACGUUUUCCUCCUCCCGCCUUUCGCAGUCCUGACUACUUGGCUCGGACUUUUGGGGGCGCUCUUGGUGAUGGCUUUUCCUUGGUAUUCAGAUGGUGUCAUGCGGGCAUUGACAUUGUUUGCGUAUGCGUUUUGCUGCGCGCCGGUUGCUUGGGCUUCAUUGGUGAAGGUGAUGGGCUCGUUGCAAAUAUUGAUCGAAAGAGAGGUGUUCUUUCCGAGACUGGGAGAGCCCGCUCAGACAGCUGAGUUCAGCAAGCUGUAUUAAGUCGUGAAUCAGAUGACGGUCAUGGAAAAACACUGAUUGGACUGGCUAAUCUCAUUCAUUCUGACAAUUUUGGCUGUUCGGUUCGAUCCGCCUGGUUUGGUAUGUACGUACUAUUACGAGUUAUACUUUGUGUUCUGGCGCCGUAUACAAAGAGGCGAACUGAAUGGCAAAUAUUCAUGAUAGGUGAUAUUUCUGGGGAGCAAGAGUGGAGGAUUCCAGUGAGGGUGGGGAUUAAAUUAUGGAUUUGUUCUGUUGGGGGGAAGUUAGAUGUUUGUUAUAAAUUCAUUUUAAUUUUAAUGCCUCUUCCCUUUAAUGUGAAGUUUCUGAUCAAGUAGUGUUGCUCAAUUCAAUUGCUUGACCUAUUUUGUUUCUCACGUCUCAAUUGAGAAUGCUUUACAUUAUUCACGUGGUGCAUACAAAAUUAAACAGCAAAGCGGGGAGAGUGCGUUGUGUAUUUCAAGUCUGUUCUUGUUUAAAUUCCGUGAUGCCAGAAAACUCCUAACCCGUGGAUAAUAAUCCCUGCGCAGACGCAGGCCCAAUAAUUAUAAUAAUAAUAAUAAUAAUGAAAAAGAAAAGUUAAAGACCGAAACCCGGAGAACUCGGGCCGGGUUAUUUAUGCAUUACUUUGGACCGAGCCCAUUUGACACAGCUUUUAGCUUCUUCGACCUCUGCUGUUACUAGAGUAGUAUGGCACAAGCCGUUGGGGCACGAUCACCAUGGAAGCCGCUUCCCUCCUCCUCCUCCGCCCCUUCGUCACCACCUCGUCCUCCGCCUCUUCUUCCCUUUCUCUCUCCCGCCUCCUCCCUUUAAACCCUAACUUCUCCCUUCUCCGCCGCCGCCGCAGCAGCAGCAGCAGCAGAUGGAGAACCCCCUUCCCUCCCUCUCCCAAUCUCCCCCUUCGAAACCCUAAUCGCCUCCGCGUGCUCCGCCUCUCCCUCUCGGAAUCCUCCACCAACAACUCGCCCACCGCGGCCGAUCCCCCCGAAGCGCCCGCGCCGGAGCCGGAGCCCCUCUUCUCGCGGUGGUCGCCGCCGCGGCCGCUGUGGCGCGGCCUCUCGGCGCUGGUGCUCGCGGGGCAGGUGGCGCACCGCGUGCUCACGGGGCGCGUCCACCGCCGCAACACGCUGCAGCAGCUGGAGCGCGUGGGCCCGGGCUCCACGGGCGUGGCGCUCCUCACGGCGGCGUUCGUGGGCAUGGCCUUCACCAUCCAGUUCGUGCGCGAGUUCACCCGCCUCGGCCUCCACCGCUCCGUGGGCGGCGUCCUGGCCCUGGCCCUCUCCCGCGAGCUCAGCCCCGUCGUCACCGCCGUCGUGGCCGCGGGCCGCGUGGGCUCCGCCUUCGCCGCCGAGCUCGGCACCAUGCAGGUCUCCGAGCAAACCGACACCCUCCGCGUCCUCGGCGCCCACCCCGUCGACUACCUCGUCACCCCGCGCGUCCUGGCCUGCUCCCUCGCCCUCCCCGUCCUCACCCUCCUCUGCUUCGCCGUCGGCCUCGCCUCCAGCGCCUUCCUCGCCGACGCCGUCUUCGGCGUCAGCAUCAACAUCAUCCUCGACUCCGCCCGCCGCGCCCUCCGCCCCUGGGACGUCCUCAGCGCCAUGAUCAAGUCCCACGUCUUCGGCGGCAUCAUCGCCGUCGUCAGCUGCGCCUGGGGUGUCACCACGCUCGGCGGCGCCAAAGGGGUCGGCGAGUCCACCACCUCCGCCGUCGUCAUCUCCCUCGUCAGCAUCUUCAUCGCCGACUUCGUCCUCUCCUACCUCUUCUUCCACGGCGCCGCCGGAGACUCCCUCAAGUACGCCAUGGGCUAGGCUAUGCUCUACUGCAAAGGGACCGAUCGACUUCCUGGUACGCAUGUGUGUUAAAAAAAAAAAGAAAAGAAGAAGACUCAUUCCUCCCUAUCUGCUGUUUCUUUUCGUAUGCUGAGCUGAGCUGAGCUGAGCUGAGCUGUGGUAGUAAAGCUGAUGAAAUUGGGCGGCAUUGGCUUGUCUGAUCCAAUUCUACUCCAAUAAUUAAUGAUGAUCUGUUUCUGUGAUGAAAACCCUUAUAAAUGCUUUCAUGCUUGUGCUAGUCUAAUGUGGUAAUGCUCGUUUGUAGACAUAGCAAAAUAUGAGGCAUUCAUUACUUGUAAACGAUUUUCCGAGAAGAUCAGGAUCUACUACUUUUCUUUUUGGACACGGGGAAAAUAAUGCAUAAUUGUAUUGUAUACUCUCCGAAAAUGCUAUUUCACUGUACCAUUGUCCGAAAUUCUUAUCGAACAUUUGUGCGUUUCUUAAGCAACAUCUCUUCGCUUCAUUUAGGAGAGAAUUUCGUGUUUGACGUAUCCUUGCAGGAAAUUGGUAAUGCUUCUUCAAUUCUAGAAACUCUGGCAGAACUCUAAAAUUUACUCCUAGGCUGAUAGGUAGUACUAUUUAUCGGCAAGUUUGAUUAAACGCUGCCGUCGCUAUUCCAGUGCUAGAAUUGUUGCUACAUGCUUUACAUGUGAUAUUUGAUCCCUGAUAACAUUUCGUAAAUCGAGGAACACAAGGGGAAGGAAAUUUAUUGCGUUGUUCGUCUUGUGACCGCUUCUGUAAUGAUAGGUAGGUAGGUGAUCGGCAACUUCUGCAUUCGGUGCGAUGAUAUGUCCUAAUCGGAAGCUGCAUCAGUUUUCAGCAGGAAUUGCAAUUUGAUUGAGCCUAACUUGCCUUUUGGCUUCUUUCUUUUUUUCUUUUUUUGUUGUUAGUCGUGGACCACAGUACAGGUACGUGGUUUAAUUUUCAUUUUGUAAAAUUUUGGAUUUCGCAUUUGCAUGAUAGAGUAAUGAAUCUCUACUCUCCGUUCCAUUGAGUCGUGGUUGUGCUUACAAGAGGCUGAGCACUUAGAAUUGCGGUUUGCUACCAAUUUCUUUCCCAAAAGUAUAGAUGUGGGAUCGAACAGUUAACACGCCGAGCUAAGACCCUGUUGGACAACUCAGGCAAGUUAGCCAAUAUCUUCUAAACCGUCACUCGUCAGCGAUGUUAAUACAAAAUUUUUUUAUUAAAAGAAGGUUGUCAAAUAUACUCGGGCUUAGGCUUGCGUAAAGCGCAGAGGUUUGCGAGAGUCUUACGCAAGCAAUCGAAGUGCAGAUCUCUUCCAUGUUUAUGCUCUGAGGUAGUCUUCUGUGUAUAGGNGGUAUUAUAGCUUCCAUCUCUAUCUUGUCCUGAAAGUUUGGUUGCUGAUGGUGUUGCUUAUGGUACUUGUUACCAACAUUAUAAUGCUGGUUGUUGUGACUUUUUUUUUUUUUUUUUUCACUCCCAAUAUACACCGCUCUACUAAUGUGUUGUUUCAUUUUUAUUUUUUAAUGAUUGUGUGUGUUUCAUACUAUUUUAGACGUAUCUUUAACAAGUUUUCACAUGUGGUGAGAUGAGAUGAUUAUUGUUAUUAAUUUCUUAGAAACGAAGGACAAACUAUUUCGUAUUUCCACCCACUCUGUAUUUAUGUCCAACUGGUUGUUGCCGAAAAAAUGACUCGUCUCUAACAAACAAAUCCAUCAUGAGUUCCACCUGACGCACAAGCUCUUUCAAGCGCGUCUAAGCCACCCUUCAUUUAUCACUCUCUACCAUUUGGUUUUUGCUUCAACUGAAAUUAUGAUUAGCCUAACUUUUGAUCAUUUAACUGAAUUGAUGGCUCAUUAUUUGUUUCUUUUCGGCGUGGUUUGUGCUUCGUUUUUCUUUGUUUACCUUUGCUUCUAAUAAAAGAGCUUAUGAUCCCCUCUUUGUGAGGAUACAGUGUGAUACUAACUCUUUACUUUCCUAGCUAGUCAAAGAAAUCUUUCUCUGCCCAAAUCCACUGAAAAACCUCAAAGCUAAUGGUGGUUAUAGCGCAUCGUAAGAGUCACACCAGAUGACAGGGAUCAAGAAAAUAAGAUUAAUGAAAGAGAGAGAUAGAGAGAUGAUGACCCCUAACAAUACUAGAAUUAAUAGGGGACCGGUUAGGUCAAGAUCCUUGUGCCUAAACCUGUACGAAUUGCCAAAAAGUUUUAUGUCCCUCAUAGUGUUUAAAACAAACAAACAAACAAACAAACAAAAAAAAGAAAGACCAAUAGAAGCUCUCUUUUUUUUUGUAGCACUUGAAUGGUUAAAACUCCCAACUUUUUUUAUUUAUUUAUUAUGUUUUAUUUACUGUAUACUUUGUUAGGUUGGUGCCCACAUUAAUUCCGCUCGAGAUGGAUAGGGGAGAAAACAUGGUCGGCAUGCAUGCACCAAUUUUGUUAUCAUCAUGCAUUCAUGUGCACCUCCAUGCUUUGCCUUUAAACAUGGCAUGCAUGUGCUCGGGCCAUGGAAUUAUGGUGCAUGUCUAUGGCGUGUACCGAAGUACUUCUCUUCUUUGAGUUUGACACUGAGAGCGAAAAAAAAAAAAAAAAGGUUUAGCCUAUUAAGUUAAUUAACCUCGAUUAGAGGAUGGUUUUGGCCUUCUCAGAGUUCUUUUGCGGGCGACGGAGUUUUCAUUGCAGUGCUAUUUAAGUAGAGUAAUUCGAUAAAGCAAACAAUGAGCAACUAUUUCGUAUAAAUCUAUUCGACGGUGUUAGAGCUGUGAGUUUUGAAUUGGAGCAUGUGCUAGCUUUUGAGGCAUCAGAAGUUAUUUUAAACCCAUCAAAUAUUCUCAAAGUUUUAGUUCAUGAACUAUUCUAUAGUACACGUGCCUUCAACGUGCUCAAGACACAAUAAUUGGUCACAUACAAUAAUUUCCUAGCCUUUGGCAUAAUAUAUGUAUAUAUUACCACCGUGAAUCAUAAUUACUAAUUUGAGGCCAUUUACAAGGAGACAAGCCAAGAAUCAGCUUGAUUAAUCCAAAAACUUUAGACAUUAAUAUUCCUCUAUAAUAAUUUCAUUAUAUUAUUCUGCAUUGGACUAAAGCAUCGUCGUAGUGUUUUCGAGCUACAGGACAGGUACUAAAUUCAACUUGUUAGGAUAAGAAGUACUACAAUAAUGCUGCAGCUUCUGGGCUAAAGCUAAUCAGUAAUACAAAUCAUGUUGUAUAUAACUAAUGCAAAAGGCCAUAACAGAAGCAGAAGAUUCCAAAAUGCAACUGGACAAAGCAUCUAAUUCUCAUCUUCAGUUGCAACUUUCAAAGUACUAAUUUUCCUCUUCCUUAUAAGUGGAUAGGGCUUUUCAAAUGGAGAACAAUGGUAGAAUAUCCCUGUAUUAUGCAAAUGUGGUUUUUUGGUCCAGAUCAUAAUUACUAAUAUGAUUACUACUGCUAUAAUCCAUCUAAUAAGAUCUGUAAUUUCCAUGGAAAUUAUUAAUGUUCAACACAUAUCACAGUUACUGAUCUGAUCUUGAAUUCAAAUUAAGAGUUGUGCUUUAAUUUAGCCCCAAGAAUGCGCACCUUUUCGAAUUCAAAAAAGCCAUGCAUGCAUGGUUCGAAGUGUCUUUUAGCUCAAUAUUGGUGUUUGUUACAAUUCACUUCUAACUGCAAUUAGAAUUUAUUAUAAUAAUGAAUCAAUAAACGCAUGUUUUGGGGAAAAUAAACAGAUAACUCUAUUAAUCGUAUCUAUAAAUAUUUACUAAUUAAGACAAUGAAAAUAGGGUGCACAAAAAGGUGUUAUAUUUAACUGUGUUAUAUUAUUGGUAAUUUCACAGCUAGUAGUAUCAUCACUCCAAAAAUUUUAUCCCUUAAAACCUAUCAUAUUAAUAUCUAUCAUAUUAAUAUCUUUUCCGUGCUUGCUCAAUUUUUUGUAGUCCAAAAGCAAACAAAUCGGUUUGGAACUUUCUCUUUCCACAUAUUAUUGUCAUCUGAGGAAUUAAUAAUAUUGUUCUUUGACUGCUCAAACUAAAAAAAAAAAAAAUUAUAUAUCUAUUCAAUUUAAACCAAUCAAACUAAUAUUUUUUAUUUAAUUUAAGUCCAAAUAUGAGACCAAGCGUGAAAUAUAAAAGAAUAACGUCAUGUACGUACUUAUGUGACUCGUUACACACCUUUUUAGAAUUUACUCUUUGCAUGAUAUUUUGUUCUUUUGCAUUUAACUACUAUUUUUUUUUUUGGCUCGAUAAUGGUAAAAAAAGAAGAAGAAGAAGAAGAAGAAAAUGAGAGCAUUUAUCAUUUACUCAUAACACUACAACACUAAAUUGUGGUCGCAUGAGAAAUAAAUGCGUGGAAACUUCAUCCUGUGCCACCAACAUAUAUUGUUUACGGAAAAUGCAACAGUUACUUUUUUUUCUUUUUUUUCUUUUUUUUUUUUUUGAGAGAGAGAGAUAGGUAGUGCGCUACCCGCUUCGUUUAUUUCAUUUAGAAAUAAACUUAGCUGAAAAUGUGAAUCAACUAGGAUUCGAAUUUGGGUUACGAGUACCAACCACCAAACCCUUUGCCCACUUGCUCUAGGGACGGUCAGUAUGCAACAGUUACUGUUGCUUGUAUGUAUCAAAAUAUGUAUCAAAAUAUUUAAGUGCUUUUGCUUCUGGGGUUAAAAUGUGAGAACAAAAAUAUUAAUUUCAUACUUUUAUUUCUGUUACUGACGCUCUGAACCAUACUAUACUAGAAUGUGUAACACAUUUUAGAGAUUUUUGUUUUUUGUAUUCACGUCUAGUUUAUAUAUAAUAUUUAACCAAAAAGAAGAUUUCUACAAUUCAAUUCAAUUCAAAAUUCACGUUCUAAUCCCUAUGAACCAUUCUCAAACCUAAUGACAUGAGAGAUUAAUCUUGAAUCUAAAAAAAUAUUGUACAUCAUUUAGUACGUACGCGCGUAACAGUUAUCAGAAUACAUUGUAAUUCUUAAGAGGCUUAAUUUAAGGUAAAAAUUAAUUAAUCUCUUUAAUUACUGUUGUGCAAAAAUACUUUGCUAAGACACCUAAUGCAUGCAUGACACAAAAAAGUAUCAUGCACUCGUGGCCUUCAAUAUGGAUGGUGUGUCCACCAACCACGUCCACUCCCCUGUGUUCACAGAGAAUUAGUUGAACUCCUCUUAUCGUUCUUAAGCAUGCAUGCUUAUGGUAAUUACUAAAAGCCACCCACUCUCUUGAGGCUCGUUGUAUAUUACAAUUCAUUCGAUUAAUCAUGAAACUUUAUUUGCUAGAUCGAUCUUUUGAAUAAUAUGGUAUCUGAACCAGUUUUAAACCCACUGCGACAUGAUUUAUCUAAUGCCUAUUGUACACAAUUUAUCAAAUAUCCACCCUAUAUACACGAGUUUGAGCUUUUUUCUACUAGAACAGUGUACAUGCCAAACAACAUUAACUUGAAAACCAUGAAAUCGGUUUGUGAGAGCUUGUACAAAGACCACUACCAUAGCGGCAACAAACGAAACAAGAAUAUGCCCACAGCGGGAACAAGCAAGUGUACAAUUUUAAUAAGAUCUAGAAAAAAAAAAAAAGGAAAAAAAGAGUUAGGUGGUUAAGCCACUAAGAAAAAGUCAAAGCCAAAUACCAACUUUUGUUCAAAGGAAGGGAACGAAGAUGUUGGAAUCUACUUUGCAUUCUAUCAUGGGAUUCGACCAUCCUUUUUAUCAACUUCACUGAAAAAAAGAUAAUAUGUUAUUUGUUUUGUACAAAUUCUAUAUAAAUUUUCAACUUAUAUUAGCUAUUAAAUUUUUAACCAACUAUAUUGGAUGCAGUAAUAAUUUUAAAUUUUAAAUAUAUAUAUAUAUAUAUAUUUAAAAUGGUGUUUUUUUCGGUGGGGCAUACCCUUUACGCCUAUCAAGUGGGGCCCAAGGCGCCGAAAGUCCAAGCGACGGCUCGUAGGCCGUUGGAUCAAGGGAACGGCGGGGAGGAUGGACGCGUAUCCUCCGUUGAAAAAUGGACGGUGGUGAUGGGAUGAUGAGCGCAGCCAGGGGUCCGAAACCGAAAAGGAUUCGACGGUGAAAGGGAAGUACGCUUUCGCAGGGACCGAAGCCUCCGAAAAAAACGUUUCCCCACCAGGGUGGUGGUUUUUUUUUUCUUUUUUAUUUUAUUUUUGGGAAAUACUAAAUAAAUAAAUAAAUAAAUAAAUGAGAUUGAUUAUAAGACCCCAUCAGAGCGGUCGAACGUAGAUCGGACGUACCUCGUGGGAAGGCCACGUGAUCGGAACAGCUCGGUUGGCCCGUGCCAUGGUCCCGAGUCACGAGUCACGAGUUACGACCCACGACUCGGCCCGAACCAAAAUUAGAAGGGACUAAUGUUCGGAUUAGUCUCCGCAGGAUCCCAAUAUUGCAACUUAGUCGUUGCAUAAAAAUCAAGGGGCGAAUAGUAGUAGUUAUAGGGACAGCGUAGGAAGUGUUCAAGCAUUUUUAUUACGCAAAUAAGAAGGGGUUUUAGUUGUACGCUUCCGAGGGAUACGCUCGAGAUACAGCACACACAGUUGGUACACCAGCAUUAAAUUUCGUGCUAAUUACCUGCACAGCGCCAACCAAUGGGCAAUGGCACAGUAAUAAGAAUACUAAGACCACAUGGCACGAAAAGCGCUUCUGUGGGUGGAGGUGGAAACGUGGAUGCUCAUGCGGGUGGGGGAAGCAGCGAUUCCACCCCUACCGCCACUCACUCACUACCCUCCAAAUUAAGCAGGAGAGUUUAAGCAACCGCAGAUUUUUCUUUUUUUUUUUUUAAGAAAAAAAGAAAAAGAAAAAGAAAAAGAGAAAGAAAAAGCUUUGGUGAUUAGGAAAGGGUGAGAUAAUUAACGAAGUGGUGAAGGAAAGAUAGAGAGCGAAGAGAGGAACAAGUAGUAGUUCGUAGCAGCAGAAGCGCUUCUGCAGUUGUGCGCAGCAGCAGCAGCAGCAGCAGCAGCUGGGAAAAUAAUAAUAAGUCGCAACAGAGAGAAGCCAAAAGCACUUAAUUCUCUCUCUUAAACACAAUGCUAAUAAUAAUAAUAAUAAUAAUAAUAACAAUAACGACGCGCAUUAAAAUGAAAUCGCAAGUCAAGCACAAUACAAUCUCUUUUUUUACUUUUCUUUUCUUUUCUUUCUUUCUUUUUCAUGCGCGUUUUGAUAAAGUGGAUGGAUUCGAGAGUUGUAUUAUAUACGUAUUAACUAUAGUUUGUUAUAAUUAAUUAAGUAAUUAAUUGAGAGAAGUGGGUGUGAAAGGAUAGUAAUGAAUGGGUAAGAAGGAGAAGAAGAAGGGAAGAGACGGUUGGAAGGAAACAGCUGGAAACAGGAAUAGAUAGCAACAAUGCAGCUAAUUUUAUACCGAUUCAGUUUAAUAUACUAAUCAAUUUAAAUUUAAAUAAAAAGUUUUUGGAGACUUAAAAAAAGAAAAAAAAAAAGAAAAGAAAAGAAAAUGGCAUGAGUUUCUCGACUUGCCAUUUACUCAGCUGUUACAGUAUUAAGCAACUGAAACCAAAUUAAUCUCCACAUACCCACAAAAUAAUAAUAAUAAUAAUAAUAAUAAUAAUAAUAAAGGAGGAGCUCAAAGAGAGAUGGAUUAAUUGGGGAGAAAUAAAUACAGAAGAAAUUAGGCAUCGAAUUAACUUCACCAACUUAAUUAAUCAGAUCCGAAUAUUAUACCCAUCAAAAAUAGAAUCGAAUUUCGUGCGGAAGCUCUUACCGCGAAUUUAAGCUCAGGUUUAAUUAAGUCGAACGGGUGGCUGCUGCUGCUGCUGCUGCUGCUGCUGCGUCGGCUUGCUCCGAGUUCCGAGCAACGGGAACGGAGGAAGGUGGAGCUGCUCCGAGAAAGUCGGCUUACUUGAAGGGGCCGAAGUCGGCGUCGGAGACGGCGGAGAGCUCGAAGUCGUCGUCGGCGGGGGCGGGGAGGUUGAGGUCGAUGACGCCGAAGCUUCCGGCCGACGGCGGAGGCGGAGGCACCGCGGCGGCGGCGGCGGCGGCGGGAUGGGCGCGCUUGUGGCCGCCGAGGGCCUGGGCGGAGGCGAAGACGCGGGAGCAGAAGGGGCAAGCGUGGGCGUCCCUGGCGCCACCGGCAUUGGGCUCCGGAGGGGGCGGCGGCGGGAAGCAGCAGCCGCGGCCGCCGGCGACGCCGCCCUUCUUGUGGCUGGCGCGGUGGCCGCCGAGGGCUUGGUAGGAUCGGAAGGUCUUCUUGCAGGUGCCGCACUGGUACCUGCUCCGAGACUUCGGGGCCGCCCUCGAUCGGACGGCUCGGGACGCCCCGCGGCGGGCCCUCUCCCCGCAAUCGUCGCCGUCCGAUUGGCGAAGGCCUCCUCCUCCUCCUCCUCCACCUUCUUCUUCUUCUUCUUCUUCUUCUUCCUCCUUGUAAGAGUAGUAGGAGGAGGAGUAGUAGUAGCAGCAGUAGUGGUUGAAGCUUUGCUCUGUUUCGGACUUGGACUUGGGGUUGGUCCAGGAGUCGCGGGAGAGCAUCAUGAGCGAGAGGGCCACGUCCUCCUCGGGCGUCGCGUCCGAGACCGAGCUCGCCGGCUCCACGUCGUGCAACGGCGGCGGCGCUCGGCUGCGCGGGCGCUUGGAGCGGCGGCGGUGGUGGGCGGGCGCGGCGGCGCGCGGUGACUCGUUGUCGCUCUCGCGGUCCUGCACGACGGAGCACGACCCCGCGUCCGCGGCGGCGGCGGCGGCGGCGGAGGCGAAGGAGGAGGAGAACUGGGGGUCGACGAGGCGGAAGCUCUUCCUGGGGUUCUCGCGGAGGACGUAGCCGAGCCCGCCAUGGAUGUACCUCCCCUCGUCCUCUUCCUCGUCCUCUUCUGGGUCAUCGGCCACCGACGUGGAGGCGGAUGAGGCGGAGGAGAGCUGGGUUUUCGCCGCCGGAGCUCCGCCGCCGCCGACGACGUGGGAUCGCAUGUGGCCGCCCAGGGCGCGGCCGUUGGAGAAGCGGCGCGAGCACAGCUUACAUGUGUACUUCUCCAUUAACAAUACCAACUCAGCUUAGUGCAUCACAACACCCCAAAAAAAAUAUAUACACAUAUGUAUGCAUACAUUAGAGAGAGAGAGAGAGAGAGAAAAAGAUGGAGGUGGUUGUGGUGGUAGUGAGAGGUUUCUUUUCUUUCUCCUUUUUUUUCUCUCACUACCGUAGAGAGAGAGAAUAAAUAAAUAAAAGAAAAAAAGGAGAAGAAGAAAAGAAUGAAAGAAGGGAACCAAAAAAAAAAAGAAAGAAAAAAAGAGAGAGCCUAGUUUAAAUAUUUUAAAAAAAGGGAAAUUUAUUUAGUAAAAAAAAUAACUAAUUAAUCAUAAAAAUAAUUACAGCAAAGUGGAUUACUGUUUCAAUCUCUCUCUAUCACCAUUCACUAGGCAACGCUUCUUGUUCCUACUAAAGUCAUGCAUCUAAUACUUUUUUUUUUUUUUUUUUGUCUUUUGUGUUUUAAAUCAUCUCUUUCUCAUUCAUUUCCAUCUGCUAGUAACGAAGAAGCGAUUUAUCGAAAGAAGAUUAGGGAGACAAAUAGCCACUCCCAAAGUGGAAAUGCCUUUUGUGUUUUUCAUUUCUUUUAAAAAAAUCCGAAAUUAUUUUUUUCAAAAAUAUAUUAGUUUUUUUUUAAUGGGUUUAUUUGGUAAUUAUGUGGUUUUUUUAGUUGAGAAAAUUUAAAUUGGUGGGGGAUGGGUUGGAGAAGUCAAGCGGAGAAAUGUUUGGGUUUGUCGUAACGACCAGGUUAGAAAAAAUCGAGACCACGUGUAACGCAACCUUGAGUUGUCACCUGGACCCGUUCUCCUAUCAAAUUCGGGUCUAAGGUGAAACCCCUUAACAUUUUUAAAUCCGAUCCAGUUGAUACAAUCCAUUAUAACUCGUGUAGGGAAAAAACAAUUCGCUUUUUGUCCAAUAACGUAGUAUGGAUUGGAUUAUACAGCAAGCAUUUUCUUUUCUAUUUUUCAUUCAAUCAAAUCAAUUAUUUUUCGUAAUAAUUGUAGCAUUUGGACUCUAUUUGAAUUCGAUUCCAAUCCAAAUAUAACACGGGUAGGAUUUAGAUGGAAUUUUUUCAGCCAUAAAGUCUCCAAGUUUGGGUUUGUAUGAGUACUAUAUUCACAUUUUUGUUUUCAAUACAUAUGAUUAUAAAGAGGUUUAUAUUAGAAUUCUCUCUUUUUAUAUAUAUAUAGAGUUUCACUACUAUAUUCUUAUAAAUAUAAACCUCUUUAUAUUCAUAAGUUUUCGGUCGCUAGAUCUAUCAUUUUGAGCAUUUUUUAUCCAUUAAAUUAUACUGUUAAACUAACAACUCACUCAACCCUAAAGCACCACUAUCAUUCUUAUCGCACAUUUUUUCAUCCAACGGCUGAAAGUUUAUAAAUAGUUUAUACUCAUUAAAGUAUAUAUAUAUAUAUAUAUAUAUAUAUAUAUAUAGCAGAGCUGUGCUAUUAGGUGCACAGCAGACCGUGUACUCCUAAGUUUCUAACCAUUCAUCAAUUUUGAUGGAUGUUUACAUUGUGAUAGAGAAGAAAAAUUAAAGAGAAAUCGCAGUUCUUAAUUUAUCUUCUUUUUGAAUUUCUUCUCAAUUUCUCUGUUCUCUCUCACCCUAAUCAACAGUCAAAAUUUAUGAAUGAUUAGAAAUUUAGAGAAAUUAAGACUGUUGUGCUCCUUAUAGUACAGUAGCCCUACUUUAUAAUUAUUGUGCUUUAUAAUUAUUGUGCUUUUUAAAGCUAAUAUUUUAUAGCAUUUAAUUUAGACUUCCAAUUACCAAAAAUUUAAAAUACUAGUUAGGUUUUUUUAAAGUAAAGAAAAUAAAAAAUAUAACUAACUCAUCAAUAUUUAAGUAUUCGGUUUAGAUUAGCAUAGGACCGAGUCUUUCAAAACUAACUUUUAAGUUCUAUCUGUGUAGAUAAUAAUAUCGACUUAUAUUUUUCUCUUUUUUUUUUUUUAAUUCAUUGGUCACUUAAGUGUUCAUGUGUUCAUAGGGGUCCCAUAGGUGUUUGUGCGGGACAAAAUUUUAGUAGGAAGCUCUUUAACAACAUUUCAUUGGAAAGCUUUCGAUUCGAUAUCAUCAUAUUAGUAUCAAUUUUAUCUCUAUCUAAAAUUUUGUUGAAUAAUUGUUAAUAUUAAAAUUUUAUAAAAAAUUAAAAUUUUUUAAAAAAUAUUAGAAUUUUUGAGUAAAGAUAAAACUAAUAUAUAAUAACGAAUCGAAAACUGGUUACCCUAAAAUCUCCUAACCCCGUGAACGAAUCUCCAAGUUAAUGCAAGAGGAUAACAUUUUCCUAAAUUUUAUAAAUUUUCGUACCCAAAGACAUGAAUAGGAGUAGUCUCCCGUAUCUUUUCGUUUCGUCUACAUGUAGUUUUGCAGAUUUUCAUUAAUUUUUUACGUGACUUUGGUACUUUGGACAUAUGGCCCGUGCCUCAUUACUUUGUCUAAAGUUAUUUUUCGCUAUCACAAUUGUUUAGCAUAAUUAGUUAAUUACUACUCAAAUUGCUGACUCAGAAGUUAAGAUUUGAUUUUUCUACUCGCGUGUUUUCUACAAAGGCUUUUCAAGCUCCAAAGCUUUUUUAAAGAAUAUGUUUAAUUAGUACCGAUUAAUCUCAAGAGCUCACGAUUAGGGCAAAAGUUUUUUUUUAAAAAAAAAAAUUACUAUAUUUUUGAGUUUUUUUUUUUUUGUUUUUUUUUGUUUUUCAUCUAAGUAUACCAGAAUAUUUGGGAUUAAGAUCUAAGAACUUAAAGAGAUAGUUCCAAAAAAGAAUUACUCAUAAAGAGGAGCUCGAGGUGCAUUCUUUCUCAAAAAAGAACUCCUUUGACCUCUCUUGUAAACAGGUUAGCAUUGUUUUUGUGAUCUUCAAUUUUCAUCUUUCUUUCUAAACUCCUAAUUCGUCAGAUGUUUUUUUAUAUGAAAUCACCAAAAAUUAAUGCUGUGGAUCAUUACAAAGAGUUGCCGGGAUCGAUCGAUGCAUAAUUAAUAUAGAAUCAUAGCCUAUAAUUAUGGAGAAUUAAAAACAAAUCAGAAAUAAAUGAAGUUUACAUUCCAUACUAUUCCUAUUAAAUGGUAUCCAAUGUGCUAGUUCAAAUAAUUUUUCUUAGGUACCUUUCAUAGUUGUUCCAUUGUUGAGGUUUGUGGCCCUAGUAGACUACAAUAUGAUCGGGUCAUUUUGUUCUCAUGCACUAAUUGUAGGCUCAAUUAUGAGCAUGCAAUUCACGUGAGCUAGACGUAAAAGAAUCAUCGAGUCGCACAAGGGAUGUGUGAAGCUUCCUCCCAAUUUUCUCUCCCUCAAAUGCAUCUUUCAAAGCAAAUUUUCUUGAAUACAAAUUCCUAUCGUACACCUUGGGUAUGAGUCAAUUCGCGACAUAGUUUACAUACCUUAUUCAGUAUGAGCCUAACUUAAGAGAUAUUUGUAUCUCAACAAAUGAUAUUAACAGAGAAAAAAAUGUUAUUGAUAGCGACCACACAUUGAACCGCGUUGUUGUUCGCACGCAUAUAAUGUGAAGUUCCAAUGCAUCAAAUUGUAACACCCCCACUCUAUUCAUAUCAAAGGAUUUCAAAGUCUCCCACAAAUUUAGUAACAACUGUUGACCAACUGGAUUUAUUAGCAGUAUAAUAAGCAACAGAACAAAAUUAUAGGACAUUAUUAAUUUGAACAAAAAUAGUGUUUUUUUACCCAACCAACUCAUGCUCAUACAUCCUUCUCUAAAUUUUACAGCAACUUUUUUUUGUAAAUAGCAUUUUAAGUAGGAUUAUGACUAAAUAAAUCGUUAGCAAUCAAACUAUGAUCUUAAUCCAAGUUUGGCUGCAUUAGGUUAAGGUACAAACAAAAUUGAUUUUCUAAUAUUUAAACCAGAGGAGAUCAAACAUGUACCGGGAUUUUGGUCAAUUGCUGGAUCACAUUCUAAGUGCAUGUUCAAAUUUGUACAAUACCAAAAAAUUGCACAUGUUUAUAAUGAUUAUUUUCUUUUUCUAACCCUCGAGAGAGAUGGUUGUUUUUAGAAAAAAAGAUCCCAUCAUUACCAAAAAAAACAUAAAAAUAAAAAUAAAGAAAUCCCAUCAUUAAUUUGCGGGCAAAUGGUGAUAUCAAAGUUGAUUUUCCUUAAGACAAAUAACACAACAAAACGAGUAAUUUUUCACGAUACUAUCAUGCAAAAUAUCCACAAUCAUUUAAAUCAAUUAAUUGAGAUCAUAACUAUUUUUAUCCUUUAAUGGUUCUACAAUGUAAGGUAAAAUAUAUGAUACUAAUAAUUUGGGCAUUUGGACUAUAGAUACCCAUUUUAAUAUAUAUCCUCAAAUAAGGAGGUGGUCAAUACUUGGGUAAUCACCUCGAACUUUCCUAAUUGAGCUCCAACACAAACUUUCCAUAGAAACAAUUCCUUGGUGGAAACCAACAUUCACCACUUACACAUGGGAUCUAAUUAAGUGACUCCUAACUUUGAAUUGGGUCAAAUAUAUCGUUAUCAUAAUGAUAUCCUUUGGGAUUACAUGAAUGAUGCGUUAUUUAAGGUGAGAAUCAAUAUGCAAUAAGAAAAUAAUUUUGUUUUGUUUUGUAAACUAUUAUGUUGUGUAGAUUCUGCUGGUUCGAUUAAGAUAUAAUUUAUACGAUUGUAUUGAAAAUACAAAAAUAUAUCUCUACAUGCUUUUAUCCUAAUUGUUUUUUGGACGCGAUAUCAUUCGGAAUCUCUAAAUGCCAAAACGACUCUUAAGCACUUAUAAACAUUUGGGGUGGGGACGCUUUGACCAACUAUUUUAGCGUGUCUCACGGAUAAGAACAAUCUUUGUUAGAAAAACAAAGACUUUUCUAAUUUCACCUAAUUGUCACUCUAACCCGAUUAUUAGAGAAUAGUAAUAAUCCCCGUAAUAAUCCCAUGAAACCUAGGUGUUUCCAUAUAUAUAUAUAUAUAUAACAGGUCAUUUGUUGCUGUUAUUAGUAUAUAUAUUCCACGUCUCAUUUUAAGAGAGAGAUCCUAUUACAUGCAUGUAUAGGAUAGAGAGAGCUCAGCAACUUUGUUUGUCCUUGUCCUCAACCAUGGAGGCAAAAAGAAUCCUCUCCCCAAUUUUCUCCGAAUCCUCUCCAACAUCUCUUUCUCCUAUACACGGUCUCUUUAUAUAUAAACUAUUGAAUUUUGACAACAUAUGAUAGCCAUAAAAAGUUUUUUUUUUAAAGAAAAAAAGGUUUUUUUUAAAAAAAGAAACGAAUCCGAACCAUUUAAUUUGGUUACAUCUUCUAUAUAUAUAGAAAUCAAAUUGUGAUGACUUUGUUAGGAACCACUACAAGUCAAACUUUUCGAGCAAUUUAUUAUGAGGUUUUCUAGUAAAUAUGUACCUUUUACCGGAAAUGUUAUGAAAUUUUUCCAUAGAUGGUUUUAUUCUUUCUAUAUAUUGUUUUGGCAUAUUGAAACAACUACAUUGAUUGGGGAAAUGUGUACGUAUGAAGAGGUUACUCCUUACUAGGGGUAUCUAAAGCAUCCCUAUUGACCUCUUUUUUCAAACAGCUUUUCUAUUCCAAAUUGGAAGUUGGAUUUUCGGCGGUUCCUGUCCAAUAGAGUUGAAAGCAAAAAGAUUCAAGCAAAUUAUCACAUAGCUUUUUGUAACAAGAAAAAACUAAUUAAUUUGGAGUAUCUAUUAAUUUACUACUCAUUUUGUAAGCAUUAAUUACAUGGCUUUUUCCUUAAAAGGUUCAAGCAAACAUGUCUCACAUCCUAGUUUUCACAAUUCGAAAGUUUGAAUUUGGAACAAAUUAACAUAAUUUCCCACAAUGUAGCUGAUUUUCUGGGACAGCUGGGAUCUUCUCAUCCUGUAUGCAAAUUAUUAAUUACGCAAUUGUUGUUGUGAACAAUUGGCCACAAAUCUCCAUUACUGAAAUAUCAACAACUUGUUAGCUUUUCCCUAAUUUUAAGAUUGCUAAAUCAUAUAUAAUAAUGGAUUCCCAAAUCACAAUGUUUAUGGUGGAGAAUGUCAAAGCAUGAAGUUUAUCAACAUCUAAUUGAUGGGUCAUCGAGAGCUAAGUUGACUAAUCGAUAGUUGGGAUUUUGUUGUUGGGGGUGGGGGGGGGGGGGGAAUGUAAAGAAACUUUUAGUCAAAAUGCAGUGGAUGGUGGGUCGGCAAAAAAUACAAAAAAGAAAGAAGAAAAAAGCCAUAAUCAAAACCCUAUAUGUCGAAAAAGUAAAAUUAAUUCAUCAACUGUUUUGAUAAUACAGGUAUAUUGUUAUAAAUCCAUCACAAUACUUCAUGUUUGAUCAUCUGAGCGAGACUUGUUGAAAGCACAGCAUUGUCGCAUGACUAACACAGUACAUCGAGUUCGACCAUGUAUAUCCUCAUAGAGUACCGCAAAAUCACUUUUGAUGAUAUUAUUGUGUUAAUACACGUGAUGAUGUAUCCUAAACAUUAACUAAUAUCGGUUCGGCGAAAGAUAGAGGAUUGAUGACGCAGAAAAUGAUCCAAAUAAAUACACAAUGAAAGAAUAAGAUACCUGCGAAUGUAACUCAUGAUGAGGGUGUCUUGUCCAACUUUUUACUCUAGAUUGAUCAGAAUCGAUUCAUCUAAUGCAUCACAGAAACAUCGCCCUCACCGAUCGGCACUCCUAUGUAGACUUCAAUUUUGGUGCAAUGUCGUGGCAAUUUAAUUACCACUCCCAUCUAAAUCUCUUCACCCUCAACCUACAAAUUAAAUGGUCACUUGUGUAUAUGCCCCCCAUUGAUGAGGAACUUUGUCGUCGUUUUGUCCAAUAACAACAACAAAGUUGGUUGGAAGGUGCCAUCACCUCAUCAACAUUUACAAUUCCGCGAAGAGUUGGUUAGAUAGUUGAAAUUAUUUGUGCUAAUUAGUAGCUAAAUAUAUGCAUCUUUAACAGUAAUUCAAAAUACGGAGAAGUGUCGAAGUUGUUAAGGGGUCAUGCUUAAGAAGAUGCACAUCCAUGUAGGGCACAAGAGCAAAACAGGAACCCUUGGAAAUGAAAAAGUAAAAAAGAACUAAAAAUUCACCUUUUUAUUAUAAACAAAAUUCACUUUUUUCAGUCUUAAAAAAUUUGCUACGAAUGGCUGUAAAAUAAUGCUAACAAAAUUAAGCUGCAACUGCUUACAAAUACAUGGACGGCAUUAAGAUGAUGUUGACGCGGAAUACACCUUAAUUUGGAUGGUCUACCAAUUAAUAAUGCAAAAAAUAAAAAAAAAAAACUAGAAAUGUUGCAAGUGAAUGAAAUUAAGAAGCAUUAAAUGUCCACAUUAUCAAGUGUGGACAAUUAGAACUUGCUUAGUGGGGGAAGGGCUUAUAGUCAUAGAAUUUGUUCAAAGUAAGUUUAAUUAAUGAGCAAGGAACUGCUUUGAAUUGCUGGGACCCUCUAACUGCCUCUCCUGCUCCAAAAUGACAAAUACAUCCCCAUGCAUAAUAUAAUUAUAAUUAUAAUUAUAUUAUGCCUAGGCCAGUAAUAAUAAUAAUAAUAAUAAUAAUAAUAAUAAAAGCUGUCCCUACCUUUGCAAGUAGUAAAAGUGAGGUUUGUCUCUUUCUUGUGGGAUCACUCACCAAAAGGUCAUGUGUAGAUAUUAGCACAUAGAAGAAUAUAUAUAUACAUGCAGUAGUGUUCAUGAAGCAAUAGGGAAAGCAAGGAGCAGGUAAAAAAUGUGUUGAGAUCGAUCCCUCAACUCUCUAAAUCAUUUUGAAAUGAGUCCUAUAGUUAACAAUUUUAUUUCAAGUUAUUUUUAUUAAUUAAACCAAAAAAAUUGUCGAAUGUAAUGAUAAAUUUAUUAAAUUUAACUGUUCUGAAUAUUUUUCCAACCAUUGGAUAUGUCUAUUUUAUUUGGUCAUGAAAAAAUGGUAGAAUAGCAGCAUAUGAGGAAAAAAGAAAAAUGUGUAUGGAUAGCACUGCUUUUAAAGCAAACAGAGGGCAACUCAAGAGAUGCAUUAGGACAAAAAUUGAUUGGGAACACCUCAAUGUUUGUUUAAUUAAGUAGGAUGCUUCGAAAUGUGAGGUUAAAUGAACAAUUUGAGUCAUUUGACAUUCCAUCAUCAAACAAUUGUUGACCUGUGGACUGGUUGAAAACAUUUAAUCCAUCUCUAUUCAAAAAAUAAUUCCUGAAUAUAUAGCCUUCCUUUAAAUCUUAUAUAUAUAUUGACCCACUAUCUUAAAUAAGUACAUUGCUUUUCCACAAAUAUAGUUACACAAUAUUUUAAACACAAAAUAUGAGGAAAAAAAAAAAAGAAAAAAAAAUCAUCUGGAGCUGGUCGUGUACUUACAGUCUCCUAACACAAAUACACAAUAUUAUAAACUGUGGAGAAAAAAAAAAAAAAUUCUUGUUUCCUCAAUUUCUAUAUAAAUAAAUAAUAUAGAAAAAAGAAUGAAUGAAUGGAUGGAUUAAUAAAUUUCCCUCUUACGGUUCACUCCCUUCGUUACCAGAUGACCCAAUCCCCACCUGCAACCACGGUGAGGACUCACCCCCCAUGUUAAUGUCUUUGAGGUCACUCAACUUCGCCAUUUUCACGUUACUAUCCACCUCAUCAUCCACGCUAUUAUUAUUAUUAUUAUUAUUAUUCACAUUAAACCCCUCACUCUUGUUGUUGGUAUUAUUAUUGUUAUUAUUAGUUGUAGUAGUGUUGUUGUUCUUACUGCUUGUUGUGGGUUUAACUUUGUUACUCGCACUGCUGUGAUCGAUCCAUGAUUGCAAGUAGAUUGUCGCGGGCACGUCGAGCCGCAGCGGGCUCCCGAUGUCUGCGUGCCGGCCCCCCGCGGCCUCGUCGGCGGGCGCGGGGAGGUUGAGAUCGAGGGGCUCCCCGGAAUUGGCCUCGAACAUCGGCCGAAGGGUUAGGUGGUGGUGGUGGUGAUUGACGGCGUGGUCUGGCCCCGCCAAUGCAUGGAGCUUCGCGAUCGCGGUGGAGUCUGACGGCGAGUUUGACGUGAGCCAGUGGCACCGCUUGUGCCCGCCGAGCGCCUGCCCUGACGUGAACACGCGGUGGCAUAUCGAGCACUCGUGCACCUUCGACUUCUUCUUCAGUGGCGACGGCGGCGGUGCCACCGCCGCCAGCGGGGGCGGGUUGCUGAACGGCACGAUUGCCAUCGCCAUUCCCGCAACGGCAGAAUCGGUUUCCGCAGCGGCAGCGGCAGCACUGUCGCGUGCGACUGCGGCUGGGUGGUCGUCGUCGUGGGGCCGGGCAUCGUCGAGCUCGUCGAGCUUGGCAGCGAAGCAGCCCUUGACUUUUUUAUGGCUGGCACGGUGGCCGCCGAGGGCCUGGUGUGAGGUGAACACCUUCUUGCACGCCUUGCACUCGAACAGCCCGCGGGGGACCGUCGUUGCUGUCGCGGUUGCUGUCGGCGGCACAGGCGAUUUCAAUUUCUCAUGCGGAGGAGCGAAAAAGGAUAUCGGAUGCGGCGGCGUCGGCAGCUGCGGCCGUGCCCGGUCCUCGUCCUUGCUUGCCGACGCGCACGACUCCUGGUCGGUGUCGACGACAACCACCGGGUCGACACGCGCAGCCGACAGCAUAACAAGACAAUUGGCCAAGUCCUCCUCCUCGCUUGACGGGCACACCAACUGCAUCGCCGGGGCGGAAUUCUUAGCACGUCGCGACCGCUUGCCCUUCGACCACGCGGCAUACCCACGGUGCGCGGCAACGAGGUCGUCCUCCGCAUCUGACGGAGGGGACGAAGGGAGCGAGUCCUCGACCUCGUCGUCGGAGCUGCAUUUGCCGUGCUCCAGGAAGGACUUCCAGGAGACGAACUCCUUGCCGCAGUUCUCACAGACGCGGCAGCUCUUGAGGCGGUUCGGGUUGGUGCGGAGAGCGUACAUGCGCUUAUGUCCCACCGACGGGUUCGCGGCGGCGUCCCAAUGAUCGGCAUUAUUGCCGCCGCAAGCGGAGGGGUCGUCGUCCAGAUCGUUUCCCCCCGAGGCUUCAUCGUUGAUGCCGUGCGCGCGCAUGUGGCCACCGAGAGCCCGCCCGCAGCCGAAGCCCUUCUUGCAGAUCCUACAGUAAUGCUUAUACGUCGGCGGUGGCUGCGGCUGCUGCUGCUGCUGCUGUUGCUGUUGUUGUUGGUCCAUCACCAUAGCCAUGAACAAGAAAUCAAGCUACAGAUAGCGAAAGAAAAAGCAUAGAAUGGUGGGGGAUUGAGGAGGUUGGUUUAUUUUUUUUUUGUAGUGGUUAAUGCUGUUGUGUUUUGCUGGUUGGUUAGUAAGUUUCUAUGGUCUAAGACUAAGCUCCGAGUUGUGCUUUUGGAUGGCUCUUCUUUUCUCUCUCACAUCUGUUUCACUAAUUACUAAAUUUACUCUCUUUUUUUUUAUAGAUAUGUAUAUAUAUAUAUUUUAUUACUUUCUUUUUCAAUUCAUUUUUCUUUAAUUUUAUACAUAUAUAUUUUUAGAUGUUUAUAGAGGGGCUCCGUGAAUGUAGAUGAGUCGAGGGGUGGAUGUGGAUGGGGCGGGGUUGGGGAGCUGCGUUGUAGUCGUUGGCGACAAGUGGGUGUAAGGGGAAUGAGUUGCUUGGGCGCCGCCUAGUCAACGGUAAAUGUACUCGGUUCGGGUGAAUAGGGUGGUGAGGAGAGAUACGUGGAGAGCGCGAGUUUUAAAGCCAUCCAUUUGUAUUCCUUUCAGUACAAGGCAAGUAAAAAAUACGUAUCCUCACGUGCUUGCUCUUCAAUGUCUUCGUCUCAAGGUACACAUAUUACACCUCUCCUCAAACGUAGCUCAACCCCACAAAAUUUUUAGUUUUUUUUUCCCUUUUUUGAGGUAACACUGUACGAAGCUUAUCUAAAUUCAACUACCAUAUAUAUUAAAGUUUUAAUUUUAUUACCCAACAUUUCAAUAUAUUUAUCUCUCAAAAAAAAAAACAUUUCAAUAUAUUUGAUUUGGGUCGGUCAAAAAUAUUUUGACUUUAAAAUUUAAUGUAUUGUUUCUUUUUACAUGUUUAGUUUGUUUAUUUUAUGCAAAUUCUCACGACUAUAAAUUUAUUAAAGUAAAUGAUUAGCUUAAAUUUUAAAGUUAAAAUAUCGCUGAUUGAUUCAAAUCAAAUAAAUUAAAAAGUUAGAUAGCAAUAUUAAAAUUUUAAAAGAGCAGAUAGUUAAUUUAAUAUAGCCCAUAAUUGAAAUAAGUUUGCAUAAAAUAAACAAACUAAACAUGUAAAAAGAAACAAUAUAUUAAAGUUUUAAUUUUAUUACCCAACAUUUCAAUAUAUUUAUCAGUUUGGUUAUAAUGCUAUUGAUAAUACUAAAUACGUGGCGCUAGUUCUAUAUAUAUAGUGUGGGUGUGGAAAUUUAUAAUUUAUUAUCGGAAUGCAUGUUGCAACUUCUAAUUGGAGUUCCAUGUAUAAAAUCAUUCCAUUGGACGAGACUAUCUACAUCUUUCAAAUCCAUAACCAAGCCAAAACUGUUGCAUGAAUUUAUAUCCAAGCAAAUUGAUGUUUGACACUUGAUUGUGUUGGGGAUCAACAAAUUAAAGUAAAUCGAAAUAAUAGUAAAUGUAUGUAAAUAGUUAAAGAAAUUUCAAUUCAAACGCUUUAACACUCGUGGCAUAUAUUUCGCUGUUCUUUCCAAAAUUAGUAAUGUUCCGAAACUUUGACUUUUAUUUACGCUCGUGUUGCAUGUGAUGCAUGUGAACGGCAACAAAUAAACUAAAUAGCGAUUUUACCUAACAUUAGUGAUGAUGACAGGUUACAAACAAAACUUUUUCGGAAUAUCAUAAUCUUCAGGAGUAUAUAAUUGGUUGAAUUAAAGAUCAAACCGAAUUGAACAUAUUAAAUUUUCGGUCCUUAGAUGAAGUGUGGAUGAAACGAUGUACGAUUAGAAUGAUAGUAAUUCUCAAGAAUUAAGUGGGUGGUUGGUUGAAUAGUAUGAUUUAAUGGAUGAAAAUAAUUAAAAGAGUAAAUCUAGUGAUAGAAAACUUAGUAGUAUCAAAUGUUUGGUGCUAUCGAUAGCAUUGUAGUAUUAUAUAUAUAUAUAUAUAUCUAUAUUUAUACUAUAUAUAAAAGUGUAUAGAAAUUCCGACAAUUAAUGACAGACGGAAUCCAAAAAGAAAUAAAAUAAUAUUCCUUACGAAUAGUUAUAAUUAAUUUGUUAAAAAUAUCUCAAAUAAAAGUUCUUUUUAUCGAUUAUUUUUCUUCUGCUCACAUGAGCACAUUUACUUGAAAAUACAUAAUGAGAUAUUCGUCGAAGGCCAGUUUGAACUUGUUUUACUCAGGUAAGAAGAAAAGUUAUAACCGCGAUGCAGAACUUUAGCAUGAUUUGAAAUCACUAUCUGAAUUUAAAAUGAUAUAACAUCAUCUGAAUAUAUAUAUAUACUUAACAAUAUACUUACAAUUGAGCAUAUGAUGUUUUCACAUUUCAGGAUAUGAUCCUAAAUUAAUUCUUCCCAGGUGCAGAGAAAUCUUGGACUUUUUAUUCUUCCAAAAAUGAUGGUAACUUCCAAAAGCAAAAGCAAAAGCAAGUCAUAUGAUGCAGUGCUUAAUGCCAAAAGGGAUUUAGAUGCAACAAUAUUGAGUAUAAUUGAAUAAUGGUAAUGCAGUGCCUUAAUUAUUAUAAAUAAACUAAAUAGUACCUCUUGUGGUGCACGUUUAGAAAUCAUGCAUGCAAAUGAAUAACCAACACUUAAAUAAUCAAUUUUGUAGGUUUUGAAGGGAUUAGAAUUGAUUGAUUUCGCGAAGAAAAUAGUACAACAAAAAAAAAAAAGAUGAUGGCGUGGUGAUGAAGAGCUAAAAGAUGUGCUACGGGCCACCAUCGUGAGCGAUAGAAAAUACUUUGUUUUUAUUUUGAGCACUUACUUAGCUUGAGCGAAAACUAUCAAUUAAACAUUGCACUAACAAAUUUAAAAUUCUUCUUUAUUUUUUUUUGUAGAUGUCUACAGGCUACAUACAUACGCACUACUCACUCGAGUAUGUAGAGAGAAGUACUUUCUAAUUAAGUCCCUUAGGUAGCAGUGAUGAGUUACUUAACUAUUGAAAAGAAUAUUAUUAAUAAGAUAAACUUCAACCCCCAUAUAUAUAUAUAUAUAUAUAUAUGGGGGUUGAAGUUUAUCUUAUUAAUAAUAUUCUUUUCAAUAGUUAAGUAACUCAUCACUGCUACCUAAGGGACUUAAUUAGAAAGUACUUCUCUCUACAUACUCGAGUGAGUAGUGCGUAUGUAUGUAGCCUGUAGACAUCUACAAAAAAAAAUAAAGAAGAAUUUUAAAUUUGUUAGUGCAAUGUUUAAUUGAUAGUUUUCGCUCAAGCUAAGUAAGUGCUCAAAAUAAAAACAAAGUAUUUUCUAUCGCUCACGAUGGUGGCCCGUAGCACAUCUUUUAGCUCUUCAUCACCACGCCAUCAUCUUUUUUUUUUUUGUUGUACUAUUUUCUUCGCGAAAUCAAUCAAUUCUAAUCCCUUCAAAACCUACAAAAUUGAUUAUUUAAGUGUUGGUUAUUCAUUUGCAUGCAUGAUUUCUAAACGUGCACCACAAGAGGUACUAUUUAGUUUAUUUAUAAUAAUUAAGGCACUGCAUUACCAUUAUUCAAUUAUACUCAAUAUUGUUGCAUCUAAAUCCCUUUUGGCAUUAAGCACUGCAUCAUAUGACUUGCUUUUGCUUUUGCUUUUGGAAGUUACCAUCAUUUUUGGAAGAAUAAAAAGUCCAAGAUUUCUCUGCACCUGGGAAGAAUUAAUUUAGGAUCAUAUCCUGAAAUGUGAAAACAUCAUAUGCUCAAUUGUAAGUAUAUUGUUAAGUAUAUAUAUAUAUUCAGAUGAUGUUAUAUCAUUUUAAAUUCAGAUAGUGAUUUCAAAUCAUGCUAAAGUUCUGCAUCGCGGUUAUAACUUUUCUUCUUACCUGAGUAAAACAAGUUCAAACUGGCCUUCGACGAAUAUCUCAUUAUGUAUUUUCAAGUAAAUGUGCUCAUGUGAGCAGAAGAAAAAUAAUCGAUAAAAAGAACUAAAACUAAACAAAAGAAAACACUUUUUUUUUUUUUCAGAUCUCGUUUGGUUUUGUUCAUGAAUCCCUAAAUAGUGAAAACUGAAAUUUCUAGUUUGAUUACCGAUUGUAUCUAGCAUAAUUGGCUAAGAAUUUAAUGUUUAGUAUUCGGGAUCUCAAGUUCAAAAUCUAAUUAUUUUAGUGUUUUAACUGACUUUUUUUUAAUAAAAAUAUGCCGUCGCAGAAAAAUUUUGAUUCCGAUUAGUCCCCCUUUGAUCUGCCCCCCUUCACUUUCUCUCUCAGAUCUCCACAGCUGCUCCCGCCAUCAACACCGCCGCGAACUGUUUUUUUUUUUUUUUUUUCCUCCCCUCUGUUUGCUUUUUGCAUGGAGUGAUUUAUUUGAAUUAUUCAAACAGUAUAUUUCGUUGAAUUUGUUUAUUUUUUCGUAUAUCAUAGAUUUAAUUCACAUUUGAUUACGUAGAAAAUAUUUGAAAAAAAAUUAUCUUUCUACUUAGAGAAACAGUACAGUCGACUUGAAAUAGCCUCUAAAAAAAAGAAAGAGAGAGCAGUUACUGUAUAGAGCCCUGCAUUAAUGUGGGCCACAUUGGGUUAUUGGAUCAAUGGCCCAGCGCAGGCCUAUUUUGAGCCCCUCUAAUUCACAUCUCUUCCAACUAAAAAGGCCCGUAUUUAUACAACUCCGUUUCCUUGUCGUCCUCUUCCUGCGAUUCCGCACUAUAAUCGUCGUCGUCGUCGUUGUCGUCGUCGUCGUCUCUCCGACGAGGUCGCCAUGGACGAGGUUGCGUUAGCUGUGGAGGGCCUGAAAAGGGAAUGGGACGAAACCGCGGCGCAAAUCCGAGAGCGGAUCGCGGCGAUCGAGGGUUGCGGGAGAUCCGGGAGGGGGACGGAGGAGGCGAACUCGCUCCCGCGGUUGAACGCCUCGGCGCAGGACGGGCUCGCCUCGCUCAGAUCGAUGCAGUGCAAGCUCGAUCUCCUCGCCCAGCAGUUGCCCACACCAGACGAGGUGCAGCGUGGCCAAUCCACUCUAGAGUCCUGGAAGGAACAGUACAACAAGUAUGUUUGUUCCUCUUGCAAAUCAUUUUUAUUAUUUUCCCUUUUUUUCUUCAAGAUCCUAGUGAAUUUUGGCUCGUUGACACUCUUAAUCGUUGGAAAUUUGGAAGGGGAAAAAGAAAAACCAACCCUAAUUUUUGCGAGAUUUUCGGGCUAAUUAUGGUCCGUGACACUCAUUUGGCCCUUACAAUUUCAUGUUUAUCCCUUUCCUUUCUGAAUCGUAAGAUAAAUUUGAACAAAUUUAGGGGGGUUUGAGUGGGGUGGCUGAUUGAAACGGAUUGAGAGUUCGUAUAGUUUUUCUUUUAAGUUUUUAAAGUUCGGGUCAAUAAGUAUAAUCCGGCCGAAGUUUGUUUAAUCAGGUCCAACAUUUCUAUUUUUUUUUCUUUUUUCAUGGAUUAAUUUCUCACAUUUUUCCUAUGUUGAUGUUUGUAGGCUGCAUAUGAGCUUGAGGAAUGCGAAUCUGCAGGCGAAACAGAACAUCAGGAAAGCUGCUCAAGAAGAAGUACGUUUCUCUCUUCUUAAACCUGGAAAUCAUGAGACGCCGCGUAUUGAGAUGCAUGAUGUCAUUUUACGUCCACCACUAAGUUUUGGAGUAUAAUUUUGUCCAUGUGCAUCUUAAUCGUAUGUCUGGGUUACUCACUUUUGUUCACUAUUGUUGAAUUUUACACUGGGAUAUGCCCGUGUGAUUUAAUUGUGUAGUCCAAUGAAAUUGUUUAUUUCAUUCUUCAUUCUUCCAUCGGAGUAUCUAAGAUCAUUCUAAUUAUUGGUAUCAAACUCUUUUUUAACAGAGAGAGCUGCUUUUAGGAGGUGGGGAAGAGUCUACCAUCCGCAGACGUAAUUUACAGUACGUUGAGCUGUCAAGUGAAAAUUUUUCCAUUUAAAAUUACAACAUUUAGAUGUUCAUGUAGUCCGAACGAAUGUUUUUUGCGGAAGCCGUCCUUUACUUGGUCUUUGAAUUUUACAAACCUGUUGAUUUGGAUUAUUUCUACUACCAGAACAAUUCCCGUUGUUUAUGGCGGUUGGUACGCAAUGUCGCUUGUUAAUAACCAUUCUCGGAAUGCUAAAAAUAUUCAACAAUAGCAACAGCUCUAAUGCUGACUGUCAGCUAUAAAAUGAUUUUAACGGUUCAUUGCGGAAAUUCAAAGUAGAAGGUCCUUAAUACCCGGUAGUCCUGAUGAUCUCCAUCAUAGGCUUCAUUUAGGGUGAUUUUGAGAAUUUAGUUGCUGAAAAAAUUGCUAGAUACUCAGUUCAAUAGUAGGUAGUUUUGGUAGAAAAAUGCUCUCUUUGGCUUCUUGUUACCAAGUGAGAAACCAUGAUUAGCAUUUAAUCGAUGCUUAUUUAGGACAAAGGCCGGGAUGACUUCUGCUGCAGAAAGUAUCACUGAGAGCCUCCGCCGGACUCGUCAGCUGAUGGUUCAGGUAAAAUAAGCUCUGCGAGCUCUCCUUGAAAUUUUAUAAUCUUUGAUCUUUCUCAGGGUUAGUAUUAAUCUUAAAUGCUUUUGCAGGAGGUGGAAAGAAGUUCUAGCACAUUAGCAACCUUUGGUAUGACUCCUCCUUUUGCUAAGUAGAUUUACUUGCUAGUCACAUGCUUCCAUGAAAGUAAUAUUAGCUUGCUGUGGUUUCUCAUGGUUUGGUUAAAGAAGAUCUUAUAGCAUGGAUGUAUUGAUUAUGUAAUCCGGAAGCAGAUAAGCGCUGUUUCCUUGGAAGAGAAUGAGAGGAAAUUUUUUGUAGGUUGGAAAAAGGCUUUGGAAGCACCAUGACUAUUUCCUUCAAUCAUGUAUGAGAUUUGCCUGGAGAAGUUCAGCAAGCUUCCUUUGCCAAAUGACUUAAUAAUUUCUCAAAUUUUAUAUUCAGGAUUCCUAAUAGAAUGUAUGGUGCCCAGUGGCGAGUACUAUUGGAUUUCAAUAUUGUGCAAAUUGAUUAGUAUCUGAUGUUAAUGCUCCAUGCAAUUAAUGAGGAUGAUUGUGUCUCAUGCCUACAAGUAUAUCUAUUCAACUUAGACUUUCUGGUUCUUCAAUCUUUGUAGAACUAUUGCAUAUCUCGGAAUUACAGAUCCAAGUUGAUGAUAAAUUUAACUUUGGGAAACCUAGCAGCGUAGAGGAGCUACUUGUUUGUAAUUUGGUAUGUAUUAAUUGAAUAAGAAGAUAGAAAAUAAGAAACAAACUAUUUGCUGUAUUUCAAAGUUUACAAUGGGAAGAGUCUGUGGAGAACACCUCAAAAUGGACUAUCAAGAAGAAAUGUGUGAAAGAAGGCAUUCCUAGAUAGUAACAGUUCCAUGACUUUAUAAUAUGUCAUUGAUUGGACAUAAUUCAAACUUCCUAGGCUUGAGCUGUCUGCUGUUUAUCUCUCCUAUUUUACUUGAUAGGCCUAAGAUCUUCUUUUGCAACUCAUGUUAAGACAGCUCAUUUUCUUAUGCAUUUGAAAGUUGGCGAUAAUGUUCAGUUUUAUAUUUUACGACUAUUGAACCACAGUUAACUGCUGCACUUUUGUCUUGCAUUCUUUUUUAUUUAUCAGAGGAAUCAACAAGUGUCCUAAGGAAGGCUGAGAGCGAGUACAAAGGGCAUCGCUCUUUGCUGAUGCGUACCCGCCGCUUGCUCUCCACAAUGCAGCGUCAGGAUGUUAUUGACAGGUGAGCGUCUUUCAAUUUUUCAUAAGUCAAGUUUAUGCAUGCAGCUGACAAUUUUUUAUAGUGAGAAGAUACUUUAAUCAGAGCUCAGUUUAUGGGUCGCAUCUGCAAUCAACAUGACUAACUGUCAUUUCCAUGUAACAGGGUCAUUCUGGUAAUUGGGUUUCUCAUAUUCUUGUCUGUGGUGUUGUAUGUUGUCUCGAAAAGGAUUGGCUUGUUGACGUUACAAAGGAAACUUGUGGCUGCUAUUAGAUCAGGUUCAAUAGCAAAUGAACAUGUCAUUCAAGAUGUCCAGAGAUUGGCAGUGGGAACCCAGGAUAAUGCAGUUCCUCAUGCGGAAAUUCCACAUGUCUAUGAUGAACUAUGAAUAGGUGAUUUCAACAGUUAUUGGAUUUAUGAAUAUUUCCUCUGUAGGCAGUUUAAAAAUUAUGCAGGCACCUUUUUGUACAUGAGAAGGCUUGUAUCCUGUAAUACAUAACAUCUAGGCAGUUUAAUCAAAUUGGUAUCUCUCGUUGAGCAUCUGUAUGAUAUCCUCAUAGUCUGAUGCCUAUUCUUUCAUAUGAGAGUGGCAAACUUUCGGGAUUUGUACACAAACAAAUCCCUGCUUUGCAGUAACAUUUUUUACUCCUAAUUAUAUUAUCUCUAUAAAACCUUUUAUUCUAAGUGUUUUCGAAAUGAAAGCAUCUGCUGUGUUUCUAUGGAAGAGCUGGAUUUUCUGUUAUUUUUCGCUUUCUUCAGGUAUAUAUCGUGUGAUAGUGAACCUUUUUCUGCUUUCCUUCCACUCCUUUUGAUGAUUAGACGCGACAUAAUACCCUAGCUAGUAGGAUAAGUUGGAUGAUGAAGCAACUUGGUUCUUUUGACCAAAAAUGUUGCUUCCUGUGUGCAUUAAAGUUCGUCAUACUAGUAUUUCUCUCAGCAUGGCCACAAUAUGCUUUUCUUCUCACUUUGCCCUCUUAAAUUAAUCGAACUCGUGGUGUAGAAAGUGUUUUUAGAUAUCUACAUUGUUCGAUUCUGUAAGGUGAUAACAUUGUACAUAUCUGGCUCUUGCAAUUCUCUGCAGUUUCUGAACUAUGUUUGGGGUUCUCUUAUUUCGUUGCAUUCGCUAAUUGACUGUUACAAUACAAAAGCUUCCGCAAAGGGAAUUCCAAAAAUCAAAAUCAUAAGUUAUAUGAUCAUUCCUUAAAAAAGGGGGAAAAAAAAUACUUACAUGAUAUUUCUUAACAGUAAGUGAAAUGAGCAACUAUGAGGGAAAAACUACAGUACAAGUUUUACGACAGAAGCGGUUUUUCGAUGUCCUCAGUUUGCUGUGUUAAUACUGUUGAAGUCUCUUCUGAGGUAGGAAGAAGUAAUCCUUCUUUCUUCUUUGCCCACAAAACUAUGUACAGACCGAAAAAUAGAACUAGUAUUCCUGCUAAGCUGCAGCAGAACAUACCGAGUUAGUCGAUAUUGAUCAGAAGCGUUAUGAUUAAUAUUUUCUUUUUGACUUGUAGGUCUCUUUAUUUGGUUGGAGACAGAAAAGAGGAAGAGAAAAGAAUGUUUCAGCUUUUCAGUUUGGAAUGAGACUCAAAAAAUAAAGAUAACUGGAGAGAAAAUAAACACUAUUAAAGACCCAUUUUUAUUUCUCUUCAUUUCUCUACUUUAUUUUCUCCUCUCCUAUUAUUCUCACCCAAUCACAAAGAAAAUAAAAUUCCAAUGAUCUUCUUAUUAGAUGUGAUUUACAUUCAUACCUUCCUGGUUGUAUGACUUGCCCUAAAAAAAUUGCUGAGAGGAUUGCUGUACCCACAGUUUGAGUGGGGCUAAACAUGGAGACAAUCACUGGCCCCUUCCUCUUCACAGCCCACGUUUGAAAUGCAACACAUACAGAGCUCAUCAUGCUCCCCUGCAUAAUAUACCAUAACAUGAAAAAGGUGAAUUGCGCUGAGUUUUACUUUUGGUCCCCGGUUAAUUUAGCUGUAUGCUUUUGAAACUAUUCCAUUUUAGUCCUCGCUGUUACUUAAAUUUGUAUCAUUCAUUGAGUUGCAGUAUUUUCUCGACUUAAAAGUUAUACAAUCAGUCAAAAAGUAUCAGAUAGAUGAAGGAUCAUUUUCAGCAAAAUGAUUUUCCAGUAAAGAAAGAAACUAAAGUGAAAGUAACAUGUUCUUCAAUACCAAAAGAAUCAGGGCAACAACGCUUGUGAGGCUGAUGACCGGAGAUCCCAUCUCUAUUCUCCCUUCACUUAUAAUUUGUGCGAUUGCAGUGAGAACUGCGCCUAUCAUCGAUGUUACGGCACAUAAUGUGAACGGUGCAGGGAAAUGUACCAUGGUUGCGGCCUGUAGUAAUUGCAACAAAUUCAUGUUUAAGCUCCACUUAUAGAACUGAUUAUUUUAAAAUGCAUCUAUUCCUGAUGGAUUAAAAACAACGCGGGCAUAAAUUCUAUGAAUCAAAUUGUAGUGAGGUUUCAAGGAGACCAGGAUAUCGAUCGAUCGAUAAAUAACCUGCAGAACAGUGUUACAGGAAACGACGAGGACUGCGGCGAGAAGACACCCGCAGCCUACGACCCAUUCGUGAUAGACGGUUUGAGGCGCCAGUCCGCUGCUGCUCGCAACCGGAGAUCUCGGAGCUGCGUGAACUGGUGAAGUUGAAGAAGGGCUUUGUAGGAAGCUCAUAGUUAUGGCUCCACCCAAGCAUAACAAGGUGCCCAGUAUCUUGACUCUUGUGUACAAACACUUCAUGUCAACCUUCUCAAACCUGCAUAAUAUGAAUAUCUGAUCAGUUAAAUGCGUACAGGACAAUACUGUAUAUAUUUAGUAGAAUCUGCGGAUCUUUAUAGUUAACCUGAGACACGCGGCGAUGACGAAGAUGAAGCCCGGAGCUAAGUUGGGCAUGGCGGCGGCAAUGGCUGGUGAUGUCUUCUUCAUCCCCAGCAGCAUGAGACCUUGGAAUGCCGUCACCCUGAAACAAAUAUUAUGUUUUUAGCAAUCGUUAAAUUUGAAAUUCUAAACAAAAGUUAAUGUUUUCGAAGAUGACUCAUAUUAACACUUCAUGGUAAUAUGUACUUUCAAAUAAAACCAUAUUAUUAAAAUUAUAGUAUAAAACUACAACAUUUGUAAGAAACAAAUGCACGUUUGUUCAUGCGAAAUAAGCAAAUUCCUUACCCUCCCAGAGCGAGCAACGCGAAUUGAGCCAUCAACAUGGGGCUUAUUCUUGAAGGCCAUUUCUUCCUACGUAAAAAAUUGCACAAGCAUAUACAUAUAGCAAAAAACCAACAAAGUAUUACAAAUUAAAAACUAGCUAAUCGUUAAAUUAUAUAAGUACUUUUCGAAGGCGACGGCGAAGGGGAAGGUGAAGACGGAGGUGGCCAAGCUCCCGAAGGCGACGAGGAAGAGUGGGUUGAGGCCGAGGGAGAGGAUGGGGGCGAGGAGGACCAUGUAGGCGGCGCCGAUGAGCUGCACCGCGACAAGGCCGCAGAUGAUGAGGGAGUCCUCCAAGAACCCACAGCCACUCCCGAAUGGGGAGGGGGACGCGGAGGCGAAGGCGAAGGCGAAGGAUCCUCCUCCCGGGAUGUUGUUCCUCGCCUCCCGCGGGGAGUCACGGUGCGCCGACCCCCCCGGCAGCGACCGCCGCCUCGUUGGCAGCCCCACGAUGGCGCCCCCGGAGAGCGGGGAGGAGGGGAGGGGAGGAUAGGGGAGAUAGCCUUCGGUAUAUUCGUUCAUGCCGCAAUUCCCUCUCUCUCUCUCUCUCUCGGACACAGUUACUCUCUCUCUCUCUUCCUUUCUCUAACUAACUUGCGGUUUGAAAAACCGUUGGAUACCAGUUUUUCUCGUGGAACGAGUUGGGAAAAAGUUACUGAGAAGGCCAGGUCCACCACGCCGGUCGAUGAACCGAUUCAUAAUAUUUCUCAUACCUUAAAUUUUAAAAUCUAAAAAUCUAAAAAUAAAUCAUUCCAUUGUAAAUGAUCCUGCAUGAAAAACCCGAAAGAAUGGACUACUCUGUGCUGGGAAUGAUGUAAGUGUAAUUCGGUGUAAAUCAAGUCUACUAGAAAUAGAAAUUUUGAUUUCACUGCUAAUCAUAUUAAAAUCAUGAGACCUAUCAUUGCGCCAUAAACUGCAUUUCGAUUAUUUUGACAGUAGUUCUCGAGAAACUGAGCUCACAAUCUGAGCUUUGCAGUGACUAAUGACUAAGCUAAUUUUUUUUUUCUUUAUAAAUUAAAUUUGUUGGCGAAUUAUAAUCACAACGAGGAGAGCAUGCCACAUAAAAAUGAACUAAACAGGGAUUAAUGGAUGCUAAACAAUGGGAGUAAUGGGCCGGCCCACAACUUGAUUGGACUUGUACACACAGCGGAAGUGGGCUAGUCCGGGUCCUCACACUUGUGAAUAUUUUUAGAGUGGGCCGGCCCAUUAUGGCAGCUUAUUGGUGGAGGUAAAUGGGUUGGGCCUAUGUAUGUGUCGUUGUACACCGCUUUUCUCGGAUGGUGCUGCCGAGAUGGAAACAAGCCAUUGAAUUUUAGACAGCAUAUAGUAGCAACCGUACUGCAGUUGUAAGUUGUAACUACAUAUAAAUAUAAAUUCGGUAUUUGAUUUGAUAUAUUUAACUCCAACUUUUGUAGUAGAAACUAUAGAAAAAGAUUCAACUGUAGCAGUUAGAACUACAUCCAAAUACCUCCUGAUUAUUUUUUAAAUAAAAAAUAUUUUUUAAAAAAAAUUGGAGGUAAUAUCUUUAUCAUAUAUAUAAAAUAAUAAAAUUUAAAAAAUUAUUUCUCAACUACAUAUUACCAAACAAAUUAUUUAGUUGCAGCGCUUUCAAUUACAUCCAACCAAAUAGGAUGCAUGUAGUUGCAACUGCUGAAUUUACAACUGAAUGCAUCUCCAACUAUACUAUAUUUAUAAUUAUAUCAAACGAAACUGUCCCUUAAUGUCACACAACGCAGGGACUGAAUUACUCAAAUAAAAUUACAUUGAUUGAUCUCAUAUUAUAUAUAUAUAUAUUCCUUAAAAAUUCGCCACUUUAUGGCUUCAUAUAAAGUGAUUAAUUUAUUUCAAUUUAUUUACAAUAUGACCUAAAAAAGAAUUAUUAUUAUUAUUGUAAUAAAAUAAAAAAAAAAAGGUUCUUCACACAUUUUAUCGCUUCGCUAACAUGUGGACCAUAGAACCGUGACCUAUCAAGGUCUGAUCAUAAACACGUCCAGCUGGCGAGCGCUGACGUGGCAAUCUGCUUAGCUGGGGCCGUGGUUUGAAGCCGCUGCCGCAUUAAUUUUCUGCGCUACGGGACUCGAGCGAGCUGGUUCAAUUCUCCGCUGCUGGCUGUUGUUGUGUUUCUCUCCCGCGAAGUGAUCAUUUCCCCGCCGCACAUAAUACGCGCCUUCAUGAGCCACCUCUCGAUCUGAUACCCGCCUCCGAAACUCACUUCCCUCUCCAAGUGCCUGCAGUAGCUCUCGAACACGCUCACGCUCACGUUCAGCUUAAACCCCAUCAAGAACAGCAACUCCACUUCCAACCCGUUCAAUUCCUGCGUUUCCAAUCCCCCGAUCUUCGCGAAGUAAGAGUUCGGAUAGUUCCUGCUUCCGGCAGAUCAUCGAUGAUCAUUCCAUCGCUGAAUUUAAUUUAAAAAUUUUAAAAAUUUUGAAAAACUUCGGAGAGAUCUAGAGAUCUUACAUGUCCUCGACGAAUUUCGAAGCCACCAUAAUGGAAGUAGUGAGAAUCCGAUGAACAUUCGUGGACACGAUUCGGAACCCUGGGUUGGACCUGCACAGCCGGUCCAUGUACACGUACGCCACGACGUAGAUCGGCGGCGACACGCGGGCGUAGCGGAAGAUCCUCUCCAAGAACGAACUGAUGCUCAUGUCGAGAACCCUGUCGCAUUCGAAAACGCGGGCUCUCGCGUCGUCGGAGCCCGCGUCCCCUCCGCCGCGCCUCUCGCUCCGCGCAAUUGCGCGCUCCAGAAGCGAGGCGAGGACGGAGAUCACUAACGGCGUUCGCGGCGCUGCGUCGUCGGCCGCGAACCCGUAGAGAUCACUUCUUAGCCUAGUGGGAGAGAUUGAAAUGAUAUCAGAGCCCAUUGUAAGCGAGAUUGGUUAAGUAAGAUAUUUAGAUGCCGUGAUUGCUACAUCCAUAUACAUGUAUGAGAGAGAAGGAAUUAAUAGAGAGAUAAAAAAGCGGGGGUGUGACAUUUAUUUACAAAUGGAAGGAAAUGAGAGGUAACGAAACGAAAUGAUGUAUUAAUGAUAGGAUGGAGAUACGGAGUUGGUUGGGAUGUGAGAAAACGACAACAAAAUGGACCUUUCCUGCACCUUCCUUCAAAGCAUUUAUAUAUAUAUUUAUGCUCUUUAAUAUAUUUUUUUCUCUCUCAGAAAAAAAAUAUUUUUUUAUUUAUUUGAUAACAUAUAUUUGUUUAUUUAUUUAUGAGCUAUUUAUGUUUAGAUAGAUGCGUUCCACCGAAGGUGCUGUUAAGAGGCCCGACUCAUGUGGGUUGGAGUUGGUAGUACGGACAAAGUUUCUAUAAUGUGUCACUCAUGCAACGCUUCUUUUUUUUUUCUUCUUUUGCUUUUCCCCAUGGUACCCGAAUAAUAAGAAAUAUUUUUGAAUAAUUUAUUCAGAAUAAAAGAUAAAAAAAUUAAAUUUAUACUCCUUAAAAAAAGCCUUAUUAUUUAUAAUUUUGUAGAAUAACAUAUUUUAUCUAUAAAAUAAUUUAUUUUUAAAAAAAUAAUUCAAAAUUCAAAUAUAUUAUUCUAAAUUCUAAAUAUUCGGUCUUUUUUUUUCAUUCUAAAUAUGUUAUUCUAUUAAUUAACACCGCCUCUUCCGCUACUUGCUUGCUCAUGAGGGAUCCAUUUGUAACAUUGCUAUAGAACUUUGGCAUAUUCUGGUACAUUGAAUUAAUAAUUUUCUAAAUAUCUGGCUCAAGUUGUAGUAUGGUGGUAAAGUGUUCAAAUAGCAUUAUAUAUAUAUAUAUAUGCUAUAUUUUGGCUAAACAUUAUCACCACAUUUGGCAAUCCCAAAAGUUAAGAAUUUAUAGGAGUUAAAAAUCUAAGUUUCCUAACUUGCUCUGUUUGGCAAUACUACUUUGUAUGAUUUCAGUUUGUUCGGAAAGGUUUGGUGAAAUUUUUUAAAAUAAAAUCAAACUCCAAAAUUAAAAUACAAACACAAUUUAAUAAAACAAGUUUCUUAGAUUUGAUUCCAAAUACAAUAUGCAUUUUCCAUAUCAGAAUUUUUCUUUAUAUAUAUAUAUAUAUAUAUAUAUAGUGAUAGUGUAGGGCUACUAUGCUAUCGGAAGCAUAGCGAAUCGGAUGCUUCCAACUUUUUAACCAUUGGAUCAAAAAUUAUACGAUUGAGAUGAUUGCGGUUUCUCUGGGGUUGAGUAGUACCCCUAAGAUUGAGUGGUCCCCACAAGUUAAUAGUAUUAAUCCAAAUGUUAGAAAUGAUUAAAAGAGUUGAUCUAAGGGCUAAAAAAUCGGAAGCAUCAGAUUCUCUGAUUCUGAUAGUAUAGUAGCUUUACUCUAUAUAUAUAUAUAUAUAUAUAUAUGGCUCUUAUUUUUUGUUGUUGGUGGAAAUUAAAUAGGUUGAAUAUUAGGAAAUUAAACAAAUACGAUGUAGCCAUGUAUUAGUCAACUUGUUGAUUAAACCAACAAUUUGCAAUCUAAUAUUUUAUUUCGGAACCCCAGUUUUUUCAUGCGCAUCAUGUAUGCCAUGAAUUUUGACAAAUUGAUUGUUUAACUAAUACCUUAACUUAUUGAAUAAUAAUAUUGCGCAUUUAGAUUAUCCGCGCGCGCAACUUGAGCACAGUUUGGCCACUAGUAAUUCUCAGCCAUUAUUUUAGUUUCCUCUCAUUGCGGAUUUGUUUUUAUGGCCACUCCAGUGCUAAAAAUUUCGUUUUCCAUUGAUAAAAAAAAAAAACUUUAUUUUCUUUAUCAUUUAUUAUGGUAGGGACUGAUAAUCUGCUAGUACGUAAAAUAAAAAGCGACUCCAAACUGACACUUAGUUGUUUUUAUGACUAUCAAUAGUUACAAGAUAAUAAUAGGCCAUAAAUUAAUGCACAACAGGAGGUCAACUAGGUAAUGCCCAAUUCUCUUAAUGGCCCAAUCCAAUCCCAACCAUUUAAUACUGCACAAACCAAACCAGAACUAAGCCCAAUAAAAUGGUUCAUGGGCUGGGCCACAAUCAGUCCAAAUCUAGCCCGAUAAAGAACGCUCUGUUGAACACAUUAAAAAUCGUAAAAUUUGAUAAAAUGUGGUGAGGUUCCGAAAAUUAUGUUUAAAUUGGUAAUUAAGUUCAUUUAGCAACAACAAGCGCGUAACAUCGUGUUCUUGUGUAUGUUUUUAUUCACCCAGUGAAUUAUUUGCUGUAGUAUUUUUACCAAAUAAAACUUCAUAAAUUGCUUUUAUAUUCUUCGAAAAGUUCCUGAAUCCCGUGACCACGAAUGGUCCAAACUCGAUAGGUCGAAUCUCGUCGUUGGGUUACACGGGUCCAUUGGCACCACAAAAGCAUAUACCCACAAUAUAGAAUGGUCCAUGCAUAAAUCACGAGCGUUGUCGCGUUCUAACCUCCGCUUCACAUGAAGUAGCAAUCACUUGUUAGUUAUUUUGUAACGUUCUCAACGAAAUAAUGUGAAGCACAUAUUAAAAAAAAGUAUAUAUAAAGGGGAGAAAAAAAAAAAAAGGUUAAGCACAUGUUGAUGAUAGCGACGUGGAGGGGAGGGCACGCAAGCGCCUCCUCUUCUUAAUUUCUACAAUCUUUUAUUCCUUUGUUGGAGAUAACACUUGCGCCACCACACAAUAACUAGUGUAUUAAUAUAAGCCAUAAGAGUGCUUGGUACAUUAAUUCUUAGUUAUGUAGCUCGAUUCAUUUUUGGGACAAUUACUGGAACUAGUUGCUGUAGUUCACGAUGGACCGGUAUGUCGAGAGGGGUUGCCAGUCGGCCGGAAUGACGUUCGAGGCGACGAGGGUCUUCCCGGAAGUGAGAGUGGAGAGCCGGAUCGAGAACGGGCCCUGCAACGCGUGGUCCGAAUCCAACCGCCAUAUCGCGCCCCACGACUCGCGCAUCGGAGUCCACGUGCCUGCGGUAGGGCCGGCGCCCUCCAUGAGGUCAACCGAUGCCAGGUCUCCGUCCCCGUCCUCGUACUCGAUCAGGAUCGCAAAGUAGACCGGGUUCGAGCCUUCCUCGACGUGGAAGGCUAUGUUGAGUCCCGGGUAGUUGCAGGGCACUCUGCGAAUUUAAACAAAUCGGGGAGGUUUGUUACCUAAUUGGCUCACAUUUCUAGUUUCAGGGUCUGGAGUUUGAACUUACGACCUCUUUAGCUCAACUCUGAUGUCUUAUUUCUGGAAUACUAGUGGUUUGGACGGUUACGUGAAUACUCACCGAGUGUAUUGUAUUUGGAGCUUUCCUGCGUGGCGAAGCUCGUCCUCACGGCCGGGCUGCGCCAUGGACCCGAACGACGUCCCGCUCAUGUCGAAAUGGACGGGUGCGUCGAGGCAGACUCCGUCGAGGCAUGCGUCGGUGAUGGUGAUGGUCGAGGGUUUGCCGGAGCAGGCGGGAUGGCUCGUGCAUUUCACCUGAUUAUUUGUUUAAUUAAUUUGAUUAGUUAAGCGGAUUUAACACACUGUUAUAGCUAGAUUUGAGAUUUUAAAUAACAAAUUACAUGUCUAAAUUGACCUGAUAGCAAGCUCCGCAUCCUUUUCCGGAUUUGAAUAUAGUAGGAUUCCCACAUGCUGUCAUUGAUGAAAAGGGGGGUAGGUUCACAUUUUUGAAGCCACAUCCACCACCUGGUUUAAGAAACUAAUUACCAAUUAUCCAAUAUUCAACUACGUACGUAACUCCUAUUUAUACACCCACAAUGUAGUAUAAAAAAAAAAAAAAAAAUUCUCUCUUUACAAACCAUUUCUACCUCAAAUAUCGAACAAAUUAAGGAGAUUAUACACACACAAACAUAUAUGUAUAUAUUACCAUUAUCGUCGGGUCCGGCACCGGUGGGUGCACCGUACCAGGUCACGCUCGCCGGACCCCAGCUCGAGGGAGCAUCGGAGUAGUUUAAUCUUUUGUACUCAGAACAAGAACAAGAAUUGAACAGUGAGAUUAAUGCAAGCAAAGCAAUGUAGUAAACUAUGGAGGAGGCUUGUUUGUGAAGAGGAAGAGCCAUACUGAUGGGGCUCUUUCACUGAGCAAAAGAGGCAGUAUUAAUUGUGGAGAAUAUAGAGUUUAAUGGGGUUUUGGUUCAUAAGUGUGCGCACAUUGAAGGGCAAUUUAUAGGGAAAAAAAACUGGCGAUAGAGCGUGCCAAGUUGGGUUCACAUGCCUAAUAGAAAUCAGGAUAAGACAAUUUGUAGCCUCGCAUGAGCGUGUAUUAAAACUAAGUAAAAAUGCACAAAACUUGCUAUAAAUUAUUUCUAAAUGGGCUUCCAAUUUUUUAAAAUUUUGAUUUUAUUUUAAUCUUUCAACUUGCUUGAUAUGAAUCAAUCAAUAACAUUUUGACCUGAAAUUUAAAUUUAUUAUUUAUCUUUACAGAUUUAAUUAGUAUAUUUUAUAAAUUUUGCACAUAAAUUUAUAAAAAUAAUUAUUAAUUUAAAUUUUAAAGUCAAAAUAAUAUUGACCGACUAAAACAAAAUAAAUUAAAAAGUUAGAUACUAAAUCAAAACUUUGAAAACUCAAAUAGCAGACUCAAACUUGUAUAUAGUUUAGAAAAAUUAUGUACGUUAUUAUUUUAAAUUGUGGCAACUUAUGAUUUUUUUUUUUUUUUUUAAGGAUGACAAGUGGGGACCACAAUAUUCACAUGCGAAGGAUACAUAAUAACCUUUCUAUGCAAGCAAAAUGUUGCUUUGCGUGGUAGUAAUUAGUAAACCACCCUAUCACAUGCUUCGGCUUAGUAUUAUACUUUUUUGAGAAAUAGAUAGUAAGCUACCUGCUUCAUUCAUUAAGGAAAAUGAACUAGGCGUACAUGAUGAAGACAGCUGAGGCCUCCUUAAAAACCGAAGGCAACCAAAAAGUCACUAAAAAAGUACAGUGUACAGAACAAACCAAGGAAGUAACUAACUAAAAGAAUUAUACUAUUUCAUGUUAUGUUGAUAUGUUAAAUUAAUUAGAAAUAAUAAUUAGGCGGUGGCCGUUUAUCUAGUUAAGGCUUAAGAGUGGUCUCGGGUGCAAACACGACAAGCACGAAUUUUGGAGCCAUGGCCUCCCGUCGAUCUAGCCGUUGAUUCUGACUCGCGGCCGUUGAAACCGUUGUGUGGGGCCCACUUGUAUUUUCCACAACAUGGUCCUCAUUAUUUGCCUGGAAAUAAUGUUUAUAAUAAUAAUAAUAAUUCCGUUUCCCGGUAAUCUCGUUUUGACAUACAUAACUACUGCACUUCGAGUUGUAUAUGUACGCAUCCAACCAUACUCUAAUCAUAUUUGGCUAAUAUUUUUUUGAGAAAUAGAUAAUAUACUAUAUUCACUUCGUUUAUUUUAUUUAGAAAUAAAUUUAAUUAAAAAUAUGAAUCAACUAGCAUUCGCUUUUGAAACCUCAGGUAUCAACCACUAAAUUCUUUGCCACUUGCGUUAGGAACGGUCGGUCAUAUUGGACUAAUGUUUAUACAAAUUAACAAUUCGUAAGAUCACUUUCGAUUUACUUUGCGCGAAAUUAUUUUUAUAUUACAAAUUAAUACACCCCUAAUAAGGACAAAAAUAAAAUGCUUCUACAUCUUUAUGUAUAAUUAAUGAGUUAUGCUUCCUUAGUCCUCCUUUGGAACGCGCUAAUUUGGGUUGUAUACCGCGAACAGUAUGCUAUAAUUCAAAGACCAAAUAUGUUAAACAUGUUCCAGCUUAUAAUGUAAAUGUUCAUGAUGUGCAUUUUUUUAUCUACCAUUUGCAGGAUUUUCAUUAAUUGCUAUGACUUUCGAAGCUUUAAUUUGUUGUUUUUUUAAUGCGAAAAAGGACUGCGGAAAAGGGAGGAGGAAAAAAAAAAAAAAACGCAUAAGUUGUGGCAAAAAUUAAGGCCUAUGUAGUCAUAAGUAGGGAACAUAACAAAUUUUGGCAAAAUUUUCAAAGGCGACAAGCCAUAAUCAAAGCCUAGAUCAAUGGGAGGCGCUAAACAAUACGUUCUAAUCUUGAAGGGUUAAUUUGAGUAAUUCUAUCAUUGCAUGUGCAUGGUGUUAAAUAACAGACGAAUUGAGUCGAUCAGUAAUUACCUGAACUCAAGUGCUUAAAUUUUGGAUCCGAUUUCUCUUUUAAACAAAUGAAAGUGAAUUAGAUAUAAUUUAUUGUUCAAUUAAUUUUUCUCGAUUGUCGUUAGUCUCCUAACUUAAAAAAGAAAUGAUCAGAAAGAACAUUGUGGAAUGGGGUAUAAUAUUUACGCCCUUUUAGCAUGUACCAACGGUAUUACCCAAAAAUAAAACUGGGUGCAAUAAUGCUGGUAACAACCGCAGCUUAUUAUAGUAGUACGUGGGCAUCGAUAUCACCAGAUAACGAAAACCCCCCUUCAAACUUGGUUUGGUUGUUAGGUGCAAGUGGUUGGUACUGAGGUCUCAAGUUCGAAUUCUAAUUGAUUCAUAUUUUCAGCUAAAUUUAUUUCUAAAUAAAAUAAACGAAACGGAUAGCGUGCUACAUAUCUCUCUCAAAAAAAAGAAGAAGUUAUUGGGUGCAAAUCUUGAGGUCGGAAUUAAAGCUUCUAUUUGAUCAGCUCAAAUUUCAAUUUUAUGUCCCUAAAUUCAGGUAAUACAGAUAGAUCUUUGGAAGAGUUCAUAGACAAUAAGGUAGCAUUUGGAUCAGGGAUAAGGGGAGGGAUAACCCUUUAUCCCCUUUAUCCAAACGCAAAUUUUUUACCCGAGAAUAGUAGUUCUCGGGUACCUGAAAUAAGCUGGUAUAACUAUUCUCACCAACACUCAAUUUUCUAUAUAUAACCAUCUACUAUUUUUCUUAUUCCAUAUUAUCUAUCCAAAAGUUAUUUUUCUUAUCCCCGGAAACAACCUAAUUUUUAUCCAAAUGCUAUUUUUUUUCCCCAUACUUAUACAUAUUCCUGUAAUAGCUAAUUCUUUCUUAUACCCGAACCAAACGAAGUCAAAAGAUCUUCCAAUCAAUUCACAAGGAAGUAAAAUAAAUAAACAAAUAUAAAAGUUCAAUAAAGAAAAAAUAAAGUAAUCAUGAGUUGAUGUAGGAAAUGAUAAAUAAUACUUUUUAGAAACAGUCGUUACCUUUUAAAAACUUAAGUUGGUAUUUAUAUAUUUUUAUAUUUAACAAAAAAAACUUAAUGUUUUGUAUCCGACGUUCAAAGUUCGAAGCGUAAUUAAUUUAUAUUCUUAACUAAAUUUAUUCUUCAAAAAAUAAAUGCUACUUAAAAAAUUAAUGGGCUACGAUUGGUUAGGGUAUAAGUAAGAACUGCUUAUUAAGGGGUAGGUAUAAGUUUAGCUGUAAGCAGAAAUUAGACCAAUUUUACGUUUGAAUAAAAAUCGAGUUGUUCCUAGAAAUAAGGUAAAUAGUGUUUGGAUGAUUAGAUUUAAACAAGAGGAAUAAGAGUUAUAAUUUUAAAUUAAAAAUAUUUUAGCUAACUAAUUAACAUCAAAAUAUUAAUUAAAAAUCGUUUAAUAAAUUAAUAAAUAUAUUAGCUAUGAAUAUUGUAUAAGAUAAUAAAAAUAUAUUAAUUAAUUAAUUAAUUAUAAAAAUAGUUUAACUUUUUAAUUAGUUAGUAAAUAUUUUAAUUAGAUAAUUAGUGAAAAUUUUAAUUCGAUUAAAUAAAAUAUUAAUAGUUGAUCAAUAUAAAUAUUAGUUUAUGAAUAAAUAUUACAAAUUAUUAAUAAUUAAUUAGCUAAUUAAUNAUUGUUUUUAGUCUCGUAACUUAAAAAAGAAAUGAUCAGGAAGAACAUUGUGGAAUGGGGUAUAAUAUUUACGCCCCUUUUAGCAUGUACCAACGGUAUUACCCAAAAAUAAAACUGGGUGCAAUAAUGCUGGUAAGUGGUAACAACCGAUGCUUAUUAUAGUAGUACGUCGGCAUCGAUAUCACCAGAUAACGAAAACCCCGCUUCAAACUUGGUUUGGUUAUUAGGUGCAAGUGGUUGGUACUAAGGUCUCAAGUUCGAAUUUUAAUUGAUUCACAUUUUCAGCUAAAUUUAUUUUAAAAUAAAAUAAACGAAACGGAUAGCGUGCUACAUAUCUCUCUCAAAAAAAAGAAGAAGUUAUUGGGUGCAAAUCUUGAGGUCGGAAUUAAAGCUUCUAUUUGAUCAGCUCAAAUUUCAAUUUUAUGUCCCUAAAUUCAGGUAAUACAGAUAGAUCUUUGGAAGAGUUUAUAUACAGUAAGGUAGCGUUUGGAUCAGGGAUAAGGGGAGGAAUAACCUUUUAUCCUCUUUAUCCAAACGCAAAUUUUUUAUCCGAGAAUAGUAAUUCUUGGGAACCUGAAAUAAGCUGGUAUAACUAUUCCCACCAACAUCUCGAUUUUCUAUAUAUAACUAUCUACUAUUUUUCUUAUUCCGUAUUAUCUAUUCAAAAGUUAUUUUUCUUAUCCCCGAAAACAACCUAAUUUUUAUUCAAAUGCUAUUUUUUUUAUCCCCAUACUUAUACCUAUCCCUGUAAUAGCUAAUUCUUUCUUAUACCCGAACCAAACGAAGCCUUAAGAAAUCUUCCAAUCAAUUCACAAGGAAGUAAAAUAAAUAAACAAAUAUAAAAGUUCAAUAAAGAAAAAAUAAAGUAAUCAUGAGUUUAUGUAGGAAAUGAUAAAUAAUACUUUUUAGAAACAAUCGUUAAUUUUUAAAAACUUAAGUUGGUAGAGAACGGUAUUUAUAUACUUUUAUAUUUAACAAAAAAAACUUAAUGAUUGGUAUCCGACAUUCAAAGUUCGAAGCGUAAUUAAUUUAUAUUCUUAACUAAAUUUAUUCUUCAAAAAAUAAAUGCUACCUUAAAAAAUUAAUGGGCUACGAUUGGUUAGGGUAUAAGUAAGAACUGCUUAUUAAGGGACAGGUAUAAGUUCAGGUGUAAGCAGAAAUUAGACCAAUUUUGCGUUUGAAUAAAAAUCGAGUUGUUCCUAGAAAUAAGGUAAAUAGUGUUUGGAUGAUUAGAUUUAAAUAAGAGGAAUAAGAAUUAUAAUUUUAAAUUAAAAAUAUUUUAGCUAACUAAUUAACAUCAAAAUAUUAAUUAAAAAUAAUUUAAUAAAUUAAUAAAUAUAUUAGCUAUGAAUAUUGUAUAAGAUAAUAAAAAUAUAUUAAUUAAUUAAUUAAUUAUAAAAAUAGUUUAGCUUUUUAAUUAGUUAGUAAAUAUUUUAAUUAGAUAAUUAGUGAAAAUUUUAAUUAGAUUAAAUAAAAUAUUAAUAGUUGAUCAAUAUAAAUAUUAGUUUAUGAAUAAAUAUUACAAAUUAUUAAUAAUUAAUUAGCUAAUUAAUUUAUAAAUAAUAAAUUAAUUAAUUUUUUAUUAUUUAAACAAUAGAUAAUAAUUUAAAUAUAUUAAUUAUAUUAAUUAAUUAAAUGAAUAAGUUUAUUUCAGGAAAAAGAAUGGAACAACAGUUUUAAAUUUAUACCGAAUUAUGCCAGUUUAUUUCAGAAACUCGCGAGUUACUGUUUUUAAAUAUGAAAAUUUUCGUUUGAAAACAAAGGAGGAAACAACGAUUUAUUUCCCCCAGUUUUUGAACCAAAACUACCAACGGAAAGUAUUAGUGGAUACAAAUGGAUACAGCCCUCGUUACGUGGCAGUGCGUAUCUUCCCAUAUCUAGUUAUUUAGUUAGGUACGCACGCAUCUGAGGCUUUCCAUGUGGGUUGGCCCCAAAUUAGCAUGUUUAUCAUUACUAACUAUAAGAAGUUUGGAACUAAUCAAUUUUUCUCCCCAAAAUUAGCAUGUUUAUAAUUGUUAACUUAUUAUAAAAGCACCCAAUAUGUUCUUUAGAUUUUGAAACUCAUCAAUCUCUUCAUCACUAUUUGCAUCUCUUUGCCUCAAUUUUCAAAUAAUCAAAUGGCACUUCGUAAGGGCUUUGGCUUUUGCACCUUUUAUUUCAUUUUUGCGUUUCUCUCAUCGUUCAGCAUUUGUGCGCGCUCCGAACAGAAACACUCCAACUUCUCUGCUGACGCGGCCUCACAGUGGGGCCCCGCCAGCGCCACGUGGUACGGCGACCCCCACGGUGCCGGCCCCGCUGACAAUGGUAUUAUGUUCAUCUUUUCUAGACAGAAGAUUUAGGACCUAUUUUGCCUAAUUUUUUUUAUAAAUAUUAAAUAAUUUUAUUCUAAGAAUAUUUAACAAACUAGAUUCUGAUAAUAGUACGUGUUAAUUAAUUGGUAAGAAUCAUAUUUAGUUUUGAUAAUCUAGUAUAAUUUGUCAGUAUUUAUUUGAUUUUAAGUGAUUUAAUUUUUUUUGUAGUUCUUGAAUUUUCUGGGCGGCCCAAUUUUAAAUGAGCUAUAUUUGAAAGUCUGUCAAUAUUUUAUUAUAUGUGAGUUUAGUCAUACGUUUAAAACUAGUCUUAUUGCAGUAUUUUAUAUACUCCAUUAUCUUCACUACAACAGAAUUAGGUUAUAGGGACACAUGUUUGGAACACUUUUGUAUAAGUGUCUCAUUUAUACCAAAACUUAAAAAAAAAUCUACUAAUGCCUAAAUAUAAAACCCAAUCUAAUUAAAAAUAAAAGAUUACUCUACUCAACCCACCCCACCCUGCUCAUUCGGCCCGAUUAGAAACAGAAAAGAAAAAAAAAAAAGAAAAAUCGAUUAUCAUCUCCCCUUCUCUCCUCACUCAAUCUACUGAAAUCCUAGACGAAGAUCCCUUCCUCUCAUCCUCCUCCGCCACCGCAGCCAACGAGAUAGAGUUCCGGCGGUUGCUAAAUGCUUGCAAAUUAGCAGCACUCUGUUAUGUUAUAGCGACACUUUUUAACUGUCACUAUAUACCUAGCGACUCCACAUAUAGCAACAUUUUUUAAAAAUGUCGAUAAUUUAGCCAGUGGCACUUUUUUGACCUAUACCGACAAUUAAAGUAUCGCUAUAGACCGUUUUUGUUGUAGUGCUUUAAGCUAGUCUUUUGGAUGAUAAUAAGAGUAAUGUUAUCCACAAAACUCUCGCACGGACGACACGACAUGAGCUGAGCUAGGGUGGGCGGCAGCAUGCUUACCCGAUUAANAAAAAAAAUCGAUUAUCAUCUCCUCUUCUCUCCUCACUCAAUCUACUGAAAUUCUAGACGAAGAUCCCUUCCUCUCGUCCUCCUCCGCCACCGCAGCCAACGAGGUAGAGUUCCGGCAGUUGCUAAAUACUUAAAUAAGUGUUGCCAAAUUAGCAGCACUCUUUUAGGUUAUAGCGACACUCUUUAACUGUCACUAUAUACCUAGCGACCCCACAUAUAGCAACACUUUUUGAAAGUGUCGGUAAUUUAGCCAGUAACAUUUUUUUUAACCUAUACCGAUAUUUAAAAGUGUCGCUAUAGACCGUUUUUAUUGUAGUGCUUUAAGCUAGUCUCUUGGAUGAUAAUAAGAGUAAUGUUAUCCACAAAACUCUCGCAUGGACGACCCGACAUGAGCUGAGCUAGGGUGGGCGGCAGCAUGCUUUAAAUCUGAGAUUUUUUUAUUUUACUUUCUUAUUUUAUUUGUUGAAUUUUCGAAAGUCUAUAUGGUGCGAAUUGCAUCACCCUAGAGAUGUGUUGAAGGGAUGGAUCGUAGUUGUUAUAUCGUUAAAGGUGAUUGUCGAAAUCUCGCACGUAGAAAGGCAAUCGUUAUUUUAGAACAGUGCAUAAUACAUUUCGACUCACAGCCUUAUCUUAACCUUUUAUAUAUCUCUGUAGUGUUGUACUAUUAUUUUGUACAUGUAUUUUUAAAUGGUUAUUUAAACUCUCCGAUUCAAAAUAUUUUUAAAAUAGAGCUAUAUUUUACAAAAAAACAAUAGACAGAUUUUCCAAGAGAAUUCUCAAGUGUGAUAAAUUCUGAAAAAAUUAUUUGCCAGUAUCAAAAUGUAUGUAGGAGAAAAAGCAAUUAAUUUUGUGAGAAGCAAUUAAUUAGUUUCUCUCUCUAAUUCAUUGAAUAGGUGGUGCAUGCGGGUUCAAGAAUGUGAAUCUGCCUCCUUUCUCAUCCAUGACAUCGUGUGGGAACCCAGCCCUCUUUAAAUCGGGAAAAGGAUGUGGCGCUUGCUAUCAGGUCUAAUUACCCCAAAAUUUACGAAGAUUUAGUAAAAUUAACCAAAAAUCAAUUGUAUUUGAUCGAGUAAUUACAUAUCAGGUGAAAUGCACGAGCCACCCGGCGUGCUCCGGCAACCCGUCGACCCUCGUGAUCACCGACGCGUGCCUCGGCGGAGUCUGCCUCGACGCGCCAUUCCAUUUCGACAUGAGCGGAACGACUUUCGGGUCCAUGGCAAAACCCGGCCUCGACGACGAGCUUCGCCACGCCGGAAAAAUCCCAAUACAAUUCACCAGGUGAGUUUGAACACCUCUAUACUUUCAAAAAUACAUAAGCUCGAAUAUAAAAAAUAACUCUAUAAACAUUUCCUUUGUUUUAAUCAAAUAUUCUAUUUGAGGUGAUUUUCGUACAUUUUUUUUCCUCGUUUAAAUUCUCAGAGUACCCUGCAACUACCCGGGCUUGAACAUUGCCUUCCACGUCGAGAAUGGCUCGAAUCCGUUUUACUUUGCGAUCCUGAUCGAGUACGAGAACGGGGACGGAGAUCUCACGGCGGUCGAUCUUAUGGAGGGCGGCAGCCACGGGCAAGGCGUAUGGACUCCGAUGCGCGAGUCAUGGGGCGCGAUAUGGAGAUUGGACUCGAACCACCCGUUGCAGGGCCCGUUCUCGGUCCGGCUCACCACUCUCACUUCCGGGAAGACCCUCGUCGCCGCCGAUGUGAUUCCGGCCAAUUGGAAGCCCCUAACCACCUACAGAUCAGUUGUGAACUUUAGUAACUAGUAAUUAUACACAAAGAAUUAAUGCUAGAAGUGUUGUUUGUGAGGGCUAUGCAUUGGUUGGGGUUCGUGUAGCCACCCUUACCAUUUGCUUGUUAUAGUGUUGAGAGCACAAAUAAUAAAAAUAAGACAUGCUUGAAGAUUUAUCGAUCUGAGCCAUUAAUCCAUAUAUAGCACAAGUCCAAAUAUUGAAAUUAAAUAUGUUGUUUCUAAACUUCAAUAAAGUUUUGAUAUUUUUUUUUAAUGCUUUUCGAUACAAUAAAAGUUUAGAAUUUUAAAAUUAUUAGUACGCAAUGUUUUUUUUUUCAAAUAUAAAAUUAAGUAAUUUGAGAAGUCAUAUCAAAUAACCGGUCAAAGAACUUUUUUUUUUGUGUGUGUAAUUGUCUUCAUAGACGUCACCGAAUGUAAGGACAAAAUUACAAGUAAAUAAACUUUACAUCUCUAACCCAAAAUUUUAAAAUUAAUUAUAUUUAUACUCUUGUUUGUUGUAGAAAUUUUCUUAAUGAUUUUUUCUUUGUUUGUAAUUCAGGAACAAUCCUCCUUGUGGAAUGGAGUAUUGAAAUCAAUAUGCUAUUUUUUAAAGGAAACUUAAUUUGUUUCCAAGAAUAUAAAUAUAAUUAAUUUUAAAAUUAUUAGUACGCAAUGUUUUUUUUUUCAAAUAUAAAAUUAAGUAAUUUGAGAAGUCAUAUCAAAUAACCGGUCAAGAACUUUUUUUUUGUGUGUGUAUUUGUCUUCAUCGACGUCACCGAAUGUAAGGACAAAAUUACAAGUAAAUAAACUUUACAUCUCUAACCCAAAAUUUUAAAAUUAAUUAUAUUUAUAUUCUUGGAAACAAAUUAAGUUUCCUUUAAAAAAUAGCAUAUUGAUUUCAAUACUCCAUUCCACAAGGAGGAUUGUUCCUGAAUUACAAACAAAGAAAAAAUCAUUAAGAAAAUUUCUACAACAAACAAGAGUAUGCAUGCUUUAAUUAAUCGACGUUAAAUUCUAUAAUUUUCGAGUUUAAUUUAUUAGAAUUAAUCCAAUAAUAAAUGUGAAAGUCCACGACAACAUGAAAUAUUAUAAGCCCAAAAAUAUAUCUUAAUAUAUUUGUUCUUAUUAUUAUAUCUAAAUAAUGAAUCUUAUAAGAAACAAUUAUAAGCCCAAAAAUAUAUCUUUUUCUUUUUUUCUUUUUUUUUUGGGGCUAGUUUCUUUUGACGUGGUUUUUUUUUUUUUUUUACCUUGAGGCUCUGGUUGUCUCACCCAUGUACCCUAAUUCAUAUUUUUAAUGAAUGAAGCGGAUAGCGUGCUAUCUACUCUCUUAAAAAAAAAAAAAUUACUUAACACACAUAAUCGACAACGGAGGGGAGAACUUAACGCCUCCUACUCUUUCCGCGCCGUCUUUUUAUUAUAUAUAUAUAGAAAUCAUAUUACACCACACUUAGCAUCUAGGGUCAUACAUAAAUAUAAUCAGACCCCUGAUACUCCCCUUAGUUACCACAAUAUAUAACAUUCUCUCACACACCAUAAUUAAUACAUUUUCAACUUUGACACGUACUGAUCCAUUCUCCGAACAAGCAUUCGAUCACUUAGCUGCUAUAGUUCACCACCGACCGAUACGUCGCCCCGGGCUGCCACCCGACCGGAAUCACGUUGUUAGCCACAAGCACUUUCCCGGAUGUUCCCGAUGUGAGCCGGAUCGAGAACGGAGCUUGUAGCGUGGAGCCCGGGUUCAGCAUCCACACCGCGCCCCAUGAAUGUUCCAUCGAUUCCCACGUGCUCGAUCCUCCUUGCAUCAAAUCGACGGCCUGGAGAUCACCAUCUCCGCCUACGUACACGAUCAGGACGGCAAAGUAGUUCGAGUUCGAGCCCGAGUCGACGCGGAAGGUGAUGUCGACGCCUGGGAAGUUGCACUGCACGCUGCAAAGCCAAGUGGAUGUUUCUUCUUUUCAAAUUUGUUGUUAUAUACGCUGUGUAAACGUUACUAAUUAAAUCCGGGAAAAGUUUUAUAAACCGCAUAUAUAGCAUGUUUAAUGCGUACGUGAUAGGCGUGUUACGGCGUUAAGGACAAUAUUUUGGUCAUAACGUUCACGAACGUCUUGUAGGUACGCAUACACUGCGUACCACUUCUUGUUGAAGCCUUCAUACUAGAAUCUGAACAAAUUUAUUUUAUUUGUCCCUAUUUUUACUAUAUAGUCAUCUCUAAUAAAUUUUUUUUCAAAAAAAAAAAAACUCAAAUAAUACUUUCUUAAAUAUUAGUGUGUCCCCUAGCUUAUUCAAACAAAUACGUGUGGGUACAUAUGAAAUGCUUACCGAGUGUACUGUAUUUGCAGUACUCCGACAUUGCGGAGCUGAUCGGCUUUGCCGGAAAGAGCCAUGGCUCCGAAUGCAGUCCCGCUCAUGUCGAAGUGGACGGGCUCAGCUAGGCAUGGUCCACCUGGGCAUUCGUCGGUGAUCACGACAGUCACCGGAUUACCAGAGCACGUGGAAUUUGCAGUGCACUUCACCUGAAAAAUAUUCAUAGUUAAAAAGAAACGACCAAUAUAUAUACUAGCCGUGGCCAACCAAAAGCUAGCUCAAGUUACUUAGCGGCGUUAGGGUUCAACCUGGUAACAUGCCCCGCAGCCCUUGCCCGAGUUGUAUAUAGAAGGGCUCCCAGCUGCGAUCAUGGAAGAGAACGGAGGCUGAUCCACUGCGUUUUGAUACCCGCAAGCACCACCUACAUGUAUAUACGUAUGUACAAAAUACAUGAGACAACUCGUACCAUAUAUAUAUAAUACAUGUUCAUAUAUAUAACUUCAUAUGCGCACAUACGUACCGUCACUUCCGGCGCCAUUAGAGCUCCCAUACCACGUCGCUCCUCCCGUAGACCAGCCAGAGGACGCCGCAGCAGAUGAAUAGUCAAAGAGCUUACGAUUGAAGCAUGCACCGGGGUUUAUAAAGAGUGAGAAUAAAGCUGAGAAAGCGAAAACAAAGGAAACGAAGGAGAGCGCCAUUGCUUUGUAUAGGACAGUGAAGAGGAAUUAAAUUUAUAAGAAGAGUUGGUUGUGUGGUGUGAAGGAGAGUGUUUAUGCCAUGGGGUAUUUAUAGGCGUGGGAGUGUGUUUAAUUAAUAAGUUUAAGUAGUUCAUUAAUAAAAGAGUUACUUCAGAGUUUGCUUGUAGCACAUGGCUAGCUAAGUGACUAGCUAGGGUCGUUACGUUAGUUUGCGUGGGAACGGAUUUUGUGUGAGCGUUUGUGUAACUGCAGAUUACGAAGCUGACGUUUGGGACCCACAGAAACGUCGUGUGCAGGCGUUUGACCAAUGAGCUUUUGGUCAAAGGUGGCGAGAGCCGAGUGAAUCAUGUGAUCGCGCGGCUUGAGCCUAAUUCACGCAAUUUAUGGGAGUAGUCGUGUGCAUGGCGAGAGCGAACGGCUUAUAGUUCUAUGCGAUCGAUUUGUGUUUUCCCAGAGUUAACAAAAAAAAAAAAAAAAAAGAGAAAAAAAAAAGGAGCAAUUUCGAAGCAAAAAAAUAUCGAAGCUGUUUCAUCUGCUUCACAUCACGCGAAUGAUAUGAAUUUUAAAAUCGUAUAAAUAGUAAAUAAAAUAGUAUAUAACUUUUUUUUGUCAGCUGAAUUUUAAAAUUAAAAUUUUAUAUUUUAGACGUGAAUUAUUUUUAUCACUUUUGCUUCUUAAAACUAAAAGCGAAUACAAAAUGCUCUCAUAGGAUGGCCAAGCAGAUCAAAGUUAACGAAAAAAAUUAUUUUUUUUGGAAAAAAAAGGACUAUACUUUUAGCCUCAAAAGCUAAACCUGAGCUUUUUUAAGGUCUAACGAGAUCAAGUCGAGCCGAGUCGAGUCGAGCCGGGCUAGAACUUGAACUCAUUAAACCAGACUUAAACCGUUAUUGCGGUUAGGGCGGGCCCACACCCUACGAGCGCACGCACGAAUUUCAACGCAUCCCCUCCACUAAAAACCUCCCCAAUCUCAGCGCCACGAAAGCGAGUCUCCUCCCCUUAACCGAGCCGUUGAUGUUGGCUCCUUGCCGUUGAAACAGCCGUGGGCCCCAGCGAAUCCUACAUCAUGGGACGGUGGGGAUUGAAUCAUUGUUCUCGUGAUAUGCAACAUCAGCCGUAAAAUUUGGCGGGUUUUGGUGCUUGGACCCCCUUUUCCCCCGUCAUUUUGUAGCACGACCUGAGAUUUUCUCAACUCAUUAAUUCAGGAAAUUACUUAAUUAGCCAAUUAAUUAGGAUAAGGAUUAUACGUUGACCUUUUUCUAAUUAAUGUAUAGCAUGUGAUGCGAUUUUAUAUCAUUGUUCGCAACCUUUUUUUUUUACGUGCAAGUUAUUCAAAUGUCAAUAUCAUGCUACUAAAAAUUGGAGUAGCAAAAAUUCAAGUCCAGAUCAAAAUGGGGUCGGAUGACUGUAAGUGGUGAUGGAUAUUCACUAUUUCUAAAUCCGACCGGUAUCUAAUUUUUGGACAACAGCUUGUAUCGGCAUUCAAGUCCGGUUUAAAUUAAUUAUGAUAAUUUUAAGUCCAAAUUUAUAAAAAAUUUAAUAUAUAUAUAUAUAUAUAUUCAGAAUAAAAAUAUCAUAAUCAUAGAACUAUUUCAUAUCAUUUGAAAAUAAACUUUUUCAAAUAAAAAAUUACAAUAUAAUUUAAUUGUACUAUUUUAACUAUCACGCUCAAAACCGAGUUGUUGAUCCAGUUUGUCGGAAUUUUCAUAUCCGGAUCCAAUUAGAAUUUUAAUCAGGACAAAAUAAUUAAUUUGUUUGGAAUCAAUUUUUCUAACAGAAUUUUUUGUCUGAUUUCGGUUAAUAAUCAGCUAGUUAAAAAAAAAAGUGCUUUUGGAUAAUUAAGGAUCAAUAGUGUAGAACAACAAUCCAUUUUGUAUUGUAAACCUUGCAUUAAUUGCUAGUUGUGAAAUUAAUCUUUUUGGAGCCAGUGAUGUUAUUAGAGAGUGGUUAUAUCUCGCUGCUACGUACGUAUCAGGGUGGAGAAGUCAAAUAAAAAAUAUCAUGAAUUUAUUUUUUUUUGAUUAAACAGGAGUACACUCUAUUUGAAAGAAUAUCAUUAAAUUUUAAUCAAACUUUGAAUGGUACAGAUGUGUAGACACUGUUCACGAGUUCGUAUGCUAGGUCGAAAUAUUUUGAUUAAACUGUUACUACGUUUUGUAUGAAAUUACGGGACUUUUGCUUAAUUUUUUGCAUAAGCAAAUGCGUUGGCCCCUAACCAUAUACAUAUACAUGUGUCGUGCCACCCAGAUUAGAUUAGUUUGUAAGGGUUGGAUUUGGACUUAAUUUAAUUUUCUUAAGUCUUCGUAUGGCCUAGUAAUGCAAGAGAGAGAGAGAUCCAUCUCGUAUUUCCGACGAAUUGGGCAUGCAUGGGUUGGACUUGAGCUCUAGUUGGGCAUUAUUGAUUGGAUUAGGCAUUUUUCUGAAGAUUAAGAUUUUCGCAAGCAUAAUCCAAGCUUGAAAUCCUAUAAUUUACAUGUCAAAUGAAAAAAAAAAAAGACAUUCUUUUGAAAUUUCGGAAGAGAAGUUUCCUAACAUUUUAUUAAAGAGACCAAACGUUGCUAGCACAAAUGGCAAAGGACACAGUGAUUAGUACCUGAGAUCUCUAAGUUCGAGUUCUAAUUGAUUCAUAAAUUUAUUUUUUAGAAUUUUUUUUUUUUUUAGAGAUAGGUAGCACGCUACCCGCUUCGUUUAUUUCAUUUAGAAAUAAACUUAGCUGGAAAUGUGAAUCAACUAGGAUUCGAACUUGAGUCUCGGGUACCAAUCACCAAGCCCUUGCCACUUGCUCUAGAGACGGUCGGUAUUUUUUUAAAAAAAUUAAACAAAACGGAUAGCAUGCUACCUUUUUUUCAAAAAAAAAAAGUAUUAUUCUAAAGAGAGAAAAAAGUAUAGCAAUAUUUUCGAAGAAACAAAGGACAAUUGUAUCUGUUUUUGAGAUUAAGAUAGCACUUUACUGUACUAUUCGUUGAAAAAAUAAAUUUGGCUAAGAAAAAAAAAAAAAAGAGAGACAGCCGAGCCUCUAGAAAAGGAGAUGGUCGACUCUACUUUUGCUAAAUACAUCAGCAAAAGCAACGUAUGAUUACGAUUGAGAACUCCCCUAACUUCUAAACCACGGAAAAGAUACUGUGGUUUAAAUGAAGUUAAAUUUAAUGCAAAACUCUUUCCAGAAACCUACAUAUAUAAUUGCUAGAUUCUCAAAAAAAAGAUUCUCCAAGUUAAUUGAAAUAGGCAACAUAAGCCUGUAAAUAUACGAUCACGUAUAAUAUUUUUAAGUUACAAAGAAUAAUAAAUAGUUUUCAUAAUUUAGAACUUUUGAGAUUUGAAACAUUGCCCAUCCAUCUCCACUGUAUACUUCAUCACUAUAUUCAAUUCAUUGUAAAAUGGUUUUUCUCUCUCAACCAAUAACCCCUAGUAUAGUGGCUAAGAGUUUAAUAAUUAGUAUCUAUAGUUCAAAUUUCAAGGCGUAGUUACUUUGUAUUUUUAGUUAAAUUUAUUUUUUUUAAAAGUAAACAAAGCGAAUAAUUAAUUUACUCUCUUUUUUUUUCUCAAAAACAAUAAAUCCUGAGAAAAAAACACAUCACGGCCAUUCAAGAUAUUGAUCUGAAGUAAAUAAAGAAUAUUUUUCUCAUCCAAUAUGUUGAUCUAAAAUAUUUUCCAUCCACAAAUUUCUGGGACUAUACAUUGGGCUACUGGAAAGGAAUGUAUUGGCAUGUAGCUGAGUUACAAAAUAUUUCUUUGCUAUCCAAUCGUGCACGAAGAUCCAGUAACAAUGACAAUACAUGCCGAGUCACAAUUGCCACAGCACAUAAUUGAGGAGAUUUUGGACCAAGUUCUCAUAAGCCACAUAUACAAUUGUGGAAUUGUAGACAUAAACGUGGUCAUGUUACUCUCGUGUGCNAUAAGCCUGUAAAUAUACGAUCACGUAUAAUAUUUUUAAGUUACAAAGAAUAAUAAAAAAUCACUCACGUAGAUUUCAUAAUUUAGAACUUUUGAGAUUUGAAACAUUGCCCAUCCAUCUCCACUGUAUACUUCAUCAGUAUAUUCAAUUCAUUGUAAAAUGGUUUUUCUCUCUCAACCAAUAACCCCUAGUACAGUGGCUAAGAGUUUAAUAAUUAGUAUCUAUGGUUCAAAUUUCAAGGCGUAGUUACUUUGUAUUUUUAGUUAAAUUUAUUUUUUUUUUUUAAAGUAAACAAAGAGAAUAAUUAAUUUACUCUCUUUUUUUUUCCUCAAAAACAAUAAAUCCUGCGAAAAAAACACAUCACGGCCAUCCAAGAUAUUGAUCUGAAGUAAGAAAAUAAUAUUUUCCUCAUCCAAUUUGUUGAUCUAAAAUAUUUUCCAUCCACAAAUUUCUGGGACUAUACAUUGGGCUACUGGAAAGGAAUGUAUUGGCAUGUAGAGGAAUUACAAAAUAUUUGUUUGCUAUCCAAUCGAGCGCGAAGAUCCAGCAACAAUGACAAUACAUGCCAAGUCACAAUUGCCACAACACAUAAUUGAGGAGAUUUUGGACCAAGUUCUCAUAAGCCACAUAUACAAUUGUGGAAUUGUAGACAUAAACGUGGUCAUGUUACUCCCGUGUGCAUGUAUAGAUAAGAUUUGGGCAAGCAUUGUGUCACACGCGAUAAGAUCUGCAAUGGUAUAUACUAGCAAAUAUGAUUGGCACUUUAUACUACAUGCAAAAGCUAUAUAAAUUAAGCAUUUAUACUAUAUAUUUUAAGACAUUAGUAAAUUAUAAUACAUAUAUAGAUAUCCUGUCCAAUGCUAUUGAUGGUAUGACAACAUCAUUGUUACACUCUAAUUAUUAAUUACUAUAUACUAAACAGUAUCAUUACACCCUAAAUUCUAAAUUAUACUCCUUUCAUAUGAAUAGCCCAAUGCAUCGAUAAUAUAAUGAAGUAUCUAAAAGUGAAGUAUCCCAAACAUUUCUCUUGUUUAAUUGUAAAUUACAAGGGUACUGCAAAAUUAAGCAUAGACCUCGUAACAUUUCCCAAGCUGAUAAAAUUAUAAAAAAAAUAUAAAAUUAUAAUCAUUUCAAUAACUUCAAAAAGAAGGAAGAAAACAACGUUAUCAACACGUCAAUCUCUCUGAAAUAGAAAGAUGUCAAUUUCUUGGCACCUGCAUGCAUAGUGUCGGCAGUGUGAGAAAUUAUAGAUCAUUUGCACUGAGUAUAUUCUUACAUCUCAUAUGCCACACUAAAUACAUACAAUAAAAAUCUAAACAUAAUAAUGUAAUCUACAAUAUCUGGAGACGUGUAUAUAUAAGGUUUCAUUUCACCACCCCUCACUCAAAUACAAUGCUAAGACAUUUCUUGGAACUUUGAGGGGUAAAGCUUACACCUUGUCUCUUAAUUAGUUUAAUUAUAGUAACGUCUUAUUAUUACUAUAUUAAAAGUACCACAACAUUACAAUAAAGCUUAUACCUAGUCUCUUCAUUAGUUUAACUAUAGCACGUAACAUCCUAUUAUUACUACAUUAAAAGUACCACAACAUUACACAAAGCACAAGGAAAAGCAACAACAUAAAACAAUUAAGAUAACACCAACCGUACAAAGUGCAAUUGAUUAAAAAUAUAAUGAUUUAUAUCUGAAAUUCUAAAUUCGAAAUCUAAUUAUCUCACAAAAUAGAUAACUUACUAUCUUCUUCAAUAAAUAAAUAAAUAAAUAAAUAAAUAAAAAUAUUUGAGAUUGUGAAAAAAAGUACAACUCGGCUAUUACUGAUAUUGUUCAGAAAAUCAAUCUUUAAAAAUGAUAUAAAAAAAUUUAAACUUCCCGGAAGAUAAAAUUCAUUGAUUAUUUGGACCUUACACAUAAUUUCCACCAUCACAACUUUAACAGAUCUUAUAUAUAUGCACGUGCAUGGAGGAGAGUAUUAGCACUUCCCACAUCAUUCCCUUCGGCUAAAAUAUUCUCAAAUCACACGAAACCAUAUAAGGAAAAAAAAAAGGUGAAAAUAUACACGCCCUGUUAUAAACAUAUAUACAUAUGCAUGCGUUAUAAAUAGCAAUUUAUGUGGAAAAAAUUACUAUAGGAGACCAAUAAAUUAAAAAAGAUUACGAGGAUAUAUAUAUAUAUAUAUAAAAGUUCAUUGGCUAUGGCUUGGAAUUGGAUUGUGUGUUCUGUUGGUAUAGUUGUUGAUAUAAAGCGGCCAUCCUGUUGUAUGCAUCCAUGCUCAUUGGCUGCAAAGAGAUAAAAGGAAUAAAAAAUAUUAAAAAAAGAUGAAGCAAAAAUUGUUUUUAAGGACAAAGUGAAAUAGCAUAUAGUGAAGAUUUGCUUAUAUUAAGGUAUAUAAAACAAUUAUUAUUCUAUAAAAACUAAAGUUAUCGAAAAAAAUAGUAUUUUACUAUUUUAUUUCAAUAGAAACUACGCAUUAGAUUAACUGAUAAAUUGUAUGCAAAAUGUGAAAACUUCACCUAAAUAUUGACAAUGGUCUUUAUUACCCAAUCUUUUAUUUCUUUUAAAUUCAGAAAUAUUUAUUAAAGUUAAGUAGGUUACAUAUAUAUUAUUCCGUCAAAAAGAUUACCAAUGUCAUGGAGAUGAAAGCCAAGUAUAUCAAAUCCACCACAAUAUCAGCUGAUUCUAAAAUUAAUUUGAACUUCUUUUUAGUUUAGCUACGCAUUUCAAAAUGCACCAGAGUUUAUGUAAGAUAUGUCCGACCGCCGAGUGUACCUGCGCAGUUUGGCAUGCAAGGAAUGCCGAGAAGGGAUCAGGCGACACGAUGGGGCCGCUGGGCUGCUGCAACCGAUCGCCGGAGCCGUCCCAGGAAGGGGACAUAAUCGGGAGGAAGGGCGAAGGAUGAAGAAGGGGAGGCAGAGAAGGUAAGCCCAUCGGCCCGGUCCUACCGAGCGAGCUAAGAUCCAUCAUGCCCAUGCCCAUCCCCAUCUGGGCCAUUUGGGCCAUGUUGGCCAUGUUACCAAUCAUAGACAUCUGCAGCGGCAACGGCAUCGUCAUCGGCAUCAGCAUGCCGCUCAUCCGGUUCAUCAUCUGCGCCUGAGCUUGUAGCUGCUUCACGUACUCGAUCACCUCGUCAAGCAUCGAUGCUUUAUCCGUCUUUUUCAUUACCCAAAAAAAUAAUAAUGUUUGAUCGCUGCUCGCUUUCUUUAUUCGGUAAUAUAAAUCAUAAAUUACAAGAAAUAAUUAAUUUCUAUUAAUGAUUACCUUGCUUGAGUUGGGGACUAGUUUCUGCAAGGUGUUCAUCCUCUGGUUGAUUCUGUCCCUUCUUUUCUGCAAGCAAAUACAUGUAGUUAUAGCUAAAAUACAUUAUUCUUUUCGUCUAAUUUUAACUGACGUACGACCCUUAAAAUUUUGAAUAACUCAACAAAUCAAUUUUAUACAAGCGCAUUAUAUACUAAAAGGAUAAGAUGUGUAUAGCUUGUCAGAAUCUCGGUAGAGUACAACAAAGAACAGUUAAACCUUGGUAAGCUAUUAUCCAAGCACAAUAUAUUUAACUAAACCACAUUUAAAAAGUUCUGUACCAUAAUUAUUAAGUUCUGUAUAGGUCACGGUCGAACCGAUCGCAGUGAGUUGCCGUGUUGACUCUUCGCAUGAAGGCACAAAACUCACUAGUCAACAAACAAAAGUGAACAAACCGUGUGAGCCCAAAUCUUACAUGGUACUUAAUUUCCAGGAGCGAGACUAGUUUGAAGCUUAAGGAAUGCUCUUUUGCUAAGGUUUUUAGUAUACACCAAAACUGCAAAGAAAAGUGGCUUCAAUUGUUGUUUGAGUAUAUCGAUCGAGACAUUAUGCAUACCUCUUUCUCACCGUAAAUCGUUGAUAUACACAAAUUUAUAUAAUAUCUUGACGGUACAUAAAUCAAACAGAGCUCUUCAUAUUAUGACGAUGAACAAACAUAGAUCAUACGAACAAUAUUUUGCUACGCCAAUAGUGAUAGUAAUCUUAAAAUGCUUAAAAUGAAAGUUGCUGAACCAGUAACAAGGGACAAUAAGCAUGUUAUGCGGCGGGGCCACAAAUAUAAACUUUUUCCUCGCAGCCUUGUCACUGGUUCAGCAACCAAAUUUCUAACCCACGUUAAACUAUGAAAGUUGCUUUCUCAAUCAAAUCGCGUUUAAUAACUAAUUAAACCCGUGAUGUAAAAGAAAACUGGGGGUGUAAAAAAAAAAUCCUGUAUAGGAACUCGACUUCAUUUUGGAUCAAUUGGAAUUUGUUAUCUAAUCUUAGAAAACUUUCAUUUUAGUAAUAAAUUUUCAAUACGCUUGAUUUAUAUCAUAAGAAUUAUUGCCUUCAAUUGGAGAUGCACGGGCACAUCCGAGCAUCGCGCCAGAAUCAUCCAGUUCUUAAAAACUGUAGUAAAGUACUAAAAUUCACAGGCUAAGAACCGACGACAAAAUAGAUACACACCUGAGCGCAAGCGAUAAUUUUACGAGACAAUGAAAUAACACUGAAAUCACAUGGGAUUAUUAUUUGAAAGAUCAGUAAGUAAGUUGACAGCAACCCAUAAGCACAGGUCGUCGUCUUCAGAUGACCUGUACUUAUAGAUUGCUGUCAACUUUUUAACCGAGAGAGCGAAAAAAAAUUUAUUUCAUGCCAGUAAAAUUGUUUCUUACACGUUCAGAUUGGUUGUGGACGGCGGCCGCUCUGCUCUUCUUGGCGGAGCUAGAAGACCUCCCGGCCUCCCUCUUCGCCGCCUUCUCCUCCUCGUUGCACACGCCAUCUUUCUAUUUGUUUAUAUAUAUAAUAACGUACAUAAUUAAGCUCCAUUUGUUUUUUUUUUUUUUUUUUUUUGAGAAAAACAAUAACAAGAAUUGUAAUGGAAAGCAUGCAUGUAUGGUUUUACUUGGGGCGGUCGUCGGCUGUGGCAAACGGAGUCGUAGCAUCCUCCGCCGCGGCCGAAGCUGGUGUUCUCCGUCCCGGGGGAGCCCAGCGAGGCCGAGGUGUUGUUGUUGGUGUUGGUGGUGGUGGUGGUGGGGCUGGUGGUGGUGGGGGUGAAGCACACCUCGUCGCCCCCCGCGCCCCCGCUGCUCGUGUCGAACGCCGCCAACGCGCUCUCCCCGCGCCCCGGCGCCGCGCUCCCCUGGCUCGCCGUAGCAGCACUCCCCCUCCCCCGCUUCCGGCCCCCCGCCACCGCCUCCCCGCACGGCACGAGCAAGUCCGCCGCCGCCGCCGCCGACGGCGAGGGGUGGGACCCGCUGAUCCAAGCGAGCAGGUCGACGCUGGGGCCCACCUCCUGGAGCUGGGGGCGCGUGGCCUGGUCCACGACCGCCUCCAAAGUGCCGUGGCCGCCGCCGCCGCCGUGGUGGUGGUGCUUGUUCCACGGCGAGGCGGCGGAGGUGGGGAAUUUGGGGAGGGGCUUGGCGACGCGGGGGAGGCCGUGGCCCUGCAAGGAGAGGUGGCCGUUCUCCCACGUGAUCUCGGCCACCUCGUAGCGCUCCGACGUGCCCGCCGUGGGGACGAGCGGAGGGAGCUGCUGGGGUGGUGUUGUUGUUGGCGGCGAGUUCAGCAGAGGAGGAGGAGGAGGAGGAGGGUCGACGUCCAACUCCCACCUCGGCACACACUGACUCAUGAUCUCUCCUCUUUCUUUCUUUCUCUUUCUUUCUUUUUAAUUAAUUUCUUCCCCUCAAUGAUAGUUUCUCUCUCCGCCUUAAUUAGCAACGACUUAACGCGCGAUAAGUAUCUUAUUGCUACUACUGGCAUGUCCGAGAAGCACAAGCGCGUGAGUGAUCAAUAAGCAACCCUAUUCUUCUCGGAGACGGAACAGCGUUACAACAGGUCGAGGCCGGAGUAUAAGCAAGUGAAACUUACUCUAACAGAAGCGUGUGGCAUAGGAAAUACACAUUACAUACACAAAAACAAAAUAAUAAUACCAAAAACCACUGUAGUUUGAUGUUUGUUGCGAUCGAUAUAUAUAAAUAUAUAUAUAUAUAUAUGUAUUAAUUUAUUUAUAUUUUCGUGAGAGAGAGAGAGAGAGAGAGAGAGAGAGAGAUAGAGGUGGCGGCGACCUUGGGCUAUGAGUAAGGAGAGAGGGCCACGUAGCAACUCAGAGCUCCACACGUCGCGCCGUCACAGCGACAACCAGCGCGGUGAAGAUAUUAUUUUUUCCCGGCCCAGUCCACUCCGUCGUUGCUUUUUCCGCGGUCAAUAGUGGACUCGAUUGGGAAAUUUCCCUGCGCGCGCGAUGAAAGGAGCAGCGAAAUUGCCGCGCCGCCACUCUCUCCUUACUUCAUUACCUUUCCACGAGGUUGUUCGACUGAUCCUAUCCUAUGCAUUCACUCCAUCCUCUAAUUUUAUUAUUACAUUUUAUAUUCAUUAAAUAUUUUAUUUUUUUAUUUUUUUAUUUAUUACUUUUAUGCCAUCCUUUUGGGCCUACUUUGGGCCGCAUGGACCAUGUUGGGCACCAUAUCCAUCUCUUACAAGCAAGAAUAAAAAACAAAAAAAAGAAAAGAAAAGAUUGACCGGAAAUAGAUAAUUAAUUAACUAUAACACAUAAAAUAUAUAUUAAAUUUUCGAAUGGAAUAUUAAUCAUUGUUGCUUGAGUUUGGGAGCAGCUUCUGCAACGUCUAACCCUCUUAUUUGAUUUUUCCUUUUUCCUUCUCUGCGCACAAUAUUAAAUAACGCAUGAAUUAGGUUGUAGUUCUUAACUGUCUUCACCAUAAUACAAAAAAAUACAAGUCCUGUUUACUCAACAUGCAUACGCGUAUACAAAAAAAUAUCAUCUUUAUAUAUUAAACAGUUUGCUCUUUUAGAAAUUCACACACAAUAAUAAUUAUUUUUUCUAAGUUGCUAAUAAUUAAUAAUAAUAACAAUAAUAAAAAACUUUAACAUGAAUUUGAGGCGAGGUAAGGGAACACGUUGGGAUGCUUCAUCUCCACAAAUUUGGAGUGACAACGAGUACAAGAUUUCCUAUUACAGUUCGGUUGUUUGGUCGUCGUGAGUGGACUUGGACGUACGAUCUCGUUGGGCCGGGGCCCACAGAGGAAGGUGCUAGUGCGAGUACCGGAUUUGGGUGCUUCCCAUAAUAAAAUGAGAAUCCGAUGUAACCCAAAUUUGAAUUUCAUGUUCAGACUCAUCAUUAUAAGUCUGUAAGAUGAUAAAAAUUUUCUAAGAUGUAAGACGAAAAGUACAACUAACAUAUAGAAUUCGAUAUAAAACCUUAAUUUUUUUAUUAUGUUCAGAAAUUAAUGAAUACUUUUUUUUCUGCUAUGUAUGCGCUGAACAAAUUAGAAAUAUAUAUAUUUUCUAUUACAAUAAUUUUAUAUACAAAUUAUAAUAUUUUAUUAAAUAUCUUUAUAUUGGAUAAAAAUAUAUCUUAUGUAUUAUAACUAUUAGAAUAAAAAAAAAAUUCACUCAAGAAUGUAUUAAACUUAUCACAUUAACUUAAUAUCGGAAAGGAGAAUAGGUGGGACCCAUUGUAAUCCGAAUCUGUAGAGCCAUUAAUUUCUUUCCCUCUUGCAAAUUUUGAAUGCGGAGUGGGCAAGAUAAGGAUCAACGGCUCUUUGGCGCCUAAAAUAUGGACCACUAGUUCACUGUUGAAUUAAACUUAAUUUAAUUCAAGGUUGUCAAAACAUGCGCUUUAACAAGGUAUGCGAGUGUGAAUCUUAUCUAAAUUUUAUAAUUUUGUUUUAUUUUAAAUAAAUAGCAUUCGUAUCGGAACUUGAUGUUGCUUUUACUUACUUUUUUUUUACAGAUUAUUGUGCAAUCUAAUCUAAUAAAAACUUUUUUUAAAUUGUUGUAAUAUUUUUUUUAAUGUUUUUGACAUAAGCUAUUGAAUUCUAACAAAAUUUAAUAAAAAUAAAAAGCUAUAUAAUUAAAACGUAAAAAUUAUUUUUCAAAAAAUAUUAAAAUAUAGUCCAAAUAAACUUUUUACAAUUUACUCUUUAAUAAAGAUAUGUUUUAUAAGGACAGCACAACACACUUAAAUUUACAUGCGCUUACGAUUUAAAAAAUGGGAUGAGAAAUGAAUUCAUUUAAUUUGUAUUCAAGGGAUAAACUCUUUGCUGAAAUGUGCUCCGCUGGGUGAAAAGUAUAAAGUCAAAAUGUUUUGUUUUAACAUUCCUCAUUUUCUCUAUUCUACGUCAUUAGAGUAACUUUGGAAGAUUCAACUUAAAUAAUUCAUUUUAACGUCAAUUAUAUAUUAUAUUUGAAAUUUUAAAAAAGCCAAAUUAAGAUUACGAGUCUAGGGCCUCCCUUGGUAUCCUCUCUCUCUCUCUCUUCCUCUUCAAGGGAAUUCGCUUUUUCUAUCAGAUUUAGAAAAAUAAUUAAACAUUUUUUUCGAACGCAAACCUGGCAGAGCACUGCAGCAGAAACCCGGGUGUUCGAACCCGAGGCCAUGCGAGCCCCAUCGCCUCUCACCGCCGCCUCAUCCGCCGUGAUCCUUCGCCGGAACCCUAGAUGCACCACCAGCGCCGGCACCGCUUGAAGAGCUGGCCCGACCUCUGGUUCGGCGACGCUCCUCCCAAGCAUGUCGUCGUCAAGAUGCAGCAUCUUGGUGACCAAACCCUAGCCCUAGAUCGCCCCCCUGCGGCCCCCGCGGCCGCCGACCUCACCGCGCGCCUCUCCGACGAGCUCCUCCUCCGCAUCCUCGCCGCACUUCCCGACCACCUCCGCGGCCCCUCCUCCCUCGUCUCCAAGCGCUGGCUCCGCCUCGCGGGGCGCCUCCGCCGUUCCCUCACCCUCCUCGAAUGGCGCUUCCUCCACCGCCGCCUCGCCCUCCGCUUCCCCGACCUCACCGACCUCGACCUCGUCCCCGCCUCCUUCUCCUCCUCGUCCGCCUCCACCUCCGCCGCUGUGCUCAACCGCGGCCCCGUCUCCGUCCCCGUCGAGCCCCACGCCGACCCUCCCAUCGGCUACCGCCGCUUCCUUCCCCCGGACGCCAUCGACCGUGGUCUCGACGCUGUCGCGCGGAGCUUCCCCGGCCUUCGCAAGCUCUCCGUCGCCGCCCCAAUAGACUCCCAAUCGGGCCUCAUCGCCGUCGCCGAUGGUUGCCCCACUCUUCAGGAGCUGGAGCUCCACCGAUGCACCGAUCUCGGCCUCCGCCCCAUCUCCGCAUUCAACAACCUCCAGAUCCUCCGCCUUGUAGGCUCCGUCGAGGGUUUCUACGCUGGGCCCGGGGUCACCGACAUCGGCCUCACCAUCCUCGCCCAUGGAUGCAAGCGCCUCGUGAAGCUCGAGCUCGCCGGGUGCGAGGGGAGCUACGACGGGAUCUCCGCAAUCGGGCGGUGCUGCGCGAUGCUCGAGGAGCUCACGAUCUCCGACCACCGGAUGGACGCCGGGUGGCUCGCAGGGCUCUCCUUCUGCGCAAACCUCAAGACGCUGAGGCUGGUGGGGUGCCGCAGGAUAGACACUGAUUCCGGCCCCAUCGAGCAUCUGGGGUCAUGCGCCGCCAUCGAGCGGCUGCAGAUGCAGCGGUGCCAGCUACGGGACAGGAGGAGCCUCCACGCCCUGUUCGUGGUGUGCGAGGCGGUGAGAGAGAUUGUGUUUGAGAAUUGCUGGGGCCUCGACAAUGAGAUGUUCAGCUCCGCAAGCAUUUGCAGGUAUUUGGAUUUCUCGCUCAGAAUAUUCUACCUUAAUUGAUAAUGAUUGCUUGGUAAGGUUCAGGUUCUGAUUGGAUUGCCUAGAUAGACAUAAUUGUCAUGUGCAAGCUUAGCAUUAAAAGGGGACGGUAGGGAAAGAGGAUAUUCAUCAUUUGUGUUCACCCUUUUCUGGUGUCAAGAUUUAUAUUUGUAGUUCACGGUGCUAUGCUACGAACAGUCUCAUUGCUUGGCAAUGUUUAUCAGUCUUCCCUUUUCUUUGCUGUGAUCAUCGUAUCUUCUUUUUUUUUUUUCAGAAAAAAAUAUAGAAUAACUUAAUGUUACCGAGGUUAUAUCGACAAAGUUUUCAUGGGCAUUUAACCGGACUCCAACCUUGUUUGGGAUGUGUAAUUUGGUCACUUGUAAAGACUAGCAGCAUUGCAUUUCAGUAGAUAUUCUCAUCCAGGUACAUUCGGGAGCUUAUUGUUCUUGUCCCUGUAUAAUAAGCUUACCUAGUUAUAGCAAUGUGGUGGAGGUAGUAUUUGAUAUGUGCCUAAAGUCGAAUAGACUUGGGAUAAACAACCUGAUAUCAAAUUUCUAUAUAUAGAACCUUCAAUUGUUUGUGACCUUCUAAAAUUUUCCUAUAGAAUGUCAAACUGGAAAAUCAUUAAGAAGUGUUAAAAAGAUGGGAAUUUCCACAAACAAUGUCAUGUGAAAGAUAAGUUGGCUAGGGAACAUGCUUCUUCUACUUCAGUACAGCUUAUUAUUUUGGUACUUGGUUAUAUAUCUUUUCUUGAUGCUUACGUUGUUAUGUUUUUAUUACAAUUUCAAAGUUGAGCUAUGCAUGGUUGUUUACAGUUGAUGUUGUUAUAGCAUUGAAUACCAGUGUCGGAGUUUGGAGAAGUGAAUAUCAUAGUUGCUCUUAGAAAAAGAUGCGCUAUUGUGAAGCAAACUGUAUAAUCUGGCCUGCUUUCUCUCUCUGUUCGGUUUUUGUUUAUGCUUCAGAAUAGGCAUAUUCACAUUCCUCACCAAAUCGUUUGGAAAAUUUUUUUUCUGUUACAAGCAACAUGAAGUUACAAGUAUUUUAGAUGAUGAUCGACAGAUGUGAUCUUUGAUUAAGCUUUCUGAUCCAUUUAUGUGUAUUUUAUAGAAAGAGAGUUGCUGUUUCCAGCUAAGGCCCUAUUUGGCCUUGUUGUACUGUUUGGGUAGUUUGAGUAGUGUCAUUAAAAGUGGUGCUAUGUUGAAAAUUUCCCAAUAGCUUCUCUGCGCAACAGAAGUGGAAGAUCCAAAUUUUCUCUUCUGGUUUUGGGGCUAAGAAUCACAUUUUAGCUUCCCUUGCAGCAGAAUCUUUGUUUGCCAACUACUAGAGAUGACUACAACUGAAAGCAAUUUCAUAAGCAAGGCCAGAUAAUCAGUAAGCAUAGCUCCUACCCAGCCUUCGUAUUUCAGUCAUGAUUGUUUGUGCUGGUGCUUAUUGCAUCAUUUUCAUCAUCUUUAUUGUCUGAUCUCCACUUAAAUAUACUGCCCAUUUGGCUAGUUUCUGGAGGCACAUGAAAAACAACAGGUAGGCAUUUGACAGUCAAAUUGUCUGGAUAUAUAUAUAUAUAUAUAUAUAUAUAUAUAUAUAUAUAUAUAUAUAUAUUUUACUGUGGCAAGACGUUGAAAUAAGUUUCUGGUCCAAAAGGCAGAACCUCUAAUAUAAAGCUUCUGCUUAGACUAGUCUGCUACAGUGCAAAGUUGUAAAAGCUGUUAGUUCUUCAAACAGGCAUAAUGUCUCUGACAAAGAGAGAAUUGGUAGUUAUGAGGACUUUGUCGGCAUGAUAUAUAAUAGUACACAGAAAUCAGUAAUCUGUGAAUUAUAAGAAAGAUUGAAAUAGAAUCAGUAAGGUACUUUACAUCUUCCUAUAUUUUUGUUCAUAUCUGUAUGGUCAUAAUCAAAGCUCUUCUUUUCUGGGAAAAUAUUGAGAUCAUGAUAAAUUUGAAUAAAAUGGACUUAAUUUAGUUCACAUACAAAUAUAUUAGACUGCAGAUUCGGAUGGCAUCACAUUCCGUGCAAUUAGACAUAUGAGAAAUGGGAGUCAUGAGCUACUUUCUUUGCAUGAUUGUGCUCGAUGGCAUGCUAUUUUUGCAGUAAAUCAGCUGCUUUUGGAAAUAGGAAACCAGCAUAGAAGGGAAGAAACAAGGAAAAUUCGUCUGAAAUUAUCUGAAGGGGCUGUUUGGUUCAAGGUUUAUUAUAUUCCUGGGAUGGCGUAUAUUUUAUAUUUGGAAUGACAAGUUUAUUACUAACUUAUCAAGCCACUUGUGUUGGGGAGGAUGUUAAUAGCUAGUAUAUUCUUAUUAAUGAACUACUAAUGAUACUCAUCGAGUAUAUAAAUGAGAAUACCUCCUAACCCAUAAUAAUUUGUGCUAUUCCUACCACCUCGGAAUCUACAAUAAUUUCACUAUUUUACUUAUACCUUUUAUAACUAUCCAACUUGAGUUGAAUGGUAAUAAUUUAAAUAUUUUUAAUAAAAAAAAUAUGAAGGAUUACUGGAAUAUUACUAACCAUGAACCAAACGGGCUCUAAUGAUAAUCAAACUUUGAAACGAGUCGUAUAAAAUAAGUUGCAUAAACCAUAAUGCGUUAUUUCUUAUUUCACCUAUCUCCAACACCGUUCUGUUAAACUGUCACAGUAGCAACAUAUUGAUUGUAGUAGAAGCUCUUUACAUCUCUUUUUGUGUCAUGUAUUUCCGAAGUUAAUGACCUCCAAUGCUCUGAAAUGAAUUCAUACUAUAUCUGCAUUUGACUAACAUUAACAUACAUUAUUGGCUUCGGAUAAAAGCCAUGAAUCUUUUUGUUGUUGUGUCGGUACUUCAAGUUUGGAUAUAUUUCACACUUUCCAUUCCACUAUUUAACUAGUAUUAUGUACGACGACAUUUUGGUAGUUAUAUUAUUUCAAUCUGUGCUGGAAACCUUCUCAUCAAUGUUGUUGGCUCUUUUGGCAGGAGGGUGAAGCUCCUCUCUUUAGAAGGCUGCUCGCUACUAACAACCGAAGGUCUCGAAUCUGUGAUCUUGACGUGGAAGGAUCUACAAAACCUCAUAGUAGUCUCAUGCAAUAAUAUUAAAAACAAUGAAGUUAGCCCUGCUCUAUCGAGCCUCUUCUCUGACCUCAAGGAGCUGAAGUGGAGACCGGAUACCAAAUCUCUACUCGCAAUGAGUCUCGCAGGGACUGGGAUGGGGAAGAAGGGCGGUAGAUUUUUCAAAAGGGUAUGAAAUCUCGCCUUCUGCAGUACGCACCCUUUGUUAGGUAAUAUGCCCUCUGCUGUCAAACAAUAAUGUGUGAUACCAGACUUUCCUUGCAGCGGAUCAUGCCGGGUCAACAGCGGCUAAAAGGUAAGGCAGAAGAAGACUCAUCUAAAUAGGCGAGGCAGUUAGGUGCCAAUUCUACGCACUGGCAAUUGUUGUACUUUACGGUGUAAAGGUUCAAGUAUUUAGGAUUAUACAGGACCAAUAUGCAAUCUUAUCAUCGCCAUACUUCGCGCGGGUUAUUUUGGCUGGCCAAGAUGGUGCUUUUACAUGGUCUAUUCAUCAUCUUAUGCAUGCCAUCGGAGAAUUGUUGACGUCAUAUUUAUGCUAAGAUUGCGAAUUCUAUUCGCAUUGGUACUAACUGUGACGCCUUUGCCUGUGGCAUGCAAGUAUGAUUACGGGAAAGCAGAACGAGAAUUUUAGCUUACAUCACAAUCAUCGCCUUUUCCUCCGGUGAAUGGUUAAUAUCUGGUACUCUAUAUGAGACAAAUUUUUACUGCUUAGGUACAGAGAACAAUGUGAAGCCGAUAUAUUAUUCACUUUGCUGUUGAUUGCUUACGAUUUACUUGGAAGCAGAGGGUAGUAUAAUCUGUGCAGUUUUUUCCGAUGCUUGCAUGGUUUUGAGUAUGUACGUAGAUUCUUUUUUUUCUCUGCUUCGUCGUCAUUAUAGUUUCCUUUUCUUUAGCGGGGAGUGAUUUGUUCUGUUUUGAAGAGUGGGUUAGCCACAACACUUCUUCAGCCGUAUUGGCUGUUCUCUGUGAGUUAGGAGAGAAAUGUAGAGCUAAUAUGGUACAAGAGAUUUCGAGUGCAAUAGUGCCCUUGGAAAAUUUCUUACUGGGCAAGGAUUUGGUUAUUUUAAUAAUUUAAUGAAACGGGCCUUCCCCUUGUAAUAGCUUGUUGAGCAUGAUUUUCUUAGCCAUGGAGAGGCAUCCUGCGUUCACCCUCGUUUCUAGUAGCCCGCCCUUGCUGGUUUCCGCAAAAUUAUAAAGGCAAUUCCGAAUCAUUAUUAUAGGUAUCUGUCAGAUGGAUCAAACCUACAAAUUCCAAUCGCUGGCUCAGUUCGGUAUAGGAAAUAAAUUCUAAGCCCAGAGCAUAUCUAAUAAUAGUUACCAAUGCGACAAACCGAAUGACCCAAGAUGAUGGCAUUGUCAAGUAAUUAUGAAUAUUUUAAAAAAGAUCAUUUUAAUUUGAACCAAAUGGACGGAAUUAGAUACUAAAACCGCUUGGUUUUUUAGGAGAAAUCAAACUCAGAGGCCUCGAGUAAGAAGAUAUUUUAUCUCGCAGGAGGCUAUGCAAACUUGCAAAGUUAGAUAUGCUUAUAUACAUGCAAGUUUUGUUUGAUUGACAGAUUAGCCAGCGAAACUAUAUAGCAUUUAAUAGCAUCCUCCAACACAUCCCUCAGAUCUAACGGUGAGAUGCAUCGCUGCCGUCACAACAUGCUAAUCAUCGAAAGAUGGAGGAAUCAAGCAAGCUGCAUUGCGAUAUUCAAGGCGCGGGAGGAUCUAUAACAGUGCUGUUACUAUGGCACAACAAAAUACAAAAGUUUUCAAGAUAUUCCUAUGUGAUUUCUACAGAAGAAAAUGACGAAAGCAAAAGGCUGCAAGAGUAGAUAGACACAUUCCAACUUUCAGUUUGCAGUUUUCACAGGAAAAAAAAAAAUCUUUUUCAUAUAGUUUGUAAAACUCAUUUUCCACCCAGAAGCGUCUUAUGUAUUGCCAACCGCAAUGCAGGUAUAGAAUAUAAAGAAGUGAAACAAAGUGCAUGAUAAAAUCGAAUUGAUAGUACGAUCAGUAUUACAGUGCAGAAAUAGUGAUAACUAUCACUAUUUGAGAAAUUGCAAAAUCCAAUGAAAGCACAAUCUAUCAAAAAUUUAUAAACCCAACAUUUACGAGAGCCGAAUAAAUUAUAAAAAAGAACUCUUUUCACAUAAAAUACUUCCAUGGAGUUCUACAAAAUAUUCAUCCGCUUUCAACAGUAGAAAAAGACAUCAGCGGGUUUUCGGCUUAUUGUCACCUUCGAACAGAUAAACCCAUCUCUAAAUAGAACAAAAAAAAAAUUACAUCAGAAAAAGAAGAGUUGAUAAUAAGCAGGUAUACAAAGAGAGGCUCGUCUAUCAAAUAUCUAAAAGCUACAGCCGAAUGCUCAACACAAAAAUACGCAUGAAAAAUCGUUUUGUCUUUGUCAUAGGGAUUGACAAACUAGAACUAUUUUGCAAUUACACAGCACUUCAACGACAAAUAUCAACCAGCCUUUAGAAACAGCAAAAUGUUUCACGUACCAUCAUUUUCAUCUGAAAAAAGGAGAAUACUAUUACACUCUUAACCAUAUCAUUGAUGACCCCAAUAUGCAGAAAUUUCAUCAAAGCUUCUUGUUAUAUCUAAUAAAUAUAUUGAAUUUGUAGAUCAACUUGCCAUUCAAAAAUAAUAACCAAUUUUUUAUUCUUCGUCAGCAAAGUGAGCAUGUUCAUGAAUAACAAUGAGUUGAAACUCAGAUUGGCAGGGAUACUUGAAGCUCUGUAAGUUUGUAACUAAUGACAGUGCAGUCUCAUUAUUCAAUCAUUGCAAGAGAACAAAUUAAUCAACAGUCAUAUCUUACAGUCCUAUAAUAAGUUUAAUCCCACACUUCCCAAGAAGCUCCAACCGGGCCAAAAAAAGUCCCGAUUAUCUACAGCAUCCAGCAUCCAUAGUAAUUUUGCAUUUAAAUUUACAUCCUCAAUUUACAAACACAAGUAUCAAUAGAAACUUUAAUCCAGAAAAACAACAGAUUAUGAUGAGAAAUUCAAUUAAAAUACAAGAGAAUAACAGUUGACAGAAAGAGAAGAAGAUGAGAGAGAAAAUAUCAUAGAACAAGAAUACACAAGGAUAACAAACAUAACUAGCGACCCCAAAGGUGAUACAUUAAGGCUAAAUUUUUUUUUAAAAUAGAGGACAAAUGGCAGCUCUGCAGUCAGGCUUAGAAAAAUACACUCAACGUUGAAAAAAUGACACGAAUUCCCAUUGUUUUCAAUGUGAUUAAUUUGAACAAAUUUCUUCUUCCAUGUAUAACCACAAAGUUGCAGAUGUAUAAGGUAACUAAAUUGUUGAGUCACAAGGUAACAGCCAAUAGUCUAAAGGCAAUCAUACUUGAAGGUUCUGUGCAGCGCCAAUAUUUCUUUCAAGCAGUAGCAAAUUCAUGUGCCUGCAGAAAGCAAGUACCUUAAAUUGGAUUUCGUGCAUAGAAUAACUUGUUCGUGUACUUAUUAUCUCCCAGAAAAAGGAAAAAAGAACCAUGAAGGAUCACUAGAUGAAAAGAAGAGAUCUAACUUGACUGGAUAGCAAGUUAAACAAAUCAAGGUUCAAUAAGACAAAAUUUGAAACACAUCAGAAUUCAUGUGUAAAUUGUCCGCAUAAAGGAGGUGAACAACAGACAAGUGUCAUAGUUAUCCCCAAAGAAAGGUUUCGACGAAAGUAAUGGCACAAGAAAUCUUGACAACAGAGCCCCAAAAGCAUUAGCUUACACAAAAUACACAUAUAAAAUAUCAGAACAUUCACAUAAAUUUUUAGAUAACUAUCUUGGAAUCUUCAAUAAAUCAACACAUGCAAUAUGAAGAAUUAAAAAACGAAAAUGGAAAAUCCUUAACAGCUCAGAUGAAUAUCCUACCAAAAUUCUCACAUCAUAACCAUAACCAAACGAAUCGAGAAAGUAACACAUAACAACUUUAGUUGACAUAUAGAACAAAUGAUUCUCUGCAUCAUGGAGAAUUAGCCAAAUUAUUGGAACAAAAGAGCAAAGAUUAUGUAUUUAUGUGUUUUACGCUUUAGUGCGAGGCAGAAAUGAUUGUUCAUUUCAUUGACUCUUAUUUCCAAAGGAGUCCACUGGUAUAUAAGAAUUUCAUAUUUUUAGAUAGAACGGCAUAAAAUGGUCGAGCGCGCUCUAAAACUUCACAACAAGGUCCACAAUCAUGAUCUGGCGAAUUCUGAAUUUCAAGUUUGAACAUGGAACAUCAAGGUUGAUUGACAUCAUUUGAAACCUCUAUCAUAAACCGCCACGAAUUGGUUCAAAUUUCAGAACUGAGAAGGAAAACCAAAAAUUCUUAAAAACAAACAACAAAGUAUCUCAUAAAAGGGAUCCCGUAACCAACUUAGUUUACCAACCUAUUAAUGGCUAAAAAAUGGAAGUAAUUAAUCCACCGAGCAGCGACAAUCUAAAAGUGUUUUCAAAUCAAACUGCCACUCAAAGGGAUAGAUUCACUCCGAUCACUAAACAAGAAGCACGUGUAACCAAAGAGAUGGGAUCAAAGCUACUCACGACAUAACAACAACAUCGUUAAAGUCCGGGAUAGGUACGACAGAGGAUACCCUGUGUAAGCGCUCUGCAGCUCCGCGAGGUCGUGCUCAGCCGCGACGUCAACCGCGCCGCCGCCACCGCACUGUGGAGAGGGAACAGCGAUGCGCCGCCGCAGCUCCCCAGCUCCACCGGCGUUCUUCGUCGAGAUCACGCAUGCAAUACCCAAAAAUUAGCCCUAGAAACUCAAAAACGAAGAGAAAAGGCCUCUCAGAAUAAGAAGGCGAAUCAAACCUAGAGACGAACGCGACGCGGCGGAUUCGCGAAGAGGCGGAGGUGGAGGGGGAUGGGGCGGGGAGGGAGAAGGGUCGCGCGGCGGCGGAGCUGGCAUUGGAGACGCGAGAACGGAUCGAAGAGGAAGAGAUGCGAGCCACGGAUCUUACGAAGGUGGACGCCAUUGGAGGAGGAGGGGAAGAAGGUAAGAGAACGAUGCUAGGGUUAGGGUUUGGAAGAGGGAGGGAGGGAGGGAGGAAGAGAAACGGCGGCGGGGUUUAGGGUUUCUCGAGGUCCCCCGUGGGGCUGGUUCGGGUCCCGUUCGAACAAAGAAUCACCCGCACAACCCAACAGGCCUAAGCCCAUUUAACUCAACUAGACAAACGGCCCAGCCCACUAAUCGGGAUCAGGCAAAACAAAUAUAGGCCUAUUGGGCCUAACAAUUCUGCGGGAUUAUUUUUCAUUUGGAUGAAGAUAAAGAUAUCCAAGUUGCACCAUAUCUUUAAAAACAAAACAAAACAAAAAACAACUAUAAGAGAUGUACUAUUUUGUUUAUCAUCAUCAUAUUCCAUGUUGCUUGCACUAUUACAUAAUUGACUUCGAGCCCACUCCGCAUGAACUUGCAUGCAUUAGUAAUACGGAUUUAAAUAUUAACCUUAAAUAUUGAUUUAAAUAUUUAAUAAUUUUUGUAAAAGAAAUUUAUAAAUGGAGAUAAACAAAGUCCACCCACUACCUCCGAAGCAAAUGGAUACUUCUAUAUCCGCACCUACCUCGGAAGCAAAUGGAUACUUCUAUAUCCGCACCUGGUGCUUUUCUUUUUAUUUUCUUUUUUUUGUAUUGUAAGCUUCUUACUACCUUUGGUUUAAAAAAUGAGAACGUUCGUUUGCAUAUUUUACUUAAAUAGCAAGAUUAAUUAUUGCCAAAAGUUUUACAACUGUACUUGUUUAAGCACGUCAAUGGAAAGCUCUCUCUCUCUCUCUCUCUCUCUCUCUACAUAUAUAUAUAUAUAUAUAUAUAUAUAUAUAUAUUCCAUAAUCCCUCAUCAUAGGGACUGUGCUCUAUAUUCCCAAGUGUUCAUGGACCUUUACUUUUAUAUCACUUAAUCGAGCUUAUAUUUAAACUGCAGCUGUGUUUGUCAAUGCAUUUAAAUUCAUACAUGUGUGAGAAAAUGACGUACGUUUAGAAAAGUAUGGUUGUUCCCGACGCUUAAUGCAGAUCUAGCGGUUAAGGAUCGCGACUUUAUGUCGCUUCUAUUGCAAUGGAAAUCGAAGACUUUUAAUUUGUUGUAAUAAUACCUUCACUAGGAGUAUAAUAAUAACACAGUAUGUAAGCUCUUUCCGGUACAUUUAAUCAUAAUAAGCUUGUUUGAUAAAAGAAACCCGGCAAAGAAAAGCUUUGGAGAUUUGAACUGUCUCCAUAGGAACUCCCUCUUUUUGUGUUUCUAUGUGAUGUUUUACGACUCACAAUAAUAAAUUAAUAGUUACAUGAAAUUAAUCCAGAGAAUUUCGAUAACUAUAUAUAGGCAUCCAUCCCUUAGCUUAGUACAGCGCACUGAAAAAUCCGUAGCUAUGUAUCUAUUUACCUGUGAAGGACAUAUAGCAUGGCUCCCUCGUCCCUUUUAAGAGAAAAUGUAUAUAAAAUAUUGAUAAUUAAGCUUUGAUUAUCGUAUAGAGUAUUCAAAACUAAUAUGAACGGCCAAUGAUACGUUGAAGUACUAGUAUUUAUUGACAUAGCUUUGUUCCUACCAAUUCAGUUCUACAACUAACACAUAACUAGUUAAAUACGGAUUGAAAUUGCAAACUUACAUUCUUGAUCAAUUCUUUGUUUGAAAGUAUCAAUGACUUCUUUUGCGAGCCAUGUGUUUUUCUUCUUCUUCUUCUUUUAAUUCUUGAAAAGCUCUCAAUGCGUGUAACAAAAGAUAAAACAGGAAAGAUGCAUAAUGGAAUUCAAUCUAAUCCUACUCAUUUCAAGCAAAGGAACUAGAUCCCAAGUCCAGAUCAAUUGCUAUAUAUAUAUAUAUAUAUAUAUAUAUAUAUAUAUAUAUAGUUCAGACAAAUCAAUUUGAUUCUAUCUUAAAGAAACAAUAUUGAAACUUACUUUUCACUUACAAUUAAUUAGCUGGUGAUUUGAAUAUUUGGAACAUUUCGAAUUUUCGCUAUAGCGGAGAGCAGAAUAUGUUUUCGACCCCCAAAAAACUAUCAUGCUUAUGUGAAGUUUCUUCCUGCUUUUAUUGUAGUUAUAUUUUACUAAGAAGAAGAGCAAAACUGCUACAUUUUCUUUUUUUAAUAGUUUUAUUAAAUAAAAUGUAAUCCAAUCAAUUGCUUGACCAAAUUGGAGUCUAUAAAAGUUUUAUGAAUAAACUUUCAUUACUAACUGUGGUUAGUAACCGAGAUUCCAAAUUCAUCAAAUUAGAUUCAUCAAAGACACCAUCAGAAGUGUUUUUCUUAAAAAAAAAAAAAAAAAAAAUAGUGUGAAGCAUGUUGGCUAAGUUAGAGGAUAAGCCCUGAAUAGUGAUGGAAAGAAAGUGAGCACAAAUAUAGUCCUGUUGUGAACUGACACCUUGUCCCAGUCAGUGGAAGGAGACAGCAUUCCUAAACUUUGAGAUAUUAGGAAAGGAGCAGCACUGAAAAAGAAAAAAAGAUCAAAAAGAAAAAAAAAAAAAAUCUCACAUUUAUUGUUUUCCCUGGCAACACGUCGACCCAAGUACUGAAGCUGGUAAGUGCAAACGACAAGUGCUCACCUGUAAAUGGUCCACUCUCCCUGCCCUGACCCAUGGGGAAAGUUGUAUGUAUAGUCGAUACACUCGGUCCACCAUUUUGGUACGGAUUGCAUCUUCUUUGGCCCCGCUUCUGCUAGUUUCACAUUCUGUUUAGCUACCUUCCGCUUCUACUUUAAACUCUAAUCAUCUUCAAUAAAUAGUUUGGUAAGUAAAGAGACCCGCUAAUCAGUUAUUUUAAAAAUACGUAUUGAUAGAAAAGAUAUAUCCACCGUACUUAAGAAUUCAUCAACCACAACGUUUACAGGCUUCGAUCUGACUUAACACACAUGAACGUUGGAUUUAUUAUUGAGUCUCUUGCCGUUAAAUUUUUUAUGGAUCGCAGCUUCACUCAAUUUAUUAAGCUCACCUAAAUCAACUUACUAGUAUUCUGAGUCCAAUAAUAAACAGCUAACAUAAAGCACGUAGGAAAGGCAACAAAUCUUAAUUUUAGGCUCCAACUGUUAAUAUUUGUUUUUUGCUACAAUUAGAGCUUAUAAUUUGUUUGAUUUAUGGAAUAUUUUUAUUAAAAUUGUACUUAGUGGUGAUAGUAAAAGUGCCGUGUUGAUAAGAAUGUGGGGCGCGUGGUACCGCAAAGAAAAGGGGCACCACAAAAUGGAUACAUAAUGGCCCCUUAGAAUUGUAGAAAGGCCGAGUAAGUGGUCCUCGUACACACGCACAACAUACUUUCCCUUCCUCCAAUGUUUCUUUUUCUGUGUCUCACGAGCCCAUGUUGCAGGGUGCAUUCUUUCUUAUUAUUUUUAUUAUUUGUUACUACUACUGUUGUUAUUUUUAUUGUUGUUGUGGUUGUUAAUAUUUCGACUCUCAGAACCAAGCACGCUUACUUUAACAUCUCCAACUUUUCUCCUAAAAAGACCCUUUAGAUAAUGAUGAGGGUUUAGAACUUCAUCAGGGCGGUGAGAUAUGUAUAUAGUUAUAAACUUUAUCGAGAUGACUAAAAAACAGGUUUAGCACUCCUAAUCUAUUAAUAUCGCAAUGGGACCGUUUGAAAGCAAGAAGUCGGAGAGUGAGAAAUUUAUGAUUUGUUGCAAACUCGAUUUCUUCCCCCACUCUACUGAAAUAGAAAAGUCAAUCUCCAUAUAAUUAUAAGUGGGAGUUCGAGUAAUCAUGCCGCUUCGCUGUUGAAAUAAAUUAAUGUCCAAUUAAGUUGACAAUUUUUUGAAGUUACAAAAGUCUAAGCUUUGAGAGGACAAUGUAUUACAAAAGUCUCCAAAUAAGAUAGAGUGUGUGUUUUUUUUUAUGUAUUAUUAAUCUGUCGGCAAAAUCUAUAAUUUUUUUAGUUUGCGUAUACAAAAUCAAUUGAAUUUUUUUAUAUCUUGAAUGUUAAAAUACAAGCAGCAUACGUAGAUCUCAUUCCGGAGGAAUUGCAACAGUAGUCAUUUGAAAAACAAGGAUCAUGUGCAGAUGUCGCUGUCAAAUUAAAGACCUUUCAAAGGAUCAAUCGAAUGUUGUUGAAUUUUCCUUUCCUUAAUGUACAGUGGACUAAAGCUUUUUACAACCCCUCAGUCAAUAUUUUAAGAAUUUAAACAAAUUUUUUAUUUUUAGUUUGAAUAAAGGACUAAUUACAUAAGUAUAAUCUUUAGAUGGACAAAGUUGUAGGUGCCUCCGCUGAAAUAUCUGGUUUGGCCUAUAAUAAUUAUUCAAUGUAUGUUACAGCAUGUUAGCAUUUCCACAUAAAGAAAGCUGAGCAGCUAAAAAUGGACCCUUAGAAAUCGCUUUGUGUUAGUGGUCGAUCUCUGAGAACUUUUAAAAAGCCAAAAGAUCAGAUGGUUUCGAAUAUAAAAUCUUAGUCAAUAGUGAUUAUGCUUUAAAACAUUAAGUACUGGGUUCGAAGUUCGAACGUAGUGCCGGAAUCUAAUGAAUCUGACAUUUUUCAAAUGAGCUAGCUUAAUUAAUAAUUAGGAGGCCCUAAAAUUAAAUUAACCAUUUGUAGUUGGGUAGAUUAGGAUUCAAGCUAUAAUUAGGGGACCACUAAUUAACUCGGAGAAAUGCAACAUGCUGAAUCAUUUAAAGCCAUUAGAACCUAUAUAAAACAUGCUGCUUAGAGACAUUCUUUCGAAAAGAUCGAUGAUGUAGAUUGUCGAUACAUUAACUAUAUAUAUAUAUAUAUAUAUAUAUGUUCAUUAGAUCACUGAUUACAUUGUCGUGUUAAAGAAAUUUCGUUGCAAUUCCGUGUUUGUGAAUGCCAAGAACGUUAUUUGUCUCCUCUAGAGCUCCUUUAGCUUGGUUUUGAGAGGAUUAAUUGAGUAUAUAAUUCUCAACUAGAUACAACAGUUGUCAUUUAGUUCAAAUAAAUUAAUUAUUUGAUGUACAUGUCAUGCAUAACUAGCAGCUGUUUAAUGUUGAAUCCCAAUAAUCUAAUAUACAAGUAUAUAAAAUAUUCUUUUAAACGAGUGUGUGUGUAUAUAUAUAUAUAUAUAUAUAUAUAACUAGGCUGGAAUACUAUCAAUAGCACCAAGGGCUUGAUGCUAUUAGUUUUUUAGCCAUUGAAUUGAGAAAUGUGCGGUUAGGAUAAUGUAGGCCCCCUAGGGUUAAGUGGGUGGUUGGUUGAAUAGUAUAAUCUAACGGAUAAAAAUAAUCAAAGAGUUAAAUCUAACGGUGGAAAACUUGAUAGCACUAAAUUUUUGGUGCUAUCGAUAGUAUCCUAGCCGAACUCUCUCUCUCUCUCUCUCUCUCUUUGUACUCAUAAGUUUUCGGUCGUUAGCUCUAGCUCUCUCUUUUUGUACUCAUAAGUUUUCGGUCGUUAAAUCUAGCUCAUUAAUCAUUUCCUCCCGUUAGAUCAUAUUAUUCAACCAAUCAUCCACUCAACCCUAGAAGACCACUGUCAUACAAACCGGGGACCACUAUUAUUCCAACCAUACAUCUCUUCAUCCAACUACCAAAAAUUUAUGAAUACAAAGGGAUUUAUACUCAUAAGAGUAUAGUAGCCAUAGCCUAUAUAUAUAUAUAUAUAUAUAUAUAUAUAUAUAGUGUAGAGCUACUAUACUUUUGAAAGUAUAAAGGAGUUGGUAUUUCUAAUUUUUUGACCUUUAGAUCAACGAUUGUAGCUGAUCAAAAGGUUAAAUAAAUCAGAAAAACUAACUCUUUUAUAUUUCCGAAAGUAUCAUAAUCAGACUAUAUGUGUGUAUGGGUUCAGCUACUAUACAAUCGAUAGUACCAAGCACUUUAUGCUAUCAAGUUUUUCGCCGUUAGAUCUAUCAUUUUGACUAUUUUCACCCGUUAAAUCAUAUUAUUCAGCCAACCACCCGCUCAACUCUAGAAAAAUAUUAUCAUCCUAACCAAACAUCUCUUCAUCCAAGGGCGGCCGAAAACUAAAUAGCAUGAAGCACCUAGUACAAGUAAUAGUAUAGUAGCCUAAUAAGAACUAAAUUGCCGUAGUUUGAGUUUGGAGAUUUUAGCCAAUGUUACUACGCCCGUUGUUUAGUUUAACUCAUGCAAUUAAUCAUUUAGUUUGUUUUUUAUGAACUCAUAUCAAAGAUUGCUGUCGCAGGAUUAAUACCUAUCCUUUUAAAUAUAAGGUACCAGUGUCGUUACUAUCGAACUGAACUAAACCAAACCAAACUGAGUGCACCCUUUGAAAAGGUGUGCGUAGGUGCCGGCAUAUAGAGCAAGCAUCUUAGAAGUAACAACAUAAUUACUCUAAACAUUUUAUUAAUUUUAUGAAUGAUUAAUUAUGAUAUGUUUGAAUGGCUCCCAUUAGUGUAUAUAGCUUUUAAAAGGCAAAAAACAGUAGUACAGGCUAAACUUGUGGCGCAAAUAGUUCUGCUUUUGCCCCUUGUUGCCUCUCCCGGAGAGGAUCCUGUCUCUUCAGUGGAACCCUACACAACGUAUGUGUAAGCAAUGUAUUGGAAACAACCUUUGUAGGGUAGGGCCUAUAUAGUUCAUACACAUAUAAGACCCCAUAAAUAUAUGAUCAUCUCGAUCUCUUUCCAACUCAUCAGCUCUCUCUCUCUCUCUCUCUCCGAUAAGAUGUAUACGCACGCAUGCACGCGGUUGACACCCAAUAGAAAGUACCAACCCAAAGUAUCUUAGCAUGGACUUACACGUGCACAACAUUAAGAUUUUACUAAUUUAGGCUUAAACAUAUAUAAACUAAUAUUUUACUUUUAUCUACCCCUGAGGGUCUCUUUAAAUCGCCUACUUAGUCUUGUUUCUCAGCUAUAUAUUUAAUCCUCCAUUUAACCAACCCACUAUGCGCCUCUUCAUUUUCUCCCCCUCCCCCUCCCCACACCCCCCACACACACCACCCCCCCCCCCCCCCCCCCUCUCAUCCCCCACUAGUAUAGGUAUAUCCUCAACCAUGGUAGAUACAAACAUCGUAUGCUCCAUGUGCGGCGACAUCGGCUUCCCCGAGAAGCUCUUCCAAUGCAUCCGAUGCCGCUACCGCUCCCAACAUUCGUAAUAUAUAUUCUUUCUCAAAAACAUUCGUAAUAUAUAUAUUCUUUUUUCACUUCUCUCCCAUCAUCUUGUAUAUUCUUACAUGCUUAGCUCAAAAAGAAAAAAAGGUCUCAUCCCAAAACUUAUUCCUUCUUUUCUCCUUUUUUGGUAUUUCACAUGCAGCUACUGCACAAACUACUACAGUGACGAGCCAUCAGAGGUUUGCGAUUGGUGCCUGAGCGAGGAACGGGGCGGUCUAAAGUACGGCGGAAGCCAUUCAAAGAAGCCAGGAGCCGUUCGAGAAGCUUCAGCUUCUGCAGAGAAGCCCAAAGAAAGCAUCGAACGGGAGGAGAUCGCGAGCGGCAGCCGGGUGAAGAGCGGGAGCGGCGCGUCUUCUUCUAAGGCGGCAGGGCGCAGGUACAAGCUUCUCAAGGAUGUUUUGUGUUAAGCGUUAAUUAAUCCUGCAAUUUUUGUUAAUUAAUGUGCAUAUUAGCUGUAAUUAGUGUAAUUAGUGAGCUUCUCUCUAUAUAUCAUCAUAUGUGACUGUGAUAAUAUAUAUAUAUAUAUAUGUUGUAAAUGAAGGAAGAACUCUGUACAAGAUCGUUAGUUAUGCUAUAUUGUGUUUAAUUAUAAAUAAUAUUUUGUGUCUGAUUUGCUAUACACACUGUGCACUGCAUCUUCGAUUUAUAAUACAAAUUGGAAUGUUAACAUUCUUCAUAUAUAUAUUCUUUGAUACAUUAAAAACUUUUUAUUGAUUACACAUUCUUUGCCCCCCCUCUCUCUCUCUCUCUCUCUCUCUCUCUCUCUCUCUUUGUUAGCUCCUGAUCUUAAUUUAUACAUAAAUAGUUUGCACUUUGUACCUAGUCCAAAGCACACCAAUUUUGAGAGAGAGAGAGAGAGUGGCCGACAAGCACAUGUUCCUCAGCAACAAUAUUUUUAGUUUGUACAUGCAAACUCCGUGUAAUCUUCCAGACAAAAUCAUCGAUGAUUCCAUAGUAUUACAACUAAACUAAGAGUAUUUUAUUGCCCUAUGAGUUGACCCUACCAUGCAGCGUUGCUGUAGUCCUUUUGUAGGUGUCAUGUAGCCAAAAAGACCAAACAUUGGGUUCUUUCUAAUUCCAAACCCUGAUGUAGUUAAGUACAAUUUUUAACAACCAGCGCAAUACUAGCUAGGUUUAUAACAACUGGAUGAAUAUAUCUGUAACUUUAAAAAAUAUGUUUUUUUUUUUUUUUUUUUUUUUUUUUUUAAAGAGAGAUAGGUAGCACGCUACCCGCUUCGUUUAUUUCAUUUAGAAAUAAAUUUAGCUGGAAAUGUGAAUCAACUAGGAUUCGAACUUGGGUCUCGGGUACCAACCACCAAGCCCUUUACCACUUGCUCUAGGGACGGUUGGGAACUUUAAAAAAUAUGUUAUAAAAAAAGAUCGACAACACAACAUUUUAUUUAUUUUUCGCUAUUAUAAUUUUAUGUUUAUUCAUAAAUUAUUUCAUCCUUAAUUAUUAUCGCCAUGAAUUAUAUCAACUAUAUAUAUAUACAUAUAUAUAUCCUCUUAAAAAUUUUCAUAUCUCAACAUGACAGUAAUUAAAUAGUUGUAAGAAAUAAUUAUAUUGUAGGAAUUUUGCAUGUAACCUUCAAAACUGCUACGACAUUUUACUCAUACUGAUUAAACAGAUUUUCAUUAGUUUUUACAAUUAUAAUUCUUAUUCCUUUUACAUCUCAACAUGGCAUUUGUAAACAUUUGUAAAAUAUAAUGUCCUAUGCAUACAUAAGGCUACGAUCUAUAAUUAAUAAAAGCUAGCACGAGUCAUCCACCUACAUUGAGUAUAUAGUAACGGAUAAGAUCAUAAGGGUCGCUCUCCAUGGUGGAAUACUAAAAUAGGUCCUAUACGUAGUAUUCGGUCGCAUGCAUUAACUCCAUUGAAUGCAUGAGUGGCGUUUUGGCCAUGUUCAUGGUACCUAAAAGCGCCAGAUAAUUUCCACGUUUACAUGCCUAUUUAUUGCGACAAUUUCGUGAACAAAUGGAAACCACUCAUUCCUACUGUUUCUGUGACCACCUAUAUAUGUAUACACACACACACAAGAAAAAAGAGAGAGCAUUUAAUUCGUCAAGAAUAUUUAAAGGGUAUAUAUAUCUCUAUUGGUGGAGCUGCAUGAAAACAAUGUCGAUUUCAAUUAGGUAGGCUUCUACAUUGAGAUGUUUUAUUUGACGUUGACUACACGGUGCGAUUUUUUGUUCUCAUUAUCAAGAGUAGAUGAGUGUAUAAUACGAACUAAUUCGAGUGGUUGGUUUCUUGUGAGAUGUUGUUGAAGCUAAUCAUCAUAGAUCAUGGAAUUUGUGUAAAUGUUUUAAUGAUAUAGUAGUCACUAUUGUUCGAAGCACCACGAGCAUCCGUCCUUCUUGUAUUCACUUCAUCUUCUAACACGCGACAUCUAUUGAGUGGCAGUUUUCGUUAGCUUAAAUAUCAAACAAAUCUAAUCUACGUUGGCGACAAAGUGAAAAUUGAAGUACGAUGGAUAUGGUUAGUAGAGUAUGUUGCAUGUGCGAGGACUAUAUGAUCGAUGCACGAGGUGCAGUUAUGGUAUGAUUUUUGCAGUUUUCUUGUCAAUUUUGCAUUAUCUGAAUUAAUGUAAAUAAAAUAAUAACUAUCUCUUGCAUGGUACAUGUACAUAGUACAUACCCAUUUGCUAAGUACAUAAAUCAUCAUUGCUUACACACCACUCUCUCGAGUUGGUUAAUUAGCAUAAAUUGGGAUCUUGGCUUGCAAUUUUAAUUGUGGGGAUAAUUAAUUAAUGAUGAUUAAGUUAAAGCACUUCCCCUUAAUUCCCAUACCUCCCUCGGAAGCAUGUGGAGUCAUGCUGCGUGUCUCAUUUUAAGUACAAGAGAUGAGUUAGGCAAUGGCUUUUGAGUCACUCAUCCAAUUUCUCCAAGUCCUUUGCAUGCAUAUGUUCGCUUCUUUUUCGACCCCAUCGUUCGGAGAAAUUUUUAUAUUUUAUAGGUUCUUGUUGUCGUAGAGUCUAGUAAAAUGGAAGUUGAUUAAAAUGACUGGACGUUUGGAAAAAAAAACUUGAACUCAGAAUUUUUAUUGUUACGAUAUUCUUUGUAACUAUUAUCUAAAUGCUUAGUAAUCUUAUAUAAGGAAUAAUGUUUGAAUACUUUAAUUCAACAUCUAGGAUUUAAUUUUUUAAGACUUAUGAAACAACUGUUGUACUCUAAAAACUUAAGCACGUCUGGGCUCGAGACUUUUUACAAAGCCAAUGACGUGGACUUGAAUUAAUUAAAUAGGAGAAAAUUAAUAAUUUUAGGAGUCUGGCGUGACUCGAACUGAGAACCUCCUACUCUAAUACCAUAUGAAACAACCGUUAUACUCUAAAAGCUUAAGUAUUAGAGAACGGUGCUUAUAUAUUUUUAUAUUUAACACGGUCGUCCCUAGCGCAAGUGGCAAAGGAUUUGAUAGUUGGUAUCCGAGAUCCCAAAUGCGAAUCCUAGUUGAUUCAUAUUUCAAGCUAAAUUUAUUUCUAAAUGAAAUAAACGAAACGAUUAGCAUGCUACCUAUCUCUUAAGAAGAAAAAAGACAACUUGAAUAUAGUGGGUGGCGAUCAAAUGGGCUACGAGACAUUUAUGUCUUAAGCUUACCGAUCCACACAUAAAAAUUAAGAAAUACCGGAAUGAGAAAUAGCAGCUGCAUUAAUCGCUCUACUUCUUCUAUUUUUGGUGGCCUGUUCCUAGUAAUUAGAAAUUACUAAUUUGUUAUUGAUUGAUUAGGUAAUUACUUGUUAUUAAUUAAUAACUUUUUGAGAAGAAUAUGUUUGGGUCUAAUCUCGGAUGAGAUCCCACUCAACUUGGGCCUGGAUCGAAUAAACUACUGAUUGUCUAAACCUAGCCCACUAAGCACACUACGGCCCACACAUUUAUCCUAACAUUUCAAUUGGGCUUUCGACUUUUUUUUUUUUGAUGGUUGUGUUUUUUUUUUCCCCCUUAAAAAUCAGCUCUUUUUUUCUUUUUGAAGUGUUUUCGUCGUAUUAGAAUUUUUCUUAAAAGCAAAAAAACAAUACGAAAAACAAACUUUACCGGGCAUAAAUAUAUACAUCUCUUCUAGUGUAGCAUUCUUUUUAAACUUGGGUCUCGGGUACCAACCACUAAGCCUUCUGCCACUUACUUUAGAGACGAUCGGCUCUACAAAAAAAAAAAACAAAUUAAAUAAAGAGAAAUCGCAGUAGUGAGCUUGAGUUUUCCGUUAUUUGGUUUAAUUUUUUAUUUUCCCCGUAACCAUGACUUCAAAUUAGAUAUGACGCCGAGAUGAAACUUGGUUAUAAAAAUUUUAAAAAAAAAAGAACUCUUCGAUUUAUUGAAAUCUUAACGCUGAUCCGAAGACCCCAAAAAGCAAAAGCAAAAUCAGUGGACGGUGCUUUCAUAGGCACCUACCUAACCCAUCUUAAAUAAAGUAAUAGGAAGUAAAAAAUAAAAAAUAACUAAAAUAAAUAACAUAAAUUAAAGAUUAAUCAAUGGCUAAGAUAAACUUAAAUUAUUAAAGAGAAAACUAAAAAUGCACGAGUUGCUACCUUACUUCUUUAUAAUCCCUUUGACCCUACGUAGAAAAAUAAAGCGCAUGCACUACUUAAUUAUGGUGAAAACAAAAAAAAACUACAUUUACAAUAUUUGAAGGAGCGGUUACACCGCAAACUCCAUCUCCCUCAAUUCCUUACAUUACAAAUUUACAUAAUUCUUACAUCAUUUUCUAUCCGAUUUCUUAAAAAAUAAAAUUUUAAAAAUAAAAGAGAAGUUCAUAGAAUAUCUUUUCAUUUUCUCCGAAUAGAUAAAAAAUAAAUUAAAAAAAUAAAACUAAAUCACAAUAACUAGCACCAACACAAGCAAAAAUCCCAUACAACUACUUCUCACUCCACCACCUCUCCUAGCAGCCGCCGAGCCGGAGUCCGUAGUGUCGGACUCGAUGAGCGAGCUGAAACUAAAAUCCGGAUUGGACCCGUAAAGCGCCUGCACCCCUUCGACGUCGUCGGCCCUUAAAUCCGCCUUCUUCGUCCUCGGACUCAGGCUUGGGUACAUAACCGAGUUUUUCACCGCCGAGUGAGCGAGCCCGAGCACGUGCCCGAUCUCGUGCGUCGCUACCGAUUCCAAAUCCACGGCCACCGCCGACCGCUCUCUUCUGAAGUCCACCGCCCACGUCUCCGCAGCGUCGAGGUGGAGGCGCCCGCUCUCGGGCGAGAACGCAUGCGCCAGCACGCCCAACACUCCGUCGAAGGGCUCCCCAUCGCCGUGAUCGCCCGAAUAAAAGCCUAUCUUAACAUCCGCCGAUUCGUAGUUCGCGGUUUUUGUGAAUUGCACGGGGAUCGCCUGUGCCCACCGAGCGAACGCGAGGUCGAAAACUGCUUCCACCGUUCCGCGCGGCAAGUAGUGUAUAGUGGCAGUUGGAGAGACAGCAUAGGUUAACACAAUUGGACCGGACCGGGCCCACCGCGGCUCGCCCGGGAAGAACGCGAACCGGCCGACCGAGUGGGCCCGGCUCGGGGCCAAGGUGGCGUUGUCGGGGACGCCGCAUCGCGGUGUCGUGAUCUCGGCGAGGGUGGCAGCGUCGAGCUUCCCGGUGACCCGGAGGCCGAGCCGGGUUUGGUAGAGCGAGACCGCCGUCUCGAGCCGAUCGUCGAACGCGUCGGUCGGGUUCGCGUCGGGGUCGGGUUCGGGGAGGUAGCCGAACCGGGAGAAGUAGCGCUUCAGGUCGGAUAAACCGGCGACGUGGGUCCCGCGCUCCGCGUCCAUGAAGCGAUCGGAAGAGCGCCACGUGUCGGAUGGUGGGGCGGGUCGUGAGGCGGCGGUUGGAAGGUGGCGGGAAAGGAGGAGGGGCAGGAGAAUAGCGAAUAGAGAAGGGCGAAUAGAGAGGAGCAUAAUUCAAAGCGGAAACCGCGGGGCGUUUGGGAUAAGUCGGAAGAGAACGAGGUGUACUAGGAUUUUAUUGUUAUUCUUGUCGGAAUAAAACAGGGAAAUUUUUUCUUUUUCUUUUUUCUUUUUGUGUUUAUUUAUGUUAGUAUAUUAUUAUUAUUAUUAUUAUUAUUUUGGUUGGUUGGGUUUUGGGGUUUGGGAGUGGGGGAUAUAUAGGAAGAUACCAAGCAACCUGAUUCCACGGGAGAGGAUGAUGAUUCAGCGGUUGGCCACCAACGUAUAACUAACAAUCCCAGGCACAGAGGCACUAGAGCUGAGAUCGCGACCAUUUUGUAUGUUCCAAAUUGGACAAGUCGUUGCCUGCAUCUGCAUGGUCCACACAGCAUCAAUCAAAUUGCAAACUUAUUUUAUUAUUUUAAAUAAUAUUUUAUUGUCGAGGGUUUAUUUAUUUUUUAUCUAAUAGUGGCGUCCUCCUAAAAAACUCUAUUUCUAAUUUCGCUAACUAUAUUGCUGAAAUUUAAUGGAUUAGGCCAAGUUGCAAUCGCAGUCGUCGACGCAGACCGCACGGGCCCAUUGACGGCUUAUUUGGUAUUAGCUGCUCCUCGAGUCCUUGCCAAUCACUUGCAGGAGAGACCGGGCACGACAGCGCCAAUUGAGAUUAUCUCCCUCUCAUUGUCUCGGUGGUGGCCUACUCUGUGUAGCUCGGCAUCCUCAUUGGAUCCAACAUACUUAAUUUUUUUCCUUUAAUAUCUUCUCUUUGAAUACUGUAAAAUUAUUUCAAAACCGAAUAUCAGAGAGGCUCCUCCUAUACGAUAGGUAGGACCUCGUCUAUAAUCCGAUGCAUAUCCGUUACUAUAAUAUGUUUUUGUGAGCCAGUUUGAUGAUUGAAUUGCAUCCUCUUAUUCCCCAAAUCCUACCAUGCAUCCGUACGUCAUAACCUCCAACACCUCUGAUUUGCUAAACCGAUAUUACUAGAUGCUAAAUGAUCGACUAAGUCUUAAUAUCUCCACAAAUAACUAAAAAAAAGUGAGGAAGAACCGAGAUAGCAGCAUUAGUUCAAUUUUUGCCACUGAUGUAUAUAUUGAUGGAUAGCACAAAUAUAUUUAAAUAUACAUCCAAUUGAUAAGUAGCUUGUGGAUAAAAAAGAGUCCAGGUGUACAAUUAACAUCGGAUUAGAACAUUACCACCACCAGGAUCGCACACGUGGCAGUAAGAAUAGUAAGCUUAUUAACAUAUAUUAUUAUUAAGAAUAAUAAAUAAUAAUAAUCCUGUUACUUUAUUUAGUAAUUAAUCGACCCAACUGAAAUGACCUGCAACUUGGCUUGCUUUCAACUUUGACUAUUCUUUUGCGUCCGGCCAAACGGACGUUGGGCUACCGUGACCAAAGUUCGGAGUAGGGUCUCAUUUGCUUUACACGUGGCGGAUCCAACGGCUGGGGAUUGGGGACCGCUAAGUUUGUUACGCUCAAUGAUUGCAUGAGCUCACUUUGUGGAUCAGGUAUAGGGGGCAGUUAAUAAGUUUGGCGUGCAAGACUAACCAACCUUUUUGUUAGUUUUCUUUUUUCUUUUUUUUUUCUUUUUUGAGAGAGAGAGAGAGAGAGAGAGAGAGAGAGAGGGUAUUAUGUUAUACGAACGUUUAUUUUAUUUAAAAAUAAAUAAAAUAAAUUUAAUUAGAAAUAUGAAUUAAUUAGAAUUCGAAUUUGAGAUCUCGGAUAAUAAUCAACAAGUUUUUUUUGUUAGUUUGUUGAUAUAUUAAUACGAAUAGUUUAUUUUAUUUAAAAAUAAAAUUAGCUGAAAAUGUGAAUCAAAUAAGAUUCAAAAUUGGGAUCUUGGAUAUCAAUCAUUAAGUUCUUUGCCACUUGCGUUAGGGACAGUCCGUUUCUGGAACAAGAAUGUCAAAUUCAAAAUGUAUUGUAUUACAUAAAAUGCACAAAUUUUAAAACAACAUCAUUAAUGUUGAAUUUAAUGAUCUGACUGUGGGGAAUGUCAGAGCAAAGUAAAUGAUGCAUUCGAUGAGCAACAUCAAGAUUUGAAUAGUUCAGGUCCUAGAAGGAAGGAGACUGAUUUAGAUUCUCAAAUACUAAACUUAUAAAUUAUUAAUGUAUCGAUAAUUUCAUAUAACAGUUUUAAGUUGUGUUUGGGUAAUGGAAUAAGUUAUUCGAUAAUAACGUAUUUAGUGUGAAUUUUUUUUUUUGUGAUUGAAAAAUAGAAGUUUAAUUUUUGAUUCUUGAAAAGUCUCGACAUUUAUGUUUUCGUAGAAUAGCAUAUUUUAUCUACGGAAUAAUUUAUUUUAUUUCAAAAAAAUUAACUUUGAAUAUUAAAAAUCGCAUUUCAUUAUAGAUAUUUGAUCUCACUCCUAAUUUUCAAUAGUACCAAAAAUUCUCUUAUUAUUGAAUGAGAUACUACCGGAUAAGUCAUUUCAGCACCAAAAUAGAAUCUUAGAGCGAGCGCACCAACAAAUGAAAACUUACAUAUUAUACAAUUAAUAUAUCAACAAUAUAUAAAAAUAAUAUUAUAAAAAAACUAUAAUAGUACUCUCCACAAAGGAUGCUACCUCAUUCUCCCUGAUAGUAAAAUUCAGCUGCGGAAGGCCAAACCCGACCCGUAAAGUUUUCGGAUUUGAAUAUAUCACUCCAGACACGAUCCGAUUUGUGAUCUGGGCCCAAAAUUAGGCCUAGUUGUAAUAUGAAGCCCAUUCCUAUUCGAAUCCCCAAACUUAGCAGCGGAAGCACUUGGGCCCAUGUUAUUUAUAUAAACAAUAGAAUAAAAUGUUUUUUAAUUUAAUAAUUAAAAAAUAAACUUUAAAUUAGAAAUAUCAAAAAUAAAUAUUGUUCCAGUUUGAAACGGUGGGGUCACUCUCAGUACAUUUUUACAUCCUUGGAUAGGGUAUAAGAUUUACACUUCAAUUAUUUCAAGGUUGAUAAAUUUCUUUUUGGUCUCUAGUAUUAAAACAAGAAUAAAACUAGCAAGUAGAUAAUGUUAGAUUUUAUAAAAGAACCGAUUUUUUUCAAUCGCUUAAGUUGUGAGAGAAUAACAAUUUUAAUAUUUAUGUUCAGCACUAUUCCUCACAUACGGGCUCAUGAUAGGCUAAAAGACAUGCACUUAAAUUAAAUAAAAAAAAUUAAAUAAAACUUAAAACUUCUUUCUCUGACAAAUUAUAUAGAACAAUUAGUUUUCUUCUAUAGCUUAAACUUUUUAAAAAUAAUAUUCUUAAUAUUAAUACUCAGUAGAAAAUAGCCUUCAAAUGAAUUGAGUGUAAAAUUUUUAAUAAAUUAGUAUACCGUUUGCACUCGUAACACCAUUAUUAUUAUAAAAUUUUUUUUUCUUCUUUAAUCUGUGGUAACCUGUAUUUGCCGAGCUUCCUCACGGAGCAUUCGAGGGUUUCAAAUUGUCUAUAAUCUUGUACAUAGAAAUUUUCAUACACGGGAUUGAUUCAGUUGUUAAAUUUUAGCGAAAUUAAUCCACACUGUCUUAUAUGAAAACGAUGCAACUUAAUUAUUCGAAACAUUAGCGACCGAAUAAAUUUUGUGUACAAAAAAUUUUGCGCAGAUGGGUUGUAAAAAGUUUGCUGCCGCAUUUGAUGGUGUGCUGACUGCACAGUUGUCGAAUCACAAGGAUUCCGGUGACAAUAUCUUUGCCGUGCUGUCAGACUGUUUACUAUUGCCGGCUGGAAUCCCAAUGACACGGAUUUUGUUACGGAAAAUACUUUGGGUCCGCAAAUGUGCCUCCUCUUUAUUACUGUAUCAAUUUGUUGCAUAACAUUGUAUCAGAUGAAUAGACUUCUCAUGGCGCGAGUGACGAAAAAUUUGAUGAUCGGUAUUCUUAGUUUUAAAUUUAAAUUUUAAUUGAUUCAUAUUUUUUAGUUAAAUUUAUUUUUAAAAUAAAUAAACGAGACAGAUAGUAUGCUAUCUUUAUCUAAAAAAAAUAUUGUAUCGGAUGACCGACUAUCUCUUACGCAAGUAACAAAAGCAUUAAUAUGUAACAUUUAAUAUUUAAAUUUAAUAUUUUAUUAGUUUAUGUUUUUAAGUAAAUUUAUUUUUUAAAAAAUAAAUGAAUCAGAUAGCAUAUUACCUUUCUCUCUUCAAGAAAAAAAAAUACAUAUAUCCGAUGGAGUCUCAAAUCUUGUUCAUACUAAAAAAAUUUCUGAAUUUGGCUCUCAUUUAACUUAUUUUAUCAUAUAGCUAUCAUGCUAUGAAUGGUUACGUGUAUAUUAAAAUUAAUUCUGAUUUUUUUUACUGUAUUAAUUUUUUAGGUGACUAUUUUCUAAAAUAAUUAAAUAAAAAUGUAUAGAAAAUAAAUUAAUUAUAAAAGAUUUUAACUUGAUUAUUCAAUCUUUCAAAAUUUUAAUUUUAUUACUCAAUCUUUUCAUUUAUUUAAUCUGAAUUGGUUAAUAGCUUUUCACUUUUAAAAUUUAAAUGUAUCAUUUAUCCCUACAGAUUUAGAUAAUACACUUAACAUAAUUCACGCAGCUAUAAACUCGUUAAAAUGAAUAAUUAAUUUAAAUUUGAAAACAAAGCAUCGUUGACUAAAUCAAAUAAAAAAUUUUAUAGUAAAAUUAAAAUUUUAAAAUUGGAUGGCAAAGUCAAAACAAUCCAUAGUUCAAAUAAGAACGGUAUAUUUUAGCUGUAUAAUUAUUUAUGAUUACUAUUAAUCUGUUCCCAAGUUUUAUCCAACAUUUUUAAAGCAUGCGAAUUAAUCAAUUAAAAAUUUGAAUAGAAUAUGUGAUAACAUAUUAAUAGUGUAUAAAAAUAAUAUUUUUUUAGAGAAAAAUAGCAUGCUACCUGUUUUGUUUAUUUUUUAAAAAAUAAACUUAACUGAAAAUAUGAAUUAAUUAGGAUUCGAACAUUGAACCUCAGACACCAACUACUAAAUUUUUUACUACUUGCGCUAGGAAUAGUCAGUAUCUAUAAAGAUAAUGUUAUCUGAAAUUUGUAACAUUACUCAUUUGGUAAAAACUACUGAUAUAUAUUUUCAGCAUGCGAUUGUUGAGAACUGUUAAUACGUUGAUAUCCGUAAAAGGUUCAAUGAGGCCAGCUAAAGUGUCCUGAAAAAAUCUCAGCACAGUUUUGUAAUUGUCUGAAAUCCAACCUUUAAACUGUUCGGACAAAAACUGGAGUUUAUUUAUAGAGUUCAGCAGUGUCACUUUUGUCCGACAGAUUAACACUAGUACGAGCAAAAUUAUUUCUUAGUUACCCAAAGCAUUUUUCCUUUUGCGCACAAGUGGGGUUAGCUAAUUUCACCGCCCAGAUUGAGUGUUUAAAAAUAAUUUCGGAGUUAAGAAAUUAUUCCAUCCCUUAACCCCGAAUCAAACGGAUGCUUAGGGAUUGAUUUUUUUUUUUUUUUUUAGAGAUAGGUCGCACGCUACCCGCUUCGUUUAUUUUAUUUAAAAAUAAACUUAGUUAGAAAUGUGAAUUAACUAGGAUUUGAACUUAGGUCUUAGAUACCAACCACUAAGUUCUUUGCCACUUGCUCUAAGGACGGUCGAUUUUUCAGGGAUUGUUGAUGCAUUAGUAUAUAUAAUGUUAGGUAUUUCCAUUUAUUUAUAUGUAGUUCGAAAUAUCGUAUAGUGUGGUGUUAGAAAAUAUUUUCGCAAAAGCUAUUUUCAUUGGUUUAUAUAUGCAAUGCGAAACAUCAUACAAUAUGGUAUUAGCAAAUAUUUUCGUAAAAGCUUAGAGCAUUUUUAAUAUAAAUUAUUUAUUUUAUUUCUAAGUCCUAACAAAAUAAGAGUUACAAAAAAGUGUGAAUAAUAUGUUGACAACUUAAUAUGACUAUUUAAAUUUUGUAUAUAAAUCAACCAAAAGAUCUUCAUGUUAUGAAUACUAUAUACCAAUAUACCAAUAUAUAGGACCACAUAGCAAUAUUCAAAAAGACACAGAAAAACCAUCAAGGUAUAUAUUAUCAUCCAAAAUUCAAAAUAUAAAUUGACAGUGUAACAGUAAUCGUUUCAAUCAAUGGCAUAAUAAUUUGGAAUAUUAUAUUUUUCUGUGUCUUUUUGAAUAUUGCUAUGUGGUCCUAUAUAUUGGUAUAUUGGUAUAUAGUAUUCACCACAUAGCAAUAUUCAAAAAGACACAGAAAAACCAUCAAGGUAUAUAUUAUCAUCCAAAAUUCAAAAUAUAAAUUGACAGUGUAACAGUAAUCGUUUCAAUCAAUGGCAUAAUAAUUUGGAAUAUUAUAUUUUUCUUAACAAAUUUCAGUCACUAAAAACCCAAGAAAUAAAAUAUCCUAAAAUUAUACUAGUGAUAACAGUGAUGUGAAAAUAAGGUGAUUAAAAAGUUGAUUUAUGAGGCUGGACUCUAAGAAAGAGAUAGGGUCAUCUUCUUUAUAUACAUAUAUUUUUUUCAUGUAAUUAUUUUUUUUUUGAGAGGCAGGUUUUUCUUUUCAUGUAAUUAUCAUCAACCAAAAAUGUAUAUUAUGUUACAGAGCAACUAUCAUUGCCCACGGAAAUUAAAAUGGCACGACAUUUUGCUUUUAAAUUUUGAAUCAUAAAUCCUUGUUCUUAGCUAUGCUCUCUAAUAUCCACGAAAUUGGUUAUUCGUGAGUCAAACACGAUCCCACUUUUAUAAAAAAUUUUAACUGAUACAUAAAAAUAUCUACAGAAGCAAUGAACACACGAAUAUAUCUUUAUAUGUUUAUGUUUAACAUUAAAGAAAAAUAAACGAAAAGCUUAAUGGUUGGUACCCGAAAUUUCAAGUUUUAAUCAUAGUUGAUUUAUAUUUUCAGCUAAUUAAAUUUAUUUUUAAAUAAAAUAAACGAAACGAAUAAUAUGCUAUCUAUCUCUUAAAAAAAAUAAAAAAUAUUAAAGAGAAAUAAACUUAACAAAAGCGGAGUGUUUGAAUUUAGUUUUUUGGGUAAAAAUUAUGAAGAAGAGUAACAAAAAAAAAAUCAGGUUAUCAAGUGGCUCAUUAUAAGUAACCGACAGGGUUUACACAAUCUAAUUCAACUUUUGAAAUGUCAGAUCACGACCUGUAAUGUAAAUUAAACGAGUUUUCAAAGCUAAAAUAACUGAUUUUUGUAGAAGAGAAAUUCUUUUUCUUUUUUCCUAACAUAGAAUAGAACAUGUUUGAUAUGCAAGUAACGGUCCCACAAUCAUUAUCAGCAAAAACAAAAACAAUGGCGGAAUUAAAUCCCGCACUGAGCCGUGCGGCACGGUAUUGGCUCUAACCUUUCGUCAGAGCCCCGCGUUUAAUUACCACCCUUUCCUUCCCCACCCGUCUUUUCAACCCUUUCCCCCCUCCCAGUCCCCCUUGCGAUUGAACCACUCAAUUCCCUCGAUCCACGUGUCCGGGCCCACCUCGUCCCGGGCACGUGCGCUGUGCCGGCCCCUACAGUUCCCCUGCACGUGACACCCUUUUCGUUCUCUAUAUUAUAUAUUAUCAUUAUAUUAUUAUCAUAUACAUACAUACAAUUAAAAGAAGGGAAACGCACUCUCUAUAUCCUCCCCACCCCACCCCACCCCACCCCAAUCCUGUGGAGUAUUGCUGUAGCGGUCGCAGCAGCAGCAGCAGCAGCGAGCGGGCACUGUUGGUCUCGUCCCUCCUUUUGGGAGACCGAUCGAUUUGGUCAUUAUUAUUGUUAUCGUAUACUGAGGAGGGAAUAGUAAAGGAGUGGGAGGGGGUGGGGGGUUGGGGACUGGGGAGGAGAAAGGAAUAAAGGAUAGUAGUAGUAGUAGUAGUAGUAGUAGUAGUAGUGUUAUUAUAGUGCGGUAACUCAGUUACCGGAAAUGGAAAGCGGAGGCGGAGGUGGGAAAAGCGGGCACGGAGGUUCCUCCUGGGGGGGUUCCUGGGAACUGGGGAACUGGACUUCCGCCGCCGUAGCAGCAAAUUUCCCCGCGUGCUACAACGCGCAGGGCCUCGAGAUCGCCGCGUCCGCGUCCGCGUCCGCGUCCCGCUCAGCUUUCCCCGACCGCGCGGGGGUCCCGCUCGAGGGCGGGGACCACGCCGCGGAGAUCUCGCAGUGCGCGCACCGCAGCUUCCGCAGCCACCACCUCACGUGCCUGAAGCUCGGGAAGAGGCACUACUACGAGGAGGAGAGGCUUUGCGGCGGCGCUUCCGCGGCGGCCGGAAAGCGGGAAAAGGCGGCGGCGGCGGCGGCGGCGGCGGGGACGCCGUUUCCGAGGUGCCAGGUGGAGGGUUGUGAUAAGUCGUUGGUGGACGCCAAGGAUUACCACAAGCGCCACAAGGUGUGCGACGUGCACGCCAAGGCCCCCAAAGUCAUCGUCCUCGGCGCCGAGCAGAGGUUUUGCCAACAAUGUAGCAGGUCCAUCUUAGCCUCAAGAUUUUCUACUUCUCUCUCUCUCUCUCUCUCUCUCUCUCAUUUUAGUUCUUUUUCUUCAAUAAAUACUUCGAUUUUUUUUUAUUUUUUGAAUCGAAUAUGUGUUUUGGGGCAGGUUCCAUGUGAUCUCUGAGUUCGACGACGCGAAGCGGAGUUGUAGGAGGAGGCUCGCAGGGCACAACGAGCGCCGGAGAAAGAGCAACACCCACGAUUCCCUCAUCAGAAACCCUUCCUCUCACUCUAUAGGUUCCCCUUUUCUCCUUUUAAACCUCUCCGUUUUAAAAUUUUGAAUUUGAAUCUUUAUAACUUUUUUGAGUUAUUAAUAGCUGAAAACGUCAUAUCAAGCGUAAAUUAUAAUUAUAAUAACUAGCGUGGAUUAGUUAGUAAGCAAAGCCGCGGAAAAAGGAGUAGCAUGAGAUAUUCUUUAUCUGAGAAAUAAAAUAUGGAGGUUUGAUUGCGGGAAACAGGGGGGUGGUGAUGUGACAUAAAGGUUUUAGGUGCUGUGGCUGAGAGAAAAGGCGAGGGAACAGGUGUAGUGGGGUCGUAUUUUAAUGGUUCCUAAAAUAAAUUAGGGUUAGCGUUUGGUGCGAGAAAGAUUUAUUAUUUAAAGCACAAGAUUAAAAAAAUAAAUUAAAUAAUUUAUUAUUUAAAGCACAAGAUUUUUUUAAAAAAAUUAAUAACUGGUUAAUUGGGUGUCUCCGUCAAGCCCGCCACCGUCGCCCUUGUUGGUUAGGGUUCUUACGGAGGCAACGAUGGGAUCGCAAUGGCUCCACAGAAAUUAAAUCUCAAAAAUCUCAUCAUUUCUGAUGGAAAGAUUGAUCUGAGAUUUAGCAUUAAUUACUGAACGGGUGUUGUAAUUUAAUACAUCUGGUGAAAAUACAAUUCAAAUUUGCACUAAUUAAAAAGAUGAAAAUUGGAUAGUGUGGCAUUAUGUGUCUGUUGCAUCAAUUGGAUAUAUGGAUCAUUGAUGAUUAGGGAUCAUACUCUGUUCUAUUCUCUACAAAAUGUCGAACCAUAUCUUAGCUUACUUGGAAAAUUAAUAGGUGAAGAAUACGAGCUUGGUUCUAGCAUCGAGCGAUUUCCAUCUCUCUCUCUCUCUCUUUUUUCUUUCUUUUCUUUUUUUUUUUUGAGAUUUUAAAAGAACUCUCUUACAGCUCUAAUUUUAGUUGUUUCCGUGUUUAAAUUUUAUUUGCCAAUUAGUAGGAAGCACAUGUUGUGGUUUCCAUCUGUUUUUUCUGUUAUGCUUGAUCUGAUGACUACUGAUUUUGCGCUCCUUAUCUUUCUUUCUUUUUCAGCACUACGGGUAUCUAACCAUUCUUCUGCAAUGCAUAUAUCUUUUAUUAACCUGCAUAAUUUCGCACGUUACCAUGCAUAGCAUUGUUGUUUCUUGUGUAAAUAAUCUCCAUUACAAGCAUCAGUUCAUUGAUUAUUGGAUGCAGCUUGAGCAACAGUAUCACACUAUAACAUGAAAUCUUGCCAAUUUUCUUUCUUGUCGAAACUACCUACCUAGUUGGGUUCCGUCGCUUUCAUUCUGUGUCAAUCUCCUCAAAGUCCUAUCAUUUUCCUAACUUUGUACUCUAGUAUUGUCUAUUCUCUGGCUUAACUAUUGAAGAAUUAAUUCGAGUCAACUCGACUGCAGACACUACCUAACAUGUCAAAGAGAUAGGCAUUAGCGUUCAAUUUCAUUUUUUCCUCAUUUACUUUUUAGCAUCAGGCAAAAGUGAUGGUGUAUAGUGUUUGUUAACUAACACUUUCUAAAAAGAGAUGGAUUAUGACCUGCCAAAAGGACUUCUAAGCGGGUUAAGGAUGAUGAAGUGCAACUUGUAUUUACUUCUUGCGAAAUGUAUUGAAACUUAGUAAAUUCUGUCAAUUGAAGCUUCUUCGUAGACAUUUGGUACAGUUAGUUACCUCUUUAGAAGAUAGCCUUAUCCAACGGCAUGCUGACUCUCAAGGAAGAAGGGUGGUCUGCACAAAGAUCUUUUGAUUUUAGAUGUGGGACCUGAUGAUCUUAUGCUCGGCAUGCAAGAUAAUUCAAUCCUACCUAUUACAUAGUUAAUUUCACGGCGAUCUAUUUGGUCCCUUUUUUUUUUUUUUUCUUGCUUGUUACAGAAACUAGUCAACCCUAGUACCUGUAGGACCAUCUUGGCUGUCAGAACAAGUUAGAGCAUAAAAUAUUGACUUUAAGCUCUUCUCAUCAUAUUAAUAAUCGCCAUUUUCGAAUUUAGUGCAUUUCACCUGUGAAAUGAUUUACAAUAUCCUUAAAAAGUAGAAUUACAUUUUCUCUGUCUAAGUUUUAGACAAAUUUUUCUUGUCUCUAAAUUAACUGACAAGGAACUAGAGUAAACCAGAGAAGGUACGCCAGAUAAGUUAUCAUGCUCUCAAUCAGGCCUGAAGUUCUGUCAAUCAUAACUAUUUGUGGUCGGUGGAUUUAAGCUGACAAAUCCAUCUUGCGGUCAACCAGGUAUAGAGUUCAUUGAACUUGCUUAUAGAUAUCAAUUAUAUGAAUUGCUAUCACACCUCUUUAACUCUUUUAUUUAGAUUGCACAACAUAUUAGUUGUCUUCAGUGGCAAAAUAUUAGGUUUCAGAGAUAAUUAGUUAUGAUAACAGCUACUUCAUAUGACAACCAGAAUACAAUGAGAGAAACAGGAUUCUUUUGUUGUGUUAUCAUGGCAUCUAUUGUAAAAUUUAAUCAGCAAGUUGACUUGCCAGCAAUGUGCGGGUCCUCUGCAGCUGGGGAGGUGGUUUGGUGUUUUAUAGUACUUUUUAUAACAUAAUACUUAAAAGAGUCACUUUGUCAUGGCUAUAAAUAUGCUAUGGCUACCUUUCAUUCAUGUCAUUUCAUGUUACUAAGGUGUGUUUCAGAAGCGACACAACCUCUCCACGCCUUCAUCACAGUGAAUUAUUUUUGUUGUUAGUUAUUAUUAUGGUAGUUAGACAAACAAUGUUUAUUAAGGGUGUAUUUUUAUCCAUGCAUCUUGGGUUCGUUUUCUUCUUUUCAAAAUAUUUCUUUGAACUGCGGUUGACGGUUUAAGAUGAGUGUUCAAGCUGGAUUUUUGUUCUUACUAUAGUGUGUGGGCUGAACUCUUUUCGUAAUUGAUCCAUCAGGGUUACUUACCUAUUUUAGUUUUUACCUUUCUUGUAUUCGAUUUUGCUGCAGAAGGCACGAUUAUGGGUCCGAGGUUCUCUCACGCAUCAAACUCACCAGCUCGUGCUCUCUCUCUUCUGUCAUCCAAGGCUGCUUCCUUGCCUUGGGUUUCACCAUCUGACCUCUCUUCUCGGUCCAGCGCUGCCCUUCGCGAACUCAUAGAAGAGAACCGCGCCGCCUUACUGUCACGACAGCUGUUAUCCAACCGAAGCGACUUGCCCAACCAAGGUCCUACAAACCACAUCGCGUUUCCCCAUUGGCCACAACAGAACCAAGUCGUGUCGCAAUUCCCGCGGCUUGCUGAUGGCUGGGACCACCUCCAGGGGGCAGGGGCACACGUGACGCUGGACCUCAUGCAGGUGCCGAACCCUUCUUUUGGAGCCAUUCCACGAAGGAGCAGGGCCAAAGACGGCGAAGAGGAUUGCUCUGAUAUUUGGAAGUCCUGGGAGGAUGCUCAUGUGGUAUGAAGCCCCUGCCCUCUACCUACUUAUUUAGCAGCCCGUUAUUUUUUUAAAUUGAAUUGGUUUACGAAUAUUUUGUGCUGUAUUUGUUGAUCAAUUUGACAUUCUCUUGGACCUUCAUUCGACACUACUUUGUGAAUAUAUUGGUUAGCUAUAUUCUACUUCUAUACACUGAUUUGUGCGGCAUUUCAUUGCUCGUCGUUUUGAUCGCUGCCGAAGCUUAACAUUUGUUUCUCUGCGCUCGCUUGAUAAAUGUGUUUGCUAUAAUUAUAUUUCGCCUCCAUUGGAUGCUUUUUUCGGUAGAGCUUGAACAUUUGUGGCUCUGUGAAAGUGCUCGUUUGUUUGGAUCUGUUGUAGCUGGAUCUUAUGGUGCUGUUAUAGGAUUAUCCAUUUUAGUACUUAGUCAGGAGAUUUUGCUUAAGGUUCUGAAUCUCGCCUGUUAUUUUCUACUACAUUAUUUUUUUUUUUAAAAAAAAAAAGAUAUUGUGGCAGAACGUUCUUUACUAGACUAGAUGCGGAUGCACUAAUUUCAAAGUAUACAUUGAACUUAAGUUGGCAUGUUGUAUGCAGCAUACGAUCCCUGAAUUAAUGUCCCACCUAAUAAAUGAUAGAAACGUCUGGAAAAGUUGGCCGUUUAAUAUUAUAUAAUAAUAUAUAUGCCUUUUGCCCUCCCUAAACUACAUGAUUGAAGGUCCGAAACUAACAUAUAGAUUCUUUUAUUGACCAUUGUUUUAUUAAUUCAGCUUUCUAAUCAACAUAUCUCCGCUGUGCUUCUAAUAUAUAUAGAUCAGCCCUUCGCCUGCACCUUUUUGUUUUUUGGUGCAGUCCCCUCUCUCUCUCUCUCUCUCUCUCUCUCUCUCUCUCUCUCUCUCUUUAAAGUAUCUUUAAGUUUCUUAUACUGUAUUAAAUCUCUCAUAAUCCUACUAAGAAAUUAUCAUAGAUUUUUUCUUUAAAAUGCACAUAAAGAAACUUAAAUUCUAACGCUAAACUAAUUUGUAUAUAACAUUAAUCACUACAUCGAACCAUUUUUAAUAAGCUUUCUCUCUGGAUGCUCAUAUACAAGGCCCUCCCAAAUGCAUACCUUACCUAAUUAUUUGAUAACAUUAUGCGUCUCUGUCGUUUUGCUGCUCAGCGGAUCAAUGCGCGCGCGUGCUGGGAAUGUCGAGGGGCAUGCAAAGAAUAAAUUAAGCUGUUCUCUUUUUGUGAUUAUCUUAUUGCUAUGUACCGGCACAAAGGAAGCUUCUUGAGGCUUGUCAAUAAUUUGCAACGAUGCGCGCACUCUCGCGAGCGGAUAAAAGCUAAGACCUGGAACCAUAUCAUCACAUGAUUUGUAUAAGGGAAAUUUGGUUGCAUUUAAUUAUAAUUGCCGCAUAACUCCAGAUGCAUGUAGUUAGAAAUUUGAGAAUAUAUAAACUGCAUCUAUUUUGUUUAGUUUGAUACAGUGGUAAGUAUUACAACUACAAAUAGAUUAUUUUAUUCAUACAGUUGAGAAGUGCCAUUUAUAAAGUUUAAUCAUUAAUUUACUUUCAAUACAGAAAAAAUAUUUUUGAUUUAAAAAAAGAUGAAUAGGGAGAUAUGCUUACCAUUUUUUUUUUAGUUACUCUUUUCAACUAACAUAGUUUGAGUCUUCUCGUGCAGUUUUAGCUGUAUCUAUUAGAUUCAAUUGUAUCAAACUAAACAUCAGAUUUUAAUCCCAAUGUACUUAGGAUUGCAGUUUAUUCACAACUACUUGCAGCCAAAUAGUUUUUAAAUUACGACUUUGCUUAUAAUUUAUUUAUUACCUUUUAAUUUCUAGAAGUUUUAUUCAUAACAAAAAAAAAAUUAUGCCUCGUGGAAUUCAAAAAUGCUCGUAAAUACUAUUAGUUAAUCAGUUUUAGACAUGACAUUUAGUGGGUGGUUUGGACAGCAAAUUUUUCCAAGUUGAUGCUUGUGUAUUUAGUAAUGUUUGCAUUUUUGAAAACAAGCAUAAAAACCUGAAUUAUAAAUAGAGAAACACAAAGUCUAUAACCUAAAAAGAGUGGUAGAAUUUCAACCUUUAAUUCAAGGUUCGUAAUUACAAUCCUUAAUAUAAGGAUUGUAAUUCUCCGCUCUAAGAUUCAAGAAACUUGUUUCCCGGGUUUAGCAUUAAGGCUUAGUUUUGUAUUGAAAUCUAUCUAACGCUAUUAGAUAAAAUGGAGCUAAGGAAAAAACAUAUAGAGAUAUAUAUACUUCUACGUUUUCCGAUAGGACCGCAGAAAAUAUAUCGUAACCGACUCAUCGCGAUAUGCGGAACGUAAUAGUACGUACGAAAAUAAACAGGAUAUUUUUUAACGUUCUUUCUCACCGCACAUAAUGCAAUUUUUCCGCAAUUCCAAACGAAGCUUAAAAAAAGAAAAAAGUGACGAGACUAAUAAAUAAUAAAGCUGUAAAAUUACAAUCCUUUCUGAGUUGUAGGUCCAGCAUUAUUCAAAUAAAUAAUAUUUUCUGAUAAUAUGAUGUAGAUACAGUAUUAGGGGAUGUGGGUGUAAAAAUCUUAAAUAUUUAUUUUUACAGACACUAGCAUACUAGUUUGUAAUGCACAAAUUAACCUAUUCAAUGAAGACCAGCAAGCUAGGACAUGAAAUAAUAGGAGCAGCUAUAUAUGUGGGUAUCUAAAGCAUUUUCCCUUAAAAUAAUAAUAAUAAAAAAAAAACAUUUUACCCUUGGAAAAUGGUGCACUCAGAAAAUUAAAGAGUCCAAGUCCGGCUCAGCAACCUAGAAGAUGCUAUUUCACAAGAUCACCGGAGACCCCGGAAGCGAUCAUACUCUCAUCAACGUACACACAUACGUACACAAUCACACAACACGAUGAUAACACGAUGAUAUCAACUCCUCCAACUACUGGUACCAUCACCUUUCUCCUCGCACACUUCAUGAUAGUGCAUGGUUAAUUAACAACAAACACUAGAUUUUAAAACUUAAUAAGAAGCUCAAAACAUCCAAAUCUUGAGACAAAACUCUUAUUACGGAAGAAAAUAAAUAGACAAACACAAAAAAGCUGCUAAGGAACACACUAAAUUAAACUAAAGCCACAAAAAGUAGUAGUAGUAGUAGUAGUAGUAGUAGUAGUAGUAGUUAAUCUAACUACUUGCUCUGGUAGAUCCCUCUAAUACAGCUAUCAUCUUCAGCCGCCCUUGUUGGUGCCACCCAGCUCGAAAACCUCUGCUCGCCGAGGUGCGGCAAGAACGACAUGCUAGUCGGCGAUGUCGUCCCAGUCGACGACGUCGCCGACAAACCCAUUAUCGCAUUCGCGACCGGCGUGACGAUGCCGCUGCUGCGUCCCAGCCCCAGCGCCACCUGCGCCACCGGGGGGGCCAGCGUGGAUGACACGUGGCUCGCGCUCGAAUCCCCCUCCGGGUUGCACCCGAUGAACGCCGAGAACGCGCUGUUUCGAUUGUUAAUUUGGCCGCCGUCAUCGUCGUCGUCGUCGUUGUUGUUGUUAUCGUUAUUAAUAUCAUUAUUAUUAUUAGUACUACUAUUAUUAUUGUUAUUGUUGUUGUUGUUGAAUAGAGCGGUCUCUGGUUUCGCCGGAGAGUGGGAAGUUGUUAUGCCGCUGCUGCCGCUGCUGUUUGUGUUUGCAAUAUUGGGUGCGUUGUUAUUAGCCUGGGAGCUGAUCGGAGCCGUCGAUAGGUCCUGAGACUUCCUCCGCCGACGGUUGUGAUCGGCCAGCCGCUUCCGGCAGCUCCGCUUCCCUUGGUCGAACUCCGCCAGCACAUGAAACCUGCAUUCGCAUUCACCGCCAUUUCGGAACAUACAUAGAACAUGUCAGAAGAACAUAUAUACAUAUAUGUAUAUGUAUGUAACCUUAAACACGUCGAUCUGAAGCACGUCGACGAAGCAGACGCUAAACUAACAACAACAAAUAUGUAUAUAUGUAUAUAUAUUUUGAUUUAAAGAUACAUCUGACAAUAUAUGUACGAGACUAGAAGCUGGCGGACGUGUUAACAUGCAUGCAGGAAUGAUUGUAUACCUGCUGCAUUGCUGGCAGAAGCGUUGGGAGAGGCCGGCAGUGAUGACGAUGGAUGCUUUGGAGUGGAACUCGCAGACCUUGUGGCGGCGGUGGUAGUGCUUGGCGUGGGUGAGGUCGGCGCCGCAUCCCUCGGCCUGGCAGCGGGCGGUGCGCGUCCGGCGGCGGCAGGCGCGCGGCGGGUUCCCCGCGGCAGCAGCCAGCUCGUCCUCGGGGGACGCCGACGAGAAGUAGGUGCGCACCCCGAGGUUCAGCCCGAUCCGGGUGGGCGCCGGCGGCAGCGCCAGCCCGUACCGCGGGUGGCAGGAGGACGACGACGACGACGACGGCGAGAAGAGCGCCGCCGCCGUCAGCGGCUGCGGCGGCUGCGGGAAGUAGUCGCUGAUGCCGAUCGUGUUGAGCCCGUGCACGCCGUAGUGGUCGAACACCGCCCGCUGAUCCUGCCCCGUGUCGGCGCCCGAUUCCUCGCCGAAGAGCAGCAUCGCCGCCGCCGCGCUCGCCGGGUUCCCCCAUUCGUAAUCCAUCAUCAUCUUUCUUAAUUAUUUAAAAUCUCUCUUUAUAUAUACUUCUCUCUCUCUCUCUCUCUCUCUCUCUCUCUCUCUCUCUCUCUCUCUCUCUAUAUAUAUAUAUAUAUAUAUAUCUCAGCCUUAUCUAAUUUCUCGAUCCCCUUGAAUUCACAAGUUCAUUCGCGACGUCAUUUAUAUGUAUCUCGCUCUUUCUUUCUUUCUUUAACGCCGGACUCGUAGAAUGACAACUCUUUAAAUAAGCGAAAAUUUUACCGUGCAGCGACUGCACCCGCUGCGAACUUUACCGAACAAAAUGGGAAUAAAGUUACGAUUCAUUCCCAGUUAUUCUGCCGCGAGAGACACAUUCUUAAUUACCUCGGUCGACACUCGCGGACAAAAUAGUGUUAUGGUCCUCCCACUCACUCUCCCGACUAGUCCCGUGAAGAGUCGACGCAGAUCGGAUCACGGCCGUCCGAUUAAGGAAGAGGACGAACGCGGGCCGUCCGAUCCUGUUUGGCUGUGGGGGUUGAUGUGGCGGUGCGUACAUAUUGGUGCCUUGCCAUCGGAUACUUGCGACGACACUGAGGGGAUAGAGGGCCUGUGCAGCCCUGAGUCCCUGACACGAGGAAGCUUGUAUGCACCUUCCUCGUUUCCCGCCUUGAUAUGGCCGCGUACUUACCACCCCGGACUUGUACGAAAUUACGGGGGCGACCAAGGGAUUUUUAAUUAAGUCGGAUGCCCAAAUUGGGUUACUUAUGGCAUUUAAUAAAUCUUUAAUAAAAUUAUAAAUCCCCACUUUUCAGUUUGAUUUGUUUCCACAGUUUCGUACUUUCUCAUUCUAAUACCCUAUAUAAUUUAAAGUGUAUCAUUUUUGCGCCACGUAAUUUUAUUAUUAUUUUUGUUAUUUUCUUUUUUUAUUUUUUUGUUAAAUCAGUGACAAAAUUAAAAUUAAAGGUAUUAAAGUGAAUAUUCCAUAAACUAAUAUGGGUUAUCUAAAACUUUUUGUAUAUGAUUUAACGAAAAGGCUGCGGAGGGGCCGGCGAAAAGAGAAAAUUGAAACCACGGUUCACAGAGUAUUAAAUUGAUACAUUUUAAAUCACAGGAUAUUAAAAGUGAGAAAGUGCGAAACCAUAGGAGUAGUAUUUGAAGUUUACCCUUUUGGUUAGUAGAAUUUUGAAAUUAAAAAGUUAAUCAGAUAGUGAUACUGAUCAAAUAUUAUAUCUGUGAAUUAAGGAUUUAAUACAUGCUUAGUAGUAAAAAAAUUUUACUUUUGUCCGCGGCCAUUUUUAAUUAACAAGAUGCUAAGGGUGCGUUUGGUUCGCAUUAUGAAAGAUUACUAGGAAUAAAAGAUAUCCGAGAAUCUUAUUCCUAUUCAUCCUAUUACUAAGAAUGUGGAAUUCCUGUGUUUGGUUCGCACGGUAAUAUUAAUUAGCCAUAUUAUUUAAUAUUACAAAAAAUAUACAAUUAAUUAAUUUAUUUAUUUAAUUAAUUUUAGAUAAUGUUACCAAUAGUUUCAACAUCUUUUUAGAAAAAAAGGAGAUGAGUAUAAGUUAGAGAGAGAGAGCAUAAUUAAAAAAAUAGAAAGAAAAAUAUAGUCGAAAUUAGAGGGAGUGAGAGAGUUGAAAUUUUAGAAAGAGAGAGAGAGAGAAAGCUUAGUUUAGAGAGAGAAAAAAAAGUUGAAUUUUAGAGAGAAAAAUAAGUUUAGAGAGAGAUAUAAGGUUAGAGUAUAAAGAAAAAUAAUAUCAAUUAGCCAGCGGGUAGGAAGAAAGAAAGAUAUUAGACAUAUUAUGAUUACUUAAAUCCAUUAAUAUGAGGAUAUCCACCCUCCCUCAAGGGAAUGAGAUUAGUACUUUGGGAUGAAUCUUAUUCCCAAGUGAAUCCAAUAUUACCAAUUGGAUUACUUAGUACGUUUAGCCAAAUACCGUCAUAUUUUUUUAUUCCCAUUGGAUUACUAGGAAUCUUUAAAAGAUAGUGCGAACCAAACGCACCCUAAAAGUUAUGCUAAGAGUGAAAUUUUUGAAACAAGAUUCUGACAUUCUAAACACAAACAUCCCGUUUCAAACUUUUUAUUCAUCGAAUAAAAAAAAAACCUAUUAGUAAAACGGGUAAAAUAUUGUUAACAACUGUAGUGAUCAAAUUAUUAUAUAUAUAUAUAUAUAGAGAGAGAGAGAGAGAGAGAGAGUUGAGCUGGAAUGCUAUCGGUAGCAAACGGGCUCCAUUGCCACCCAUUUAUUUUCAAUGAUGGAGCUUUCAAAUCGACGAUCGGCACCGUUGAACAUGAUCUAUAUCACUUGAAGUAUCUAGAAAUCAAAUUUCAAAUCUUUUCGAUAUCAUUUACCUAAUGAUCAAAGGAUUUCAAAAUUAGUAAUUUUAAUGGUUGAUAUGAGGGUUUUUCUCGUUUAACGGUGUAAAGCUAUCCAAAUCAAUUGAAUUUUGAUUAGAAAAUUCUUUAAACUAUUUAGAAUAAGAUCUAUACUCUCGAUCAUAAUUACAAAAUUUCUAUCAUCACUUUUUAGAUAAUAUUCAUUUUCAGCCAUUCAUUUUUACGCCCACUUGAUGGACAAGAAAACAAUAUCGAAAAAGUAUGAAAUUUGAUUUCUAGGACACUUCAAGUGUAUAAGAUCAUUUCAACGGUGCGAUCGUCAAUUUGGAGGCUCCAUUCAUCGAAAACAAAACGGAUGGCAACGGAGCCGUUUGCUACCGAUAGUAUUCCAGCUCAACUCUCUCAUCUCUCUCUCUCUCUCUCUCUCUCUCUCUAUAUAUAUAAUAUAUUAUAUAUAUAUAUAUACUUUAUUGAACAGUAUAACAGCCAACAAGUUGAAACAGGCGGUUCAUUGUUAUAUAAAAUAAACUUUUCGGUUGAAUCAUAAUAAUUAGAACUAUAAGAAAAGAGUAAUUUAAUCAUGUUUUGGGAGGAAAUACAGGCAUUUUGAGAAAAUUUUGGAGUUAGAAAAGGAUAAAGCUGGAAUAAAGUAAUCGUAUCUACGUACAAAGGAGAAACGUGUUAAUAUAGGGGAGCUUGUAAGUGUAUUAUUUUAUUCCUUUGGCUGUUUGCUUCAGUUAGUUGGCUGUUGCUCGCUGUACAAUCACUCAGCCUUUUCAGCAAAUGAGUACUUUACACGUUGCUACAUUUAGGGUGAUGAUCUCACAGCACGUACCAUCACGCCUUUCCAGCCGUCCGAUUAUGUAGCCCCCCGUGUGAUGCAAUGCACGUAACUCUUCGGAUUAGAUUAAGAUUAGAAGAUUUUGAUUAUUCAUACAAGUAAAAUAACGGUACUCUGCACGAGAAAGGAUUUGGUGACUUAGAUGCGAGAGUGUUUUUUUUUUUUUUUUCAAGAAAAAAAAAAAGCUAAAAAUGUAGAGAGGUUUCCUCACCUAUAGGCUGUUCUGAAAUGCCCCCUGAAUUUUAAGUUUUUUUUUAAAAAAAUUAGCACUUCAUCAACUUUCAGUUUAUUAUAUAAUAAAAUUGAAUAAUCUUUAUAAACUGAAUUAAAAAAUUAUUGAAUUAAAUAUAAUAAUUUUGAUUAUUAUUUAGCGAAUAAAAUUUGAACAAUCAACAAUAAACAUUCAUAACUUUUAAUUUUAAAAAAUAAUUUUAACUAAUUACAAAAGUAAAAAGAAAAAAAUUCAAAAUUCAAAAAAUAUCAAUUAAAGAAAAGGAAUAAUUCCCGCGUGGCACAAUUUUGUUCUUUUCCCUUUCAAAUUAACUCUCAGUUUGCGCCGCUAUUCUCUAUCAAAUUCUUUAAUCAAAUAAUAUACUCCGACUAAACUAGUAUUUCAGAUUUCACGGUUACAAUAAUAUUUCCAGCGGUUUUAUAUCGUACAAAAUAAUUAAUCAUUUUCGGCUUCAAGUUCCCAUACCUCUUAACUUGUGUGAGGCAUUACCGCCUGCAUGAAAGGGGCCGAGUUGGGGGGGGGGGGGGGGCAUUUCAUCGAGAAAAGGAAGAGAAAAAGAGAGGGUUUGGGCGUGGCCCAACUCGGCCCUCUAUAAAUGGGGGCCCGAUAAGUAUCACUCACAAUACAAAAAGACAAAAUAAUAAUAAUAAUAAUAAUAAUAAUGAGCAGUUUCUCAGCAGUAUUGACAAAGGAACCACCCAUACAAAUCGUCUACAGGAACUCGAGGAAACCAAAGCUUAAUGGCAUUUUAAGAAGUUAGGUCUCAAUAGGUUGAAGGUUGAAUACACAACAGAAGACAUUUUGAGCCGGAGAAUCAGGUACGUACCUACUUAGGUUUGUCUGUUAAGGCGACGAGGGACCUCAAGAUGCCAGAAGACAUUUUAAGCCGGAGAAUCAGAUACCUACUUAGGUUUGUCUGUUAAGGCGACGAGGGACCUCAAGAUGCUAGGACUUACUCUAUCGGCAAGGGCUCCUCUUUCCGAGAUUGAGAACGACUUUUCCUUCACAUAACUCUGUAGUUUCUUCGUGUCGUAGUCCAGUCGUUCUUGGUCUACGUCAUAAAAGAGUAUAUAACUAUAGUAGCAUCAUAAAAAAUGUUAUUCGGUAAGAUGAUGCUUUUAAAGUUCAAACGAAAGAGAGAGACAACCCACAAUCAAAAUGUUAAUUGACUCGAGUAAAUAAUAAAAGAAGAAAACUGAUAAUAAAUGUAUGUAUGAACAGGGAAGCAAGUACCUUUCUCUAAUAUGGUAUGUGCAGCAUGAAACGGCACGCGGAUAAAAAUAUCAGACCCGGGAAACAUCAUCCAUGUAUUCUCCGUUGAAUCAUAAUCUCCACAUGUUGGACAUAUCUCCUGCACCAAAGCCUUUGAUUUGGUUCCCUCAAUUCCUUUCAUUAUUGCCUCAAAAGGGGAUGGGACACUGCUUUUAGUUGUUCGAGCAUUCUUCCUUAGAGCAGUUAAUGCUUCCCGGUUACUGUUUCUCAGCCUAUCAUUUUCGACCAACUGUUUUAUCCCAACAAAAUCAAAUAAAAUUAGACAUAUUUAGGACCAAGUCUAACAUGGAUAAGCGGAAUAUGGGAACUUCUUUAACCUGAUGCUUUGCCAAAAGAAGUUCUUCCGCUUCGGUUUCAAUCUCAACUAGAGUUUGCUGGAGUUGCUGCAUACCUGGAUCCAUUGUGACACUACAGAUAUGCGUAUUUAUUAAGUAUUGUAGUUUUCCUCAAGAAUUAUUAUUACUUAUCAUUUGCUAAAUGUUAAGCAUGAAGGAAAACAAUAUAGUAAAGAUGACAACCGUAAUAACAACACUUCAGCAACAGUUUUUAAGAAAUAAACUCAAAAUCCAAUUAAUGCUGAAUAUUUUCAAUGCAAAUUAGAGGUAAGAAAUAAGCCCAAAAUAACAUCUAAAUAGCAAAAUGUUUAGAUAGAACUAGCUAUUAAGUAAUUCCAUUAGCUAGAAUUAGGAUUCAAAAGUCAGAUUUCCCAGAUCUUGGUGCAGGAAACUGCUUCGAAUCUCAAGGGAAAACAGUGUUGUUAGAUCUUAACUUUGUGCCAUUUGAGAAAGAUGACAACAUCGCAUAUAUACUUUUUCACGAGAAGCAUAAAGAUGUAGACUCGUGGCAAUGUUACGAGAUGUCUGCAGUAAAUUGCAAAAAUGGAAUUGCCUGAGUGGUACGUAACGACAAUAAAGGAAAAGGUGAAACAGUUAUUCUGAUAACUGCAGCAAUUUUCAACAGUAGCGGUAAAUAAAAGAGAAGGAAAGAAGAGGAAGAGAAUGGUGAAAAUGCAAGAUAAAAUAAUUAAGUCAAAAAAGGGAGAAAGAAGUUGAAUGUUAAAAGAGGAAGAACUGGAUCGCCUCUUUCCAAAGUUUUGCUUUUUUCGCAUUUAAAAAAAUGCAAGGAUGAUCAAACUCAAUUGUAAACCCAUUAAAUGCCUUUGGAAAGUUUUGCUGAAGAAUCAUGAUGCAGUGGAGAAGAAGGUGUAUCACUUUAGCAUCCAAUCUGUUAAAUCUGAGCCUAUAUUCAGUGUCCUCAUUCACUGAUCCUAGUAGAGGAAGAACCAAUCUACUGGUCUAAAACUGCAUCAUUUUAAAGGUAGUUGUUUAGCUACUUCCACAAAUUACUCUCAUAUGCUAUAAAUCAUUUAGUUAUGUCCAUCAAAAUAUCAUGCCACAAAAAUAACAGAAGGCGAAGAAUAAAGAUAUGAAUCAAACAGAGGGGGGGGGGAAAGUAAAUAAGUUACUGAAUAAGACUGAUGAACAGGUACACACAUAAACUUUUUAAUUACAUAAAUUGGCGCAAUAUCAUAUGGAUAAUGGAUUAACAAUGUCAUUUUGCAGUUAAAAGAUGCACGUCUAACACGCCAGCAAUUAUUGAGCAGUAGGCAAGAUACACGGCGAAUGUUUCACAAUAGAAGUGAGCUCUUAAUUAUCUGAAUUAUGUUGUUUAAAAAGCAGAUAAUGCGAAUUAUCUUGCUCAAAGGGGCACAUAAUGCAAGUUCUUCAUUCAUCACAAACUACACAAGUAAUAAUCAUCUUUUCAACAAAAAUCCAAAAAAAUAUUGACUGUUAGAAAGUAUCUCGUCCCUCUCAUGAAGGGUCAACACAACACGAGUGGAUGUACAAGAAUUUGUCAAAUGAAAUUACUCCCCAUUGGCUGAUAAAGUAUUCUAUUGAAGAGAUUAACUUUAAAUAUUCAAUUUGCCAAAAUCAUCAAAAGAAAAUGGGAGGAACCUGCAACUUAGUGCCUCUCGUUUCCAAUACAAGUGUUUACUGUAGAUGAAUAUGCAAUGAAAAUUAAAGGUUAGAACAUAGCAACACAAAUUUCAUCAUCCUAACAGAGAGAAAACACGAUUUUAUCAAAUCUGUAACAAAUCUAGCGCGUUCAAACAGUAAUUGAUAAAAACCUACAUCAAAUCAACAAAAAGUUGAAAACACUAGAUCAAAAGGCCGAGUACCUGCUCACAAUCUCUACCUUUUCGAGAGCCUCUUUGUGAAUACCGAUCUUCUUCACCGUGAUCGCAAUGUUAUACUAAAACUGUAUCAAAUCAGAUUGUCCGAACACUAAUUGAUCAAAAUUUUACAUCAAAUCAACAAAAAGUUGAUAGCAUCAAGUACUCAUCACGAUCUCCACCAAUUCGAGAGUUCCUCUUCGUGAACUCCGAUCCUCUUAACCUUGUUCGCGCUAAGCUUUUGAAGAGGGUUUUUUGAGAGGAGAUGAGAGAGACGACGAGGGGAAGCGGAGGGUGGUGGACUGGUGGGGCGGGGAUUGGGGGUUUUUUCGUCGGGGUUUGGAAGGUGGUUCGGUGGCAGCUCCUUAUGGGCCGGAACGGGCCGGGUUAUUAGGCGGCCUAGUUGUUUGUUAAUCUUGAUUUUUUUUUGUAACUUUAUUUUAUUUUUAUAACAUUAGCAUUCUGUGUAACUAUGCAUAAUCGUUUAUAGAAUUUUGGAUAGAUUUUUAAUAAAUUAUUUUAAGAUUUAAAUAAUUGUAAUUAUAUCUAUCAAAAAUGAAAUGAAAGUAAAAAAAAAUUGGAAUUUUUGCGAUGAAAGUAAAAUUUCCCUUGAUUAUAGUAGAAACCACUGUUUUUGCAAUAGACCAGAGUAAUCACUUUUCUUUUCAUAACAAAAAAGAAUAAACAUAGAAAAAAAAAGGAAAUUAAAUGAAUGAAAAAAAUUUGAACAUAUAUUAUCAAUAAGAAAAAAAAACUAAAUUAGUAACGAAAUAUUCAGAUGGCAGUCAUGACAAAAUGACUAAAACGGUACAGAUUCGAGAAAGAAAUAUAAGAGAGCGACCAAUUUUUGGUUCGGUUCACGUAACAAGCCCAAAAUAACACUGUAUUUAAAUUUAUAAUUUUAAGAUAUAUAUAAAAUUUUGAAUAUAUUACGGAUACAUUUUACAAAUUUGAUUCCAAAUUUGAAAGUUUAGAUUUUUGCAGUGCAGUGCACUAAGUUCACACAAUUAAGUUUUCCCCGUCAGAUUGUGUGAACUUGGUAACUGCCAGUAACCAUCCCGACGCCGUUUCACCGAUUCCGUGGCUUUCCGCCAAAACUCCUUUUUAAAACUUUCAACCAACCACUCUCUGCUUCUCACUGUUCUCUUUCUCACUUCUGCAGCGAUCCUUUCUCUCUCUUUUUGGCCUCGACUCGUCCAUCCAUCUCAACUUCGGCCAAAGUGCUUCUUCGAAUGAAAUGGCUUCUAACCUCCGAACUCACUUCCAGCAGUGCUUUUCGUCUCCCUCCCUCCGCUCCUAUCUCGCCGAGUUCAUCUCCACCUUCCUCUUCGUCUUCGCCGCCGUGGGCUCCGCCAUCUCCGCACGUUAGCAAUCCGCUGAACUCUAUAUAUCCAUCACUCGUUCUGAUUAUACGCCAGUUUAGUUUGCAUUACUAUUUUGUACUUUUCAGGGAUGCUCACUCCGGACGUCACGUCGGAGGCGUCGUCUCUUGUCGCCACCGCCGUCGCUCAGGGCUUUGCAUUGUUUGUUGCCGUGUACAUCGCCGCGGAUGUCUCCGGUGGCCACAUAAACCCCGCCGUCACCUUCGCCUUCACCCUCGGCGGCCACAUCAGCGUCCCUGCUGCUAUGUUGUACUCGCUGUCGCAGUUGCUCGGCUCCACCCUCGCGUGCCUCCUCCUCCGCGUUGCCUCCGCCGGCCAGGUCGGCAAAAAUUUAGUAAAUUAAACUACUUUUCCACGAUAACUUGUGCAUGAUUGACUAAGAUUAUUCGAUCCGGAAAAAAAGAAAUUAACAAAUUAAGAAUGUGUUAAACAGUUGAGAGUCUCAGAACAUAUUUUUGAACGUACUAAAGUGCCCUGCAUAUUCCUCUGUAAUAGGCAAUUCCGACCACCAGGAUAGCAACGGAAAUGACCGGGUUCGGAGGGGCAAUUCUGGAAAGCGCGACAACGUUUGUGCUGGUGUACACGGUGCAUGUGGCCUGUGAUCCGAGGGGCGGCGGUAAGAGGGGGCCGUGCACGGCGGCGGCAAUGGGGCCUCUGGCGGUGGGGCUCGUGGCGGCGGCGUGCGUGCUUGCGACCGGUUCGCUGACGGGCGGGUCCAUGAACCCAGCCCGGUCCUUCGGUCCGGCGAUCAUCAGCGGGGACUUCAAGAACCAUGCAGUCUACUGGGUCGGGCCGUUGAUCGGUUCGGCGUUGGCGGCGUUGAUCCACCAGAAUCUGGUGUAUCCUUCUUACUCAACAUCCGCUGAUUCACGUCAUGGCAAUGUAGAAACCGUGAUCGUUUGACCUGGUGUUGUUUGUGUCAGUACUGUUGUUGUUGUUGUUGUUGCUUCUUUUUUUUUUUUUUUGAAGUAAUUCGGAUGCUAAAUUUUGUACCUAAUUGUUAGUAGCAGUAGUUUUAAUUAAUCUGGACUGUUUAAAUCCGUGUGAGAAUACGUGUCCCACGUAUCAGAGAAAAAGAAAAUAGAAGUGCUUGAAAUUGUACUAGAAAAUUCAGUUAUCUUUCUAAUUCAAACCCUUUUUUUCAAAAAAAAACAUAAUAAAUUUCACAAUAUUUUACAAACUAUAUAACUCAGUGGUUGGAUUUCAAACUAUAUAGCGUUUUUUUUUUAAAAAAAAUGUAAAAUUAGUGGACCAUUUCACCAAAUCCAAGCUUGCUUUCUAUUUGGGCUGGCCUGGUACUAACAUGGCCCAUUUGCCUUUCUACGGCUCGAUAAAAAUAUUGCUAUUUGCAACUGUAGAAACAAGCGCUUUUUUUAAUUAUUAAUUUAGAUAAAAAUAUUCAGAGAUUACCUAAAUGAUGAACUAUUUUAAUUUAGCUAUCAAAUAUUUCAAAUUUUUAAUUUUACUAUCUAAUCUUUCAAAUUAUUUGAUUUGAGUCAGUUAACGAAACCAACCCAAAUCAAAUUAAUUAAAAAUCUGGAUAGUAAAAUCAAUAUUUUAAAAGAUUGAAUAGCAGAUUUCGAAUAAAUUCGGCAUGUUUUUACCUUAUUUUUAUUAUUUUUUGCACUUUUACUUCACGCUCUUCGUAAACUCAUUUCUCUCGUGGGCGGCGUUCUCAGCCUUUCAAUCCCCGCUGUUUCUAGUCCUUGUUCUUCAGAUUAUAGCGGCCUCUCCCUGUGUCGGAGGUGGCUACAUAUGGACCCACACGAAGUCCUAUUGCUUGUUUGUGUACAAACAUUCCUUGUGACUCGAAAACGCCUGUAUCCCACAUACGCCGAUUGUUGAGAGGACCAUAUAAUUCAUAAAAAAAAAUCAAUACACAAAAUCAGGGAAUUAGGAAUCUUGCGAUAUCGAUCGAUCGUAUGAGAGAAUAAUCAAAAGCUAAUGCUGUGGACCCUCAAUGCACCCCUCAAUAAUGGACUAAUGUUCGUAUGUGGUUUGAUGAAUUCGAUUAAAAUCUACAAAUGAAUGGUAAUGGUUCUGUUUGGAUGUUGAUUUUUUUUUUUUUUUUUUUCGAGAGAUAGGUAGUAUGCUACUCGCUUCGUUUAGAAAUGAACUUAGCUGAAAAUGUGAAUCAACUAGAAUUCAAACUUGAGACCUCGGGUACCAAUCAUCAAGCCCUUUGCCACUUGCGCUAGGGACGAUCGGUAUGGUAAAAUAAAUUAUUUAGUAUUUUAUUUUAUUUUUUACUUUUUUUUGGUGAUUGAGUGUCGGAAAUUUGACAUUUAUUUUUUAAAAAGUCUUGCCGUUUAUUAUUUAAUAAAAUAAUAUAUUUUACAUUUCCAAGCACAAUGAAAAGAGCCUAAUGGUUGGUACCCGAGGUUCAAAAAUUAAAAUCUAGUUGUUUCAUAUAUCUGGCUAAGUUUAUUUUUAAAAGAAAUAAACAAAGUGAAUAGUUAUGCGAUCUUUUUCUCUAAAAAAAAUAUAAUAUAUUUCACAUAUAAGUGAUUUAUCACAAUUUGAAGAUCAUGAGCGGUUCAACAUUAUAAAUCAAUCGCACUUCUCAUAUAUAAAAAUAAUAAUAAUAUAUUUUACAUAUAAUAUGAUUUAUCAUAAUUCGCACUCGAAGAUCAUAAGUGAUAUACAAUAUUAAAGAUAGAUCACAUUUUUCAUACAUCACGUACUAUUAUAAGUGUUUCGAGUAAAUUGAAAAGAUAUAGAACUAAAUAGGUCUUCUUCUUUUGCCCUUUUUUUUUUUUUUUUUUUUUUUUUUUUGUGGAGAGAAAGAUAAAGGUAUCAUGCAAAGUAGAAACUAUAAAAAAAACUAAGCUUCUAACUUGGAAUCCUAGAUAUCAACUAUUAAUUUUUUUUAUCCCUUUCUUUAAUUAAAGAAAAUGACUAAUUAAAAAAUUAAAUUAAUAAUAAAUAAUUAUGUACCCAUGUACCACAUUUCAUUGCUCCCAAGAGCCUUCUUUUCUUAAGUAAUAGAACAAGUUUUUCAAAAUUUUAACAAUUAUAUAUUAUUGAUGUGUUGACGUAUAUGAUGUGUAAGUAUUUAAAUGAUUCGUACACAAAAAUUCAAACAUAUAAUAUAUGUUUAAUAAUACAUCAAUAGUACAUAAAAAUGAUAUAUAAUUUGAAAAACCUAAAAUACUUUUUUGUCAAAGUAUCUGUCCCUUCCUUUUAUCCACACAAAGUAUUGCUCAAAAAUAGAUAAAUAAAAAAAGAGACAUCACUUCCACCACAAGCAAGCGAAAAAGAAGUGAAAGGGAUGCCAUGCUUAUCGUUUGCGAAGGCAUCACCAUCCCUCAACCAUUUUUAGGCUUUAAUGGAGAAGGGAUGACUCACACAGUGGAAAGUGAGCUAAUAAAGGAGAACAUAAGCUUAAGAAUUUGUCUCUUCUUAUUGCUUUUCCAAAAAAGAAAAAGAAAAAGAAAAAAAAAAAGAGAGGGCCGCGCACGCCAGCGGCUAACCCAAUCAACACCCUUGAAUCACCAUCCAGUGGCCACGAAGAGGAGCAACAACACUAGCUCCUCCACACUAAGAACACCAUGAUUAUGAUAAUGAUGAAGAUGAUGACGAUGAUGAUUCCUACUUUGCUAUAAUUAAAGAAGAGUGGUAAUGGAAUUACCAAAGCUGAGGUAGUGAGGCAUGAGAUUCCAUCUGUUAGGCAGGGAGGGGCUCAUGCUAGUCAGUAGUCACCUUAUGAUGAGUUAUUUUCAGACAAUUAAUAUCUUAUCUUUAAUUUUUUGAAGUAAAAAAUAAAUGGAUAUAUAGAAUUGAGCUUUAAUGCUUUUGAAAAUACUAAGUUAUUGAUACUUGCAGAUUUUCGACCCUUAAAUUAAAGAAUGUACAGUUAAGAUGAUAGUAAUUUUCUAAGAUUGAUUAGGUGGUUAGUUGAAUAAUAUGAUCUAACGUAUAAAAAUAAUCAAAAGAAUAGAUCUAAUAAACAACGAAAAAUUUACGAGCACCAAAGACUUGGUACUUUUAAAAUCACCGUAGCUGGACUUUGGAUAUAUAUAUAUUUAUAUAUUAAUUGAACUAUUUCUUUGUACAAUUAGCAUUCGAACUUUAAAAUUGCAACUUUUUUUAUUUAACUUUUUAUUACCUUUAUUUUCAAAAAUAAAUUAAUUCCUANAUAUAUAUAUAUAUAUAUAUAUAUAUAUAUAUAUAUAUAUAUAUAUUUCUUAUGUGAAAAUUGAAAAUUUCAAUUCCACUCUGAGGAUUUCAUAGCUAGAGUAUUUUUCAUGCGUAAGGACGAUGAAAAUAUCGUAUAUUUGUGGUGCCAAAAAUAAUAAUAAUAACACGAAUUACUUUUGGAAAAGAAAAUAUAAAGUGCACUGUAGCAGGAAUAAUUAUUAGUGAUAUUUUAGUAAAAUUAAAGAUAAGAUAUUAAUUAUCUGAAAAUAACUCAUCAUAAGGUGACUAGCAUGAGCCCCUCCCUGCCUAACAGAUGGAAUCUCAUGCCUCACUGCCUCAGCUUUGGUAAUUCCAUUACCACUCUUCUUUAAUUAUAGAGUGUGACACAUGAAUGGUCAAACGCCCAAUCCAUUGUAAUGGGCCCUUUUUUUUUUUUCCUUUUUUUUUUUUUUGCAUCUACCCCUCUACAAAAAUUUAUUUUAAAAAUAAUUCCAACAAAUUUAUAUUUACACCUUUGGUCCUGAUCCUGCCACGCAGACGCGACGUCAGCGCCACGAGAGCGGGGCUGGACCAGUGUGUUAAGUUAAAUACGGUGAACCAUUCACUAUAUCCAAACACGAUAAAUAAUUUAUCGUGUCUAGAGAAAAAAUAUAUUUUUCGUAAUAUAACUAUUGAAAAGAGGAAUAGGGAUUAGAGAAGAAGAGAAAUAUAAAUAUAAAACACGGUGAACCAUUCAUCGUGUUCAACUUGAAAAACAGGCUCUCAGUCCGUCCAUCUGGCGCUUGCGUGAUGCCUAUAUGGUAGGGAUAGGACCAUUUUUGUAAUAUAAAUUUUCUAGAGCUAGUUUAAAAUAAAAUUUUUCAAGAGGUCAUUUGUAAAAAAAAAAAGCCCAAAUUGUAAGGAGACUCUUGCCUACUCCCUUUCCAUGGAGAGGAUAGGAGAGAGAAAAAAAGAAAAAAAAAAGGAAAAAAGAAAAAAGAACCUUUUUUUUUUUUCUCUUAUUUGGAUUUUGGAUUAAGAAAACAAAACUGAAAAAAAAAAAAAAAAUUUCUUUUUCUCUUCUCUUUUGGGGAGAGAAAUAAUUAAUUAUCAUGGAAUGUUUUUUUUUUCCCCCAAUUUCUCUUCACAUAUUUUCUUUUCACUUCUCAAAUUCUGAUAAAAAAAAAGACAAAGUGGUUUUAUCUUUUAAUUUCUUUUUCUUUUUGACUUUUCUCUCCGUCCAAAUCAUAGUAGUAAAGCUCUAGCUAAAAAAUGAUGAUAAAAAAAAAAAAAAAAAAAUCUAUGACCCUAGCUUGGAUAGUGAAGGCGAAGAUAGCCAAAACUACCCUUCCCCGUCGAAAGUUCCGUUCCAGCCCCAACAAAUAAAACGUUAAUGUCUCGUAAAAGCAACGUAUAUUAAUUUGACAUCAAACAUUGUUUGAAAAAAUACAUAUAUAAAUUUGAAAAAAUUAUAAAGCAGUUAAAUAGAGAUCAAUAUAUACCCUUCUUUAAUACUCCCAAUUGAUCAAUCUCGAAUCCAACUUAUUUUGGAACUUCAAAUUCAUUAACGUUUUCUAAUACAACCAUUAUCUAAAUUUCAUAGAGUAAAAAUUUCUCAAAAUGGGAUCCAAAUCAGCCUACAAUACUGUAAUUUCGAUUCGCUUUAGAUUGCUGGAUUAAUGGGUCCAUUAGCUCCAUCAAUAGUUCUAUACUGGGUCAAAAUGCAACUUAGAUAAUUAGAGGCUAUACCGACAGUCUCUAGAGUAAGUGGCAAAGGGUUUGGUGGUUGAUAUCCGAGACCCAAGUUCGAAUCCUAGUUGAUUCACAUUUCCAGCUAAGUUUAUUUCUAAAUGAAAUAAACGAAACGGGUAGCGUGCUACCUAUCUUUCAAAAAAAAAAAAAAAAGAGAAAAAAAAGAUAAUUAGAGGCUAUAUUAAAAUAAGUUCUUCAUAUUAUUAAUUAUUAUUAUUACUUGUACCUCCUCAAUCUUUAAUAUUUUUAAGAUAUUAUUUUUAAAGUUUAGUUAAUCUGAUUUGUUUUUAUUAAAUAUUAGUAAACUUAAUACUUCUAUUAGCUAUAUUAUCUUUAAUUAUUAUAUGCUUAUUUAUUAAAUUAUAGGCAAUUGCAUAUGUAAUAGAAUUACUCCAGAUUAAUUUAGUAAAUUUCUUUAUUUAUUUAACUAAAGUUAUACAAAAAAAAAAAUCAAAAAAAGCAAAAAUGUGUGGCUAUCACAAAAUAGACUAUAGUGAAAGCGAGUCAUUCUGUCAUUACUAUCUUCUGGUGCAAUAACAAUAUUCAAUCCCACAACAUCUGAUAGAGGGUUUUUUUUUUUUUUUUGGUUUCUUAGCCUCCGGGCCUAAGUUGUCUCACACUUAUAGCUUAAUUCACCAAUCUAUUGAAUGAAGCGAGUAGCGUGCUACCUAUUUCUCAAAAAAAAAAAAAAUCAAUCAAAAAAUCUUUAUAUUGCAAAUAAGCAUAAAAAAGGUUAUUUUUAAUGCGGUUUUUAUAUAAAAUUACUAUAUAGAUUAUUUCGAGUCGACCUUACUAUCUCACAUGCCACAUUGGAGUUGAUUUAGAGUAAAUCUUAUAUAAUAAAGAGUUUUACCCCGGCCGAGCACAUGCCGACAAAACUUAGCUAUCCUAAGAAGCAAAGUUGCAGCAGCUGCACGAGCCCACGCCGGCUUUUCUGGGCCUCUUGUCCCCGACCCCUACCCCGACCCUUUCCUUUCUCUUCUCCCUAAUUUUUCCUUUUUUUUUUUCUUACACUCCCAAAAUUUCAAAUCUUAAUUUGAUUUCGUGCAGUGUCACACUUGCACUAUAUUAAUCAUAUUUUUUUUAAAAAAAAAUACAAUAAAAUUAUUUUUUUAUUAAUUAUAAUGUGACAGGACAAUCUAAGAGGAAAAUUCUAUUAGUUAGAAACACACAUCAGCGAUAUAACCAGUACAUUCUAAUUUUUUUUUUCUUAUUCCAUCACCAUGGAUCCAGGAUUAGGGCUGGCAAACGAGCGAGCCGGCUCGCGUUCGACUCGUGUUCGGCUCGAUAUUCGGCUCGCUCGAGCUCGACUCGAAAUUAAAUGAGCCGAGCUUGAACAAAAUAAAAGGCUCGAAAUUCAUUUCAAGCCGAGUUUGAGUAUUACUCGGCUCGUUCGAAUUAGGCUCGAAAAGCUCAAAAAGCUCGAAAAUAUAUAUAUAUAGGCUGGGGCUACUAUACUCUUAUGAGUAUAGACCCCCUUGUACUCAUAAAUUUUUAACCGUUGAUUGAUAGGAUGCGUGGUUAGGAUGAUGGUGGUUGACACUUAGAAUGAUAGUGGUCCCCUAAGGUUGAGUGGGUAGUUGGUUAAAUAGUAUAAUCUAACGGAUAAAAAUGAUUAAUGAAAUAAAUUUAAGGGUCGAAAACUUAUGAGUAUAAAGGAGCCAAUACUCAUAAAAGUAUAGUAGCCGAACUCUCUCUCUCUCUCUCUCUCUCUAUAUAUAUAUAUAUAUGUAUAAUAUAUAUAAUAUUUAUAAAUAUAAUGUAUUUUAAUUAUACGCUUUAAUUUAAUUUGGGCCAUUAUUGUUGGCCCAUAAAAUAAACCCAACAAGUAUAAACGUGCAAUUGAGCCUAACUCUAAAUUUACAUAACAUACUCUCUCUUUCAGACUUUCAUUGUUGCACAUAACCCUAAAAUAAUAAUAUUCAAAUUUUCAAAUCUCUACUUUUUUUUUCCUCUCUCUCUCUCUCUCUCUCUCUCUCUCUCUCUCAAACCCUCAUCCAGUCAGGAAGUCACCCUAGCUCACAUUUCUUAUAAUUAUUUUGUAUUUUGAACUAUUGGACAUGUUGCAUCAAAUUGUAGGUAAUGUUCUAUAAAAAUUAAACUACUGAUUAUAUAAUGUCGAGAAUUUCAAUCGGCUUGUUUAGAGCUCGAGCUCGGCUCGACUCGAAAUUAGGCUCGCUCGAGCUCGGCUCGAAUUAAUUUCAAGCCGAGCUUGAGCCUAGAUUUAGGCUCGAAAUUAAUUUCAAGCCGAAUUUGAGCUGACAUAAGCUCGCUCGAGCUCGGCUCGUUUCCACCCCUAUCCAGCAUAUGGAAAUUUAACUAUUAUAAUAAUAUUUUUCUACAGGAACACAAAAAACGCGAGCAGAAACCAAAGCAAAGUUAGAAAAAGGAGAGCAGGGAUUUGUCCACCUUUUGUUCCCUUUAUCCCCCGCCACUCCUUUUUCCCUUCUUGUGCUCCGCGCGGCCUCCCUUUCUAUAAGUAGCCCCCACCCAGUACGAGCUCUCCAAGUGCACGCUAACAAAAAAAAAUAAAGAUAGAAAAGAUACACGCGAUAUAGUGAUCAGUGUGAGUAAUAAGUUUCCAAAGGGAAUUAAUGGAGAAGGUGUAUUUAGUAGGGGGGAGGAGAAAGAUAAGAGAAGUGAUGAGUUUGAGUUGUUUGGAGGAGGAAGUUGAGGAGGAGGAGGAGGAGUGCGGAGGGAGGGUGGCGGUGAUACCGCCACCGCAGACGCCGAAGGAGCCGAUGGAGUUCUUGUCGCGGUCGUGGAGCGUGUCGGCGUCGGAGAUAUCGAAGGCGCUGCUUUCCGGGAACAAGAAGCGGAACUUCGUCGUCGACCGCUUGCCGGAUAUGAUGAUCCCCGACACGCUGGUGUUCGCCGCCUCCGCCGCGAAGAACCACCGCCCCAUCGGCGUAAGAUCACUAACACAACUUCCUAAGGUCGCUUUAUUGCUAAAACGGGUGCGUUAUAAACUAAUCAAUUAUAAUAGUAAAAAUAAUCAUCAAAUUAUAUAAAUUCAUAUUUUAAAAAAAUAAAAAUAUACUGGGUACGGGACGUGACCUAAACUUUCCAAUAUUAUGAUUCAGGAUUUUAGUCUGAUGAGCAAAUGAAAUAAAAUGAAUUUUCGUAUUUCAAUUUCUCCUCUAACUUAGUGAUUUCUAGAUUUAACAAAAGCAAUAAUGUCAUUAAUUACUCGAGCAAAACCAGUAACAGCUCAAAAGAAGCCGCGGAUAUCAACUUGGUUGUUUGCGUAAUUGGACGUUCCAUACGUACAAUUCCCACAUGUUGAUGUUGGUGAUUAUACUUUGACAUGUCUAUUUUGUCUUUAGCGUUGCUUUAAAAAAACCCCAAAAUUUGUCUCCAUAUGAAGCAGCAUAGUAUAUAUAUAUAUAUUUUUUAACUACAAAUUUUGGCUUUACACGCCGAAAUUUACUCUCGAAGAAAAGCACAAGCUGAAACUUUUACCUUAAUUUCCGCUUAAUUCUAUUGCUUAUUAUUUAAGUUUGGGUGACCAUUAAUAAGAUUUAGUCACAAGCUGCUAACUUUGCCUUUUGGCUUCUUUACCGGGAAAUCGUACAUUAAAAAAAAGACGAAAUUUAGAAAAGUAAGAUAAUACCUUUCAUUCUCAACUCAUCAUCACUGUAUUUUUUUUUAUUAAUUUGAUUAUUAUUAUUAUUAUUAUUAUUUGUCAGGAACGUCGAGCUAAACACUCUAUCAUAACCCACCACCAAACGAUCGGCAGGUGGUUUCAUCACAAGGAGCAGAAUAGAAUAAGAGAGAGCAGUAAAGAGAAGGCCCGCGCCGAAAAAGCUCGAAUUCACGCUGCGGUAGCGGUGGCAGGAGUGGCCACAGCCGUCGCUGCUGUUGCCGCAUCUGCGAAUUCAGAGAACCAGACCCCGAAGAUGACUGCGGCGAUGGCCUCUGCAACGGAGUUACUGGCGUCGCACUGCGUCGAGAUCGCAGAGCUCACGGGGGCCAGCCACAUGCAGGUGGCCUCGGCGGUCGAGUCUGCGGUCGACGUCAGAACCCCUGGAGAUCUCAUGACUCUCACUGCAGCUGCUGCAACAGGUCACAAAUUUACAUUACAGUUUGUCACUGAUUUACCUUUUCUUCUUUUCAAGUCAUUGCGUCUAAGAUAAUAUCACAUCACAGUAGGAGGUAGUCAUAUCCCGUGACGUGAAAGGAUUGGCAUUGUUGCUUUUCCGUGGCUACCAUAAAACCACUUUAGUGAUAAAAUAAAACAAUUGGUCGUUACUAAGUUUGCUAUCCAUAAUAAUUGGAUAAUUUAUCGCCUGGGCCUAAUCACUGUCCGUCUCUAUGUUCACUUGGAUCCACCAUCUUAAUUGAAGUCCUUUUCGUAUUUAAAAAUUAUUCUUUUGAAGUGCUAUGAAUGAAAGGAGAUAAAAUGGAUUGUCCACUUUUAAUGUGGUUGAUCAGGUCCAAGCAAUAAUUUUGCUAGUGACAGGGCAACCAGGAUUUUGGUGGGAAUCCCACAAAUUCCAAAUGUGUAUGGUGGCAAUAAAAAUAUUAUCUUAACCAAGUAGUACUUUGACCACUAACUGAUUUGUCCUUUUGAAAAUGAAUCAUCACUAACUAAUUUGAAUUGAUCAGCUUUGAGAGGAGCUGCGGCUUUGAAACUGAGAGUGCAGCGCGAACCGAGGAGCAUUGCGGCGGUCACUCCCUAUGAAAGGGGUCCUUGUUCAAGCCCCGACAUCUGGUGCAAAGAAGGUGAUCUGUUGAAACGCACCGGCAAAGGUAUCUCUCAAUUUACUAUUCACAAACUUAAUCUGCUGAAAAGUUCUGUAAUUAAGAUUGCAUAUCUUGCCGUUCAUUAUUCAGGGGCUCUACACUGGAAACGAGUAUCUGUGUACAUCAACAAAAAAUCACAGGUAAAGAAUCUUCAUUGUAGGAUACAAAAUGAUAACUCAAAGAUGUCGACGGUGCUAAACUCAGUUUAAUGAAUCUUAGGUGGUACUAAAGCUCAAGAGCAAACAUAUAGGAGGUGCACUUUCGAAGAAGAAGAAGAGUGAGUUUAACUUACAAAUGAUACGCUUCAAAAUUAACCAAAUUCAUAAGUUUCUGAUAAUGUUUUUAUGAUGAUUAGGUGUUAUAUAUGGCGUAUACGAUGAGCUCCAGCCAUGGACACGGCAGGUGAGAGAAUCCACAGAGGAGAAGUGCUACUUCGGACUGAGAACGGCACAAGGUCUAAUAGAGUUUGAAUGUGAGAAUAGAAGCGAAAAAAAGAAUUGGGUCGGUGGAGUGCAAAACUUGCUACGCCAAGUAGCCGGCAGGACCGAUCGAAUAGAGCACUCUCUGGAGUCCCUAAAACUUGGUUAAUGUAAACAAUGAAUAGAGCCAAUUUUGUCGACAUAGAUGUACUUGCAGCAAAAUAUAUGUAUAAAUAUGAAGUUGUGGAGUUUCUCCUCUUAUGUAUUGAAGUGCAUGUCACCGUGUAUAACAAACAUUUGUGCUAUAACAUUCACUCCUUGGACAAAUUCAGGAAGAAUUCAAAGAGACAUUGAGAAAUUUAAGAAAAUUAAAUAUGUAAGACAUUACAGAAUACUAACUUCCAAAUAAUACAUAUUACAACAUUGUACAAGGCCCUCUUAGAAUACAACAGUUCUGUUGGAUUCAUAAGGAAGCACUCUGAGUUCACAAUAAGAUUUCAUUGCUUGUGCAAGGCAUUGCUUCUCAAGAUUCUCCGACUUCAUCACAAAGCUCCGUAAGGUAUCUCUGUGAGAGACUCUCUCAACCUGCAUCACAUAAAUAAAGAUUCAAAAUUGGCAGCUAUAAGUACAUGCUGCUUCCAUUAUAAUAACAGCACAAUUAAACAUAUAUAGUGUGCUAAUAAUAAUAAAUUGGCGAUAAACCAAAGACAUAAUGUGAUCUUUUUUUGUGUCUGUGUGUUUCACUCUUAUUUCUUGAAGGUAGUUUUCAUUCUUGCGUUGAAAACUACAAAUCUCCAAAAGUAAUAUAAAUUCCAUAUCAUUUGAAAAAUAAGUUGCUGAUGGUAAUAAUUACAAACUAGUCAAUACUAUGUAGAAUCAUUAAGGUUACUCGUUUUCAUUCAUUAUUUUUUAUCAAUAACUUUUACUGCUGAUAGGAGACCAAAUUAAUUAAUAUCCUGCCCAGCAUAAUAUGGCAAAUCAACAAAUUUGUAACAAUUGGAUGCAAAGAAAUGCAAGUGAGCACAAUCACCAUUUGUUCAAUAAUUGGGCCAGCAUCAAGCCCUUCCGUUACAAAAUGACUUGUUACGCCAAUUAAUUUAACCCCAGCAUCAAAAGCCUGGAUUCAUGUAGAUCUAAAGCUUAAAUGAUAAUCUAGAGCUCGGAUUAAAAGGAAAAGAAAAAGAAACACUAAAGUUAAUUUGGUAAGUAUAGGAAUUGCACACCUGUUUGGACGGAUUUCUGCCCUUGAAUGACGGAAGAAGGCCAUGGUGAAUGUUAAUGAUAUCUUUAUCAUAAGUUUCCAAAAAUUUUCCGGACAGUAUCUGCCAGUAGGUACAAUUUACACGAUAAUAGGAAAAUUAAAAAAAAAUGAUGCAAGAUGACUGUGAAAGAAUAUUUAAUGUCUUUACCAGAUGUCAGUUGUGUUAUUGCAUCUAUCUCAUUGCACAAAUCUCACAAACACUGCAGCUAAUAUAACAAUGACUAAUGGAGAUAUUCAUGUUUCUUUCUCUACAUGUCCCAUAUUUGUCAAAAAUCAGAGUAAUUGUCUAGAUGUUCUUUUUUUCUUGCUUCAUUUGGUUUUCUGGGUUUUCUAACACACACACACAAGAUUUUAAGAUUUAAGUUGCAUGAAAAUAGGUUACUAAUAGUUUGUGUAUAUGAUUUAACUGAUCUCUCUAAUUCUGAAGCUUGUGACCAAAUGGAUGAAAGUGAUGCAUCUGAGAGCAUCUUACAUUUGGAGCACACAUUGGUGAAUCCGAUAUUAGGAUCUUUAAUGUUCCGUAUUUAAUUUCACAUUUCGAUCUACUAUUUAUUUCAGGUAAUUUGAGGGGAAAAAGUAUCCAAAAGAAUGGAAACCGAAAUGUUUAUUAAAAGUCGAAGUGCAAAACAAUUUUACCUGCAUAUAUCUUGCAAGCACAAGAAAAUCGGUCUCUUCAACCAAUUCCAGGAUUUCUUGUUCUCUUUUAUUCCCCAAAGUCCUCGGUAAGUAAUGAUAUGGAAUCCCAUGUCUUUCGAGAAAACGUAUAACAUGAGUAUUCGGAGCUCUAUUAUGGUUGCUGCAAAAAUGAGCCUAUGAGUUGCCAAAAAAAAAGAAGAAGAAAAAAACCUUUUAAGUUAUCACAAAUAUAUGUUACCUUAUUAUACAACUAAUAUCCACAGGAAGCCUACCCUCCUGCCAUCUAUGUAACAGGUCCACCAAACAAUGAUCCUACACAGAGAAUAACUAAAUCAAACUAAUAUGUAUAGAGAAACAUAAGCAAAUAUUGGAACUCUUAAAUGGUUCAUUAUACAAUUUAAAAAAAAAACAAAAAUGUAAGUCACAAUUGCAUAUUACAAAGCGUACCAGCCUUGAAGUAAGAACUGCAAUCUUGUAUUUGGGGUCUAGAUCGGGAACCCGAACAACUGAUUUUUUUGCACUGAAUAUUUUCGAUAAUUUGAGGAAAUCACUGUCGAUAACAUCUCGCGGCCAUCGUAGAGGAUCAAAUACGAAUUCACUGCCAAAAAUUGUUAACAUUUUGCAUGCUUUAGCAGUGGCCAUUAAAAUAAAUGUGAAAUUUUGAAAAACAAUGGACCAAAUUAAACUAAGAAAAAAAACUAUUUGACAUAGAAAACUAUAAUUGCAAUAUUGCAUUGAAUAGAAUGAAUCAAAUUGCGCAAGGAAGAGAACGAAAGGGAGUGGUGGAAUCAACCUCCUGGAGUAGAAGACCUGUUUAUUCUCAGGAACGAAGACAUCGACGCUGUGUAUGUUACCUCCUCUAGAGGCGAUGCAAUCUGAGAGCUUAGCAACAAUUCCCACCGCAUCCUAAUCAUAAAAUCGACACAGUAUCAACAUAGAUACAGAUAAUUGGAUCUAUCUUAUUCCUCUCCCACCACUUUUUUUUUUUUUUUUUUCAAAAAUCCCAAAUCAAAAACAUAAGCUCCCAAAAAGAAAAAGAGAGGAAGAGAGAAUCGAACCGGGCAUUGGAAAACGUGGAUUCCGCGAAAGGGAGAGGAGGAGGAAGAGAACGCCCUCGCUGCGAUUCUUCGGAGGCUCGAAAUGGUGGUAGAGGAGGAGCCUCUCCUUCCAAAAACCAUGCCCCUUUUCCCUUUUCUUUUUAUGUUAUUUUGGUCUAUCAAAUCAAAUGGGCGUGGUUUAGAAUGGCACCCAGUUCGGUAAUGCACUGCACACCAACGGUUCAAUUUUUAAACAAUAAAAAAAAAUAUUAAUUUUCCAAUUCCUCCUUAAGAUGGAAUCUAUAUGCCGCUAAAAAUAAUUAGUUAAUCAGUUAUAGAGGAGAGUAAUUGGUGAGCCGCGUAGUCCAUUCUAUUAGAUCUAAAGAUAUAAUACAUUUUAAUUUAAUCCAAGUGAGAUUUAAAAAAUUAUUUUACAAUAAUUUUUUAUAAUCCAGCUUACCAUAUCCAUACAUUUAACCCUUGUCUAGUUGUCUGGGACAGAGGCACAGCUCAUACGGGAUAAGAUAGCGCCAUUCCUUUUUCUUUUUCUUUUUUUUUGGUGAGUAUUUUGUGGACAUCGGUCGUCACAAUCUUUUUGUGAUUGGAUUUUUUUUUUUUUUGAUUUUUUGGCUGCCCAAAACUUGGCCUUAGGCAUGUGAACAAAGAAAGUUACAAACAGUAUGCUGCAUAUCUAUACAGUCUUUCUUUCUUUCCUAUGUUCAUUUCAUGUGGAAAUGUUGUCUCCGCCGCCCACUAAAUUGUAAAAUUUUCUAUUAAAAAUUUGAUCAGUAAAACUAGAAAUCUAAGUAUCUAGGCAAAUAAGUUAAGUGUACAUAUAUAAGUAUUAUUGCUGAGUAAAUCAAAUUAACAAGAGAUUAAAUGAAAGCAAAAUAAAUCUUUUACACUGUAUAUGACAUCAAAAUCCAUAUGAACAAAUCAAAAUCCGUCUAGAAAGGAAAAGAUUGGCCUGAAGGAGGUAAAAGUUUAUGAAGGUUGUUCCAAUAGAGGCAGGAGGUGGCAGAAAAUACUGGGAGGACUUGAAAUGUCAAGGUUGGAACAUAAUUCACGUAUACAAGAAUUCAAUGACUUACUUGUUGACUUUAGUGCCGAGAAUAGAUCUGACGAAUCAGACCAUAUGUUUCCGAUUAAAUCUACUUACAUAGUACUAAUCGCCAGAAGAAUGAGAGACAAUUUGUCUAGGAGGAUCUGGUGCUUAAGUGGUGAAAGUGAAAAAUCUUCAUCUGGCUGAUACUCCAGAAAGUUGUCCCCACAACAAAUAACCUACUAAAAAGAGUCUGUCCUUCACUUGUCGAUACGAAAUGAGACCUGCAAUAAGGGCAGGACAUAUCUUUGUGGCCAUAAUAAAUCGAAACGAAUGUCACCGCACAAGCUAUAAACGGGUUCCUGUAGUCAUAAUUUAGUCGGUUAGCAUCUUUCCUAUCGCCGCAGACAUGCAACACCUGCUUAGCCUUCUUUGCUUGGGCUUCAUUGAGACUGUUCUUUAAAAGCAUCCUCAUGAAAUUAGUUGCUGUCGCGUAGUUUCCUCCCUUAAAGUAGAUAGUCACAGCACUUGUGAGAAGAUGUCUCGCAUGAAUCUUCUAGAGCUUAUAGUUUUUGAAAUAGGGUGCUGGGAUUGGAUCGUCGUUGAUUUUGUUUUUUUAACUAUUAUGCAGAUUGUAUUUUAGUAUUCAAAUUCAAUAUUAUUUUAUCGUAAUCUUUCAAAGUCUUAGGCAAAUUCAAAUUAAGUCUCAUUGUUACAUUUCCACUUCUCGGAUGUGAAGGAUGCUUGGGUUCAGAUCGGAUGAUUGGGUUCAGGUCUAGCCAAACUCAGGUCGGGCCGAGCAGAGAAAAAUUGGACCGUUGGAUUAUUGCAAUCCGUUAAGCCAUACCUAGCCCAUUAAAUAAAGCCCAACGAAAUAUUGCCACGUGUCAAGAAUUGUUAUAAAAAGAGAAAUAUAUGUCCGUUAGUAGCACGUACCGUGGGAUCGUUGGAGCCCUCCACACGCACGUGGGACAAAAUGUUGCCAUCGGAAUCUCCCUCUAUAAAUACCCCAACCCCUCUACGCGUACAGGUGUUCUCGAUCAUUUCGCGAUCGGAGAGAGAGCUUUGCUACGAGUGGAGUAAUGGAGGACGAAGGCGGAGGCGGUGACCGUUCGAGCUUCGUCGUCGGAUUGAUCGAGAACAGGGCGAAAGAAGUGAGAUCUCUCCUCUCUCCCCCUUCGUCCUCUUUUCUUCUCUCUCACCUUUAUCGUUCUCUUCUAUACACGUUCUUGCAUUUGAACGCUAGAUUUCGUCGAGAUCGUUUCCGUUUGAUCUAGGGUUUCUUUGAUCCAUAGUUCAUCUCUGGACCUUAUCCAUGAGAUCAAUAUACUGGAGAUACGACUACGAUCGUCGAUCCCGUGACGCCUUGUUCUGGAUGGUGAAAUUGGUUUUGAUCCAUCGAAAGAAACCCUACGACCGCUGAUCUUUCGACGUCUUGUUCGUGACAUCGGUUUUAAUCCAACCUAGAGUAUUAAUGAUGUGUAAUUUCUCUCUAGAUCUUUAAUGUCGUUUCAAUUCAGCAUGGAACGACUGCAAUGAUCGCUGAGCUCUCGAUGUGUCGUUUUGGAAUAUGAUGAAAUCUUGUUUGCUCCUUGUUGAUGUUUCAAUUAUUUUACACCGACAUAGGGAAUUAAGAUUUUUCUUUCCUAUCUACACCGAAAAUUGAGAUGUCUCUUUCUGUUCAGUCUAGGGUUUCCCUUGGGUAAUCUAGGGUACACGAUCUCUUUAUAGAUCUCGUUGCCAUUCUUUAUAUUAUCCAUUUCCAUUAAGAUCUGUUAAUUCUUGUGUGUAUAUAUAUAUAUAUCUUGUGUUUAUUUGAUCAACCAGGUGUUGCUCCUGCCUGGGGUUUCUUAGUGGUCAGUAUAGUGGAAUGACUUACGUGACCAUUGAUCUAUCAAUGUCUCAUUGCGGAAAGCCAAAUCUUGCUUGCUUCCUUGGUAGGCAGACAUAUUGUAUUGACUGCGAGAACUUCCAGUAGCCCUGGUCUAGGGUUUCCCUGAAUAAUCCAAGUAAUGGAAUCUCUUUAUAGUUCUUGCAUUUAUUCUUGUCUUUCUUUUCUCAUUACUAUCCCAAUUAUCGGUCACUUUCUAUUAGGCUAUCUAGCUGACAGAAGCAAAUGAUUUAAAUUGUCUUUUCUAUUGGCUGUGAUGAGUCCAUUGAACCCUCCUUCAAAUGCAACCUUUCACCUGCUUUGUACUAUAUAAUUCAGGUUUUUGAAGAUAGAACUCAGAAUAUGUAAGUUCCUGAUCUCUCGAUGAUGAUUUAUAUUUUCCUCUUUUCCUUUGUGUUUCGAUUGAAUUCUUAAGCAAAGAGUGUAAAGUUUACCUUCAUAGUUUGAACAUACUAGGUUAUGGUUUUUUCUUAAAAUGUGUACAGUUCUUGGAUGGUUUCACUGAAAUUUAAAAUUAACUCCACUAGUUAUUGACCAAUGGCCCGUUUCUUGAGGCUUUAGGAUUGCCAGUGGCCGAACAGAGGAAAUAAGAUUCCUCUUAGUUUAUGUAUGUUCUGAUCUCUCCAUCUCACCAGAUUUUCUGUAAUUAUUUACAUUCAAAUAGUGUUAAUUUAGGAGUUUUGAAUUAGUUUAUAUGCUUAAAACUUAGCCCCUUUUUUCCCCUCAUGGAAGCAACAGGAUUAAAAUUUUCCAUCACAAAUAAGCUAUUUCUAACUCAUGAAAGCUCCUCACAACCUUGAUUUGUUGUCCCUCUAUGCAAGAUACUUUAACUAAACUAGAGUACUAAAGUCUGAAUUACUCUUGUAACUUCAGCAAAACUAAGAAAUAAGCGUGAGAUUAUUUGGCUUUCAAUUAAUUACAACAUGUGCUAAAAGCGUUGUAGAAACAUAGUAUAAACAUUACACAUUCAUAAUAAAGCCUACGCCAAUUUUGAAUGAUAAUUUCCAGUAAGUUUAUUCAAUCUAUGCUAAUCUAUUUCCAUUUGAAUGCUCAAGAGUAACUCUGUUUGAGGGGAACUUUAGAACACAUUGGAAUUAUUAAGAGAACAUGCACUUAUAUAUAUCUUUCACUCUGCUUGAUAGCUGUUAUGAACUUGAUAACCUUUCAUGCGAUAACUUCUAAUUUGAUUAUAAGCCUAAACACUGAUUGAUUAUUUACGUAUGCUAAAGAACGACAUUAUCUUCUAAAGUACAGAUGCCUAUGGUAUUUUUAAUUGCUAAAGGCUUGUUCACUUAAUUAUUUUAUGCAGGUUUGUGUUGCUACCUUUGACUUGAGAUCGGCUUAAUUGCAUCUUUCUCAGUACAUUGAGACAAGUUGUUCAUACCAAAAUACAAAAACUCUGCUACAUUUUUAUGAUCCUAUGGUAACAAUUAUUUCCCCAAUCAAAUUGGCACCGGAUGGCAUGAUGGGAGUGUCUGAGCUGGUUGAUAAGCAUUAUUCAUUGAACAAAAAGGUGCUUAUUUCCUAAUUAUUAGCAGCUUUUGUCAUUCUAGAAAAUCUUUUGUAUGCUGACCAUGAUCCGCCAUCUUGCAGAUCAUAAUGUCUCGCGGCUGCUUUGAUGAUACAAAGGUUGUAUAGAAUUGAUGAUUUCUUUGUGAUUUCUUUUCUUGUUCUACAUGGUUUGUGAAGUUGACCAGUUCCUUUCCCUACAGGGUGGUCUCUUGGUCAAAAAUUUGUCAGCGAAGGAGCCAUCUACUCUUGGUUUAGAUACUUAUUGCAAGCAAUAUUAUCUCUGCCUCGCUGCUGCUGCUGCUACCAUCAAAUGGUACAGAAGUUCUAACUAACCUCAGGAACUGAAAUUUUUGCAUGGCUCAAGUAAUUGAUACUGGAAGGUAGGAGCUAGUUUAUCCUUGCAGAGUUGAAAAAUGAAAGCUGAAUGUUCUUUUCUGUAAAAUGAUUUCAAGGUAUCUUAUGGUUAUCCUUUUAUAGGCUUUGUUUACAGGUUGGUUAACUUACUAAACAUAAAAACUACCUAGUAAAUACAUUAUGGAAUUUAGUACAUCUUAAACUACUAAUACUGUUGCACCAUGUUUGUAGAUCAACAACUUCUUUCAUUUAUUUAAUCCUGGCAAAGAGAAAACGUAUGUUUGAACAAUUCUAAUUUGAGAAGGUAGUUUUUCUGGAAAACCGCAAUUUCAUACAUUGAUUAGGUUGAUUAGGUUAGAUGCUUCAUGUUUCCGUUGAUUUCUGGAGUUGUUGCAAUAAAACUUUCUCUGAUUAUUUGUGUACUUGUGUCACUUAAAAGUCCAUAGGCAAAAUCUACGUUGUUAGGGUCUUUAGAUUUUAGAAUUUAUUGCAUAAAAAAAUACAUAUAUAGCCUGUCUAAAUAUUUAGUAAUAGCUUAAACAACUUUAUGGAGAUCUAAAUUUAACAUCAUUUUUUUAAAAAAUUUCUCCUUAUGGCAGCUGCUUUUCCACAAAUAACUUUCUUCAUGGUUUCAGGACUGAAGCAGAGAAAGGCAUAAUAGUAACAAAUCACUCACUGUCGGUAUGUAUUUAUUCGAGUUGCCUACACGGUUUUAAAAGUGUAUUAUCUCAUGCCUAUGAAGAACACAACAACUGUGAGAUUUUGUUAUAUAGUGUGAAUGCUCAUUAAUUGAUAGACACUUUACUCAUGGAUGAACUACCUUUGUUUAGCUUUCUGUAAUUUAGGAAUUGCAUGUAACUUCUACCUGAUAUGGUUCUUAUGGUACAGUUACGUGAUUUUGUAGUGAAUUUUUAACUUUCUCAGGUUACGUUCAAUGGUUCAUUUGAUCACAUGAAUAUUGAUGCUACUAGGUAUAUCUUUUUUUCUUUUUUUUCCCCCUGAAAAUAGAUUAUAUAUUGCAAUGGUAUGUUGUAAUUUAAUGACCUUCUUGCUUCAUAUUGAUGACAGACUAUUGCAAUUAAUUGUUUUAUGAGAAGAGAUUCAUGACUUGCUUGCUUCAUAUUGAUGACAUGCUCUCUCAAUUAGCUGUCUUAUGAGAAGAGAUUCAAUUUUUUUUUUUAAUAUCACGGAUUUCUUAUUCUUCAAUGCUGCUUAGCAGUGUUCAAAAUUUAGAAAUUAUUGACCCUCUACAUACCGAACUGUGGGGUUCUAGCAACAAGAAGAGAAGCCUAUUCCGGAUGUUGAAGACGACGAAGACUAUAGGAGGGUAUGCUUCUUCAUAGCAGUAGUUUUUCAGUUUAUAAAAGAAAGGGAAAUGAUUAAAAUCUGAAUACUUUGGCAUUUUGAACAUUAUGUACAAAUUAUAUUCCUAUUUAAUCUUCUAUAUUAGCUUCAUAUCCCUUCCAUAUGUUACUUGUGGUUUAGGUCUGCCUUAUAUGUUUGCUUACUAAAUGCUUCUUGUUUCAUCUCCUGGUUUCAACUUUUAAAUCAAUUUUCAUGUGGAAUCCCUCAGUCCUUUCUAAUAAAUUCUAAUUGUAAACCAAAAGUUCACUCCCUAUCUAAUGGUAAUUUUUUGCGGUUCUACUAUUAUUAUUACUUUCUUGUCAGAAAUUUGGGAUCUCUUGUAAAUGACUAGCAGCGGGCAUUUAUCUAUUUAUUCAUUUAUCUGUAACACAUAUCAUUGGUUUAUUCCUUAUACUUGUUUAAAGCUUACAGAAGAUUUAGUGUGGAUCAUGUUCCUUUUUGUUACAUCAAGGUUUCUAAAUACCUCCAUUUUUGGCAAUUCGAGAACUUUGUCUUCUGUGAUCUUUUACUGUUGCUUUUUGUUACAGGUGGAUUACUAUUCAUUGAACAUCUAAUUUUCCGCAUUUUAAAGUGUUCCCAUUCAUCUCUCUGGAAUACAAGUAUUCUGUUGUUUCUGAUUUCGCGUUCAUAGGCAUCAUUGGUGACUUGUUUCAAAAACCUGUUAGGAUUAUCAUCAUGAAACUAAACACUCUAAUCAAUCUUCUUGUUUUGAAUUGUCUUGGGCUAUAUGUACUUUUUAGGUGCUCCAGCUGUUCAUACUAUUGCUGCUGUAAAUCUAGUUACUGUUGUCUGUUAUUUUUGUCUGCCUUCAACCACUGUCAAUGCAUCUACUUCUUUUGGCAGUAUCACUGAUAUGACAUUGCACUGCUUGUUAUAACCUAUAAAUAUUCUCAUGUUACACUUCAGAAUUCUUAUUCAUUUUAGAUAACAUCAAUUUACUUUCACAUCUUUAUACAUCAGAAUGAUUCACUGCUGGGAAUAUGGGUAUAGGUGGUUAACUGGCAUAACUCUGUUGCAUACUGUCUUUGACAGUUUGACUCUUCUGAAAGCUGUGGCUAUAUUCUGCAUUAGUCAUUUGUCCAACUUACAUGUGGUUGUGUAUUUCAUGUUGUUAGGCUUAGUAAUCUCAUCUUUCUUCUCUAUCACGAUUUGCAAUUUUCAAGAUUAUAUGUACUUUCUUUUAUUUAUUAUUGGCCAAGUUAGAGGUUUAAAAUAUAAUAUUCAUUACUUGAUAAUGUGCAAUGUGUAGUUUUGUAAUUACAUCAUUGCAAACUAGAUUUUCGUGAAUAUGCUAGGUCAAUAUAUUUUAUAUGAAAACGCCACUUGUUAAAUUGGGUUUCCUUCUCCUAUGAAUGAUGCUUUUUAAAGUUUCUUUAGAUUUCAUAGUAUCCUAAUGACUAAAUCUAUCUGUUAAUUACCUAUAAAUGGACAUGCACAUUUCAGGGCUAGACUACUUCGAGCCAACUUACUACAACCAUUAAAGGAUAUGGAAACUAUCAAUGCCCGUCUUGAUUGCUUAGUGAGUAGUUCCUGAUUCUUGUUAGAUUAUGGUUGUUGAGAGGCCAAAGGAAAAAUAAGUGUGAGAAUAACAGUUCCAUGAUGUCAGUUUGAUUUUCUCAAGUUGUUUGAAUUGUUAAAAAUGUAUAAGAUUACUGCUAUGAUUUUUUUAUUUUCUCUUUUCUGUUGCAUUGAGCAGCAGAGUAGGUAUAUUUUGAUACAAGAAAAUAUUAGCAAAAGGUUGGUUAGAUAUGGUAGUACACAAAAUACACAAAAUAUAAGGACAAAAUAAAUUGUCUGCCUCUGACAAACUAUAACUUUGUUCUUUCGCAAGUUUCAACAAUUGUACGAUAUAAUAGAUGGUGAUUGUAAUGAUACUUUGCUUAUUUAUGCAUUACUAUCUGAAGAAACAUCGUAACUUCUAGAGUUUCCAAUUACUGUUAUAUUACAGGAAAAUAAUAAGUUUGUAAAAUCUAGUUUUUUUUUAGAGAGAGAAAAGUAACAUACUACUGCUUCAUUCAUUUAGGAUAUGAACUAAGCUACAAAUUGAGGCAAUCCGGCCUCCAAGAAAAAACAGAAAAAACUUGCUAUGUGCCACAGUGGAGAUUACACUGGACUCUGAAAUUGUGUGGCCUCACCAUCAAUUGCCCCGUGGUGUGUUUCUUUUUCUCGAAGAUUCUUUUGUUACGCUCCAGCCAGAUAACCCACCAUGUUGAUGCAAUGAUCGUUAACUCCCUCCCUCCCCCCCAAAGUUCCUCCUUUGAGUCUACUCAACUCCCAAAGCCUACCCGUAGAGGAACAAUUAAAAGGAGAUAUUUUAUCGGACAGUUGACCUGCCAACAAAAUUCUUGUAACUGCACAGUCCACAAAGAGGUGGUCGAAAAAUCUAGUAAUUGCUUAUUGCACAUGUACGCUGAGUUAUGCAUGAUUACUUUAUUUUUGUUGUUCCAAACAUAACAUUAUAGUAGCUUAAUCUUCAGUAUCUUUGUCGGUUUUGUGGAAUAUCAAUAGCAAUUCCUUUUCAUAAAUAAAAUUUUAUAAACUGGUCUCAAAUUUGUCACUUUUGUCUGAUUUAAUAGGUCCAUCUAGGUUAAGAUAAGAUUAUUUCUGCUAGUCAUUCUUGAAAUAUAUACUUCUAUUUUCAGGAUGAACUAAUGAGCAAUGAAGAGUUGUUCUUUGGACUGACGCAGGGUCUUCGAAAAUUUCCAAAAGAGACAGGUUGGAUGACUAUCUCCUAAUUCUUUGCUUAUUAUUGUGGUGUAUAUAUGUGAUAGCUUCUAAAAGCAUGCUAACCUCAUUUUAUGACUUUUGCCAAGACAAGGUUCUUUGUCACUUUUGUUUCAAACCCAGAAAGGUCACAGAGGAAGUUUUGAAGUCUGUAAAUGGUAGAAAGAGUCAAAUGCUGAUUUCAGACAUUAUUGUUCUUAAAACAGCUCUGGAUGCCAUACCCUUUCUUUCCAAGGUAAAUAAAAGUGCUCAUUUCAAGACUUGGUGAUAAUCUGGAGACUAUCAAAUGUUGUUAUGUUUUCUAAAUUAGUUGAUGCAACCAUCUCACAACUGUUUCAAUACACAGUACUAGCACUGUAGAAACACAUCAACCAUAUCCUUUUCGUCCAUGGGAAGUGUGUUUUGUUUUUUUUUUGGACUAAAUAUCUCAAAUUCUAGGUUCUCAAGGAUGCAAAAUGUUCCCUUCUUUGCAACAUUUACCGCACUGUUUGUGAAAAUCAGAAAUAUUCAAACAUGAGAAACAGGUUUGAUACUGUAGUCCUUGUACUUACCUUUUUUAUAUUUUUUUGAAACUUGUUUAUAUUGAAGAAAUUUCAGUGUGGAUGCAUUAAUAGAACUAUGGGCAACUGCAGUCAGCAUGUCCUGUGCAUUUUCAAGUGUUUACUUCUAUUUUUUUGCCUUUCCCAGAAUUAGGGAUGUAAUUGAUGAAGAUGUGAUACAUGCAAGGGCUCCUUUUGUUGCUUGCACACAGCAGUGUUUUGCUAUCAAAGCUGGAAUAGAUGGACUUCUUGAUGUUGCACGCCGUUCCUUCUGUGACACAAGUGAAGGUGCAUAAAAAUUUUAAGUUGAUACCAGCAUGUAUUCUGCAUUUCUUAUCACCUUGUUGUUAACAGCUAUACAUAAUCUUGCAAACAAAUACCGGGAGGAAUUUAAUCUGCCAAAUUUGAAGAUCCCAUACAACAAUAGGCAGGGAUUUUACUUCAGUAUUCCACAGAAGGACACAUCUGGAAAGCUUCCUAAUACAUUUAUUCAGGUUUGUCAUUUACACUAAUUUAUUUUUUCAUUAUUUGUGCUAGACAUUUGAAGAAUACUGAACUAUUUUGGUUUUAGGUCAUGAAACAUGGGAAAAACAUACACUGCUCAAGUUUUGAACUUGCCUCUGUAAGUUACUUAUGCCACUUGUCCUUCUAUUUUAGUGAUUAAAAAUGUUGUUCUUGGUCAUUCUAUAUUGGAAUUGCUGGUCAAGAUGAAAUUCAUGAUUUUUAAUGCACAUUUCAUAUUCAUUAAUGAGGAAUAGAGUUGGCUGAUAACUGUUAGUUGCUUAUCUUCACUUCACUCCAGACUUCACACUGUGGUUUCUUGUGCUGUUAUUGUAUUUAUAUUUUUGAAAUGUUUAUUUGAUAUUUAUUUCUUUUUGAUAGCUCAAAUUGCUGUAAGUUGAUGCGAAUCUCUGAUAUUUUAUCCUUAUAUCUUGUGUUCUAUACAUGAUAGAUAAGCUUUCUGAAGUGGACCGAAAAUCUGCUGACAUGGGCCUGUCUAGCUUUCACAAGUUUGUAAGACCUAUAUUUGAAAGAACGAGAAGCCAGAAAGACCGAUGAUGUACAUCUAAGAGAGAACACUCUGGCUACUCUUUAUUCUGAUGUUAUGUCUAAAGUUGAAUUUCCAAACAAUAGCAGUAUAGCACAUCAACUUUACUCUUUAGUGAAUAAUCCAUCAUCGAAAGAGGAGAAAACAACAAAAAACUAUUGGCAGAAGAAGAGGCUGCUUGACUGAAGCAGCCUUUUCCUUUAUCCUUAUGCAGUAAGCUAUCCGCUUCAGGCUAAAAUGAUUAUAAAACUCCCGGAAAUAUGGCUGGAUUUUUCAGUAGAUAUUAAAUCAAGUCGCACUUUACAGACAACUCUAAUGAUGUUACAUGUCCAAUAUGUAAUGUGGGGUAAGACUAAUUUAUCCUGCUAUGUUCCGUAGUAAGGUCAGACUAUAACCAUACUUCGCACCACUAUGCUACAAUUAUGUAACUAUGACUAAUGAUUUUCAGCAUGAAUUCUAUAGCAGCGUCGCUUCUUGAUAACAUAUUAUGCUUGAAGCUUCAUUCAGUGUAAAAUAAUACAUUCAAACUUCUAUGGCUUUCAGCUGCACUAGAUAUUCUUCCACAACUCUUCAGAUAUUUUGUUGUCCUACUUUGUCCCAUAUGCAAAUGUGUGCUAUCUAACUGUUGGAAACUUUGACAGUUCAUGCUGUCAUCUGCCAAAAGUUCUUACACGAAUCUGUUAUGCUGAUGUCUUUGCAGCUGAAUGUUAGGAAUAAAUCAGCUUCUGCCGAAUGCUUUUUGCGCACAGAACAUUGUUUGGAAGGUUGCAAUGACUUUGUCAAAAUAAGUUAGUUGUGCCUUGUUCUAAUUUCUCUUUUUUUCAUUUUAUGCUGGAUAGCGCAAUCACUUGUUAAUUCUGCUUAAUUGAUGGAAAAUGUCAAAUGGUUUUGAAAGGUAUACCAGCUUACUUUAGUGACUUUUUGUGAACUUGAUACUUUGUAGAAUUACAUUCUGAAAAUCUUCAUAUAUAUGAAUAUCAUAUCAAUAGAUUUAUUUCGUCUUCGGAUCUGUUUCGGUCAUCUUUUCAACCACAUUAUACUCUCUGCAAUACAUUGGUAACAUCAUGGCCACUGUUUCUGACCAAUUUAUAAUUGUUUCAACAAGUUAUAUGUGACUUCCUUGUUGAAGCAUUUGACCUUAAUAUAAGAGGAUAAUGUAAAUAUUCGCAUAUACAAGUAUAUAACAAACAACUGUAAUAUGCAAAUUUUCAUCCUAAUAAGCAUAAAAGGUAUUUGAACGCUGCUGCAUGUUAAUCUUUUUAACUCCAGAAGAUAGCCAGUGAUAAUUGUAGCAUGCUUUGCAUUCCAGGCCAUUAUCUUGUUACUCUUUGUUCCACCCUUCAUCGAGCCAAAUUUAUGAAUUUAUGAAAUUAUUUAUUUUAAAUUUUGGCAUACAACACAAUAUUCCUUGGAUGUGCACCAAAAGCUGAAAUGGGUGGCCUCUGUGUAGUAAAUUGUAUAUUGAACAUUCCUCGCCUCUCUAUGUCAAUUACUCAUUUUUCAUUAGCGAUGUUUAAAAUUCUCUUCUUUUAGACUGAACGAUGUCAAUUCUUUGUCCUCUACUCUGCAGGGCUGAUUGAUGCAAUAAGGCAGGAUAUCUCCAUACUAACAUUGCUUGCAGAAGUCUUAUGCCUUCUAGACAUGAUUGUGAAUUCAUUUGCGCACAGUAUUUCAACUAAGCCUGUUGACCGCUACACAAGACCAGAGUUUACAGGUAGCAAAUGUUUCUUUCACAAUUUUAAUGUAAGCAGGUGACUAACUGAGAUUCUUUUGAACAGAUAAUGGACCAAUGGCAAUUGAUGCUGGCAGACACCCUAUACUGGAAAGCCUACACACUGAUUUUGUUGUAUGUAGUAUGUACAGUAUAUCAAUUUUAUCUUCCUUUGAUGUUGUUAUAGUGUAUCACAGAAUAACUAGAUCAGUUUUGUGUGCAGCCUAAUAAUCUUUUUCUCUCUGAAGCAUCUAAUAUGGUGAUUGUCAUGGGCCCCAACAUGUGAGAGUGCCCUAUCUAUUAGCAAUUUUUGGAGUAAACUCAUUUAUGAACUACUUAAACAUGCACUACUUCCAAGCUAUUCAUAUGAGCAUUUUGGCAAUUAAUGCCUAAAGGCCUUAUUUUGGUCAGGAGCGGAAAAAGCACUUAUCUUCAACAGAUUUGUCUAAUAGUCAUCCUUGCACAAAUCGGAUGUUAUGUCCCUGCUCGUUUUGCAUCUCUAAGAGUGGUUGAUCGCAUAUUCACACGGAUUGGGACUGGAGAUAAUGUUGAAUACAAUUCUAGCACUGUAUGCAACCUUAAACUUAAUCUUCUCCUUAUUGUCUAUUUAAUUGCUUGGUUGCGCAUCUAUUUUGAUAGAAAGUACUACUCCGAUGAAAUAUGUUUAUCUGAUAGAUCUAUCUUAUCUUUGAAUAUGGAUCAUAUUGCUAAUUUCCUAUAUUGGGCAAAGAUUCAUGUCUUUCUUUAAUAUCAAUCAAAUGCAAAUCUCUUCCUUAUACAUGAUGCAGAAUAAAUGAUACGCAUAUGAAUCUCUGCCCUGUAUUUCACUUUUUCCUCAAGCUUAUUGUCUUAUUGUCUUUGUCAUAUACUUAUAAUGUAUCGUGACUGGUAGCACAUUUUAUGUUUUCUAUAGUAACAUUUAGUUGAUUCAAAUUUAUCUUACACAUGUAAAUUCCUGAAGCUACUUGAAGCAUUGAUUCAUGCAAUCUUGGAGAAGAGAUAGAUAUUAGUAAUAGCACAUCCAAGAUAAGAGAUGAUUACAUAAGCACUAUCUUUCUCCUAUUCAAUGUUAUGUUUUAUUCAACUUAUUGUUCAUUAAAUCAUGAGAAAUUUAAUAAACAAACUCUUAACCUAGCUUCACACCCUUUCAUGAUUUUCUAUAAAAUUUUCAAUCAAAAUAUACUAUUAUGGAAUUAACUAUUUAUAGUUACUAGUAGGAGCUGUUGCUACUUGCUAGGUAGAGAAGCCUGUCUAGAUUAUAUGCAUCUACAUAGCAGUAUUUUGACAUCCUUUUCUAUGAAGGAUAUUGCUUGGUAGGUAACUUGUGAGUUGUGAUUUAAUAUCAGGAGUGUUUUCUAUUGUCAAAAGGCACAUCAAUGGUGGUGACCAGUAGGACUAUAGGAGUGCGUUCAGCUGACUGAACAUAAAGAAUCGAAUAGCUAUGUUAUCAGACCGAACACAACCGAACCUGAAUUGCUACAAGACAGAAUUUGAUCUGAACAAAAGAUUCUGGUUCAGUUCAGUUCAGUUCAAUUUUAACUGGUUUGGACCUGUUCUUGCUCGUAGUGUUUGUCUCCCAUAGUCCCAUGUCUAAAAGUUUGGUUUUCUUCUCAUGGUCACUUCUUACUCACCAUAAUUAUGAACACUGCAAGUUAAUUUGCUCUGCCUUUGCAUUGCGUUUUAUGUCAGGAUUAUUUAUUUGCGGCUUCCAUUACUUUCUUAUGCAGUUUUAGCACGGCAAAUGCAAAAUAUCACAGCUAAUUUGCAACCAUUGAGUCAUCUGAACAGUGUGAUUUUAGUCACACAGCGACCUUCUGAUACUAUUUUCUAGCCAAUAGGCACAUUUAACUUCUUUGCAUCUGUUAUUCUUUCUUCUCUUUUACACCAUUUGUUAACAGAUGCUUUAUAUUUUAUACUCUGCAUGGGUGCACCUUGUGAGGGAAAACUGCAAAAGGCUAGCAGAGUUUUUUAAUUAGUAAUUAUCCAGCUUGAGGAUUAUUCAGGAUAUUUAUGGAUCAUUUUGAUAUAGAAAACUUCCUGAUCGCUGAAAUGGUCCUUUGUAGUUUAUGACGGAAAUGAAAGAGACAGCUUUCCUCAUGCAAAAUGUGUCCCCAAAGUAUCGCCUCUAUAUUGUUUUAACUUCCAUUAUUAUGUCACAUUUACUGAUAAUAUUUUGAUAUUAUCAUAUGAUGGUCUUUCUGAUUUUAGGAGCCUGGUUGUUAUGGAUGAGCUGGGAAGGGCAACUUCUUCCUCUGAUGGGUUUGCAAUUGCUUGGAGCUGUUGCGAGCAUCUGCUAACUCUCAAAGCGUAGAUAUUACACCUCCUUACAAUAAAUAUGUCAAAGCUACUGGUAUAAAUAGGUUUUGUUGAAAAUUUUAGUUCAAAGGACAUGAGUUUUCGAACGACCUCCAUAAAACUCUAGGGCAACUCCAUCUCUCCUAAUCUGUUCUUAUUCCAUUUUUGUUUAUAAAUAAUACACAUGCAUCAGUAUUACUAGAAAUAAUUAAUCCUGAUUUUGUUGUCAUUCCAUUUGCAGUACAUUCAUAUUGUUACUCUGCAAAUUUUCAGAUUGCUAGCAUUUAUGAGUAGCAUUAUGUUGUUUUGGAGUAAUUGCUUUUCUCUUGUGCAUGCAAAAUGCAUUUAUAGUUUGCUUAAAUUGAGAAAAGCUCUUUAAAUGUUUUCUUCGUUAGGUACACUAUAUUUGCUACGCAUAUGGAGGGUCUAUCUGAACUUGCAACCAUCUAUCCUAAUGUGAAGAUUCUUCAUUUUGAGGUCGACCUACGCAACAAUCGCUUAGAUUUCAAGGUUGUUUUUUGUACAAGUAACUUGUUUCAGGGAAUCGUUUCCAUGGACAACCCUAGAGUUCUUUUAUUUGUCAUUUUUUUUCUUUGGCUCUUUUUCAGUUUCGUCUCAAAGAUGGUCCAAGGAGGGUGCCACACUACGGUCUUCUAUUGGCUGGUGUUGCAGGUCUACCAAGCUCCGUGGUGGAGACAGCAAGGAACAUUACUUCAAGAAUCACAGAAGAGGUAUUAUGCUACUCUUUCUGUAGUCACAUCACCACAAUCGUCGGCACGUACAAUGGUAUGAGUUUUUCAGAAUGCUCUAACAUCCAAUGUCCCUUCUGGUGGGAAGUUGUGAGCAACUUGGCCGGGACGCUAACAAAAAUGAUAUAGAAGAGCAUCAGAAGCUAUUCUUGCAUUGAAAAAAAUGUUUUGAAAGAGACUAAGAGACAUGGGAUCCUCGUUCUUUUCAUUUCCUAGUGCUCAGAAGUUUUUUCAAAACACUGUUCAGUAACACCUGUUUUUGAUAGGAAAUGAGGAGAAUGAAUAUCAACUUUGAGCAGUAUCACUCAAUUCAGAUGGCGUACCGGGUUGCACAAAGGCUGAUCUGCUUGAAAUAUUCCAACCAAGGCGAGGAUUACAUCCGCCAAGCGCUGCAGAAUCUGAAGGAGAGCUACAAUGAGGGUCGGUUUACAUGCUGAUCAAUUAUUAUGACAUCACUCUGUGAUACGCAAAAGAGGUGAGUUUUCUUAUAUGAUAGUCAAGGAGAAUUCACUGGUUUUUGAUUCGCAAGCAUAUUUUGACAAGAUGAAACAAAAUCACAAGAAACUAUGAAUUUAUUUACCUAUAUUUUGGUCAAACUAUUUUAAGAAAUUUGCAAUUAUUCGUUUCAAAGAAACUUAGAUAUCCUUUUAACUUCUUUUUCUCAAAAUGGAAGGAGAAUCUUUUGCUCCCUUGCGUGGCUGGCCUUGCACGGAAAUUCUUACAUUUUUAUUGCCUUGACUGGUUACGUCCGAUGGCCUCGCGAGUCACGAGUCACGAGUCACGAGUCACACUCGCUUAAAGAAUGAGAUCUGUGGGCCUGUGGCCAGUCUCCACUUUUAGAGACAUAUUUUCGUGCACCAAGUUUACCACGUCACCCGUGGACCGCGCAAACAUCAAUCCUUCGCUUUUAUUUUAUUUUAUUUAUUGUUAGCUGGAAUUAUAAGGACACGGCAGUACAGGACCUGGACACGGCAGGAAGUAGAUGGCUACGAAUGACGGCAGGUCCACAGCUGACGUGGUGGACCCGGUCCAGAACAGUCUAGGUAAAUGCCUAGCCGCACUUCGUCUCCCUGCCACACGAAGAGAAAGUAUUGCACGCACAUGGAGGUCUCUCAAAUGCCACAUUUAAUUUAUUUGAUAUUUAUUUUAAUAUUAUAAAGACCAACAAGUUCGAGAUAUAAAUUUGGAUCUGAAAAUGAGCUCUAAAUUUUCGUAGAUAAGAUAUAUCAAAUUAUAUUUGGAUUUUACUAUAUUAAUUAUUAAAUAUUAAGUAUAGUACUUAAAAUGGUUGUUAAACUGACAUGUGGGGCCCACGGAUGUAGUACUCAUACGUCAGCGUAAUUUCUAAUCUCUCACGAUGUGGGAGGACGUCAAAAAUAUACUGGAUUACCCCGAUCAAAAUCGUAAAUUUUCCUUGUUAUAAAAACUAAUAGGAUCCAGAAAUAGACCUAUCAAUAAGUACUUGGGGGUCGAAUCUAGCGUGGCCCAAUGAAACGUUGUCCUUUGCCUAUCGUCACAGGCCAUAUAUCUGGGCUAAUACGAUCCGGCCAUGAGCAAUGAACCCGCGGCCCGCAGCCCGCGGGCCACCGCCCACGUAACCCAAAUUCGUUGUCAUCCUACUACGAAAAUCCUUCACCGGAAGCCAAAUGCACCAACUCAACGGUCGAGAUCAGGACCUACAAAUCCAACGGUAGCAAUUUAUUAAAUAUUAAAUAAAUCCAAUAUUCUCACACUUCCCAUGGCCCCGAGAAAACCCUAAUCCUAGCACCUGCGGUGAGCUUCUUCGGAGCAAUGGGUGAGAGCUUCUCUUCUCCUCUGCAGCUUCUCCUAUUUCGAUCUUUUCCCAUUUCUCCCUCGAUGCAUUUGCCCAUCGUUUUUUCUUUGUCAUUUUCUUUUAGGGGCGUACAAGUACGUGUCGGAGCUAUGGAGGAGGAAGCAGUCGGAUGUGAUGCGGUUUUUGCAGCGGGUGAGGUGUUGGGAGUAUCGCCAACACCCGUCCAUCGUCCGCGUCACGAGGCCCACUCACCCCGACAAGGCUCGGCGCCUCGGCUAUAAGGCCAAGCAGGUAUCAAUUUUUAAGUUAAGGCACAAUAUAACCCACUGUUGCCCGGAGCCUUUUUUUUUUUCAGCUUUUGUUUUCUAUUUUGUUGGAUUUAUCAAUGGAUGCUGGUUCUGUUACUCACGAGCUUUAACAAUUUUAUCAUCUGGUAUCUCUGGGAAUAUAUCGAGGGUGCAAAAUUAGGUGUGAUACAUUUGAAAGAUUCGACAUUGUUGUUGUUGUAUGAUGAUUCUACUGAUUACUGAACAACAUGUUUACUUUGAUCACUAUUAUCCCAUUUGAUAUCCUGUUUCACGUUACAUUUUGCUGUCGUGGACUCUUUGCUUGGAGCCUUUAGUUGAUGGCAUAAACUGCUGAGUGGUAGGGACAAUUUAUGAGCGCAUGCAUUCAGAAAAUAUCUGUUGGAUUUGGCAUUUGAUAUAAUGGUUACUAUCUAGGUUGCAUCGACGAAUCUUGAAUACUGGAAUUUAAACAUGAAAAGCUUCUGAAACCUUCUCUAAAUGCUUGCGUGUAGCACUUCUUCCGCAGACUUGUCCAAACCUUAUCUUGCCAUUUAUGUCCUAUGAAACUAGUCUUUUCGUGAAUUUCCUGUACAGCACGUUGUUCUUUUGUUCCUCAACUGCGCGUUAAGCAUGAAGUGAAUGUGUUUUCACAAAUUCAACAUGCUCCGUGGUUGGACAUCGGAUGUGAAUGAUACGCCCUGUGGUGUGGUACAGGGUUAUGUGAUUUACCGUGUCCGAGUUAGGCGUGGAGGCAGGAAGAGGCCGGUCCCCAAGGGUAUUGUCUAUGGCAAGCCCAAGAACCAGGGUAUCACUCAACUGAAGUUCCAAAGGAACAAGAGGUCUGUUGCUGAGGAGAGAGCUGGUCGGAAGUUGGGUGGUCUCAAGGUGCUCAACUCCUAUUGGAUCAAUGAGGUCUGCACAGAUUCCUUUGAUAUAUUUCUUAUAUGCCCGUGUAAAUAUCUAUGUACAUCAUAUCAUGAAAAAUCAGAAUUUCCAUAAUAGCUGUGCUUUUAAGAGGCAUGAAAAUUCAGUAUUUAAAGGGACAUAUAUGUAAAUCAGUAAAUAUAGAGAUUUUGGUAGCAGAUGUUGUACGUAAAAUGACCAAUUUUUAUGCUAACACUAAAUAAAGUUUUAAAACUAUUUUUGUUAGAUUUUGAUCAUUUUAUUUUAUAUUUUAUAUUUGUUACAUUUUGUCUGUCUCAUCUUUUCAUCGGUUUAUUGUUUACCCCUUUUUAUGGCAGGACUCGACUUACAAAUACUAUGAGGUUAUCCUUGUUGAUGCUGCCCAUAAUGCAAUUCGUAAUGAUCCAAGAAUCAACUGGAUCUGCAAGGGUGUUCACAAGCACCGCGAGCUUCGUGGACUCACGUCAGCGGGUAAGAAGUACCGUGGCCUGCGAGGCAAGGGCCACCUGCAUCACAAGGCAAGGCCAUCUCGCAGAGCAACUUGGAAGAGGAACCAGACUUUGUCCCUUCGCCGAUACCGUUGAGCUUGUGUGCUUGGAGAGGUGUAUCACUGGAUUUUCUCUUAUUUGGACUUCAUAUUUUGCACUGGCAUCGAAUGUUGUUAUCUUUGUUUGGAGGAUUUGUUUGAACACGAAAAAAAUUUCUUUGCUCUUGUAGUUCUACAAACUAUGUAGAUUUUUGCUAGUUAGGCAUUUGUUAAUUAUAAGUCUAUUACUGUUAAGGGUACAUUUUGAGUGAUUCUCUACUUACGCCUUCUUCUUGGUUGUUAUUUUCCAUUUUGGCAAUCCUAGUGCCUAUAAAAGAAUCUGAUUUGCUUCUUAAGAUGUAGUCUAUGUUGUUUUGUGGCGGCGCGUGCGCUUUUGUUGAUUUGCCUGGAUGAGUUGGGGGUUUAUAUGAUUUGACUUUAGUCCAUCCUAUUUGGGUUUGUUUGAACAAUUCCAAUUUGGUUUGGGUACAUGGUAGAAUCGAUAUUUACCUUAUAAGAGUAAUGGAUUCUUCGUAGGAAUUUGAUCCGCUUGAUGUUCAUUGGGAUUUAAUCACAUUCGAGUCAUAAGAGAUGGGAAUGGACUCUGGUGUAUCUUUUUCUUUUUGUUUGUAGUUGUCUUUUUCUAUUUAUGCAUUACAUGGCUUUUCAUAUUGAGUGCAUAUACUUACGGUUGCUGUACAAGAGCAAGAAGGGAGCAGAAGAGGAUGAAGCUGUGUGUUAUACGGCUCGCUAUCUGCUAGCCCAGAAUCCAUGGAACCCAAGAGGGAAGGUCAAGUUCUUUGGAACUUCAAGCUUCGCGACGACUGCAUUUGCUCUUCCUAUUCUCUUCGCAUCUAGCACCACAAGGUAGCAUAUCCGCUCCGACACUGCAUACUGCACCAGAUAAUACAACUCGGCUGUUAGAAAGUUGUAACACCGAAAGGAUGUUGCUUAAGAAUCUUUACAGUUCAUGGUUUCCCAACAGCUUUAUCUUCAGCCGUGUACUCUAAAAGCUUAAAAGCUUUGUAGAGUCCGUGUGUGUGUUUGUGUGGGCAUUAAGUGCAUGUUCUGCUAAACCAACUUGGUUUAGCAGCAAAGCUAGAUGCAGCAUUAGUAAAACAACUAUAGUGCUUGUGUUGAGUUUUCCAAACUCAACUUUGCGUCCCGCACCAAAGUCAUGAGGCCAAGCUAGGCCACUAUGACUUCAUGAAACCCGCCCUUAAGCUUCGACAUGCGCAGAAAUUUGUUCAUCUUACCUCAACAACUAGAACAUAACCGUCGUCCUCCUUGACGCCUCUCUGAAUAAAUAUGGGCUCUCCGAUGAACGACCGGCUCGUGGUGGACCAUGUAGAUACAGAUCCAUCUGAUGUAUUAAGCUUUACCACGCUGUCGAACGGAAAAUGCGGCAGGAAUCUUCGGCUGCCUGAUGUUGCCGCCGCAUAAACAAAGGUAUUCUUUCUGUUGGAGAAGUCCGGAUUGAUCGCCGGGAAGUCUGCCGGCCUAUUCCAUUGCUCUGAAAGAUCGGUAAUCGAACAGCACCGAAUAUUUCCGCUUGAAUCGAUAUCAAUUUUCAUCUGCAAGUGCACGCACAAUUUCGACAGAAUUGAGAUGACAACUAAGGCUAAUGGUCUUGUAGCGCAUAUCUAGGAAUAUAACACAGUUGAGAGACUCUGUAAUAUAUUUACUUUAUUUUUCAGAUCCUGGUAUGAUUUCUUAUGCAGGUUUUCAUGAAUACCUUGAUCAGGUGGGGUAGCAAUUUCUCCUUUCCUUCUGCAACAUUCAUGAAAGAGGGAUCCAGCUUUCCACUUCUCCAGUUGUACCCUACAAAUUGAUUAAAGUCCCAAAACAUUAGAUGUAAACAAUGGAAUAAUGUACAAACUUAAAUGUAUACAUACCAAACAUUCUCUGGAAAUUGAACCAUUGGUAGGAGCAAACUGAGACCUGCAGUUGCACUUCCAGGUUGCCGUCACCGUCUCUCUCCUCGAAGGCGUUGCCGAUGUGCAUGCCCCAUAGCUGUGACGGAGCUUCGACAGGAACUCUCCAGUCGCGCUUUGUGAUAUUCGUCUCGCCCGCAGAGAAGCGAGGUAGCACGUAAAUUGGCGUCGAUGGUUGGCUCGGGUUCACGGAGAGCGCUGAUAUCAUGGGAUGGAGCCCUGAUACUGCAAGAAGCGAUCCUGUAAUUCGUGUGUAGAGUUCUAUUAGAAUAAAUGAGUUUGAGAUUUCAGAGAGUCCAAACUCCAAAACCAGUGAUCAAGGCUAGGAUGAAUUGUUUCGAGCCUAAGAAUGAAAUUGUUAAAGUGCCUCGUGAUUACUUGAACAACUUUUCCAUUUUGAAAGCUAGUAAUAUUUAAGCGUUUCACAAAUCCUACGAUCAUAUAUUAAUAAAAUUGUGUGUUAGUACUUUUUGGGAUAUUUCUAUUCAGUUUUAUGCAUAUGCUUCAUACAAAAUUGAAUGGGACCACGAGAUCAUUUGUAUAAUGGGAACUUACCGGGGACGUCAACUUUGAUGCGAUUGCCAAUUAAUAUAUAGUGGCUAUCGGUGAAGGCCCAGUCGUGAAUCAUCAACUGAUCCGGGAUGACGAACUCUUUCUUUUGCUUCAGCUCAAAAUUACAAUCAAAUUCUACAUCCAAAAAAAAAAAAGGAAAAAACAUAAUAUACUCAGCUUAUAAGGAAGGAGUAGUUAAUUGCUCGAGCUCUUGAAUAUGAAUGACCAUGUGGCCAAUUAUAGAGAAAAAACAAUAACAAUAUCCAUUAUAAAUUAAUGAAUGAGAAUCUAGUUGAUUUGUAGAGCAAUUAAAUUACCGUAGAAAGUGAAGUGGGAGCGAGGGAGGAGCAUGUCCUCAGCAUUGCAGGAAAGCAGCAAGAGCCUGUUCCUUUUGGGGUCGAUCUUGUAGUGCGCUAGCAACCUCUUUUGUGGCAUGUUGAACACCCCUGCGCGCCCCACACACCAUAUAUCUUGCACGUCAAUUACACACUGGUUUGUACUUUAAAACAACAGCAACAUAGUUCGCAAUAGAAUAUUGACAAAUAAAUAUGCAGUUUAAACUUCUAAAAAAUAAAUGAUAAAUAUUAAUUGUAACUGCAUGAUGAUCGAUCUUCUUACUCACCGCCGAGGAUAGGCUUCAGCAAAUGAGCCGCCACGUCCAACCCCACCUCCGACAAUCCGCCACCCCGCCUUUUCCACCACCCCCGGCCACCAGCAUCGUCCUCGACCGUCCGAAUCGACAGCUCCCACCGUCUCCAGCGUCCGCGGAUCGACCUCGUACGGGUCCCCUCCCUCCCACAGACACAGCACGCGCCCCGACCACCGCAGCACGCUCGUGUUCGCCACGUUCUUCAUCACCUUCACGUUUCCCACGCGCUUCCCUCCCCUCAGCACCGAGAAGGGCCCUCGGUGCGUGAACCGCCACGCGCUCCCCGCCCCGCGGCGCUCCUCCCGCUGCGCCAUGGUCGCCACGUACCUGGCGGAGUAGUAGACCCCGCCGCCUACGCGGAAAUCGAAUGCGCGGAGGUAUCCGUGGCCGUCGAGGGGGUGGACGGUGGAGCCGUGAUCAUCAGAGAAGAGACCGGGUCCGGCGAGGUAGUAGGUGCCGGCGGGGAAAUCAGCGGGGAGCGAGCCCUCGGCGAGGCGGAGGGGGAUCGGGUCGGGGGAUUCGCACCGCUGGGAGGCGAAAAGGAGGUUGUAGUCCCAAAAGGCGGUGGCCGGGGAAUCGGUGAUCGUCGUCGUCGUCGGGACCGUCGGGGAGAUCGUGGUAGAGGCGGCGGAAGUGACGCGGAGGGACGAGGGUGAGGCCACGGCCGAGGCCGAGGAGGAUGGGAGGUGUUUGGGGUACGUUUUCGGUGGACGAGGAGGAGGAGGAAGAGGGAGGAGAUGGUGGUGAGGAAGAGAAUCCAUUCCUUUUCCUUCGUUUUUAUUAUUUUUUUUCUUUUUGUAUUUUUGGGUAGAGUCGUGGAGAGGGGGGUUUUAUGAACGGUUGUGGGGGGUUUUUGGAGGGUUUUGGCGGGGAAUCGUUGUAGAAGGGAGUGGAAUCCAAAAGGUUAGGCGGUUCUUUGUUCGCUUAUAUAGGAGAAAGUUAGGGGCUUUGACGCAAAUGUUGUGGAGAAUUACUAAAAUGCCAUUAGAUUCAUUGGUGCCGUUUCGGAAUCUUGGAGCUUGAUGUACGAUCGGUUGUUGGUUUCGCAGGUUGGUUCUCAAAUUCUAGAACUGUUUUUAGGAAUGUUCAUCUUAAUGGUUUUUUCUUUUUUUUGAUGAUUUCCAAGAAGAAGUUCAUUUUCAUCCAAAAAUUUAUCUUUUUCACAUCAACCUUGUUGCACUUUUACUCUUUUUUUUUAAUAUAAAAAUGAUAUCCCCAAUGCUUUUAGACACUAAACUUGGUGAAUAUUAUUGACAAAACAAAAGUUACAGUGCAAUUUUUCUCUUAUGGAAAGUUUAUCUAUUCUUUUGGGUAACAUCUUUCUAUCGUCUCUUCUUGGCAAAAUUACUUGCUUACACACUCUGCGUUAAAUAAUUUUCUCGUUCUUAAAUGAUGUAUUUGUAGCUCUGUACUUGAUUUAUUUUUAUUUGAUGCAAAGCCUGUGGGUUAUAAAUAAUUUUUUUUAUAAAAAAUGGUUGAGCUAGAGAUAUUUGAACUCCUGUAAGCUCUGUUUUGUGGAGAACAAGUGGGUCCCGUUACAAUGAUGAACAUUAAUUUUACCCAACAGCCAAGGGGAAAAAGUUUAUAAUUUAUUAAUUCAUAAUGGAGCAAUUAGUGGGGUCACUAACGAGUAACGGUCGGUGCACCUCUUUUUUUUUUUUUGGCCCUUUUUCAUGUGAGCCAUAUUGUCCAUACAUCUUGUACAAAAAUAUAAGAUUUAUAUUUACAAAUCUCUUGUAGUCCAUAUUAAUUCAUUUAUCUUAUUAUUAUUAUUAUUAUUAUUAUUGUUAUUAUUAUUAUUAUUACUAAAGUUUUAAACGAUUAUAUAUUUUUUAGAUUAACAUUUUAUAUUUCUCUAUAAAAAGUAUACCGAUAACACUUCUUUUUCUUUUGCCUCUUUUCAAUAGAAGGACGUGCACUCAGGAUGAACAAAUUUGGGCAAUACUAAAUUGUUGUAACAUGGAGGGACACUGUUGGAUAAAUAGUAUUCAUACUCGGUGAGAAUUAUCGUGACUGUGUUGUGAGAUGUAUUAUGUAACAUUUACACCAUAUCAUUACAAACCAAUCAAUCAUUUUUAAAAAAAUAAAUAAAUAAAUUUUUUUUACUAAUAACUAUCAUGCGGCUGAAUAUAGCCGGUGUAUUUAAAAAAAAAAUAUUCUGUGUGAUGGGAUGCUGCAGGAAAUAUGACAAAAUUUGGGCCCAUGCUGAGGUGCUAGGGUUAUUUGCAAGGUCAACUAUUCUCUCAACUCAGUUUGAAAAUUACUAGUUCAUUUCGAAUCAGUUUUGAGAUUUUAAAUUCAAUAGCAGACCAAGCAUGUCUCCUAUGAUAAAAUUACAAACAAAGCAAGUAAAUUAGAAGCCAUGCCAACUUGUUACAUGAUAGAUAUACUUACAGAUUUAGACCAGAAAACUUAGGCGUCGGGAGAUGCAUGAGGCCACGGGUUUUUUUUGCCGGCCAUUCAAAGUGUCCAGAAGAAGCAAAGAGGACAACAGUGUACUCUCCAUUUAGAAGUGCACCAAGCAACAAGAAUAGUGAGUGCAUCAACAAAUUGUUACAUGCCAAACAAAGCAAUGUUUAACAUAGACAAGGAUAAUGCUACGCCCACUCCAAAAAAGAUUCACAUAGAAUCUAUACUCUUUAUAGGUAGUGUACCAGAAUUCGUGUUGAAAUUCUCCUUUUACCAAUUUCUAGAAACGAAUUUAGCAUUACCAGUUCGAGAAAAGCAUGAAACAAUAAUUACAAGCAUGUCGGCCAAAAUCAAGAUACAUUUAAUGAGUGCUUGUAGUCCAUAUAGCAUCCAACUGUUUCCCUACACACGGACUGUUGAAAAAGAAUGAAACAUCUUUUCAUUUUAGCAUCCAGUAUGUUGAACAAGCACACAGUAGGACAAUAAUUUUUGAACUAAGCAGUGCGUUUUUAACUACUUGCUGACAAAAUGUGAAAUGAAUGUAAAAUUGCAUGAGAUAUGUAAUAAUAUUCUAGAUCUGAUUCACUCCCAAACAAUUCAUACCUCUCAAACCAUUCUCCACGCAAACAAAAAAAACAUCAAAUCUAACAUUGCAUCCUGUCCGAAAUAUCUAACAUUCAAUACCCCAAAGGAAAAGGAUCCACAAUAUGGAGAUAGCAAUCAAUAAUAAGAAGCAUUUGAUACUGUAAACUGUUCCAGAUCAUCAUGAGAUUACAGUGAAAGGGCAGUAUUCCACUAGCAAACCACACAAGCUGUAUUGUUUUUAAUGAAAUGUGUUACAUCUGGAGUGUAGAUCACUUCAAAUCUUAUCAUUCACCACUAAUUUCUUUCAUCUACUUUUUUCUUGACACUGCCUAUUAGAACACCUGUAGCACAAUAAAUAGGCCUACCAGAGACCUAUAAUUGAAGUUGGUAUUGCAAUUAAGCCCAGCGCAACAGGGCUUCUGGAACCCAUGUAUGACCUCAGCUGGAAGAACUUUACCGCACUGAGCGAAAAACAAAAAAAAAAGAAAGUUAAAGGGGUAAAAAAGAGAACGUUUCCUAGACCAAGGAGGCAAACUUUAGAUCAUUGAGAGAUAAAUAUAAAAUAAAAGAGUCCAUAUGCUGCAGUUUCGUCGGCCAGCUCUACCUAUAUUGGCAAAAUUUUUUGAGAGAAAGGUAGCAUGCUAUCCGCUUCGUUCAAUUUUUUAAAGAAUGAACUUAGCCAGAAUGUGAAGCAACUAGGUUUCGAAUUUAAGACCUCGAAUAGCAACCACCAAACCUUUUGCUACUUGCGCUAGGGGCAGUCAGUCCCUACCUAUGUUGGCGAAACUGAUGGAGGAAUUUGAAAGAUAUGCAAGUAUCUAUGCACCUAUAAUAGCAAAACAGUUUCUUAGAAAUAUUUUUCUCCUCCACUAUGUGGCAAACCAAUGUCACAAAUAUUGUACAACAGUUAAAACAGACUAAACUAAAGAAAACAUUCAUCUAAUAUAGCCAUUCCAUUUGCUAGAAGCCUAGAAUAACCUAUAGAAGCAUGACUUUUACAGAUGGAACAAUUGGGAUAUCUUAAAAGUAUUCUGUGGUUCUAGCCUUAAUAUUCCAAAUGCAGAAGCCAAUUCAACGUUCCAGGAAAGCUUGAAAAUACUCAAAACUUCAUGAACCCUGAAAAGUCAGACCACAAGAUGUUAUGUCUUCAACCUUUUUUUUUUGCAUGAUCGGAAUAAGAUUGUAAACAAAUGAAUGAAGUAAGAUUUUACUAAAAGAAAUCACCAAAUAGAAAGCUUUCAAUGGCUCAUACUCUCAUAAUGCAGAACAUCGGAAUUCAAAAGUCGGACAAGGAAAAGACUUCGACAACCAAUAACCAGGAAAGGCACUUGAACCGUUUCAUUUUCUUUAAACCCAAAACAAAGGUGAAACCAGUGAAGUAAAUUAAUAAGACACUUCUUAACAGUUCAAGUUCCUCGGAAAAGCGCUCUCUGUCUAUGAGAAUUAAACUUACCUCGAUAUUACCAUGGUUGUUUGAGAUUUGGACCUAAAACAAUUGAUGAUGAAAGAACAAUGUUGGUGAUCAAAACAACAUGCCCUCAAAGGACCUAUAACAGUUUAAUUCUCAUGGACAGAACACUCUAAAGCGAAUGAAUCCAGUUUCCUGAUGUUUAUUGAAGAAGAACAAGAAAUCACAGCUAAAAGAUUAUGAUAAAAUAUAAAUGGAUUGUAAUCAAACUAUAAAGGACAUAAUAUUUUCCCAAUGUUUAUCAAAACAACAAGGUACUCAACAUGCAUUCAAAAGCUUUGCAAAGGCUACAGCUUUACAAUCAGAAGAGAAGUGCUGGUUACACACAAAAUGCAGAAUACAUCCCAUUUGAAGCACGCACCGCAUCAAAUUACAUCCAAAUAGGGACGAGAAGCAACACCUAAAGUUCAUGGCAAAACACAGAGAGUAGAUAUAACUAAAUUGAAAAUACAACAGGUUACUUCACAGUCAAAACUUCGAGCGCCCUCAAUUCAUGUAAAAACUUGUUGAUAAAUUAAACCAAGCUAGGUCAAAACUUACCGCCCCCUUUAAAAUGUCGCAAUUCAACCGGUGAUCAUGGUUCCAGCACCUUCGUCGGUUAGGAUCUCGAGGAGAAGCGAGUGCGGGAGCCGGCCAUCGAUAAUGCUAGCCGUGCGAACCCCUUGAGCAAGGGCCCUAAUGCAGCAAUUAACCUUUGGUAUCAUCCCCCCCGCCACCUUCCCCUCCUUUAUCAUGUUCCUUAUUCCACUUAUGUCGAUCUCCUUAACAAGGCUUCCGGGAUCGUCGCGGUCCGCAAGGAUCCCGGGCACAUCUGUGAGCAGGAUCAGCUUCUCCGCGGCGACAGCGGCGGCGAUCUCUCCGGCGACCGUGUCGGCAUUGAUGUUGUAGGUCUGGCCGGCCUCGUCUGCGGCAACGGUGGCGAUCACGGGGAUGUAGGCGUCGCCGAUGAUCGGACGGAGGACGGCGGGGUCCACGCGCGCGACCUCGCCCACGAACCCUAGCGCGGCGGCGUCGGGGGUGGGACGCGCGGUGAUGAGGCGAGCGUCCUUGCCGCAGAGGCCGACGGCGGUGGCGCCCUCGGCGUUGAGGAGGGAGACGAGGGACUUGUUCACCUUGCCGACGAGGACCAUCUCGACGACCUCCAUGGUUUGGGCGUCGGUGACGCGGAGGCCGUUGUGGAACUGGGGCUCGACGCCGACGCGGAGGAGCCACUCGUUGAUCUCGGGGCCGCCGCCGUGGACGAGGACGAGGCGGAGGCCGACGCAGGAGAGGAGGACGAGGUCCUUCACCACCGACUUCUGGAGCGCCUCCGACUUCAUGGCGGCGCCGCCGUACUUCACCACGAUCGUCUUCCCGCGGAACCGCUGGAUGAAGGGGAGCGACUCCGAGAGCACGUCCACGCGCGGCUGAGGCGGCGUUUGAAGCGCCUGCACCGGCGCCGGCGCCGGCGCCGCGGCGGUCAACGCGGCGGCGCCGGAGCGCGGGGGCCGAAGACGGGUGGUGGAUAGGAAACCACGGCUAGGGUUAGGGUUAGGGUUAGGGUUAGCGUUUUGGAGGGGAUUCGAGAGGGAGAGGGGAGGAGUGUGGGUUCUCGCGAGGAGCAUCUUCUUCCUUUGCCCUCGUGCGCCGCUCUCAAAGUGUUCGACUGAUUUACCGAGUAGCGCAGCGGAAACAAAGCAGUCCAGUUCACAAUAGUUGAUUGUUUAUUAGGCUUCACUGGGGUUUUGCAUAUAAGAGAAAAUGCAUUAUACAUUAUAAAAGAUUUAUAAAAUAUUUCUUUAUUUAUUUUUGUAAAUAAUAAUUUUCACAUAAAUAAACUGCACUAAUUUUGUUGACAUAUAAUUUCUAAAUCCAUAUCCAUAUCCAUACUUACUAUUAAAAGACUCCCUUCUUUCCUGAAAAUGCCAUCGAUCGAUUUAUAACAUAAUGUCAAUCAUCUCCUAGUAAUAUCCGAAUUUAUGUUAUUUGAUAAAUAUCACAUAAUUAUCAAAUAUUUUUAUUAUUUUUAAAAUUUUUGAUAUUAUAUAAUAAUUUUAAAUUGUUGUAUAUUAUCCCACGUUCAAAAAAAGUCUCUGUUUUUGGAUGAUGUUAAUAUUAUUAUGCCAUUAUGAUAAGCAAAAUAACUUGUAUAGCAUGUUGCAUGUUUUCCUAAAAGCUUCUACGGUUUUUUUUUUGAUAUUCUCGCCUAUUCAUAAAAGAGGGAGUUUUCUUCUCCUUUUGUUCUCAAAGUGUCCUUUAUUACUUAUGAUAUACUGUUAAUCAUCUCUUAACAACAUCUGGCCAUUAUUUAUUUGAUAAAUAUCAUAUAAUUAAUAAACAUUUUUAUUAUUUUCUAAAUUAAUAUUAUAUAAAAAUUUUAAACAGUUGGAUAUUAUCCAACGAACAAAUAAUAAAGUAUUUAUUUUUUUUUUUAACGAUAUUGCUCUGCUAUAUGAUAAGCAAAAUAUCCUCUAUAAUAAAAGAGAAAGUUUUCUUUCCCUUUCUAGAUCAUUUAGAAUUUUUUCGCGAUGCCAUUUUUAAGAAUAUUUUUCUUUACUUCUUAAAGGAUUUUAUUAUUGUUUGGUUUUUAAAUUUUUAUGAGACUCAAUCCACAUCUAUAAGAAGUUUAUUUUUUUUCAAAAAAAAAAUGAAAGCUACACGUUUAGGUUUCCAAACAUUUUAAAUAGUAUAUAUUAUAUUUUAAAUAUUUUAUGUAACGUGCAUUAUGCCUGUGUACUUAGAUAGUCACUAUAAAAUAUAGAAGUAUGUCAGACUUUCCUCAACUCUAUUUGGCCAAACAACUGUAGAUCACCAAAUAUACCUUAUUAAAAAUUACCUAAUGCUAUAGGUCUCAAAAAUAAUGACCAAAAAUGUAAAAAUAUAUUUAUCCAGUGGUGGGACUAUUGAUAUUAUAUUUUCAUCUAAACAACGUUAUUUUUUUUGAGAAAAGGUAGCACGCUACCUGUUUUAUUCAUUGAAAAUAUGAAUUAGGCUACAUGGGUGAGGCAGCCAGGGCCUCGAAGGAGGGGCGCGAAAAAAAAAAAAAAAAAACCGGUAUGGUAGGACGUCUAGCAAUUUAUGCACAUAGCUCCCAGGAUUUCAGCAGCUCCUUAAAUUUGUACACCGUCACGUAAACAACGUUAUUUUAGUUACAAUAUAAUAAUUUUUUAUAUGAAAAAAAAAAUUCAGACCUGUUGCAGCAGAUCGCAAAUGUAGAAAGUUGACCUCAUCCAAUUAAUCUAAAAUUUUUAUUUAUUGAAAACAAAGUGCAACAUUUAGGUUUUUGUUGUUUUUUAUUUUUUUUUGGGUUUAUAUUUCUAUGCUAACUCCUAAUCUAGAUUACUUUGCUGGGCCGAGCACAUAAGCCCAUGCAUAAUCCAACUCACAACCAGCCCAUUAGGAUUCUUCUUCCACCGUGCACGUGCUAAACAUGUGACACUGACCAGUUCCCUCCCUCGAUGACGAUUUUACCCCUGGUUCACGGCAAAAGGAGAUUCGCCUCCUCUCCCGUGCUCGCACUCGCAUGAUCCCAACUAUUAUUCUCUACCCUCUCCGCUCUCAUCUCAGCUGCUCGUUUUUUCCCCCAACUCCGAAACCCACCCACCUCUCUCUCUCUCUCUCUCUCUCUCUCUCUAACCCUCUCCGAAGCAUAACAAAACCCUUCUCUCCCCUCCCUACUCUAUCCGAUCGAAACCUUAAAUAGCAGUAAAGAUCGGUUCUUGCCCUAAAAUAAUCGCAACCGGGGCUCUUACCUCUGGCCCUAGAUUUCCGUGGCUCGAUUAUCCCCUAAUUUUUCUUUUUUCCAAUUCUUUUGCUGAUCCGCGGUUUGGGAGUGGAGUAUCUGCCUUUGGAUCUGCGGUUUUAAUCUGAUUUUGGUUAUACGGUCGCAAUUUGGUUGCGUUUCCGAGCUCACAUGGCUGGAGCGAUUGGUUAGGGUUUCUGUGUUCUCAGGAGAUAGGGCCAUGGGGAGCACUGGAGAGCCGGAUAGGAAGCGGCGCCACUUCAGCUCCAUCUCCCCCACGGCUGGUGCGGCCGCGAAGAAGCAGCCACUCCCUCCUUUUUCGGAGGAUAAGAAGGUAUGAUCACUCUCUGCUUUCUUGAAUUCGCGCUAGUAGAUGAUAUUUGGGAUCGUUGAAAUUUGUCGUUUGUUGUUGCCAAUGCUCGUAUUCCUGGCGGAUUUAUCCUUAUGUUGAUCGAUUGUGCAAUUUUUAGGGUUUUGGGCGAUCCUAAUUUUGGGUAUAGGCCGUGUAUCUGGUGGUUUGAUGUUUUAUAUCCCCUGCUCUCAUGUUGUCAGGAAAGUAAUUUGGUUAUACAUCAUUUAAGAAAGAAGAAAGCUUGCUAGGGCCAAAAAAGAAUCGAACUUUACUGGAAAAUAAGGUUAACCGAUGAUACUAGAGUGCUUCUGUUUACCAUAGUAGAAAAAAGGUAAUUCAUAAUAAUAGUUAAGUUUCUUUUUCUUGGACAAAUUUUGUGUCCCUUACCUACUCUGCUUAAGUCUGCAAAUCAGAGAUCAGCUGCUGUCGUGAUAAAUGCUAGUCAUAUCACAUUCGAGAAUGAUCUUCCAAAGGAAAAUCCGUCCGAGAAAUGCCUAAUUAUUAUGAAUGAUUUGCAGGAAAUAAUCGGAAGAAAGCAAAGUAAUCCGUCUAUAAGAAAAUAGAGUAUCAUUCUAGUUCUAGGGUAUAGUUCUUGAGCUUUCCUACGGUGAUUUAUGUAAGGUCUAUUACUCUGGAAUUUCUGUAAUAUCGCAAGCUAGGAAUUGGCUCCGGAAAGGAGGAAGCACGCCUAUCCUAUUACAGAAAUUCCAGAGUAAACUCCUUGUUUUGUGGGUAAGUUUUUUGUCAGUGUCUGAAUCUGCAUAUACAUGUUUAGCGACAAAUUUGACGUUUUUUUGUAAGUUCAUCGUAUGUUCACUAGAACAGCUACUUCAUUGGCAUUUAUUUAUUUUUCACAAAUUUCCAUUAUACUUAUCUAAUGUGCAUGUAUUCCUUUGUUUCUUUGAUUUUUCCCAGCUUGAUGUUGCUGUGCUUAAAUACAAAAAUCAAAAGCUUGUUGAACAAGUAGAAGCCCAGAAAGUCGAGUACCUUGUUCUUGAGGAUAAAUUGAAUCAGCUAAAAGAGAAACAGAAGACGUACACCGGCACGUUAACCGUGGUUAAUGAGUCUUGGGACCGGGUAAUUCUUCUCGUAUGUAAUUUGAAAUAUCCAUUGAACCUUGUCUAAAGUAUUAAAAUUAUUCUCUUUUUGUUUGACAGCUUGUCAGUGAUUUGGAGUCAAUUUCUGUUUGCACAAGCGGCUCUUCAAAUCAUGGACGUGAUUUAAGGCAUAAUAAUAUACACGACGGUGAGACACUUAAACAAUUUCUGUCUUUUUAUGGAGUUUGCACUAUUUGGUUUAUAUUUUAUACUGCUUUUCUAAAACAAAUUCUAAAACCCGACUUUCAGAGUAGCUUUCUCUACUCGACUUCAAACACAGAAGUUUGAUUGCUAUAAAAUGAAUUUCAUCUGUGUAGGAAUUUAAUUUUGGAUGUGUGCAGUUGCAUGCAUUGAUAGGAAACAGAAUGCAUAUCUAUUUGAAGUCUUCUGCUUAAUGUAAUCUCAGUUUUUUAUGUGUUAGUCUUAUUCGACUGCUAUUUGGUUUCGUAGUAGUACAGUAGACUGGAAAAGCAGGGUUAAACAGGAAUUAUUUUUAAAGCAAGUAUUAUGCUUCUUUAUGAAGCUCCUACCUUGUAAUCUUGAACUAAGUUUUGAUGCAACAUAAUAUUUUUUCAAUGUUAUCUUUGUGUCUUGUUCUUUUCUAACUGUUUGAUUGACGCUUAAGGUUUACUACUGAUCUCUUUUUCAGAUGGAGUGUCCUCGGCAGCAAAGGAGGAUUUUUUAAACAGACUCCUAGAAACAGGUGCUACUGAAAGUUCAGGAUGUAUAUCGCCUAGUCACACAGAAAAUGACAUAAGAACAUUGCAGUCAUCAUCAAAGAACAUCUUCAGGAAUGUUAUGUCAUUGUCCAAUGGUGUGUGGCAUUCAAAUAGGGAGCUGGCUUCCGCUCUUCUGGUAGCUCUACCAGAAGAUGGUAUGAUAUUAAUUCAUUUCUUAUUCAUGUCUUUUUAAUACUUUCUUUUUGAUUUCGUACUUUACCAAGUUUCUUACCUUUUGUUUUAUUCUCUUUUUUUUGGGUUGUGCAGACCCCAGCAAACAACUGCAGAAUAAUACGAAAGACCUCCUGGCAGAACUUAAUAAUAUUCUAGUAUCUGUAGAUGAUCUUCAUUUAAAGCACAGGCAAUUGGCAGAGAAGUUUCAGGACCAUAGAGAUGUGAAUGCUCGCAAUAAGGCUGAACACAAGCGAUUACGAGGUAUAUUAUAUAAAUCUUACCUUUGAAGUUUAUUUGUCCUGAAGAUUCAUGUGUAGAUAUGCUUACCUGAAUAAUAUGUGGCCUUCUACUCAACUUUCUACAUGUUAGAACUUGUGAAAGAGUCUACAGUAAGGCCGUUGGAUAUGUUCAAUCAUAUUUGAUUAAGAAUGGUGCCAACUAUUUGAUAACUUGUUCUCUUGAAACCUUUUUGAUCAUACCACCAUUUGCAUUGGAUGCAGUGCAUGUGCACAUUUGCUGUCAAAUUAAUUUCUAAUACUCUAGAAUGGUUGAUUGGUAGCAUCUUCUAGAGCGCUCACACAUUAUGCAUACUUUGUGCCAUUGACAUUUUUCUCUUAUUACUUUGUCUAGAGGAGUUGGCAAGUACUGUUGCUGAGUUGGAAGAAAGCAAUCGUAAACUGGCUAUCCUUAGGGCAGAAAAAGAUCCAAGCCAAGGCACUCCUUUGCUUUUUCCUACCUUAGGAAAUAAGCAUGCUGCUGGAGAUAAGACCAGAGAUAAGCAAAAAGAACUGCAAGAUCUGGAGGCUACUUUGAAGGAAUUGAUGGUAAUUGAUAUAAAAAAACCUGACAUUUAUAUGCUUGCGGUAUCUUAUAAUUUAGUGCAAAUUUUAUGUUUUUCCUCCCUUUUUGACCAGGAUUUACAUUCAAAACGAUUAGUUGAAAUUAAAAAUUUGCACGAAGAGAGAAUUGCAAUUCUGAAAAAGUUAGCAUGUUUUCAGGUUCGUUUAUCUUUCUUCUUAUCCAAGUUUUUUUAUUUGUUAUAAUGCUUCUUUCCCGCUUAGAAGGAUUUAUUGUACACAAUAUAUGAUUACCAGAAUACUUUGAUGGAUAUCAAGAGUAUAUCUUCAUCCAAAGCUUUCCAGCUACUGAAUGAUCAAUUGCAAAAGUCAAAAGUUGAAAUGGACCAAUAUCAGACAUCAUUGGAGAAAUUACAGGUGGUUACUGGUCAGUAGAUAUAUUAGCUUAUAUUAAUGGGAUGUUUUAGUGACUCAUUUUGUUGUGCUGAUGUUCUUUUUUCAAAUUUCUUUAUUUUAGGUUGAAAAGGACAACUUCAUUUGGCAUGAAAGAGAAGUGAAUAUGAAAGUUGAUCUAGCUGAUAUUUCUCAAAGAGUCGCAGCAUAUUCUGAGUCCAAACUUGCGGAGUUAGAGAAAGGAAUACAAAAUCUAGCUGAUGAAAAGAUUUUGAUGGAGACCAAGCUUGAGGAGGCUUCUAGAGAACAAGGUAUUUUUGCUUAGUUGUUAGCUUCUACUCCAGAGCCUAUUUUCCUUUCAUUUAGCUAUUUACUAAUCUCUUUUGAGGAGCAAAUUUACUUUUCAGGUAGGAAGCAAGUCAUCUCGGAGUUCAAAGCACUUGUAGCAUCACUACCUAAGGACAUGGGUAUUAUGCAAAGUAAAAUUACUAAAUAUAAGGAAGCUGCCUCAGAUCUGCAUUCUUUGCGAGCAGAAGUACAAUCUCUUUCUACUAUGUUGAGCCGGAAGGUAAGAUUUGGGUGAGAGGCGAUACUCAAAACUAUUUACUUCUAUAUCAGUUCGCCUCAAUAGGCCCAAGGAAGGAGUCAAACCAUUUCUUUUACACAGGAAAUUGAAUUGGCAUCUUUAUCUGGGAGAUCUGCUAACAGCAUCUCUGAAGUGAAGAGAUUGCAAGAUGCUGUACUCUCUCUCUCUCUCUCUCUCUCUCUCUCUCUCUCUCUCUCUCUAAAUGAAAAAUUGGAAUUAUUUAAAAACUUUAAAAUUUUAAAUUAUUAAAUCUUUUCUUUUACACUGUAUCAUAAUUUUUUUAUUUGUAAUAUUAAAUUAUUGUUUUAACGACCUUAUCAAACUACAUUGUACAAUAUCUUAUCAUAAGUUUCUCCAUUUGAGAAAAAAAAUUUACAUGCAUAUGCUAUAAUCAUGACUUGAUUUUUCAGUCAAUCUUGAAUUCCCCAGUGAUAAUUGUCUUACAUACUUUUCAAAUAAAGAAAAGUAAAUGAUCUAUAAUUUUUAUAACCUUCGAAUUUGAAAUAAACGAUCUUCUUAUUUAGAUAUGCUAUUUUGUGGCUAAGACAUGGAGGAUUUGCUUGGUAGGAAUGCUUUCCAGUCGAUUCUAACUAGUGGGAUUGGCUUCCAGUGUACAGUUAUACAUGCUAACAAAUACUACAUGAUUCUAGAAAAUGUAGUGUUUCUUCAGCAUACUAUUUCAUGAAAAAUAAUCUGUGAGAUAUUCAUGCCUUUUCUUUCAACUAUGCGAGACUUUUAAGCGAGGCUGCUCUCUAGUCAUAUAUGAUGGAUAGUUGAUUUGGGCCUUGGGGUGGCUAGCAUAUUUAGGGUGCUAUCAAUCUAGUUUUAUUCAAGUGUAACUUUUCUUGCCAGCCAAUAUCAGCUGUCCCUGCAUUGAGUUGAUACUAUGACAAAAUCCUUGCCACUUUUUUCCUUUUUUUUUUCUUUUUUCUUUUUUUUUUUGUUGAUGCUAGUUUUAGCUUCACUUUUAUAUCUCCUUUCGUGGUAUUUGUCUUGCAUUUUUUUUUCCCUCCCCAUGUCUAUGGUUUCUUCUUAUGCAUGAAGAUCAGGCCUUUUCCAUAAUAAUAGGUUGUCCCAUAAAGAUAAUAUUGUCCGGUUAUGAUGUCUUUUCUCUUUUUUUAAUUACAAAUUUGUAAUGUCAUCUCUUAUUAUUUUAGGUAUUGCUCUAAGAAUUGAAAAUUACAUUGACAAAAGAUGCAUGCUAGUUGCCUUUUUUUUCCCCUAAUGGUACACCUGGGGUAGUUGUCAAUUCAUUAUGCAUGAAGAGAAGAAUUAUAGUUGAAAAGUAUUAUAGUUGUUUAUAUUCCUUUAUGUACCUUCAUUGUAUGAGUAAUCAUCUUUUACAUGUUUGUGGCUGGCCUUUGCCUCUUUGCAUGUCAUUAUAUGCUGAAGCUGCUUAAUUGUAAACAGAAGCUUCUAAUUUUGCAGGUCCGAGAUAUCAGACAGACUAACAAGGAGCUGAAGCUAUUUCUGGAGAUGUAUAGACGUGAAUCAACAGAUUCCAGGUAGUAAGCUAUUAUCCUUUUUGUAUAAGCCAAUUGAAGCAUUUCAUAAUUUUGUUUCUUUUAGGACAGUUCUUCGAGAUUCUUUUUGGUAGACUGUAUUGCAGUUUGUUGAAUUAUGCUUGGAGCUCUGUGACACAUGCUCUGUGGUAAUUUCUGCUAGUUUAUUGUUUUGCUCAUGACAGUACAAUUUAUUGUGUGUCCUAUCUUAUUUUAUUUGCGCAGCUAUUUGAUGUUUACUGUUGAAUUGUAAGGAAAUAGUGCAUCAUAGUACAGGGAAGAAAAAUGUGUUUAUUUUUGUAUAUUGACUAGCAGUGGCUGACAUAAUGGGACGAGUCAGUUCAGAUUUCUGAUGACAGUAUACAGAGUGGUAAUGAACAGUUGCUAAUUUGGUGGAAUGUGUGAUUUGGCUGAAAAUUGACAACAAAAAUAAAUUUUUGCACUUGUCUUGUCAGUGUGAUGUACUUUGUUCUCACUGUUGUGUGAUGAGUCAUUAUUUUCUGAGAUGGCAACAUCCACAUUGUGUAGUGUGCUAUUAUAAUUAGUUAUGACUACUGCUGUACAGUCAUUUCGUAGGUGAAAUAGAGUGUUAUGUAGCAUAUAGGUGAUGUUCGAACACGAUGAUUUGGAGUCCUAAAUAAUAUGUCCAACCCUGUGUCUGCAUAAUGGUGGCAUAACUGACAUUGUGAAAGAAGCAUAAUUCCCCUGUGGUGUGCUGUAAUCUAUAGUUAGAUUCUUUUAUUUGUUUGUGGUUUGUUUUACUUGGUCGAAGAAGAGAGAGAGAAGGAGAGAAGUAUGGAUUUUAUCCAAAUAUGGCUAGUCAUGUCAUGGUUGUGUCUGUUUCAGUCAGUUUUGAUAUCAUAUCUACUAGAGAAUUUUCUGUUAAUUAAAUGACUAACAGAGUUUCAACAAUUAAUACUCUUGUUAUUAACUCUUUCAUUUUGUUUGUUUUGGAUUUUUUAUAGCGCCCUUAGGGAAAGUUCUCUCUAAAGCAAAAGCUGCUGCAAUUCCAUAAAAUUCUGCAAAUACUAUUCUCUUGGUUUGAUUUCCAGAUAUUUAGUAGGACCUUGGUCACCAUUUUAUUGGAAUCUAAAUUUGUUUCUUUGAGUUGACUCUAUGCUAGCGAUCAAUCGGAUUAUGUUUUCAUGGAAAGUUUUAUGGCUGAGGAGCGCUAGGUGAAAGGUCCGGUCAUUAGAUAGAAUCUGAGAACCUUCCCCUUCUCUUUACUGCUUCCUCACCACUCAAUAGAAUGACUUGUCAACUUUCAAGUUGAAUAGUUCUGCUAUGACUUGCUUUCUCGAGUGUAGAUGGUUGAUUUUAUAUUCUAAGUGCCUUUCACUGAAUUAGAGUUUUCAGUCUAUGUAAAAUCCAAGAUCAGUUAGUUAAUCUAAUCUUGCUGUUUGACUCAUAAGUGAGAAUUUUUGUCUUUUGAAUAUUGACAUCUUAUAUGACUGCUUCAGCUUAUGUGUCUUCAAGUUUAUCAUUCUUCUCUGCUUCCGGAUUUGCUGUAAAUAGUUUUAUCAUGGCAGGGAUGUAAUGGAAUCUCGAGAUAGAGAAUACAAGGCAUGGGCUGUUGUUCAGUGUCUUAAAUCCUCUCUAGAUGAACACAAAUUGGAGUUGCGUGUCAAAGAAGCCAAUGAAGCUGAAGCAGUAUCCCAGCAAAGAUUAGCUGCUGCUGAAGCUGAGAUUGCUGAAUUGAGACAGAAAUUGGAGGCUGCUGGAAGGUAUUUAACUAUUUUCUUCAGAAUUCAUAGGGAGUUCUCCAGUUGCUUUGCCUCAACUAAUAGUUACUUGUCUGUACGAUUUCUCAUUCUCAAAGGUGAAUCCUUAUAGAGUUGUUCACUUUUACCUUCUUUAAGAGUUAAGAGACUUUUUAUUUAAGAGAAUCCUGAUGAUAUGGCCAUUGUAUUCCUUCUACGCAGGGAUAUAUGUAGAUUUUCGGAGACUUUGGAAUCUAAACAUGAAGAAGGCAAUGCCUACCUAUCUGAAAUUGAGGUCUGAGUGUUCUUUCAUGAGAUAAUUUUAUGGCUAAAUAACAUGAACAAUCCCUGCACUUCACUAGAAUGACUAGUUGUAGGUCCAGGUCCCGAAUUUUGGGAUAAAUUUCUGAAAUUCACGGGAGACAUCAUUCUUCAUCAGAGCAUUCUAAAUUGUCAGCUUAGUGCGCAAAUUUACUUAACUCUUGGUUCUUUAUGGUUUAUAGAAUGCAUCUGAACUUUGCAAUGAUCUGAACUUUUGAACCUGUUUGAGAUAAGAGUGAAGUACAAAGUUGGAAUUGAAGCAAUUUGAAAUUGUAUGAGGGUAAUUGAGGUAGGGGUGAAAGUGCACUGGUGGUUUAUGUUGUUUGGCCUAAUUCUUUAUACAACAACUGUUAAGUAUUGUAAGUGUUCAGACUAUGCAUUGGUUUUUUUUUUUUUCCAGAGCAUUGGACAAGCAUAUGAAGAUAUGCAAACUCAGAAUCAACACUUGUUGCAACAAAUUACAGAGAGAGAUGAUUACAACAUAAAGGUACUUUUCUAGUGGAUGUUUCGGGUUUGUUAUGUAGUUUGCAAGUUGUUCAUUGUACAUCUAUGUGUUGCCAUGCUAUUAUAGCCAUCAUUGUGCUGACUGUUGAGUGGUUGAAAGAGAUACUUGUAUCUGAACUUGAGUGGUUAAAGGACAGUCAUAUGCUAAAGCAGUUAUAAAUUUGAUGGAAAUUGGAACCGAGCGGUUGAAAUUGGUAGAUUGCUAAUGCGGUGUAACUUUUUAAAGUUCAGGUGUUGUUUUUUUAAUCAUGACAAUAUUUGUGGAAAUCUAACAUACUUUUCCAGAAAUAGACUAAACUGUUUUGAUUUAUCAAUGAGCUUGUAAGGUGCUUUUUGAGUCACGUGCUUAAUUUCUUCUUCAUUUGGGCACUUUAUUCCAAACUCUCCACUUGUUAAACAGUUGCGAUGCUGCUUUAGUAGUGUGUAGUGUUCAGUGUAGAAUAUCAGCUCAUUCUCUUGUUGCUAAUGCAGCUUGUUAUGGAGACUCUUACAGCUAGGCAAGCGCUGGAUGCGCUGCGCUUUGAAGUGCAAACCUUGGAUAAAAAGUUGCAGCAUGCAAACUCAUUGGUGGAUUUGUAUAAUGUAAAAACUUUGCGAUUAGAUGAUCAGGCAAGGAAAAGGGCAUCUUCUAUGAAAAGAGCUAAUAAUUCUAAAAUAUUGGAAUAAUAAUUAUGUACUUUUGCAGUUGAAAGUUUGGUCCGACCAAGCUGGGAAGCUUGCUGAGGAAGGGUGGCAGAACUCUGUUUCUUUGGCCAAUGCUCAAAGGAGGGUAGUGGAUGUACAAAGCGAGUCUCAGCAAUUAAGGCAGUCAACAGAUGCUAUGCAAGCCAAGGCUGAGAGGAGCCGAUUAGAUGUUGCCGAGUUGCUUGUAGAACUGGAGAAGGAGAGGUAGUCGAACUUCCUUUUGUUUCUUUUCUUUGGAAAAAAUUUUGGCGCUUGUGUUAUCCUCUUGAAGUUCACAGAGUAUGUUAUUACAAACCAGGUUUAAUAAGAAGAGAAUUGAGGAGGGAUUAGAUAUAAUGACAAGGAAAGCUACCAGUCUUAGAGCUGAAACUGAGCGCUCGACAAUCCUGCAAAAGCUUCGACAGGAAAUUAAAGAAUAUAGGGGGAUACUGAAAUGUGGUAUCUGUCAUGAUCAUCAGAAAGAGGUGAUUAUUUAGUUCUUAAUCCAAAUUUGUUUAGGACUUUAGGCCAAAAAAUGGGGGUCCAUUUGAUUCGUUUCUUUUUAAUCAGUCUGGUAUUACAUUCUUGUUCGCAAGCCCUUGACAUAACUUAUCUCCCUGCUGUUUAGGUUGUUAUUGCCAAGUGCUACCAUUUGUUCUGCCACCAUUGUGUUCAAAAGACACUUGAGAGCAGGCAUAGGAAAUGCCCUACCUGUGGAUCAAGCUUUGGGCCUAAUGAUGUCAAACCUAUCUACAUAUGAAGCAGGGUAUAUGCUAGUUUUGCUGAAGAUGGACACCAAUGGCUCAAUGAUGCUACACAAGAUAAGUUCUCUGAACACACAAGAGACUUGCUUGUAAUGCUUUGAUUUAGUUUUGUGUAACAUAUUGUAGGAAGGAUUAACUGGGUAGCGGAUUGCCUACCAAAGUAGGUUUUCUGGACAUUAUUAUUGGACUAGUGUUUAGUGUAUAGAUAGAUCUCUUUGGGCAUGGUUUUUUGCUCAUCUUUGUAAAGUCCAAUGAUCGAUUAUCAGGCCGGUCGUCCUUAUCCGUUUGAUUAUUUGAUUAUCCAGUGAAGAGCCCCACCAGUUCCGUUCAUCAAGUUUACUUUGUACACUAUAUAUUUUGUCUUAAUUAGUUAAUAAGAUAGCAUAGGUUGUUUUGGAGAAUUCUUCCAACUUGUACCCUGUAUUUUUCUUGAAGUGGAUGGCAAUAGUGAAAUUCCAAUUGUUUUGCAUGAUUUAACCUUUUUUGUCCUUUUCUUUAUGAUGUAAGGAGGUCACCUAGAUGCUUUUAAGGUCUCUUAUCUGGUAUGCUAUGCCACGCACAAAAUUGAGUAUGAAGAGGUACUUGUAGAUACUUAAAUCUUCUGCUGAGAAUCGGAACUUUAAUGUGAUUGGUAGUAAAAUGGCUCUUCUACACCACUUGUUCCAUCCUGCUGGUAUUUAUUGUCUAGCUUCAAUGACCAUGGAUAGAGAGGAUCAUGUAGAUCUUUCAUAGUCCAGGGGCUUUUCUGGUGAUGCAAGUGUCCUUCAAAAACUGUUAAAUCAGAAAGGAUAGCAGGCUACCUCUUUGGCGUUAGCGUUCCUGUGUAACAAAGUGAAUGGCAACUGCCCCUGGAUCCUCUAGAAGUCUAGAUGAUUGCUGAAAUUCACUCUUGACGUGAUAUAGAGUUCAAAAUGCUGCUGGUGAUGUGCUAAUUUUACCCAAUCUUCUCGAACCCAGGAGUAAAAAAAAGAUGUAGGUGAUGCCGACUCUGUUUGUGGAUUUUUGUUGGUAAACUGUUGUGCGAAGGUGGUGUAGAGUGUUUCGAGAGCUAGUGGAUGUUUUAUGGCAAACUGUUUGUACAGUUAGGCUGUUUUAUACUGUUAAGGCCCCAUAUGAUUCUGGCGUUUAGUGCUGGAAAAAUAAGAAUUGCUCCGAAGCUAGAUGAGUGGGUAAUUACGCUUUUUGAAGUCAUCCAUAAACAUAUUGAGCGUACUUGAAUUGCUGAUUUAUAGUUUGAAUCUCAAUCAUGUUGUUUUGUUUGGAAUAUCGUACUAAGUAGGAGAAAUAAAUUAUAACGAAUUUGCACAUUUAAUUUAUUUUUUCACUAGUUUCAAAAUACAAGCGCACACAGCUUAAAGCCUAAGGGGGGUCCCCCCCCCAAAAAAAACAAAAAAAGAUAAAGGCAGACAAAAUUGAAGUUCCAGAAACUAUGGAGUUUCGAUAAUCCAUCAUAUGCCCAGACCUUUAAGUCCCAUUUUCCUUCAAAAUAAUAUUACACAAUUGCUGACAAACUAAUAUUUAAUGAGAAACAUCAGAAGCAGUUUUCACUUUGCAUGAGAGAAUGCUGGUCAUAUGAUAUAGCACUCCUUGCAACUUGACAGAUGCAAUGUCAGCCAAGAGCAUUCAAUCGAAUUUUAGAACUAGAGAAGUUUAAUGUUUCAUGUCCAUAAACAUAAACUCUAUCCCAUCCCUAAAAACAGUCAACACGAAGCUACUUCGCAACCAACAUUUAACUGCUUAAUCAGGCAUUGAUGACUAUACAGUAUGUACAGAGGCUUAACAAGAAGAUAGUUAAAACUCUUAAAGAACGUCCAGAUCCAUAGCUGCCCGCCCCAAAUUCGACCUGCUUCAAACAGAAAUAUACUACGGUCAUAAUUCACAACUGCUUGCUUAGGUUGUCAAUUCAGUGUACGAAUGAUUAAAUGGUGCAAAAAUGGUGCAAAAAUGAAGUGACGUAACACCUCAUCCACCAUUUAGUUACUAAACUUCGGAAAAUAAUGGGGAAAGAAGACUCAAGAUGGUUAAAAAGAAGUUAUGGCUAGGCAAUAAGUAUGAAUAUAUAUUCAGUAAUAUAACCAUCAAUAAGUUGAAUUGGCAAGGUGCAUACCUUUUAUCAGGUACUUGUACUACCAAGAUCAAAGUCCAUGGUGUAGUCGUACUCAAUAGUUGGUAUAACUGAAGCCAUGAAUUUUAAGAACAAGAAAAGAUACCUGCAGGAUAUGUGGUAAAGCAGUUAUUUAGAGCAGAAAUAAUCUCUAUAAGCUUACAAUUUAUUAUAUUUUAGCACCUAGAGAGGACGGUGACGUAGUUGAACAGAGACAAGCAAAACAUUCCAGAGAAAUGUUAAAAAUUGUUACCUAUUUAUUAAAGUCAUAGUAAAGGCAAGACAGGCAAAGAAAUUAUGUGCAAUAAAAAGAAUUACUUGUCAACUUCUGGUUCCACUCCUCGUGACAUCAAAACAUCUAUUAUCUUUUUCAUCACGGCCCCAUGUCGACACGGAUGAACCGAUGCAUGCUUUCCUGGCAAGUGAGGAUGAUCUUCAAUUGUCACCUGUAAUUUUAGUACAAUAACUUAGUCACGCAUUGAAGCUGUGGAAUUUUAGUUAAAAGUAUUUUUACAGAGCAAAUAAAAAGUAACAAUUUCAGGAUUACAAACUUCUAAAGCCAUAUCCAAGAGAAAACUGGAACCAGACACAAAAAUGCAAAUUUGAACGUGCUCCUUCAGAAAUAGCUCAUUGCACAUAGGACUUUUUGGUACACUACAGACCAAAUAAAACUGGCAAAACCUGAACAACAUUCGAUUUAAUGACCAUGAAUCAAACAUGAUUGUCACAUACACUUUUUUCACUCGACAUUUUUGUACAAUUAUUCUUUCCCUCCUUGCAACUCAUAAUAAACAUAGACAUGCAUCUCUUUAUGCAACUCUUCUCUUAUCUAUCGGAAAUGCUCUUUCUCCACCCAACUAUCAUUCUCUCAAUCUUUAUAAUUUGGUCAAAGAGAAAAACCAACCAAAAUCAAUCACACAUAAGUGGUUUUUUUUUUGUGUGUGUUUGGUUGGGUGGGUGGGGGGUUGUGGUUUGACCUAUUUCAACCUCUAUGGAUCAUACCCGUUGCAUGCAAUUUUAUAACUUGUCAAUUACAAUGCAGAGCUUCCCGAUGGCAAGUAAUAGGGAAGAUUUAUGAAAAUAACAUCCAAGAAUUAAAUCAAGUCAACAAAAUUUUCCAGCUUAAUUAUCAUGUCUAUUUAAAUGGCAAUUUGAAAAUUUGAAAGCAAGUGGAAGGUAAGACAUUACAGUUUUGCGGGCAUGGUCUUGGCUGACAUCUUCGAGUACAAGCUCUGGUUGUAGAGGCAUUCUCGACUGCAAGAGUCAAUUUUAUAAGUUGUUGAGACACCAUCAAACUGAGAGCACACUAAUUAAAGCAGCCAUUUUCACAUAUUCAUUAUGGGAAUGCACCAGUAAAAAUCACAUACUAAUAUAAUGCCAAAGGCAUUGGACCACAUCAUCUCAAGCUGCGAAUGGCAUAAGUAUAUUUGUUUUCUGACCAGUAAAUCAAAUGAAACCUAAGGCAAUACUGGAAAACGACCAAAUGAGAAAAUAGCUAUGUUUCCCUUUGAAUUUGGAAGAUCCUAAUUACAACUUUGGUACCUUCAUCACCACACAAUAAAAAGUAAAAGAACACAGUCAAACAAGGAAAGCAAAUCGGACGGUUUAGGAUUAACCAAACAAAUUACAAUAUAGAAAAUCAUAUUAGUAAAAGCUGCUUGUCUCAAAAAGGUUCUAAUCAUAAUGCGAGAACUGGGAGCAAUCUUAAACAGAUCAGAGGUGACAUUACAUUGGACAUAUUUUGUUCAGUCUGCUAGUUCACAUCUGAGAAAAGAACGAUAUCCAACAAUUAUUUAAGAAAUUAGUUCACAUUUUGCACAAUGAGUUCAAAAAGAGAAAAUGGUAUUAAGUAAAGUGGCAUAACCUCAUCAUAUCCAGUAAGCCACACACGAGGAGUUUGGUAAUAUUUGUCAUACCUGCAGUAGGAUAGUAUCUUAGGCUGCUGGACGAUUAAUGUAAUAAAGACACUAUUUCAAAAGUUACAGUCACGUAAAAGAAGGACGAAUGAAUAGUAGGCAAGCCUAAAUCAAGCUAGCAUGGGGAUCACAUUAAUGAGCAAACUAUCUGGACCCUAUUGAAUGAUAAAAUUCCCCUGAUCUUUAAAUAGCUAUUAGACAACCAUGAAGAGGCAUGAGAGAUUGUAGUAUACAUGAUACUGAAGCUUACAAAAGAAAUGCCACAAAAGGACUGAUGUUCCAGUGAAUGAUCAUAUACUGCAUCAAGCAGGAUGCAAAACCAAUAAGUGGUAAUCAAUAUAAAGACUGAAGAUAGGUUGUUAGUUCGCCUUCGAGACGAAAUACAAUAAAUAAGAAUCUGCUUUGCUAUUCAUGAUACUAUUGAUAAUAAAAAGAAAAAAAAGAGAGUUAGGCAAUGUGAUCCAAAAAGCAUUUCCACACAAAGAGCUGGUUAAGCUUUGCCAAAGCUUGGCCACCUGAUUCUAUAAUUCCAAUUUGGCAGGCAUUUGCUUUUUGAGUUGUUCACUUUUCUAUUAUUGGCCAGUGAGGCUUGCUAGGCUGCAACUCACAUUUGUCAGUUAUAAGCCAGAUGGGCUACUAUGCUAUCUAGAUAUGCCAUCUAGAUCUGCUUAUACAGAGCACCAUAGAUUUGGACCGAUUUCAAAGAGUCAAAUGAUUACUUAUGGCAAAUAAUAGGCUACAAUUACUAUAAAACAACAAAGGUACAUAGGCACCUCAAUGUUGGCCCAAGGAUCAAUGUCUUCUCUUAUACCAAUUUUUUCUAUAAUCUCAAUCUUUAUGCAUAAUAUUGGCAUUAAUUGGCAUAAAAUAGCUGUUCCCACAUGUGCAAAUGCAAAUGCAAAUGCUACUCUGCAACAAUUUCCCACUAGGAAAUGCAAAUGAUUAAAAACCGUAAUUUUCAUUCAGUCUUAGCAUAUAAUGCCAGUAAAACUCAUGUGUCUGUUCAAAAGUUAACAAUGUAAGUUAAAAUGUAAAUGCAUCUUACCCAUUUCUAAAACAUUAUUAAAGCAGAUGGAGAAAAUUAAAUGAGACAUGAAAAGGAAAUCAAGAUAACUUUUUUUUCUCUUUCAUAAGAAGAACAGUCUAAGGUUCAGAUAUUGGUACUUACGUAAUACUAACAUCAUAUGUCCGUGUUCGGAGGAUGUUAUCAUCCUCGGGUUCAUGUGCAACAAAAUAUGAGGGUUGGAGGGUGGCCUGCAAUUAUACAAAAAAAAAAAAUAUAUAGUAAAUACAGAAAAAAGGAUGUAGAAUUUGACUGAGUGCUUAAAAUUAGUAGUUAGUAAUUGACAUAAAAGCCAACUAAGAAGAGUUGAAGAUUGUUAGAAGCUCAGAGAAGUGUUAAGGAGUUGUUGAUUGAAUGAAAGAAUAUGAGCAGCUCCAGAGAAAUGUUGAUUUACUUUUCAAUUUGUAAACUACAAUCAAAUUGGGAUAUCACAGUCAGUAUUAUCUAAUAAAGAUGUAAAUACUCCACUUAGCUCAGCUCGACCUUAAUCCACCAUGAUGUUUGGUUUGCUAAUAAAUCCCUAAACUAAGUGGCAUUCCUUAGGGUCACGUGCAAUCUAGUUAUACUCCAUGGGCCUAUCAGAAAUUCCCCUUACAGUUACUGUAACUAGCAUAGUUAAUUAAAACACAAAUAUGUGCCAUAUUCAUCUACGCCGGUAUUGCAGUAAACCACAACAAGAAACUCCAACCUCUGAAGCAAUUUCCCAUUGCAACUAGAAGAAAAUGUGUACAUCACAUCAAUGCAGCAACUGAAACAACAAAGUGUUUAACAUAUAUAGUUAAAAAUAGAAACACGAACACCUACAGGAUCAGUCUCAACAAGAUUUUCGGAAUUUUCAAAGUCGGCCAUGUCAGGUAUUUCUUCUUCCUCCUCGCCGCCAAAGUACGAAGGAAUGGACUGAACAACCUUCCCUUUGCUUAUCUCCAGUGUAUCAAUGGAGGGCAAAUUCUCCUCCUCAUCGCCUUUAGCUUCUAAUAAUCCAAAGCCGACAAAUCAUAAGCUCAAAAAGGCCAAAUUGGCAUCAAAUAGUGAAAACUACACAGCAAAGCAAAUAACACCUUUCGGCUUCCCAUGUGUCGCGAGCCAUCCUUCAUUAUCAUCAUCAUCAGCACCGUCGAGCAGAUAUUCGCCUCCUCCGGCCUCGUAUUCUUCCUCCACCGAGAUCGCCCGCCUCAGACAAGGCACUGAUUGAUAACACAUAGAAUCAAAUCAAUUAUUCUUGCAUAACAGCACCAAUUGCGCGAGGAAUUAGGGUUUCGAGAGUCGUAUACCGUUCCUCGUUAUCAGAUACUGCUUAUCGGCGGGGAGAUACGACUUCCUCUUGCUGGGAUCGCCCGCCUCCCUAUACAAAUCCAAAGAUCGGUCGAUCGAUCGAUCGAUCCAUCGAUUAAGGGAAACAAACAAAGGGAUUUUGGAUUGGGGGAAAAGGGAUUAAUAGGGUGAGGGGAUCGAACCAAGACCAGGUAGGGCAUUUGGAGACGAGGUUAUCGCCCGCGAGGACGAACUCGGAGACGCUGAGGACGCCCUUCUCCUUGAAGGCGGAGACCGUGCGGGGGCCCGUGAUGCGCUCCACCGUCCCUUUGAAGGCUUCGUGAAUCUUCUGCGACAACACCAUCGUUCUCCUUCGCGCUAUUCACCUCUCACCUCUUCUUCUCAAUAAAUAGAUCGAGAGAGAGAGAGAGAUAGCGCGGAGGAGAAGGGGAAAAAGUGUGCAGCAAAAACGAAGGAAUAUGUUUGGAUACCUCUUGCGCUUACGAUUCCUUUUCUUUUUAUGUUUUUUCGCGCUUGCCGGUGAGAGGGGCAAUUGGUAACCUACAAAGCCGAUCCGAUCCGAAACCGACCCGAUUAAAUAAUAAGAGCGUUAAUCCGAGUACUAGUCGGGGUUAUGCAUGGGGCCCACGUGUUUUAGGGCAUUAAUCCUAAUCCUAGUCGAACUAGUUAUGGGGUCCACGUGAAUGGGUUAAUCCGUUCGGUCGGAGAAAGUCUACACUACAGAUCACAUUAUUUGUACACAAUUAAUUAUACCUUUUCUUUUUAAAAUGUACAAUAAAGAUGUUUUAUUAAAAAAAUAUUAUGCGGUAGAUGAACUUCCAGAAAAAUAAUUUCGUUAGUUGGAAAAAUUACGUCACCUUAUAUCACUUUCAUAAUUUUAACUUUGUUGCUCGAUAGAUGGACUUAUUAUAUGUCCCGGUGACAGCGUGGUAGAUGUGAUUUUUUUAUAAAAAAUAUUUUUUUAAUAAAAGACCAAAUUUUAUUUAAAAUUGAAAUGCCAUUUAUAAUCUGAAAUACAAUAGAUAGAAAGUUUACAUUCCUUAUGGUUUUGCAAAAGUUUUAUGAGACCGGCAUUGGUGAUCUAUUUAAUUACUAGUUGUUUUUAGCACAAAUGACAAAAGAUUUAAUGUUUAAUAUACGAGAUUUAAAAUUCAAAAUAUAAUUAUUUUAUAUUUUUAAUUAAUUUUUUAAAAAAUAAACGAAAUGCUGCUUUUCCUAAAAAAAAUGCCAGAAAAUCAGCUGCAUAGUUAGUUGUUCAAUUUACAUGUUUUAACAUAAAAUGGAAAAUAUAUUAUUUAUAGUCCCAAAAAUAUAAGCAAUAUGAGCUUUUCAAAAACUACGGUGGAUCAAAUCUUCUACUAGAUUCAACAAUUUUGAGCAAUCCGAUUCUAAUUGAACUCAAAUAAAUCUUCUCCGAGUUGUCUCAUUUGAAACCUCCAAUGCCGCUUUAAACUAUACCUCCAAUGCAUUGUGGCCGUUUCUCAUUGAGCCUUCAGCAACUAAAGUAUUAUACUCACAAGGUCUAGCCUCUCUCAGAUUAUUUUGCGUUAAAAUAGAGUGAACUACAUCAUGAAUUUUUUACUUUGGAAACGUUUUAAUUUUCAUACUUAGUCCCAAGUAUAUAUUAGUUGCUAUAAUCAAGUAUUUUAUCUCAAAAAAAUUCGGUGACUCAAGUGGUAAUUGCGAUAUGAUGCAUGCUAAUUAGCACAAAGAGAAGUCCUGUUAUAUGAGAACUUUUUUCGGAGUUAACAAUAUUUUUAACAGAAAAAACUUAAUUAAGAUAAUAAUAAUAAUAAUUAUAAUUAUUAAUAUGAAGUGGCAAUUUAUUAAAAAUAAAAACAAGGACUGAAAUUAAAAAGCCAUGGAAGUCGGGAACUGGCACGUGCGUUUCGAAGAUUGGAACGUGGAAUGGCACGUGCCUUUUUAACCGUUAGUGCGUGUACCCUUCGCCGCAAGUACGAGCGUCGCGUCUCCUCCCCUGCCUAUAAAAGGCCCAGCGACGAGUGCUCCUGUUCAUUUCGCGAGCAGAGAGAAAACGUUGUCUGCUGCGAGUAAUGGAAGGCGAAGGUGGAGGUGGAGAUCGGUGGGAGCCUCCACAGGGCGAGAGAAGUAAGAUCUCUCCUCUCUCUCCCCUUCUUCUCCUCCUCCUCUCCUCCUCCUCUCCUUAUCUUUCUCUUUCCAGAGUCGUCUUCUCCGUCGUACUUGUUUCCGAUCUUGCAUUUGAACGCAAGAACUGGAGGGAAUCUAGGGCUUCCAUCCGAUCUAGGGUUUCUUCGAUCUAUUGUUCAUCUCUAGAUCUCUUCUUGAGAUUAUAUAGUGAAGGGCCGUUAUGAUCGUUGAUAUCUCGAUGUCGUGUUUAAUAAGGGGAAAUCAGCUUCGAUCGAACAAAGAAACCCUACGAUCGGGGAAAUCAGUUUCGAUCGAACAAAGAAACCCUACAAUCGUUGAUCUCCUGAUCCUCUCUUUAUUGUAAUCGGUUUCAAUUCGCACUAGAAUUCUAAUGUUGUGUUUAACUUUUUAUGUUGUUUCAAUUUAGCGUGGAACGACUGCAAUGAUCGUUGAUCUUUCAACGCCUAGUUUUGGAUGAUCAAAUCCGUUUCAAUCCAGCUUAGCGUUUAUACGUUUAAUGACCUAUGGAGGUGAUGAAAUUGAUUUCGAUCCUGUUGCAUAGCUUAUGUUUAGGUCCUUUUUUAAGACAAGCUUAAAAGCGCUGGAAACCGCUGCAACGAUCUCUGAUCUCUUGCUCCCUCGUUUUGGAUGGUGAAAUCUUGCUUGCUUCCUUGUUUGUUUUCGUCCACGAAGUUGCCAAAUCUCCAUUGAAGAGCUGAUGCUGUGUAUUUCUAUACUAGCUGGUCAUUGUAUCUUCUGAUGAUGUAUGUACACAACAACAAUUCAUAAACAAUUGCACGCUUCAGGUAAUAAACAUUACCCUCGAAUCAAUUUUGAGAGGGUGGUGGCUCAAAAUCAUUUUGGUUUUCUUGUAUUACAAGUUCCUGUUGACAGUACAACUUUGAUGUCUAUCAAAGGUCCUGUUAAUUAUAGGCGUGUGCAAUGGCAGAUAUGGCGAUGGCAGGUAUUUUGUGGGAGUGAGUGUGACAUUUAUCUUAUGCUAUCUCUAUAUUCAUUAUCUUUCUAGUUAUUCAUAUGCUAUUUGUUUUAAUGAAUCUUUUAUGUGUGUUAAAGUUUUAUAACAGAAACCGUAUUCAUGCAUCAAUUAGUGUGACAAUUCAUUAGCAGAGUGUAUCAAUGAUUCUAUAUUAGAUACCUAUCCUUACCACUCAUCACUGUCAUCAUUGUACAUAUUGACUAGCCAGAAUUGAUCGAUGAAAUACCUAAAAACUUUCAAAUUGUUAGCUAAGAUGAGUUUGAAUAAUAAGCUAUAAAGUCAAUACUUGAGAAGUAUUCAUGAAUACAUAGGAGUGAAUACGUGGGAGAAGGGUGUAUCAUAACUCUUGAUCUUUAAAUCAAAAGACUGAAUGUCUAAAUUAUCUAUUGUUUUGUGUGCGCUAAAUUUGGACGAUGAUAUUUUAGUCAAUUGUCGAAUGGAUUGCAGUUAGUAAUUUUGUUGCUCAUCAUUUCUAGGUUUGAUUGCUCCUUUGUCUUUUUCUGCAGGUGUUAAUUUUGAUUUCAGCAACGGAGCUGCUGAUUCCCUUUCAGAGAGCUGCUGCUGCUGCGUAUAUUCUAAACAAGCUAAUUUCCUUUCUUAUAUUCUUCCUAGGAUGUUGAUAUGUAUAAAAUUGCAAUUCAAGAACAGUUGCACCAUCCAGGUAAUAAACAUCACCCUAAAGUGUACAUGUUCUUUCAUUUGCAAGAGAUGGGUAGCACAGUUAGGAGGACUGUUUGUUUUGAAGUGGUGCUGAUGGUUCUUGCGUGAAUGUGUACCAGGACUUUGACUUGUGGCUUUUUGCUGAUUAUUAAGAUAAGGGGCUUAAUAGAUUUAGGCAUAUUACCUUCAAAAGAAUGAUGUUAUUUAUGUCUAAACUCUAUAUUUUGUCACUUAGAUCACCUAGGUACAUCAAAAUGGAAGAGUUUUUCUGUUUGUGCUUCCAUACCAACAUUAAAUUGUUUGACUAUAUCUAAUUGUAAUUCAGAACACAUAUUGUCUUGAUUCUCUUGAAGGACUUGAUAUACGGCUGUCACAGGGACCCAAUUUCCUUAAAAUGCCCCUGUUGCAGGAAAUCAUAGAAUUGUACUUCAUAACUAGUAUGACCUUAACCUUAGAUAGCAUUUAUUCCAAAUAGCUAGCUGUCGCUCUCUGUUUCUCUCUUUUUUGGGAUCCAUCAUCUGUGUCAACUAUAUAGGAAAUAUAUAAUAUUGGUUAGAUGACAACAUCAUUAGAUGUCGAUUUCCAAGGUUUUUAGUAGGCUGAUGGUCUUCUAUGCCUCAAGUGACACCACUCCUCACGACUAGGGAUCUUGAGUUGUAAUUGUGAGCAGGAAGGUUCAGGCUUCUCCACAUUAAUUUCACUGUAAUUAAAUAUAGAUGUCUGACUAGUCUUUUAUUUACAUCUCUCUACGCAUAUUGAAUUAUUCUUGUGUUAUGGGCUUGAGGCUGAGGGUUUUAAUUGUGCAUAAUUAGCAGGUAACGUGCUGUGUGCACGUCUGUUGCGGUCGAAUAGGAUUUGGGAUACAUUUCAAGAGGCCAUCCUAUAUAUUGACUCAGAUUAUUGGGGUUUUUUUUCUACUGUAGAAUCUCUCCUACUUGUCUGUAGCUAUCUCUUAGUCACAAUGAUCUUUGGAUUGGUUAUUUUUGCUCGUAAGCUUCAUUUUUGGACCCUUAGAAUGAAUCUUCCGACUAGUGAUUGAUUUUCACAUGCCCCUGGUUAAUGAUUCAAACUAAUAUGCUAAUAAUUUUUGCCUGUUCUUUGAGCUUUGAUAUCGACACCCAUGGAUUUCAGGUGCUGACGAUCUGCCGUCUGUGCCGGCUGUGCUGUGCUGCACUGUGCCAGUGUCAGUGCCUAACUGAUUUGUACAAUGCCCAUAUUGCGAUUAUCGCUGAUGCUGCUCUAUGCGGCUUGAUGCAUCUUGAUACCGCAUUUAAAACGUUGUGCGGUGCCUUAGAGUGUUGUGAUUUACCCUUUGCUGCUGCCGAUCGCUGCGCCAUCACACUGCCCGUUGCCUCCGCCAUAUUUAUCACCUUGCCCCGCUGUACCAUAACGGGAAAAAAAACUUGUACCAGGGAAAGGUGAAGAGAUUGAUUGGAAACCUAAUCUCAAAAGUAGGUUCUUUUUUUUUUUUAACUUUUGGAUUGCAGGCUUAAAUGAAACCUCACUAGAAUGGGGCUUAUACAGACAUGGCUUCAAAAUGAAGUCUUGAUAUCAGGCACAAUCUGACCCAUUAAGUGUUCUUCUCGGCUAUCAGCCUCUGCGUCGUCAAAGCCCUAAAAUCAGAUUACUUCACAUUGCUGUUGAGAUUCCAUAUUGGGAUUUGACAUUUGCGUCUAUUUCGAGAUUUGCCGCCCUUGACCAGCCAGAGCACUGUCAGCAUUUCCGCUGCUUCUGAGCAGCAUGUCCCACAUGCCCACACAUCUGCGCUGCAAUGUGAGGUGCUGAGCCAUGCCAACCAGAGCUCAGCAUGGCCUACUUGAGUUUUAACGUAGCCUUGCUCACUAUGUCUCUUGGUUUGAUGGUGAAAAUCCCCUCCUAAUAGUUCUAGAUGAACAUAAUACUAUGGGUGCGUUUGGUUCGCGCUAUCUUUUAAAAAUUCCUAGUAAUCCAAUGGGAAUAAAAAAAUAUGACGGUGAUUGGUUAAACGCAUUAAGUAAUCUAGUUGGUAAUAUUAGAUUCACUUGGGAAUAAGAUUCACCCCAAAGUACUAAUCUCAUUCCCUUGAGGGAGGGUGUGUAUCCUCAUAUUAAUGAAUUGGGGUAAUCAUAAUAUGUCUAAUCUCUUUCUUUCUUCUUAUCCGCCGGCUAAUUGAUAUUAUUUUUCUUUACACUCCAACCUUAUAUCUCUCUCUAAACUUAUUUUUCUCUCUAAAAUUCAACUUUUUUUUCUCUCUCUAAACUAAGCUUUCUCUCUCUCUCUUUUUCUAAAAUUUCAACUCUCUCACUCCCUCUAAUUUCGACUAUAUUUUUCUUUCUAUUUUUUUAAUUAUGCUCUCUCUCUCUAACUUAUACUCUCUCUCCCUUUUUUCUAAAAAGAUGUUGAAACUUUUGGUAACAUUAUCUAAAAUUAAUUAAAUAAAUAAAUUAAUUAAUUGUAUAUUUUUUGUAAUAUUAAAUAACAUGGCUAAUUAAUAUUACCGUGCGAACCAAACACAGGAAUUCCACAUUCUUAGUAAUAGGAUGAAUAGGAAUAAGAUUCUCGGAUAUCUUUUAUUUCUAGUAAUCUUUUAUAAUGCGAACCAAACGCACCCUAUAAGUUAUCCUUCAGUCAAUACAGGUGCUUGCCACUAAUAGUCUGGUUAUUUAAAUCUGAUACAAUUAUACUAUGAUUUUUCUGCAUUGAAGGAUCCCACUAGGUACAUAUUCCUUGAAGGUACUGAAAGAAGACCAGAAAGGGCAUCAUCUACCAGGUAUUAUGCUUCAACACAAUUUGAUUGCACUGAUACAUAAACAAUUUCUCCUGAUUCCAAUGAUUUGGAUUUUCCUUUGAACAUGGAUUUUGACCACAGUGAUCUUAAGUCUAGGGUUCUUCUUAUGACUAUGAUAAGCUAAUCAGGUCUCUAAAGUAAUGUCAACCGCCAGCUGCAGUGAUGAUCCUUUUCUCCCAAUGCGAAACAAAAUGAACAAAACUAUGCGAAACAACCAUAAUCUCGUUCAUCUUACAUAGAAUCGGUAUCUCUGCCCUGUGCAGAAAAACUAUGACGAAGCAGGUUUGUAUUCUUGCUUAGCUCACAUACUGACAGUACUUCCAUUUGCUGGAAUGUAUUAUUGAUGGACACCUAUUUAACCUCCAAGCAUGCUAUAACUAGUCUUACAAGAUUUUACUUGAAGUACUGAUUCAUUUUGUUUUGUUUGUGAUUCUUAGAUUUACCAUCAUUCAUACUCUGCCGGUGGACUAUCACAAAAGGUUUAACUGUCUAAGUUUGAGAGAUAUUCCAAUUAUUAUAUUGUUGUGAAAUACUGAUUUUCAUGCAUUUUUUUCUUUUUCCCCCAUUUUACUGCUUAGGUUCUAAGUUCUAGCACAUGUGAAUGGCAAAGUGGUAAGACAAAAAAUGCAUGACUGGAAGAUCAAAAUGGGUAUCAAUGUACGAGGUAGUACACCGUGUCACAAUCUGAGCUUGUUCUACAUUCGGUACUUCAAGAAUGGUAAGUCAGUAGUCAGUCAUUUAUAAAUACUUGUUCCAUAAAAUGUGAUACUAUUAUUUAUCUGCAUUAACAUGUAUUCAAGUGUCUCACUUUUUUCUAGUUAUCAAAGAAUAAGCAAAGAAGGGUAGAAGGACACUAAUCUAUGGUAUUAGCUACAGUGGCAAUUGUGAGUUAUACAUUAAAAAAUAACUACAUACACUGUUGCAAGGAUUUAAAUGCCCAUCGGCACGGGCCGUAUCGUGCCAACAAAAUAUCGGUACGAUGUAACUCCCGUGUCGAUGGCACAGCUUAAAACUCUCCAUUCUUUAAAUUAGUAAGUAUUUUCUUCAGUAAAGUUCAAAAAAAUUGAUAAAAAUACAUAAUAAAUAGUUAGAAUAUUUUGUUGCUAAAGAAAAUAAAUAUUUUAUACUAUUCUGCGUCAGUAUAGAUGAAUUUUUUGUGACCGGCAUGCAUCGUGCCGUACCAUGUUGGCAAGUUUCUGGCACGACUCUGUGCCACGGCAAUUAAAUCCUUGCACUGUUGCACAGUAGUUCAAUUUAAAAUCAAGUUAGAUUCUUUGUAUGCCUAUGUUGAUUUUAAAUGAUAAAUCAAUAACAAAUCAAGCAACAAAACUAUGUAGUAAUAUAUGAAUUAGUUUCUAUUUUCUAAUGGGAAUUCUAUCCUAUUAGUUCAGUUUGAUAGUUACUUAGAACUAUUUCUAUAUCAUAAUAUUAAACAGCAGAUAAAUAAAGAUAUAACACGCGUGCAAAAUUAGAAGAUUUAUUAAUUUUUUGGGCACAAUUCAAUUAAGUAAUGUCGUUAUGGAAACUUAUUUCACAUGUGGGUUGUUUGUUUCACAGUUUGUAAUAUUCGGGGAAUCCUCCAUAUUUUCUACUCAAAAUAUUCAAAUCGUCACUCUUCAACUCUAGUUGGGAAAUUGUAAGAGGUGUGGGUGAAGUUGUGAAAUCAUCAUAGGUUCCCCACUAGUAGGAAUAUUACAAGGGUUAGUAGGUUUCGCCAUUCCCAUACUUGAUAGGAAUCAUAAGCUCUAUCAAGUUCUAACACCUUCCCAACUCAUGUGGUGCAGUUAGUUGGUCAACAAACUAGCCAUUCCAAGUAUAAAAUAUAUAACAUUCCUGCAAUGCUAUCGACCGGUAAAACGAGCGAGCCCUCAAGAAUAUAUCCAAGUCUUAUGUACAAAAUUCCCAGGUAUUCUCCUGAUAUUUCACUUCAAGGAUAGUUUAUUGUGUGUUUUGGCUACUUCAAUGAAGGGGCUUUAACUUAUAAACUCUUGUUCAUUAUGUCUCGAGAGUUGCCUUGGAAAAUUCAGGUUUAUUACGAUAUUUUUAUUUUAAAUAUAGUUACCUUGAUUCUUCUAUUCAUCAGCUGGAAUGGAUUGCUACAAAUUGUAUUUGAUGCUUUCUGCAUUAGGUAAUACAUAUGUUUACCUUUAUUUUAUUCUAUAUAGUAAUGAUAUUUUUUUCCUAAUAAGAAAACUUUAAUAAUGAUCCUUCCACUCAUAGUGUCACCCUGACAUGGUGCCCUUGGGGUUGUCUCGUGCAUGCUGAUUUUUUAAGGCACUGAGGUUCAGGAUGGCGGACAAUACAAUACAUUAUCUCACGACUGAAGAGAAAGAGAAGAGAGAUCCAGAGAUGGUCGAGUUGUAAUCAUAUCAGACUCGGAUUGAGCCAGGUGAGACUCGUAACAUUUGACCAGGUGGUACAACUUUUCUGAAUCAUAACUACUCUUACUAAUAACUGAAGAGAACAAGAGAAGAGAGAGCCAGAGAUGAUCGAGUUCUCAUCAGAUCAGGCUCAGAUUGAGCUAGGUGAGACUUGUAACCUUUGAUCAGGCUAUACAAUUACUUAUCUCAAUACUUUAUCCAAGAUUUCACCUCAUUCAGAAUCUUUUAAGUUUUGACUUUUAAAUCACCUAGCACCAAUUAUAUUUCCUCAAAAGUUUUGUUUAUUCGGAUGGAAAUUGAGACUUUAGCGUCAAUUGAUGUCCAACACGUGGAAACUUAUCUAUUGGGUCUUUGAUGGAAAGAUCUUGAUUGAAACAACUAAAAAAAUCUGUUCAAAAUCUGAUUGCAAAAAUUAGAAUGUUGGGUGCUAGGAUAAAAACUCGAGGCUAAAAACACCAGUCACAGAUAGGCCUAAAUACUGUUGAAAUCAUCUCUAGCAAUGUUAUCUAAUUCCUGUGGAAUAGGGUUUGAUGCGGUUUUGUUUAGGUCCUAUAUAUUUUUCGUUGCAACUUGUGAAAUUACCAAAUUUAAACAAGGUCUAUUGGUAAAAUUAAUGGACAGAUUUUAUGUUUGACUCAUAAUUUUUCUUUCUGAGGAAUUUGCUAUUCCAUUUAAAGCAAUGCAACCUAUACACCCAAAAAGUGGUGUGAGAUUCACACUCUCCCAUCCAAGGGUUUGUGCUGUAAGUAGCAUUUCUCUUCUAUUUAUUGCAUUGCAGUGUAUAUUUGCACCUAUUUUUAUUCCCAUGCUUCAAAGUACUGUUAGAAGAUUUGUGCCUAUUAUUUUGAUUUUUCUUUAUUUUUGGUUCUAGUCUCUGGUUCUUAGAGGUUUUAAAGUUUGCAGAUUGUUCCAAAAAAUUGAAGUUUGAUAGAGAUAUUCGAGCUAUUAUUAUUGUUGCACUAUCCUGAUUUCAUCAAAGCUUUUUAUUGUUUUUAAUUUUUCUGCUUAUGAUCUAAUUCAUGCAAAUAUAAAUUGUAAAAAUUAAAGGUACACUCCUGCUGAAUCACUGAGUCUGCAUUUAGUUCUGUUGCUCCUCCUCACUAUUUAUACAACACUAUCUUCACUAGCUUAAAUCAAACGCCAAUUUUCUCAAAUUCAAACAUUAGUUACAUAUGCUUCUAUAUUAUCAUUCUGUAUUAUCUGUUAGUUCUUGUAACAAGGAAGUAAGAGUUUAGUUAGUUGAUGCAGUUUCUUCUUGAUCCUUGUUAUUUGUCUGCUUUUUGUUCUAUGUUUUUUGCUCCUAAUCCUUACAAUCACCCCUGCCUGUUAUUCUAAAGGUAUAAUGUUUGGAUAGGCUGCAACUGAAAUGUAAUGCCUGUAGAAAAGGAGGUGAGUCGUCAUUUGGAGGUUUCCGAAGUGGUGAAUCAUCAUUUCGAGGUUUCCUUUUAAGUUUUUAGCUUGCCUUUUCUCCUUUCUGAAGUCCAUUUGGAGGUUUCCUUUUAAUUUUUUAGCUUGUGCAUAUACUUUUCUUGAUGGUAUUAGUAAGUACAUAUAUCAGUACGUGAACAGUUGCAGUCUGCUGGCGGUUGACAACUAAACAUCACCCUGGAAUUUGAUGCUCUCUCCCCCCCCCUCCCUGUAAUGCCACUUACCUCAUCUUAAAAACUAGCAGAGCUAGGACCGACAUUCAUAGAGGAUGCAAUAUACGAUACCUUAGGAUUAAACAAAUACCUUAGGAUUAAACAAAUAAUAAAGCUAAAUCUUCCUAUCCAUAAAAAUGUGGUCGUUUCCUUUGAUUUGGGUUCGAAUAUUUUUAUAAUAAUGCAAGGGUUAUGGUCUAGAGGCUUUUAGUUCGAAGGAGUAUUUCAUUUAUUCUUUUGCAAGGAUCUCUCAGGCUAUAACUAGGUGCUUCUAUCUUAGAAGAGCAUUCAAAGGCAGAUCUAAUAAUGGCUUUUAAUGGUUGUAUUUUGGUUAAAGCAAGCAUGUCUUAACAGAGCAUACAAAGACAGAUCUAGUAAUAGCAGGUAUGGUUGUAUUUUGGUUAGAGCAAGAAUGUCAUUAUCUGUUGUGCCAUCUCUAAAUUCAUUCCCUAUUAAUUAUUCAUACUUAUUCUGCCAAUCGUAGAGUAGUUUAUAUAGAAUGUAAAAUUAUAUACAGAAUAUGAUUUAUGGUUGAAGUAUAUUUUGGUCUCAAGCAUGUAAGAAUGCAUAUCUUAAUCUAACCCCUUAGUUUCUGGGACACUACAACUUACUGUUGUUUUAUUCUAAAUGCCCUUGUAAUUGGAUGACUUGUCUUAUAUCAUGUGAAAACAUUGUAUUUGCCACGUAUUAUUUGGAUUGGGAUUUAUUCUUGGUCCUCCAUAACUUCUGUAUUUUUCGAUUUUCUGACCCGCUUUGUUUUCUUUACUUGGGGGGCCCUUACUAAAAACAAUUUUCAAGUAUUCCUCUUUUCUUAGUGUAAUCAUAGCAUGCUCUGAGAGGUAAAAGCUGAUUGAUCAAUGUAAGAAGAUGGAGGUGACACAAACUUCCUAAUUCAGGGAGCCCUCUUUAGCCCUCACCAGAUUUUACAUCUGGAUUCUUCGCCUUUCCAAUGAUGGAUCCACCUGGUUGUCAAUGAUCUCCUGGGGACCUAUUCGUACUAAUUUCAUUGACAGCCUGUAACUAUUGUUCAUCUUGCUGUUUCCUUCUAUUUUCUUCCUGCUUGUUUCCUCAUAUAGGCAUCACUGCACCACUCUGCGCACACAUAGGUUAUAGGUGUGAGGUAGAGUAAAUGAUGUUACACAGAAAGCCUUCGUUGGCGUAGGGCCCAUUCAUACCACGAUUAUUACUCGAGAUCAGAAAUAAAAACAAAGGAUGGGAACAUGUACUCUCCAGUACAGGUGCUCUGGUGCUUCUUUCAAUGUCCAUGUGAAGAGUUUUGUAGUAUUAGAUGAAUGGAAUGACGUGGUAUAUACUUUUCACCAAAGGCAAACAGAGAUGUAUUGACUUAAUGCUUUAGUGCCUUCCUCACGCGCUUUGGGUUGAAGAUAAGAAGUAUAUGAUGUAAAAUUAUAAUUUAUAUAAUAAAUAAUUUAAUAAAAAAAUAAUAUAAUUAUAUUUUUAUAUAAUUAAAAUUUAAUUUAAAAUAACUAAAUUAUUUUAAAUUAUAGUAAUAUAACAAUAAAAUUAGAAAGUAAAAAAAUAUUAAUACUUAGAUUAAUCAAUUUUUAUCAUAUUUUAAUUAUACAAACUAAAUAAAAAAAAUAUUAAAAUUUAACUAAUUAAUUUUUAUCAUAUUUUAAAUAUGCCAACUGAAUAAAAAAAUAAUUAGUAGCAUAAUUAAAUAUAUUUAAAUAUAAUUAUUUUUAUCUACCAUAUUUAUUUUAUUAUUUUUCUUCAUCUUUCUUCACCAUAAUUGACUUCGGCGAAGGACCACACCGUGCCGGUGCGGCACGUACCGUGCCCCCUAAGAAAGGAGCACGGUACGGGGGGGUCUCGGACCCCCCAUGCCGCACGAGACAAAGCGGAACGCGUUAGGGUGUCGCGGCACUGUGCAGUGCUGCAGCUUUGGUUUUUUUUUUUUUUUUUUUUUUUUUUUUUUUUUUUUUUUUUUUUUUUUUUUUUUUUUUUUUUUGCUUUUUUCUUUUUUCUUUUGUUCUCCGGCGUAUCGAGUUCCCCCCGGGCCACCUAUAUUUUUUUUUUUUUCACUUUGUUGUCUUUUUUUCAACUUUUUUUUUUACUUUUUGAUGGAUGCCUUUUUUUAAACUUUUUAUUUAUUAAUAGAGGAGCAAAAUAUUUUGUCAAAAAUUGUCGCACCGCGAAAUUUUCGGUGAAUUAAGGGAAUAAAAAUCGAUCUCCUAAACAAAUUUUGAUCAGAUAUUUUUAAAAAGAAUAAAAGAACAAAAAAAUAUUGAUGUAAUAUCGGGAAUAUCUGACUUUUUCACAAAUACCAGCAAUACUUAUAUCAAAAUUGUCAAUUAAAUAUUAUAUCUGCAGAUGACAAUACGCCAUAUGAUCAAGCGCGAUGAUCUAUGUCGAAUUAAGCAGUCAUCUCUAUGUAAAGAUGUAAAUUUAAAUAAUUAUUGUACUUGUGAAUUUUAUUAUUGUAUUUUAAUUUCUAUUCUAUAUCAGGUAUAGUUGUAUUUUACUUACAAAUUACAUGUAUAUUAAUUGAUGAGUAUAGUAAGAUAUACAUAAUAAAUAUUCAUAAUUAUUUAUUUAAACUUUUCAAAAUAAUAUUAUAAGAGUUUAUUGGAACUAAAAAACUGAAAUAAGUUUGUGUCAAAACGUGCCAGUAGAAGGUCAUACGUAUCUAUCGGCACGCAAGUGUGCCACGUAUCGGCACGCAAGCGUGCCUGUGCCGUACCGUGUCAGGGACAUAACGGCACACCCCCAUGCCACGGCACUUUAAAUCUUGACUUCGGUCCACGAUGGGCCAAAGUCGAUUACGCCGUUUUAGAUUAAAUCGAGUUUCGACCGUAAUUUUUUGAAAGUAUCGUUUAUGGUGAAAAUGACUUUCCCCCUCUCAACUUUUACCUCAUUUCCACCCAAACGAAUGUACCCUUAUAGUCACCAGCCUCAGAAAGGUGAACAAUAUCCAGAUGAAUGAUUAGAGAUAUCUCAAAUUGUCCAUGAUGAUUGAAUUGAUGACCUCUGUAAUUUUGUUUAUCCUUCAUUUUUUUUUUUCUGUUUUUGUUGGCUACUUUAGGAGAAUUUCUUCAUUAUUCGUGCAAUUGUGCAUCUAUAACACCAGUUAUUAUGGAACAACAUGAUGCUGAUGUAGUUGUAGUUAAGCAUGUCCCAGAAUGGCUGCUAAUCUGUUCCUUUUUAUACAAUAAAAUUUGUAAGACCAGCUAGAACUGUAAAUUUGGUGCUGAUGUAGUUAAGCAUGUCUCAGAAUGGCUGCUAAUUUGUUUCUUUUUAUACAAUAAAAUUUGUGAGACCAGCAAGAACUGUAAAUUUUACUUUGUAGGACUACAGAAAAGUUUUGAGAAGCUCUGUAGAUAUUGUAUGCGUUUUCACUUAUAUAAGAGGAGCAAUCACCGAAAGGUUCUGUAACUAAAUAUGCAUUUCGUAUCUGUGGUGCUAUACUAGAAUAUUUAUUUACAUUUUCCUCUUUAUGGGCUACAUAAUAAUAGCUCAUUGUUUCUGUGCAAACACAGUAAUUAAAUUUUGCAGCUUAGCAGUUCUUGUUUCUGAAAUUUUUAUCUAUAUAAUCAAUCAAGCACAACCGUCGAAAACAUUGCAGCCACAUGAUAUGUUUCAUUUAAAUUGCAGGAGGUAUUUGGCAACACAGGGAAGUUAUUUUGUAUUUAUUUGUGGUCCUAUGUACAUGUACAUCACUCACGAUUCCCAUUCAAGAAACAAUUCUCAUUUCUCACAAGGGAAUUGAAAGUAGAGGGUGGGCUACUUGGACCCUAAUUAAGGCGAGCAUCACAUUCGAACAGCUAGAAGGUGCCGACAAUUACUGGAUGCUUACUUUUGCAAUUUAUGCGGGCAAGUUUUUUUUUUUUUUUUUUGAGAGAGAUAGAUAGCACGCUACCUGCUUCGUUUAUUUCAUUUGGAAAUAAACUUAGCUGUAAAUGUGAAUCAACUAGAAUUCGAAUUUGAGUCUCGAGUACCAACCACCGAGUCGUUUGCCACUUGCUUUAGGGACGGUCGGUAUGCGGGCAAGUAUUUUAACUUAUCUCUUUUGUUUAGUACAUACUACAGACGGCAUUAGAUAAGCAAACAGGCUGUGAGGCGUGCGACCACUCUCCCGAAGGUUACUCUGGUAAGCACCUUUCUUUACAUGAAAAUUUUGCAGCCUUUAGAAAGCCAGUAAUGAAAUGAAAUUUCAUAUACACGAGUUUUUGGUGAGAAAUUAUUGACUGGACCAGUCUACUACCACGUCAGCACAUGGACCUCCAGCUAAAAAAAAUCCCCUUUGUCCCGUUCCCUAAUUGCCAUUCAGUGAAUUCCGGUCUUUUCAAUAUGUCAAAUUUACUUUCUUUUAAAGUGGUAGACAUCGAAAAGGAGUGACGAGAUUAAGGGUGAAUUUUUGGGUGGUUCGCGGUCAGCCAAGUCCUCCUUCUAUAAUUUCUCAUUGCUUACUGACUAGGCUGUUUGGUUAUAUGAGUUUCAAUUGGUGCAUCGUAUUAUUAAAUUUAGGUGGGCUUGGACGUAUCAAUAUGCUGCUAGUUACUUUUGAGUGUUCUUGUUAGAAUUAGAUUAACAACACCCAACGAUAAAUAACUUCAGUGAAGGUCCGACACAGAUGUUUCCUCUCAGAUUAACUUUGUGGUACGAAUUAUCCGUAACGUACUCACGCACUGUUACAGUAGGGAAGAGCACCUACUUUGUACGACCGUCCUUGGUAUUAGAAAACGCGUUCCGUGACAAAUGAUUUGAGUUAGGUAGUGCAUGCUUUUCUCCUUGCCCUCAUAAUAUGAAACAUUGUCAUUCUUUUCCGAAGUUGAAGAUCCGAGCCAAAUUGGUUCUUUGACUUUUGUGGGCCCAUUGGAUUCACUAAUGGGUUUAAAAUGAGCAGUUCUUUAUGCAUAGUGAUUCUCUCUAUUUAUCUCUAUCUACUCUCUGAGUGACCGAGCCUGCUGCUUCUACUUCGCAUUCUUAGUCGUGCACAAGCAGACUCUUAAGCAUGAUCUGUCGGCCGACAACGAGAGUAGUAUUUUAAAAGUCUUUUAGUUUUGUCACGAUUGAAUCGAGUUUCUAAAAUUCAAAAUUUUGGCCAUAAGGUCCUUUAGGGUGUGUUUGGAUUGUCGGAAAAUGGCUCCAAAAAAAAUGAAAAAAAUUUUCUACUGUUUGGUUGCUUGUAAAUUUUUUUUUCAAAAAAUUUAUUUUACAUAUUUUGGGAAAACGAAGGGUUUUCGUUUUCCGCUCCAAGCGAGCAGAAAACAAAAAGCUUGCUAUGAAAAAAUCGCGGCGCACGACAAACUUGCUGUUGGAGCACGCGGUCCACGAGGUGGACUUCACCUCGUGGACCACGUGAGGGAGAGUCGACGUGACCUGUGAACUCUCUUCCUCAUUCAUUAUGUGUUAUAUAUAUAUAUAUAUGAUUUUUUAUAUAAAUAUAUUAUUAUAUAAUAUUAUAUUUAUAUAUAUAAUUAUUUAUUUUAUAGUACUAAAUAUAAUGUAGUAUUAUGUAAUAUAUUUAUUAUAAUUUUAAAUAUAUUUAAUUUAUAUGUAAAAAUUAUAAUAAUAAUAUAUAUAGUAUAUUAAUUAUUAUAUAAUAAUAAUAUAUAUAAUAAAAAUAUAUUAUAUAGGUUUUUAUCUAUUUUUUCUUGUCUUUCAACCAAACAACAAUCAUCGAAAAUUACUUUUUUUUUCCUACAAAUUAAAUACUACACCAUGUAAAAUAUUUUUUCCACGAAAAUUUUUUUUUCAUCGAAAAUUUUUUUUUGCAGUUCUACGUGAAACCGAAUAGGCCCUUAGCUCUGGUAGCCUUACCGUCAAAUCAGUACCCCCAGUAUUAUUCUGGCACGUGGGGUGUAGCAGCUAGGCCACGCGGUAGAUCCAUGCUUUUCGCAUCUUCUACAGGAGGAAAAAAGAAAAGAACUUACGGUAGUUCAUUGCUUUGAAUGACGAAUAUGGGGAUAAAAAUCUGACCUCAUUACUAAUAGAGUCCAUUACAUUUUUGGGCGACACAAAAAAAAAUUUAAAAAUUCUCAGGUCAAAGUUCAUGAGUCAUUACCGUUUUUCGUCAACAAAAAAAGUCUUGUGCCGGCCAAUUUAGUGCAAUUGGCUAAAGACUUGAUGGUUUGUAUCUAAGUUUUUAAAUUUGAGUCUAGUUGUUUCACAUUUUUGGCCGAGUUUAUUUCUAAAGAAUGAACUGAGCAAGUAGUAUGCUAAAUAGUCUCUAAAAGAACACAAAACAGAAAAGGCCUUUCGAGUUAUUAAGGUUGUCACUAGCUUGGUGUUCGCAUAUACUGUAGGAGGGUGUUUGGAUUGGGUACAAAAGAGGGAUAAGGCUUUAUCCCCCCCUCUUAUACCCAAAUAAUAAUUUGGACGGACGAAAACUAUAGUUCCCACUUAUAGAGAGAGAGAGAUAUUUUUGUUUUAAUUUAGAAUUUAAAUUUUUAAAAUUUGUUAUUUCAAAAUUAAAGUUUAUAAUUUAAAAUUCUAAAUUUUAAAGUUUAAAUUUUAAUUUUGAUAUUUUAAAUUUUUUAAAUUUAAAAAGUGAUAUUUUAUAUUUUUCAAAUUUAAAUUUGAUCUCAAAUUUAAAAUUUAAAAUUUAAAAUUAUAAAUGUAAAAUUUAAAAAUUUAAAUUCAAAUAUGAUGAGAAGGGUAAUAUCAUUAUUUUUUAUUUAUACCUAUUCAUUAUUUUUCUUAUUUCAUCUUAUCUAUUCAAAUAUUAUUUUUUUUAUUUUCGAGAGCAAUCUAAUAUUUAUUUAAACGUAUAAUCGGUUUAGUUCUCGCUUAUAUCUAAAUUAAUAUUUAUUUUUGAAAUAAAUAAAUUUUAUUUAUAUUUGAACCAAACGAAGCUUAGAUGUGACAUUGCCGCCCACUGCAGGAGAAGAUCUUUACUUGAUCCACACAGCCUUUUAUUUGAUUCGGACUUUCUACUAUCGCAUAUUUCUUUUCUUUAGCUCCUUUUGUUGCAUGAUAUGGUAGUACCAAUAAUUUGGUCGUACCAUAAGGUUGCACCCUCCGUUGUUUUCAGCAUUCAGAAUUUGUCUUCCCCUGGUCCUUUUCACUAUUCGGAAUUUGUUUUCACUUUUUCCGAAGAUUUGGCCAAUGGUUAAAUCUGUUCAAGUCCUUAGCAAAGGCAGUGUACAAGUAGCGUGCUACAAAUGGUCCAUCACUGAAAAAUCCGAUGAUUGGUAAGUUGAAUCUAAUUGCUAGCGUCGCAGGCUAUAAUUAGGACACUAUAAAUGGUGCAUCACAGAGAGGGCUAUCAACAUCUAAGAAGCUUCCCUGGUUCCUAAGCUGCCUAUGGAGAUGCCUUUUGUCCAAGAAAAUAAUUGAGGAUGAGGUGUAAUGAUCUGACCCAUAUAUCUUAAAUCAAAAUUUUUUCUUAUUCGAUAUGAGACUAUUAAGGUGUUAAAGAUUCCUUCCGUUUAGACGCUAUAUAGAUUAGAAUUAUUAGGCGAUGGCUUCCAUUAAACCCUUUGUGUAUUAUUUUGUCUUAUAUAAUACUUAGCUCUCCUACUUUCGGCCGGUAUUCGACUCUGAUAACAAAUGUAGCGACUUGACCCGCUAGCAAUGAUUACUCUUGAAUCCAAACCACCGUAUUGAAAAUGCUUGAAUCCAACCAUUAUUAUUAUUAUUAUUAUUAGAAUGUGAGGGCUCGUAUAUUUUAAAUCAGAAUUUUUUUUCUUUUUCAUUCAACGUGAGACUCUUGGAUGUUACAUGAGGGGGACCUUCUCUGGGGUUACAGAGUAAUUUUCUUCGCUAAAUAUGGGGCCUUGGAAAAUCCGCUAGGAGACAAAGGCAGUCCUCUUCAACUGUUUGGGGAUUCUUUCGCUUGAUGGCACAACCUCGAGGAAUCAAAGGUACAGCAAUAUAGUCUCUCGAAUGAAAGGUACAACAAUGUUGUCUCAGCUGUCCUCCAUUAAUGUUAGCCGAGGGUUUGAAGAGUCCACUGUGCAACAGUUGUUCUCUUAUUAUGAGUGGUUCAAGGAUUGAUUGAUUCCUUGGUUUCGGGAUCAAUGGCGUUGCUGUUAGAUACAGGGAAAGACAUUCUUGCAAGGCAAAAUUACGUGCUGGGCAUGUUUGGUCCAUGAAUGAAAUAGAAAUAGAAAAUAAAAUUAAAUUACUUUAGAAUAAGAAAUGAAAUGACGAAUCGUUCAAAAAUAUUUUGUUCAUUAUUAGAAUGAAAAUCAGAAUACAAAUAUAGAAUUUUUUUAGAGAGAAUUUUAAUUAAGAAAUAGAAAAGGAAUGAAGGGAGAGGAGGAGGUGUAGAUGAAGGAAGAUUUUGACUAGUUUACUUUAAAAUUGGUCAAUUCGAAAUUCAAAGUCAGAUUGGGCCAUAAAUGAAUUUGAUCAUUUCCAUUUCAGAGUGGAAUGUGAUUCAGAAUCCAAUUCGUAUAAAGCAAACAAUAACAAUCGAAAUCAAUGAAUCUCAUACCGAUUUCAUAAACUAAAAUAGGUGAACCAAAUAUGCCCCUUGAUCCUCAUGUAUCACUAAUAUAACGAUAAUGCAAGAACAGUGUUGUUUGGCGACAUAACAUUAAUUAAAAUGUCAUAUUAACAAAAUAUAUCGGUAUUUAGUUAGCUAAAUAGGAUUUUACAGCUUAAUUAUAAUAAUUUAUAAAAUUUGGGUCAUCACUUUUAUAAUAAAUAAAAAUUUGGGAAUCAAACUAUCAUGCAGCUCAUAGUUCGAGAAGAAAAAACUAUAAUUUUUUUUUUUAAAUGAAAAGAUCGGUAUAUCUUAGGGCAUAGGGCGGAUUAGUAGCCCUCAGGAAAUUCUAGUUGAAUAAAAAUUUGGUGGGGGCAGUCUCCGCAAUGAGACCGUUUUGUUCACCAUCCAUAAUGUGAAUGUCGCGCAUUAGGAUAGUCUACACCAAAUCUUGUUUUUUCGGUGGUUGUGGAGACGGUGAAACAGAAAUUCGGGGCUUAACCUGGUGAGAGAGAUGUGAACAGAAGGGAAUGGAGUUGUCUGUUAUUCUCUGUUGAUAAGAAGAAAGCAGAUCUACUUCUUUGAUUAGUAGAUUACUAUACAACUACAGGAUGUGGAUGGUGUACUGCAUUCUCACCAGCAUCCGCCCGUUCUUGUAAUGGGUGUUGAAUUCAAACUCGGAGAAGUAAUUUAGGUAUAGCUCAAAAAUAAUUCUUUUUUUUUUCCCGAAUUUUGAUGUCAAAACGUUUCAGAUCAUUUAGGCCAAAUUGAAAAAAGUUAAUGAAAUUGUUUUCGUUUUUUAACCUCUUGAUGUUACUAGGGAUGCAAAUGGGGCGGAUCUGGGGGCGGAAGCCCCGCCCCGCCUCCCCCCGAAUUCGUAACGGGUUAAAAAAUAUAUCCCAUAAUCCGCCCCGUCUCGUAACCCGCCUCCGGCCGGCGCUCCGAAUCCGCCCCGCAAACUAAUAAUUUUUAUAAAAUUAUAAUUAUAAUAUUAUUAAUAUUUUGUAAAAUUUAAAUUAAUAAUUUUUAAUAAUAUUAUAUAUAUAUAAUUUAACAAUAUCAAUUAUAAAAAUAAAAAAUAUCAAUCACAAUUCAAAAUAAAAUUUAAAAGUUUCAAAUACAUUAGAAAUGAGAGUAUUAACUUAUUUGUAUUUUGAACUUUUUUUUUAAAUACAUUAUAUUUUAGAAAUAUUUUUUUAAAUUAUAAAUGGUUUUCGGGNUUUGUAUUUUGAACUUUUUUGUGAAUACAUUAUUUUUUAAGAAUAUUUUUUUUAAAAUAUAAAUAAUUUUUGGGACAGAUUCGGGGCGGGUUAAAAUUUCUUCCGUUUCCUGUUCCGAAUCUGUCUCAGAUCGUAAAAUUUACUUCGUUUUCUGUCCCAAAUCCAUUUAUUUUCUCUUAUUUACUGCCCCCGUCGGGGCGGAUCGGGGCGGGAGCUCCACCAACCCGGAUCCGUUGCAUCCCUAGAUGCUGCGAAGAAGUUUUAUCUCUUCUUCUUCCCUAGAAAAGGGAACUUUUUUCCCCCUUUGUUUGUCCAAGCUAAUUCAAGCCUUAGGAGAGCAAUUUAGAUAUAGUUUAAAAUUAGUAUAUAAUUUCUUAUGGAGACAAUUUUUGGGAGUCAUACAAUUGCAUAACAAUUCCUUAUUUUUUGAUCAUUUUAAGAGACGGCAAAAUUCCUGAACUGUAUUUUAUCUUCGAUCAUGUAGUACUGUUUUUUUUUUAGAGAUAGAUAGUACGCUAUCCGCUUCAUUUAUUUCAUUUAAAAAUAAACUUAACUGGAAAUGUGAAUCAACUAGAAUUCGAACUUUAAUUUCGGGUACCAACCAUCAAGCCUUUUGCCAAUUGCUCUAUGGACGGUCGGUGAUCAUGUAGUACUGUUAUUUUCUCUUUUUAAGAAGCAUUCGAACUGUUUUAUCAAAAACAACACGUGCCUAAUUUCUAGCAGGCUCCUUAUCCACUUGCUUUGUAAUGCGGCAUAGAUUAAUAACAGGCUCCUUAUCAAAAACAACACCUUCUCCUAUAGAGGGCACAGAUUAAUUCCGCUAAAAUUCAGCGGCGGGAUCGAUUCCAUGCUUGGUAAAAUCUAACCCUAGAUUUUUAAGUCAUUACUGCUACUUUUAGGCGGGUCCCUUACCAUGGUGUAGCGAUAUUCCCUGCAAUGUCCAUUGUCGCCUUUUGAAGCCUUUGAUUGGUAUCCCAACGUGGUGUUACAUCAUCUUUUCUCUAGUGGGCGAAAAAGGAAUAUAUAUAUAUAUAUAUUAAUUAAGUCGCUUAUUAAGUAAAAGUUUUUGUAUCAGCUUGAGCUGUUCUAGAUCUAUAGGCUAAUCUUGUUAAGUCAGGAAAAUACUUUUUCAUCUUAGGAUUUUCACAAUACUAGGUUGUUAAUUUUGAGCUACUCAUUUUGUCUACUCAUUUUGUCCAUUUCCCUCUUGCGGAAAAAGACCUUCAAUUGAAAAGUAUCAAUACCACCGACCGUUCCUAGAGCGCAAAGGGCUAACUAUCUCUCAGAAAAAAAAAAAAGAAAAAAAAGAAAAGUACCAAUACCAAUGUUUCGGAAAAGCUCAAGAUAGUUGCAAUUGUAUAUACAUCUCAUAUAAUUAUAAAUAAUAUAUUGUUGUUAUUAUAAAAAAAUUAAGAAUAAGAAUGUAUGAAAAAUGAAGUAGCAUACAGGAGGAUCAAGUAGAGUUUCUUGAUGACUCACAUUGAAUAUAUACACCAAAAUAAAAUAAAAAAUAAUUGAGAAUCAAAACAAACUAACAAUAUUAUUAUAUGCAUCGUAUAUUCAUAUAUAAUACUUAAGCAACUGCAUCCAUAAACUGGACACAUUUAUAAGUGCAUGCAUCUCCGUCUAUAAUAGUGAAUAAAUAAAUACAAAAUUUUAUUGGAAAUUGAAUGCAAUCACGUUCUAUCGAGUGAGAUGUUUCUCUCUUGUGCCACGUUCAAGCGUAGACAAAGGCUCAAUAAUUGACGAGUCAUAAUUAAUACUGUCCUAUAACAUUUGAGUCAUAUCGAUAUUAUUGAAUUAUUAGAUGAUUUUUCUAGGAACUCAAUUGGUAGGGCCAAAACUAGAAACGCCAAUGGGUAUGGAUGCAUGAAAUUUUAUCCGAAUCCGAACCCAAAUGAAACGGAUAUAUCCGAUGAAUAUGGAUAUGAAUUCGGAUAUGGAUAUCAAAAAUAGAAACCCGACGGAUAUGAAUUCGGAUAUGAAUUUUGAUUGUACCCGACCCGAACCCAAUUCCGAUCCGAACCUCGAAUUUAUUUUGUGUGUAUAUAUAUAUAUAUAUAUAUAUAUUUGAUGUUAUAUUUUAAUUUGUAUUUUAAAAAUUUAGAUUUAAUAUAAUAUAUUUUGAAAUAUUAAAAAAAAAUAAUUAUUUCGGAUUCGGAUUCGGGUUUCGGAUUUUUGGUCGGAUUCGGAUUUGAAUAUGGAUUUUUAAAAUCCGUCGGGUUCAGAUCUCGGGUUUGGAGUGGGGUUCGGGUUCGGGGCUUUAAAAAUUCACUCCGAAUCCGAUCCACAUCUCUAACCAAAACAGUGUUUUUCCUCAAAGAGGAAAAAAAAAAGUAUACGUUUUACCCCAAAAUUUAGAUGCGUACAACAUGUAAGGCACGUGUUUGGCAUCAAUAAUGACUUACCUGUGAACUUAUUUUGUGUCAUGAAGCGUAAUGUUGCCAUACUAUUUUACUUUCUCGCGAAGUUGCUAACUGAGUAGAUUUACUGAAUAAGAGACAUGCCUAAUAAGAUAUCUUACUAAAUAUUUAUAAUCCUGUUUCGGUAAAGUGCAAAAGAUUUAAAAGCUUUGAAGCUCAUUUCCGCUUGCAGAUACAGCAAAAAACUUCAUUUUAUUAUGAAUAUAUCUUAUUUUUAAUUUUUGGGUUAAAAAGAAUUAGAUGAAAGCGUACAGAAUUUACCUGUACUAUAAAGUCAUUACGAGUCGGCCAUCCAACCUUUCAAAUUUUGAUUUUACUACCUGAUCUUUUAAUUUAUUUGAUUUGAGUCAAUCAGCGACAUUUUGACUUUAAAUUUGAAAAAUAUCAUUUAUAUUUAUAGAUUUAGUUAGUAUAUUCUAUAUAAUUCUUGCAACAAUAAACUAAUUAAAAGUAAGUAAUUAUUUUAAAUUUUGAAGACAAAUGAAAAUUUUGAUAGUAAAUUAGAUAUAGUUGAUUCAAAAUGACCCUUUGUUUAACUAAGUUGUCUACAUUUUUUCCGAAAAAUUAUUCCACCAAGUCAAAACCAAAUACCAGAUAGGUACCUACUUCUAUCUGUUUCGUUUAUUUCAUUUAGAAAUAAACUUAGCUGACAAUGUGAAUCAACUAGGAUUCGAACAUAGGACCUCGAGUACCAAUCAUCAAACCUUUUGUCACUUGCUCUACGGACAGUCGGUUACUUCUAUUUCCUUUGUUAACGUGAGGUCUCUCAUGCACCCUCCCUUUAUUCGGGUCCAAAGAUGUCCAAAAAUUGCGGGGAAGGAAAAACACGCAUGAAAAGAAUACAAGCAUCUCAUAACGGUGGGUAAAAAGAUGCAUGAAAAUGGGACUCUUUCCAACUGGAAAGAGUGAGCCUGGAUUAAUUAGCUGUGUAUUCCUCUUCCAUUCUCUUAUGCAAAUUAAAUUUGCUACCAACUUUAUACUUUGCUUGCAUAGAUAUAUAACGAGUCUCUGUUUCUUCUUUCCUCCUCGCUAUCUAAUCCCGUAAAAUUCCAUAUCGAUCGAGUCAUUGUGGCUUGUCCUUUCUAAUUACAGCAUUACAACCAUGCAGAGAUUUAUGAGAUAAAUUUUUAAUAGAAUUAAAAUGUCACUUUAUUAACUAGUUAAAAGAAAAGGAGAGAAAUUUUUUUUAUCUUAAAUAAUUAACGAAGUCCACUAUUUCAUUCAGCCGGAAAAGAAUUUAUAGCAAUUAAAUAUAAAGGAAUCACAACUAAAUCGAACAAUAUCUUUUGUUUAAUAGCUAAAAAAAAUUAAAUGAAAAUUAACACAAAUUAAAAAUAUGUCACUCAAAAUUAAAAAUCAAAAGUUGAAGGAUAUAUAUAAAGGGGAUAAUUAUCUAUAUACUUUUCAAAACUUCUGAGAUAUCUUAUAUAUCUCUCUCUCUCUCUCUCUUUUUUUUUUUUAACAUACCCCUAGUACAUUUUUUUCAUUAUUUAAAAAUAAUCUAUUCUUAGUACCGUUAAGUCAUUUUGGGCUAAAUCCAUAUUAAAUUUCUACCCGCGCCGGUUAAAUUUUUAUCAGAGUUAAAAAAUAUCAAAAUAUCUUUUUUGUUCCUAACUUACAGACAAAUAAGAAAAAAAAUUGGUGACAGUAGAAAGCUAUAUUUGAAUAGUCAAAAAGGUCAAAAAAUAUAUAUUUUUUACCUCUAACAAAGGCAAAUAAAAAAGGUUGAUAACUAUAUAAGUAUAUUUGAAAGGAUAAAAUAAUAAUUUUAUAGAAAUAACAGCGGAUUCUAAAAUUUUACUAACAAAAUUUAACUUUUCAGAAGUAUAUGGAAACAUGGAAAGGAUAUUUUUUAUAUUAACCUUCUAAGGAAGGUAAAUAAACAAGUUUAUAUAUUUAAUUUCCUCUAAUAUAAAAAGGAUAUAUAAUUGAGAGGCACCCUAAGCUCGACAUUUUUACCUUAACAUAUUCGGCCGGGCAGGAACAAGGCAUUUGUUGGACACCACCGAGCAUUGUCGGGCCCGAGUCACCCCAAACGCAUGCUUAGAUCCAAAUCAUUGCAUGAUGCGUCCACAUUCUACAGAACCUUAAUUAGCUCUCCCUUUUACUUAGUCGCAUCAAACAAGCCCGUGACAUGGGCUGUAUAAGAGACCAUAUGUAACUAAAAUUCACCAACCUUAUAUUUUUCUUUUAUUUCGUUUUCAUCUUCUCUACUUUUUGUUUUUUUUAUCUUUUUUGAUCCCCUCAGAGAAAGGAAAAAAGAAAAAAGAAAUAAGGGAAAUGCCUGUACAGGGGAUCUUUGUACCAAUUCCUAGCAAUUUACUUCUCAUUUAGGGCAUAUUUGUGGUCCCAAUGUACAUAAAUUUUUUUUUUUUUUUCAUAUUCAAUACCAUUUACUUUCAGUUGGCCCACCACAAAGGACCAAAUUUUGUAGAGCCAUAUAUCUACAUCACAUCUAUUCACUUAAAUAGAACAAGGAUCCAAGCUUAUUCGAUCGGUCAAGCUCUGUUCCUGUUUGCACUUGCACACGCACAUGCGCGGCGCGUGACGAUUACAUGAAAAAUUUAAAAGCGCCAAGCUGUACAGUGUACCCACACACCACAAUCUAAAUUUCAGGUACCCAUCACUCUUAUUUAAUGUAUAGCACAUAGCAUAGCAUACGCCACCUGGAUGGUCGGCAAUUGGUCGAGCUCGAUGCUGAGGUGGCACGACACUAGGCCGGCACGUGGCUUUAAUGAUUGGUGCUUAGGCCUAUUUUUGGAGGGGCUAAGUGUAUUCAAUGUCAUGCUUCCACUUAGCAUCUCCCUCCCCGUCAUUUUACUUUUCUCCUCCACUUUACCCUUUUUAUAUAUCAUGCAAUUUUUUAGGGUGAAAUUAAGUUGCAAAAAAAAAAAAAAAAAAAAGAAAAAAAAAAAAAAAAAAAAAAAAAAAAUAAUUAAUAAGGAUUUAAUCUUAAUUAAUUUGCGGAAAGGUGGUGUAUAUGUGCGGACAUGCUUGGUGCGGAUCUUCUUUGAUGUUGGACCAUUAUUUUCUUGUGAUUAAAUAAAAUUAAAAUAUUCCCCAAAAAGAAAGAAAAAGAAAGAAAAAGAAAAGGUCGAGAGGUGGGAGUGGGCCCUUUUGUCACCAUUGUGAUUAGAGUAAAGCACAUGAUCAAAGCAAAUGCUUUGCAAUUCCGGUUAAGAAAGGCAACUUAGCUAGCAAAACACUUUUUUCCAUCUCGUUCCCUUCCAAUUCACACUCGAUCAUAAAACGAAGAAACAGAGAGAAAGUUAAGCAGUUUUCUUCUUUUCUUUUUUUUUUUUUAUUUUUUCUCUCCCUAAUCCGACAUUUGGGAGAGAGAAGUGAAGGAUUUACGGCUUAAUUAUCACUAGAAACCGAACUGGAUUAAUUUGAGUGGGACCUGAACUCGAUCGAGUCCUAGCUAAAUGGAACGGGUACUCUAUGAGAGGAUUAUAGCUGGGUCAAACUCCCGUUCCUCAAGACAAAUUUAAAAUCAACACGGAAAGAAACUUAAAGCAAAAUUACCUUCCAAAAUUCAUCAAACCAAACACAUUUAGGGAGAUUGAUAUAUUUUAUACAUAAAUUAACAGCGCCUACAGUACUAUCUUGUAGAGUUUAUACAUGAAGUAGUCUUUUUUUUUUUCUUUUUUUUCUUUUUUUUUUUGUUGUUGUUGUUGUUGUUGCAGAGAACCCUCACAUUUUGAACUUGGAAAGGCCAAAAAGAAGCAGGAGAAGAUUUGGGCAUGCAGUGUUUGGACAAUUCAUGCGAUCAUCUUCCUUGUGUACCUUGAAUUCCUCUCUGCGCUUAAAAUUGUGAUCAUGAUAGUUAAUUUCAGAACUAACCAUGCACCACCCAUGCAGCUCGAUCUCACGUACGUGCGUUUGUAAGCUCUAGCAGUACUCCCACAGGAGCGGCUCCUCAAACCGGAACUCGCCGCCGCCGCCGUCCUCCUCAUCCUCCCACGACGACGGAAACCAGAAGCCGUCUCUCAAGUCGAGGAGGAGGUCCGGCAGGUCGUCGCCGGCGGCGGGAAAUGCGGCGGCGAGGGCGGCGGCGGCCUGGAUGUCCUUGGGGGAGGCGGUGGCGGGGCGGGGGAGGGCGGGGGCCAGCUCGGGGAAGUUGAGGUGCGCCGACUGGCCCUUGAUGGUCAGCGCCGCCACGUCGUGGGCGCGCGCCGCCAUCUCGGCGGUGGGGAAGGUGCCGAGCCAUAUCCUCGACUUCUUCCUCGGCUCGCGGAUCUCCGACACCCACUUCCCCCAGUUCCGCAUCCGCACCCCGCGGUACACCGGGUGCUUCCCCUCCUUGCUCCGCUUCUGCUUGCUCUCCCCGCCCCCGCCCCCGCCCCCGCCGACUGCGUCCGCUUCUCGUUUACAGCUGUUCUUACCGCCCUUCUUUAGACCGCUGCCCGAUUUCUCUGCCGGUGGCGACGGCGCAUUGGGACAAGGCGAGGUGGUCGUAGGAGUACUCGAAGUAGAGUUAGAGGAUGACAACGACGACGACGACGUCGCCUUCAACAAGCUCUUUUUCCUUCUCCCCCUACUACUGCUAUUACUACUAUUGUUGCAACCACCGCUCUCACUCCAAUUCUUUCUAUUCCUCUUCCCAAAAUACCCUCGCUCUGCGAAAUCCCCGCCCUUUUUUUGAAAAUGCCCUUCACCUGUACCGCAAUUCUCGUUAGUGUCCCCGUCCCCGUCCUGCUCGAAUCGGAACACGAAAACCGCGUCCCCGGCGUCUCCGAACGCCGUCGGCGGCGGCGCGGAAUCGUCGGGGAGGCGGAAGAGCCAAUUGUGUAGGUCCCACGAGACGCGUAUCCGACCACCGCCCUCCGCCGCCGCCGACGACACCGUCUCGCUCCCGCGGAACGCCCACCGCAGCCGCGGCACGUUCAAUACGCAAUUCCCGUCCACCAUUAUAAGCAUCCCCACCUCCCCCAAUCCCCUCCUCCCCCUCCCCCUCUCCCUCUCCCUCUCCUUCGCCUUCUCCGCGCCGCGCUCGCCAAGCUCGAUCGCGAUCUCCCUCUCCCUUCCCCCGAGCCGCGCCGUGGUCCGGUAGGUUCUAGNUAUAUAUAUAUAUAUAUAUAUAUAUAUAUAUAUAUACUUAUAUAUACAUAUAUACACAAUAUAGACGAUCACGAGAUACACGGACGUAGCUUUCGAUAGAUAAGGACUCAUUGCUAUCUUUAUCUUAAAAAAAUUUAACAAACUGAAAAUUUUAUCCUUUGUCACUUGGACUAGUGAAAAAAAAAAAAAAAAAAAAAAAUUUUUUAUACUCUAUUUAGAUGGAGAGGGGAAAAAAAAAGGACAGUUAGAAAGAAAAUUUUUUCUCUAUGUUCAAACUAAGUAGUAUCAUGAGAAUAAAAUUUUAUUUGUGUUACCGACCGUUCCUAGAGCAAAUGGCAAAGGGCUUGGUGGUUGAUACCCGAGACCCAAGUUCGAAUCCAAAUUGAUUCAUAUUUUCAGCCAAAUUUAUUUCUAAAUUAAAUAAAUGAAACGGACAGCGUGCUAUUUAUUUCUAUAAAAAAAAAAAAUAUUUGUGUUUCAAAAUUACGGUACAUAAAUGAAUAGCCUCUUACAUCUCUAGCUCGAUUAUUCUAAAAUUUUUAAUCAAAUUUAGUAAAAAUAACACCUUUUAACGACUAGAAAAAAAAUUCUUAUUGAAAGUACUUUUAAUAUUUUUAGAAUAAGAAUUCUUGCACAUGCCCGAAGGAGAGUAGGCGAUUGAUUAAUUAAUAAACACAUUGGUGCAUAUAAAAAUUUGGAAGUACAAAAAACUAUUUUAUUAUUAUACAUUAGUCGCCAAACGGUACGCCAAAGAAUUUGGGCGGUUGAGUUGAUAUCCAAACAGUGAUGCCGUGUUACAGAGGGAAAAAAACGAUACCAAAUCUUCAAUAGUGACUAAAGUGCAGGUUGGUAAUAUAUAUAUAUAUAUAUAUAUAUAUAUAGAGCAGGACUGCUGUGCUCUUAGGAGCACGGAGCCCUCCGUGCUUCUGAGCCGUUUUCGAUGAUGGGACUCUCAAAUCGACGAUCGGCUCCGUUAGACUUGAUCUAGCGUAUUUGAAGUUUCUAGAAAAUAAUUUUUGCAAUUUUUCGAUAUCAUUUACCUAGCAAUCGAAAGGAUUCAAAAUCAAUAAUUUUUAACGGCUGAAAAUAAAAAUCCUAUAAAAAGUGGUGAUAUAGCACUAAAAUUUUCGAUCAUAAAUAUUGAUCUUGUUGUAGACAGUAUAAAUAAUUUUGUAUCAAAAUUUUAUCUAAUUUGAAUACUUCUACACCGUUAAACUUGAAAAUGGCAGAUAUCAACCAUUCAAAAUUAUUGAUUUUGAAUCCUUUCGAUUGUUAGGUAAAUGAUAUCGAAAAAUCGCAAAACUUAUUUUCUAGAGACUUCAAAUACCCUAGAUCAAGUCUAACGGAGCCGAUCGUCGAUUUGGAUGUCCCAUCAUCGAAAACGGCUCAGGAGCACGAAGGGCUCCGUGCUCCUGAGAGCACAGCAGCCCUGCUCUAUAUAUAUAUAUAGAGAGAGAGCAAGGCCGCUGUGCUCUCAGGAGCACAGAGCCUUCCGUGCUCCUGAGCCAUUUUCGAUGAUGGAAUUUUCGAAUCGACGAUCGGCACCGUUGAAUACGAUCUAUACCACUUGAAAUAUUUAGAAAUCAAAUUUUAUAUAUUUUCGAUAUUGUUCUCUUAUCCAUCGAGUUGACACAAAAAUGAACGGCUGAAAAUAAAUAUUCAUUAAAAAAUGAUGAUAGGAGUCUUGUAAUCAAAAUCAAGAGUAUAGAUCUUGUUUUAAAUAGUUUAAAGAAUUUUCUAACAAAUAUUCAAUUGAUUUGGAUAUCUUUACGCCGUUAAACAAGAAAACGUCUCAUAUUGACCAUUAAAAUUACAAAUUUUAAAACCCUUUGAUCAUUACGCAAAUGAUGUCGAAAAGAUUUGAAAUUUGAUUUCUAAACACUUCAAGUGAUAUAGAUUAUGUUCAACGAUGCCGAUCGUCAAUUUGGAGGCUCCAUCAUCGAAAACAAAUGGGUGGCAACGGAGCCCGUUUGCUAUCGAUAGUAUUCUAGCUCAACUCUCUCUCUCUCUCUCUAUAUAUAUAUAUAGAGUGAGGCUACUAUGCUAUCGGAAGCACGGAGCCUUCCGUGCUUCCAGCUCGUUUUCGAUGUUGCGACUUUCGAAUCGUCGAUCGGCUCCGUUAAACUUGAUCUAGAGUAUUUGAAGUACCUAGAAAAUAAAUUUUAUAAUUUUACGAUAUCAUUUGUCUAGUGAACGAAGGGGCUCAAAAUCAACGGCUGAAAAUAAAAAUCUUACAAAAUGUAAUAAUAUGACAUUAAAAUUUUAAAUCAAAGAUAUUGAUCUUGUUUUAUAUAGUAUAAAGAAUUUUCUAUCAAAAUUUCACGUGAUUUGGAUAUUUCUACACCGUUAAACUUGCAAACGGCUCACUACGGCCAUUAAAAUUUGUUGAUUUUGAGCCCAUUCGAUCAUUAGUCAAAUGAUAUCGAAAAAUAAUAAAAUUUAUUUUCUAGGUACUCCAAAUACUCUAGAUCAAGUUUAACGGAGCCGAUCGACGAUUCGAAAGUCGCAACAUCGAAAACGAGCUGGAAGUAUGGAAGGCUCCGUGCUUCCGAUAGUAUAGUAGCCUCACACUCUCUCUCUCUCUCUCUCUCUCUCUCUCUCUCUCUCUAUAUAUAUAUAGUGGGCUGGUAUGCUUAUAUGGAAGUACGGAGCCCUCCGUGCUUCCAAGUUGUUUUUGAUGUUCGGACUUUCGAAUCGAUGAUCGGCUCCGUUAGAGUUGAUCUAGAGUAUUUGAAGUACCUAGAAAAUAAAUUUUGUGAUUUUUCGAUAUCAUUUGCCUAGUGAUCGAAGGGGCUCAAAAUUAAUAAUUUUAAUGACCAUGGUGAGCCGGUUGCAAGUUUAACGGUGUAGAAAUAUCCAAAUCACAUGAAAUUUUGAUAGAAAAUUCUUUAUACCAUAUAAAACAAGAUCAAUAACUUUGAUCUCAUCAUAUUUUGUAAGAUUUUUAUUUUCAGCCGUUGAUUUUGAGCCACUCUGAUCACUAGGCAAAUGAUAUCGAAAAAUUGCUAAAUUUAUUUUCUUGAUACUUCAAAUACUCUAGAUCAAGUCUAACGGAGCUGAUCGUCGAUUCGAAAGUCCGAACAUCGAAAACAAAAUGGAAGCACGGAGCCCUCCGUGCUUCCAUAAGCAUUCUAACCGCACUCUAUAUAUAUAUAUAUAUAUAUAUAGCAACUACAAAUAAUAAUUUAAUAAUAAAUAUAAAAUAUCUAUAAAAUUAAAAUAUUUUUAGUAUUAAUUUUUUUCAUAGUAUUAUGACACUUGCAAUCGUAAUUUUAUAAUAUUAUAAAAGUAAAAAAAAAACUGUAAGUAUUUUUAACUUUUUUAGAUUUUUUAUAGUAAAAGAUGGUGCUUCUAUUUACCAUAUUAACAUACUAGUCAUAACCAUCUAAGUUUAUUAAUUAAUACACCCAAAAUCAUAUCGAAUAUUUAUUUGAGAUUGGGAACAAUAAACAUACAUGUACAUAAUUAUCCAGAGAUAAAGUAGUGUACACAGCAAGAUUGUAGAAGAGGUAAACUAAAAAUAACACUCACUAAAAGCCAGGGCAAUGUGCCCUAGGGCGCAAGAUUAUACACAAAGUUACAGUACUGUUAUAGAUUCUCUGAUGUGACAUUAAAAAAAACUUAAAAUGCCUCGUAAUCCUAAUGAUAUAAUAGAAAUAAACAGUGCUAUUCAUACACCAUAUAAAUAAAUGUAAAACUUACGCCUAUAAAUUCUUUAUGAACUAUAUUAAUCCAUUUGUCUUAUUAAUUUUUUUUAACUAAAAACUUCAAUAGAAUAUUUUAAAAGUUUAAAUUAUAGAUGUAAGAUAUACAUCCUCUAAAAAGAAUGUAUCGACAAUAUUUUUUAAUAUAUAUACAAUAUUAAUUAUUUUAUUGAUAGUACAACAUUAUGUAGCUAAAAGUACUUUCCAAAAGGACUAUUAAUAAAAAGACAAUAAUAAUAAUAAUAAAGCGCAUAGUAAAGUAAGGAGUUAUGUUUUCUAUUUUAGGUUUUUGGGUAAAAAUAUACUGAUAAAAAAAAUAUUUGUUUUAUAAUUUUUAUUUAAGUCUUCAAUAAAAUAAACUUUUUAAAUGAACUAAAGUGUCCCUCCUCUAUAUCGGCAAGAUUUUAUUAGAAACUGAAAUAGAAGUCAAAGAAGGGUAAAACGUUAAACACUCUUUAAGUAAUAGAAUGAUAAACUCCCUCUAUGCUAUACAAAGAGUGUUGAAACUUAAUUUUCCGUAAAUAAAUAAACUUAGGGCUAGUUCAUGUCAGAUUUAUGUCCUCCAUGUACUUUUUGUAGUGAAGAAAAAAACAUGAAGGGAAAAUUAUUGGCAUAUUUUAUGCUUUUUUUUUUUUUGGCCUUCCUUGUGCAUUUUUAGAAUUUUAUUAUAUUUUAUUUACUUUUGUUUACUGUUCCGUUUUGUGACAAAUAAUGAUGGGAAUAGGUUUUAAACUGAUGGGAACAUAUUAGGAAAAGGGGGAGUCUCCCUCCGCCCACUCGUUUUUCUUAGCUAAUUUAGGCGAAUUCAGAACGAAUAAUUAUUAUUUUUUGUUUUUCGACUUCAACUUAUAGUUACUUCGCUCCGGACAGAUGUAUUACAGGAGCUCUAUCAAUACGGAUUCAUUUGCACCCCUAGUUUCGACCAAACCGUCUCGAGGAUCCGAGUUCUAUGCCUUCGCUCAGCGAUGUGGUUACCCCACCCACCACUUAUUUCGAAUGCCACAUUUUCCCCUCUGCAACAGUAACUUGCCAAUAUAGAAAAUACAAGAGAAUAUCUUCUCCGUACAAUGAUUAACUAAUUUAGCAUUUCUUGUGGGGGCUAAACAGAGGCCUCAUUUUCGCACUAUCGUAUGUCACACUACAUAUGAGUCUGAUUUACCAGCUGUGAGUAGCUCUAGGCCUCCGUGGCUCCACGUCAAAUUCGAAAUAAGACGCGUCACGUCGUUAAAAGUUUUAGAAAAUAUAUUUUGUAAUUUUGUCAAAUUUUCAAAUACUUCCAUUAUGUUUAAUAGCAGUUAUAUAUAUAUAUAUAUUUCAUUGCUCUAAAUGUAUAACGUACUGCACUGUAGAUCUCACAUUUUAAUUAAUUUGGUCCCAGAAACCCCUUUCCAGUGAUGCUUCAAAAGGAAGCUCAAUUAUGAACAGCUUGUGAAGGAAACGCUUAAAUAUUUCGUGUACAACGCAUGGCAAUUUAUAAAUUAAUUGGAGGUGGUAUAAAGUGUUGCUACGUUGCAUGAGGCGCGCAGCUUGUGUGAUUGAUGCUUUUCCUCUACCGGAACACAACUCAGGAAGAGCUUUUUUGUCUUGUAUAUAUAUAUAUAUAUAUAUAACCACAUCACGUAGAUUCUUAAUACCAUUUUUUAAUUAAAAAAAAUGGGGGGAAAAAAAAAAAAGCAGACCAUGAGGUGUUUGUGACGUUAGGUAGCGUUAUUCUUUGGAUUUAAUUAGGUGGGGAUUUAACGGGUCGGAUUCGUUAACAUCUUAAGGGGUCCGUGGUAUCAAUUUCUAGAGCUUCACGUCGACCUAUCGUUAAAGUUCAAAAGCACACUGAUUUGCUUAGCUACAGUGGGAUCUAAUUAAAGCAUGCGAUAGGUUUUGUAGCCUAAUUUUUCACCUAUUAUUCACUAAUAAAAGAAGUAACUGGGCCAAUGAUCAUGACAUGGAUAAUAUAGUUUUAACCUCCAAAAGUGAGAGGAGGAUCCAAGGAGUAAUCAAUGAGGGGUCUAUAUUUUGGACCCCCACCAAAUUUUAAAAUAAUAAUAAUAAAACAAAAAACCAAAAACAAAAAAUCAUGGUGCUUGACUUGCAUAAAUGAACGCCAUGGAUUAAUUAAAUGGAAUUAAUUGCCACCUAACAGAUAGAAUCCGUCGUCUAGCUCAUACAAGUUUUGUCCCCGCAUGCGCCACCCCCACCAACACCCAAUAAGAUCUCUUCAAUAUAAACCAUCAUUUUUUCCUUUAUUUAAUUAUUUGUUGAAUAUAAAAUAUCAAUACAAUUAACAAGCAGCUUAAAUUUUUAGAGAAAAUUAAUUAUUUCUAUAAUAUUAUCAGCACAUGUCGUAUUGAUAUUGAGUUCCACUAAAAUCUAAUUUUCACUAAUAUUGUCACUAAUAUUGUCGAACAAAUUUUGUCCCCACAUGGGCCACUCUCACCAUCCCCCAAUGAUCUAUUGAAUAUUCUAUUAUUUUUUUCCAAAAAAAUUAAUAUAAUAUAAUUAAUGAGCACAGCUUAAGUUUUUAGCGAAAAAAAAAAAUUUUUUUUAUAAUAUUAUCAGCACAUGAGGUGUUGAUAUUGAAUUCCAUUAAAAUCUAAAUAUUAUCGUACAAGUUUUGUCCCCAUAGGGGCCACCCUGACCAUCACCCAAUAAUCUCUUAUUCUCUUGCAUAUUCCAUCAUUAUUUCCUUUCAUCAUUUGUUGAAUAUAAAAACAUAAAUAUAAUUAACAAACAGUUUAAGUUCUUAGCAAAAAAUUAUUAUUUUCUAUAAUAUUAUCAACACAUGAUCGAUGUUUUGAUAUUGAAUUCCACUAAAUUCCAAUUUCGGUUGUCAACAUGUCUCUAUUCGAUAGACAAAAUAAGGAAUAUAUAAAAUAUUAAAAUAUUAUUAUUAUUAUUAUUUAAUAGCUUAUAUUUGUUACAAAAAAAACAUUAUUUUGCAUACUUACAUAAUGAUAUUCUAUUGCAUCGCUUAACAAAGGGCAGGAAUUGGCCUCUAAAUACCACAUGAAAAAAACAGUGUAUUUUACGUUUUAAUAAACAUCAUUAAUUCUCCAAUAGAUUUUUGGAAAAUAACAAUUAUUCCAUAUUAUUUAAUACAAUAUCAGAGCAUAAGGUUCUAGAUUCGAAUCAAUAUAAGCUUUUGAAGAACAUUUAUUCAUAUUAUGUAAUAUUAAUGUGAUAUAUUAGACCUUAGGUUUUGUUGACGCUUUGUAUAUAUAGACAUAUAUAUUUUUGUGCAUGCGACGGGUCUGUUGACUUAAUCCGAACUUUUGCUGUAAUCCAACACAUAACAAUUAAUUAAGUGAAUAAUUAAAAUGAGUGAUAGAUUGAUUAAAGAACAUUUGAAAAAAAAAAAAAAAAACAUUGCACCUUAUUUUUAGUUUUUUAAUAACUUAUAUUUAAAUAAACAAAAUAAUUAUUUUACAUUUUAGAGAAUGGUAUAUAUUGCGUUGCAUCACAUAUAAAAAAGGCAGGAAUUUGCCUCUAAACUCCACGUGAAAAUAAAGAAAGUAUAUUUUACGUUUUACCUAAGUAACAAAUAAAUGAUUAUAUUAAUUAAAAUCAUUUGAAAAAAAAAUAGAUGUUGUACCUAAUUACUAAACAUGAGUUGAUUGUUGUUCCAGCUGCUGCCUCUCCUCGAUGGAUUCAUGUAUCACGUUUUGCUAAACUCCAAUUCCGACUCGCGAACAUGUCUCGCUUGCGCACACAAAAAAGAAUGUUAAAUACAAAAUAUUAAAUCACUAUUUUUAGUUUUUUUUAAUAGCUUAUAUUAAUAAAAAAAAUUCUUUUUUUUUUUUAGAAAGAUGUAGCUAGCUAUCCGCUUCAUUUAUUAAGCAAAAUGAACUAAGCUUUCAAGAUAGAAGCAGUCAAGACUUCCGAGGGAAAAGAAAAGAGAAAACAAAAUAAAAAAAAAAAGGAAAAAGAAUGAGAAAUAAACAAACUAGAAUAGAAUGGUGUAAGAUGAGUAGUAGACUAUGCUCUGCAGAAUUUACUCCAAUUGGUCAGAAAAAGUUUCACAUGUUCCAACAAAUGCAGAAGAUUGGGGGAGGGGAUCUCACUUGGAAGAUAAAAAUGUUCUGCUUCGGUCCAGACAACCCACCAAAUAGCCGACAGUAGAAAUAGUCUCUUUUGUCUCAUCUCAGUAUCUUCUAGGUUGAAAAUCUUUCUCCAAAGUUCUCGAGCCUCCUCCGAGGGUUUGAGGAGUAUUUCUACUCCAUCUGCGCGGAGGAGAAGGUAUUUGACAUACACGCAGUUAAAAAAUAGAUAGUCACAGGUUUCCAAGUCAUUGGCACAGAAGACGCAAGCUUGCUCCUCAAGCCAUCCUCGGUUUCACAUUCUAUCAGCAGCUAGGAUUCUAUUACAGAGGAGUAAUUAACCAAAUGAAGACUUGAUUUUAACUAGAAUUGUCAAUCUCCAUAUAUACUAACUCAUCGGGUCUUUCCGUCCAGCAUCUGUAAGAAACGAGUAAAGUGAUUUGACAGUAAAUUAUUAGUUUGAAGUCCAGCGCAAGUUGAUCGAGCCCAAGUCCAACCUAUUGAUUGGGCAGAAAGGCUAGAGCAGGUCCUUUAAUUUCGAUAACUGACUGUCCCUUCUUGUAGAAUGGGACGACACGUAACCACAACAGAUAUAGUGCCAUCUCCAACCUUCCAAGGAAAAAAAUGCUUAUUUUACUUUUUUAACACUCAAGGCCUUUAGGGGCCAUUUGUCCUCAUUAGAUAAUGAUAUUAUUUCCAUUGCAUCACAUACAAAAAAGGUAGGAGUUUGCCUCUAAAAACCACGUGAAAAAAAUGAGAGCGCAUUUUGCGUUUUAUGUAAGUAAAUAAUUCAAAUAUAUGAUUAGAUUCACUAAAUAUCAUUUGACAAAGAAUAAAUAUUGCACCGAAUUAACUUAAACUAGGACAACAUCAAGGAAGAGUAAUUAAACACCAGUUGAUUAUUGUCUCAGCUAGUUGAUGGAUUAAUAUAUAUCAUGUUUUGUUAAAAUUCUCACUUCAAAAGAAAUCAAAUUACUAUAUUUUACAAUUAUAUGCAUCUAAUUAAGUUGGAUAUAUGGUGUGCUUGAUUUAUUAUCUAGUGAAAAGUUUGGUCCAGAUAUAAGUAUAAGUUACUGAUCACGUGCAUCGUGUUUCUCCAACCCUAAGAAAGUGAGAGAUUUUGCUCCAACCUAAACGUGCGUGAAAUUAAUAUCUCUUAAUUAAUUACCUCUCCAAUUUGUGUUGAUUGCAACAACUUUUUGGGACCACGUUCAAGGAUUGUUUGGUUUCAAGUAAAUUUAUCGAUUUUUUUUUUUUUUAGUUUGUUGUAAAACAAAGAGAUUUUGCAUCACAAAUUAUUUUAGUUUUCUGAUGUUAUGUUUUUUCUUUCAUUGUUUGAUUAUAUAAUAAAUUAUUUCAAGUUUUUAGUUAAAUAUAUGUAUUUUCAAUAUAUUUUAUACUGUGCUUUAUGCACAUCUAACGCUAUAUUUAUUGUAUAUAAUAUUAAUAUUUUAUACAUAUAUUUAUAUAUAUAUAAUGCUCGGUCCAAUGGGAAACCAAGUUGCACUUCUUACGUGGUCCACCAGGCCUGGCGUGCAUUUGUGGACCCGCUUGAGUGCUCCAAGCCUUGCACCGCAUUUUUAUUUUUCCCCCCUUCCACUUCAAUUUUCGGACUUUUUAGAGGGAAAAAUGAAAAAGUAAAAUUUUUAAGUAAAAUUGUAAAAUAAUUUUACACAAAAAGCUAUUUACAAGCAUCCAAAUGCUUAAAAAUUUAUUUUUCAAGACUAAAAUAAUUUUCAGCCUGAUUUUAUAAGGAUCUAACCAUUUUCUUAACUUGGCCGAUUUUUAAAUUUAGAAUUUCGAAUAUCAAUCAUCAAGUCUUUUACCAUUUGUGCUAUAUGGGUGAUUGGUUUUUGUGUACAUGCAAUACAAAAAUGAUACUGUUGAGGCUAAUUACUCUAGCUACUAUUAUAUUCAAAAAGAAAAUAUAAAGUCUCUUACAUUAAUACAAUACUGUUGAGUCAACUCAUGUCAUAAUUAAUUUCACCACACCAUUUUGUUUUGGUCAUUAUAAAAUCAGUUUUCAAUCUCCACUCCUGACCACCACAAUUGCUUGCGUUGAUGAAAUUUUACAUGCAAAAUCCAGUAACGAGUAUAUUCAAACAACUUAAUUCACUCAAUGCCAAUCAGAUCCAAACUUUUCAAUCACUUUUCAAGUAUCUUUGUGCUAUUUUGCUUCUUUAGUAGAGGAAUAGGGCUUGAUUUAUAAAAUGUGCACGUUAAAUUGCAUAUUCCACAUGCAAAAUUUCCUCUUCUAUCCGGGCAAUGAUGGAGACAAAACAAAAAUUGGCAACUUUUUGUCUUGCUCUUUGUAAAUUUUUGUAUUGAUCUAUGAUUUACUUUAGAGGCUUAAAGGCUUAAAAAUUCGAUUUAAAGAGUAAAGCUUUUCUCUCGCCCUUUUUUUAUUUUUUUUAUUUUUAUUUUUUCACAUCCAACAAUGCGCAUUCUCAUUUGAUCCAUUAUACAGAAUAUCUGUGUUGUUGGAGUAGAUACAUAAUCAUAUAUAGUAAAGUUGCAGGAGGUCUUAACUUUAAAUUAUAAUUACCAAAUUUUAAUUUCUAAUUAAAUUUCCUUCUAUUUAAUUAAAACUCAUAUAUUUAACCUAGUAAAAAAAAAAUCUCAAAUUCAAACAUGAAAGAAUUAUAUAAAAGACUAAAAUAGCAUUCUCUCAUAUGUGUUGUUGUUGUUGUUGUUGUUUUUUUUUUUUUUUUUUUUUUUUUUUUUUUUUUUUUUUGUGAGAGAGAGAUAGCUAGGUAGCAUGCUACCCAUUUAAUUCGUUUACUUUAUUUAGAAAUAAACUUAGCUGGAAAUGUGAAUCAAUUAGAAUUUGAACUUGAGACCUCGGAUAUCAACCACCAAGCCCUUUGCCACUUGCUCUAGGGACAGUCGGUGCAUUCUCUCAUAUGUUACUUUACAACAGAUGAGGCGGCCUGCACAGUAUAAAGUGCGCGGAAUUUCAACCUCACAUUAAAUAUCACCAUUACAUGCAAUUCAAAAUUCUUCGCAUGAUCGUUAUCAUAGAGAGAAAAGAAGAACUUAAAUCUGUUUACUUAUUAUACUUAUGAGCAAUGCUUCAAUACUCCGUUGUAAUCUUAGCCGUUUAUUUUUAAUCAAUGAAGGGUUAAGAUUUAUGCAUAAAAAAAGGUGACCUGCUAUUGCACAAGAAGUACCGGUCACCAGGUAUGUGAUUUAGGAGUUUUUUUGGAAAAAAAAGAGCUAAUAUAAAAAAUUAAAUAACUAAUAUUGGAAAGUUUUGCAUACUACCCUUAAAUCAUGGAGAUAAUAAAUUUUUAAUUAAAUUAUCCAUUUUUAAAGCGGAUUUUAAUAAAAAUUUAUGAUCGCAUUUGAGCCAUAAAUUUAGUAAUUUAUAAUUUAAAAUUAAUUUUCAAACAUCAAAACUUUAUGUUUAAAUAGUUAACAAAAUUUAUUUUUUAAGUAUAAUAUAAAUUAAAUCGAAAUUUAUAAUUUAAAUUUGAUCAUUAUUUUUGAAAUUUAAUGCUGUUUUUCAAUAUUGAAUUAACAAUUUCAACUUACUUUAAAAUGUAGAAAUCUUUUAUUUUAAAUAAAUAAUAAAUUGACAAUUUGAAUUGAAAUGUUUACUCGUUUAAAUAUAAAUUUUUCUUUCUAAAAUUUAAAUAUUAUAAAUACAAAGUUUAAACUCAAGUUAAAAUUUAAAUUCGAAUUUAUGAAGAUUUAUCACUUAUGAAAUUAGCCAUUAUCUAAGUUGGUAAGUAACAAAAUUAAAUUAGGAAAUGAAGAUUUGUUGGAUAUUAUUAAAUUUGGUAAUUGACUAAUGCAUAGUUUCAAAUAUUAUCUUUAUGAUUGAUUGGUAACCUGUUGAGCAGGUUACCAUUGUGUAAAAGUCAAUCUUAACCUUAAAAUUGAAUGGCCGGAUUUAAAUUGGCCGAUGUAUAGAAGUAUUUCUCAAAAAAAAAAAAAAAAAAACUUUUGGUGGGCUAAUACACCCAAAGGAGGAAAAAGUAUUUAAUGUGCUAACCAAUCAAUUGAUCGUGCUGAGAUUUCUUAAUUCGCAAAUUGUCUAUUCCUAUCGCAAAUUUUAGACUCAUAAUUUAGAAUAGAGAGAAAGGAAUCGAAUUGUCCAACAUGGCUGUGGUAUUAAUUAUUGAGUACUCCAAAAGAAAAUAGCGUACUACGCAAUGUCGUUAAUUAUUGAGUAUUCCAAAAUAAAACAGUAACUUGUGCCAUCGUACCUUGUCUUAUGUGGUUGGAUUGGCAUCUCUCCUAUUCCUUGGAGUAGAGUUUUGAAGUUUACAGGCGAGAAAAAUUAUUUUCAGUAUAAGAAAUACUUUUUCGCUUUUUUGGUUCGACGUUUUACGAAUUAAAAAAAAAAAAAAUUGAAGUUUUUACUUUACGUUAUUUUUCAGCAGAAAACGAAAAUUCAAGCUGCAUAAAACUUUUUUCAUUCUCUUUUUUUUUACCAAACCAAACAAAUGCGAAUUAUUUUUCUUUCUAACUAAAUAAAUAUUGAUGAAAAAUUAUAUUUUUCCUACAAAUUAAAUACUAUAAGACGUGAAAAAACUUUCCACUAAUGUUUUUACAUAAAAUAUUAUUUUUUACGAUUUUACGUUGAACCAAACGGGUCACGCUGUUGUUGGGGGUCAAUUUGGAAGUUCCUUGGGGUAGGAUUUUGAAGUUUAGUGGUAUGUGGGCAAAGAUCAUAAUUAAAAGGAAAAAACAAAAAAAAAAAAAGGUUAUAUCUGAAGUAACAUGCCAAAGAUGUGCGAAAUGAACAUCGCCUGCAAAACAAAGGUUUGGGUCAACUUUUUUGCUUGUGAACUUUUCUCAAACAGAACAGAAAUAAAAAACAAAAAACUUGUGGUUUGUGGUUGGUAGCUACACAAGAUAUAGAAACUUCUAGUUUAGAGCCUUUUCCCAGUUGUAGUUGGAAUACAACUAUCACCUUGUUAGGAGAUUGUGAAUCCAACCAAAGUAUAGGUUUUCAAACCAAUUAUGGUUCAAUUAUCAAAAUCAUAUUAUAGUAAUGCAUGUUUGGUAUCUAUCUAUCAAAAAUUUUGUUGUAACUAAAAGCUAAUAACAGUUGUAGUAGUAGUAGUAGUAGUAGUAGUAUUAGUAGCAGUUGUAGUAGUGGUGGUUGUAGUUAGGGGUGGCAAUCCAGCUCGCUGUUCGUGAGCCAGCUCGUGUUCGGCUCGAAAUGAGCUCGAGAUCGGCUCGCUCGUUUAGUAAACGAGCCAAACACGAGCUUGAUUUUUCAGCUCGUUUAAUAAACGAGCCGAACACGAGCUGGGGUCAGCUCGUUCGUGUUCGGCUCGAUAACAGCUCGAAUACAUAUAUUUUAUAUUUAUAUAAUUUAUUUAAUUUUAUACUUUUAUAUAAAAAUAAAUAUUAUGAUAUAAUAUAUUUUAUUAUUUAAUUUUACAAAAUAAAAUAUAAAAUGCGAUUAAUUAUUAAAAAGACUGAUUUAUAUGUAAAGUUUCAAACUAUUAGAUCAAAGUCUAAUAGAUAAGAUUUUAUAAAUUAUUUAUAUAUAUUUAAUCUAAUUUUUCUUUUUAAUUUAUUGUUCGUUCGCCAGCUCGUGAGCCAGCUCGUGUUCGGCUCGUUAAUAAACGAGCCGAACACGAGAGCUGAAUUUUUCAGCUCGAUACUUUAACUGAGCAGCUCGAUGUUCGGCUUCGUCUAAUAAACGAGCCGAACACGAGCCGACCCUAGCUCCGCCUCGUGUUCGGCUCGUUUACACCCCUAGUUGUAGUAGUCGUAGUAGUGGUGGUAGCUCUUCCUUUCUCCUGUGCUUCAUUUUUUUUCCGAUUUAGUUUUUUUUUGUUCGUCUUUUGUUUCGUCUCGCCCAUCUCGCUCCCCUCUUUCGGAAGUCCUGGCUGCUUCCAUUAUGUAAGUCUGAUUCAUUUUCUUAAUAAAUGAAACAGAUAGCUCGCUAUCUAAUUCUCAAAAAAAAAAAAACUAAAAGCUAAUAACAUGAGGCUUCAAAAACUCAAAAACAAACCGAAGCUCCAUUUUGAAGGUCUUUUACUUAGUAGUGUAGUAAGCAAUUGAUGCAGAGACUUUAACAAAAGAUUUAUGGUGCCUCUCAGAAAAGCUAUAUUUCAAUAAAAAUUUUGUAAUAACUCACCGGCCAAAAUAGCUCGAAAUCUGAAACCAAGAACAGUGACAUUUAUUAAGUGGUAGUUGGACCGAAUCCACUUAUUUGCACACAUUUCUUGCAGAUCUAAGGUUGGUGUCUUAAAUCGUAAUGGUAUGGUCCUCCCAAAAAACUUCACAUACAUUCCCUCUACAUAUUUGACAGUGUUUGGCUCAAAUAUAAGUAAAAACUGUUUAUUUCAGGAAUAGAUACAAGUUCAGAUAUAAACAAGAACUAGACUAAUUUUGCGUUUGGAUAAAAACUCAGUUGUUUUUGGGAAUAAGAUAAGAACAAGAUGAAUAAGAGUUAUAAUUUUAAAUAAAAAAUAUUUUAUCUAAUUAAUUAAUGACAAAAUAUUAAUUAAAAAUAUUUUAAUAAGUUAAUAAAUUUAUUAGCUAUGAAUAUUGUAUAAGACAAAAAGAAUAUAUUAAUUAAUUAAUUAAAUAUAAAGUAUAAUUUAACUUUUUACUUAGUUGGUAAAUUAUUUUAGUUAUAUAACUAGUAAAAAAAUUAAUUAUAUUAAAAGAAAUAUUAAUGGUUGAUUAAUAUAAAUAUUAGUUUAUGAAUAAACACAUAAAAUUAUUAAUAAUUAAUUAGCUAAUUAAUUAGAAAUAAUAAAUUAAUUAAUUACUUUUUUAUUUAAGUAAUGAAUAAUUAUUUUUAAAUAUAUUGAUUAGAUUAAUUAAUGAUUUAAUACUGUAAUUAAAACUAAAUUUAAAUUUGAAUUAAUCUUGUUUCCACUUGGGAACAAGUUUGUUUCAGGGAAAAUGCUGGAACUGCUGUUUCAGUCUUAUAUCAGUUUAUUUUAAGAAUCCGAGAACUACUGUUCUUAACUACUAAAUACAACAUUUGGGAACAAAAGAAGGAAUAAAGAAAGGAACAAGUGCUUAUUCCCCUCUUUAUUUUCGAACCAAAGGAGGGCCAACGAUCCCUAGAGCAAGUGGCAAAGGGCUUGGAAGUUGGUAUCCGAGACCCAAGUUCGAAUCCUAGUUGAUUCACAUUUCCAGCUAAGUUUAUUUCUAAAUAAAAUAAACGAAGCGGGUAGCAUGCUACCUAUCUCUCUCAAAAAAAAAAAAAAAGAGGAGGGCCAACGAUCCAAAUUGUCCACAAAAGUAAGGGCCCCAUGACAAAACCCUCAAGUUUUGAUCUGAUCCAAUCAAUCAAUGUUGGGUGAUUCUUAUUGCAAAGGAUCCUGACCUAACUCAUUGCAUAUGGAUCUUCCUUGCCAUAAAAGCCCAAGCAACAUAAAUGUCAUUGGUUGUGUUCCAUUAAUAAGUGUUUUCCUUUUGCUUUUGGUUUUACCUUUUUAUUUUUAAAGUUUCAAAUUUAGUGAAGUAAUAGAUGAAGGGAUUUAGGUUGCAUGGUCCUUUCAUAUAUAACUCGGUAAAUAAAAACUUUGAUUGCUUUGAUCGCUAACUUGAACUAUAUACGAUCCAGUUAUUCUAAUAUCAUCAAAAAAAAAAAAAAACUAUAUUUUCUUUCAUUACUACGUUUUUGCGUUGUUCCCACACUUGGAUCUCUGGUGCACCACUACUGACGUGGUAAACCAAGUGCAUGCACCAUUUUCUGCGAAAGAGGAAACGUUCAGAGGAGAAUGCGUGGCAUAGUUGGGCUAGGCUCGGACCAUGGUCUCAUUGAGCCGGGCUAGAGUUUAUUGGGCUUUGCACGAGCCCAAAACUAGCCGUUAAUUAAUAAGUCUAUUAUUUUGGCUACUCUCGUUUUCAACCAUAAAUAGAAAGUUUUCAAUUCUGGUCGGGGUAAUCCGUAAGCUUUGACCUAUGCACCGUAAUUAAUGUAAGAUGAUUUGUAUGUUAAAAUUAAAUUUUAGUUUGACAAACGUAAUCUGCUAAAUCGACGAGUCCAUCUAUGAAGCUUACAAGCUUUGAAAACUUAUUAUCCAAAUAUCAAAAUAGUUCUAAACAUUGCUCGUUUGAUAAGCACUACUAAUAAUAAGUGCGCAUUAUAACUUGUUGGCCGUUGUGCCGAAUUAAAUUGUAAUCUCGAGAAUCCACAUUCGUGAUUUUAUGUGUAGAACUCGGUGCACCAAGUGCAUGCAGUAAUUUCUCUCGUAAGCCAAGGAAACUGAUGCUACAUGCCGGGCAUUCAUAUAGAUCUGGUACGACACAUCAGCCGUGGACCACCAAAUCAUUACCAUCGUAAUCUUUACAUAAUUUAAAAAUUAUAGUGGUUGAACCUAGGCAGCUCAUAGCUGAUAUGGUGAACCAGGCGCACCCAUUAUUAUCGAUAUCAUAAAGUCAAAAUUGCAUAAAGUUUGAGAUUGCGGAAAGAUUACGUUGCAUGUAUUGAAAAAGUACGAUAGAAAAAUACUCUGUUUGUUUCCGAACGUAAUAUCGCGUUCCGCAUAUCACAAUGAAUCAGUUAUAAUAUAUUUUUUACGGUCCAAUCGGGGAACGUAAAAAUAUAUCCCUAAAUACUUUUCUCCUAACUCCAUUUUAUUUAAUAGCAUCAAAUAAACCUCAAUACCAAACUAAGCCUAAGCCUCCUCCCAAUGUUAAAAAUGAAAUAAUCCAGAUAGGUCCUUCACCAAUUAGUGAGUCUCAAGGCUGAGAAAAAAACCUUAUUAGAUAACCCAUUGGGCCCACUACUGGACUCUUCUCACUGGGCCCAGUGCACAGAUUUACACCGCAUCGCCCCCUCCUGUGCACAGGUUUGGUCCACUAGUUCCUUGGGCGAGACCGAAUCCUAUUUGUUAUUGGGCUGAGCUAAAGCUUCUAUUGGGCUCGAUCUUUUAUCCCAAAUAGAACCCUAAUUUCUGCUGCGCAGGUAUUAGCCAAAAGUAUUUUCAUAAAAUAAUAAUAAUAAAAUAACAGAUAUCAGUCGCUAGAUUUUUCUUUUCUUUUUAAUAAAAAGAGCGCCCAAUAAUAAUGAUCUUAGUAAGAAUGAUAAUAGUAAGACCAAUAAUAAUGAUCUUAGUAACAAUGAUAAUAGUAAGUUCAACACACUACCAACCGUAGAUCCGUGAACAAACACAAUGAAAAGAACCCAGAAUUUGGGCGCUAGUAUCAAAAGCAACAAAAAGAAUCCUUCAAGGCUAAAAGAAAGCAGUGCCUGCCAUUUAAAAAGAGUACGAAACAUACCGGGGUACAACUAACACAGUACCUGCAGCAGCAGCAGCAGCAGCAGCAGCAACAAAGGCGAGCUGAAUAGGGUGCGUGCAAGAGAACUCUAUUGCUGGGCGCAUUGAACCCUUGGAGCUGCAUCCUCGUCUUCAUCGUAUGCUUCCUGCUGCUGCUGUUCUAACCGUCUGCGCCUCAUCUCCACUUCAAUAUCCACGUCGUACAUGGUCGUCUCCUCGCAAUUCUGUAGCGCUGCAUCCGACAGUUGGCUGCUGCCGGGCCUACGCGGCAGAAUCUUCUCCAGUGCACGGCACUGAUCAAGAGAGAGCAUCCCUGAGUCAGGGAGCUCGACGUUGAAUUGGACGUAGAGGCGGCCCUUCAUGAACGGCCGGCCGUGGUGGGGCAUGCCCUCGUCAUCGAUCGCCUUGUAUUGACCUAAAUUUUAAAGUGUGUCAGAGUCGGAGGGUACAAAAGUAGAAUCAGCAAAUUUGUUUACAUGUUGGUAGAGGAUAGAGAAGCAAAUUGAUAGGAAAGUAUACCUGGCUUAAUGACUUCCCCAGGAUUCGACUUGAUUAGCAGCUGUCGGCCAUCAAGAUGGAUGAGAGUGAAUUGGAAACCGCAAAGUGCCUCUGUCAGGCUGAGUGUAUGGUCGAUGUAGAGGUCAUCAUACUUCCUCUUAAAUUUAGGGUGCUCUUUAACUUGCAAGACAAUUACUAUAUCUCCUGUUACUGUAUCAGGCUGCAAUAAUUGUAGUAGUGUUAACGACUGAAAAUACAAGCCAACAUUGAUCCAACAUAGAAACAUAUAACAAAACCGAAAGAAUUAGCCUCCCCCCCAAAAAAUAAAAACUAAUUAGAAAUAGCUCAAAGCUAACAAUUGCAACAAAGAAUUAAAGCAAGGGUCGGGUCGACAAGUACUCACAGCUUCAUCAGCUUCUCCUUGGAAUACAAUCUUCUGGCCAUGCUGCAUCCCCUUCUCGACAUGAACCUCCAACACCUUCUUCUCCUGAACGACUUUGUUACCCUUGCAGUUUGGGCACUUGUCUUUGUCGCUGAUGACCUCGCCUGCAUAACAACAACAUAAUUGGGAGAUGGCGAAGGAACCAAAGGGAAAAAAAGAAGAAGAAAUGAGUAGAACCAAACCAAAAAUUGGUACAAAGCACUGCACGAAACUAACCUGAGCCUCUGCACUCUGGGCAAACAUGUUGCAUCUGUUGGAUCAUGCCUAGUCCUAUCUGUCUAGUCACUGUCCUCACUCCUGAACCUUGGCAUCCGAAGCAUCUUCCUGAUGCACCACUUUUCGAACCUUUUCUGAAUAUUAAUGAAUGUAGCAAGAAACAUAAGAACUGAGAGAGACUAGUAAAACGGGGAAUUAAAAGUCACUUGGAAGGAACAACAGGGGAGAACACUGUCAUCAAAUUGCUUCAUAACCAGACCUAAACAUAGUAUAGAGCCUCGUAAAAAAGGAAUUAGUGUCCUGCUAAUGAAGCGCAUAGUAGCUAAUUAGAAGCAAAGAAUAGAGGAAACUUAAAUGCUGAGAAGACGUCUACGCACAACUUUUUACAAUCUAACAAAACUUUGUUACUAAGUCAACCUCGUUUACCAAACCUCAGGACUUGAUCUAGCAGUAGAAAAGGAACUAAAAAAGUGUUUUAGUUGACUGCAAUAAUUUGUCCAAAAUAUCGAGGAUUGGAGAAAAAAAUGACUAGCACCAAUAGUCAACCACAUCACGCAAACUUAAUCCUGAAGGAUGUUUGUUUAGUUUAGAUUGUUGCGUUAGGCUCUUAUUUAAACCGGAUUACUAGAUACCUCGAUAUUCACGAAUGCAAUGGUUACCUACCAAAGUAACGGAUGGAAACAUGACGUGUCAAAUCUUGUUCUUGCAAUUAAAUGUUUUGCUAACUAAAAGGGAAAAAAGAAAGAAAAAAAAAACAUCAACAAGCACUUACUAGUAAUUGCACAGGCACAUUCAUAUCCAAAAGGUAACCAUCAGAGCUUAAUGCAUGAUCCCGUGAGUUUAACUCAAUUUUCAUCCCAAUCUUAGAAAGGAAUGGCUUACGCAAUUCACACCAAGAGCAGCUCUUCAUUUAUGUUCAAAAUUGAAAAUAUGAAUCAAAAUCAACUACUUGUUGAAGAACUUUUAUGAUGACAUUUAAAUAUGGAUAAGGGCAUCAUCAACAUUAAAGAUCGAGCUGAUGGAAUCAUUAGUAUUCUAUGCACAUGCAUAAUCCACCAAAAGAUAAAUGCACAGAAACCUUAUAGGUUCCUAAACCAAAAGCAGAUGAUUGUUUUCUUAACUCAAAUAAUGGAACAAAAUUUGCAGUAACGUACCCUUUGCACUUAGGGCACAGCACGUUUCUUGACAAGGAAAGCUUCUUAGAUGUACCAUUAUACAAGUCCUCCAAAGAAACCUUCAGCGAAUGAACUACUUCUUCGCCUUUUCUUUGCCUGUGACCUCUGGAACUACCACCUUUCAUUGAGACAGCAAGAAAAUGUAAAUGAAUGAUCUUAAAAAUAGGAAUAAGAAAAGGAGAAAAAAAAAGACAUAUCAGAUUAUCCCUACCACCACCAAAAGAACCACCACCAAAGAAUUGCUCAAAUAUAUCAAAUGGAUUGUGUGAAGCGCUGCCUCCUCCCAUUCCCUCUUUAAGCGCAUCUUCCCCAUAUUGAUCAUAAAUCUCCCUCUUUUCUGGAUCACUAAGAACCUCAUAUGCUUGAGCCAACUCUUUAAACUAUUUGACAGCGACAACAAAUAGGAAACAAGUCGUCACGUCGAGGUACAUCAAACAUCAUAAGUUACACCUAUAAAUAGGACUAAGAAAACUGCAUAGACACUAUUGAUAAUCCAAUAAAAACAAAAAAUGGUGCAAAUAUCAGAUAAAUUGGUUCACCUUCUCUGGAUCGCCACCCUUGUCAGGGUGGUUCUUUAUAGCGGCUCUCCUAUAAGCCUUCUUAAGUUCAUCUUGGCUUGCAGUCUUUGGCACACCGAGAAUCUCAUAAUACUUGGUGUUGUCACUUUUCCUCUGAGCGCGCCCAAACAUGAUCACAACUUUAUGGUGAACUUUUCUUGUCUAGAUAUUUUAUUGCCUAUAAAUGUUAACAAAGAGAAUUUUAAUAAAGAAAGAAACCAUAUUUUUACCAAAUCAUAAGUACUAAAUUCUCUGAAAACAAAUGUCCCAAACCUACUUGGUGGUGUUUGAAUGCAAUAAUGUCUAACAACAAGGCUAUUUGCUAUGAACCAAAAGAAAGUUUCCGUUUUUAGGAGUUUUAAAGCAUAACUCCAAAAUACUUCAUAGAAAGAGGGGGAAAAGAAAAACUAACCUAACUCUUGUUAAAAUCUAUGGCAACGGUCUACAACUACAUAGAAAUUAAAAUAAACACUACACUUUUCGGCUUUUCCUGCUUCUCCUAACAAUCACCAGUGAAUUCCUUCAAAGAAAACAAAAUCGUCUAAGUACUUCCCACAAAAUAAGUUUCAAGUUUGUAGAAACCUAGAUCGGACUUGGGGGAGAUCGAUUUUUACGAACCUGCAUGAAUUUAUUCGAUUGGAAAAAAAAUAAAAAUUUGGAAACAAAUGUGUAAGAUAAUAAAGAAACCGUCGUUUUUUGUUCGCUCCAACAAAAAAAAAAAAACGACAUAUUCAUCAAAUAAAUCUUCCCAAAGCACACAAAAGUCGAUCUUUUCCAACAACUUCCAAACAAAAAAAUAAUCGGAAACCAGUUUGGGACACUAGAAAAUAGAGAGAUCACGAAAUCAUUUGAUGAAUUUACCUAAUUCGAGGUCGGGAGACGAAACCCUAGCCCAAUUUGGGGAUCGAAUUGGUGCGGCGGAGGCGACGAAGCGAGAAAUCGACGGAGAUAAAAGGCUUCGCGAUUUCGAGGAGAGAGAAGGAGAAAAUGGAGCGUGGGGACUCAAUAAAUAGGCGCUUUACGCGUAUAGUUUGAGCUCGGGGGCCGUGGUGCGAUCUCGACCGUCCGAUGUUCCGAAGCGGACCGUCGAGAUUAUCGUGGGAGACGUAUGGGUCCUGCUGGGCACUCGACAUCACUAAAAACCAAAAUCCCGUAGUCGCCUCCUUUUGUUGACCCCGUACACUGAAGAAUUCCUUUUUUUUUUUUAUUUCUUUUUUUCGGGGCGGAAGGAAGAGAGAAACGCUUUUGGUAAUCGAAAAAGAAAAUGAAAAUAUCUUGGACUCUUUAAUCACGUGUACGCCGUGUUGUAUUUUUCAAUCGAGCAAUUAAUUAAUUCUUCUAAAUGACCCCAGAUACAAUUCACCUUACCGCUGCAUAACAGAGAUGAUGAUGAUGGAAGUGAGCUCUCGGCCGAAGCGGCGAAGUAUGAGCCCCAUGAGUUAAGGUAAAGCGAAUCAAAAUAACGUAACUCGGGUUGCCCGUAUCAAAAUUGUAAAUGUAAGCAUAAUAUUGACUUUCACCACAAAAACAUGUAAGAUGUAGAAUGAAGUUCGUAAAAUAAUCUUAGUUGUGAUGGAUGUACUCAAAAAUGAAAUAUUAUCCAUAACAAAUUAUCUUUCUGGCGACCAAGAAAACUUAUUAAUAUCUAAACAUGAGAUAAAGAAUGAAGAAAUAAUCCACAGACUCCCUAGCUGCGCAAUAUUUCUAAAGCAGAUGACCACACCCAAUCAAUUAGCAGAAUAAUGACUCUAAUCAGUUCCGCCAGAAGCGAAUAUCUCGGUCAGCUCUUCAGCAUGAAGUGCUAUGCUGAUGUACACUCUCAGGCAGUUUCUGACAUGAGCAUCACCAAAUAAUCGAAAAUUGCCCACUUCAUGAUUAGCAUAAUCAGCCCUGACAUUGUGAACCAUUAAAUUAUAUCUUCGUGACAACCCUUUUUGAAGGAGAGAACUGAACUCUCUUGCUCUGCCUAAAGCACUCGGACAAACAAGGCAGGGAAAACACCAGUUUAUGAUUUACAGGCAUUGUUUCUUCUCAUAAGCUCUAUGCUUGUUGCUAUAGUUGAUCCAGCAGUCCCCACAAACCCUAACGACGCACAACUACAUGCAGAUUCUUCCACAUAUAACAAAAUAUCCGGCAAAGAUGAUGGAUCACAAAUCCUUUUCUCAUUAUUUCCAUCAACAAUUCUAGGAAGGAAACCAGAUUUCAAGCCAUGUUCCGAAGCCAUGAGCCUCUCAGCGGCUUUCAAUACUAAAUCAUCACUUUCUUGAAGGGUAUACAACUUGUACUGCUCGUUUUUCUCAAUUUCCCCCAGGUAAGUUUGGGUCCAGUUUGCCCUAGGAAGAUCCGUCAUGAUGAAGAUGUGAAUUGGACCAUUCAGCUGGUUCUCCUUGGCUUCUGAUUGAAGAGACAGCAGCUUCUGCUUUAGUUCAGAAAAAGUAGUUUUCCAAUGGUUCUUGAACUGUCCAUCUAAUAACCUAAGUUGGGCACAAAGAAAUGGCUUCUUUAUACUCGCAGCAAAAUCCUUUCCUGCAGCCAUAAUUUCUGAUACAAAUGGAAGGAAUUCGAUCUGUUUAAGCAACGACUGAAUCCUCGAGUCUUUUGGUGAUUCAUGGAUGUCAAUGUAAAGCUCAGAACCCUUGUAUGGUCCCGAGAAAAGGGUUCCAAAAGCCAAAACAGAGGAUGUUUCGGCUUCUGAACCGGGCCCAAAAGCCUUGUGAAUAUCUCUACGCUUUCUAAUAUAAGAAAUUUUCUUCUUCUUCUGCAACUCUUUGUCAGGCUGAAAAGAGUCUAAAGCCCCAUCACUAUUUUGUUGGUAUGUCCAGACUGUUGUUCGACAGUCCUCUUCUACAGUAUAUACACAGUGGUCGACAUUACCAUGCAGACCAGAUAACAAUGAUCUACACUGAUCAAAGUUGCCUGAUAAAGAGCCAGAACCCGACACAGCACAACAUAAGUCACCGAAACAAGCUUUUUCCAUAUUUAGGCCACACCACAUUGAAGCAAAUACCCUAAAAUCAAUCGUUUUAACCACAGUUGAUGAUAUUGAAGAUAUAUCAACAAUAUCAGCCAUUGAUACAUACCUGGAAUACAAAACAAGAAAUAAAAUAUAUUUCGCAAAAUGGAAAGAUAAAAAAGCUACAAUAUUUGAUAAUUUGUUGUUCAUGUUUCACAACAGAAAAGUAGAAAAAUCUAAACAGAACCAAUAUUUACUAAGGAACAUGUUAGUUAAGGAUUAAGACAACUUAAGAAGUACCAUAUCAGUGCACUUGCAAGGGAUUGACCUCAUCAAAUAAGAACGUCAGUCAUAAACUUACAUUCUCCUCCAACAGAAUUGCUAAUAACUAAACGCUCACCACGAGACUACAAAAUAAAAUCAUUUACUCGAGAGGCCAUCUCUUAAGUAGUGAAAAUACAAUAGUCCUUCGCUGAAGGCCUCUCAAGUUUCAACAUGCAACUUUCUUAAAAGCAUCAACUAACACCAAGUAUCAUGCAGAACAUAUAUUUUUAAUCUGGAAAAAUGAAACUGACAUGGGCGGACAUUUCUGUACCUCAGUGGAGAAAGCUUACUCUCAUUGUUUAAGCAUAGAAAUUUUUGCCAAUGAUAAAAAAUAACUGCUUAAAGAAAAGUUUUCACGCUUGGCUAUAGAACCACACUAAACUUUGCACUUGCUUUGACCUCGGCAUCACAAAAAGUGACACAUGAAUCAGAUAUCACCUACGAGUCAUGCUAAGUAAUUCAUAAUGCAAACAAAGUCUCCUAAACCGUCAUUGCCGAUUUGAGUGCACUCGAUGAAAAACCUGCUAGAGAGAGGCAGGCAUGCAAUCUUCGCGAACAAACUCAUAUAUGAAUCAUGAGAAUUCCCACAAUCCUUUAUCAAAAUCAUGGACUACGUAAACGAAUGGCAAUUGAUUUUCCUAGCAUCUAAACUGAUUAUAAUGACCGUGGCCAUAUCUCUCAUCGAUUCAACUUAAUUAGCUACUCCCAUCACACUUCCAAAAGAUAAAAAGCAUAUCAUAAUCGAAACAAUUAAGCAACACAAGAAGUUGACGAGGCCGCUCACCUCCGAUCUCGGAUCAGGUCCAUGAUGUGAUCCCACACGGCGGCGCGGAGCUCGGCGGGGGCGGAGACCCUGAACUUAGGGCAACUGCCGAGGGCGACGGCGUGGUGGUCGAGCACCGGGGGAACGACGAGGGUGCGGUUGAGGAUGGCGGCGACGACGGCGGCGUUCUUGAGCUCCCCGACCUGAUUGCUGAAACCGCUGUGGGGGGCGUACCAUAGGAACCGCUCGCCGGAGAGUGCUCCGCCUCCGCCGGCGCCGCAUUGGUGAUCUAGGGUUUGGCGAGGGGAGGAGAAGGGGAGGAGGGAUCGGAGGAGAGAGGAAUAGGAGGAGGUGAGAAGGAAGAGGAAGAGGAGGAGAAGGGAGAGGGGGAGGAAGGAGAGGAGGAAGAGGAGGGGUUUGCUCCGUUGUGUUCGCUUCCUCCACCGACUUCGGCUCGCCGCUGACCAAUCCAUUGGGGGAAGAUCCAACUCACUUACGGUCGCAACCUGGUUUUCAUCUCAGUUCUUAUUAGAAGUUAGAACUGGAAAUUUUUACAGUGGUACCCUCAAAUUUACGUAUACAAGUACUAAUCUUUUUAUUUAAAAAGAUUAUGAAUAAAAAAAUAUGUGAGUAUAAGUUAAAUUAUAGACCACGAAUAUCCGUAUAUAUUUUUUAAUUUUAAAAUAUAUUUUUAAUUAAAAGGAGGGCUUUUUUUUUUGCAAAUAGUCCUAUGAUAAAAUUUUAUUUUAAAAUUAGCCCUGUCAAAAAUUUAUUUACAAAAAUGGUUCUGUCCCUGCCACGCAAGCGCCACGUCAGUACCACGCGGGCGGGGCAGGACUUUAAGUUGAACACGGUGAAUGAUUCAUCGUGUCCAAUAUGAUAUUUGUAUUGGACACGGUGAACUAUUCACCGUGUUCAACUUAAAGUCCUGCCCCGCCGGCGUGGCGCUGACGUAACGCUUGCGUGGUAGGGACAGGACCAUUUUUACAAAUAAAUUUUUGAUAGAGUUAAUUUUAAAAUAAAAUUUUGUGAAGGGGCUAUUUGCAAAAAAAAUCCAAUAAAAGAAUAUUUUUUUCUGUUUAUCAAUUCUUAAAAACCAUAAACNAAUUUCACCGUCCUUUUUUUUUUUUUUCUGCUGUGUCCACCUCUUCUACCAUACUCUCUCUUGCCGCACCGCUCUACCAUCCUCGAGCGGUCCAGCUUAUUAUAUGUAAAAUACUUUAUAUAUAUAAUUUAUGUCUUAAAAUUUUAUUAUAUACUGUGAUUUAAAUAAUAAAUUAUAUUACGAUCUUUUAACAUGGAUGGCUUAAAUUUGAAGCUUAAUUGCUUCACUUCUCAAGCUGAAUUUAUUUAUUUAUUUAUUUUAAAAAAAAGGUCGGAGUAGCUGAGCUAUGCCUUUCAAGGACCUCUCAAAACAGUUUGCAUAUUGCUACGAGUCAUUCAUUUCAAAACUGAAAGAGUGAAAUUCAGUUCCUUAUCAUUAUUUUUGGAAGAAAAACAGAAAACAUGCAUAUUUACUGCAAUCAACUUGGACUUGAACCUGACCAAUUAGUAAUUACAGACACCUUAGCAAUUCGAUUCAGCAGUAUACAUCUUGGAACGACAGAAUCUUCCCAAUAGAUAAUCUGGUAGUACACACAGUAUUUAUUCAAUGUGUACCAGUUGGUUAGGAAGAGAAUUUUGUGCCUAACAUACAAAGAUAGUUCACCUUCGAUUUUAUAUAAAUUCUAUGACAUUUUGAACACAAAUGUAUAAUAUUCUGACAACUAACAAGUAACAAGUUCAUCAGUCACAUUCACUGUCAAACUAAAUCGGCUUCUUAUUUAGAUGAGUAUGAAACUCUUAAUCGCUCCCUGAGGUAGUCACCGCUGCGGAUAGGAGGGAACCUGCAAGACAGCUUGUCAAAAAGGAACUACUAAGCAGAACAGAACACUUGCUACAGCAAAUAUUUCUGGAAUCUCGAAACUGGCAAAAUUCUCAGCAAAAUGUCUUGAAUAUAGAGAAAAUAGUCAAUUUAGAAUUCAUCUGAAAUUUACAUAUUAAUUUUGCUUUUUUGCAAUUGUCGUAAACAUGAUUCAGUCUAGGAUGUUUCUACUGGACGGUUGCCAUGCCAUGCCCAUAAAUGUUUUUUCGUUCGAUUUUGCCUUUUCCUUUUUCUUUCCUGCCUGAUUUCAUAUGAUCUAUGUGCAUUGCUAUUUAUACAUUUCAGUGGAUGCAGUUUCUCUUGUCUCUCAGAAAAAUGAUUUCCCACUAUUGUGUCUGUGUGUGUGUGUAUGCGUAUGCGUGUGUGUGUGUGUGUGUGUGUGUGUGAAUAUCUUUUGCUUGAGAAGAGGGGGAAAGAGUGGGGGCAAGGGAGAGCGCCCGAGUNGAGAGAGAGAGAGAGAGAGAGAGAGAGAGAGAGAGAGAGAGAGAGAGAGACCUCGGAGGAGAUGUCUUGCUGCAGCAGCUUUCCAAGCACUCUACCACACAGUCAUAGUUAGGAUCAAGAAAGAAGGCAACCUGAGACAUUUGUAUCUUUGUCAGCAGAAUAUUACACUACAGUUAGUGAAAGAGCACAAAACUUUUGUCAUAUUUUGCCCGCUGUUGGUGUAUUCUCAUGAAGAGAGAGAAGCCAUAUAUUUUUUCAUUAAAAUAGGUUUAAUUAUUUUUUGUGUUCUCUUUAGGUCUAAGUAUGAUGUGAAUGAAAUUUAGUCAAGUACUAAUCCAACAAUAGACCAACUAGAGAACAACAGUGAGCCCCAUGAACACAGAGUCAGUAAUUACAGAAUAGCGUUCCUUUCCAAUAACAAGGACUCGAUGUAGAGUUGAUCUGCAAAAUGGGAAAAAAAAAAAAAAAGCAUCAUAAAAAGGCGGAGGAACAUAGUACUUGUGAUUUCACAUCAAGGAUGUAUGUUAAACAGACAAGGGAACAGUAGAUUGAAAGAUGGACAUAUUUGACAAUAGCCAAAGCAUUCUUAAUGAAUACGGUUGCAUAUAGGAAAGACAGUUACCGGAAAAUACAAUUGGUCCACCUUUCCAACAUAUCACCAAUGUUAACAAUCAACGCCCUGCAGGUAAAGGAAUCCGAGUUGACAUGUAUCAACGUGAGGAACAUCCAAUGCAUGAUGCUGAUUCUUCCCGAUCAUACUCUUUAUCUAAUAAAAGAAAGUGAUGAUUCUUCUUACCCAUCAAUAUGAGAAACAUCCUCCCAGAGCUGUGGAUGCUUUUCCUUCUCCCUGCAAAUCUGUAUAUUUCUAAACGAUUCACCAAUGAAUUGUCUGGGUACUAGAGGGCAAAACAUAAGCUAUUGAUAACAAUGGAAAUGUGUCUUCAUGACAUGCCUGGAGACCGGGGACACCAUCUGUUGCCAGAAGUGUUACCAUCCCGUAGUCUGAAUGGGCCGACGCACCAUAAUUACCUUUGUCGGAUGCACCCAGUUCGCCUGAAUGGCAAUGUUAGAGACAAUGUCAUAACAAGAACACCUGAGAAGAUUUAAUAGGAUCUUACAAUGGUUAGAAUAUUUAAGGAAAAAACAACGAAAAUAAUGACCAUCAAAGGUCUCACCAACUUCAGAGAUAAUUAUGAGUCUAAUAAAUUCUCAAACUCGACAAAAUGAGAAUAGCUGAACAGCCAAUCCACUUGGCAUGGGAUUGCUGAGUACAUAACAUAUAUACAAAGAUAUGACGCAAGAAAGAAAUAUUAGAGAUGGAUAAGGUGAAGUUAUUCGUUUGGUCAACAGGUGCCAGGUGGGCUCAGAUCCUGCUGAUGGUACUUCAAUAACAUAGUUGAGAAUCAAGUGCAUUAUUGUACCUGGAUAAUGCAAUAGGCGAAGAAAUGCCAUGGGUGAAUUCAAUGCCCCGAUCUUCUCGAAGAACUGAUCAUCAAGGUUCAAUGCAAAUGCAAUCAGAGAAAGUAGUCUUCUACCCACAGCCCUAAGGAAAGAAAAUACACCAGAUUUGCAUCCAACCGAUACAGGGUUACAUUAGAAUCUCAGAUGAGCCCCAAAAUUAGACAGCUGAGGUCUUCAAUAGAAGGGUUAAGUUCAGGAGGCUAAGCUUAGUUCAAUCGGCUCAUUAUAAAGCUCAAUAUGUGGUAAAACCUUGACUCUAUACCUAAAACAUCUAUAAGUAAACAAAGCAGGCCCAAUCAGCCUAUUAUUGGUUCAGAUUACCUCAUUGCAUUACACAAGAUGUGGGAGAAACUAUAUGAAUUACAAGUAACACAUUUACUUGCAUAAUAGAAAUUCAUUUUUUUUCUUUUUCUUGUGGAUUGGAAUGUUUUCAUAGAAGUGAGCAGAAAGACCCCACAAAGAUUUAGCUUAGUGAACAUAAGCUCUGAGAAGCAUCUUUGGCAUAUACCAAAAAAAAAAAAAGGUGUUACAAAGUGAAAUUUCUUAGAAAAUUUGAAACUUCCACCGUGAUGUAUCAACAUAUACAGAUAUACAAAACCAUGUAGAAAACUUACAGGACUCUUUCAUAAUAUGACUCCAUUGUAGCUCUCCAAGAUGGCAAACUUUCUAUAAUAUCCUAGCCAUAAAAAUAAAAAAAUAAAAAAAAGAAGAAAGAUGUAGAUUUAUACUUCAAAAAUUAACACAAAAGAUAUGCAAAAAAGCUGCAUGUGACUUUAGAAAAGGUAGCACUAUCGUCACAUGAUUUAUUUCCGAUUGCAUCUUCAGCAACAGAUCGUUAAGAAGGAGACAUUAAUUUACAGCGACUACUGAUGCCACGAUAGACGAAACUGCCAUAGUACCAAAUACUACCUUCCAAAGGCCAUUGAUUUGGGUCCUUCCCCGAACUUGUGCCCCCGUUAGGACCAAUGUAGAAACUUUCCUUCAGGUCACCUACGCACAAUUUCUUUCAGUAGUAAAUUAGACUGCUCUGUAGACUGCUCCCUUAACUGAUCGGCAUAAAAUCAUGCACUCUUAUUCUUCAAUAAAGCGAAAGUGGCCUCAUAAGAUAUAUCAUUUUGCAUCAAAUUACAUCAAUAAAAUUAUUAAAGUACAACAGUGCAAAUAGAUCAAGAAAUCUACCAUCCCUGAUAUGAUAGUAACAAGUAACUAUUUAUUUCAUCUCAAUUACAUGCCCAUAACUGAUUCGACUCUCUACAAUGACCACUAUUACGAUGCAGAAGCGAAAUCAAAUAUCAUCAUCUAAUAGCAUGUAGAUAAUGGGAGAUAGACCUUUGAAUUCGGAGGAAGGAUCGAGAGUCUCGGCAUAUAUGGGAGUAUAGCCUCUGUGCGCAUCGUUAUGCUCGAGCUUCAUCUUCUCUUCCGGGGGCAAUGCAAAGAACUUCUUGCUCUCGCGGAACACCUCCCAUAUGAGUGUGUCCUCUAUUCCAUGAUUUAUCAGGUAAAAGAAACCGUACUCCACACAUGCCUGAAAAAAAAAAAAAAAAAAUGUCAAAAACAAUGUUGUUUCCACCUACACGCGCAGAAAAAAAAAGGCGGUGCGUUUUGUUCUACUCUUUACCGAGAAAGUUUCAGAUUCCAUCUGUUUCAGUUUCAUCUCUUCUCGUGUCAGAACCAUUUUUUCGUCAGUUUUCAGUGUGAGCAGGGGAAAAAAGGGGAAACAAAAGAACUAGCACGAAUAACUGGAAUAGGAGAAAAAAUGAAUUAGGGUUAUGUCGUGGUCAUCGCGAUUUGUAGAUUACCUUACGGAUCAGUUGGGCGGUGGCGAAGGGAUCGGAGGAGGAGAGGUCGACGAGAGGGAGCUCUAGAUUGCGCGACAUUUUUGGUCCUGCGCUUUUCCGCCACACUCCUCGCUUACGACCCGAGCACAGCGAAUUCCCAUGUGGCCAUGUGUGUGUGUGUGUGUGUGUGUGUGUGUGUGUGUGUGUUUUUUUUUUUUUUGUAGGGGUGGCGNUCGCGAUUUGUAGAUUACCUUACGGAUCAGUUGGGCGGUGGCGAAGGGAUCGGAGGAGGAGAGGUCGACGAGAGGGAGCUCUAGAUUGCGCGACAUUUUUGGUCCUGCGCUUUUCCGCCACACAACUCGCUUAUGACCCGAGCACAGCGAAUUCCCAUGUAUGUGUGUGUGUGUGUGUGUGUGUGUGUGUUUUUGUAGGGGUGGCAAUCCCGUUCAUGAGCUAGCUCGUGUUCGGCUCGAAAUAAACGACCUAGCUCGUGUUCGGUUUGAAAUGAGCUCGAGAUCAAAUUGCUUGUUUAGUAAACGAGCCGAACAUGAACUCUCGUAUUCGGCUCGAUAAUAGUUUGAAUACAUAUAUUUUAUUUUAGAUAUUUUUUUAUUUUUUAAAAUUUUAUACUUUUCUUUAAUGUAAUUAUGUAAUAUGAUUACUUCAAAAUUUAUAUAAUUUUUUUGUAAUUUUUUUAAAAUAUCAAUUUCACCUGAAAUAAUAAAACAUUAUGAAAAAAAAGUUAUUAACUUUAUAUUAAAGUUGGUUAUUGGAUCAAACAAAUGUAUUAAAACAUUUAUAUUAAAAAUCUAUAAAAUUGAAAGUAAAAAUUAUUUAUCUCUAAGCUUCAAAUUUUAUAUAAUAUUAAUCAAUAAUAUUAAAAAAUUAAAUUUAUUGUUAGUGCUUAAUUUUUAAAAAAAUUAUAAAAUUUUUAAAAGAGUUUUAAAAAAAUUGGGCAUAAUUGUGUAAAUUAAAAAUUAAAACUAUAAAUAAAAAAUUUAUAAUUUAAAAAUUACUUAUCUCUUUUUCUUAAAAAAAAAAAUUUAAACAAAUACAAAAAGUACAAGAAGAAAGGGGAAAAACCCCAGGGCUGGCACGAAGCUCGGCCCGGCCCAUGCCGGGCAGGCCAGGGCCGGACCGGGCCUUACCCUCUGAGUAAAAGAGCUGGCACAGCCUGGCCUGGAUUUGUAACUGGGACGGACCUGGCUGACCCGUGGCCUGAAUCGACCCGGAUAAUGUGGGCCGUGUAGGGUCGGCACGACCAUUAUACUUUUACACCAACUUCAUUCUAUCUAAUAGCACCAGAUAGAAUUCAAUGUUAAAAUAAGGUUUCGUUUGAGAUUGCGAGAAGAUUGAGUUAAGUGUGGUGAGAAAAUAUAAUAAGAAAAAAUUCUGUUUAUUUCCGUAUGUUCAAACGAAGCCUUAGUUUGGUAUUGAGAUCUAUCUAUCGUUAUUAGAUAAAAUAAAAUUAAAAUAAAAGCAUAUAAGAAUAUGUUUCUACGUUCUCUGGUGUGACCGAAGAAAAUAUAUCAUAAUCGACUCAUCGCUAUAUGCGAAAUGUAAUAUUACAUACGGAAACAAAUAGAAUAUUUUUUCAUCGUACAUUUUACCGCACAUAACGAAAUUUCUCUACAAUUUCAAACAAAACCGAAGCCGUUAUAGGUGACGCGGAAGUGAUAAGAUAAUAGUAUAAUUAGUGAUACGUCAUAAUUAAGGUGUCACAUCAUAUUUAUAACAAUUUAUAUCAAUGACAUGUUAAUAUUUAUUUAACUAAAUUAAAUUAUAAAAAUUAAUUAUAAUAUUUUUUAUAAAAAGUAUAUUAAAUUAAAAUUUAAGGACGGAGACAGCACCCUCCUAAUAGUUUGAUCACCGAAACUGCGAGUUACUUUUUUUUGUUUGAAAAAAAAAAUAUAUACAUUUGGCGAGCGUUUCGAACAGACUUACACGUGCCACGUGGAUUCAGUGUGAUCACAAUCGCGCGAGCCACCGUACGCCUCGCACGUGCACCACGCCGCACCCAAAGCAAAAUGGAGGAGGUAAAACCUUGAGGAGAAGCUACACGCCACUGGAUACCGUUAUUCCAGUUGACCGUAGUUCUCUCACUUGACCAACUACUAGUAAAGAAGCUCGUCGACGAAAUACCCUUUAUUUAACACCCCACCCAACCCCACCCCCACAACAAAAACUCCCGAGAGGGUUUCGAUCACAAAGUUGGGGCCGAAGCUUCGAGUCAUUCAAAAAAUCUCUCUCUCUCUCUCUCUCUCUCUCUCUCUCUCCUCGAUUCCCACGCCGUGGAGAUCGAAAAAGGUGAGAUCGGGAUCUCUCCUCGAUUGUUUUAUAGGGUUUUGGAUCGUUUCGUUUCUUUUUUCUUCUUGCUUUUUUAUUAUUUCGAAUUCGAAUUUUAUCCCCCCGUUUUUUCCGCUCCUGAUCGAAUUCUUUGGGUUUUCGGAUGUUUCGAUUUGAAUUUUCCUUCAUAUUUCUUCGGAUUGAUUGGAGUUUUCUCCGAUAUAUGCUCGAUUUUUGGUUGUUUUGAUCGGAUUUUUAGGGUUUUAUGUAUCUCUUCGUUUUAUUUUGUUGAUCUUAUUGUAAUGAUUUUUUCCUCUACAUAUUCUUUAUAUGUUUCGUCAGUUUGCUUUUCCUUGGAGUGAUUUCGCCCUGAUUUCCUUUUCUCUAAUCAUAGGAGGUUUGAUCGAACCUUUUAAACCUUGCUAUUGAAUUAUAGUUGAUAAAAUACUUGAAUUUUCUUGGUUGUUUAGCGGAUUAGGGUUUACGCAGGGCCCCUUUUCUUGAAGACCAUUUGAUUAUUGGAGUGGUUCAUGCUCUUCAGCUACUUGAUUACCCUUCUCAAUGCCUCUCCAGACAUCGCCCCGCUGGCGUGAGCGGGCAACGGACUUCUUCUCUUCUUCCGGUAAUCAAAUUACCAGUUAUCCGUGUUUCAAUUUGAAUUUUCUUUAAUUUGCCUUUCUUUUUUUUGUGCUGUUUGUCCUCCUGAUUCUUUCCCACUACGCUUUGACACAGGGAUCAAAAUUAAGCAGGCCAGCCAAUCGGCAGGAGGAAACGUUGCUGAUGCAGCCGGUAAGGUCGGCUCCAUGGUGAAAAGUAGGUGGGCUCUCUUUCAAGAAACUAGGCAGCGCAGGCCGCCGGCACCUCCUGUAGAGAGGGUGCAAGAACGCCUAAUUUCUGCUGCAGCUUCCACAGGGGUGCUUCUGAGGAAGGGCUUUUCUGAGACGAAGGAGAAGGUUGCUGUCGGAAAGCUGAAAGUUGAAGAGGUAUAGCUUGAUUCAAGUUUGAGGAUUAUUAGUCCUUUCUUCUGUUGGGAUAUAAACAUGAUUGCACUAUGAAUUGUUUCCCUACUCCUGGUGAUGGUGCAAAUUAAUCAGCAAUCUGGAGAUGAACUUGUUGUGUUAGAAGUACGAAUGUGGACACAUAAGUUUCCAUAUGAUCUUCUGCAAGUGUUGUAGUUAUGUCACAAUAAUUUUUGAUUAGGGGAUAGUGUGAGAACAUGUUGAAUAUCUUGGUUGUUCCUGAUGGUUUCAUGACUGCAUGAUCUGUGUUAUCUAGAGUUUCCGGAGCAUCUUCUACCAAGAAGAUGCAAUUGUAAUUUGUCUAAUAUAAUUUAGUUCACGAUUGCUUACUGUCCCCUUUCUUGAUAUAUGCUUGAUAGCAAACUGUAACUAGCAUCAUCAUAUUUGGUUUUUCUUAGUUCUUAGUCGCCACUCUUUGGCCCCAUUCUAUGGCAUUGAUCUAUUCGUCUACUUGGUAUUAAUGCCAGUGGCAUCAUCUCUCUCUGCAGGCAGCGAAGAAGACUGCUGAUAAAAGUAAGAGUAUUUUGAACAACAUUGAGCGGUGGCAAAAGGUCUGUCACUUAAACUAAAUAGGGGAAAAGUUUCUUUCACGCUCAGUUCAUGCAUUGUGGUUCUUAUAUAUAUAUAUUUUUGAAAAUUUUGCAGGGCGUUGCCAGCAAUGAUGGUGAGUUGUAUCCACAAUUCUCUUUACAUAGAAAAUAGAAACCAUCUUGUAAUUGGAACUCUAAGUAAGGAUCUUUACUGUUUAUAUGUCACGCAUUCUUCCUGUCAUUUAUCCUGUAAAAAGAAUUUGAUCUAGAACUGAUGCACACAAUUAAAGUUUUAAGUUCUACCAUUAAUUUUCUUUAUAGAUGAAGACAAUAAAACAUCCUUGCAAGAAGGCUGAAACUUGGAUUGUUUGUAUGACUUUGAAUGUUGGGCCAUUUUUUGUCAGACCAGAUAGUCCAGAUAGGUUAGCAUGUUCUGAAGAUUUAGCACUUAACAGCUGUCUCAUCUCUGAUGCUGCUUUCUUCUAUGAAUGGCUGAUUCAGUUUCCUUUUCUCAUGGGAGAGUGAGUACUUGAAAUUUUUUAUAGCGCAGUGCUACCUGGCAGCAAUGAGUACUAAUUUUUUCAUUCAUGAAAUGAAUUCUCUACUAGAACAAAUAGCUAAUAUCCGUCGAGUUAUAUUUAGAUUACUUCCUCAAGAGGUUGAGUCCAUUGAGAUGACAAUCUUCAAUUUGCUUCUCUGUCUUUUAGAUGUACGUCACAACAUUAUAUCAAUAAUGUUUCAUAUUCAUAGUUUCAUACACUAGUACUUCUACACCCUGCUACUGGAGUAUUCUUUUCUUCUUUUAGUCUACAAAUGAGGAGAGUCUUUGAUAAUCCUGUAUAGUCAUUUUGACAUCUGAUACCCCUUAUGUAUAUUGGUAAGAACAUUAUAAUUUUGUUUACAUCUAAUGAAAUUGGUUAGUAGUUUAGUGAAAAAUAAACAAUUUAAAACGUGGGAACUUACUAACGUCUGGAUAAUUUUUUUUAAGAUCAACUUAUUAUUCUCUUAAUUUGGCCCAUUAACAAUUCGUGCUCAUAGUUGUCACAAUGUCACCAGAGUUCGUAAAUUUUCUUGGUGUACAACAAAUAUGCUUGCCUAUUAUGUUUUGCUAUCUUCACAGUCCCUCUUUGUUUUAUUCUAAGCUUUAAUUUUGCGAUUGAUUGUGAUACUGCCAAUAGAUUAUUCCUUCCGAUAUAGACAUGUCGGAGCAUACUGUGAGCUAUGUGAUAUCAUUAAUUUUUGCAGUUUUCGGUGUCCCGAUUGAGAUUAUUGUGCAACGACAGCACUCGACAAGAGCUGUGCCUCAAAUAUUGGUCAGAUGUGCAGAUAGCCUAAUUAUAUCAGGUAGUACCAGCAAAAAAGUUAGGAGCUAGUAAAUGCUUAAUCAGAGGACUAAUGAUCAGACUGUGGCACCAGGGUUAAAUUUUGAAUACUUGUUCAAAACUGAGGGAGACAGAAAGGUCAUUCGACAAUUAGUUUCACUUUACAACCAAGGUAUGGACACUUUACUUCCGAUUUAUCUGGUAAGGAUGUGUCACCCUAAAUUCAGUUUUGUGCUUUAUGUGAAAACAACAGACUGGAAUGCAACUUUGCCGGAGGGUGUAAGCCCAAUUGAUGUGGCUGCGCUGAUUAAAUGUUAUCUUGCUAGCCUUCCUGAGCCACUUGCUACAUUCGAUUUAUAUCAUGAGAUUAGAGAUGCCAGGAGUAGCAUACGUGAUAUGAGAAGCAUUUUGAAGAAGCUCCCUAAUGUGAAUUACAUGACACUGGAGUUUGUUACUGCUCUUCUCCUUCGAGUUAGCCAGAAGUCCUCACUCAACAAGGUAGUUUCUGCCAUUUGUUUGUCAUGGUUUGUUCGCCUCUACUAUAUUGAACGGUAUUCCUACUUUGGAUGUGGCUUGUUUUGUGCACAAGUCUGAAGUAAAAGGGUUGAGCUUUCUUGUACUGCCUAGAGAGCAGCGAUUUCCUAGUCCCUUCUAGAUGUUGUCUGGUCCAUCGAUAGUAUUUCCAGUUUGAUCAGUUAGGUGAAGUUAGAUGUCCUUUUCUGUGAUCACUUUGACUGGAUAGAGUAGAAUUAUUGUACAUUUGUUCCUUAUUUGCCUUCUGUUAUCCACUGUUUUUGACUAUGGCGUUUACCAAGAUAAUUUUUUUUUCUUUCCUUUCUAAUGUGAUUUGUCUGUAUCAAGUCGACCCAUGUGGUAGGUGGAAUCUGGAAUUCCACUUGAAACUUGAAAGUAGGAUUGAAUUACUCUUUUGCGAAUGACUGCAUUUGACAACUAUCCAACUUUGCCUUAAAAGGAUUUGAAUAUAGAAUGACACUUAUGCAGCAUAUAUAUAACUGGUGGUUCUGUCCAUACAAUGAUUUUAAUUCGAUGGUGUAGCCACUCUGUUAUUUCUUCACUUCUCUCAAGCAUUAUAUUUCAUACCUCUGUUAUUUCUUAUGCAAUCAUCAACAGCAAUUCUUUUUUGGUGUGUUUCUAGGCAAGUCAUAAACUCAUAGGUUUGUCACUGUACAAGUGGGAAGCAACUUUACCGUUGUCCAUUAUGCCAAAUCUGUGUUCACAUUAGAAUGUUUAACUAGACAGGAUACUAAGACUGGGAACCAAAAGCUUUUAAACAUAUGUUUAUACUCUUAAGCUAAGAUGAAGCCUACAAUAAGCUAUUGACGGUGGAAACCUAGAGUAAGCUAUUGGCAAUAGAUGAAACUGUUACAUAUAUGAUUGUUGGUGGUAGCCCCUUCCCUUUUUCUGUUUGUAUUAUAUCAUUGAUAUAAGUAUUGUGAUUCCUUACAUUUACAAUUUGGGUUACUCUUGCAACUCUGAUAGAGUGUGAUUUCUGUUUUUUCAAAUGCAGAUGAAUGCUCACAGCCUUGCUUUGGAAAUGGCACCCGUGAUUUUGUGGCGACAAGGUGAUUCUGGGACUGAUUUACGCAACCACCUUAGGUAUACAUUAAAAGCUCCUCCCAAGACUCUGGAUCCAGCAUCAAACAACUAUACAUGGGAGAACUAUUUGGGUAAAAUUUUGUACCGAUUUUAACUCCUAAUACCUCUACUUAAGGACAUCAAUGCUCUUUUAUUUCCACAUGCACUGCAAGUUAUUUCUAGAGUUGAAAUAAAUAAUCCUUGCUAUAGAAGCUUGCAAAAACUCGAAAAGGAAAAAACACUAGCAACAAUUUUUCACUGAGAACCAGUAUUACAUGGAGUGUGUAAUUCUCCUUAAUUUUUUGUGUUGCCAGAUGAAGACAAUAGCAUGGAUGCUUCUUCCCAAAUCCCUUUGGACGAUGGUCCACCACCUGAUUACGGUGCCAUUGAGGUUAUUCAGUGCCUCAUUGAGCACCAUAAUACCAUUUUCACAGAUGCUAACGAGACCAUAUGGAGAUAACUUUCAUGCUACGCAUGUUUGUGCAUUCUGGCCCUCUUGCUGUUUUGAACAAUUUUUCCUUGUAAAAAACAUAUUUUUUGGGGGGGGAUCAUGGAACAAUUUAGGAGUUAUUUAGAUUUUUGUCUUUUAUUUGGUUAACCUCUGUAGGAAAGAAAUGCAGGGAACAAUGAUUUGUCACUUGUAUAGUUAAAACUAAAAAUUGAUGGGUUUUGACUACAGUUUUGGAGCAUUAACCAUUUCAAAGUGAUUGUGGUAAAACAAUUCUUUAGACAAUCUCUCUGCAUCUAGUGAUAUAUCUUGGACCGCUGGAUGAGUUCAACUGUACAAGAAGUUUUUAAUCCACCACCAAACAAGCAGCUAAUACUGCAAGAGUGCUCAUCGUCAAUAAUCACAAUGCAACAAAGUUUGAGUUUUGCAUGAUACAGGAGACGCAUAUAAUCUGAAUGAAUGUACAUGUUAUGGUUGAACAUUUUAAACGGACAUUGAUAUCAGAAUUAUGUGGAACUUUAAAAGUGUACACAUGUUAGACAGAGCACAUACUUUGGACCAGUCCAAAUCCAAGUACCAAAGAAUAGUAACACACAACAAAUAAGUCACUACAAACAUUUAAUCAUCCUUGAUAGGAACACUUCAUAUUCUAAUUGUUCUUCCAGCUAAAGCUACACUACCAUGGCGAAGAUGAUGAAGCAGGGGGAGGGGGGGGCUCCAGGGAGUCGAACAUGUCCGAGGGGAGGUCGUCGAAAAAGAUAUCAGAUGGCACCCGAUGCUCGGUCUUACCGGCAUGAUCGUCAGAUUCUAAACCGAAGAAUGGCGACAACGCUUCCACGUGAUGAAGCUGGUCCCCUUGACAGGUCAGAUCAUCAAUAGAAUUCAUGUCAAUGUCAAAGCCCGAUACGAGGUCAGGAGUAUCCGGAAGGGCCGGAAGGUCGAUAAGAGGGUAGUGAAGGUGGUCGAAGGGGAUUUGCGAGAGCAGCGUAGAUUUCGAUGAGGUGGAUUGUCUCUCGAUUGCGGGUUCGAUCAUGGGUAAGGUUGUUUCCAAGUUGAGAAAGCUUGGGCUUGAUAAUUCUGGGAGUAUGGCUGUAGCAUUCUGAUUAUCGAUGCAAGAGCCUUUGCUGCAUUGGCCACCGGAGGAGUCUCCCUCGAAAAGAAUUAGAUCCAAGUUGGGAUCCUGAUCACAGUGAGAUUUGUUACAUGGUAAUUUGUAGUACUCCCAUCAGAUAGGAUUUUGAGAAUACAAGUAGACUAGCAGUAAAAGAACCCAGCAACACUAAUGAGAACCGGGGAUAAUCAGUGAACUCGUGACAUUGAAACCUUCUCUGAGAAUCGAAAUCGAAAAAUAAUAGCCAACAUUAUAUUGGAUCACUGUGACUUCAUCAAAACUAUACUGAAUCAUCAUCAUAGUUCGGUAAGCUAAGUAACACUUGACAUAUUUAAGAAACUGCAGAACCAAUUCAUACUUUGGAAAAUGUAUUGAUUUCGAAUACUUCGGAAGCGGCGUGUAACAUGCAGAACUUACCUUGAAGGUUUGCAAGUGAUCAUGGGAAUUUGGGAGGGGCGCCUUCGCCCCGUGGGUCUUACUGGAUCUGGCGGUCGGGAGGGGCGUUCGUAGGAUUCUGGCGAGCCGCUUCUGCCGUGUGCUCCAGAAGUUCUUCACGUCGUUGUCCGUCCUCCCUGGAAGGUACGUCGCUAUCCUCGCCCACUUGUUCCCUAACUGCGCCUGCAACUCUAUCACCACCCUCUCUUCCUCCGCUGAGAACUUGCAACCCCUUCAUUCAUUGAAUAUCAAAUUAUUCGAAUCAUGCAGGAAUUGUAUCAUAAAAUCUCGCUAACGUAACGUGCGCUAAUUAUAAUUUGAUCUGCUAACAUCAAUUUCAUAUAUAUAUAUAUAUAUAUAUAUAUAUAUAUAUAUAUAUAUAUAUAUAUAUAUCCACCAAUUUGGUACAAAAAGAAACUUGAUUAAUCGUGGCCCCAGUAAGAGCUCAGUGGCGUGAAUGUAAAAGUACAUACAGGAGCAUAAUGCAAGUGAAGUAAAAUGCUCAUGCCUCAUAUUUAUAUCAGCAUUCAAUAUUGCACCACAGCGGAACUCAAAAAACUCACCAGGGCGUUCCUUUUUUUUUUUUUUUUUUUUUACCGAGUAUGAANNNNNNNNNNNNNNUUUUUUUCAUACCGAGUAUGAAGAGAGACAUCUAAAUAAACUUCGUGGUAUUAAAAGCUGGGAAGAAAAUAUGAGAGAGAGAGAGAGGGAGAUUGAAAUACGUCUUCAAGUCAGGCUUGAGUUUAUUGACCCAGCGGAGGCGGCAGGACUUGCCGGUGCGGGGAAGGAGGCCCUUGGAUCGAAUGGAGCUCCAGUCGCGGGGGCCGUGGCUGCGAACGUACUCGAGCAAUAUCUCGUCCUCCUCCGCCAUCCACGGCCCCUUCCUCAGCACCGUUGUCGCCGCCACCGACCCUCCCGAUUCAUCUCUUGGUCUGCUACUGCUGCUGCCUCUGCUGUUACUGGUGCUACUGCUACUACUACCGACGCAACUACGGCUCCCUACUCGCCCAGAUAUCUGCAUUACGACAGUUGCUUCAAAUGCGAUGAGAAAUUAAACAAACAAAAUUUUAGUAGUUCUUAUUUCCGCUUUAAAACAAGGUUUGUUUGAUCGUAAAUUUCCUGUCCUUCCCCAUGCAACAGUUUCCUUCUUUGACAGCGUUGUGGAGUAUGAGUAUUAGUACUGUUUUUGAAUUCUUAACAAUGUACUAGCACACCCCGCCUAUCACAUAUCCUUCCUAUUCUUUAGGGAAGUGGCGAGGGGGUAGAGAGAGAGAUUUGAAUUACCCCACUAACCGUCCCACUAUGCCACGUUUGUGGGUGAAGCAGGGACCGUCGGAUUGGGGAAACAGCGAAUUUGUGCUAGGCACUGCCGCAUCUUUAACCGUUGAUUAAAUUUGAGAAUAAUCUCUGUGGAAGUGGAACUGCUUAUAUUAGUGUUCCACAAAAACCGAAAAGAAGAAGAAGAGGAAGAAGAAGAAGAAGAAGAGAGUUUAAAAAUAGAACUUCUAAUCCUGCGACAAAGAAGUAAUUGAGAAAAGUAAGCCCCUUAAUAAGGGGUGGAUAAUUACACAGACAACUGAUCUAUCUGAGAGGGAGACACUUUCAGAUCAAUAGAAACAUCAACUCUAGAGAACAACUCGUAUAAUAGGAUUCCUCGUUGCAUAAAAAGGAGGUAGUGUUCAAAACACUGAAGACAAAAUUGAGCAGGGCAUGCUUGCUUAGAGAUACAACUCGAGCCAAAAAGUAGCUACCUACCACAUAUUUUCAGUUGCUAAUCAGAAUCACUCUUUUGCCACAAUCCGUAUUCUCGCUUCAUCUCAAUGUCGCAGCCAAAUUAGAAGUUGCGUAGAAACACAAGGGACUACUCUAUGCAUCAGCUUCACAUCAAAUCCUACUUUUAUCUAGAUAUCAAGGAUCGAAUGAAUGAACAUCCCAGUAAAGAAGCAUGGUAUUGCGACUCAUGGCCCCAAGUUGAACUUCAUCGUGAGCAACAUCCAAUGAGGAGCCAUCACUGGGCAAUUGUGAUCAAGAGACAUUCGUGUAUGGAUAUCGAGUUCUGUUAAUCAACUGGUCUCUCUUGGAGGAGCCUUCGCCCAUCUAUGAAUUCUCGCACCAACCAACUUCAUGUCAUCCACCUGUUCAAUCAUCAGCACACCAAUGAGAGAGGGAUCACUUUAAAUGCAUGAAUAUCUUGUUCAGUAUAUCUCUCCUGUUUACUCAAGGGAAAAAGAUUUUUACAGUUGCAUACCAUAUAGAAUUUAAACCACUUCCCUCGAAAUUAUAUAUCACCUUGCAGGUCAAACUAUUUAGGUAAUAACGAUAGUUAAGAUCAAACUCCUGUGUUUGUAAUCACAAAACAUGUAAUGAGAUGCAAGGUGGAUAAACGGGCGGCGAACAAUUGUACAAUUGCACCAUGCUCAGGCAACAAUUCCGCAAAAGUAAUAGUAUACAGGAAAAAAAGAAUGGGAUGGUAUAGGAUUUAACGCGUUAAGCUUUGAGAUUUCGAUACUUACAGAUCCAACCUAAGCCAUGUAAACAGUUGAAAAGUUUCAACUGUUUCACAUGCAAGCUCACACUCACAAGCUUCAACUGUUUCCAUAGAACUCAUGGUUUCUACACAAAAAACAAUUGAUUGUAGAUUUCUGAGGGGAGAAAAAAAAAAGGCCUGCAAUUGAUACUAAAUUCAUCCCCCAUCAUUCAUGGAUUCCAUUUAUAUAAAUAUGGAAGGCUCAGAUUUAGCCUUAAACCAUAAUUUUUGUUAACCUACCCUGCUGCUGAAGCUAAAUGCAAUACAAUUAAAACAACAACAACAACAACAACAACAACAACAACAACAACAACAACAACGCAAUUGAGCCAAAAAGUGAUCAUGAAUGAAUGAAUCAACAACAGCUGGCCUGGGGAUGCAUUGCGAGAGAACUGGGAGGUGGAGGAGGGUUUACCGAGUGAACACCGGAAGCGACGACGGCGGAGGCGGCGGCGGCGGCGGCGGCGCCGACGAAGAGGGUGGCGAUGGCGAAGGCCUUGAAGGGCAUGGCGGCGCCGCUCUCGCCGCACCCUCGCCGGUACCACGCGAUCCCUCCGGCGAGCUGCGCCGAGCUCGCCCCCGCCCACCAUCUCCACCUCUCGUCCCCUCCUCCCUCCUCCUCCACCCCCUCCAUUUCCCUCCUCCUCCUCCUCCUCCGGAUUCCUCUUCUUCGUUUUUAGGAUUUUGAGAGAGAGUUUGGGAUUUAGGGUUUGGGAUUUUAGGGUUUGGGUUCGAUCUUUCGAAGCGUCGCCCCUGCCAAGUGCUCACCGAAGUAAGGAACAGGUUCUGUGAACUCAAACACCAACAGGGGUUGCCAUGAAAUUAUUGCGUGGACCGUCCACCAUAGACCACCGUGCCAAAAUACGACGUCCGAGCGGGGCUUAGGCCGGGCUUGAUUUUGGGCCUGAUUAAUUUUUGCCCUUUCUAAGCCCAGCCCAUUAACAAAGUUAUGUAUUAAUUAGUCUUUUUCUUUUUUCUUAAAAAAGCUGAGCCCGGUCCAAAUGCAUCGUCCCUGGUCAAACACUUUCGGACCGGGCUGGGUCAACAGAAUAAAUAAACUUGGCCUGGCCCAGGUUCUCUCUAGUGUUAACGUUGCGAUAAUUUUUUCCCUUUUUUUUUUUUUGGGUUAAAGUACUUUGAACUCCAAAAAUUUCCCAGGUAGAUUGUUACCGAAGGUCCAAAAGAGACCUCUUCUACAAAUCGUAAGAUAAUAUUACAAGUGCUCGCAACUAAUCAUGUCAUAGAUCAUGAUCGCACAAUGCUUGGACCUUAAAGUUGAUUAACGUUUGGUCCUUACCUUGCAGGAGCAUGUAUAAGGAAUCUAUGGAUAUGGAAAACAACCAAUGAAGCGAAAUUAUUUGAAAUGCUGUUUAUCUUACUUUUGCUUCCGUAUUGUUAUUACAUCGAUUGGAAACAGUGCUAGCAUGGGCUAAAAUGCAUUUGUUUCCCAUCUUCUUACUUAAGAUGAUCUUUCAGAUCUAAACUUGUGGUACGAGGAUGCAGCCUUGAUCCAAAGAAAACGGAUUAGUCAAUUUCGAAGAGCAAAAGUCUUUGGAAUCUGAGCUAUGGCCAAUGUGAUUAAAAGAGGCGAUACUCAUACUAUAGGAAAUGCACUAAUGCUUUUAUGUAUCUAUGAAGGUCCCCUAAGAAAGUAAUGCUGUAGCCAUGACCUAAAUCUGAGCAAAAUGAUAAAAAAUUUCUCUCUACCUGAACCAUCAAGAAAAUUAAUUACUUUGAUAGAACUACACGGAAUCAGGCAUAUUAUACAAGGAUGUGUUCCUCAAUUGAAUACCAUAGCAUUGGUUUACAACUUCAUUAAUAAAUUUAAUAUACGUAACUCAGUUGCUUCUAACACGAACUCCUCUAUCUAAGGAGUCAAAUAUUUAAUAAAUCUAAAGCUUCUGGCUUCUCUCCAUCUUCCAAGGAACCUCAAAGAAGUUAAAUUCGAGCACGAGUUUAAUGAAAUAGCAAGAUCCGAUGGGAUUACAAUGUGAAAACUGUUUCAGCCUCUCAAACAGCUUCAUUCAAGUAGUGCUUUUGCAGGAGCACUUGCCAGACCAAACACAUAAUUUGUACGGUGCAAAUAUAUGCAAAGAAAUUCAGUAUAUGAUAUGCCUGGAGCACAUGCUAUGAUUGUCAAAGUGCAAGAACUAACACACAUUCCCUAAUAGGAACACAGCAAGCAUGUUGCACCGUCUACUAGUUUUGUAGUAGGACCACUUCUAUCUUUUUCGAGCAAUAAGUGAAAAAUAAUUCAAUAAAACAGGUAAAAAAUACUAAGCAUUCGAUAUAAAAAAUCGAUACAAGAAAGCAACAUCAAUCAGAAAGAUUCGUUGCUUGACAAUAUCAACCAUUUCUUUGUUGGGGCUUGUUGACAAAGGAAUGCACUCCAAAACACUCAAUUGGGUUUAUCAUACUAAAGAAAGGAUCAUUUAACGGUAACACAGAAUGUCAAGUAAUGUCUUGUACUUAAAUUGUUUAUUAAAUGUAGUACCUCAUCAAGGAAAUUAUCAAAUCAAUACCAUCAUCAACCAUAAAAUAUUCUAAAUAAAGCCUAUUAAUCACCUAAUCAAUCAAACGGACUUCAAUAAAUUCUUGGCCUCAUGAACGAUUAUAGAUGAUAAGCCCACAUUGUAGAAAUAAGAUUAAUAAGCAUCAUCAGAAAGAAACUACAGGGCUAUAUAAAUAAAGCAGCCUGGAACAAACGACAGCAAAAGGCACUAAGAAACUUGCAAGGAAAGAGUUAAGAUGCUGAUACUGGAAUUCGGUAUCUGGGUCAUUCCAUUCACCCUCAUUCUCGCACCAUGCAGGCGCCUUGUGCUUCUGGUUGCUAAACUUCAGAAGCUCUAUCAAGGUAUUAUGUGUCCAAGAUCCACUUCUCCAGCCAUCGCGAACCGCUUGGCAAGGCUAAACACAAUGACCUUCACGUUGUAGAUAUGUAAUCCUCAAUGUAUAUCAGGUGGGGAAGUCGUUGAUAAACUCAGCUUUUUGAUAAUUUGAUUUGUAAUUUGCACGGUUAUUUCUCAAUUAUAGGAAGUUAAUAUCUAUUAAACCUUUCCUCUCCUUCCUCUCCCUGUAAAUGAGAUGGCUCGUUUCGCAUUCGAAUAUGAUUUCCAGUAUCAUUAAAUUACAUGAUGGGUGAAGUUCAUGCAGAAAAAUGGUCAAUUUCCAUUGGUGGAAAACCAGAAUGAGCUAUUUUCAGUCCUCGUAGGAUGGUCUUUGCUGUCUCCUUCUCCUGCAAAUUUGGUAUGUGAAAAGAUAUUAGAACCAAUCAAGGUAUCCCAAUAAUCUUUCUUCUCAUAUAGACCAAGAAUUAAAUUAAAGGAAGAUAUAAUAGAGCUCCAUAAAUAUUUAAGAGAGUGUAGGUCCUUCAAAUGUUUAAGAAAGUGCAGAUUUAGGAAAAAGAUCUCUCUCUUUCUAUUGAUAAGUUUCAGAAACAAAGGAUGAGAAAACAUACAGGACCAGUGUAAUCCAAGAGCCUGGUACAAUAAACUUCAGCUUCAUCAAACCGACCCACAGAUUUGUAGUGAUCAGCUAAGAAAAGAAGAGCUUCAAUCAUAUUAGGUCCCUUCCUAUCUUCUGCUUCCAUUCGCUCUAGAUCUUUCUUAUAAUAAAAUGCCGCUUGUUCAGAAUGCCCAAGUAUACUGUGCAACUUUGCUAGCUGAUGAAGUGCUAUUCCUUCCCUAUCGUUACUAUUCGCAGCCCUCAUGUAACACUUAAUAGCUUCUUCAAGCAUCUGAAGUGGAGCACUUUCAUAACAUUGAGCCAUAGCAAUCCAAAGCCGUGCAUCAUUUGGUUGUAAACAUGAUGACUUUUUAAAGUAAUAGAGUGCAUAGAAAGGCAUACCCAUCAUCUCAUAGGUUUGCCCAAGACCGUACCAGGCCCGGUAAUCCCUAGGGUUUAUAUCAACGGCCCUUCGAUAAGCAUCAAUUGCAGCUGGUGUGUUUUUCAUUUCAACAUAUUCAUGACCCAUUAGAGUCCAUGCUGAGAGGUACUUCCGGUUAAGUUUCAAAGCCCUCCUAAAAUACAAAACUGAUUUUUCAUGCAGCCCCUUCAGACUGUAGUAAUUCGCAAUGAUGCAGCAAGACUCCGGCCGAUACUUAUCCGUCAAAAAUACCCUGUGAGCUAAGAAACUUAAUGCAGAGAGGCUCUCUUUAGCAUAAAGUACAUUUGAAUAUAUAUCCAUGGAAUCAACACGAUAAGGAUCAGUUCUAAGAAGUUCUUCAAAUAUAACCUCAGCUUCAUCAAGUUCCCUCAUACUAUACUGCACUGUUGCAAUCUGAGCUUGUAUAUAGUCACUUAACCGAAAUACUCCCAUUAAAAUUUCAUAUCUUUUCAAAGCUUCAUCAUGCAUUUUAAGUUCUUGGUAUGCGCUUGCAAGAAAGAAGUCUUUCAUCCAAUGGUUUUUGAGGUUUAGAUUGUUUAAGAUAUCACUGGUGGUGCACAGAGAAAGGAGCUCAGACCAGGCAGACCAGUUCCAAGGAUAGCUGUUAACCGAGUCGACGAGGACUGAAAUAGCGAGGCUCUCAGAGCCUCUAUCUCUUAGUAUGAGGCCAUACAAAUAAAGACCGAAGGAAUCAAUAGCACCAGACCUACGAAGAGUUGAUAGCUCCCUCUCCAAAGAAACCAGUUCGCUGUUCACAGCAUUACACUUGCCCAUGGGUCCCUCCAGUUCUAUCAUCUCUUCCUCUUUCCGUUUUUCACCAGCCUAUGUUUGGAAAUAAAGAAAUUUCAUCGGUAAAACUAAGGAAUAAAUCAGCAGAAAAAUUUGCAAGCAGGUAGCGAAAUGCUUGGACAAUGUUGAUGUGCACAUAAUCAUCCAGAAUAUAAAGAGCUUCAUUUCUUUGAAACUGAGUACAGUGCCAAUGUGUCAAAAUGCUCAAACUAUGCAGCUCCUUAAGUCUAAUUGCUAGAAACCUAUCUAGUAAGGGAAAGAAAGAUUUCAAUAAGAACGGAUGCUCACCUGUGUAGACAAUGCAGAUGUGCCGACCCAACUGAUUUAUACAAAAAUGCUUGCAAUACUGCUUCAAAAUGUACUGAAUUUCAACAAUUUCUUACAAUAAGACUGCAUUCCAUUAUUCUUAUAGAUACGCUAUGUGGUUUUCCGUGAAGCAUAUUAAGACGAAAAAAAAACUCCAUCAUCAACUUCAAUCAGAAUCAACGAAAGUGCAAGCUUAUUUAGUUUCCAUUAAACUUAAUAGCUCAACCCGUUUUUCCGCCAAACUAACAAUGGAAUUUGUUUACGGUUAAUAACCUAAAACUAAAAUUAAAGAGACACCAAUCAAAAUAACAACAACAACAAUAAUAAUAAUAAAGUUGUGGUUUAUUUCAAAAUUACCAAUAGUUGAGGGAGUCUUUAUAUUUUUACCUUUCAUUUUUUAAAAUAAUUUUGCAUCAAAGUGCCGCAAUCCCCUGCUAGUCUUGAAAUCACGUUGUCAUUGCAUGUAUAUAGACUAUAGUAAGGCAAACAACCAAUUCAUUCCCAAUUAACUAGUUGUAGAAACUUCUUUCUGGAUCCCUACAUACCAGAUGCUUUUCAACAACCACAGCAGGUUUAGUAGAGGUUCUCAUAUCCAGUUAGACGACUACUCGCAACCACAUUAGCUCUAUCUUUAGAUCAAGCCGUUUCACAGAAGCAAUUCGUCGAACACCACACGGAACGUUAAAUCGAAACAACGGAGAGGAAGAUGAUUACCAUGUAGAGGGCGUAGCACCGGAGGAAGACGGCCUUCCGCCCGGCCUGGCCCCUCAGCACGUGCGCGGCGCGGCGGUACUCGCGGCAGUCGAAGUAGGACUUGGCGAGGAGGUAGGAGUCGCCGCCGCCCUCGAAUCCGCCGUCGUCGUCGGGGAUCGGCGUGCUGACGUAGGAGACGCCGCCGAGGGGGGUGGAGGUGACGUCGGCGGCGGCGCCGCCGGAGCGGAAGCGGCGGCGGAAGCUGGAUCCGUCGCGGUGGUACUGUUGGCGGUGGAGGUGGAGAGAGCGGGAGGAGGCGCCGGCGCCGGAGGAGGAGGGGGUGGCGCGGGAGGCGACGGAGGAGGCGGCGGAGGAGGGAGGGGCGUCGGGAUCGACGCUGACGAGGAGCUCCGCGGCCCUGUGGGACGAGAGAGAGAGAGAGAGAGAGAGAGAGAGAGAGAGAGAGGGGUUAGGGCUCGGGAGAGAGAUGGGGUUUACGGAUGGGGAAGGGUAGGGUAGGGGUUGGGUUGCGUACCAUUUGGCGGCGGAGUAGAGGCAGCGGUCGCCGAGGUGGCGAACGGCGGCGCGGAGCUCGUUGCGGCAGGUCUCUUUAGAACUCAUUUUCCCGGAGUGUCCGAGUUUUCUUGGGUGUGAGGGUAGUGGGACGGUCGCGGAGCUGCUCAGUUUCUAAGGAAAGAGCGCCAAGGGAAGGUUCCUGACGUAUUUCGAGUUUUUAAAAUAUUCACCCAUCCGAAGUUUCAAACUUUGAAUACUAAUAUUUAAAUAUAUAAAAUAUGAAUAAUGUGUGUGUGUGUGUGUGUGUGUGUGUGUGUGUGUGUGUGUGUUUUUUUUUUUGAACGAAGACGCCCGUACGGCCGCAGGGCGUAGGUUAUUACUAUAUGAAUAAUAGGUAAUAAAUUUGUCUAUUAACAAUCUUUUGCCUCAAAUUCUACCACAAAAUCUGGCCAGGAGUGACAUAGAGGAUUAAAAAAAAUGAAGCUUACAUUAAAAAAUUUAAAGUAUCGAUGGUAAUGCGUGUGCAACCUAGGAGUCAUCAAAUCUAUUUCCAGUGAUAAACCCAGGAAGCAAGAUAAACUUUCAAUACAGAACAAUGUACUCUAAUAUCGCACAGCCUCCUUUCAUUGAAAUAGAACACUACGCGACAUUAGACUCGCAAAACAGUUCAACGUAAACUUACCAAAUUUAUCUGACAUCAAAGUGCCGCUGAUAUCGCAUAUCAGAAUGCAAAAUUCUGAUGUCAGCAUGCCAAAAAAGAUACCCUCAUCACAAAAUCAUAUUUGCAGGAACUUCCACUGAGCUCCAGUAGAAUAUCAGCGAACUUCGUAUCUGGACCAAAUAGUCCAAGCACCUUCAAAAUUUUCAGAACACUUUUCACAUGAGUCUUGAGUCGCAUGUAAUAUUAUUUGCACAUCUAAUAAAAGAUUGCCCAUUCUAUUUCAACAUUUUCUAUUUUCUUUCCACUUCUCUUUAACAGAUGGCAACAAGACAGAUACAACAUUACAUCUUCACAUUCCUCAAAGCAGAAAAGGUGAGGAAUAGCUAUCUUACAUGCAAAUACAUGGCGAUACCCCUUAACAACAAAAACACAGCAUUAAACUACGACAUCAACUAUAUACUAUUCCCUUUCUGUAAGAGAAAAGAAAUAAUUACUCUUUCAACCAAUCAGCCCUAGGAAACUCAAUGUAGUGCUUAAUCAGCCUAAUAAGAGUAAGAAAUCCCAAGUAUCAGCAAUUCAUCCUGAUAAUUAUACUGUACAAAAGUUAGCACAAUUGGAUGCUGAUCUAAUCUGUACAAAGAACUGUUGAAAGAACUAGCUGUCUCCCACAGCCACAACUUCAUAAAUGCCUUCAGUAAAAAUGGCCCAUCUGAUUGAAUUCCAGCUGCAAAACACAAAGAUGAAACUAAUUCAGAUUCCAGAUGAAUAAAUACCAUUAAAAAAGAUAUCCAAAGACAUUCAAAACUUCAUCUAGUAUACCCAGAAUGAAGCAGAUAAGAACUAAACUUGUCUCUAUAAACUUACAUAAAUGAUCAAUCAAAUGUACAUAGGCCUUAGGCCUAGUUUGUUGCUGCACUUUCAAACACGCAAUUUUAUGCUUUGGAAAGCCCCCAAAAAAAUCCAAAAACACUUCAAAACUUCCUCUUUUAUGUUAUAAAAUUACAAUGACAACCGCCACUGGAGAAGCAUCGAGUGGCCAUUGCCACCACAAUUUAUUAGUAUGAAAUAAGGAAGAUUAGAAGCAUCUUUUGGAUUUUUUGGGACUUCCAAAGUGUAAAAUCAGGUGCUUUUGGAAAUGCAAUGCCAGACUAGGCCUUAGGAACAGUUGGAUGCUGAUUUUUCAAUCUGUACAAUUGACUGGGCAUAUUUGAUUUUGUUUGAUGUUUCAUUGCAACUAGAAGUUACAUUAUUUCUAUAGCAAGUAAUAAGAAAAUAGUGAUGAACACAACCAGCUAAGCUGGCAAAAGCAAUGAAAUCAGAAAAAGAUAAGAGUUGAACAGUGACAAUGAGAUAGGAUUAGCUAAAAGUUGUGCAUUCUCUAAGCAAAAAGAUUGUUUAUAGUCUAUUUUGAUGUUAGCACAAGUAAUCCAAUGAUCACUUAUGCUUAAAUUAUGAUUUUCUUUUGUAAUUGCAAUGUAGGAGUUUGCUUUUGGCCCAUUGCAAGACCUAGGCAGUCAUAAUUUUACAAGAUAAUACAUUCCAUCUACAAGUUAUUUAUCUUACUUUGAGAGAAUGACUAAAAGGCUAUGUAUGUUGUGUAUGGUAGACAUCUAACCAUGCUCAUCAUCCACGGGCCUUGCAUGCAUAAAAAAAAAAUACUAAACAAGAUGUUUAAGCAUUCAAACAUGCCCUUCGUAUUUAGGACUUCCUUAAUCACAUGUACCUUUGCCUUCUCAUGGGCCAUCCUCAUUCUUCGAUACUCUUGUUGUGCUCGAUAUGAACGAAACAUGGUUUGGACCCUUAUAACCGAUCUCUUCACACGUUCUUCAGCUUGCUCCCGACUGAUCCUGAAAAACUCUUCCUCUUCAGUGUUUGCAGGUUCUGUAUCCACUCUCAUCGCUUCGCUCGGUGCUUCCGUAUGAAUGCCACGUAAUCCUCUUCUCUUAAGACGCCAACGCAAGAUUGCUUUCUCAAGCACUCCAACAGACCAUAUAAUUUUGCAGUAUUGCUUCCUCACUUGAUGCCCUCGGAAUGCAGCCUGAGCAGAUAGCAUUAUUAGGAUCAAAUCAUAAAGAAAAUCAGAUAGGUAACAUGCAGCAAAAUAACGUAUGUGAUGCUAUGCAUCAAAAGAAAUAUUAGUCAUAAGAAGUUAGCAGGUAACAACAUAAUCGACGAUCCAACAGCUGUAGAUAGCAGAAAUGUCACACUAUCUUUUCCUACUUUUCUCUUUGAAGUAUUACAUAUAUAUCCUAAAAAUCAUUUAUCUGCAUGAUUAUUUCCCAGUGUAAUCCGACAUUACGUAUAUGCUCUUAAAAUAUAAAUUCCUUUAAUAUAUACCCUGAUAUUUACAAGACCUUUCUGAUACAGAACCAGCUACCCACAAAUUGGACGAAAGCCUAGACUAUGAUAGGAGUAUUUCUUUAAGAAACUACAAUUCCGAUAGUUAUAUAUGAAAAUUCAGAUUUUACAGCGGGGUAUAUGUAAAUAAAUGAUUUCCCGAGGCAUACAUGGAGACGCCCUUCUUAUUUUUUAUAUACAACAACCCUAUGAACAAUAUCCUUGUCAUUGCAUUUCAAAAGCAAUAAUUCCUUUUGACAUUUUGUGCCAUGUUGCUCCACGAGUCAGAACCUUACCUGUAUUCUGAUAACUUGCCUACGCACGUGGAGAAAGUUCUUACGCGUCUUCCAUGUUCGGAAAUGACUCUGUAUUUGUGCAGCAGCCCUCAUUAGUUUCCGUCUAUUGUGAUUGCGGAAUGCAUGCUGUAUCUUCAGAGCAGCAACUAUUUCAGAUGCUUCCAUCUCUGGUUUGGACAUCUGAACAGCCUUAGUCUGAAGCUUUAGAGACCGCUCUCUGAAUGCAGCUUGUAUACGGUCAGCUGCGUCAGCAGCAUUUCUAUAGGCUGCUAGUGACUCCUUCAAACAGAGUUCUUGCUCACUGAGAUUCUCGAUGUCUGUACUUUCAAAGUUCACUUUUUUGGUUGAGAAAGGCGCAGCAGUCGCUACAUUCCCUGACAAUGACAUGGCCUGGAAAUGUGCGGUCAAUCCUUUCUCAGCAAGGUAGGCGGCUAAGCCUUCGUACCCUUGUUUUGCUGCCAAGUCAGCAGCAGUGGAUCCACCAGGGGACUCCGGAGUAGGGUCUGUGACUAAACUUGGAUUUGCUCCAGCUGAUAAAAGUGUAGCGACCAUCCUUUCCCUGGAUUAAUAUAUUUAUGACAUGAAUCAUACCAAUAUAAAGAACUUGAAACACCUAAGAAAUUUUUAUCCACUGGAAAUUAACUUGAAUAAGCAAAUAAAUUUAGAUCUGCCAGAGCCAAACAUGCAUGAGUGCAAGCCACCGGCAUUUAAUAACAUGCUUAAAGCAUAAAACUUCACUGGUUUUAAGCAAUUAGAAGAGAACCUUCCUUUUCAUAAUAUGCUUUUGUACUAAUUGCAUCCGUAAGUUAAAAUCAUUAUGCCAAGUUCCUAGCCAGACUACAGAACACAAAGUUUCCGAUUAGAACGAAUCAACAAAGACAUCAAUGAUUACAGGAUCCUCUACAGAUGUAUCACCUAUAGAAAAUCAAAAUAUUAUAAAGAAAACGAAGUGAGACUUAAAAUUGGCUAUCAUACAUCUCAGCAUCGGCAACAUUAAAUUUUGUUUUAGGGUACUAUACCUUCCAUAAUAAGCAGCCCAAUGCAGAGCCGUCCAGCCACAUGCAUCCCGAAAAUCCAAGGAAAAUCCCGACAAAGAAAAUAGGUAAACUGCCCAAGGAUAGUCCAGGAUAGCACAAAGAUGAAUAACUCCUUGGCCUUGAAUAUCACAGGGAGUUGUUCGACGGCCUUCAGCUACUUUUUCCAAAAGCCAUUCUUGCAACUUAUUUCUCAAAACCAGCUCCAACAACUCUUCAGUAGCAGGCAUCUGAGAAUCCCUAUUGCUAUUCACUAGUUUCAGCAUAUUCAACCACUCCUUUUCCAUUAAAGAAGAGGAGAGAGAAGCAAAGUUUUUGGCUUCCUUCAAGAACUUUUGUUGUGUCCUGCCGGACAGACCAGAAACAUUGCCGCUUGUGGAAAAGAGUAAGUGAGCGAGCCUCAUUUGCAUUUGAAACUCCUUUAACUUUAGUUUCCUAUUGUCAUCUUCAGAUGAAGCCACCUCAUCCCAAACACUCAGCUUAGACCGGUAUUCGAAGGACCAAACUUGGCUGAUUGGUGUCUGACCGUCCAAGGUCAAAUAAAGAUUCACAAAGCCAGGUUCACUGGGGGCUGCAGUACAGCGGUAAACACCAGCUUGAACAAGUUCUGCAGGAACACAUUUCCUGCCAAAGCCGCAGUAGACUUGGGUUUCCAUUAGAUGUUUUUGUUGUUCAUAAAAGUAUCCAACCACUAGGACCUGCAUUAGUUAUAGUUGCAUGAAAGAACUGUGAUAGAGAUGAAAAGCAUAUUAUUAGCAACUUAAUAUUUCCAUAUAGAGCACAAUUGCAGACUUAUGAAAGUAUAUCUUAGAUUUCUACAUAAUUUAUUAGAAAAUAACUAAUAAUCAGCUUAUCCUGACCUUAUCAACAUGAAAGAGGCAUGCCUUCAUCAAGCUGCAAACCAAGGUUUGAAGUUUCUGCCUCAAUUCCAAAACCGAAAAACCAAAAUGUUUCAAACCAUUGAGUGCUAAUUUGAGACUACAGUCUGAAACCAAUCCACAUGAAAUAUCUUGAUUUAAGUCACAAUAGGGGCCUAAAGAAGGCUUAGGUUUAGAAUGUUGGUCUUAUUGGCCGGAAGCCCGGACACACUUAUAGGACGUAAUUUCAUUCAUUUUUGAAUAUUUUAUAUUGUUGUGUCAGCUUUAAUAUGUGGCAACAUCAAAGUUAGUUUUAUUACCAUUGAAAUUGUCACAUUGACUGCUGUUAGACUACUUGGACAACACACGUAUCAUAUAUUACCUUGAGAAAACAGAGGUUUUCACAAUAGAUUGCCUUAGUCUGGAUAUCCAAAUGAACCAUCACAGAAGACUAUGAAAUUCAAGCAAGUGAAAAGGCAACAAUAUAAAAGCCAGUAAGCAAACAAAGCACUACAAUGUAACUUCUUAAUUGCACACAGACAACAAAAUCAACUCGAGAAGAGAAAAAAAAAAUGCUCAGAGAAAUAUUGAGAAAGAAAGACCUUAGUUUCCUCUGUGGAAAAAAAAUGCUCAGAGAAAUAUUGAGAAAGAAAGACCUUAGUUUCCUCUGUGGAAUAUGCCCACCCAGGAGAGACAUCAGUUAUAUUGAAAAUUGGCUGUUGAUUUGAUGACUGGUCCAUCAACGUACAUGUAGCCAGUUUGUUUGCCUCUGACCUGAGUGGCUCAAGCUGCAGAUCAUCUAACAAAUUGAUAUCAUCAUUCAAGUAAUUCCAUCGUCCCAAACUGUUCUGACUUAAGAAGACAUCAUUAGUAAUAUUAUCGGGGGUUGACGUGCCAGUUAUUGCAUUUGAUGUACGGUCCUCUGUUUGAGAUUCUGAUUUUGUGGAAUUCAAUAGUUGUGACUGGCUCUCCUGAUCCUUCAUAGCUUGAAAAUAACUACCGAUUGUUUGGUCAUUCCCAGCGCCAUCAUUAUCAGUAAUGCAACUAGUAUUAUGAGGCAUGAAAAAGCUACCCUGAAGCAAACAAAAAUAGUUCUUUUAGCUGAACAGCAUACAGCGAAGAGAGUGCAGGUUGAAGACCCAAUAAGUUGUUCAUAAAAUAUCUGAUUUACUCUGGCAACAAGAGAAUAUACCUAAGAAUAAGAGCAAAAUUGUGGAGUAUAAUAAGGUAACUAAUAAAUCAAUAUGGCCACAAGCUACAGACAUGAAACAAUACAGGUCAGGAGAAGGCAUAUAUAGAUAUGCAAAUGCACAAAUCUUUUGCUUCACAGUUGAUCUAUAUACAUAUAUGAAUCUUGAGUCUGGAAAGGACACAUGGCAACUCCUCAAUCCCUCUACUCUUUCCUAUUCUCAAAUAAAAAAUUAUUGCAUGCACCAUUUCUAUAAAUAUAUCACAUGAACCAAUCUAAUUUUUUAAUAAUAAAUAUAAAUAUAGUACAAUUAAGCCACAAACUAAUAAAAUCUUGCCACAUGCCUCAUAAAAAUUUUAGAACCAAUCUAAUUUUUUAAUAAUAACUAUAGUACAAUUAAGGCAUAAACUAAUAAAAGCUUGCCACAUGUCUAAUAAAAAUUUUAGACGCACCCAUUGCGGCGCCAUAAACCAACUCUAAUAUAUGCAUCAUAUAUAAAUUUUUAUAGUACAAUAAAUCUAUAUCUAUACUCUAUAUUAAAGGGGAGUUUCAUCAUAUCAUGGGGUCUAGAGGCGAUACGUGUCCUUCCCAUUCUCCCAUAUUUACUUAUAAAGAUAACUUAUACGAUGAAGAACAACCUGCUUCAAAAAAACAUCUUACAUUAUUCAUGGACUUCGCCAACUCAUUUUGAAUUUGUUGAUCAGAUAUGAAAAAAUCACCUGUCACAUGGCAACCAUGGUUAUAUUCUCUCAUAACAAGUUAAUCAACAGUAAGGACUGGAAGCCAUACCAUCUCGAUGCUGAGUAGAAUCAUUAUUUGUAGGUGAUUCCAACAAAUCGUCCCAAUCCAAUGUGUUGAUUUCAUGAAGACUGAACUCAUGGCUCUGAAGUUCUGCAAGAUCAAAAGAGAUAACGGAAACCACAACAUAAGUUAACCUGGGAGCUCGUUGCAAAAACUUUAAGACAACAAUUAAUGAUACUAUGGAACAGUGUUUUCAUCAAAAAGUUUCCUGCAAAAAAAUGUAGAUAAUAACAUAUUCGUUCCAGAGAGAGAGAGAGAGCACUAUGGAACAACGUUUUCAUUAAACAAACAAGUACAUAAUUGCAUAUUGUCCCAGAGAGAGAGAGAGAGAGCAACCGUGGAGCAACAAAUACACGAUUGCUAAGUGAACUAAAUUAUCAAAUGAAAACUAUGAGGUACUACAAUUAAGAAAGAAAAAGAAAUAAUGGAAACUUUUUCAAGGAGAAACAAAUUUAUGUCUCACCAGCCUGUACUGUGUUAUCCUCUCCUGAGUUAAUUUCUUCUGAGGUACCUGCAGAUCCAGACACAACUGAAUGUGCAGAAGCAGAAUUUGAUUCGAUUGGGGUUGAUGGAGAAUCAUGAUGAAUCUUGCUGAUCAAAGAAAGAUUCUCUGUACAAUCAACCGGUGCAGGUAAAUACUGAGAUGCAUGAUCCUGAAAAACCAUCAAACGUUAAAAUGACAUAGGCAAUCCACACAACAAGCCUAAUUCAACUAGAGGCUAAAACAUCACACUUUCAACGAAACAAAAUAUAAGAUAAAUUUCGGCUUUAGAGAUUCACUCAUUCCCCCAAACUUAAACAAGAGGCAACAGUCGUAACAGAAAGGAGAUGCUCUUUAAUGACUGUCUCAAAUCAUAACUUGCUCAACCCUGUUCAAGUUCACAUUUGAUACCAUAAUUACUAGCUCCUUUCAUUCUCUUCCAUGUCUUAAUAACAAGUAAGCAGCAGCAAACAUUGUCUGACUAUAUCACCUUGAAACCCUAAAAAUGUCUUCAGUCUUUAGUCUACCUGUUUAGUUUCAAAGAAAUCAAUCUCCUGAGAACUGUCCAAUUAAGGUCCCUCUUUUCUAUUCAACUUGUUUGGAAGUAUCAAAUCAUUUGUCAUAUUAUUUUAUUGUCUUAAUUUCCUUCUCUUCAGACUAAGCACCAAGAUGCAGUCACAAAUUUCGCCUAUUUUAUCGGACGUCAAUCAAAUAAAAGACCUAGUCUUAAGGAGGAAAACACCAAAACCAAAUCAUUCGUUACUCUAAUUUAAUAAGCUUUCCCUGCUUCAUUACUCUCCAAAGCUGCAAUGGCCAUGCACACUGCAAACCUCUCUCUACCUUUUCCUAGAUGCCCAUUAAAUAUCCAUUUGUAAAGAACUCCGAAUGAGAAUCCACUUGUGUACUUUCAAUUUUAUUUCAUGUGCUUUAGCUAUGUAUAUCACCUCUUCUACCAGCCAUACUUAUAGAUAAGAUCCUAUUGCCUUCACAUCUACAAAAACACUAGUCAUCUCUAAAAUCUGUAUGUGCAAUAAUUCCUAUACAGCUCUUAAAUAUUUUACAAAUAGUGUGAUGUAUAUUCUCUCCAUCAUCUGUUUACUUGCCUACCCACCUAGUUUCUCAUAUAAACACACAAUGACACUUUUGUAUAAUCACCAUAGCUACUUCACUAACGAGCACAUCUGAGAAGCUGCAUUCAAAUUUUACUUCAGGUCUCAUGGACAAACUUCGCUAUCCAUUAGGUAAAACAGCAUCUAUCUAGUAGAGCAAAACUCAUGCAGUUGGUUAAUUGUAGUCUAUACAAGUAAAUGCCUGGUAUAAAAAAUAUUGUAAAUCAUCAAAAAGGAAACAGAGAAAAGAACCUCAGAUGUCUGCCGAUAAUGCACAAGAACUAUGCGCUCCAACAUCCUGAAUAAACAACAUUAACAAAAAUAUCUCAGCUUGCAAUGUCGAAUAAUAAAUACAGAUCGUGCAAAGGAAAAAGGACGUUAAAACUCUGGACAGCUAAUCACCAACUACCAAAAAGGUGAGAAAAAGAAAAUAGGAUGCAACAUUAGCGAGGCAUCUCGGUAAAAAGGAAUGGUGGUAGAACAAUGCCUGUUUAUCACAAUUAUGUUGCCAAUAAAAGUAGUGUUUCUGACAGAGUUCGGAGAACACUCAUGCGCAUGAGCCCAAUGAAUUGAUAUAGCCUGAAAAGUUAAGCUGCUCUAAAUAACAGCAAGGCCUCUUUAACCGUGACAGGUAAAACCCAAUGAAGGCCUAAAUUUUCUGGUGAGCCAAACCAAAAUGAAAAAAAAUCAAGGACAAGUUCAAGUCCUCAUUUUGUAGCUUCAAAGGAGUUUGGAUAACAUUGUUUUAAGGUCCUCUAGCCAACAUCAAUGAAGGAUUCAUAUUUCUUGAGUGAGGCCACUUGGGUUGGUUAAGUCAGCUAUUCAGCUUGACCUAUUGACACCAAACGGACAUGCGUUCUAAAAUGAAAUAUGCACCUCAGCUUGCAGAAAAACCGAUAAUGUACCUUCUUAUGACCUAGCUAAGGCCAUCGAGAAUAAGAUUGGUGUGGAGCAUAAACAAGUAACAUAACUAGAUACAGCAGUAUCUUCUUAACUUUCUUUUCGAUAGUGUUAUCAUCUUAGCUAUUAUACUAUGAUUUGCCUGCUAGGAAUUUCUACACUUCUUUAUUCAAUCGCAAGAUGACAUUCUGCCAAAUUAGGCCCUCAACUAGUCUUAUCUGUUAUUUCUUCUUCCUGACUCUCAUGACUUUCUUUUUCUGGGACACAUCUGAAAUAUGUCAUUGGUAGACUAUUAAAUAUUUCACAAUCUCUUUGGCACCCAAAAUUGCCAAGUUCUAUUACUUGCAACUGCUAUGACAUGCGUUCAGAUGGGACUAAUAUGCCAAUUUGUAUCAACGGAUGACGCAGGCCAUUUCAGAUACCAAGAAUUCUCAUUUUAUACACUUUCCCUGCCCAAUUAUAGAAAUGUUUCACCCUUCUGAGUUCACAUUAAGUCUAAAUAGCUAAAAAUCUUUACUUUAUGCCUAAUAUAUGUCAUUUAGACAAAAUCUUUUUUACUGCGCGAUGAAUAACAGCAUGUAAUAAUUUCCCUAGCUCAAAUAAAGCCACAACUAGGUCCUUAUCGCAGUAAUUGAAAGAAGUUAUAUUAUAAAAUAUAGAACAUCCCAAAGAUUGUAAACACAUCUUAUAAAAAGAGGCAUGAGGGAGAAACUUACUUAUCAAGAAGCCAGUAACUCCUACGGUAAAAAUUAGGAUCGUCCUCACAUCGUGCAUAAUAAACAUGGAUUCUUUCAACAUUUCCAAUCUAUAACAUAAGAAACAUGAAUUAUAAAUGCCAUGUUACAUAAGUAACAUGAAUUAUAAAUGCCAUUUCUCUUGGACAAUAUAUUUUGCACACAAAAGACAAAUGACGAAGGCAACAAAUUCGACAACAGCAAAACCAAAUUUAAACAAAAGAGAUAGGCUAGUCAGUUCAAAACAAUAGCACACCAUUCUCAAUAUGGCAAACAAUUAGUGAACAAGAUGAACUUAUGCAGCCAAGAAUUCCAGUUAGAUAAGAAAUUCAAAGAUCCAUUUAGCGUUGUAAUGCCUGAGCAGAAAGUCAAAUGAUCUUAAAUUUCAGACUAUUUAUUUCCUGAGAUAAUUAUCAAAAUAACAUUGGGUACCAAACUACCAAACAGUGAUAUAAAAAGUUCAGGAUGGAAGCUGAAUUUGAUAACAGCAACACAACAUACUACUUGUGAGAGCACAAAUAGUGAUAUCCAACAAUGAGUACAAGGUAAUUUCAGCAGGUCAAAAGUGUCCAAUGUCCUUAAGACUAGUAAGCAUCAUAUAUUUGCUACAUUGCAUCACCAGCACAUGACAAAUUCAUCUAUCAAUUCUGAUGCCUUUAUACAUAUUUUCACUUCUCAUAAUAUUAGUGGGAAUUGCAACUAAUAGAAAUGAUCGCUCAUUUGAUUCUUUGUGGUCAAGUUUGUUUUGUCCCUUUUAUAGUUGCAAAUACUACAAAAUAAUAAAGUUAGUCCUUACAGUUUGUCUAUCCUGUAAUAUUUAUAGGUUUAUAGAUUUCAUUCACAAAACUCAGAAAAUAAACCUUAGCCUUCUUUUCAUAUGUCAACACCAUCUGUAAACAACAAUGACCAAGGUGAACUUUUUUCAACCUUAAUAUCAUUAUGAUUCAAAAAUAAUAAUUCUACCAAGCAGCAGUUCACCACCUCUAUGCAAAAAAUAGUAAUAACAAAAACAGCAACAGCAACAACAACAACAACAACAAUAAUAAUACUAACAAGAACAAUAAUAAUACUAACAACAACAACAACAAUAAUAAUAAUACUAACAACAACAACAACAAUAAAUAUAUUCUUAAGAAUGAGAGCAGACAAAAGGCUAAAUUGCCAUAAAGUAUACUUUAUUGUAUCUCUAUAAAGUGCAUUUUCAUUUGCAGUUAAUUUCACACAUAAAGCAAUUGGAUUUUUUAUGUAUUGGGCAGUCAGGUUAUACAUACAUAAAGAGAGAUAUAGGAAAAAUGUUGAAGAACAAAAAUAACAGAAAACAAGCAUAGGUAAACAUGCAUUAGCAUUCCAAAAACACAAGGGACACAAUAUAUGAAUUGAUAUUAUACGAUUUUAAUUUGCACGCGGUCUAACUUUUAACUUUUCAUGGGCUUCUUGGACAGUCUUCCCAUCCUUUUUCUUCUUCCAGUUAUGCCCAUCUUUACGGAAGUUCCUCAGCAUUUUCCGAUCAAAUAAAAGAACCGUACCACCUAAUUUACAAGAGGUGAUCAAUUUUUUUUAAAAAAAAAGCAGAAAUAGUAUAGGGUUGGAUAUUGUAAUAACAACAGAAUCAGAUGCGAUAUAGUACGCUAACAGCCAAAAGUAGCAACAUCUCAACUAAGAUACACGAAAUGGCUAACCAAAUCCUAUAAUGUUUAAAAUGCUUUACAUGUAAGCUAGCUUACAAUGUUACAAUUCCAAACAGUAAAACUGCUAAGACACCAUGCUGUGCAAAUUACUAUAUUCCAGCAAAACUGAAUCAAAUAGCUAUAUCUAUUGUCUGAUUUGUUUCAUACUAGUAAUUAACAAUCCACAGAACGAUUAGAUAGCAAUAAGAAAAAUCGUCAUUCUAAAUUGAUUGAGAUGCAUAGUAGAACAGUUUUCUCACUGUUAAUCACAUGUAAUUUAAACAUAUGCUCCCUAUGGCAGUAGGCUAGAAAUGUCAACAUCUAAAAUUUUACUUGAAACCAUCCAUUGCUGAUAGAACGUAGUGUAGACUUUUGAACAAUAUAUUUCAGGGGAAUACUCUAAAUCAAAAGAAAACAAAUAAUAAGACUGGAAAUGUUUUGGGUGUCCGAGAAAUAGGAAAUAACAGCACGAAAAUUAAGUGUCUUUGAGUUACUAAUGUCGAUGUGGAUAGAAAAUUUUUCAUAUUCAAUGUUUCAGACAAUUAACCACCCUCAACAUAGGUUCACUGCAGCACAUCUUCACUCUUUUCUUAUGACAUUGACAAGUCACAACAGGCAGUUGAAGCACUCUCACAAUUAACAACUACAAUCACCAACAAAAGUAGAAAGCAAUGUAUGACUAAUAAUAUUAACUGCCUGGCACGAAAUGGUAUUGGGAGGCUCAUAAUAUAACUAAUAAGUAUAUUUUUCCUUCAGAAUUCAUAAAUUAAGAUAACGAUAACGAUAACAAUAACAUGAAUUUUACAGGAUGAUUAAGAAAAUUAAAUGGCUCAUGCUGUUGUCCUAAGAGGCUUUGAGGUACAAUUCUGCUAUUGUUUCUUGCACACUACCAGCAUGUUUAAGCAUUUUCACACAUUGAUAUAGCACAAGGGUAAAAGCCAAGUAUAAGUCAAAUCGCACUGACCAAGAAUGAAAGAAAAGUGACUUUCGAACCAUAUGGAUGUACCAAAAGAAUAAGCACAAAUAUUUUAUUCUACAUGCUUUAAUAUUCAGAUGGUAAGACAAGUUCAUACUUUGUGGCUUGUCGACUGGUUGGGGUUGGAUUUUAAAACGUGCAUAGUUAGAUAAUAUUGCAUGAACUUCAUUAGGACGAAACCACCUAUUUGGGGCAUCUUCCAUCAACUUCUCUACAUCCAGAUCUGUUCAUAAAGCCAAAAUAUCAGAGAUUAAAAAGGGAGUUUUGCUGAAAAAAUGAUGGAAUGUGUAAUUCAUCAGAGUCUUGAUUAAAUAUGGUAGUAAUGAGAAUAACAAAGCAAUGGUAAAACAUAAUCAUAAAAGAGAUAUUGAUAAAGAAGUUUCUACAGGAAAAUAUAUUCUAAAAAUUCAACAAAAUUUUUUUAGUCUAAUAGAUAAAGUUGAUGAAGAGAAGACUGAAUACCCAGUUUAUCGAAAAUUCAUUGUUCAGAUACUCUUGUUAUUUGAUGAACUGAUUAUAAUUUCUAACUUAAAAUAAGUGAUAAGCAAAGUCUUGACCAUUACAUGUCCUUGAAAAUCACCUUAACCAAGAGGGAAGUCUCUUAGCAAUACAAAAUCUAUGCAAACUUUAAUUAAUUGUUGUGUUGUUCUCGAAGCACUAUGAUUAAUAACAGCGUGGUCUAACUUUAAGAACAAGAUUAUCUCCUCAGAGUAACUUACAAUCCCACAAUUACAACAAUGACAAGAUCAGUCCAGCAACAAAAGCAAUAUGUUCAAGAAGAACAAAAGAUACCGAAGAGAGAAGGCAACUACACAAGCAAGACAUUAAAGAAGAGAACAAUAAAAUUUACAAAUGAACCUCAAACCCUAAUAUGAAAAGAUAGCAUUGCCAAAUGAAACCCUAAAUAGCAAAUCGAUUGAACAAAACUAAAAAAUCAAGUAUGUGUCUGAUGCGGUGCGAAAGCCGUGGAUGAGAGUGUCACCGAGGAGAUAUUUUUCAUGGCAAUGAAGCAAGAGCUCUGAGAUGCCCAAGAACGGGGAAAGUGAUUCAAAAGGGGAGUCGCGUAGUACUUGGAAACUGUACCAACUUUAGUUGAUUUUUAUAGCUAUUCUUGAAGACCUAAGAAAGUACUAUAAGGCUAUAACAGCAUGGUCUACCAUCAAGAACUACUCGAAAUCACUCGCAAUCCAACAUUUACAGCAAUAGCAACAUCAACGUCCACUCAGCAAAAGCAACAGGUUAAACAAAAACAGCAGGUAUCAAAGAACGAAGGCGACGACACGAACAACACAAAUUACGAUCAAGCUUUCAAACCCUAAAAGGAAAAGAGAGAAUCGGCGAAUGAAACCCUAGCCCCCAAAUCGAAUCGAACGAAGUCACAAACAAAGACCGUACCUGAUGCGGUGUGAAAGCCGUGGAUCUCCCCGUCGAGGAGGAGGCCCCCUUCCAUGGCGGCGAAGGGAGAGCUCGGCGAAACCCUAGCCGACGAAGUGAUCGAAAAGAGAAAGGGCAAAUACGAUCGACCUCUGAGUUUGGUAUCAGACGAGAGAGAAAAAGAGAGAGGGAGAGCCGGUAAAAAUGGCGAGGGGGCCAAAAGAGCAUGGACUGUUAUUCUCCGCCGCGGAGUAAGAUACACUGGAUAUCUGUGUACUGAUCGAGGAAUUUUGACCGUUAGCUGGAGAUUCGACGGUUCUAGUUUUGGAGUGUCAAGCGAAAGGGUGUGCAACAUUUGCUUGUUAUUCGCCUGCUUGCGGAGGGUUCACGGAUGGAUUCCACGUGGCAUUGGUAAUUGGGUUAUCAGCGCGGGGGCGGGGCAGAUAUUAUCAAAAUAGUUUUUUUAUCAUUAUUGAUAGUGUAAAAUUAUACAUAUACAAAAAAAAAAAAAUACAGAAAAAAAAUAAAAAAUAAAAUAAAAAAAGACGUAGGAAAGAAGAAUGGCAAAAUAUGCCAGAAAUAAUAAAAUAAAGAAAAUGAAUGAUAAUGACAAUAUCAGUUUAUAGAAAAAAAAUAUUUGGUGGAUAAUAAAAAUUAUUAAUUAACUGAAUUAGACAAUUAUAUUUAACAUGAUAUAGAAAAUUAAAAGAUCACUUAUAAAAUUAUAACAACAAAAACUACUUAAAUAAAAUGUUUAUAAUAAUAUCCCACUAAACUAAAGGAAAGAAAAUUAAAUUGUAGAAGGUUAAAUUAUAGGAGGCAGAUGAGGGGACAAAUUUACUAUUAAAAAAUAAAAAAAUAAAAAAAUUUGAGGUCUUACCACAUCGGCUAUAGUAUUAAGGAUUAAUAUAUAGUUAAUUAAUAGAUAUAGAAAGUUGAAAGGCUAUUUACAAAAUUAUAACAACAAAAACGGUUUAGAUACUGACCGUUUCUACAGCAAGUGGCAAAGGGCUUGGUGGUUGAUACCCGAGACCCGAGUUCGAAUCCUAGUUGAUUCACAUUUCCAGCUAAGCUUAUUUCUAAAUGAGAUAAAACGAAGCAGAUAGCGUGCUACCUAUCUCUCUCAAGAAAAAAGAAAAGAAAAAAAAAAACAACGUUUUAGAUAAAACGUUCAUAACAAUAUCUUACUAAACUAAAAGAAAGAAAAUUAAACUAUAGGAGGUUAAAUUAUAAGGGAUAGAGGAGGGGAACAAAUUUACUAUUAAAAAAAUUAAAAAAAUAAAAAAUUAAGAUUUUGCCACAUCAGCAAUAGUAUUGGAGAUUAAUAUAUAGUUAAAAUUUAAUAGAUUAGAUUAGACAAGGUCGAUGUGCAAUUUGUAAAAAUAAUCAUUAAUCCCAGCAAAUCGCGACCUGCCACGUGUCUUAAUAGUAGAUUUUGCACCAAUGAUCACUGUUGAGAAUCCUCUAAUUGAGAAUGUUUGUGGAUGAGACAGUAGAAAUAAAUAAAUUGUUAUUGUCGUUUACUAAUCCGAUAUUCCAAAGCAUGUUUUCGCUUACUUUUUAGUCCCUUGGAAUUAUACCCAAGCAAAUAACGCCUGAUAUAUACGGCUCAACCGAUCUGGUUCUUCGUUUGGGUGAUCAAAUUGAGCCAUUUUCAAUUUUGUAGGUUACACCUUAAUAGAAUCUAAAAUACACCUGCACGAAAACUACGUGCUUGGUUCUUAUUUUUUUAUUUGAUUUCGCUUUACGUUGAGAUUUUAUUACUUGACUUAAUUUAACAUAGCCAAGCCUAGUUUUGGGACUAAGCUUGAGCUUAAAAGGGUUCAGCAAUUUGCUUAUAAUUUGUUUUGAGCAAAAAUAUUUUUGGAACGAAUGAAUCUCACUCCUCAAACAAACAAAUUCUUCUGAGCUCUCUUCUCUCCUUUUUAAAACAAGUAGUACGCUUGCCCCAAUAGUAAAAUUUCUUUCUGAUUUUAUCAUGAGUUGAUAGUUUGAAUUUUGUCCGUCCUAAGAUUCCUAAUGCCACUAAAUCUUACGUAUAUCUCUACCAUCUACAAGAUUAUUUGUCGUACCUUUAAAAGUACAUUUUAUUUGGGACUUAUUUUGUCCGGUUGAGGUUUCUCCAUAAGCAUACAAAAGUCGUACCAUUUAAAAGUUAAUUAUGACAAAGCAUAUCAACAAAUUGUCCAUUCUUUACAUGACUUUACAGAUGCUAUGCGACACCACAAAUUUGGUAUUAUGGAUUUCUAGUCCUUAUUUCCAUAAUCUAUUUUGGUUCUUUCUAAAUAUUUUUCCAAUAAGAUCAAUGUUUUAAUCAAUAAAAAUAGUAUUAAAACGUUUUGCACGAGUGAUCAAUUUGGGGAGGGAUGGAUCAUUUCACGUACAGUAGAGUCAUGUUAUCUUUUUGCUGAGGAAAAGAAGUAUAAAUUGAUUUCCCUCGCCACCGCAAAUGACCAUAGUUGGGUACUAUUUUUGUCAAAUGGAUCUGUCAUUAUUUACAUUUAAUUUUAUACCCCACAACAUGUGAUGCCAAAUCUCUAUCAUUGAAAAUUUACUUACUACAGUAAAAUUAGAUCUCUGUAUGAUUGCGUUAUAAGUUUACAUUAGGAUAAGAACCAUAAGAAAAUGGUAGUGCAAAUUUUUACUAUAGUAAUUGAUUGACACCCUUUUUGAACUAAAAGAAAUUAUGAUUCACAAGUCCCUUAUAUGUGAACACAUCCUUUUUAGUUGUUAUGAAUAAUAUAAACAUGUAUGAUUAGGGAUAAACAAAGAAGGUAACAAACUUUAGUCCAAUUACGGUUUACUUCAACAACACAUUUCCAUCCUUAAUUCACUGUGAUUGAAAAACACUUGUGAAUUUAUUUAAUUAUAUCUUUAUUUGGCACGAAUUAAGCACAGUUGAGUCCUCUUUCAUAAAUAUAGAACAUAAUUUUAAAGAAUUAGUGGUUUCUAUAUAUUCACUUAAAUAUAAUAAAUACCAUUCAUUUUCCCAAUUGGAAAGGAUCAGAGGAGGAAAGGGCCAUGCCCUUGAACCCCCCAUGAAUUUGCUCUCGUGAGUUAUGGUUGUGUCCCUAAACUUAGCAAAACACUCUUGAAACAUAUUGUAAAAGUUAAUUAAUUUUUUGUGUAUAAAAACUAUCAUCGUUAUCAUUAUAUGAACAAAAGAAUGAAAGAAAAAUAAUACUAAAAAUAAUGUCCCUAUUUAAUGUCAAAUCAGUUGUACAAUUUUGCGACUGUUUUUGUGCUAUAUGUUGAUUGUCCUAUUCCUCCUUUCUUGAAAUUUCAAUUAAUGGUGGGGACUUAGAAAGGACAUGAGUUGGGUAAAGAAUUUAGGUUCCCGCAAAUUAUUUUUUAUAAAUUAUUAAUAUAUACAUGCACGAUAAGCUAAUGCUACAGAAGAUACAUAAUUUAUAAUAUAAUAUAUUAACUUACUAAUAAUUUCAAAAAUAAUAUUUUUUAGGGUUCAUAAUUAUACUUAAAUUGUAUGAAAUUUUAAAUUUUAACUUUUAAAUUUAAUAUAUAUAUAUAUAUAUAUAUAUAUAUAUAAUUGAGCUAGAAUACUUUUACAAGUAUUACCCCCAUGAUGCUAUUAGGUUUUUAGCCAUUGGAUCUAUUCCUUGAUUACUAAUAGCCAUUGGAUCAAACACUAUUCCACCUGCCACCACCUACCAUCACCUACCACCAUUAUCCUCCAACCUCACAUCUCUCCAUCCAAUGGCUAAAAACUCAAAGCACCACUCAUAUAAUACUUUACAAAUAUUCUAACUCAACUAUAUAUAUAAUAUAUAUAAUAUAUAUAUAUAUAUAUAUAUAUAUAUAUAAUUAUAUGUGGCUGGUAUGCCUAUGGAAGCGUGCUUCAGUUGUUUUUGAUGUUCGGACUUUCGAAUCGACGAUCGGCUCCGAUGGAGUUGAUCUAGAGUAUUUGAAGUAUCUAGAAAAAAAAUUUUUGAUUUUUCGAUAUCAUUUGCCUAGUGAUCGAAGAGCUCAAAAUUAAUAAUUUUAAUGGCCGUGGUGAGCCGGUUGCAGGUUUAACGGUGUAGAAAUAUCCAAAUCACAUGAAUUUUGAUAGAAUUUUUUAUACCAUAUAAAACAGAUCAAUAACUUUGAUCUAAAAUUUUAAUGUCAUAUCAUCAUAUUUUAUAAGAUUUUAUUUUCAGCCGUUGAUUUUGAGCACUCCGAUCACUAGGCAAAUGAUAUCGAAAAAUCGCCAAAUUUAUUUUCUAGAUAUUUCAAAUACUCUAGAUCAAGUCUAACGGAGCCCGAUCGUCCGAUUCGAAAAUCCGAACAACGAAAACAAAGUGAAAGCACGGAACCCUCCGUGCUUCCAUAAGCAUCCUAGCCGCACUAUAAUAUUAAUAUAUAUAUAUAUAUAUAGAUGUGAGGCUACUAUUGCUAUCGGAAGCCACGGAGCCUUCCGUGCUUCCAGCCUCGUUUUCGAUGUUGCGACUUUCGAAACGUCGAUCGGCUUCCGUUAAAUUUGAUCUAGAAGUAUUUGGAGUAUCUAGAAAAUAAAUUUUAUUGUUUUCGAUAUUAUUUGCCUAUGGAUCGAAUGACGCUCAAAUCAACAAAUUUCAAUGGCCGCAGUGGAGCCGUUUGCAAGUUUAACGGUGUAGAAAUAUCAAAUCAAAGUGAAAUUUUGAUAGAAAUUCUUUAUACUAUUAAAAACAAGAUCAAUAUCUUUGAUUUAAAAUUUUAAUGUCAUAUUAUUACAUUUUGUAAUAUUUUUAUUUUCAGCCGUUGAUUUUGAGUCUUUCGUUUACUAGGCAAAUGAUAUCGAAAAAUAAUAAAAUUUAUUUUCUAGGUACUCCAAAUACUCUAGAUCAAGUUUAACGGAGCCGAUCGACGAUUCGAAAGUCGCAACAUCGAAAACGAGCUGGAAGCACGGAAGGCUCCGUGCUUCCGAUAGCAUAGUAGUCUCACUCUAUAUAUAUAUAUAUAUAUAUAUAUAUAUAUAUUUGAGCUGUAAUACUAUCGGUAACAAACUGACUCUAUUGCCACCCAUUUGUUUUCGAUGAUGGAGCCUCCAAAUCGACGAUCGGUACCGUUGAAAAUGAUCUACAUUUCAAGUAUAUAAAAAUCAAAUUUCAUUAAUCCUUAAAAAAUUAAUAUUAUAUAAAUACUAUAUUAUUAUAUAAAUUAAUAAUAUACCAACUAUCAAAUAUUAUACCACCUAUCAAAUAUUAUAUACCAACUAUCAAAUAUUAUACUGUUGAAAAUAAUUUAUACCAACUAUUAAAUAUUAUAUUAUUAUAUAAAUUAAUUCUUAAAAAAUUGUUUGAAAACUAAAGUGAAAAACAUACAAAGUUUAGAGAUUAGGGACUAAAAUAAAAAAGUGUGAAAAUAUUGGAGCCCAAUGUGCAAUUAAUUUUUUUAAAAAUUAAUGUGGGUCCCACAUCAUCCCAAAAUAAGUGAAAAGACCAAUUUUAUUUUUGUGUUUAAUUAUAAGCAUGUUUUUAUUGAUCUAUGCAAAAUUAUAACUUUAUAACUUGACCAUAAAAAAUUAUUUGCAUGUUGGGCACAGAUAUAAUUAACUAGUAGUAAAAACGAUUGGGCUACAAUAAAUUAAACUUGACCCAAGUUUGAUCUGGGCCGGGUUUCAGGCCAAUAGCUGGGUUGGGCCGAGUUUAAAACUUUUGGUUCGGUUCGAUUAUCGAUCUGUGCUGUUUUAUCGAGCUUGUUUUAUGAAAAACAAAAGACAAAAAUAUAUUCACCUAAUCUGAACUUUAGAUCAUUUGAAAAUAAUGUAUGAAACUAACACAAGAUCGAGCUUAUUAUCAAUCUGGUAUAUUGCAGAUGCGUCCAGUGCAUUUGUACAUUCGUACAUUCGUACAUUGCACCUACAUCAUAAUAAAAUCUUAUUUCAGUAUCCGCCACAAUAAAAGCUUCAAAUGUUUUUAUCUGCUGUGACGCAUGCUUCAAUCAUUCGAAAUAGAGAAGCUGCGUAAAAGCUAGGCUGAAUUAUUACCAAUGUUUUAAAUAUUUGCAAUGUAAUUACUUAGUAGGUAAUUUUUUGGGAAAACUUCAAAAACCCCCCCUGUGGUUUCGUGCAUUCUCACUUUGCUACCCUGUGGUUUAAAACGUAUCAAUUUACCCCCCUGUGGUUUCAUUUUUAUCUUUUCGGAAGCUUUUUCGUUAAUAUUUCGUUAAAUUAUAUACAAAAAACUUCAGAUAACCAUCUAUAUUUAUCGAAUAGUCACUUUAGUAUCCUUUAAUUUUAACUUUGUCACUGAUUUAAAAAAUAAUAAUAAUAAAAUUGAUAACAAAAAGAUAAAAACGAAACCACAGGAGGGCAAAUUGAUACGUUUUAAACCACAGGGUAGCAAAGUGAAAAUGCACGAAACCACAGGGGGGGUUUUUGAAGUUUUCCCUAAUUUUUUUGGGCUCCUUGUGAAGGGCUACUACUAUCUCCCUUGGGCAAUGCUUGCUUUAGAACUGAUCUUCAACAAAUCCUUUACCCUCUCUCUGGAAAGAAGAACAUAGUACUGAAGACUCCUUUUUGGGUGUAUCCUCCCUUUUGCGUUAUUUAGUUGCACAUUUAAUUGCCAUUUUUUUUUUGAAAAAUCUAGUACAUUUUUUUUAAAAAAAAUAAAAAAUAAAAAUAACUUCGUUGAAUAUUAAUUAUGUCGUAAUUGGUAUUCGGGCUCGAAUCUGAAUUAGAAAAGGAAUUCAGAAUGGGUCGGAAUAAAAAUGGAAAUAACUAGCUAAUUGGUAUAACAUUUUCUCUGACCAAACAGAUCGCAAUUAUAAUUUUGAUUUUCAUUCCAAGAGCAAAAGCUUUUGCCAUUAUACAAGCCUUUAUUUCCAUUAAUCAUCUGUGAAUUACUGAAUCCAAUAUAAUUUUAUUUUAUUUUAUUUUUGUCCUCCUUAAUUUAUUGGUUUUUAAGAUCCAAACUUGUUGCAUUUUAGGGAGGGGCAGCUUAAAUCAACAGACCAAUAAAGCCGAUCGAACCAACACGCUGGUGUAGCACUUCGUGGACGAAGUUACCGAUUAAAUCAAUUAAAGUUUGUGAUUUGGCGUAAAAGAAGCUUAAUAGAUGAUAAUCACAAUAGUUCACUAUGGUAGUUUUUAAAAAAAUAAAAAUAAUGUUGAAUUUUACUUAUAAUAGAUUUAUCAUGCACAAAAUUAAAUUAAAUACACGCAUGUUGGUACGAUUUCAGUAGCUGAUUCUACACUAAUGGCCAGAUUUAAAGACAUCAGUUUUUAUUUUAUUUUGCUUCCGUAAUACGCAUUUUACUCUCUUUAUAUAUUCAUAUAUGAGGUUGUUGUUUUUUUUAUUAUUAAUUUUCUAUUGCCUGGGAUGGGACAUGCAUUAAAAAGCAUGUUGAAUUGGAAUAAAAUUUCAGUGGGGAGCUUUCCAACGACGUCAAUACUCUACCGCAUGUUAGCUUUUUCUCCGUCGAAUAAUUUGUUAGAUGUUUUUUAAUACUAAAAUACAAAGAAAAAGAUUAAAAUACCUGAAUACAAAUAAACGUGAUAUGUGGCAACAGAUCGGUGCUUCCUAAUAAGGCAUCGCUGGAGAGCUCCCUAUUGAAGUUUUUUCAUUAAAUUGAACAUAUAAUAACUAUAUACGGUAAGUUGCACGUUUAAUUUUUGACUCAAACUUUUAGAAUUAUUAUAAUAAGGUUUCAUAAUUUAAUUUAGAUGACUAAAUUUUAACUCAUUAUUAAUAUAAAAGUGAUAUGACGUUGUAAAUAUUGUCAUAUCAUCGAUCAAAACACUAUCACAUCACCUAAGUGAUAUAUCAAUAUUUGGUCGACUAAAUUGGGUUAUAGGACUUGAUUGUCCUAAUCAUAGUAAUUUUCCUACCUUUAAUUUAAUCGCAUUUUAAAUGAAAGAAAAAUCAAAACAGUGAUCGUAUUGGGACAACAACUUUUUAUUUGAAAUUGAAUUACACGGGUGAUAAACCAAGAUUAAUCAGGCUAUGAUUAUAAGCUGAGUUCCAGGGGACAUUAAAAAAAAGAGAUCUUCUCGAUUCCAGUAAUAUAUAACAUAUAGAGUAAAUUAUAUGCUAAUCAAUUAUUACCACAAUAUUUUGCAGUUUUAUCGAUUAUUCAUUUUUCUCUAUCUUAUCUUGCUAAUUAAUAUGCUCUUAUAUGAUUAGCAUGUGCUGCAUCUGCAGUUAUAUGCUAGAGAAUAAUUCUGCAGAUUACAGGCGUAAAAAAAAGAGAAAAGUAUAUAUAUAUAUAUAUAUAUAGAGAGAGAGAGAGAGAGAGAGAGAGAGAGAGAGAGAGAGAGAGAGAGAGAGAGAGAGAGUCCGGCUGGGAUAUUAUCGAUAGCACCAAGGCUUUGCGCUAUCGAGUUUUUCACCGUUAAAUUUAAUCCUUCGAUUAUUAUUAUUCGUUAGAUUAUACUAUUCAACCAACCACUCACUCAAUCCUAGAGGGCCCAUAUCAUCCUAACUGCACAUUUUUCAAUCCAAGAGCUAAAAAACUAAUAGCAUCAAUAGUUUGGUGCUAUUGAUAGUAUCUCAGCCUAGUUUUAUAUAUAUAUAUAUAUAUUAGUUGGGCUAGAAUACUAUUGAUAGCAAAAGUCCCUUUUUGCUAUCAAGUUUUUAGCCUUUGGAUUAAUUUCUUUCAUCAUUUUUAACCAUUGGAUUAAUUAUUAUAACCCAGUGAGGACCACUCAACCCUAAGCGACUAAUAUCAUCACUAAUAUCAUCCUAAUCCUACAAUUUCUCAUUCAAGGAUUAAAAAUUUGAUAGCAAAAAAAAUCUUUUGUUAUCAAUAGUAUUCCAAUCCAUCUCUCUCUCUCUCUCUCUCUCUCUCUAUAUAUAUAUAUAUAUAUUAUACUUCAAAUGCAUGCAUGAUUACAAUACUAAAGUAGUUCCAAACAAGUUAUAAAUCAACAUAUGGAAUAUAAAAAAGUAUGUAGAUACUGCAUAUAAGUGAAUGAGUACCAUAUUAAAUGAAAUCCAAGCAAGAUAUAUAUAGUUUGAAUAAUGAUUAGACAUAUAAAGAAGUACAUUCUACAGGUAUGACCACUAAUCAUAAGAUUUAAGAAAAUCUCAACAUGCAAAUUUAAAAUAGAGAAAAAUAAUAAUAAUAUAAGAGAGUUGAUCAUCGGCUCCACCAAAUAUUUGUACUUCUUUGAGCAAAUUUUUCUUUUUUCCAAUCCGUUUUCAUGUUAUAGCUUUUUUCCCCAAACACGAUCUUACUUAAACAGAAAAAAAUAAAAUAAAUUUAGACGGUAGAGCGAGAAAGAAUGAAUGGCAUCAAAAAAUAAAACUUGGAAUUAUAGAAAAAUCAUGAAUAGAAACGGUAAUUGAAGUAAUAUUUGGACAAUUAGAAUUAUAUGAUAAGAAAAGUUAGUUACAAACCUCUGUUUAUAUAUCAUCACCAAUAACUAAUCAUUUGAGUUGGGAUUCUACUCUCGUCUACUCGAGAAGGUGAGAUGGAAUGAGCCGCGGGGGUAAACUUGUUUCUCUGGUUGGAGAUAGUUGAGCGGCGGAGAUCGAAAAUAAAUAUGAUGGACGGUUGAUUGGCUACGGUGCAUGAGACACACCGAUGCGCCGGGCGCAUGCAACGAUUUAGUAUUCUCACAGUAGAUCCGUACGACCAACGUGCGAGCCAAAACAAUAAACCUGCGCAUUGGAUUCCCACGGCCAUUGACAAGCGUGGGUUAUGGGAAAAGUGAAAAUCGAAAAAAUAAAAAAUAAAAAACACAAAACAAAAAAGAACUCCCACGUGGGAACAAACGCACCGGAAACUCGCCCUCGGGAGGAGGGCCCCACUCGACACGUGCGACGAGGCAAUCUCUUUCCCCGCGCGUGCGCCCCGCAUCCCAACGCAGCGCGAGGCGAACGGGUCGGAUCUCAACCGUACGCGCUAAUCGGACGGUGGAAAACGCGACCGGGGCGCACACAUGCGGCCACGUAGGCGAGGAGAUUUUGUGGGAUUAUUUUAAACGAUGAUUUUAAUAAUCGCGGGGAGGGGAAACGGGGGAAACCACGCGGAAAGAGAACGGAGAGGGGAAUAGUAAUAAAUAAUAAUAAUAAUGGGGAAAUUAUUAUUUAUUUAUUUAUUUAUUUAUUAUUUUUUUGGUGGUGGGGAAUGGGGAUGCUGACCGUGGGAAUGUGGUUUGACCGGGGAGGGGGAAGGGGAGUGGGGGUGUGCGCACGUGCGGGGGUUUGGUCGUACCACUGUGCCUCGCUGUACUCGCGCUGGUGUCUCCACGUCGGCUCCACAUGGCCACGUGUAUGCAAAAUUGAAGCGCAAGUGCAUGAGUUAGCACGACCAUUUACUAAUCCCCUCAUAAUUGUCCAAAUUUACGAGAUUACUUAAAGAGCAAGAGUUCCUUAAAAAGAGCCCCUCAGCUAGGAGUGCUAUUCUUUUAGCGCUAAAAAUUUUAAAAUUUAUUAUGAUUUAAGAUAUUUGUUGUUUGAAACAUACUGUUACUGUUCUAAAUGGAGAAUUUUUUAAAAAAUAAUAAAAUAAAUAAUUAUUCUUUAUUUAAUAAAAAAUUACAGAAACAAGGUACACUAAUGUGACCGUAACAUAAAUAUUGUGAUAUGAUUGUGGACAUAGGAAAUUUUAAUAUAAUUAAUAUCGUUUUAAAAAACAUUACUUUCAUACAGUAAUUUAUUCAGUCGUAUAAUAUACUAUUCUUAGAUUUCUUUUAAAAUAAUAAAUAAUUAAUGUAUUUAAUUUUAGAAUUUAAAAUAUGCUAUGAUACUGUAGAAAUAAAGAAAAGAAGCAAAAGCGCACACCUCGCCACGAAUAUAUGCCUCCUAGCUAGAAGGGUAGAGGGAAGUAAAUUUACCACACGAAGAGGCAACGAGAAGGGCCGGGGACACGUGCGAGUCACGUGGGGAAGCGUAGCGAUCUCGUACGGACUGUUUAAAAUUUGUUCAGUCUUUUUUCAUUCUCUUCUGUAAUAAAAAAAUUCUAAAAUGUAUCAGUUAUAUUAAUGACGUGAUAAUUUUAAUCAAUAUUAGAUAAAUUUUUUGAAUUAAACUAGCAUGUUAUAAUUAUAAAAAUAUUUUUAUUAUAAUAUUUUUUAUAAAAUAUUUAUAAUUAAUUUAUUACUGUUGAUAUGGUGUAAAUAUAAUACAGUAGCCUUUUAUUUUCUCUCUCUUUCUAGUAGUACCAGUACCAGCACCAGCACCAACAGCAGCGGCAACAGCAGCAGUACAGUACACAAGAUUGCAAGGCGAGAGCAAUAUAUAUAUAUAUAAUUACGGAAUUGCCACUGGAUCUGGAUGAUGAGUGGGGUAAUUUGUCGGGUAGCGAGGUCAUAAUUGGGUGGGGGAGGGGGAACACGUGGGACAGCUAGCGCACACUCGUGGGGGCACAGCUUAAUCAUCACCACCCCCCGACACCCUGCCGGCAUUUAUAUAUUUUCACGCUUCCCGAGGACAGAUAGAUACACAGUGGGAGAGACAGAGAGGGAGGGGGAGAGAGAGAGCGAGAGAUCAUUGAGGAGAUUGAAGAGGAUCGAGACUGAGCCCACUUAAAGCAUGACUAUGACUAAUGACUAUCAUUAUUAUUAUUAUUAUUAUUAUUAUACAGCUUUGCUAGCUAGUUCAUUAAUUGCCGCUGCAUGUAAUAAUAAUACCUGAGCCCUGCGUGAAGAGGUCCCAAGUUGGGUGGAUGUACCUAAAAUUGUCCCCCCAGUUGGUACCUAUAAUAUUUUUCUGUAUUUGUUUAGAUUAGAAAAUAUUCUAAAAUGCAACCGGUAUAUAUAUUGGUGGCUUGGCGUAACAAAUUAAUCAAAUAUCUCCUUUUAAAAAUAUAUGUCCCAUCAUCAUUAUAAAAAAAUAUUUUUAUUAUACUUUUGCUCGAAAAGAAAAGAUGUGAUUGGCUUGUUAUUGACGACGGGGUGCAAGUGUGAUAGUAUAAAAUUCCUCUUAGAUUAGAAACCCGUUUGGCUCAAAAUAAAAAAUAAAAUUGGAAUUGAAUCAGAAUGAACACAAGUUGAAAACAAAAUUAUACAAUCUUUCGAUAUGUUUGGGCUAGAAUAAUAAUCGGAAUCGAUAUGGUUGAUUUGUACUUUUACUUUUAAAAAUUAUUUGAUUUAUAAAAAAUGAAUUAAAAUUAUUUAAAAUUUAAUUUGCCCUUCGAAAUAUAUAAUUAAAUUUAUAAUUUAAAUUCAGACGCUAAAAGUUAAAUAUUAAAAAUUUGCAUCAAAAUAUUGAAAUGAUAAGUCAAAAUUUUAAAUGUAAUUUUUUAAAAUUUAAAAUUAAGCGGACAAUUCAGAAUAAGAAACUAAUUUUUGAUUUGGUUCAUGUUCAAACUUACAACUAAAUUUAAAUUCAAAUUUAUAGAUCAAAUUCAAAAUGCUUAAUUGAAUUUAUACUUUAAGUUAAUUUCUAAAGCAAAAUCUAGAAUAAAAAAUUUAAUUUCUAUAUUUAAAUUUAUAUUUUAAUUUAAAAUUAAAGAUCAUAAAAAUAAAUUUAAUUUAAAUAAAAAUAUAAAAUAUAAUUGAGAUAUUUUCGUAAAGUGCAUUUUUUUCGCUUAAAUUCAACUUCCAAUUCGAUCUCCUACGCCAGAUUGAAAAAAGGAGUGAUUGGUGGAUUCUAUUCACCCAAAAAUUAGAAUCAGAAGAAAACUCCCACAUACUAAACACUCACAAGUUAAACACUCACAAGUUGAUUUGCCCGUUCCGAUUCUAAUUUUUGGGUGAAAGAGGGACGAAUGGAACCCACCCUAAAUUUAUAUCUUAUAUUUUCUUUAUCUAAUAUUAAAAACUUCAAAAAUUGUGCGAAUUCUAGGAUGCCUAAGAUGUCAGAUUUAUACCUAUAUAAGUGUGUAUAAAUAGCGUUUUCUUUUGUUAUACUCUUAUGGUUUUAAUACCGACUGUCUCUAGCAUAAGUCGUAAAGUGCUUGGUGGUUGGUAUCCGAGGUCCCAAGUCUAAAUACUAGUUGAUUUAUAUUUUCAACUAAGUUUAUUUCUUAAAAAAAUAAAUAAAAUGGGUAGCACAUGCUGUCCUUCCCUGAAAAUACUGUUAUGGCUUUAAUCAAAAAGAAAAUCGAAAUUUAGAAUCUAUUCCAAAUGCUUAUCCGAUAACUAUCUUUUUCGAUGGUUAGAUACCCGAGGAUCGACGAAAAGCAUGCAUAUGCUUUGGAUGCCUUUUGUGAAUAUUUAUACUAAAUAAAUUGAUGUGGUGGAUUAAUUGUACGUAGUUUGUACAAGUACAGACUAAAGAUAUUAUAUUAUGAUGGUGCAGUAAUACUCAGUUGAGAAAAGCUAAAACUCUCUUGUACUUGUGUGUGUCAUUUUAUCCUUCAAUUUCAAAAAAAGAAAAAGAAAAAGAAAAAGAAAACCAUUUUGUUAUAAGAACUCUAUAAUUUUCUUUUCUUUUAUCCAAAAUAUAAUAAAUUUUUUAAUGAAAAUAAAAAAUAUCAAAUUUACCUGUCCUCAAACAAAGUUCAGGGUACGUGAUUCGAUUGCCGUGCAUAAGUUUAUUUUAAAGAUGAUUGUAUUAAAGGCGCAAUAAUAAUAAUAAUAAUAAUAAUACAUAUAAUUAAUUGCUAUUUGUGGUGGGGUGAAAAGCACCUAACCUAUUCCACUCCAAAAGGUAGAUAUCGAAGUUCAAAGGAGCCCCAAUUCACGCCACAUAAAAAGGAAAAUGUCUCGCCAAAGUAAAAUUGGUUUAUACUUAAACCAACAACUAGUUAUAGUUGAGAAGAGAAUCGUAACCAAAACCUUCAUAUGUAAUGCGUAACGUUAUUUUUUCUUAUCAUUUAAUUAAGCUUUUGGAUCGGUUCAUUCUACGUUAUCAUUCGCACUCAUAAAUAAUGAAAACAGCAUCUCAAGUAGCUGAGGAAAUGCUUGCUAAUGAAGCGAAAAGCGACGGGAUAGUAGUAUAGAUAUUUUCUAUGGCCAUGAGCGUGAAACUUUUUUUGUUUGUAUUUUUUGUGUGUUUUUGGGGGAAGAUAAAUUGGUCCCCAUUUCCCUAAUAAGUGCACUAUUUUUGGGUCACGAUAUAUUCGACAAUUAGCAUCUGUUACAUUGGCUCCACGGUCCCACCAAUGAGCAAAUGUUCAUUACUAUCCUUUUCACAUGUAGUGGAUCCAUCUAGUUCCUUCCAAGGCAAGAUUGCAUCAUCUUCAAUAUAAUCCAUAUUCCGAUCAAUUAUUCGUUUGCACGGUGCAUAUUUGUACGUAUGUCAAGUAGAAGAAUUUCGAUAUUUGUUGCGGAUAAAUUAACACCGUAAAUAGCAGUAGUUAAGUUCGAAAUAUUAUGUAGUAUAGCAAGUAUUUUGGUUAAAUUCCAUCUAGUGGUGCUACAAAAAUAAAGAGCAUUUCUAUGUAUGUGUCACAAUUAUACAUUAGCAAAGCAGAACUUUCGAACAUUUCAAUCCUAGUAGUAGGACGCAGCUGGGAAUUUUGAAUGUUUUGAAUUCGAGUCCCAGUUAGAGUAGCUUAGGGCACAGUUGAAUGAGAUUUGGCUCUCGAUUCUUGAAAAAUGCAAGGGAUGACAGAGUAGCUGGAAGUUGUUGUUUGUAACUUAGCGGAGCAAAUACGCUAAAGGUACAUUCGCGUAGAGAUUCUCACAAGGGUUCUUAUAUGUACCUAUCGUGUCAAUAAGAAUACACGCCCAAUUGGCACAUGAUCGACGAAGAUAAUCGGAACGUGCUCUUAAAAUCGGAAUUUAGAAAUCAAAUUGCAAUUCUAAGAGUAUAUAUUCUCCAAUCUAGAACUUUAAGCAUAUUGCUAUUGCUCUAUACUGGAUGGCAAGUAUACUUAUAUGAAUCUUUUUCAUAUCACUGUAUUUAUAGAUUGCCAAUAUGUUAAUAUGUAAAAUACAAAAAAAAUUAAUUAAUUUUCACAUCAACUAUAUAUAAUUUAUUUGAUUCAUACAGUUAAAAAAUGCAUGUUUUAAAAAAUUUUACAUAUAUCUAUAUAUAUAUAUAUAUAUGUAUUUAUAGAUUGCCAAUAUGUUAAUAUGUAAAAUACAAAAAAAAUUAAUUAAUUUUCACAUCAACUAUAUAUAAUUUAUUUGAUUCAUACAGUUAAAAAAUGCAUGUUUUAAAAAAUUUUACAUAUAUCUAUCUAUAUAUAUAUAUAUAUAUAUAUAUAUUAAAAAAAUAUUAAGGAGUUAAGUUUAUCUUUUGUCUAAAACUGCUCGCUUGAAUCUUCUUAUACAGUUCUAAUUGCAGCAGUUGAAUUCAAAUGUAUCAAAUAGGUAUAUAGUACAGUUAAUACAAAAAAAAAAAAUCUGUGUGAUCAAUUAAUCAACCUCUCAGCAAAAUAAUAUGCGGGGUUACAUAUAUAGCAUGUACAUAUGAAGAUAUGUACGUACGUAUAUAUAUACACAUACGGUGGUGUCGACGACGAUGAUGAUGGAGAUGAUGAUGGAAAAGGCCGUUUACCCCCUCCGUUGGUCGGUUUCCUUUCCCUCAUAAUUGGCACCCAAUUGGUGCUUCUGUUAGUUGGUGUGUGUGUGUGUGUGUGUGGGUAGCUAAUCAAUCAUCUUAAUCUCAUUAGACGAGAGAGAGAGAAAGAGAGAGAGAGAGGGGGUAGAGUAGAGAGAGAAAUUAAAAUAGAGAGAGAGAGAGAGAGAGAGAGAGAGAGAGAGAGAGAGAGAGAGAGGGGGGGGGGGGNNNNNNNNNNNNNNNNNNNNNCCCGCCCGCCCCCCCACGUGAACCCCCACUCCCCGCUGUCCCCCACACCCUUUCGCCCGGCUCCGCUCGGCUUAACCUGGCUUGCUGGGCCGGUCCGGUUUACUAAUAAUGAUGGUCUUACACAUCAGGGAGUAAGAUAAUAAUAAUGAUCGACCCAGCACUUGCUCGGAAAGCAAAUAAUAAUAACAAUAAUAAUAAUAAUGAUAAUAAUAAUGAUGAUGGCAUUAUUUACUCUCGCGGUCACCCUUUCACUUUCUGUACCCCAGUGUCUUCACGUGCAUUGAUGCGUCCCGGAUUUCAAAUCCAAUAGAGUGCGGCUAGGAUGCGUUGGAAGUACGAAGCGCUCCGUAUUUUUACUUUGUUUUCGAUGUUCGAACUUUCGAAUCGAUAAUCGGUUCUGUUAGACUUGAUCUAGAGUAUUUGAAGUAUCUAGAAAAUAAAUUUAACGAUUUUUCGAUAUUAUUUGCCAAGUGAUCGAGGUGGCUCAAAAUCAACGGCUGAAAAUAAAAAUCUUAUAAAAUAUGAUGAUAUGAUAUUAAAAUUUUAGAUCAAAGUUAUUGAUCUUGUUUUAUAUGGUAUAAAGAAUUUUCUAUCAAAAUUUCAU
Molecule: long non-coding RNA, 434247 nt
Filed under: Ananas comosus (pineapple)
Lineage: Eukaryota; Viridiplantae; Streptophyta; Magnoliopsida; Poales; Bromeliaceae
Description: long non-coding RNA (ACOM_LNC006333)
Source: RNAcentral